This 384533-nucleotide long non-coding RNA is filed under the name Lactuca sativa (garden lettuce). RNAcentral describes it as "long non-coding RNA (LSAT_LNC004251)". Lineage: Eukaryota; Viridiplantae; Streptophyta; Magnoliopsida; Asterales; Asteraceae. The record is from RNAcentral.
UUCGUAAGUGGUGUAUGGUGUGAAUCCUUACAAGCCUUUGUAUUUGAUUCCAUUUCCAAAUGAUGAAUUGGUUCACAAGGAUGCAAAUGACAAUUUGAAGGCCAUGAUGUAACUACACCAACAAGUUUGUGUGAAGAUUGAAGCUGUGUAUGACGUGUACAAACAGAAUUCCAACAUGCAUAGGAAACCACGUGUCUUACAAGAUGGUGACGUGGUUUAGGCGCAUAUGAGGAAAGAACGUUUUGCUAACAAAAGGAAGAACAAAAGUUGAUGCCAAGAGCUGAAGGUCCUUACAAAGUGGUGACACAUGUCAAUGAUAAUACUUAUAAGGUUGAUCUGGGACGAGACCAUGGAGUGCAUGCUACCUUUAAUGUGGGAGACCUUUCACCGUAUCUUGUUGAGGAUGGCCUUGAUGAAUUAAGGUCAUUUCCUUUCAAAGAGGGAGGGGAGGAUCCAUGCAUGGCUCAUGAAAAGCCGAAAAAUGUGAUGGAUUAGUGAUUACUAGUAGGCUAGAAGGUGGUUUGUACUCAAUGGUUGGGUUGUGCAUGGUAACCUACGUAUUAAAUUAGGGUCGCAUGAAGGCUAGGGCAACAUUUUAAAGGCUUAAUAAGUGCUCAAAACUGUUACUUUUUGCUUCGUCAAGCCUUCUAGCCAUUGUUGAUACUCUUUGGUGGAUUUGGAUUACACUUUAAUGCUUCUUUUUGCUCCUUAAUGGAGCAUGGACACUUUUUUCAUUCAUCAGUGUGUCAGACGUUUUUUUGUGUGGUUUCAUGAGUUUCUUUAAUUUCCAUUAUUAGUUUUACUGAGUAGUUGGUUGGGUGGUUUGUAACCAACAACUUUGUAAUAAAGGCUUCAUAUAAGCCAAUUAUGCAUGGAAAAAAGAGAUAGAUGAAAUUUUAAUCAAAAGAACCUUUGUUCACUUUGAAUUAUAGUUAUAGUUCACUACUUGUCAUAGUCGAGACCUGUUCUUGACUUGAUAUGCAUUCAAACAAAUAUUAUGUCUUGGAUAGUUUUCACGGGUAUACAACUUAGUAGGUCUUGAUUUGUUACUAGUUUAUCCAUUUCUUCCCAUACACCUGUCAUUUGUGGUUUUUAUUCUAGCUUCAUUUACCUAAACACAGCCCCACUCACUUAAUCUAGCCCAUAAAGGCAUCAAAAGGCAAUGACCUUUGUGUCCCUAAACAUGCAAUACGGGAGUUGCUGAUUCGUGAAGCUCAUGGUGGUGGUUUGGCGGGUCAUUUUUCCAUUACCAAAACUUUGAAGGUGCUUUAAGAACAUUUCUUUUGGCCUAAAGAUGUUAGGGAUGUAACCAUGAUAGUGGGCAAGUGUGUUACAUGUCGGAUGACGAAAAAAACUUUCAAGCAUGGUGUUUACACUCCUUUGUCCUUUCCUAUUCGUCCUUGGCAAGAGGUGUCAAUGGAAUUCAGUAUGGCUUUUCCUAGAACUCAUAGGGGGAAGGAAUCCAUUAUAAUGGUGGUGGAUAGGUUUUCAAAAAUAGCUCACUUUAUGCCAUGUCAUAACACCAAUGAUUUAUCUAAUGUGUCUGAUUUGUACUUUAAAGAAGUGGUUCGCUUGCAUAUUAUUCGUAAAACUAUUGUUUAUGAUAGGGAUUCCUUGUUUUUGAGUUACAUUUGGAACACUUUGUGGAGGAAAGUUGGUACUAAGUUACUUUUUAGUACGUCCCAUCAUCCACAAACUGAUGGGCAAACGAAGGUGACUAAUAGAACUUUGGGUACGUUGUUGAGGGGGUUGGUUAGCAAAACUCAAAAACAGUUGGACAUCAAACUUGCACAUGUUGAGUUUGCAUGUAAUCGUUCUCCUACUUAUGCUACAGGUCACUCUCCUUUAUAAGUGGUGUAUGGUGUGAAUCCUUACAAGCCUUUAUAUCUGAUUCCAUUUUUAAAUGUUGAAUUGGUUCACAAGGAUGCUAAUGACAAGUUUAAGGCCAUGCUGAAACUACACCAACAAGUUCUUGUGAAGAUUGAAGCCGUAAAUGACGUGUACAAAUAGAAUUCCAACAUGCAUAGGAAACCACGUGUCUUUCAAGAUGCUCACUUAGUUUAGGUGCAUAUGAGGAAAGAACGUUUUCUUAACAAAUGGAAGAACAAAAGUUGAUGCCAAGAGCUGAAGGUCCUUACAAGACUUUAUAAGUGGUGUAUGGUGUGAAUCCUUACAGGCCUUUGUAUAUUAUUCCAUUUCCAAACGAUGAAUUGGUUCACAAGGAUGCUAAUGACAAGUUGAAGGCCAUGACGAAACUACACCAAGAAGCUCGUGUGAAGAUUGAAGUCGUGAAUGACGUGUACAAACAGAAUUCCAACAUGUAUAGGAAACCUUGUGUCUUUCAAGAUGGUGACUUGGUUUAGGUGCAUAUGAGGAAAGAACGUUUUCCAAACAAAAGGAAGAACAAAAGUUGAUGCCAAAAGCUGAAGGUCCUUAUAAGCCUACGUAAGUGGUGUAUGGUGUGAAUCCUUACAAGCCUUUGUAUUUGAUUCCAUUUCUAAAUGAUGAAUUAGUUCUCAAGGAUGCAAAUGACAAUUUGAAGGCCAUGACGAAACUACACCAACAAGUUUGUGUGAAGAUUGAAGUCGUGAAUCACGUGUACAAACAGAAUUCCAACAUGCAUUGGAAACCACGUGUCUUAGAAGAUGGUGACUUGGUUUAGGUGCAUAUGAGGAAAGAACGUUUUCCAAACAAAAGGAAGAGCAAAAGUUGAUGCCAAAAGCUGAAGGUCCAUACAAAGUGGUGACACAUGUCAAUGAUAAUGCUUAUAAGGUGGAUCUGGGAGGAGACCAUGGAGUGCAAGCUACCUUUAAUGUGGGAGACCUUUCACCGUAUCUUUUUGAGGAUGGCCUUGAUGAAUUAUGUUCAUUUCAUUUCAAAGGGGGAGGGGAGGAUCCAUGCAUGGAUCAUGAAAACCCAAAAGGUGAUGGAUUAUUGAUUACUAGUAGGCUAGAAGGUGGUUUGUACUCAAUGGUUGGGUAGUGCAUGGUAACCUACGUAUUGAAUUAGGGUCGCAUGAAGGCUAGGGAAACAUUUUAAAGGCUUCCUAAGUGCUGGAAACCGUUACUUUUUGCUUCAUCAAGCCUUCUAGCCAUUGUUGAUACUCUUUGGUGGAUUUGGGUUACACUUUAAUGCUUCUUUUUGCUCCUUAUUGGAGCAUGGACGCUUUUUUUCAUUCAUUAGUGUGUCAGAUGUUUUUAUGUGUGGUUUCAUGAUUUUCUUUAAUUUUCAUUAUUAGUUUUAUUGAGUAGUUGGUUGGGUGGUUUGUAACCUCCAACUAUGUAAUAAAGGUUUCAUAUAAGCCAAUUAUGCAUGGAAAAAAAGAGAUAGAUGAAAUUUUAAUCAAAAGAACCUUUGUUCACUUUGAAUUAUAGUUAUAGUUCACUACUUGUAAUAGUCGAGAUGUGUUCUUGACUUGAUACGCAUUCAAACAAAUAUUAUGUCUCGGAUAGUUUUCACGGGUAUACAACUUAGUAGGUCUUGAUCUGUUACCAAUCUAUCCAUUUCUUCCCAUGCACCUAUCAUUUUUGGUUGUUAUUCUAGCUUAAUUUACAUAAACACGGCCCCACUCACUUAAUCAAGCCCAUAAAGGCAUCAAAAGGCAAUCACCUUUGUGUCCCUAAACGUGCAAUACGGGAGUUGCUGAUUCGUGAAGCUCAUGGUGGUGGUUUGGCGGGUCAUUUUUCCAUUACCAAAACUUUGAAGGUGCUUUAAGAACAUUUCUUUUUGCCUAAAGAUGUUAGGGAUGUAACCAACAUAGUGGGCAAGUGUGUUACAUGUCGGAUGAUGAAAAAAACUUUCAAGCAUGGUGUUUACACUCCUUUUUCGGUUCCUACUCGUCCUUGGAAAGACGUGUCAAUGGAAUUCAUUAUGGCUUUGCCUAGAACUCAAAGGGGGAAGGAAUCCAUUAUAGUGGUGGUGGAUAAGUUUUCAAAAAUGGCUCACUUUAUGCCAUGUCAUAAAACCAAUGAUGCAUCUAAUGUGUUUGAUUUGUACUUUAAAGAAGUGAUUCGUUUGCAUAUUAUUCCUAAAACUAUUGUUUCUGAUAGGGAUUCCUUGUUUUUGAGUUACAUUUGGAACACGUUAUGGAGGAAAGUUGGUACCAAGUUACUUUUUAGUACGUCCCAUCAUCCACAAACUGAUGGGCAAACGAAGGUGACUAAUAGAAUUUUGGGUAUGUUGUUGAGGGGGAUGGUUAGCAAAACUCAAAAACAGUUGGACAUCAAACUCGUGCAUGCUGAGUUUGCCUGUAAUCGUUCUCCUACUUAUGCUACAGGUCACUCUCUUUUAUAAGUGGUGUAUGGUGUGAAUCCUUACAAUCCUUUAUAUUUGAUUCCAUUUCCAAACGAUGAAUUGGUUCACAAGGAUGCUAAUGACAAGUUGAAGGCCAUGAUGAAACUACACCAAUAAGUUAUUGUGGAGAUUGACGACGUGAAUGACGUGUACAAAUAGAAUUCCAACGUGCAUAGGAAACCACGUGUCUUUCAAGAUGGUUACUUGGUUUAGGUACAUAUGAGGAAAGGGGAGUGGAGGAUUAAUGCAUGGAUCAUGAAAGCCCAAAAGGUGAUGGAUUAGUGAUUACUAGUAGGCUAGAAGGUGGUUUGUACUCAAUGGUUGGGACCAUGGUAACCUACAUAUUGAAUUAGGGUUGCAUGAAUGCUAAGGUAACAUUUUAAAGGCUUAAUAAGUGCUCAAAACCGUUACUUUUUCCUUCAUUAAGCCUUCUUGUAACAUCCCGAAUUAUCGAGAGUAGAGUAGAAGGGCUAAAAGAGUAAAUUGGGAAAGAGUGACUCGACGAGUCCAUGGGUGGACUCGGCGAGUAGAGUCGCUACUGGGUCGCGUGUUAAGUAAUCGACUCGGCGAGUCAGUGAGAUGGACUCGGCGAGUAGGCGCUGAGUGGAGAAAACCCUAAUUCUCAGGGUUGAGCCAUAUAUAAAGAACAUGACAGCCUUCUCUCAGCCUCUUUAUUCCCCCUUGAGUCCCAGAAACCCUAAAAUCAUGGAGAAGCACCAUUGUUGAGCAAAUUGGAUCUUGGAGAGGUGAUUGUGGAAGAGAUUCUAGAGAAGGAGAGGCUUAGAGCAAGGGGCUUUGCUUGGAUUCGAAUUUCAUUGUAGUUGGGAUGUUCUUUGGAGGUAAUAUCUCGUUCUUGGGCUGUUGUCAUGUUGUUUCUUCAUUUUGGGGUUUGUGGGGAGCUUGUCUUUGGAUGUAAUUGGAGUCUAGAGGAUAGAUCUGAGGUUGCUACCUCAGAUCUGGAAUGGAGAAGGAUAAGAGAGCAUGAAAGUCCCUGUGUUGGAGUGUUUAGUGGAGCCAUCAUGUCACAAACCCUAGCCCAAUGUGCAAAUGGCCUAGAUCUCUUUGGAUUCACGUAAAGUUUGCCACUUUACGUGAUGGAUGAGUUGUAGGAGGCUAGAUCUAUGUUUUGGAGCAAUUGCAUGGCCUGGAGUGCUUCUGUAUGGGUUCAGACCGGUGGUACUCGGCGAGUCACAUGGGUGGACUCGACGAGUUGCUUGAAGAUGGCCUGGAACUCGGCGAGUUGUAUGAACAACUCGGCGAGUAGGAUGAAGAUUGCCUGGAACUCGGCGAGUUGUAUGAACAACUCGGCGAGUAGGUUGAAGAUAGCCUUAGACUCGGCGAGUCUGUUCUUGGGCUCGGCGAGUCUUGUCGAAGAGUCCCAAUAUUUUCUGGUCGAGUCGAGAAUCGGUGAGUCAAGGGAUGACUCGGUGAGUUGUGUGCGAGUGGACUCAGAGUUGUUGAACUCGACGAGUCUCGGGGUGACUCGGCGAGUUAGGUCGCGGAUUGAGGGAAGUUCUGAGUAUGGGGACUCGGCGAGUCAUCGGGUUGACUCGGCGAGUAGAGUCAGUCAGGGGUUGACUUUGACCUUGUCUUUGACCAAGGGUUGACCAGUGGUUUCCAGGGGCAUUUUGGUAAUUGUUGAUUGUUGUUUUGAGUUCAGUGCAUUGGCGGUUGUCCAGUGGUGGAGAUCGUAUCAGUGAUCGGAGCAGUUCGGGUUAUCUGUUCAGUCGGCAGUUUCGAGGUGAGUUAUCCUCACUAUAUCAACAGGGUCUAAGGCACCAAGGCCGGCCCUUAUCGGAUUGAGAUCCGGGUAGUUGUUGUUAUGUUGUUGCUAUGUUAUGUUUGCAUCCUGAGAGCUAGGAUGGUAUAUAGAGACCUGUUUGAGAUCGGUAUCCUGAGAGAUAGGGUGAUGCUAUGCUAGUGACCUGUUAGGUCGGUAUCCUGGUUAGGAUGAUGAUAUGCUAUGUGAUCUGUUUGAUCUGCUUGUUGACUGUGAAUUGCUAUAUGAUUGUAUGUAUAUGUGCACAUGGUUGUUUGGACUGGAGUUGGGUUGAGGCGGGUCCUGCUGNNNNNNNNNNNNNNNNNNNNNNNNNNNNNNNNNNNNNNNNNNNNNNNNNNNNNNNNNNNNNNNNNNNNNNNNNNNNNNNNNNNNNNNNNNNNNNNNNNNNNNNNNNNNNNNNNNNNNNNNNNNNNNNNNNNNNNNNNNNNNNNNNNNNNNNNNNNNNNNNNNNNNNNNNNNNNNNNNNNNNNNNNNNNNNNNNNNNNNNNNNNNNNNNNNNNNNNNNNNNNNNNNNNNNNNNNNNNNNNNNNNNNNNNNNNNNNNNNNNNNNNNNNNNNNNNNNNNNNNNNNNNNNNNNNNNNNNNNNNNNNNNNNNNNNNNNNNNNNNNNNNNNNNNNNNNNNNNNNNNNNNNNNNNNNNNNNNNNNNNNNNNNNNNNNNNNNNNNNNNNNNNNNNNNNNNNNNNNNNNNNNNNNNNNNNNNNNNNNNNNNNNNNNNNNNNNNNNNNNNNNNNNNNNNNNNNNNNNNNNNNNNNNNNNNNNNNNNNNNNNNNNNNNNNNNNNNNNNNNNNNNNNNNNNNNNNNNNNNNNNNNNNNNNNNNNNNNNNNNNNNNNNNNNNNNNNNNNNNNNNNNNNNNNNNNNNNNNNNNNNNNNNNNNNNNNNNNNNNNNNNNNNNNNNNNNNNNNNNNNNNNNNNNNNNNNNNNNNNNNNNNNNNNNNNNNNNNNNNNNNNNNNNNNNNNNNNNNNNNNNNNNNNNNNNNNNNNNNNNNNNNNNNNNNNNNNNNNNNNNNNNNNNNNNNNNNNNNNNNNNNNNNNNNNNNNNNNNNNNNNNNNNNNNNNNNNNNNNNNNNNNNNNNNNNNNNNNNNNNNNNNNNNNNNNNNNNNNNNNNNNNNNNNNNNNNNNNNNNNNNNNNNNNNNNNNNNNNNNNNNNNNNNNNNNNNNNNNNNNNNNNNNNNNNNNNNNNNNNNNNNNNNNNNNNNNNNNNNNNNNNNNNNNNNNNNNNNNNNNNNNNNNNNNNNNNNNNNNNNNNNNNNNNNNNNNNNNNNNNNNNNNNNNNNNNNNNNNNNNNNNNNNNNNNNNNNNNNNNNNNNNNNNNNNNNNNNNNNNNNNNNNNNNNNNNNNNNNNNNNNNNNNNNNNNNNNNNNNNNNNNNNNNNNNNNNNNNNNNNNNNNNNNNNNNNNNNNNNNNNNNNNNNNNNNNNNNNNNNNNNNNNNNNNNNNNNNNNNNNNNNNNNNNNNNNNNNNNNNNNNNNNNNNNNNNNNNNNNNNNNNNNNNNNNNNNNNNNNNNNUUUUCCCAACAAAGGAAGAACAAAAGUUGAUGCCAGGAACUAAAGGUCCUUACAAAGUGGUGACACAUAUCAAUGAUAAUGCUUAUAAGGUGGAUCUGGGACGAGACCAUGGAGUGCAUGCUACCUUUAAUGUGGGAGACCUUUCACCGUAUCUUGUUGAGGAUGGCCUUUAUGAAUUAAGGUCAUUUCCUUUCAAAGAGGGAGAGGAGGAUCCAUGCAUGGCUCAUGAAAAGCCGAAAAAGGUGAUGGAUUAUUGAUUACUAGUAUGCUAGAAGGUGGUUUUUACUCAAUGGUUGGGUUGUGCAAGGUAACCUACGUAUAGAAUUUGGGUCGCAUGAAGGCUAGGGCAACAUUUUAAAGGCUUCAUAAGUGCUCCAAACUGUUACUUUUUCUUUAUCAAGCCUUCUAGCCAUUGUUGAUACUCUUUGGUGGAUUUAGGUUACACUUUAAUGCUUCUUUUGGCUCCUUAAUGGAGCACGGAUGCUUUUUUCAUUCAUUAGUGUGUCAGACGUUUUUUUGUGUGGUUUCAUGAGUUUCUUUAAUUUUCAUUUUUAGUUUUACUAAGUAGUUGGUUAAGUGGCGUGUAACCACCAACUUUGUAAUAAAGGCUUCAUAUAAGCCAAGUAUGCAUGGAAAAAGAGAUAGAUGAAAUUUUAAUCAAAAGAACCUUUGUUCAGUUUGAAUUAUAGUUAUAGUUCACUACUUGUCAUAGCCGACACGUGUUCUUGACUUGAUUCGCAUUCAAAAAAAAUAUUAUGUCUUGGAUAAUUUUCACGGGUAUACAACUCAGUAGGUCUUGAUUUGUUACUAAUCUAUCAAUUUCUUCCCAUACACCUAUCAUUUGUGGUUGUUAUUUUAGCAUAAUUUACCUAAACACAACCCUAAUCACUUAAUGAAGCCGGCAUGAAAAGGAAAUCACCUUUGUGCCCCUAAACAUGUAAUAUGGGAGUCACUGAUUCGUGAAGCUCAUGGUUUUGGUUUGGCAGAUCAGUUUUCCAUUACCAAAAUUUUGGAGGUGCUUUCAGAACAUUUCUUCUGGCCUAAAGAUGUUGGGGAUGUAACCAACAUAGUGGGCAAGUGUGUUACAUGUCGGAUGACGAAAAAAACUUUCAAGCAUGGUGUUUACACUCCUUUGACGGUUCCUAAUCGUCCUUGGUAAGAUGUGUCAAUGGAAUUCAGUAUGGCUUUCCCUAGAACCCAAAGGGAAAAGGAUUCCAUUAUAGUGGUGGUGGAUAGGUUUUCAAAAAUGGCUCACUUUGUGCCAUGACAUAAAACCAAUGAUGCAUCUAAUGUGUCUGAUUUGUACUUUAAAGAGGUGGUUCGCUUGUAUAUUAUUCCUAAAACUAUUGUUUCUGAUCGGGAUUCCAUGUUUUUGAGUUACUUUUGGAACACUUUUGUUGAGGAAAGUUGGUACUAAGUUAGUUUUUAGNAGUACGUCCCAUCAUCCACAAACUGAUGGGUAAACGAAGGUGACUAAUAGAACUUUGGAUACUUUGUUGAGGGGUUGGUUAGCAAAACUCAAAAAUAGUUGGACACAAACUUUCACAUGCUGAGUUUGCCUGCAAUUGUUCUCCUACUUAUGCUACAGGUCACUCACCUUCAUUAGUGGUGUAUGGUGUGAAUCCUUACAAGCAUUUGUAUUUGAUUCCAUUUCCAAACGAUGAAUUGGUUCACAACGAUGUUAAUGACAAGUUGAAGGCCAUGAGGAAACUACACCAAAAAGUUCAUGUGAAGAUUAAAGCCUUGAAUAACAUGUACAAACAGAAUUCCAACAUGCAUAGGAAACCAUGUGUGUUUCAAGACNNNNNNNNNNNNNNNNNNNNNNNNNNNNNNNNNNNNNNNNNNNNNNNNNNNNNNNNNNNNNNNNNNNNNNNNNNNNNNNNNNNNNNNNNNNNNNNNNNNNCAGGGGCUAUUAGGUAACUUUUGGUCUUGCUUUGAAGAAGAUAUUGUAAGGAGGGGCUAAAUGUGAUAAAAAGGAAUGGAAGUUUGUGAAAGGAGCGGAUCGAGCUGUGCUUUUUUUCUCUCCUGUAUAUGCGACGCAACCUUAACCCUACACUUUGUGAUAUCGGCCGCCACCACCAUGGAUUACAUCCUCAACCGCCACCAGCUGUGGAAGCCUUCUCGGAGCCGCCACCCAUCCUUCCUCGCGAAUCCGACCAGGCGUUGUUCCACUGUUGAGCGCCGCCUCAUGCUGCUGCCGGAGACGAGAUAUGAAGCCGGAAAGAACCGCCGAGGGCUGUGAGGCACGAUGUGUACAUCGUGCAUGAGUCGGCAGUUACCAGAAUCGCACAGUAAAUCCAACCGUGAGCCUACUUACUCUGUCUCUUUUGUUCUUGUUGUGUCUGCAAUGUCGUGAGCAGCGACUGUGGUCCCCGGUGGCCUUGGGUCGCCGCUGCAACGCCUUCAAUUGUUGCCUGCCGCCCUUAAGGCCGAGUUGGCUAUGUUUGUGUGCUCCAAUUGCACCUGUGGACGUGUUCAUGGGUUUGCACGGUGGAAAAUCAUAAGACCCGCCACUGCCACCACCAUGAGGUGGUGGCUGCCACCCAUUGUCGCCUUCUACCGCUCUUUGCCGCCACCAGCCACCCCAGGAGGUGGUUGUGUGCGUGUGUAUUUUGUGUGAGGUUGUUUAUGCAUGUUUAUGUGGUUGGAAAAAACCCACCACCACCGUGAGCCACCACUGACCACCACUACCUGAGGUGGUAGUGGGUGGUGCCACAUCCUAGUUGGCCCAAUUGAUUAUUAUUGGACUGGGUUGGCUUGUGAUUGGGCUAGAAACCCUAAUUAGGGUUUAGAAAACCCUAAUUUUGGGUUUGUUGGGGCCUAUUGAGACCCACGUUUGGACCAGUGGACUGAAGUUGUGACUCAUCCCGAUUCCAUUGUGUGACGGCUUAGUGGAGUAAUGGACUUAAUGGGUUAAGUGAGAAAUACUUAACCCUAAUCGUUAUGUUAUGUGAAAACUCUAAUUUGGGAUGGGCCUUGGUGGGCCCAUUGGGCUUGGAUUAUUUAUGGACAAGAUUGAUGGACCAUUAUUAGACCUAAUAAUGUGAAAGUUGGUCUUAGAUCCUAAUGGGGUUAUUUGUGGGUUUGGCUUAGUGAUAGAAGUCGGAGUGUAGCAGCAGCAUUUAUAAGAUCUGUGUGCCAUCCGAGGUGGGUCUUCUCACUAUUCUUACCUGUGUGGUGAUGUGUGUGAGAUCGGAGGGUCUUAUUCGUGUUAUUGACCGGAGGUUCUUACUUACAUUGUUAACCGCAGGGUCUCAGUAUAUUUGACCGGAUGNGAGGGUCUUAGUACAUUAUCAAUCGGAGGGUCUUAUUUGUUUAUUAUGUGUUAUGUGUUAUCGUGCAUACUGUCUUUGUGACUUAUGCUGUUAUGGAAUAUGUGUAUAUAUUGAUCUUAUGUGUUUAUUAUAGUACUGUGAUAUCCUGCAUUAUGUCUAUGUGAAUUAUGUUGUUUAUUUAUUAUGAGCUUACGGAGUUAGGACCGAAGGGUCCACAGUGUUAGGACCGGAGGGUCCAUUAGAGUUGUGGGACUGGAGGGUCCCACUGAGACACAUUGACCGGAGGGUCUUACAGAGUUAUAGCCUCGAGUGGCUAAAGUGUAUUUGUGGUAUUUUGGGGAACUCACUAAGCUUCGUGCUUACCGUGUUAUGUGUUAUGUGUUCCAGGUACUUCUCAGGAUCACGGGAAGGCGACGACUCGAUUGUACACACGAGAUGAAGAGUUAUGUUUUGGAGGAUCCUCGAUUAUUAAUCAAACAAUUACAGAUUGUGUUUUGUUAAUUUGAUAAUUGGGGAUUUUUGUGUAAUGUCUUAUGAGAAUUUUGUGAUUUAACAAUGAAAAAUUUAUAUGAAAAUUUACGGCGUUACACAACAACCCUAUGCGGCCCUUUAAACCAGAUUCCACGCACCGCGAGUAGUUAAAAAGAUAUUAUAACGACACUUAUAUAAAAAUAGCUCAAAUAUUUAUUAUAANNNNNNNNNNNNNNNNNNNNNNNNNNNNNNNNNNNNNNNNNNNNNNNNNNNNNNNNNNNNNNNNNNNNNNNNNNNNNNNNNNNNNNNNNNNNNNNNNNNNCAGGCCACAGAAAAUGACAUCUCCACUAUCGGCCGAUCGCUCAGCUCAGACCGUGUUCUCCCAUAACGCACCAUCCCUACUCAUCCCUGAGUGUUGCGACUCCAACUGACAUCUCUCCAACAGUCCCUAGGAGUUAACUCAGUUUUCCCCUUCACGGGAUGCUCCACUAAAACUCGUUCAUCAUGUCCCUCUGGCCCAUUACUCUUUCACAUCUGAUCUCAGUCUAGACGAUCACCACAGAAUAACUGGUAAAACCAGGAGCACUAACCGCCACACGUCCUGAUACUCAUCCCAUGUGACUACCUCUCAAUCUGCUUUGAAUCAUGGUACCCGAACCAUGUUACCUCAUCUUAAUUUGCUACUAAUCAUGGUACUCGAACCACGUUCUCUCUUCUCAAUCCGCCUCAAAUCAUGGUACUCGAACCAUGACAUCACCUCUCGAUCUGCUACAAAUCAAAGUACUCGAACCAUGACAUCACUUGUCGAUAUGCUACUUAGAUUCUCCGGAAUACUCCCUAUAUUGAGUAUGGGUCCUCUGCUUUCAAUAGUACAGGCCCAUACAACAUCUACCCAUACUUUCUGCAACGACCAUCCCAGAGCCCCUAAGUAGCUGCUCAACCUUCUCAAUCACCAAUCUCAACACACAUGCUCGCUUCCCAGUGAAAUGCUCUACUCUGUCAGCGUACCCAUCUGACUAAAGUCACUUCCUAGGCUCUUCCUAGGUUCUCACACUUCUCCGCCAUCAAUUGCUGAGAAACUCUUUAUGAUGCCAGUCAUCUACCUCCUGAAUAUCGUCACAUUCACUUGGUAGGUGACUCCCAUCAUCGGGAGUUCCACAAAGCACGAAGCAAGCAAUAUUUGGGCAUCGAAUAAACAUGUAAAACCCACUCCAGGUGAUAACUCCACUUGCUCUACUCACUCAAAAGAUUGAUACCGAACUCAACAACUCCACCCCCCGCGGGUAUCUAACUACUCUCUCAAUAGGCUCGGAAAAUGCUCAUCUAGGUAUCUCUCCUAGAUUACUCCUUUACUCAAAUNNNNNNNNNNNNNNNNNNNNNNNNNNNNNNNNNNNNNNNNNNNNNNNNNNNNNNNNNNNNNNNNNNNNNNNNNNNNNNNNNNNNNNNNNNNNNNNNNNNNCAGGCCACAGAAAAUGACAUCUCCACUAUCGGCCGAUCGCUCAGCCCAGACCGUGUUCUCCCAUAACGCACCAUCCCUACUCAUCCCUGAGUCUUGCGACUCCAACUGACAUCUCACCAACAGUCCCUAGGAGUUAACUCAGUUUUCCCCUUCACGGGAUGCUCCACUAAAACUCGUUCAUCAUGGCCCUCUAGCCCAUUACUCUUUCACAUCUGAUCUCAGUCUAGACGAUCACCACAGAAUAACUGGUAAAACCAGGAGCACUAACCGCCACACGUCCUGAUACUCAUCCCAUGUGACUACCUCUCGAUCUGCUUUGAAUCAUGGUACCCGAACCAUGUUACCUCAUCUUAAUUUGCUACUAAUCAUGGUACUCGAACCACGUUCUCUCUUCUCAAUCCGCCUCAAAUCAUGGUACUCGAACCAUGACAUCACCUCUCGAUCUGCUACAAAUCAAAGUACUCGAACCAUGACAUCACUUGUCGAUAUGCUACUUAGAUUCUCCGGAAUACUCCCUAUAUCGAGUAUGUGUCCUCUGCUUUCAAUAGUACGGGCCCAUACUACCUGCAACAUCUACCCAUACUUUUUGCAACGACCAUCCCAGAGCCCCUAAGUAGCUGCUCAACCUUCUCAAUCACCAAUCUCAACACACAUGCUCGCUUCCCAGUGAAAUGCUCUACUCUGUCAGCGUACCCAUCUGACUAAAGUCACUUCCUAGGCUCUUCCUAGGUUCUCACACUUCUCCGCCAUCAGUUGCUGAGAAACUCUUUAUGAUGCCAGUCAUCUACCUCCUGAAUAUCGUCACAUUCACUUGGUAGGUGACUCCCAUCAUCGGGAGUUCCACAAAGCACGAAGCAAGCAAUAUUUGGGCAUCGAAUAAACACGUAAAACCCACUCCAGGUGAUAACUCCACUUGCUCUACUCACUCAAAAGAUAUCACCGAACUCAACAACUCCACCCCCCGCGGGUAUCUAACUACUCUCUCAAUAGGCUCGGAAAAUGCUCAUCUAGGUAUCUCUCCUAGAUUACUCCUUUACUCAAAUCCCUCUCUAAAAGGAUCCCUACUUGCUACUCUUACUCAACACAUGCUCGAAAGCACAUCACAGAUAACAGCAACUCCUAGGCUAAGGCAUCACAAAUCAGGCCACUCUAGUCCUAACAUAUGAAAUACCUAGCCUAUCUCUAGCAUGCAUAAUAUAUCAUAGCAUAUCUCAUAACUAUCUCAUAAUACAAAUGUAAGGGUAUUUUGGGAAAUCACUGUUCGGGCUCUGGUUGAUUGUACACAAUGCUCUUUCCCGCUUUCUCUUUGACUCUUAUUCACUUUUAAAAAAAAUCGUUUUUGAAAACUUUUCUUAUUUCCUCAGUUUGAGUCCAGAUUUACCCCGAAGGUGCAUCCGAAUCCCUCAAACCAAGGCUCUGAUACCAACUUGUAACGCCGUAAAUUUUCAUAUAAAAUUUUCAUUGUUAAAUCACAAAAUUCUCAUAAGACAUUACACAAAAAUCCCUAAUUAUCAAAUUAACAAAACACAAUCUGUAAUUGUUUGGUUAAUAAUCCAGGAUCCUCCAAAACAUAACUCUUCAUCUCGUGUGUACAAUCGAGCCGUCACCUUCCCGUGAUCCUGAGAAGUACCCGGAACACAUAACACGGUAAGCACGAAGCUUAGUGAGUUCCCCAAAAUACCACAAAUACACUUUAGCCACUCGAGGCUAUAACUCUGUAAGACCCUCCGGUCAAUGUGUCUCAGUGGGACCCUCCAGUCCCACAACUCUAAUGGACCCUCCGGUCCUAACUCUGUGGACCCUCCGGUCCUAACACUGUGGACCCUCCGGUCCUAACUCCGUGAGCUCAUAAUAAAUACACAACAUAAUUCACAUAUACAUAAUGCAGGAUAUCACAAUACUCGAAUAAACACAUAAGAUCAAUAUAUACACAUAUUCCAUAACAGCAUAAGUCACAAAGACAAUAUGCACGAUAACACAUAACACAUAAUAAAUAGUGUAAGUAAGACCCUCCGGUCAAUAAUAUACUGAGACCCUCCGGUCAACAGUGUAAGUAAGACCCUCCGGUCAAUAACACGAAUAAGACCCUCCGGUCUCACACAAAUCACCACACAGGUAAGUAUAGUGAGAAGACUCACCUCGGAUGGCAAACAGAUCCUAUAAAUGCUGCUGCUACACUCCGACUUCUAUCACUAAGCCAAACCCACAAAUAACCCCAUUAAGAUCUAAGACCAACUUUCACAUUAUUAGGUCUAAAUAUGGUCCAUCAAUCUAUUCCAUAAAUAAUCCAAGCCCAAUGGGCCCACCAAGGCCCAACUUAAAGCCCAUCCCAAAUUAGAGUUUUCACAUAAAAUGACGAUUAGGGUUAAGUAUUUCUCACUUAACCCAUUAGGUCCAUUACUCCACUAAGCCGUCACACAAUAGAAUCGGGAUGAGUCACAACUUCAGUCCACUGGUCCAAACGUGGGUCUCAAUAGGCCCCAACAAACCCAAAAUUAGGGUUUUCUAAACCCUAAUUAGGGUUUCUAGCCCAAUCACAAGCCAACCCAGUCCAAUAAUAAUCAAUUGGGCCAACUAGGGUGUGGCACCACCCACUACCACCUCAGGUAGUGGUGGUCAGUGGUGGCUCACGGCGGCGGUCACUACCUCACGGUGGUGGUGGGUUAAUCUGACCACAUAAACAUGCAUAAACAACCUCACACAAAAUACACACGCACACAACCACCUCCCGGGGUGGCUGGUGGCGGCAAAGAGCGGUAGAAAGCGACAAUAUCUUCUUCAAACCAAGACAAAAGUUACCUAAUAGCCCCUGCCCUCAGAAAUCUUUACAAAUUAAAUUUGGAAUUUACUAUUUAGACCUUGCUUCCCAAAAAUCUAUCCAAAUUAAGUCCCAAUAAUUCGCCAAACAACCCCUGCCUUCAUAGAUAUUUAUAAACCACUCUGGAACUUACACUUUUAACUCAAAACUUCUAGAAUCAUGACAAUUAAAUUCUUGAGGCCAAUACCUGGCGAUGUUAUUAUUUAUUUUAGGGUUUCUAUUCAUAUUAACCCUUAUCUAUCUAUUUAAUCCAUAAACGGGAUGUUACAUAUUGGAUUUCAGAAGUGCUAUAUGCCAAAAUGGUCCUUCCCUCCGGUGUUUUAUGUCUGGCCCCUGUCUGUACAUCGUUGGAAAGUAUUGUUUAAACGCUUAUAUAAUAAUAAUAAUAAUCAUAAUAAUAAUAAUAAUAAUAAGACUAAUAAUUAGUCACGGUAAAUAUUAGACUAAAAUUUAGUGGUAAUAAUACUAGGUUUCGUCGAAGGAAAUUAUUUUAAAGUAAACGAAGCGUUGUCCGAGUGCCGAAUCACCACCUUCUCAGGUGAGUGCAUAGUUACUUUCAUCUUACACAUAGAUAUGAAGUAUUUUAUAUAAAUUACGUGCUAUGUGUGCAUAUUAUCUGAAUACUUGCUGUCUAUGUUAGAUGAACAAUUUUAUACACGUUUUAAAUGAUUUAAACUGUAUAUGUAUUUUAUAUCUACGAAAAUGUUGGGGUAAAACAUGGGUAGAUGUAAUAGAUGGAAUAUAAGUUGGACGAUGAGUUGAGAGGUGUUAUAGACCGUGAGGUGAGGGUGAGAGGUGGACGAUGUGAGAAUCUUUUUUCCCAAAUGAUGGCCCCGUCAUUCGGCAGAGUACCACUGACUAUUCUAGAUAGUCCGGUGGGACACUAGCAGGCUCGCAACCUGUAGGUGUUGUGAACGAUGUGUUCACCCGGUGUACUCUAAACCUUGGUGACCAUGCAGACUUGGUGCCUAAACCCUGGUGAUCAUGCAGAAUUGAUGCCUAAACCUUGGUGAUCAUGCAGACUUGAUGCCUAAACCCUGGCGACUAUGCAAAGUUAGUGCCCGUUGUGUAAACCGUGGCAACGAUGGACUUCGUGCCGAUUCCUUAGGAUGAUCCUUAAGAAUGAGUGAACGAGAAAUAGCUGAUUCUUGGGGCAGCUCCUUAAGAAUAAAGAAGAUAAUGGGGUUGGGUAAUUGGGUUGAUUGCUUUAUUGUUUAAACAUGAUAAUUAUAUUAUUGUGGGUUGAAAACCCUAUGUACUCACCAGGUUUCCCAACAUGACCCACUCAGUUUAUUUGUAUCACAGGUGUCGAUAUGAAGUUACAUUACACUGAGAGAUUUAAAAGAGAUGUAGAUCACUAGUGAUAAUGAAUGUAAGUUCUGUUUAUGCUUAUGUUUCUGUAUUGACGAUGACAUCCCAAAUGUUUUAAAAUGAAUAAAAAUACUUUUCUUCGGAAAUGCUUUGAUAACGUAUUUAUCAUGUUUUACUGGGAACAAAUUCCGCAACAUUUUUAUUAAAAGAGGUACUCUGAUUUUUAUAAAUCAUAAACAAAAUCAGUCUUUUCUGGCCGAGAAAAUGGGGAUGUCACAUACACUAACAAGUUCGUGUAAAGAUUGAAGCCGUGAAUGACGUGUACAAACAGAAUUUCAACAUGCAUUACGUGUCUUUCAUGAUGGUGACUUAUAUUAGGUGCAUAUGAGGAAAGAACGUUUUCCUAACAAAAGAAAGAACAAAAGUUGAUGCCAAGAGCUGAAGGUCCUUACAAAGUGGUGACAUGUCAAUGAUAAUGCUUAUCAGGUGGAUCUAGGAGGAGACCAUGGGGUGCAUGCUACCUUAAAUGUGGGAGACCUUUCACUGUAUCUUGUUGAGGACGACCUUGAUGAAUUGAGCUCAUUUCCUUUGGGGGAGGGGAGGAUCCAUAUAUGGAUCUUGAAAGCCCAAAAGGUGAUGAAUUAAUGAUUACUAGUAGGCUAGAAGGUGGUUUGUACUCAAUGGUUGGUUUGUGCUUGGUAACCUAUGUAUUGAAUUAGGGUCGCAUGAAGGCUAGGGCAACAUUUCAAAGGCUUCAUAAGUGCUCAAAACCGUAACUUUUUGCUUCAUCAAGCCUUCUAGCCAUUGUUGAUCUCUUUGGUGGAUUUGGGUUACACUUUAAUGCUUCUUUUGGCUCCUUAAUGGGGCAUGGACGCUUUUUUCAUUCAUUAGUGUGUCAGACGUUUUUUGUGUGGUUUCAUGAGUUUCUUUAAUUUUCAUUAUUAGUUUUACUAAGUAGUUGGUUGGGUGGUUUGUAACCACCAACUUUGUAAUAAAGGCUUCAUAUAAGCCAAGUAUGCAUGGAAAAAAGAGAUAGAUGAAAUUUUAAUCAAAAGAACCUUUGUUCACUUUGAAUUAUAGUUAUAAUUCACCACUUGUCAUAGUCGAGACGUGUUCUUGACUUGAUACGCAUUCAAUCAAAUAUUAUGUCUUUGAUAGUUUUCAUGGGUAUACAACUAAGUAGGUCUUGAUUUGUACUAAUCUAUCCAUUUCUUCCCAUAUACAUAUCAUUUAUGGUUGUUAUUCUAGCUUAAUUUACCUAAACACAACCCUAAUCACUUAAUCAAGCCCAUAAAGGCAUCAAAAGGGAUUCACCUUUGUUAACCCUGAUCCACCAAAGAGUAUCAAAAAGCUAGGAGGCUUUAUGAAGCAAAACAUAACGGUUUUGAGCAUUUAUGAAGCCUUUAAAAUGUUGCCCUAGCCUUCAUGCGACCAUGAUUCAAUUCGUAGGUUACCACGCACAACCCAACCAUUGAGCCCAAACCACCUUCUACCUUACUAAUAGUCUCUAAUCCAUCACCCUGGGCUUUAAUGAUCCAUGCAUGGAUCAUCCCCUCCCCCUUUGAAUGGAAACGACCUCAAUUCAUCAAGGCCACCCUCAACAAGAUAAGGCCAAAGGUCUGCCACAUUAAAGGUUGCAUGCACUCCAUGGUCUCCUCCCAAAUCCACCUUAUAAGCAUUAUCAAUGACAUUUGACACCAUUUUGUAAGGAUCAUCUGCUCACGGCAUCAACUUUUGUUAGGAAAACGUUCUUUCCUAAUAUGCACCUACACCAAGUCACCAUCCUGAAAGACACGUGGUUUCCUAUGCAUGUUGGAAUUCUGUUUGUACAACUUUGUCAUGCUUCAAUCAUCAAACAAACUUGUUGGUGUAGUUUCAUCAUGGCCUUCAACUUGUCAUUAGCAACCUUGUGAACCAAUUCAUCCUUUUGCAAUGGAAUUAAAUCCAAAGGCAUAUAAGGAACACUAUACACCACUUCAAAAGGAGAGUGACAUGUAGCAUAAGUAGGAGAACAAUUACAGGAAAACUCAACAUGUACAAGUUUGAUGUCCAAAUGUUUUUGAGUUUUGCUAACCAACCCACUGAAUAACGUACCCAAAGUUCUAUUUGUCACCUUCGUUUGCCCAUUAGUUUGUGGAUGAUGGGAUGUACUAAAAAGUAACUUAGUACCAGCUUUCAUCCACAAAUUGUUCCGAAAGUAACUCAAAAAACAUAGAUUCCCUCUCAGAGACAAUAUUUUUAGGAAUAAUAUGCAAGCGAACCACCUCUUUAAAAUCCAAAUUAGACACAUUAGAUGCCUCAUUGGUUUUAUGACAUGGCACAAAGUGAAUAAUUUUUGAAAACCUAUCCACCACCACAAUAAUGGAAUCCUUCCCCCUUUGAGUUCUAGGCAAAGCCAUAAUGAAUUCCAUUGACACAUCUUCCCAAGGACAAAUAGGAACCGGCAACGGAGUGCAAACAUCAUGCUUGAAAGUUUUUUCGUCAUCUGACAUAUAACACCCUUGUCACUAUAUCCCAACAUCUUAGGCCAAAAGAAAUUUUCUUAAAGCUCCUCCAAAGUUUUGGUAAUGGAAAAAUGACCCGCUAAACCACCACCAUGAGCUUCACGAAUCAUCAACUCCGUAUUGUGUGACAACCCGAAUUUUUCGUAUGUUUAAUUUCUACAGUCUAACACUUCAUUGAAAGUCAAAUUCAUUUCUAUUACCAUUUAGCUAAAUUUAAGGUAUGUGUGAGUAUUCCGAUGCCAGUACACUUAAGGAAGAAGUGUUAGAAAGCAACCACUAAAGCCCUAUAUUCGUAUUCGUAUUCGUAUUAUCCUAUUAGUUAUAUUCGUAUUCGCAUUCGUAUUCGUACUAACCUAAUAGUUAUAUUCGUAUUCGUACUAUAGUAUUGGUUAUAUUCGUAUUCGCAUUCGUAUUCGUUUAGUAUUAAUCUUAGUUAUGAUUAGUACGAUUUCUUUUACAAAAAGUAAUAUAGUUUAAAACACUUUUUAAAGAAAUCUGACUUUAGUCUAACUGUUUACCCUGCAAUUCAAAUCAUUAGCUAUCACAAUUUUCGAUAUUAGAAACAUACAUCAAAUAGAAUAUUUGAACUGAAAAUACGUCUAAGUACAAGAUUUCCUUGUACCUGUGCUUGUAUCCCCCCCUAAAAAACAUUUGAAAAACAUUGGAAAACAUUUGAAAAAGGGUAGGGGUAUGAACUCACCGGUUGAGAAAUGCGUCAGUUUGGAUCCUAAACGUCAGUUUCUGGGUUCGCGAACGCACAAGAUCCCUGUGGAUUAUGAAAUGAUACACAUUUGUAUCUAAUUAGGACUUGAUUAAUUUAUUUGUUAAAGACACACACUUCUAGUUGCGGAAACACCCCAUUACAAGUGUUUGGAAGGACCCGGGUGGCAUUUAAGGACUUGUAUGACUAGGGAAUGGAGUUUACUCUUCAAGAGUAAUCUCCUUAAGGAGUUUACUACCCUAAACACCUCAUCCAUACGAGUUCACGGCCGUGAACUCUUGGAUGGUGUUUUUGGGUGCAAAAUGGCUUCAUAACACUUGGGAUUAAUGCUAGACUUGGGUUUUAGGCUUUGGAAGGAAUUAAAACUCACAUAGGGACCAUUUAUUGGGGUUUACGGCAGUAAACAUGGAUUUUAUGGCCGUAAACUCCCCCUCACACCCAAUCCUUAAUGUUUUAGGUCUUAAACAAUCACAUGUGAUUCCAAUGAUUUUUCCCAAGCCUUGUAUGGAUUUUUAGGGGACUUUUGGCAUGGUUUUUGGAGUUUACGGCCCAUGAACCCCCCUCGUGGCCGUGAACUCCUUUGAUGGGUGUUUUAUUAUGUUUUAAGGCUUCUAAAUUGAUGGUAGACACUUCUAGAAUUUAUCCUAAGGUUUAAGGUGUGUUCAAGUGGCAUCUUAACACAUUUAGAGGAGUUUACUCCCCAAGAAUAUGAGUUUACGGCCCAAGCAUGUUCUUGGGCAGUAAACAUUUACUCCUCUAAAUUGAUGUUCAAUGUGUUCCAAGGCCAAUUCCAUAAUUCUACAAGUCGUAUCUAAGCCUUAUUGGUGUUUUGGAAGGGUUUAAGGGCUUAAAACCCCCUUUUAUAUGUGUUUACGGCCCAAGCAUGCUCCAGGGCCGUAAACACAUGAACAAGUCUCUAAAUCAUGGUUUAAGGCAUUCUAAGUCCAUUCCAUUAAGUCAUCUAGCCAUAUCCAAGGUCUAAUUGUGGUUUGGAAGGGUUUUGUUGCUCAAAAACCCCAUUUAUAUGAGUUUACCGCCUAGGACUGUUCUAGGCUUAUAAACUCAUGAUAAUGAUCCUAAUCCAUGGUUUAAACUCCAAUUUGAAGGCUAGAGGGGUUGUAUAACAAGUUAGGAAAGGUACCUUGGUGAUUAGAAGCCUUAAAUUUGAGGUUUUGGACCCUUAAACUUGGAUUUAGGAGAGAGGUUAGAGAGAGUAGAGAGAGGAAGCAAAAGCUUCAAAUGAAAGCUUGAACACAUUUAAAUAGGUCCCAAAACUUAGACACGGUGAAAUUCUACCCGACACUGGCGUUAAACAGGGCUUUUGGUCGCACCCGAUUAAGUUUCCGUAACCUGGCGGGGACGUUUCUAAAAUUUCUGAAAUAAACAUUUUGGGCUAAUUUCAUGAGUUCCUAAGGGGGUUGGACACUCAUUAGUAUUAAAUAAACAUAUAAGUUUAAAUAAUUUAGCCUAAAAACGAGAUCAGAACGAAUUGAUGAACGGCGAAUUUUACGGGCGGAACGGGUCUCAGCGAUGGAAAAGUUUGGCCAUUGACAUCUGACACCACUUUGUAAAGACCAUCUGCUCUUGGGAUCAACUUUUGUUCUUCCUUUUGUUAGGAAAACGUUCUUUCCGCAUAUACACCUACACCAAGUCACCAUCUUGAAAGACACGUGGUUUCCUAUGCAUGUUGGAAUUCUGUUUGUACAACUCUUUCACGCUUCAAUGUUCAAACGAACUUGUUGGUGUAGUUUCAUCAUGGCCUUCAACUUGUCAUUAGCAUCCUUGUGAACCAAUUCAUCCUAUGGCAAUGGAAUUAAAUCCAAAGGCAUAUAAGGAACACCAUUGAUACGAAUUUGGAUUGUGUUACCUAAUCUUCCUAUCCAAUUUGGAUAGCAAUAGGCUCAUCUAUUGAUUAUGACGUGAGCUAUAACAAUGUUAAAUUUAUACUGCCACAUGGCAUGUGUUGUGGCAAAAUUUGUGUGCAUGGUAACAUGGGAAGCUGAUAUGGACGUGGAUUAAUGCAUGGGAGUUACAAUGGAGAUGGUUAAGUGUGAUGGAGUUAUGGAGUGGAAGUUACAAAUAAAAAGUUAUUAUGAUGGAGUGGGAGUUACAAAUAAGUCAUUAGUGGUCAUUAGUGGAGUGGGAGUUACAAAUGAAUCAUUAAUGGUCAUUAGUGGUGUGUUUAUUUCAGCUUUUAAUAAGCCUUUAAUUGGCAUAGUUAUAGGUGUCUUUUGAUUAUCUUUACAGUUAUUUUUGUAAGGCUAUAUAAAGCCAUUUUCUAUCAUUUGUAAAAAAAUGUUGAUUGACUUAUAUAUGAAAAUCGAAUUUUUGAUCAUUUCGAGUUGUUGCGACAAUUCAAAGUUUGAUCCUUAUUAGGACGCGCCUCUUAAUAUUGAUCUUGAAUUCAAGUUAAUAGGUAUUGACUUUUCCUUACCGAACUUCAAUCUAUAGGUCUUGUUUGAUAUUCAAAUCUAUCCCUUUUUCUUUAUUUUGUUCUUGUCAAAUCCAUUGUUGUUUAUUCCGCUGCAUUUUCAAACCCAUUUGAUAUUAUUUGUGGUGUCAAUCCCAAUAUUAGUAUCAGUUGAUGUGUUAGAAGUCCAUAUUCGUGUUAGUUGGACUCGGAGCGGUCCAUACACUUAUCAUAUGUGGUAUCAGAACCCAGUUCCGAUUGGGUUUUGUUGAGUAGAAAAAAGAGGUCCUUGUCGAGUGUGCUGAUUUGUUAUUGUUAAGUUCUUGCCAAAAUAUGUUGUUGCUCUUAUUGAACAAGAAAAAACAAUUCUACCAAGUGUUAUCACGAAUUCAGUUACGAUGGAUUGGGAUAAUCCAAAUUUUCUUCGUGUUCUUCGUGAACUAUGAAGGAUGUAUCGAAAGAAUCGAGUCGAAGGAAACCUAGGUGUGAGCAGCCAAGGAAUGUGGGGGAGUUAAAGAUAAAUGAAUUGCCUAAAUUCGUUGGAGGAUUCAAUCCAGAAAAAUAUUUGGAUUGGGAGAAGGAGAUGGAAAGAGUUUUUCAGUUCAAAUGUGUGGCUGAUGAAUGGAGUUGCAAAUAUGCCAUUCUAAGGUUGAGAGGAGAAGCUGAAUUGUGGUAUGAAAAGUUGAAGGCAAAAAGAACCCGUGAAGGAAAGGGAAAGCUUUCUUCUUGAGAAUCUCUGAAACGAAAACUCUGAGAGAGCUAUGCGCCAAUGACCUUGGAGACUGUUAAUUUCAAAAGAAGGGUGGAGAUAUUUAAAAAGGCAGUUAUGAUCAAAGAGGAAGAAGAAGAGUACAAAGCAUUGGCUGUUGACACGGUUUUGGUACUUGAAACAUCACAAACCAUUGAUGACAAGGCUGAUGUUGCCGAUGUCAAGGUGGAAGAAGUCAAGGUAGAAGAGGUUAAUUUAUUUGUUGAAGAUGAAAUUGUUGAAGUAACUAUUGAAGAAAACAAUUUCAUGAUUAGAGAUGAUAAUACUAAAGAAAUGGAUGAAUUCACUGAAGAAGUUGAAGAAGGAGAUAACUCCAAGAUUGAAAUUGUUGAAAGUGUGGAUGCAAUCAUGGAAGAAAAUAAUUUUGUUGAUGCGAACAAAUUAUUUGAGAAGGGGGUGAUUUUGGUUGAACCAAGAAAGGAAUUCCAGGAGUCCAUGACAUCUACAACAGUGUAUCCCAUAAAUGACGAACAAGUCCAGAAGCAUUCGACUAUAUUGACGGGUGAAAUAAAUGUGGAGCAGGUUAAAUGUGAAGAUGCUCGUCUUGCAAAAUUGAGGUCAAUUCCUUUUGAAGUAGGAGGGGAUGAUAUGAAUUUGGACUGCAAUUCGCAAUAUUCAAGUUCCAACCCAAUUUAGAUCGUAAUGGGCUCAUCCCUUGACAUAAAGUAUGGAUAAUGUGAGCUAUAAUAAUGAUAAAUUGGUACUCGCCACAUGGCAUGUGUUGUGGCAAAAUUUGUGUGCAUGGUAACAUGGGAAGCUGACAUGGACGUGGAUUAAUGCAUGGGAGUUACAAUGGAGAUGGUUAAGUGUGAUGGUGUUAUAGAGUGGGAGUUACAAAUAAAUCAUUAAUGUGAUGGAGUUAUGGAGUGGGAGUUAAAAGUAAAUCAUUAGUGGUCAUUAGUGGAGUGGGAGUUACAAAUGAAUCAUUAGUGGUGUGUUUAUUUCAACUUUUAAUAAGCCUUUAGUUGGCAUAGUUAUUAGAGUGUCUUUUGAGUUUUUAACCGUUAUCUUGUGAUGCAAACCCACAGCUGUCAACAAAGGAUCCAAAUCAAAUGCUAGAUGGACCAGUUACGAGGGCACGAGCUAAAACAUUCAAAGAGGCUUUAAAUGGAUUGGUUAGAGAAGUUGGAUUACCAUAAAUCAAGUCCAAGAGUGAUUUACAAGAUACAAUAAGAGCCUUUAUAANNNNNNNNNNNNNNNNNNNNNNNNNNNNNNNNNNNNNNNNNNNNNNNNNNNNNNNNNNNNNNNNNNNNNNNNNNNNNNNNNNNNNNNNNNNNNNNNNNNNGGCGAUGAAGGUUCAUCCGAGGUUGUGAUAGAAGUAGAACUCAUCAAGUCGAUGCUAAACUCGAUGAGUAGGGACGUGGAUGAGGACGGUUGAAGAGACAGGGACUCGACGAGUUGACGGCCCAACUCGGCGAGUCGGGUCAACAGGAAGUUGACUUUGAAUUUGACUUGCUCCGGGGUAGGGGUAAAAUAGUCAUUUUACCCUAAGAGUAGAUAUCAGAUUCUAACUGAGUGUUUUGUGGAGAUGAUAGCCGAAAGAUUUCCGGAGUAGCAAUAGUCAGAGACUUCCCGAGCAGCUUUCCAGCGGUCAGUCUUACGAGGUGAGUUUUCUUCCAGUAGAAACGGGUCUAAGGUACCAAAGUCGGCCCGUAUAGGUGAUACGUUAGUAUUGGAGUGUGGGCAGAGCUCGCAUCUCAUAGUUGAGUUUGAUUAUGAUAUAGGCUUUUUUGAUAGAAUUGCUUAUACUUGUGGUCUGUAUGAUACAUGUAUGCUAUGGUUUAGUAGCUGAGUGUGGGCGAGGCCCGUAUCUAAGAGACAACGGAAUGUGGGCGAGGCUCGUAUCUCCUUGCUAGCAAAGUGUGGGCGUGGCUCGUAUCUCCAUGAGUGUGGGCGAGGCGCGCAUCUCCUAGUUGUUCAUUAUAUGUGCAUGGUAUGUGGUAUUGUGGGGGAUCUCACUAAGCUCCGUGCUUACAGUUUACAGUUUUGGUCUCAGGUACCUCCUUAGCGAAGGGGAAAGAGCUGGCCUGGUAGCGGCACAUCAUAUACACAAGUAUUCAUCUUCCGCACUAGAGAUAUUCUGGGAUUGUACUCUGACAUGUUACUAUUAUAUGUUCUGGGUUUUCAAAUCUGAUACAUUGAUUCACAAAAUGAUAUAUUGUUACACAGUUUUCUUAUGAAUGUAUUUACAAUCCGAUAAAUAAAAAUGAAAUUUUUGGACCCGAAAUUUGGGAUGUUACCCUUGCAUAUUAUUCCAAAAAAUAUUGUCUCUAAGAGGGAAUCUAUGAUUUUGAGUUACUUUCGGAACACUUUGUGGAUGAAAGCUAGUACUAACUUACUUUUUAUUACAUCCCAUCAUCCACAAACUGAUAGGAAAACGAAGGUGACAAAUAGAACUUUGGGUACGUUGUUUGAGGGGGUUGGUUAGCAAAACUCAAAAACAUUUGGAUAUCAGACUUGUACAUGUUGAGUUUGCCUGUAAUCUUUCUCCUACUUAUGCUACAUGUCACUCUCCUUUUGAAGUGGUGUAUGGUGUAAAUCCUUAUAUGACUUUUGAUUUAAUUCCAUUGCCAAAGGAUGAAUUGGUUCACAAGGAUGCUAAUGACAAGUUGAAGGCCAUGAUGAAAAUACACGAACAAGUUUGUGUGAAGAUUGAAGCCGUGAAAGAGUUGUACAAACAAAAAUCCAACAUGCAUAGGAAACCACGUGUCUUUCUAGAUGGUGACUUGGUCUGUAAACUCCAAACUCUUGGAGUUUUUGAAACUUUAUUGAUGCAUAAUAAACCCUAGGGCAUCCUCUCUCCUAAUUUCUCUCAAAGUGCUAAUCCUAAAAUACUCAAACUUAUUCCAAAAAGCUUGAAAAUUAGCAGAUCUAUUUAAGUGAAGGGUUGUACAUAAUAGAAAUCUUGGGUUGUCACAGAAUUUUGGAUCUGAAGAGUCGAAUUCUUGGGUCAUGUGGUUAGCGAAGAAGGAAUUAAUGUGGACCCUUCCAAAAUUAAGGCCAUUGAGAACUAGUCAACUCCCAGGACACCUACAAAAAUUCGUCAAUUUCUAGGUCUCGCUAGCUACUAUCGCAGGUUUAUUCAAAACUUCUCUAUCAUCGUUAAACCACUUACAACAUUGACUCAGAAGGGCGUGUCCUUUGACUGGGAAGUGAAACAAGAAAAAGUGUUCCAAACACUGAAGCGAGCCUUAAUGCAGUGCACCGAUACUAUCCCUCCUAAAAGGGAUAGAAGACUUCAUGGUUUAUUGCGACGCAUCCAACCAAGGACUCGACUGUGUUCUUAUGCAACGAGGUAAGGUCAUCUCCUAUGCCUCAAGAAAUCUAGAGACACAUUAAAUCAACUACACCACACAUGAUCUUGAGUUAGGAGCAGUGGUGUUUGCUCUAAAGAUCUGGAGACACUACCUGUAUGGUACGAAAAGCACUAUCUUUACAGACCAUAAAAGCUUGCAACAUAUAUUCAACCAGCAAGAGCUUAAUAUGCGACAACAACGGUAGGUCGAGCUACUCAAUGACUACGAAUGCGAAAUUCGUUAUCAUCCCAGCAAUGCCAAUGUAGUAGUUGACGCCCUAAGUCGGAAAGAAUACUCUGGUUGUAGAGUCAAAUCAUUGAGAAUGACUAUCCAUUUACAUAUGUCCACACAAAUCAAGGGGGCUCAACUAGAAGCCUUGAAACCUGAAAUGUGGCGGGUGAAUCCCUGAGAGGGAUUGAUAAAAACUUAGAAGUCAAGGAUGGCGGAGACAUAUAUCUCAUGGAUCGGAAGUAUCUUCUAGAGUUUUGUGUGUAGCAUACAAGUCAGAAAACUCUAAGUAUUGGAGUUUACGGCCGUAAACUUCUUUGGGUGGCUGUAAACUCCUUUAAUGAAAUCUUAUGUGACUAUAACACUUCAAUAUAAGUGUCUCCUAGUCCCUAAGGUGGUUUCCUUGCAUGAUUAGUUGCUUAUAUACUAAUUAUAUACAUACGUAUAUAUAUAUAUAUAUAUAUAUAUGUGUGUGUGUGUGUGUUAUUAUAUGUUUAUUAGGAUCUGUUCGUGUUUGAAAUUUCGCUUGACACUUAGCAUCCAAUAUCUGUCUUUUUGCCAGAUCACUCACAAUCAGGUGAGUUCAUACCCUAACUAUCAAACAGAUGGACUUCUUAUACUUGCUUGUAACCACCAACUUUGUAAUAAAGGCUUCAUAUAUGCCAAGUUUAUGCAUGGAAAAAUUAGAUAGAUGAAAUUUUAAUCAAAAGAACCUUUGUUCGGUAUAGCUCACUAUUUGUCAUAGUCAAGACGUGUUCUUGACUUGAUACGCAUUCAAUCAAAUAUGUCUUGGAAUGUUUUCACUAGUAUACAACUUAGCAUGUCUUGAUUUUUUUACUAAUCUAUCCAUUUCUUCCCAUACACGUAUCAUUUGUGGUUGUUAUUCUAGCUUAAAAACAACCCUACUCACCUAAUCAAGCUCAUAAAGGCAUCAAAAGGCAAUCACCUUUAUGUCCCUGAAUACGCAAUACGAGAGUUGCUGAUUCGUGAAACUCAUGGUGGUGGUUUAGCGGGUCAGUUUUCCAUUACCAAAACUUUGGAGGAGCAUUAAGAAUAUUUCUAUUGGCCUAAGAUAUUGGGAUGUAACUACAUAGUGGGAAAGUGUGUUACUUGUUAGAUGACGAAAAAACUUUCAAGCAUGGUGUUGCACUCCGUUGCUGGUUCAUAUUCGUCUUUAGGAAGACGUGUCAAAGGAAUUCAUUAUGGCUUUACCUAGAACUCAAAGGGGAAAGGAUUCCAUUAUUGUGGCGGUGGAUAGUUUUUCAAAAAUUGCUCUCUUUGAGCCAUGUCAUAAAACCAAUGAUGCAUCUAAUGUGUCUGAUUUAUACUUUAAAGAGGUGGUUCGCUUGCAUAUUAUAGCUAAAACUAUUGUCUCUGAGAGGGAAUCUAUGUUUUUGAGUUACUUUCGGAACACUUUGUGGAUGAAAGCUGGUACUAAGUUACUUUUUAGUACAUCACAUCAUCAACAAACUUAUGGGCAAACGAAGGUGACAAAUGAACUUUGGGUAUUUUGUUGAGGUGGUUGGUUAGCAAAACUCAAAAACAUUUGGACAUCAAACUUGUACAUGCUAAGUUUUGCUGUAAUCGUUCUGCUACUUAUGUUACAUGUCACUCUCCUUUCGAAGUGGUGUAUGGUGUGAAUCCUUAUAUUCCUUUGGAUGUAAUUCCAUUGCCAAUGGAUGAAUUGGUUCAAAAGGAUGCUAAUGACAAGUUAAAGGCCAUGAUGAAACUACACCAACAAGUUCGUGUGAAGAUUGAAGCCGUGAAAGAGUUGUACAAACAGAAUUCCAACAUGCAUAGGAAACCACAUGUCUUUCAAGAUGGUGACUUGGUGUAGGUGCAAAUGACGAAAGAAUGUUUUCCUAACAAAAGGAAGAACAAAAGUUGAUGCCAAGAGCAGAUGGUCCUUAAAAAGUGGUGUCACAUGUCAAUGAUAAUGAUUAUAAGGUGGAUUUGGGAGGAGAGCAUGGAGUGCGUGCUACCUUUAAUGUGGGAGACCUUUAACCUUAUCUUGUAGAGGAUGGCCUUGAUGAAUUGUGGUCAUUUCCUUUCAAAGGGGGGGGGGGGGGGAUCCAUGCAUGGAUCAUGAAAGCCCAAGGUGAUGGAUUAGUGACUACUAGUAGGCUAGAUAGUGGUUUGGGCUCAAUGGUUGGGUUGUGCGUGGUAACGUACGAAUUAAAUUAUGGUCGCAUGAAAGCUAGGGCAACAUUUUAAAGGCUUCAUAAGUGCUCAAAACUGUUACUNGGGGGGGGGGGGGAUGAUCCAUGCAUGGAUCAUGAAAGCCCAAGGUGAUGGAUUAGUGACUACUAGUAGGCUAGAUAGUGGUUUGGGCUCAAUGGUUGGGUUGUGCGUGGUAACGUACAAAUUAAAUUAUGGUCGCAUGAAAGCUAGGGCAACAUUUUAAAGGCUUCAUAAGUGCUCAAAACUGUUACUUUUUGUUUCAUAAAGCCUCCUAGCCAUUUUUGAUACUCUUUGGUGUUUUUGGGAUACAUUUUAAUGCUUCUCAUGGCUCCUUAAUGGAGCAUGGACGUUUUUUUUCAUUCAUUAGUCUGUCAGACGUUUUUUUUGUGCGGUUUCAUGAGUAUCUUUAAUUUUCGUUUUUAGUUUUACUGAGUAGUUGGUUGGGUGGCUUGUAACCACCAACUUUGUAAAGGUUUCAUAUAAGCCAAGUUUAUGCAUGGAAAAAGGACAUAGAACUCAAAGGGGGGAGGAUUCCAUUAUAGUGGUGGUGGAUAGGUUUUCAAAAGUUGCUCACUUUGUGCCACGUCAUAAAGCCAAUGAUGCAUCUGACGUGUGUGAUUUGUACUUUAAAGAGGUGGCUCGCUUGCAUAUUAUUCCUAAAACUAUUGUUUCGGAUAGGGAUUCCAUGUUUUUGAAUUCCUUUUGCAACACUUUGUGGAGGAAAGUUGGUACUAAGUUACGUUCUAGUACUAAUUUAUGUUGUUGAGGGGGUUGGUUAGAUAAACUCAAAAACAUUUGAACAUCAAACUUGCACAUGCUGAGUUUGCCUGUAAUCGUUCUCCUACUUAUGCUACAUGUCACUCUCCUUUUGAAUUGUGUAUGGUGUGAAUCCUUACAUGACUUGGAUUUGAUUCCAUUGCCAAAGUAUGAAUUGGUUCAAAGGGAUGAUAAUGACAAGUUAAAGGCCAUGAUGAAAUAACACCAACAAGUUCGCGUGAAGAUUGAUGUCGUGAAAGAGUUGUACAAACAGAAUUCCAACAUGCAUAGGAAAUCACGUCUUUCAAGAUGGUGACUUUGUGUAGGUGCAUAUGAGGAAAGAACGUUUUCCUAACAAAAGGAAGAACAAAAGUUGAUGCCAAGAGCAGAUGGUCCUUAAAAAGUGGUAUCAGAUGUCAAUGAUAAUGCAUUUAAGGUGGAUUUGGGAGGAGACCAUGGAAUUCGUACUACCUUUAAUGUGGAAGACCUUUUGACCUUAUCUUGUUGAGGAUCACCUUGAUGAAUUGAGGUUAUUUCCUUUCAGAGGUGGAGGGGUUGAUCCAUCCAUGGAUCAUGAAAGUACAAGGUGAUGGAUUAGUGAUUACUAGUAGGCUAGAAGGUGGUUUAGGCUCAAUGGUUGGGUUGUGCGUGGUAACCUACGAAUUGAACUAGGGUCGCAUGAAGGUUAGGACAACAUUUUAAAGGCUUCAUAAUGCUCAAAACCAUUAAUUUUUUAUUCAUAAAGCCUCCUAGCCAUUUUUGAUACUCUUUGGUGGAUUAGGGUUACACUUUAAUUCUUCUUAUGAAUCCUUAAUGGAGCAUGGACGUUUUUUUAUUCAUUAGUGUGUCAAACGUUUUUUUGUGUGGUUUCCCGAGUUUCUUUAAUUUUCAUUAUUAGUUAUACUAAGUAGAUAGUUGGGUGGCUUGUAUCCGCCAACUUUGUAAUAAAUGCUUCAUAUACGCCAAAUUUAUGUAUGGAAGAAUUAGAUUGAAAAAAUUUUAAUCAAAAGAACCUUUGUUCUACUGUUCACUACUUGUCAUAGUCGAGACGUAUUCUUGACUUGAUAUGCAUUCAAUCAAUUAUGUCUUGGAUUGUUUUCACCGGUAUACAACUUAGUAGAUCUUGAUUUAUUUUACAAAUCUAUCCAUUUCUUCCCAUACACGUGUCAUUUGUAGUUGUUAUUCUAGCUUAAUUUACCUAAACACAACGCUACUCACUUAAUCAAGCGUAUAAAGGCAUCAAAAGCCAAUCAACUUUGUGUCCCUAAACAUGCAAUACGGAGUUGGUGAUUCGUGAAGCUCAUGCUGGUGGUUUAGCGGGUCUUUUUUCCAUUACCAAAACUUUGGAGGAGCUUUAAGAAAAUUUCUUUUAGCCUAAGAUGUUGGGAUGUAACCAACAUAGUGGCCAAGGGUGUUAUAUGUCAGAUGACGAAAAAACUUUCAAGCAUGGUGUUUGCACUCCGUUUCCGAUUCCUAUUCGUCCUUGGGAAGAUGUGUCAAUGGAAUUCAUUAUGGCUUUGCGUUGAACUCAAAGGGGGAAGGAUUCCAUUAUUGUGGUGGUGGAUAGGUUUUCAAAAAUUGCUCACUUUGUGCCAUGUCAUAAAACCAAUGACGCAUCUAAUGUGUGUCAUUUGUACUUUAAAGAGGUGGUUCACUUGCAUAUUAUUCCUAAAAAUAUUGUCUCUGAGAGGGAAUCUAUGUUUUUAAGUAACUUUCGGAACACUUUGUGGAUGAAAGCUGGUACUAAGUUACUUUUUAGUACAUCCCAUCAUCCACAAAUUGAUGGGCAAACAAAGGUGACGAAUAGAACUUUGGAUACGUUGUUGAGGGGGUUGGAUAGAAAAACUCAAAAACAUUUGGAGAUCAAACUUACACCAACAAGUUCGUGUGAAGAUUGAUGUCGUGAAAGAGUUGUACAAUUAGAAUUGCAACAUGCAUAGGAAACCACGUGUCUUUCAAGACGGUGACUUUAUGAAGGUGCAGAUGAGGAAAGAACGUUUUCCUAACAAAAGGAAGAACAAAAGUUGAUGCCAAGAGCAGAUGGUCCUUAAAAAGUGGUGUCAGAUGUCAAUGAUAAUGCUUAUAAGUUGGAUUUGGGAGGAGACCAUGGAGUGUGUGCUACCUUUAAUGUGGGAGACCUUUGACCUUAUCUUGUUGAGGACGACCUUGAUCUAGUAGGCUAGAAGGUGGUUUAGGCUCAAUGGUUGGGUUGUGCGUGGUAAGCUACGAAUUGAACUAAGGUCGCAUGAAGACUAGGACAACAUUUUAAAGGCUUCAUAAGUGCUCAAAACCGUUAAUUUUUGCUUCAUAAAGCCUCCUAGCCAUUUUUGAUACACUUUGGUGGAUUAGGGUUACACUUUAAUGCUUCUUAUGACUCCUUAAUGGAGCAUGGACGUUUUUUUUUCAUUCAUUAGUGUGUCAAACGGUUUUUUGUGUGGUUUCCUGAGUUUCUUUAAUUUUCAUUGUUAGUUUUACUUAGUAGAUAGUUGGGUGGCUUCUAACCGCCAACUUUGUAAUAAAUGCUUCAUAUAUGCCAAAUUUAUGCAUGGAAAAAUUAGAUAGAUAAAAUUUUAAUCAAAAGAACCUUUGUUCAGUAGUUCACUACUUUUCAUAGUCGAGACGUGUUCUUGACUUGAUUUGCAUUCAAUCAAAUAUGUCUUGGAUUGUUUUCACCGGUAUAUAACUUAGUAGGUCUUGAUUUUUUUACUAAUCUAUCCAUUUCAUCCCAUACACAUAUCAUUCGUAGUUGUUAUUCUAGCUUAAUUUACCUAAAUACAACCCUACUCACUUUAUCAAGCGCAUAAAGGCAUCAAAAGCCAAUCAACUUUGUGUCCCUAAACAUGCAAUACGGAGUUGAUGCUUCGUGAAGCUCAAUGUGGUGGUUUAGCGGGUCAUUUUUCCAUUACCAAAACUUUGGAGGAGCUUUAAGAAAAAUUCUUUUAGCCUAAGAUGUUGGGAUGUAACCAACAUAUUGGGCAAGGGUGUUAUAUGUCAGAUGACGAAAAAACUUUCAAGCAUGGUGUUUGCACUCCGUUGCCGGUUCCUAUUCGUCCUUGGGAAGAUGUGUCAAUGGAAUUAUUAUGGCUUUGCCUAGAACUCAAAGGGGGAAGGAUUCCAUUAUUGUGGUGGUGGAUAGGUUUUCAAAAAUUGCUCAUUUUGUGCCAUGUCAUAAAACCAAUGAGGCAUCUAAUGUGUCUAAUUUGCACUUUAAAGAGGUGGUUCGAUUGCGUAUUAUUCCUAAAAAUAUUCUCUUUGUGAGGGAAUCUAUGUUUUUGAGUUACUUUCGGAACACUUUUUGGAUGAAAGCUUGUACUAAGUAACUUUUUAGUACAUCCCAUCAUCCACAAACUGAUGGGCAAACGAAGGUGAAAAAUAGUACUUUGGGUACGUUGUUGAGCGGGUUGGUUAGAAAAACUCAAAAACAUUUGGAGAUCAAACUUGCACAUGCUGAGUUUGCCUGUAAUCGUUCUCCUACUUAUGCUACAUGUCACUCUCCUUUCGAACUGUGUAUGGUGUGAAUCCUUACAUGACUUUGGAUUUGAUUCCAUUGCCAAAGGAUGAAUUGGUUCACAAGGUUGAUAAUGACAAGUUGAAGGCUAUGAUGCAACAAGUUGGUGUGAAGAUUGAUGUCGUGAAAGAGUUGUAGAAACAGAAUUGCAACAUGCAUAGGAAACCACGUGUCUUUCAAGACGGUGACUUUGUGUAGGUGCCUAUAAGGAAAUAAUGUUAUCCUAACAAAAGGAAGAACAAAAGUUGAUGCCAAGAGCAGAUGGUCCUUAAAAAGUGGUGUCAGAUGUUAAUGAUAAUGCUUAUAAGUUGGAUUUGGGAGGAGACCAUGGAGUGCGUGUUACCUUUAAUGUGGGAGACCUUUGACCUUAUCUUGUUGAGGAUGACCUUGAUGAAUUGAGGUUANGUGGGGAUGAUCCAUGCAUGGAUCAUGAAAGCACAAGGUGAUGGAUUAGUGAUUACUAGUAUGAUAGAAGGUGGUUUAGGCUCAAUGGUUGGGUUGUGCGUGGUAAGCUACGAAUUGAACUAAGGUCGCAUGAAGACUAGGACAACAUAUUAAAGGGACUGCUCAAAACUGUUAAUCUUUGCUUCAUAAAGCCUCCUAGCCAUUUUGGUACACUUUGGUGGAUUAGGGUUACACUUUAAUGCUUCUUAUGACUCCUUAAUGGAGCAUGGACGUUUUUUUCAUUCAUUAGUCUGUCAAACGUUUUUUGUGUGGUUUCCUAAGUUUCUUUAAUUGUCAUUGAGUAGAUAGUUGGGUGGCUUGUAACCGCCAACUUUGCAAUAAAUGCUUCAUAUAUGCAAAAUUUAUGCAUGGAAAAAUUAGAUAGAUAAAAUUUUAAUCAAAAAAACCUUUGUUCAGUAGUUCACUACUUGUCAUAGUUGAGACGUGUUCUUGACUUGAUAUGCGUUCAAUCAAAUAUGUCUUGGAUUGUUUUCACCGGUAUACAACUUAGUAGGUCUUGAUUUUUUUACUAAUCUAUCCAUUUCUUCCUAUACACGUAUCAUUCGUAGUUGUUAUUCUUGCUUAUUUUACCUAAACACAACCCUACUCACUUAAUCAAGUGCAUAAAGGCAUCAAAAGCCAAUAACCUUUGUGUCCCUAAACAUGCAAUACGGAGUUGAUGAUUCGUGAAGCUCAAUGUGGUGGUUUAGCGAGUCAUUUUUCCAUUACCAAAACUUUGGAGGAGUUUUAAAAAAAAAUCUUUUAGCCUAAGAUGUUGGGAUGUAACCAACAUAUUGGGCAAGGGUGUUAUAUGUCAGAUGACGAAAAAACUUUCAAGCAUGGUGUUUGCACUCCGUUGUCAGUUCCUAUUCGUCCUUGGGAAGAUGUGUCAAUGGAAUUCAUUAUGGCUUUGCCUAGAACUCAAAGGUGGAAGGAUUCCAUUAUUGUGUUGGUGGAUAGGUUUUCAAAAAUUGCUCACUUUGUGCCAUGUCAUAAAACCAAUGAUGCAUCUAAUGUGUCUAAUUUGUACUUUAAAGAGGUGGUUCACUUGCAUAUUAUUCCUAAAAAUAUUGUCUCUGAGAGGCAAUCUAUGUUUUUGAGUUACUUUCGGAACACUUUGUGGAUGAAAGCUGGUACUAAGUUACUUUUUAGUACAUCCCAUCAUCCACAAAGUGAUGGACAAACGAAGGUGACAAAUAGAACUUUUGGUACAUUGUUGAGGGGGUUGGUUAGCAAAACUCAAAAACAUUUUGACAUCAAACUUGUACAUCCUGAUUUUCCUUUAAUCGUUCUCCUACUUAUGCUACAUGUCACUCUCCUUUUGAAGUGGUGUAUAGUGUGAAUCCUUAUAUGCCUUUGGAUUUAAUUACAUUGCCAAAGGAUGAAUUGGUUCACAACGAUGCUAAUGAGAAGUUGAAGGCCAUGAUGAAACUACACCAACAAGUUCGUUUGAAGAUUGAAGUGUGAAAGAGUUGUACAAACAGAAUUCCAACAUGCAUGUGUCUUUCAAGAUGGUGACUUGGUGUAGGUGCAUAUGAGAAAAGAACGUUUUCCUAACAAAAGGAAGAACAAAAGUUGAUGCGAAGAGUAGAUGGUCCUUAAAAAGUGGUUUCAGAUGUCAAUGAUAAGGUGGAUUUGGGAGGAGACCAUGGAGUGCGUGCAACCUUUAAUGUGGGAGACCUUUGGUCUUAUCUUGUUGAGGAUAACCUUGAUGAAUUGAGUUUAUUUCCUUUCAAAAGGGAGGGGAUAAUCCAUGCAUGGAUCAUAAAAGCACAAGGUGAUAGAUUAGUGAUUACUAGUAGGCUAGAAGGUGGUUUAAACUCAAUGGUUGGGUUGUGUGUGGUAACCUAUGAAUUGAACUAGGGCCGCAAGAAGUUUUACUGAGUAGUUGGUUGGGUGGCUUGUAACCGCCAACUUUGUAAUAAAUGCUUCAUAUAUGCCAAAUUUUUCAUGGAAAAAUUAGAUAGACAAAACUUUAAUCAAAAGAACCUUUGUUCAGUAGUUCAGUACUUGUCAUAAUGGAGACGUGUUCUUGACUUGAUACGCAUUCAAUCAAAUAUGUCUUGGAUUGUUUUCACCGGUAUACAACUUAGUAGGUCUUGAUUUAUUUUACUAAUCUAUCCAUUUCUUCCCAUACAUGUGUCAUUUGUAGUUGUUAUUCUAGCUUAAUUUACCUAAACAUAACCCUACUCACUUAAUCAAGCCCAUAAAGGCAUCAAAAGCCAAUCACCUUUAUUUCUCAAAACAUGCAAUACGUAGUUGAUGAUUCGUGAAGCUCAUGGUGGUUUAGCGAGUCAUUUUUCCAUUACCAAAACUUUGGAGGAGCUUUAAGAAAAUUUCUUUUAGCCUAAGAUGUUGGGAUGUAACCAACAUAGUGGCAAGGAUGUUAUAUGUCAUAUGAUGAAAAACUUUCAAGCAUGGUGUUUGCGCUCCGUUGUCGGUUCCUAUUCGUCCAUGGGAAGAUGUGUCAAUGGAAUUAAUUAUGGCUUUGCCUAGAACUCAAAGGGGGAAGGAUUCCAUUAUUGUGAUGGUGGAUAGGUUUUCAAAAAUUGCUCACUUUGUGCCAUGUCAUAAAACCAAUGAUGCAUCUAAUGUGUCUAAUUUGUACUUUAAAGAGGUGGUUCACUUGCAUAUUAUUCCUAAAAAUAUUGUCUCUGAGAGGGAAUCUAUGUUUUUGAAUUACUUUCGGAACACCUUUUUUAGUACAUCCCAUCCUCCACAAACUGAUGGGCAAACGAAGGUGACAAAUAGAACUUUGGGUACGUUGUUGACUGGGUUGGUUAGAAAAACUGAAAAACAUUUGGACAUCAAACUUGUACAUGCUGAGUUUUCCUGUAAUUGUUCUCCUACUUAUGCUACAUGUCACACUUAACCAUCUCUAUUGUAACUCCCAUGCAUUAAUCCACGUCCAUAUUAGCUUCCUAUGAUACCAUGCACACAAAUUUUGCCACAACACAUGCCAUGCUACAUUGCCAUGUGGCGAGUACCAAUUUAUCAUUAUUAUAGCUCACAUCAUCCAUACUUAUGUCAAGGGUGAGCCCAUUACGAUACAAAUUGGGUUGGAACUUGAAGAUUGCGAAUUGCAGUCCAAAUUCAUAUCAUCCCCUCCUACUUCAAAAGGAAUUGACCUCAAUUCUGCAAGACGAGCAUCUUCACAUUUAACCUGCUCCACAUUUAUUUCACCCAUCAAUAUAGUUCAAUGCUUCUGGACUUGUUCGUUAUUUAUGGGAUACACUGUUGUAGACGUCAUGGACUCUUGGAAUUCCUUUCUUGGUUCAACCAAAAUCACCUCCUUCUCAAAAAAUUUGUUCGCAUCAAAAAAAUUAUUUUCUUCCAUGAUUGCAUCCACACUUUCAACAAUUUCAAUCUUGGAGUUAUCUCCUUCUUCAACUUCUUCAGUGAAUUCAUCCAUUUCUUUAGUAUUAUCAUCUCUAAUCAUGAAAUUGUUUUCUUCAAUAGUUACUUCAACAAUUUCAUCUUCAACAAAUAAAUUAACCUCUUCUACCUUGACUUCUUCCACCUUGACAUCGGCAACAUCAGCCUUGUCAUCAAUGGUUUGUGAUGUUUCAAGUACCAAAACCGUGUCACCAGCCAAUGCUUUGUACUCUUCUUCUUCCUCUUUGAUCAUAACUGCCUUUUUAAAUAUCUCCACCCUUCUUUUGAAAUUAACAGUCUCCAAGCUCAUUGGCGCAUAGCUCUCUCAGAGUUUUCGUUUCAGAGAUUCCCAAGAAGAAAGCUUUCCCUUUCCUUCACGGGUUCUUUUUGCCUUCAACUUUUCAUACCACAAUUCAGCUUCUCCUCUCAACCUUAGAAUGGCAUAUUUGCAACUCCAUUCAUCUUCCACACAUUUGAACUGAAAAACUCUUUCCAUCUCCUUCUCCCAAUCCAAAUAAUUUUCUGGAUUGAAUCCUCCAACGAAUUUAGGCAAUUCAUUUACCUUUAACUCCCCCAUAUUCCUUGGCUGCUCAUACUUAGGUUUCCUUCGACUCGAUUCUUUUGAUACAUCCUUCAUAGCUUCACGAAGAACACGAAGAAAAUUUAGAUUAUCNUCUCCUCUCAACCUUAGAAUGGCAUAUUUGCAACUCCAUUCAUCUUCCACACAUUUGAACUGAAAAACUCUUUCCAUCUCCUUCUCCCAAUCCAAAUAUUUUUCUGGAUUGAAUCCUCCAACGAAUUUAGGCAAUUCAUUUACCUUUAACUCCCCCAUAUUCCUUGGCUGCUCACACUUAGGUUUCCUUCGACUCGAUUCUUUUGAUACAUCCUUCAUAGCUUCACGAAGAACACGAAGAAAAUUUGGAUUAUCCCAAUCCAUCGUAACUGAAUUCGUGAUAACACUUGGUAGAAUUGUUUUUCUUGUUCAAUAAGAGCAACAACAGAUUUUGGCAAGAACUUAACAACACCAAAUCAGCACACUCGACAAUGACCUCUUUUUUCUACUCAACAAAACCCAAUCGGAACUGGGCUCUGAUACCACAUAUGAUACGUGUAUGGACCGCUCCAAGUCCAACUAACACGAAUCUGGACUUCUAACACAUCAACUGAUACUAAUAUUGGGAUUGACACCACAAAUAAUAUCAAAUGGGUUUGAAAAUGCAGCGGAAUAAACAACAAUGGAUUUGACAAGAACAAAAUAAAGAAAAAGGGAUAGAUUUGAAUAUCAAACUAGACCUAUAGCUUGGAAUUCUAUGAAAACAAGUUAAGACCUAUUAACUUGAGUUCAAGAUCAAUAUUAAGAGGCGCAUCCUAAUAAGGAUCAAAUUUUGAAUUGUCACAACAACUUGGAAUGAACAACAGUUCAAUUUUCAAUAUAUUCAAAAACAUAAUUAUCUCCUUACAAAUGAAAGGAAAUGACUAUANGAUGUGAUCUCACCCAAAAUUGAGGUUUGAACACGUUUUGCCCGAUCGUUCUUUUGGUUACAGAAUUGUAAAACAAAGGUGGAAACCGCGACCCGUUGUCUAUAAAGAGACAAGAACCUUGGUAUAAAACGCCACAAUCAACCCACCAAAUUGAUUGAUAAGUUUGAACGCCACAAGCUAUGAAAACCUGAUAAGUUCUAAAGUUCACAAAGAACGAAAAAAGAGUUAAAAACUCACAAAUUGUAUUCAAAACUUGAUUGAUUUCAAAUGGAUACAAAUACCACGUUUUUAUAGUGUGGGAAGAGCACCUAAAGAGCCAUGAAUUAAAGAAGUGUCUUUAAUUUAAGGCAUUUAACCCCCAAGUUUAAAACUAUGAACCUAGACAUGGUUUAUCACAAGGUUCAUGUAACCUAAGACCCUUUUAUCUCCCCAACACUUAUUUAGGAUAUAUAAAAUUGAAAAUUACAUAAAAAUAUAGAAAAAAACGAAAUGGGCUUAUAAANNNNNNNNNNNNNNNNNNNNNNNNNNNNNNNNNNNNNNNNNNNNNNNNNNNNNNNNNNNNNNNNNNNNNNNNNNNNNNNNNNNNNNNNNNNNNNNNNNNNAGCAAUUUUUGAAAAACUAUCCACCGCCACAAUAAUGGAAUCCUUUCCCCUUUGAGUUCUAGGUAAAGCCAUAAUGAAUUCCUUUGACACGUCUUCCUAAAGACGAAUAUGAACCAGCAACGGAGUGCAACACCAUGCUUGAAAGUUUUUUCGUCAUCUAACAAGUAACACACUUUCCCACUAUGUAGUUACAUCCCAAUAUCUUAGGCCAAUAGAAAUAUUCUUAAUGCUCCUCCAAAGUUUUGGUAAUGGAAAACUGACCCGCUAAACCACCACCAUGAGUUUCACGAAUCAGCAACUCUCGUAUUGCGUAUUCAGGGACAUAAAGGUGAUUGCCUUUUGAUGCCUUUAUGAGCUUGAUUAGGUGAGUAGGGUUGUUUUUAAGCUAGAAUAACAACCACAAAUGAUACGUGUAUGGGAAGAAAUGGAUAGAUUAGUAAAAAAAUCAAGACAUGCUAAGUUGUAUACUAGUGAAAACAUUCCAAGACAUAUUUGAUUGAAUGCGUAUCAAGUCAAGAACACGUCUUGACUAUGACAAAUAGUGAGCUAUACCGAACAAAGGUUCUUUUGAUUAAAAUUUCAUCUAUCUAAUUUUUCCAUGCAUAAACUUGGCAUAUAUGAAGCCUUUAUUACAAAGUUGGUGGUUACAAGCAAGUAUAAGAAGUCCAUCUGUUUGAUAGUUAGGGUAUGAACUCACCUGAUUGUGAGUGAUCUGGCAAAAAGACAGAUAUUGGAUGCUAAGUGUCAAGCGAAAUUUCAAACACGAACAGAUCCUAAUAAACAUAUAAUAACACACACACACACACAUAUAUAUAUAUAUAUAUAUAUAUACGUAUGUAUAUAAUUAGUAUAUAAGCAACUAAUCAUGCAAGGAAACCACCUUAGGGACUAGGAGACACUUAUAUUGAAGUGUUAUAGUCACAUAAGAUUUCAUUAAAGGAGUUUACAGCCACCCAAAGAAGUUUACGGCCGUAAACUCCAAUACUUAGAGUUUUCUGACUUGUAUGCUACACACAAAACUCUAGAAGAUACUUCCGAUCCAUGAGAUAUAUGUCUCCGCCAUCCUUGACUUCUAAGUUUUUAUCAAUCCCUCUCAGGGAUUCACCCGCCACAUUUCAGGUUUCAAGGCUUCUAGUUGAGCCCCCUUGAUUUGUGUGGACAUAUGUAAAUAGAUAGUCAUUCUCAAUGAUUUGACUCUACAACCAGAGUAUUCUUUCCGACUUAGGGCGUCAACUACUACAUUGGCAUUGCCGGGAUGAUAACGAAUUUCGCAUUCGUAGUCAUUGAGUAGCUCGACCUACCGUUGUUGUCGCAUAUUAAGCUCUUGCUGGUUGAAUAUAUGUUGCAAGCUUUUAUGGUCUGUAAAGAUAGUGCUUUUCGUACCAUACAGGUAGUGUCUCCAUCUCUUUAGAGCAAACACCACUGCUCCUAACUCAAGAUCAUGUGUGGUGUAGUUGAUUUAAUGUGUCUCUAGAUUUCUUGAGGCAUAGGAGAUGACCUUACCUCGUUGCAUAAGAACACAGUCGAGUCCUUGGUUGGAUGCGUCGCAAUAAACCAUGAAGUCUUCUAUCCCUUUUAGGAGGGAUAGUAUCGGUGCACUGCAUUAAGGCUCGCUUCAGUGUUUGGAACACUUUUUCUUGUUUCACUUCCCAGUCAAAGGACACGCCCUUCUGAGUCAAUGUUGUAAGUGGUUUAACGAUGAUAGAGAAGUUUUGAAUAAACCUGCGAUAGUAGCUAGCGAGACCUAGAAAUUGACGAAUUUUUGUAGGUGUCCUGGGAGUUGACUAGUUCUCAAUGGCCUUAAUUUUGGAAGGGUCCACAUUAAUUCCUUCUUCGCUAACCACAUGACCCAAGAAUUCGACUCUUCAGAUCCAAAAUUCUGUGACAACCCAAGAUUUCUAUUAUGUACAACCCUUCACUUAAAUAGAUCUGCUAAUUUUCAAGCUUUUUGGAAUAAGUUUGAGUAUUUUAGGAUUAGCACUUUGAGAGAAAUUAGGAGAGAGGAUGCCCUAGGGUUUAUUAUGCAUCAAUAAAGUUUCAAAAACUCCAAGAGUUUGGAGUUUACAGACCAAGUCACCAUCUAGAAAGACACGUGGUUUCCUAUGCAUGUUGGAUUUUUGUUUGUACAACUCUUUCACGGCUUCAAUCUUCACACGAACUUGUUGGUGUAUUUUCAUCAUGGCCUUCAACUUGUCAUUAGCAUCCUUGUGAACCAAUUCAUCCUUUGGCAAUGGAAUUAAAUCAAAAGUCAUAUAAGGAUUUACACCAUACACCACUUCAAAAGGAGAGUGACAUGUAGCAUAAGUAGGAGAAAGAUUACAGGCAAACUCAACAUGUACAAGUCUGAUAUCCAAAUGUUUUUGAGUUUUGCUAACCAACCCCCUCAAACAACGUACCCAAAGUUCUAUUUGUCACCUUCGUUUUCCUAUCAGUUUGUGGAUGAUGGGAUGUAAUAAAAAGUAAGUUAGUACUAGCUUUCAUCCACAAAGUGUUCCGAAAGUAACUCAAAAUCAUAGAUUCCCUCUUAGAGACAAUAUUUUUUGGAAUAAUAUGCAAGGGUAACAUCCCAAAUUUCGGGUCCAAAAAUUUCAUUUUUAUUUAUCGGAUUGUAAAUACAUUCAUAAGAAAACUGUGUAACAAUAUAUCAUUUUGUGAAUUAAUGUAUCAGAUUUGAAAACCCAGAACAUAUAAUAGUAACAUGUCAGAGUACAAUCCCAGAAUAUCUCUAGUGCGGAAGAUGAAUACUUGUGUAUAUGAUGUGCCGCUACCAGGCCAGCUCUUUCCCCUUCGCUAAGGAGGUACCUGAGACCAAAACUGUAAACUGUAAGCACGGAGCUUAGUAAGAUCCCCCACAAUACCACAUACCAUGCACAUAUAAUGAACAACUAGGAGAUGCGCGCCUCGCCCACACUCAUGGAGAUACGAGCCUCGCCCACACUUUGCUAGCAAGGAGAUACGAGCCUCGCCCACAUUCCGUUGUCUCUUAGAUACGGGCCUCGCCCACACUCAGCUACUAAACCAUAGCAUACAUGUAUCAUACAGACCACAAGUAUAAGCAAUUCUAUCAAACAAGCCUAUAUCAUAAUCAAACUCAACUAUGAGAUGCGAGCUCUGCCCACACUCCAAUACUAACGUAUCACCUAUACGGGCCGACUUUGGUACCUUAGACCCGUUUCUACUGGAAGAAAACUCACCUCGUAAGACUGACCGCUGGAAAGCUGCUCGGGAAGUCUCUGACUAUUGCUACUCCGGAAAUCUUUCGGCUAUCAUCUCCACAAAACACUCAGUUAGAAUCUGAUAUCUACUCUUAGGGUAAAAUGACUAUUUUACCCCUACCCCGGAGCAAGUCAAAUUCAAAGUCAACUUCCUGUUGACCCGACUCGCCGAGUUGGGCCGUCAACUCGUCGAGUCCCUGUCUCUUCAACCGUCCUCAUCCACGUCCCUACUCAUCGAGUUUAGCAUCGACUUGAUGAGUUCUACUUCUAUCACAACCUCGGAUGAACCUUCAUCGCCAAGCGGUAUGAACACUCGUCGAGUCCAUCAUCAUCCUAUGAAUACGUCCUGACCUCGACUCGCCGAGUUGUAUGAACAACUUGUCGAGUUCAUCUUCAAGGGUUGGGAGAUUGCCUUGGACUCAGCGAGUCUAUUCUAGCACUCGCCGAGUCCUAUGAACUCCAGGUCUAAAACUAAGUCCAAUGCGUUGGGUCACUCUUCCUGUGCUGCUACAACCCUUCUAACACCCAACUAAGUUCUUUUGACCCUCAGCAUAUAUGGGACUCAAAGCCUUGGACUCGUCGAGUCCCAAGAACGGACUUGCCGAGUUGGUCACAUCCACACCCUAAAUCCUCGAUUUCUGAUGUACAACUCAUGACCAAAAGAUAGAGCUAGGCUGCUACAAGCGUUCUAGCAUGUAAAGUUUAUAACUUUGUGUCUAAAAGGUCCUAAAACAAGCUCUUGGGUUGCAUGGAGUCUUUCUUGGGUGUAAAAGCACCCACUUUCCGCCUUGUGACCCCUCUGAGGACCUAGAUCCGAAUCCUUGUCCCAAACCAUGCUUGCAUCCAUGGUUAGCUACCUAAAAUGGCUUAUAAAAGCCCUAAAUCUCCAUAAAAUGGGAUCUAGCAAAUGAACAAGCAAGUUAGCAACUUUAUACCUUCUGAGGAAUGGAAAUGAAGCGCAAACUCGAACCCCUCUGGUCACAUCUUGUUUCCUAAAGCUCUUCUCCUUCCUUCUUAAGACUACUAGCACCAAAGUCCACCAAAAUGACUUAGAUUGCUUCAACAGCGGUUAGGGUUUUCUAUAGAGGGUUUCUGGCAGCAUAAAGGGACGAUGGAGGCGGUAUAAGGUUGUUUAAAUAGGAUGUAAACCCUCAGAUUAGGGUUUUGUCCAAACAGAUCCUACUCGUCAAGUCCGGGACCCGACUCGACGAGUCCAUCAGUUAAAUCGCGCGUCUCAUCCCGCUUCUACUCGGUGAGUUGGGCCUUCAACUCGCUCCUUUAUAAGUGGUGUAUGGUGUGAAUCCUUACAUGACUUUGUAUUUGAUUCCAUUUCCAAAGGAUGUAAUGACAAGUUGAAGGCCAUGAUGAAACUACACCAACAAGUUCGUUUGAAGAUUGAAGUCGUGGAUGACGUGUACAAACAGAGUUCUAACAUGCAUAGGAAACCACGUGUCUUUUAAGAUGGUGACUUAGUUUAGGUGCAUAUGAGGAAAUAACGUUUUCCUAACAAAAGGAUGAACAAAAGUUGAUGCCAAGAGCNNNNNNNNNNNNNNNNNNNNNNNNNNNNNNNNNNNNNNNNNNNNNNNNNNNNNNNNNNNNNNNNNNNNNNNNNNNNNNNNNNNNNNNNNNNNNNNNNNNNUGCUAAAACUAUUGUUUUUUUAGUACGUCCCAUCAUCCAAUCACAGAUGGGCAAACGAAGAUGACUAAUAGAACUUUGGAUACGUUGUUGAGGGGGUUGGUUAGCAAAACUCAAAAAACAGUUGGACAUCAAACUUGCACAAGCUGCGUUUUCCUGUAAUCGUUCUCCUACUUAUGCUACAAGUCACUCUCAUUUAUAAGUGGUGUAUGGUGUGAGUCCUUACAUGACUUUGUAUUUGAUUCCAUUUCCAAAGGAUGAAUUGCUUCACCAGGAUGCUAAUGACAAGUUGAAGGCGAUGAUGAAACUAGACCAACAAGUUUGUGUGAAGAUUGAAGUCGUGAAUGACGUGUACAAACAGAGUUCCAACAUGCAUAGGAAAACACGUAUCUUUCAAGAUGGUAACUUGGUUUCGGUGCAUAUGAGGAAAGAACGUUUUCCUAACAAAACAAUAAACAAAAGUUGAUGCCAAGAGCUGAAGGUCCUUACAAAGUGGUGACACAUUUCAAUGAUAAUGCUUAUAAGGUGGACCUGGGAGGAGACCAUGGAGUACAUGCUACCUUUAAUGUGGGAGACCUUUACCGUAUCUUGUUGAGGAUGGACUUGAUGAAUUGAGGUCAUUUCCUUUCAAAGGGGGAGGGGAGGAUCCAUGGAUGUAUCAUGAAAGCCCAGAAGGUGAUGGAUUAGUGAUUACUAGUAGGCUAGAAGGCGGUUUGUACUAAAUGGUUGGGUUGAGCAAGGUAACCUAUGUAUUGAAUUAGGGUCACAUGAAGGCUAGGGCAACAUUUUAAAGGCUUAAUAAGUGUUCAAAACCGUUACAUUUAGAUUCGUCAAGCCUUCUAGCCAUUUUUGAUACUCUUUGGUGGAUUUGGGUUACACUUUAAUUCUUCUUUUGGCUCCUUAAUGGAGCAUGGACGCUUUUUUCAUUCAUUAGUGUGUCAAACAUUUUUUGUGUGGUUUCAUGAGUUUCUUUAAUUUUCAUUAAUAGUUUUACUAAGUAGUUUGUUGGGUGGCUUGUAACCACCAACUUUGUAAUAAAGGGUUCAUAUAAGCCAAGUAUGCAUGGAAAAAAGAGAUAGUUGAAAUUUUAAUCAAAAGAACCUUUGUUCACAUUGAAUUAUAGUUAUAGUUCACUAGUUGUCAUAGCCGAGACGUGUUCUUGACUUGAUACGCAUUCAAACAAAUAUUAUGUCUUGGAUAUUUUUCAUGGAUACACAACCACCCAAGAACCUCAGCCAACUCCCCUAAAGAGAAAACUCAAGAUCAAGGAGGGAAGUACGCGGCUCAAGGACCUUCUGAAGGGCAACAAGCUGAGACAGUCAAUAUCCCUGCCAAUCCUUCCAUCCCUACACCUAGGAGACCAUACCUAGGAAACUUUCCCCACUUCAGCAAGUGUAGCUACCAUAAUCAUGGUGUACGCCGGGUGCUCUAUGGUGCUAGGUGCCAUGUGAAGGGCCAUGCUACUCGUGUCUACAGAACUUCGGUUGAGUUUAUUACAUCAACCGCCAAUGUGGCAGACAACCCAGUUUACCACCUAUGUGGUAAAGAUGGACACUUCAAGAAGAGCUAUCCAAACUGAAGUAAAACAACAAGGACUCAGGAGGAGUCUGACUCUACUGCUUAGGGAGAAGCAUCUAGGAACCCGGUAGAAUUUUAAGUACGUCUCUCAAAUUCAGAUAACUAACCGAGAACAUAAAAAGGCUAAUCCUAAGUGUAAGUAUUUUCCAUUAUGGCGAAAGUCGCAACACUAUUAUAAAAUUUAAAAAUUCAUCAGGUAAAACUAUAAUUGCUAAAUAUAUACGUUACGGCCAUGUAUGAUUGAGAUGGAUAGACCUAGAGUGAGUGAAGGCCGCCUCAUUUCAUGUUCCUCGUUUGGUUGUGGAUUUAAGGCGGAGUCGCUCAGUCAACAGUCGUCCCCACCUUAAUUAUACAUGACUAGUAUAUGUGAGGCGACUAUAGAAAUGCCUCGUGAGAAUCCAUUCAGAAAAAGGUACUCUACUCAGAAACACUCAGGACCCUCUAUAGUUCCGUGUCGACUCUAUCGGUCCAAGUAUCCGCGACAGUGAUACACGGGACGAAACCCGAGACGCCUAGAACUUGUGUGCUCGUUCGACACAUGACUCUAUCGACCCUCCUACUGUAUCAUGUCGAAGUGUGCCAACUUCGACGACUCUAUCAAUCAUGGUUUGACGUAGUGCAACCAUGUGUAAAUCCCUAGUGCUGUGUAAAAGAGAACUUUCUCCAUAGCCAUUCGGCAAACAAAGGUUCUUCCGAACCUAAACAAAAUAAGAAUAAUAAAAACUAGUGCGAUCCGUCAGUCGUCACUCUUAUCUCAAACCUUCCGAAGUACCCAGGAAAGGGGUACCGCGUGUUGUUAACCAACCCUCCUUAGACAGAUAGAAACCGAAGCGAAAGACACUACAGAUAUUCCAGAAGACGAUAACCACCUGAAGCAUACUCAGUAGGAACCCAGAAAGACCCUUCAUCCUAUCCCAUGGAAUGGGAACUAGAGUCAAGAGAACCACUGCGGGUUGAGCUACUAUAGUGACCAUAAAUCCGAAAUUGUUGUCAUCUCGGUUAAGCCAACAUAGUAGUGAACACCCUCAGUUGGUAAGGAAAUCUUAGUCAUAAGAGUCAAGUACAUUGACUACGACCAUCCAUUCACGCUUAAUCCCCCAAAUUAAGCAUCUCAGUGGAUACCCCGAAAUCCCGGAAGUUGCGAUAAGUUAAACCUUGAGAAGAGUGGAUGAGGAGAUUAGAAGUUCCGAGUGACGGAACCCUAUACCUCUAGACUUAACCUAAAAUCAAGAAAACUCGGAACCCCCGGAAGAGUAGAUGCAGAAGAUGCUCAAACUACUCAGGCACUUCGUCCACCCCGUUACCGACGAGUGGUGCCCAGUACACUCCACCUCCUUUCGUGGAGGAAGUCACCGUCACCCUGUAGACGAUAGACUGCAUUCUCCGAAGUGAAUACUAGAAUGCCAAGAACCGCAGGAUAGCCCCCGCAACCAAGAAUACUUGAAUAAAGUGCGACAGUAGGUUGCGUUAAGCCUUAUAACCCAGAUCCCGAAGAGAUUAUAGACUUGAUGGCAGUCUAGGUGUUAGUCGAUGGGUUAUACAAGAGCACGCGCUUUCUGCGACUAUAAUAAACCGACGCCUUAGAGAUAUGCCUUGGAGAGUCAUUAAGACUAGUAGGUGUUCCAAGAAUGCUAUCUCUCGUAGAGAUAGUAGAACCACCUCCCGAGAUAGUACAACACUUCAUAAAAUCUCUAAGGAUUGAGUUAGCCCUGAGCAGAGCUUGUUAUUCAUGAAGUAGCAAAGCAAGUAAGAGCAUGAUUCCUUCCNGAUGAUCUAGAAAGUCUCUAAAAGCCAAUUGACAGGAAACACGAAACCAAGGACAACCCGAGCUUCCUAAGAACCAACCUGAAGGACUACACUUCCAGUAUGAGAGAGAACGUUAGGAACUUUAGAGUGGCGAUCACGCCAGUGAUGAUUUUGCCAUAGAAGUACACUAUGUUCUAAGUACUGAAAAGAUUUACCCUUCCGAGAGCUUAGGACCAUCUGAGAACCCUCACGGAGAUUGGUCCAACCCUCAUCAGACCACUACUCCUUUCUGAUAUUCCACAAGCUUCAUCCCAGAUCGAUCCACUUCCUAGACUUGAUAAGUGCUUGCCCGACGUCACUCUUUGUAUCCCACUCAUCUUGAUAGAAACCAUUGAGAACCCUAACUUCGUAGACAUACCUGUAGGAAGUCGCUAACUGCACGAGACGGAAUCCGCAUCUCGUAGGUAAAGGUUUGUUGGAAUGGCAAACACAGGCCAGAGUUCACUUGGGAGUGCGAGGACAAACCGAAUAGGAAGUACCCUCCUGCCCCUACUCGGUCAUUCAUACCUAUUUCCUUGCCUAAACCUGAAUUUCGGGACGAAAUUCCCUCUAACGGGGGGAUGAUGUGACAACCCGAAAUUUAUUCCGUCAUUUUUAACCCCUUGUUCCGUUAAUAAGCCUUGUUUUAUUUGACUGCCCGUUAACCUUUUGGAAGAGGUUAAUUAAUGUGGGAUUGUUAAUGACUUGGUAAGGGUUGAAACAAAUUACAAACACUACAAAUUUUCCCUUAAAAAAUUUUAGUUUCAACCAAGUCAAAAUACGACAGUUUAAUCGGGUGCGACCAAAAAGCCCCGUUUAACGGCAGUAUCUUGUAGAUUUCGACUGAGCCCCAACUCAAACCCCUAUAUAAGGGGGAGUGGACUUCAAUUCCACCCUUUUCACCCUCUCUUUACACUCUCUCUCUUUACAACUUAAUUUCGAGCAAAAAAUCGUCCGUUUCAAGCCCCAAACAAGUGAGUAGUCUAUCCUAACUUGUUGAAUAGCUUACCUAACAUGUAAAUUCGAGUUUAAGAUAUCAAAUAGGGUUAGACCAUGUGUUUACGGCCCAAGAACACUCGUGGACCGUGAACACCAUUUAAUGGGGUUUUUAAGCCCCAAAACCCCUCUAAACUACCCCUAAGGCUUAGAUAUGACUAAAUGGCUUAUGGAAUCAGACUUAGAACACCUUGAACUAACAUUUUGGGGAGUAAACUUGAGUUUACNUGCCCAAGAAAUGCUUGGGCUGUAAACUCCUCUUCAUGGGGAGUAAACUCAAGUUUAGGGAAGAAUAAAACAAUGCUAAACAAUGCUAAGCUUUUUCGCUUUCUCUCUCUACUUUCUCUCUCUUCUCCUGAUUCUCUCUGACGGUGGUGCGAUCUAGCUUCGAUUCAUCAGUGCUGCUUUUCUGACGAAUUUCUUUUCAUUGGUGAAGCAAUUUCUUUCCUAAUUCCGUUGAUUUAAUGGGAGCGUCAUCCAAAUCGGAUCGAUUGAAGGAUGUGAAGGUUAAACCUCCGGAUAAAAGUGCUGCUGUUCGAUAUACAAAAACUGAAAUGGAGGUGAAUGAUCUUAUUCCUCCUGGGGUUAUUGAGCAAUCAUCAGCAACGAUCUAUAAAGCUCGUCGCAAACCAAGUGCGACUGGAGCUGUUGCAUCUGGGAUAAGCAAAGCUGAAUGGAAAAUGGAGGGGAAAGCUUUCAGAAUCAAGAAUAGAGUUCGUAAAUUGGUGGAUGAAUUAGCUCCGAUGGAUACUGAGGAAUACUACAAUGAAGAUGGUUCAGAGGAGGAAACGGAAGAAGAAUCGGAAUCUAUCUCAGUUUGGGAAUCGGAUUCUAACAUUUCUAUACCUGGAUCUGAUGGAAAGGAGAAGGAAUUGAAGAAAGGAUCGUCUGGUGAUUCCAAAAAGGUAAGAUCUCAUGUUGUUACUAUCCCAACUGGUAAUACUGCUAAUUUGAUGAAAAAUUGGGAUGGGUUGAUGAUGAGUAAUGAAGUUUUGAGUCCAAAAUCUGAAUUGAAGAAUGUUAUUAGUGAAUGGUUAGGGUGAAUCCUACCAUUUCGGCGAUGGAUGUUAAAAAUCAGAAUAAUUCAAAAAUGGAAGAUAAUGAAGUUAUGAAGAUUAGAACUGAUGGGGAGAAAAGUGCUAGUAAUAAUGAAGAAUUCAUUCCAGGAAUUGGGUUUCAAUUCCUGAGUGAAUUGAAGGAAGAAGGACAGGUGGGGAAGGGAGAUGAUAAGGGGAUGAUUCAGAAUAUGGAUAUGGAUGAUUUAAAAUUGGGUAAGACAGAGAAUAAGGUGGAAGAUGAUAAAGAAGAAGAGAGUUCAGAAGAAGAAGAGGGGGAAAUUGAUUCAAGUGAGGAAGAGACAAGUGAAGAUGAAGAAAUAAUGAUGGAGGAGGAGGAUAUUGAUAAGACUAGUAGUGAUAAUAAUGGGAAGUUGUUAUCAGGAACAGUUAUUAAUAGUAUUAAUACAUUACCUUCUAUUUUGGGAGUUGCUAAAAAUGGUAAAGUGGUUGAGAAUGAGAUGCAGGGGAAGUUAGAGAACUCUUAUGCAGGUGUGUUAAAAGGAAAUAGGCAUAAGGGUAAAAUAGAUGUUAGAUAUAUACCAGGAGAUACUGGUAAUGAUGAAGGGCCGGUUAUCAUUCCAAUUGAAAAUCUAAAAAGUGCUAGUAUUCCUUAUACUAAUACUUUGUAUGGGUAUAUGAUAAACAAGAAGUUGGCUUUUCCAGUGAUACAGAAAGAGGUUAGAAGACUUUGGAAGAAUUUGGGAUUGGAGGAGGUAUUCAUGAACAGCAAAGGAUUUUUCUUUUUUAAAUUUACUGAUGAGAAAGGGAUGUUAGAGGUGUUGGAGGGAAGUCCAUGGUUGAUGUUCAAUAACAUGCCCCUAUUCCUACAACGAUGGAGACCAGGUCUGACUUUAACAAAAAAUAAUCAUGAUAAAAUACCUGUAUGGAUCAAAAUUUUUGAUUUGCCUCUAGAAGUAUGGAGUGGAGAUAAUUUGUGUAUAAUAGCUAGCAAGAUAGGUAUUCCGCUGGCAUUUGAUUCUUUUACAGAGGAAAUGUGUUUGGAACAUAAAGGAAGAAAUGCUUAUGCUAGGAUCCUUGUUGAAAUGGCAGCUGAUAAGGAAUGGAAGAAGAAAAUUGAUAUAUCUACGUGGGAUUUUGUUACUAAUACUGCUGUAAUUCAGAGUUUUGAUGUGGAAUAUGCUUGGACUCCUUCAAGAUGUAAUCAUUGCAAGGUAUUUGGGCACAUGGAUAAAGUUUGUCUUGCUGCUUUGAGUGAAGAAAAAGUGAUUAAAAAUGGGGGUGAAGAGAAGAUUAAGAAUAAUAAAGGAAAGGAAAUUGCUAAGGAUGAUGGAUUUGUGGAAGUCAAUUAUAAGAAGAGGGCAAGUAAUAAUAAUGGAGAAGGUACAAGCAAAACUAAGGAAGGUUAUUAUCAGGUGAAUAAUCAGAGAUUUAAUGGGAAGAAUAGUAAUUAUAACAAGGGGAAUAAUUUUAGAGGAAAUAAUGGUUAUAGAGGGGAUAAUGGAAAAGGACAGAAUGGGAAUUGGGGCAAUAAGGGGAUUGGAUAUUGGAAUUUAGAUAAGAAUAGAAGAUAUGAGAAGUUCGUGAAUAGUAAGAAUAUGGAGGGUAAUCAGGGGGUUAAGGAUAAUAAGAAACAAGGGUAUGCAGAUAUGAAUACUAAUAAUAAAGAAGAAGAAAAGAUGAGGAGUGAUAAUAACAAUAAACCACUGAUUGGAGGCAAUAACAAAAACAGUUUUGAAGUUUUGGGAAUAAUAGAGGAGGAAGUAUUGUAUAGAAUGGAAGAAGAUACUAAAGGGGAAAAAGAAGGAGAAUUGCAGAAGGGAGCAAAUUAAGUAUCUUUGGAUGAUAAUGAUGGGAAAAAGAAAAAUAUGAUGUUAUCAUCUAAGAUAAUUGAGAAGGAUAAUAUAAAGAGUCGUAUUAGCAAUGAGAAGGGUAUUUUGAAAAAUAAGGGGAGUAGUAAAAGUAUAGUUGGGAACUCUCAGGCAUUAGAGGAGGUUGAUGUCAAAAAUAAUGCUGGUCAACAAUGAUGUCGAUAGGGUGUUGGAAUGUUAGAGGUUUAAAUAAGAUGGUUAAGCAGAAGGAGGUUAUUGAUGUUAUUAGAAGCAAUAAUCUUCGUAUCUGCUCUGUGGUGGAAUCGCAUGUUAGGAUUGCUAAUUUGAAUAAAGUUUGUGCCAAGACUUUUGGACAAUGGGAUUGGGUUUCUAAUAACAGUUGUUGUGAGGCUGGAACUAGGAUCAUUGUUGGAUGGAAUCCUAGAAUUGUGGAUGUGAUGGUGAUUUCUUAUUCUAGACAAGUUAUUCACUGUUAUGUUAGAUUCUGUGAAUCUAAUUAUAGCAUGUAUUUGUCUUUUAUUUAUGCUGCUUCCAAUUAUCUGGAUAGAAGAGAUUUAUGGGAGAAUUUGAAGAAACAUAAACUGGUGGUUAAAGAGGAUGCUUGGGGAUUAUUAGGAGAUUUCAAUGUUGCUUUAAAACAUUCGGAAUACUCUGAAGGAUGUUCUAGAUUUCCUAAAGGUGUUGAGGACUUUAUUAAAUGUAUUAACUAUUUAGAAAUUGAGGACCUGAAUUCGUCUGAUUUUCAAUUUACUUGGAAUAAAACUCCUGCUGGAAGUAUGGGCCUCCUGAAGAAACUGGAUAGAGUGAUGGCUAAUUUGAAGUUUGUUUUGGAUUAUCCGUUGGCUCAUGCUAUAUUCAAACCCUAUAGAAUAUCAGAUCACUGUCCUGCUGUCCUUAAUAUUCCUUUGAGUAAAAUGAGAUGGCGACCUUCUUUCAGAUUUGCUAAUUUUAUUACCGAGAAGGAAGAAUUUUUACCUAUGGUUAAGGAAGUUUGGGAUGAAAACAUUGAAGGGUUUUAUAUGUUUAAGGUUUGUCAGAAAUUGAAGAUUCUUAAAAAGCAGUGUAGGGAUCUUUGUAACAACUACAGAGGAUAUGGGAAGCGAAUUCAUGAGCUAAGGAAAAAGCUGGAAAGUAAACAAGUGGAAAUUGAUUGUAAUCCUUAUGAUUAUAAGGUUAGGAAUGAGCAUGCUGAUCUAUUGUUCAAAUUUAAUGAAGCAUGUAAUGAUGAAGAGAAGCUUUUAUUCCAGAGAUCUAAAAUUAAAUGGAUUCAGGAAGGUGAUAAUAAUACUAAGUUUUUUCAUAGUAUUGUGAAGAGCAGGGGCAAUAAAAAUAGAAUUAUGAGGGUUUUGGAUGAAGAUGGAAGAUGGGUUAGUGGGAUUGCUUUGAAGGAUAAAUUUGUUUCGUAUUUCAAAAAUUUCUUGGGGUGUAAGGAUGGGUCUGUUAAGCCGGAGUUAAAUGAAGAACUUUUCCAAAAAAGGUUAGACAGGACAGAUGCUACUAAUAUGAUAAGAGUGGUGACUGAUGAAGAAAUUAAAGCAACAAUGUUUGAAAUUGAUGACAAUCGUGCCCCUGGGCCUGAUGGAUAUUCUUCAAAAUUUUUCAAAAGUGCCUGGAAUAUUGUUGGAUCAGAGAUUUGCAAAGCAGUGAGAGAAUUUUUUUGGACAGGGAAUCUGCUAAAAGGGAUAAAUGCUACGAGAAUUAUUCUAAUUCCUAAAGUGGAUACGCCGAGGAAGGUUGCUGAUUUUAGACCUAUAGCCUGCUGUAACACUUUGUAUAAGUGUAUUAGCAAGGUUAUAGUGAAUAGAAUUAGGAACUGUUUGGGGAAAAUUGUUAGUAAGAAUCAAUCUACUUUCAUUCCUGGAAGAUCGAUUUUGGAUAAUAUUCUUCUUGCGCAGGAAUUGAUGGUGGGAUAUAAUAACAAGAGGGGAGUUCCAAAGUGCACCUUAAAAAUUGAUAUUCAAAAAGCAUAUGAUACAGUGGAUUGGGAGUUUCUCAAUAGAAGUCUUAAAGGGUUUGGAUUUCAUCCGAUUAUGAUUCAGUGGAUCAUGGCUUGUGUGUCUUCCCCGUGGUUUAUGAUCAAUUUUAAUGGUGAAGACCAUGGGUAUUUUGAAGGAAAGAGGGGUCUUAGGCAGGGUGAUCCACUGUCACCUUACUUAUUUACUAUAGUAAUGGAAGUGUUCAAUUUGAUUCUUGGUAAGAAAAUAGAAGACAACCAUAAUUUUAAAUACCAUAAUAAGUGUGAGUUUCUUAACAUUUCUCACUUAUGCUUUGCUGAUGAUCUUCUGGUAUUUUCUUAUGGUAAUGGGAAUUCGGCUAGAAUUAUAAGGGAAGCUCUUGAUGAAUUCAAAAAUGUUUCUGGGCUGAAGGUGAGCAUGGAAAAGAGCCAGAUCUAUUUCAGUUGUGUUAAACCGAAUAUGAGAAGAAUUAUUUUGGGAAUUCUUCCUUUUGAUGUUGGGAAAUUUCCUUUUAAGUACUUGGGUGUUCCUAUGUGUGUUACUAAACUUUUUGAAAGAGAUUGCAAGAAGUUGUUAGAAAAGAUUAGAAUGAGAAUUUUCAACUGGAAAUGCAAAACUUUAUCGUUUGCUGGAAGGUUGCAGCUCAUUAAUUCUGUGUUGACUUCUAUUCAUGUGUAUUGGGCUUCAAUUUUUAAAAUUCCCAUUGCAACUAUAAAAGAGAUUGAAAAGAUGUGUAGAAGCUUCUUAUGGGCUAAUGGUGAAAAAGUUAAUGGGAAAGCUAAAAUCAAAUGGGAUGAUGUUUGUAAACCUAAAGAUUAUGGAGGAUUGGGGAUUAAGAAUUUAAGGAAAUGGAAUGAUGCUUUACUUGCAAAACAUGUGUGGAAUGUUGUUAAUAAUAAAAAUUCUUUAUGGGUGCAAUGGGUGAAAGCUUAUUACAUUGGAAAGAGAAAUUUUUGGGAUAUAAUGCAAAAGAAAAGCAUGAGCUGGACCUGGAAGAGAUUUUUGGAAAUUAGAAAAAUUGUUAGACCUCAUAUUGUUGCUUGUGUGGGAAAUGGGAGGAACACCUCUUUAUGGCAUGAUUGGUGGCAUCCUUUAGGUAUUUUAAGCACUAUCAUUCCAAGAAGAGAAUGGUUUAGCUAUGGAUUUAAUGACUUUUCUUUGGUUAGUGAUGUGCUUGAUUAUGAUACUUAUUGUUGGCCUGUAAAUUGGGUUGAUAAAUUUUCAGGUCUAAAAGAUGCUCCUAUGUUUUGUAUUGAUCCUAAUAUGAGAGAUGGUGCUGGAUGGAGAGAUAAGGAGGGUAAUUGCAAACAAUUUUCGUGUAAUCAAGUGUGGAGAGAUAUUAACAACUUUGGGAAUAAGGUGCCAUGGAAGGAUAUCGUUUGGUAUGGUAAGGGCAUUCCUAGAAAUUCUUUCAUUUUAUGGAUGGCUAUCUUGAAUAGAUUGAAAACUCAGGAUCGUGUUAGAGUUUGGGAAACCACAGGAAUUCUCCUCUGUCCUUUUUGUAAUCUUAUACCUGAUUCUCAUGAUCAUCUCUUCUUUAAUUGUGAAUUUUCACAAAGUAUUUGGAGACAUUUUUGUGGUAAGAUGAGAAUUAAAUUGGUGAUGGGUGGCUGGAAUGAGACGAUUCUGAAGUGCUGUAACCUGUGGUACAAGGAUACAGGUGAGAGUUUAAUUAAUAAAUGUAUUCUUGCGAGUUGUGUAGCACAUAUUUGGAAGGAAAGGAAUGCUAGGAUUUUUAACAAGAAGAGUCUAACAGCUGAAGGAGUGAUAGCUUGUAUUGAGAAUGAAAUCAGAUUAAAGCUGUUAGGAUUAAGGAAUACUAACAAUUUGAUUAAUGAAAGAAUCUAUAAGGAUUGGGGCAUUUAUGGAAAGGACAAAAAUAAGAGAUGAUGUACAGGUUCAGAAUUGUGAAGUUGAUGGUUGCAGUGAUUUUUAAUUGGGGUUGGCAGCGGAGAAAUUAUAUUGAGUUUGUUCUUAGUAUUGGUAUUAAAUGGGGGCAAUUUUGGAAUAAUUGGUUUUACAAAGGAAUUGACGGAAAUUGUCAAUGGUUGGGGAGUUCUCUCUCUAAUCAUUUGACUUGUACCAAUGGGAUUUUCAAUUUGGAUAUGAUCUUUUAUGUGAUUAUUCAAAUUGAGAAUCCUAGACACGUGAUUGAUGUCAUGUCAAUUCUGAAACUUAUUCUGAAUUUCUGGAGUCUUGGUGUUGGUUUUUGGUUCGUUGGGUUAUGUAUUCUUUGCAGGAAUCUAUUGCAUUGGAUGAAGAUGGACCUUAGUGAAAAGAAGAAAGAGAGUUUCAUGCAGAAAAUCAAGAGGAGGAUGAAGAAUUGGAAAAGGGAUAGAAGAAGUGGGAUUAUUCAGCUCUUGGAGAUUAAUUGGGAUUGCAUUGUUAAAUUGUUUAGCAGUUUUAAAUAUGUUUGGUUUUUAUUUGUGAUUUGUUGGUUGAGGAUUUUGGUCUUAGUUGGAUUUUCCUUAAAGUUUAGUCUUCGGAUUGAGGGUUUUUUUAAGGGCCUUACCCCUUGCUAUUUUUUUUAUGUUAUUUGAAGUUUUUGGAGGUGCAAGGGGGUGAAGUUACCUUUUUUCCUUCAUUCUAUAAGUCCUUGGGCUAACUUUAAGGAUUUUAGGGAUUAUUGGGGUUGUGAGUGGUUAGUUCUUAUUAUUAGGAAGUGGUUUGGUAGUUGGUUAUGGAUAGGCUGGUUAUUUUUGUUUUUUAUUUGAAUUUUUGGUGCUUGUAUUCUUUUAUUCUUUUUAAUAAAGUUUGCUGAGCUUUGGCUCUUUCAAAAAAAAAAAAAAAACUUAAUAGGUCUUGAUUUGUUACUAAUCUAUCCAUUUCUUCCCAUACACCUGUCAUUUGUGGUUGUUAUUCUAUCUUAGUUUACCUAAACAAAACAUUACUCACUUAAUCAAGCCCAUAAAGGCAUUAAAAGGCAAUCACCUUUGUGUCGCUAAACAUGCAAUAAGGGAGUUGCUGAUUCGUGAAGCUCAUGGUGGUGGUUUGGCGAGUCACUUUUCCAUUACCAAAACUUUGGAGGUGCUUUAAGAACAUUUCUUCUGGACUAAAGAUGUUGGGGAUGUAAACAGCAUAGUGGGCAAGUGUGUUACAUGUCGGAUGAGGAAAAAAAUUUAAAGCAUGGUGUUUACACUCCAUUGCCGGUUCCUAUUCGUGGUGGUGGAUAGGUUUUCAAAAAUGGCUCACUUUGUGCCAUGUCAUAAAACCAUUGAUGCAUCUAAUUUGUCUGAUUUGUACUUUAAAGAGCUGGUUCACUUCCAUAUUAUUACUAAAACUAUUGUUUUUUAUAGGGAUUCCAUGUUUUUGAGUUACUUUUGGAACACUUUGUGGCGGAAAGCUGGUACUAAGUUACUUUUUAGUACGUCCCAUCAUCCAUAAACUAAUGGGCAAACGAAGGUGACUAAAAGAACUUUGGGCACGUUGUUGAGGGGGUUGGUUAGCAAAACUAAAAAACAGUUGGACAUCAAAUUUGCAUAUGCUGAGUUUGCCUGUAAUCGUUCUCCUACUUAUGCAACAGGUCACUCUACUUUAUAAGUGGUGUAUGGUGUGAAUCCUUACAUGAAUUUGUAUUUGAUUCCAUUUCCAAAGGAUGAAUUGCUUCUCAAGGAUGCUAAUGACAAGUUGAAGGCCAUGAUGAAACUACACCAACAAGUUUUUGUGAAGAUUGAAGUCGUGAAUGACGUGUACAAACAGAGUUCCAACGUGCAUUGGUAACCACGUAUCUUUCAAGAUGGUGACUUCGUUUCGGUGCAUAUGACGAAAGAACAUUUUCUUAACAAAACGAUAAACAAAAGUUGAUGCCAAGAGCUGAAGGUCCUUACAAAGUGGUGACACAUUUCAAUGAUAAUGCUUAUAAGGUGGACCUGGGUGGAGACCAUGGAGUACAUGCUACCUUUAAUGUGGGAGACCUUUCACCGUAUCUUGUUGAGGAUGGACUUGAUGAAUUGAGGUCAUUUCUUUUCAAAGGGGGAAGGGAGGAUCCAUGCCCAAAAGGUGAUGGAUUAGUGAUUACCAGUAGGCUAGAAGGUGGUUUGUACUCAAUGGUUGGGUUGUGUAUGGUAACCUAUGAAUUGAAUUAGGGUCACAUGAAGGCAAGGGCAACAUUUUAAAGGCGUCAUAAGUGUUCAAAACCGUUAGUUUUUGCUACAUCAAGCCUAUUAGCCAUUUUUGAUACUCUUUGGUGGAUUUGGGUUACACUUUAAUUCUUCUUUUGGCUCCUUAAUGGAGCAUGGACGCUUUUUUCAUUCAUUAGUGUGUCAAACAUUUUUUUGUGUGGUUUCAUGAGUUUCUUUAAUUUUUAUUAAUAGUUUUACUGAGUAGUUAAUUGGGUGGCUUGUAACCACCAACUUUGUAAUAAAGGCUUCAUAUAAGCCAAGUAUGCAUGGAAAAGAGAGAUAGCUGAAAUUUUAAUCAAAAGAACCUUUGUUCACAUUGAAUUAUAGUUAUAGUUCACUACUUGUCAUAGCCGAGACGUGUUCUUGACUUGAUACGCACUCAAACAAAUAUUAUGUCUUGGAUAGUUUUCACGGGUAUACAACUUAGUAGGUCUUGAUUUGUUACUAAUCUAUCCAUUUCAUCCCAUACACCUAUCAUUUGAGGUUGUUAUUCUAGCUUAAUUUACCUAAACACAUCCCUACUCACUUAAUCAAGCCCAUAAAGGCAUCAAAAGGCAAUCACCUUUGUGUCAUUAAACAUGCAAUAAGGGAGUUGCUGAUUCGUGAAGCUCAUGGUGGUGGUUUGGCGGGUCAUUUUUCCAUUAGCAAAACUUUGGAGAUGCUUUAAGAACAUUUCUUCUGCCCUAAAGAUGUUGGGGAUGUAACCAACAUAGUGGACUAGUGUGUUACAUGUCGGAUGACGAAAAAAACUUUCAAGCAUGGUGUUUACACUCCUUUGCCAGUUCCUAUUCGUCCUUGGAAAGAUGUGUAAUUGGAAUUCAGUAUGGCUUUCCCUAGAACUCAAAGGGGGAAGGAUUCCAUUAUAGUGGUGGUGGGUAGGUUUUCAAAAAUGGCUCACUUUGUGCCAGGUUAUAAAACCAAUGAUGCAUCUAUUGUGUCUGAUUUGUAAUUUAAAGCGGUGGUUCACUUGCAUAUUAUUCCUAAAACUAUUGUUUCUGAUAGGGAUUCCAUGUUUUUUAGUUACUUUUGGAACACUUUAUGGAGGAAAGAUGGUACUAAGUUACUUUUUAGUACGUCCCAUCAUCCACAAACUGAUGAGCAAACGAAGGUAACUAAUAGAACAUCAAACUUGCACAUGUUGAGUUUGCCCCUAAUCGUUCUCCUACUUAUGCUACAGGUCACUCUCCUUUAUAAGAGGUGUAUGGUGUGAGUCCUUACAUGACUUUUUAUUUGAUUCCAUUUUCAAAGGAUCAAUUGCUUCACAAGGAUGCUAAUGACAAGUUGAAGGCCAUGAUGAAACUACACCAACAAGUUUGUGUGAAGAUUAAAGUCGUGAAUGACGUUUACAAACAGAGUUCCGACAUGCAUAUGAAACCACGUAUCUUUCAAGAUGGUGACUUGGUUUAGGUGUAUAUGAGUAAAAAAUGUUUUCCUCACAAAAGGAUGAACAAAAGUUGAUCCCAAGAGCUGAAGGUCCUUACAAAAUGGUGACACAUGCCAAUGAAAAUGCAUAUAAGGUGGAUCUGGCAGGAGACCAUGGUGUGCAUGCUAACUUUAAUGUGGGAGACCUUUCACCGUAUUUUGUUGAGGAUGGACUUGAUGAAUUGAGGUCAUUUCCUUUCAAAGGGGGAGGGGAGGAUCCAUGCAUGUAUCAUGAAAGCCCAAAAGGUGAUGGAUUAGUGAUUACUAGUAGGCUAGAAGGUGGUUUGUACUCAAUGGUUGGGUUGUGCAUGGUAACCUAUGUAUUGAAUUAGGGUCGCAUGAAGGCUAGGGAGACAUUUUAAAGGCUUCAUAAGUGCUCAUAACCAUUACUUUUUGCUUCAUCAAGCCUUCUAGCCAUUUUUGAUACUCUUUGGUGGAUUUGGGUUACACUUUAAUUCUUCUUUUGGCUCCUUAAUGGAGCAUGGACGCUUUUUUCAUUCAUUAGUGUGUCAAACACUUUUUUGUGUGGUUUCAUGAGUUUGUUUAAUUUUCAUUAAUAGUUUUACUGAGUAGUUAGUUGGGUGGCAUGUAACCACCAAAUUUGUAAUAAAGGCUUCAUAUAAUCCAAGUAUGCUUGGAAAAAAGAGAUAGUUGAAAUUUUAAUCAAAAGAACCUCUGUUCACUUUGAAUUAUAGUUGUUGUUCACUACUUGUCAUAGCCGAGACGUGUUCUUGACUUGAUAUGCAUUCACACAAAUAUUAUGUCUUGGAUAGUUUUCAUGGGUAUACAACUUAGUAGGUCUUGAUUUGUUACUAAUCUAUCCAUUUCUUCCCAUACACCUAUCAUUUGUGGUUGUUAUUGUAGCUUAAUUUACCUAAACACAACCCUACUCACUUAAUGAAGCCCAUAAAGGCAUCAAAAGGCAAUCACCUUUGUGUCCCUAAACAUGCAUUACGGGAGUUACUUAUUUGUGAAGCUCAUGGUGGUGGUUUGGCGAGUCAUUUUUCCAUUACCAAAAGUUUGGAGGUGCUUUAAGAACAUUUCUUCUAGUCUAAAGAUGUUGGGGAUGUAAUUAACAUAGUGGGCAAGUGUGUUACAUGUCGGAUGACGAAAAAAACUUUCAAGCAUGGUGUUUACACUCCUUUGUCGGUUCCUAUUCGUCCUUCGCAAGAUGUGUCAAUGGAAUUCAGUAUGGCUUUCCCUAGAACUCAAAGGGGGAAGGAUUCCAUUAAAGUGGUGGUGGAUAGGUUUUCAAUUGUGCCAUGUCAGAAAACAAAUGAUGCAUCUAAUGUGUCUAAUUUGUACUUUAAAGAGGUGGUUUGCUUGCAUAUUAUUCCUAAAACUAUUGUUUAUGAUAGGCAUUCCAUGUUUUUGAGUUACUUUUGGAACACUUUGUGGAGGUAAGUUGGUACUAAGUUACUUUUUAGUACGUCCCAUCAUCUACAAACUGAUGGGCAAACGAAGGUGACUAAUAGAACUUUGGGUACAUUGUUGAGGGGGUUGGUUAGCAAAACUCAAAAACAGUUGGACAUCAAACUUGCACAUGCUGAGUUUGCCUGUAAUCGUUCUCCUACAUAUACUACAGGUCACUCUCCUUUAUAUGUGGUGUAUGGUGUGAAUCGUCACAUGACUUUGUAUUUGAUUCCAUUUCCAAAGGAUGAAUUGCUUCACAAGGAUGCUAAUGACAAGUUGAAGGCCAUCAUGAAACUUCACCAACAAGUUUGUGUGAAGAUUGAAGUUGUGAAUGACGUGUACAAAUAGAGUUCCAACAUGCAUAAGAAACCACGUGUCUUUCAAGAUGGUGACUUGGUUUAUGUGGAUAUGAGGAAAGAACAUUUUCGUAACAAAAGGAUGAACAAAAGUUGAUGCCAAGAGCUGAAGGUCCUUAAAAAGUGGUGACACAUUUCAAUGAUAAUGCUUAUAAGGUGGAUCUGGGAGGAGACCAUGGAGUGCAUGCUACCUUUAAUGUUGGAGACCUUUCACCGUAUCUUGUUGAGGAUGGACUUGAUGAAUUGAGGUCAUUUCCUUUCAAAGGGGGAGGGGAGGAUCAGUGCAUGGAUCUUGAAAUCCCAAAAGGUGAUGGUUUAGUGAUUACUAGUAGGCUAGAAGGUGGUUUGUAUUCAAUGGUUGGGUUGUGCAUGGUAACCUGUGUAUUGAAUUAGGGUCGCAUGAAGGCUAGGGCGACAUUUUAAAGGCUUCAUAAGUGCUCAAAACCAUUACUUUUUGCUUCAUCAAGCCAUCUUUCCAUUUUUGAUACUCUUUGGUCGAUUUGGGUUACACUUUAAUUCUUCUUUUGGCGCCUUAAUGGAGCAUUGACGCUUUUUUCAUUCAUUAGUGUGUCAAAUUUUUUUUGUGUGGUUUCAUGAGUUUCUUUAAUUUUCAUUAAUAGUUUUACUGAGUAGUUGGUUGGGUGGCUUGUAAGCACCAACUUUGUAAUAAAGGCUUCAUAUAAGCCAAGUAUGCAUGGAAAAAAGAGAUAGUUGAAAUUUUAAUCAAAAGAACCUCUGUUCACUUUGAAUUAUAGUUGUUGUUCACUACUUGUCAUAGCCGAGACGUGUUCUUGACUUGAUAUGCAUUCAAAAAAAUAUUAUGUCUUGGAUAGUUUUCAUGGGUAUACAACUUAGUAGGUCUUGAUUUGUUACUAAUCUAUCCAUUUCUUCCCAUACACCUUUCAUUUGUGGUUGUUAUUGUAGCUUAAUUUACCUAAACACAACCCUACUCACUUAAUGAAGCCCAUAAAGGCAUCAAAAGGCAAUCACCUUUGUGUCCCUAAACAUGCAUUACGGGAGUUACUUAUUUGUGAAGCUCAUGGUGGUGGUUUGGCGAGUCAUUUUUCCAUUACCAAAAGUUUGGAGGUGCUUUAAGAACAUUUCUUCUAGUCUAAAGAUGUUGGGGAUGUAACCAACAUAGUGGGCAAGUGUGUUACAUGUCGGAUGACGAAAAAAACUUUCAAGCAUGGUGUUUACACUCCUUUGUCGGUUCCUAUUCGUCCUUCGCAAGAUGUGUCAAUGGAAUUCAGUAUGGCUUUCCCUAGAACUCAAAGGGGGAAGGAUUCCAUUAAAGUGGUGGUGGAUAGGUUUUCAAAAAUGGCUCACUUUGUGCCAUGUCAUAAAACCAAUGAUGCUUGUAAUGUGUCUGAUUUGUACUUUAAAGAGGUGGUUUGCUUGCAUAUUAUUCCUAAAACUAUUGUUUAUGAUAUGGAUUCCAUGUUUUUCUGUUACUUUUGGAACACUUUGUGGAGGAAAGUUGGUACUAAAUUACUUUUUAGUACUUCCCAUCAUCCACAAACUGAUGGGCAAAUGAAGGUGACUAAUAUAACUUUGGGUACGCUGUUGAGGGGGUUGGUUAGCAAAACUCAAAAACAGUUGGACAUCAAACUUGCACAUGCUGAGUUUGCAUGUAAUCAUUCUCCUACUUAUGCUACAGGUCACUCUCCUUUAUAAGUGGUCUAUUGUGUGAAUCCAUACAUGCCUUUGUAUUUGAUUCCAUUUCCAAAGGAUGAAUUGGUUCACAAGGAUGCUAAUGACAAGUUGAAGGCCAUGAUGAAACUACACCAACAAGUUGGUGUGAAGAUUGUAGUCGUGAAUGACGCGUACAAACAGAAUUCAAACAUGCAUAGGAAACCACGUGUCUUUCAAGAUGGUGACUUGGAUUAGGUGCAUAUGAGGAAAGAACGUUUUCCUAACUAAAGGAUGAACAAAAGUUGAAGCCAAGAGCUGAAGGUCCUUACAAAGUGGUGACACCUAUCAAUGAUAAUGCUUAUAAGGUGGAUCUAGGAGGAGACUAUGGAGUGCAUGCUACCUUUAAUGUGGGAGACCUUUCACCGUAUCUUGUUGAGGAUGGACUUGAUGAAUUGAGGUCAUUUACUUUCAAAGGGGGAGGGGAGGAUCAAUGCAUGUAUCAUGAAAGCCGAAAAGGUGAUGGAUUAGUGAUUACUAGUAGGCUAGAAGGUGGUUUGUACUCAAUGGUUGGGUUGUGCAUGGUAACCUAUGUAUUGAAUUAGGGUCGCAUGAAGGCUAGUGCAACAUUUUAAAGGUGUCAUAAGUGUUCAAAACCGUUACGUUUUGCUUCAUCAAGCCUUCUAGCCAUUUUUGAUACUCUUUGGUGGAUUUGGGUUACACUUUAAUUCUUCUUUUGGCUCCUUAAUGGAGCAUGGACACUUUUUUCAUUUAUUAGUGUGUCAAACAUUUUUUGUGUGGUUUCAUGAGUUUCUUUAAUUUUCAUUAUUAGUUUUACUAAGUAGUUGGUUGGGGGGCUUGUAACCACCAACUUUGUAAUAAAGGCUUCAUAUAAGCCAAGUAUGCAUGGAAAAAAGAGAUAAAUGAAAUUUUAAUUAGAAGAACCUUUGUUCACUUUGAAUUAUAGUUACAGUUUGUGACAACCCGAAAUUUCUAUUCUGUACAAGCAUAUCAAGUCAAUAGAAGUCAGAACAGUUGCUGUUAAAUUUCAGACUUUUUAGAAUAAGUUUGAGUAUUUCAAGAUUCACACGUUAGAGAUAUCAGGAGAGAGGAUGCACUAGAUUUAUUGUGCAACACUGUUAUUCCAAAACUCUAAGAAAUUAGAGUUUACUGCCUGAAUAAAAUAUUUUCUGCCAAAAACCCUAAAUUUAGGAGUAUAUAUAUGAGAACUUGUCAUUGUUUACACUUUUUCCAAAAACUCAAGAUCCAAACCCAUUUGUCUCUCAAGUAUCAUCCAAAAGAUUUUCAAGAUCUUCAAACUAGUAAGUGAUUCUAGUUUUCUUAAGUGAUUAUAUGGCUUAAUCUAGUGUUUUAACACUCUUCUAACUGUGAAAUCCUUCCAAAAGGUUGAUUAUUCCAUUUACACCAAGAACACCAAGAACAUACACUAGUGUUCUUGGACUUUUAGCUCAUUUCAAGCUUCCAUAUAGUAAGUACUUCGAUCCUAGAGUCUUAUAAAGCUUGUUAUACAUCUUUACAUCAAGAAAAUGUCCCAAGAACAAGGUGUUCACGGUUCAAGAAGUUCUUGAACCGUAAACACCAAGUAAAGGUGCCAAAGAGUGCUUAGUCCCUUCCUAUGCCUUAGUAACUAACAUGGAUCCAUUCUUUGGUGAGCUAAGGACUUGAAAACCCCCCAAAAACCAUGAACCUUUUGAGUUUACGGUAGUAAACUCAAAGGAAAAUGGUUUAGGAACCAUAAACUCCAAAUAGGAGUGAAAUGGUGCCUUAGUUCCUUCCAUAGACACAUACUUCAAGUAGAAAAGCUUCUAGAGACUUUUUAAGGCUUCAAACAACAAAUGGUCAAAAGUGUAUGAGCUUACGGCCGUAAACUUAAGGGUUUACGACCAUAAACUCUUUUUUGUUAAUGACCACAAAACCGUAAAAUCCGUAAUGGUGUUUUCCUUGAACCCCAAGCACACUAGCCUUUCCCUACCACACUUAGAUGCAAUCCUUGGGACUUAUAACACCUGUAUAAGGUGUUUAGCAUGUCCUAGGGUGUCUUAACUUUGUUUAUUAUUUGUUUAAAGACUAAUUGGAUACAUAUAUGUGAUAUUAUAUGUUAACUAGGAUCAUAGAGUGUGUUCAAGACUUCACUUGACACCUAGCAAUCCUACAUCUUCAGUUCAUCCGUACCACUCACUACAGAUGAGUUCAUACCCCUUAAUCAAUGGUUUAAAAGUUUUUAAAUGCUUUUAUGGGGGGGGGGGGAAUACAAGUUGAAUACUUAUAGUUUUUUAUAUCAAUCACAAGUGAUUAAUAACUACCAAACCAGUAGUUUGCUUACUGUUCAAACUGUUUAUUAAACUGUUUUGCUUCAAAUUAUUUUACAAACUCUUUUACUUAUCAAAUACUUUUACUUAAACUCUUUUAUACUUAUUAUCAAAUGCAUGCCUAUGUAUGUAUAGUUAUAUAAGCAAUGUUUUAAAGGGCUUAGGAAGGCCAGCUCGCUUUAUCUCCUUUUCCUCAUUAGGAUGUGGCUUUAGGGCAUCGGUUAUCCGUCCGAAGGUCGUCUAAAUAUUAGUUAUAUAUUAUCUAUACAUAUAUAGACAUAGAAGUUAUUUCAACCAGUUCCAUACCUUUGGGUAGCAAGGGUUUCACAAACAUGAUCAUACAUUACUAGUAAGCUACCAUAGGAGUAGCACAGGAAGAUACUAAUAAUAUUACUAGAAAAAUGAAACAUACAAUGAGUCAGUUCAUUCAUGAGUCAAUACGAGCAGCACACACAGUACAUUACUAUACAUGCUAGAUAGAGAGAGAACACACAUUACAGCUAGCACACGCAGAACAUUACAGUACAUACAGGCUAGACAGAGAAAACAGUACACUUUACAGUUAGCACAUUCAUUACAUGUACAUUUAUGUAGUUAUGUGAACCGUUAAACGGGGUAUGGCACUACCUGCCAUGACCGUUUUUGUAUACCGAAUCUCCUUAAUUGGGGAGCAUAUGAGUUUGCGUAUAGAUCUAUACUAGAUUGACUAUCCUACACCUUGCUGCUCGCUACAGUGUGUCACACCCCAAAAACCGAAGGCGGAAACAUUUCCGGGGUUGACUCCUUGUUGAGUAUCAAAUCCAAUGCACAUAGUAAGUAAAGUAGAACAACCAUUACAUUACAUUAUAAAGUUUUACAGUUGUUUCAAAAGUAAAGUUUGUACAGUUGUGAUACAUAGUAUAUAUAGACAAAAGAAACGGAUCUUCAUGUACUUCAUCUUCUGAUCAAAAGAAAUCUCCAGGUACCUGUUCUAACGUUGACCUGAGAACACAAGCGGUUUGAAAAUCAGCAUAAAGCUGGUGAGUUCAUAAGUAGUUUUGUUUUGUGAAAAUGUUUAUGUUUCCUUUCUGUUUCUAAAAAUGUAUCAGUGUAUUCCCAGGAAAGUCCCAUACUUUCCUGAAUAGUUAGUUAUUGUAAAAGAUGUAAUGAUAUACAAUUGGUUACACUUUUCUGGUUAUGUGAAUGUUACCCAGGAAUGCCCCAUGCUUUCCUGUAUGUUGGUUUUCAAUGUAAAAGAUGUAUUCUAUCAAACCUGGUUAUGUACAAAGUUUUCCCCAGGAAGGUCCCAUACCUUCCUGAAUGUUGGUUAUUGUUUGUAAAAGAUGUAAAAGAUGUAAAAGAUGUAAACUGAAUCCUGGUUAUCCGUAAAAUGUAGUAUAUGGUUCAUUAUUACUGUAAGUAAAUCUCUGUUAUCCUAAUUGCGAGUUCCAUAACCAUACUAAAGACUGAACCUGUGGCAAUAAGUAGUCCACAAUUCCUAUGACUUUCGUCACCCUUGAACCAUUUCGGUUCGGCUGUAGCUAGCAGCCAGGUGUGGGGUAGUCAGCCCCGUAUAGAUCUAUACACUCAAGUCACGCUCUCUAAAUCCCAGAGAUUCUGGUUACGGGUGUAGUCCUCCACUCGCGUAUCUCUGUGGAGUGUUCGCCGAGGACGUGUCUCCAAUCAUACGGAAUAACAAAUUUACUAGUAAUAAUAGUAUAAUCCUCCAUUCGCGUAUCUCUGUGGAAUGUUACCGAGGACAAGACAGUGUACGAAAUAUAUUGUUCAUGUGUUGUAAAGUCAUGCUUUUAACUGAUAAAAUGUGGAAAACCAUUUGUGAAAUAUAUAUAAAGCAUAAUAGUUUAUAAACCCAUUUCACAAAUAAGUGUUUAUAUGAUCUGUAUGUUCUACCAAUUAUCAGUUGCGUAUAUCAGUAUUAAAAGCAUAUAAAUUGUGAAACACACACACACGAAAAAUAAUUUUUGAGUACAAAAACCCUUGUACUUUGCUUGUUUUCCCCCCCUGAAAACAGUGAAAAACAGUGAAAAAGGUAGGGGUAUGAACUCACCGGACUCGGAAACGUGUCGGUUUUGAAUGCUAGACGUUGGUUCGAGGUUUGAUUACUCGCGAUGACCCUAUGUAAAAUGAAAUAAUGUCCAUAUAUAUACAAUUAGGGAUACAUUCACUAAUCAUAUGGAACAUUAUACUCCAAUGAGGUCAAACACCUCGAAAUGAGCGUUUGGAGUGACCCGGGUGGCGUUUAAGGACGUGUAAAGGCACUAGGGACAUGGGACUUGAGUUUACUCUCCAUAAGUAAACAUUUAAAUGAGUUUACACCCACAAAACACACCCACACAUGAGUUUACGGCCGUAAACUCAUGUUGGUGUGGUUUUGAUGAUCUAAGUGACUUAAAUGGCUUACAUGGACAUGGGAAAUGCUAGAAUGAUUUAUCUAAAAUGACUUGGAACACUUGGAAUGAAUUUACAACAUUUAAACAUGAGUUUACGGCCAUACUCUUAGAGUUUACGGCCGUAAACUCACCCAUGGCCAAGAAUGGUUAGUUUAAGCUACAAGGGACAAUCACAUGUGAUUCUAGUUAAUUUUCCAAGCUUUGUUAUGAAUUUAGAACAUCAUUUAACACAUUUAUUGGAGUUUACGGCCUAGAGGUAUGUUCUAAGGCCGUAAACUCUCCUUUACCCAUGAAAAAGAUAGUUUUUGAUGCUUAAAACAAUCACAUGUGAUUAAUAGGAUUUAUACCAAGACUUAGAAUGAGUUUUAUGGGACAUAUGAGGGGUGUUAUGGAGUUUACGGCCCAUGAGACCCUCUUCAUGGCCGUAAACUCUAAUAUAGAGUGAUAUAAUGUGUUUCAAGGUCUAUAACUUGCAUAGAAGGGCUUCUAAAAUUCAUCUAAAGGCUUUAGGGGUGUUUAGUUUGCAUUCUAACACCAAAAAUUUUGGAGUUUACGGCCCAAGAACAAUGCCUUGGCCGUAAACUCUUAGAAAACCCACAAAUGUUGUGUUUAAGUCCCUUAAACUAUUUUUGGUUGGUCCCUUGAUUUAUUCCAAGGCUUUUGGUGGUGUUGGAUGGCUUUCUAACACUUUAAAAUUGAUUUUAUGCCUUGAUUUAGGGAGUUUACGGCCCAAGCACUCCCCUUGGCCGUAAACUCAUAUAAGUCCUUCAAAUGAUAUGAUUCAAGUGUCCAAAUGCUAUAUCCAAGGUCCUAUAAUUCAUACCUAAGCUAUAGAAAUGAUUUGGAAGGGUUUAAAGGCAUGAAAACCCUAGAUUAUUGAGUUUACGGCCCAAGAAUGCUCCUUGGCCGUAAACUCCUUCAAACUUCACAAAGUUCAUGUUUUAAUUGUUUAGAGUCCAUAUCUUAAAGUCCCUUAGCCAUAUCUAAAGUCCAAUUGAGUUUAGGAAGGAGUUUAAGAGCUUAAAACCCCAUAAAAUGGAGUUUACGGCCCAAGCUUGCUCCUUGGCCGUAAACUCUUGUUCUUGACCCUAAAACUCAAUUAAUUCAUCAAUUUGAAGGCUAAAGAUGAUGAAUAACAUGCUAGAGAGGUUACCUUAAAGAUUUGAAGCCUUAAACUUGUGAUUUGGACCUUAAUUCUAGCUUGGAGGAGAGAGGUUGUAAGAGUUUAAUGAGAAUUUGGCCAAAGGCUUCAAAUGGAGUCUUAAACAUGUUUAUAUAAUGUUCGGGAAUUGGACACGAUAGAAUUCUACCCGAUACCGACGUUAAUUGAGGUUUUUGGUCGUACCCGAUUGAGUUACCGUAACCCGACAUAGUAAUUUCUAGAAAUAUUCCGAUCACUAAAGUUGGGUGUUUAAAAUGAUUUCUAAUGUAUUAAGACACCCAUUAAGUCAUUUUAGGUCAAUAUAAACUAAUGACUUUAAUAAAUUGGUGAAAUUGGAAACGAAAUUGAAAAUGACGUUUGGUUGAUCGGAUCGGAUUACAAGUUGUGGUACAAGAAGUGAUAUGAAAUUUCGGGUUGUUACAUUAUCCCCCCGUUAGAGGGAAUUUCGUCCCGAAAUUCAAAGUUUAAAACACAAGACAAGAUACAAAUCAUGGAUUAGAAAAGAGUUGUGGAUAUUUUUGUUUCAUCGAGUCUUCUCGCUCCCAAGUGAACUCCGGUCCUCGCUUGGCAUUCCAGCGAACCUUCACCAACGGGAUGCGACUCUGUUUCGUACGUUUGACUUCUCGAUCCAUGAUUUCGAUUGGUUCCUCCACAAAGUUAAGGUUUUCAUCGAUCUCAAUCUCGUCUAAGGGGAUUGUUAGGGUUUCAUCGGAUAGGCACUUUUUGAGAUUUGAAACAUGGAAGACAGGAUGAAUGUUACUGAGUUCGUGAGGUAAAUGAAGCUUAUAGGCUACCGGACCAACUCUGGCAAUGAUUUCAAAAGGUCCAAUGUACCUCGGAUUGAGUUUCCCACGUUUACCGAAACGUACAGUGCCUUUCCAGGGCGAGACUUUUAACAGAACACGAUCUCCAACCUGGAAUUCUAGUGGUUUCCGACGAUUAUCAGCGUAACUCUUUUGACGAUCGCGCGAGGCCUUUAGUCGUUCACGGAUUUGGAUAAUUUUCUCAGUGGUUUCACGGAUGAUUUCAGGACCGGUAAGUGCGCUGUCGGGGACUCGACUCUUUGCUAACUGUGUAUCUCCUACCUCGGCCCAGCACAGAGGGGAUCUGCACUUGCGACCGUAUAGGGCUUCGAACGGGGCAGCCCUAAUGCUGGUGUGGUAACUGUUGUUGUAUGAGAAUUCGAUCAAUGGUAGAUGUGCGUCCCACGACUUUCCAAAAUCAAUGACACAUGCCCUAAGCAUGUCCUCCAGAGUUUGGAUUGUUCUCUCGCUUUGACCGUCAGUCUGAGGAUGGUAUGCCGUGCUCAUGUCUAGUUGGGUUCCAAGGGCUUUCUGAAGGGAUUGCCAGAAUCUGGAAGUAAACCUGCUAUCUCGAUCAGAGAUAAUGGAUACAGGUACACCGUGUAGACGUACUACCUCUUGGAUGUAGAUUCGCGCAAGUCUUUCCAUUUUGAAUGAUUCUUUAAUUGGAAUGAAGUGAGCGGAUUUUGUCAAACGAUCAACAAUCACCCAAAUGGUAUCAUUCCCAUUCAAGCACUUGGGUAGUUUGGUGAUGAAGUCCAUGGUAAUCAUCUCCCAUUUCCACUCGGGAAUCUCGGGUUGUUGAAGCAGACCUGAAGGUUUCUGAUGUUCGACUUUGACUUUGGCGCAAGUCAAGCACUUGCCCACGAAUGUAGCUAUCUCAGCUUUCAUGUUUGGCCACCAAUAUUGUUUCUUGAGAUCUAAGUACAUCUUGUCAGAGCCCGGGUGAACAGAGUAUUUGGUUCUAUGUGCUUCCUCCAUGACUAACUCUCUUAAUCCUCCAGACUUGGGAAUCCAGAUUCGAUCCAUAAAACACUGGACUCCGUCACUUCUGAUCUCAAGUUUCUUUUCCAUCCCUCUCAAAGCUUCAGUUGUCACGUUCUCAGGUUUCAGGGCUUCUAACUGAGCUUCUCGGAUUUGCACGGGUAGGUUGGAAUGGAUGGUUAUCGACUGACUCUUCACUUUGUUACUGGUAUUCUCCUUUCGGCUAAGGGCAUCUGCUACCACAUUGGCCUUGCCGGGAUGGUAGCGGAUUUCACACUCAUAAUCACUGAGUAGCUCUACCCAUCGCCUUUGUCUCAUGUUCAGGUCUUUUUGGUCAAAGAUAUGUUGCAGGCUCUUAUGAUCAGUAAAGAUCGUGCACUUAGUUCCGUAAAGGUAAUGUCUCCAAAUCUUCAAUGCAAAAACUACGGCUCCAAGCUCCAAGUCGUGUGUGGUAUAGUUGACCUCGUGUAUUUUCAACUGCCUAGAGGCAUAAGCAAUCACUUUUCCUCUCUGCAUAAGCACACAACCUAAACCUUGAGUAGACGCAUCGCAGUAGACAACAAAGUCCUCUGUCCCUUCGGGUAAGGAUAGGACAGGCGCGCUGCACAGAGCUUUCUUCAACGUCUGAAAUGCGGUCUCUUGCUUAUCACCCCAACAAAAGGGUACACCUUUCUGUGUUAGAGUGGUUAGAGGUUUGGCGAUUCGGGAAAAGUUUUGGAUGAACCUUCGAUAAUAGCCAGCGAGACCCAAGAAUUGUCGGAUUUCUGUGGGUGUCUUCGGUGCUGACCAAUUCUCUAUUGCCUUAAUCUUGGAAGGAUCAACAUGAAUACCCUCCUCACUUAUCACAUGACCAAGGAAAGUUACCUUCCGUAUCCAAAACUCACAUUUUGAAAACUUUGCGUAUAGCUUUUCGGAUCUAAGGGUUUCCAAUACUAGCCUCAAGUGUUGUUUGUGGUCUUCUUCGCUUCGGGAGUAAACGAGGAUGUCGUCAAUGAACACGAUGACGAAUUUGUCUAAGAAGGGAUGGCACACCCGGUUCAUAAGGUCCAUGAACACUGCCGGUGCGUUGGUUAAACCGAAGGGCAUCACUACGAACUCGUAGUGUCCAUAUCGAGUCCUGAAGGCUGUUUUGGGCACAUCACUUUCAUGAACUCGCAACUGAUGGUACCCUGACCUAAGGUCUAUCUUAGAGAAGUAACUGGCUCCCUGAAGUUGAUCGAAGAGGUCAUCUAUACGUGGAAGAGGAUAUCGGUUCUUAACAGUCAACUUGUUUAAUUCACGAUAAUCUAUACACAUUCGAAAGGAUCCAUCCUUCUUCUUGACAAACAAAACCGGGGCUCCCCAGGGUGAGGAACUCGGUCUGAUGAAUCCCUUGCUAAGCAACUCGUUAAGUUGACUGGAUAGCUCCUGCAUCUCUGCUGGAGCUAAGCGGUACGGAGACUUCGCUACAGGAGUAGCCCCAGGAAUUAGAUCAAUACGAAACUCGACCUGACGCUCAGGAGGGAUUCCUGGAAGCUCUUCGGGAAACACAUCAGGAAAAUUGCAGACCUCGGGGAUGCUCGCGAGGUUUUUAACUUCUUGAUUUUCGUUGAUUACGUGAGCCAAGAAUGCAACACACUCCUUACGCAGGAGUUUCUGAGCUUUGAUGCAGGAGAUGAUACGAAGGUUGGAACCGAGUUUGUCGCCAUAGAUCACUAGAGUUUGACCAGAAGGAAGGUUAAGACGGAUGGCUUUUUCGAAGCAAAGGAUAUCUGCAUGAUUGGGGCUCAACCAAUCCAUGCCAAUAAUGACAUCAAAGCUCUUUAUGGAUACUGGCAUAAGAUCGACAGGGAACGAAUGGUCGUUUAAGGUAAGAAUGCAAUCUACGAAUACCUCACUCGCACUUUCUUUCUCUCCGUUUGCCAUUUCAACGGUAAACAUUUCAGUUAGUGGUUGGGAAUUAUGUUUUAGGUUAUGUUUGAAUGCAUGACUAAUAAAACUUCUUUCAGCGCCCGAAUCGAAAAGAAUAUUAGCAUACGAGUUGUCGAGAAGAAACGUACCCGAGACAACAUUGGGAUCAGCAACUGCUUCUUCUCGUCCCAUAGCAAGAACUCUUCCUGUGUUGCCAGCAGUAGUCUUCUUGGGGCAGUUCCUUUUAAAGUGCCCGGCUUCACCACAAUUAUAACAGGCUUGACCAACGCCUGUUCCAGAGGAUUGAUUUGCUGAAUGAGUCGGAGCUUUGCAGUAUCGAACAGUGUGUCCCUUUUUACCACAAUUGGUACAAGAUAGUUCUCGACAGGGACCAGGGUUGUGGUGAUACUUGCAUUUUUCACAGAGAGGGAGGUUACCAACAUAUCGGCUAGUAGGAGUUGAGGCUGUGGAUCCCAUGACAGAAACUGCAGUAACAGGAGUAACAGUAGACAGGUACAGGUGCCAUGUUUCCAAAAGAUGGAGUUCAUUCAAGACUCGUCUUUUAUUUUGAUAUGUAUAUUUUUGGUGUCUAUAUAACUUGACAGAACACACAUGUAUGAAAUUAUAUUAUUAAUGCAAUGGAUGAUGUUGUAGCUUGUUUACUAUUAUUCAUUGUUGUGAUACUGUACAUGAUGUCCUCCGCCCCAGAACGUUUCCGCCACUCAUGGUUUUGGGGUGUGACAUAUUGGUAUUAGAGUAUUUUUAUAGUGAAUUGAGUAUAUCAACCCAUAAAAGAUAUACGAACUAUAAAUACAAUGGGAUAAAAGUACUCUGACCAAGAGUUUAUACUUUAAAUAUUAAAAUAUUUAAUUAAGUAUACGUGCCUACAUUCAUACUAAAAUUAGUGUCACUAAGACAUUACAAAAAUAUUACGAUUGUUGGGCAACACAAGUAGACUUAGAGACAUAUAGUCAAAACUGGGAAGAUAUAGCCUGAUCAACUAUAUUAUCCGACGGUUGACUAGCAUGUGCCUAAGUGUGGUCGUGAGGUUGCAACAAGUCUAAAAACUUACCCACAAUACCACAAUAAGAACAAUAGAACCUAAACUUAAAGUACUAUCAGAGUAUUUUGCAUUACUAUAAGUUACUUAUGUACUAGAUUUUUAUACCUCUCUUCUCGCGUAGAUUUAAUGGUUGGAUUCCACUUUCCCGGAGACCCGUACUAUCCCAACCACGGCAAUGCAGGAUGGCUGGAAGAAGAACCAGAAGAUGAUCUUCCAAUUCCUUUGGAUGAUCAUGAAGCUAAAGGCUUUUCUGAUGGUUCUGACUCAGAGCCAGAGGUCAACAACCUACCUCCAGCUGAUCAAAACCCAAACCCUCACCCAACAUUUCAAGAACCCACACCCUUGUGGGCAACCAACCUGAAUCGCUGGAGCGACGAGCAGGGUCAACCCUUACCUUACUUUGGGGACCAAAGCUUUUACAACCUCAGCGCAGGUGGCUCUGCUGAUCGAGCUCUGCCCGUCAUUGUCCGCAGAAUAGCUCGUAAUGUUGACCAGGGUCAAGCAGCCAUCAAUCGAGUCAUGGAAAUAGAUUCCAACUCUAGUGUCAACACUGUCCGCAUUCGCCAGCUAGAGUCUGCUCACAAAAGGGCUCUGGUUCACAAUGCAGCUCUUCGGAGGGAACUCACAAAAACCCGAGCUGAAGUCAGAGAACUUCGAGUGCAGCAAGCAAGAGCUGAUAGGCGCAUGAGGGACAUAGAACGUCUCCUGUCGGGAUCAAGAAAUCACUCUGGUAGUUCUCGUCGCCGAUAGAUUCUCAUCAACUUCUCUCUUUUGGAUAUAACCUAGUUAUGUAAAACUCUGGUCUAAUUCCUUAUCUUUGUAAAUCAUAGGCCUGUUAGGUCUUGGUUAGGUUGUAAUUCUGUCAAAAUUUUCCCAUUUUGGUUGAUGUAAGGCCUCCUUCUGUUGGCCGUUUUUCCCAAACUUGUUACAUCUGUAAUUCCAGUAAUAUUGACAGGUACCUAAUCUUAUGGGAAUUAUUAUCCAAAUUUGUUAAUCUAUUAGUUCUAGAUUUUCAUUCAAUCGUAUUGUUGGGCUAUGGAGAGUUAGUCCAUGAGUCAUUCUCAUCAAUUCUUCCAUUAAAUUCUUAUCAAUGUUUUCAUCUUCAUAAACUUAUAGAUCAAAGAUGCCGCCUCGCAGAAAUCCAAGGAGAAACCUUAAUAAUGAAACNAAUAACGAAACACCGACACCACCUCCUCAACCACCUACUCCUCAGUUCGACGCGACAGCCUUAAAUGUUGCUGUAGCUGCAACUGUGGCUACAGCCAUGGCUCAAUAUCAUUCAUUUGGUUCCACUGGAGGAGGAACCUUGUCCUGUCUACUCAUGGUGAAAUCCUGGUGCGCUUGAAAGAGUGCUCCUACAAGGACUUCACCAACUGCAACCCAUUGUCCUUCAAGGGGACUGGCGGAGUCAUUGCCCUCUCGCAAUGGUUCGAGAAAACCGAAUCGGUUUUCAAAAUCUGCUCUUGUCCCGAGGAGAGCAAGGAGAAGUUUGCUACUUGCACCUUCGAAACGAAAGCCCUAACAUGGUGGAACCGCCAUGUUAAGUCACUAUCUCUUAUAGUGGCUAAUGCUAUGGGCUGGGAAACUUUGAAAUACCUCAUGAUUGAGGAGUACUGCCCGAGGGGCGAGAUUCAAAAGCUAGAGGAAGAGCUAUGGAGCCUAACCAUGAAGGGCUCCAACGUACUCACCUACACCGCUAGAUUCUGCGAGCUGGUGGCCCUCUGUCCCAACAUGAUUCCUUCAGAGGGAAAGAAAAUCGAGAGAUACAUAUGGGGGUUGGCGCCACCAUACCAGGGAAAUGUUUUAGCAUCACACCCCACUACAUUUGAUAGUGCCAAACGAUUGGCACAACGGCUCAUAGACCAUGGGGUUCGUACCCCGGCCGCAACAACUACCCUGGCCAUCUCAUAACCUAUGAGAACUGUUGAUUCCAAGCGGAAGUUUUGGGAUGACAAGAAGAAGGCUAAGGCUGCCAAAAAGCAGCAGGUUGUGGCAGUACAUGCUGCGAUAGCACCUACUGCUGCUGCUCCGGUAAAGCAGUACGCUGGAAGUUUGCCUAAGUGCAACAAAUGCAACUUCCAUCACGUCGGAGCCUGCCGGGAGAUGCAGUGUCUGAACUGCAACGGGAAGGGGCACACUACCCAUUUCUUUAAAGCUCCGACAAAUCCAAUCAACCAAGCCCCCGGUGCUGGAGUGGGCCAAACUUGCUACGGAUGUGGCGAGGUAGGCCACUUCAAAAGAAACUGCCCGAAGGCAGGGUUUGCCGAUGGAGCGACAAGAGUUCUGGCCAUAGGCCAUGAGGGCGGUUGCCGACCCCACAUGGUCACUGGUACGUUCCUCCUUGAUAACUCUUAUGCAUGCAUUCUAUUUGAUAGUGGAGUGGAGAGGAGUUUCGUGAACCAAAAAUUUGCUCAUUUACUUAAGCAAAAACCAUGAGCACUUAAUGAACCGUUCACUGUAGAAAUGGCUAAUGGAAAGACAGAGAGCACUAGCAGUAUAUUCAUAGGGUGUACCCUAACUUUAGAUACCCAUUCAUUUUCGAUCGAUCUCAUGCCGGUCUCCAUUAAAAGUUUCGACGUCAUUAUCGGCAUGGAUUGGUUGAGUCUCCAUCGUGCCAAUAUCAUGUGUUAUGUAAAGAUUGUUCGCCUUAAUCUGCUGUCUGGCAAAACCCUAGUAGUUUAUGGCGACAAACCCGGCACGAACCUUCGUAUCAUCUCGAGCAUCCAAGCUCAGAAAUUCUUGUGAAAGGAAUGCCAUGCAUUCCUUGCUCAUGUGGUCGAUGUGAGCCAAGAAACGAAGGACAUUCAGAACAUUCCAAUAGUACGUGACUUACCUGACAUCUUUCCAGAAGAACUCCCAGGAUUACCUCCACAACGUCAAGUCGAGUUCCGAAUCGACUUAGUUCCAGGGGCUACCACCGUAGCCAAAUCGCCCUAUCGUCUAGCACCUGCAGAGAUACAAGAACUGUCCGGUCAACUUAACGAACUGCUCAGCAAGGGCUUUAUAAGACCAAGCUUCUCACCCUGGGGAGCUCCAGUCUUGUUCGUCAAGAAGAAGGACGGAUCGUUUCGUAUGUGCAUCGACUACAGGGAGCUCAACAAACUGACGGUCAAAAAUCGUUAUCCAUUUCCUCGUAUUGACGAUUUAUUUAACCAACUUCAAGGGGCGAACUUUUCAAAAAUCGACUUGAGAUCCGGAUAUCACCAACUACGAGUGCUAGGGGAGGAUGUUCGAAAGACAUCCUUCCGAUCUCGUUAUGGGCACUACGAAUUCGUAGUGAUGCCGUUCGGAUUAACAAACGCGCCCGCUGUAUUCAUGGACUUAAUGAAUAGGGUGUGUCGUCCUUACUUGGAUCAAUUCGUCAUCGUCUUCAUCGAUGACAUACUUAUCUACUCUCGUAGUAAGGAGGAGCAUAGUCAACAUCUGCGACAAGUCCUCGAAACAUUACGUUCGGAGAAGCUCUACGCGAAGUUCUCGAAAUGCAAAUUUUGGAUUCGACGAGUCGAAUUCAUAGGGCACGUGGUUAGCGAAGAGGGUAUACGCGUGGACCCUUCGAAAAUCAAGGCCAUUGAGAACUGGUCAGCACCGAAGACGCCUACAGAAAUUCGUCAAUUUCUAAGCCUCGAUGUCUACUAUCGCAGGUUCAUUCAGAACUUCUCCCGCAUUGGGAAACCUCUUACAACACUGACCUAGAAGGGCGUGGCCUUUGACUGGGAAGAGAAGUAGGAAAGAGCGUUUCAAACGCUCAAACGAGCCUUGUGCACCGCACCAGUACUAUCCCUUCCCAAAGAAAUAGAAGACUUCGUUGUCUAUUGUGAUGUGUCGAAUCAAGGACUCGGAUGUGUUCUGAUGCAGCGAGGUAAGGUCAUCGCCUAUGCCUCGAGACAGCUAAAGACACAUGAGGUCAAUUACACGACUCACGAUCUUGAACUGGGAGCAGUUGUGUUUGCUCUGAAGAUCUGGAGACAUUACUUGUAUGGAACGAAAACACUAUCUUUACAGAUCACUAAAGCUUACACCACAUAUUCGACCAGAAGGAGCUCAACAUGAGACAACGACGGUGGGUCAAGCUACUUAGUGAUUACGAAUGCAAAAUUCGUUAUCAUCCGGGUAAAGCCAACGUAGUAGCUGACGCCCUAAGUCGGAAGGAAUAUUCUGGUCGUAGAGUCAAAUCAUUGACUAUGACUAUCCAUUCACAUUUGUCCACACAAAUUAAGGCGGCUCAGCUCGACGCUUUGAAGCCUGAAAAUGUGGCGGGUGAAUCCCUGAGAGGGAUGGAUAAGAACUUGGAGGUUAAGGGUGGCGGAGCUUAUUAUUUCAUGGACCGGAUCUGGACCCUGAAACUCGGUGGUUUCGGAGACUUGGUCAUGAACAAGGCGCAUAACACUCGUUAUUCCGUGCACCCGAGAUCAGAUAAGAUGUAUCUGGAUCUCAAAAAGUUAUACUGGUGGGGUAACAUGAAAGCAGAGAUUGCUACCUUCGUGAGUAAAUGCCUUACUUACGCAAAGGUCAAGGUUGAAUACCAGAAACCCUCCGGUCUAUUACAACAGCUUGAGAUACCAGAAUGGAAGUGGGAGCGGAUAACUAUGGAUUUCAUAACCAAGUUGCUCAAGACAACGGGUGGACUUCAUACCAUAUGGGUCAUCGUCGAUAGAUUGACCAAGUCUGCACACUUCCUACCAAUCAAAGAAACAGACAAGAUGGAAAAACUUACAAGAACAUACAUUAGGGAGAUUGUACGACUGCACGAUGUUCCCUUAUACAUUAUCUCGGACAGAGAUUGUUGAUUCACUUCGAGGUUCUGGUAGUCGUUACAAAGUUCCUUAGGAACUAGGUUGGACAUGAGUACAACCUACCAUCCACAGACCGACGGGCAAAGUGAGAGAACUAUCCAAACCUUGGAAGAUAUGUUGCGAGCCUGUGUGAUCGACUUUGGGAAAGCAUGGGAUACUCAUUUACCCCUUGUCGAAUUUUCCUACAACAACAGUUAUCACACGAGCAUAAAGGCUGCUCCAUUCGAGGCCCUCUAUGGCCGAAAGUGCAGAUCCCCUCUGUGCUGGGCUGAGGUGGGUGAUACCUAGUUAGCUAAAAGACGAGUUCCUGACAGCACUCUCACAGGUCCGAAAAUCAUACGGGAAACGACGGAGAAGAUCGUUCAGAUCCGUGAACGAUUGAAAUCCUCCAGAGACUGACAAAAAAGCUACGCUGAUAAACGUAGGAAACCGUUGGAAUUCCAGGUGGGUGACCGUGUUCUAUAGAAGGUCUCACCCUGGAAGGGCUUGAUACACUUCGGAAAGCGUGGAAAGCUAAAUCCAAGGUACGUAGGGCCUUUCGAGAUUCUUGCAAGAAUCGGCCCUGUAGCUUACAAACUUAACUUACACCGCGAACUCAGUAACGUACAUUCUACCUUCCACGUAUCGAACUUGAAAAAAUGUCUGUAUGACGAAACUCUUGUUAUUCCACUCGACGAGAUCGAGAUCAACGAGAGCCUCAACUUCGUGGAGGAACCAGUAGAGAUCAUGGACCGAGAGGUCAAGCAAACGAAACAAAGUUGUAUCGCAAUAGUGAAGGCUCGCUGGAACGCCAAGCAAGGACCGGAAUUCACUUCGGAGCGUCAGGAUCAGAUGAAACUGAAAUAUACUCGUCUUUUUUACUUAGUUAUUUGUAACUACUUAUUUGCUUAAAUUCUAAUUUCGGGACGAAAUUCCUUCCAAGGAGGGGAUGAUGUGACAAACAAUUUCUAUUAUGUACAAACAUAUCAAGUCAAUAGAAGUCAGAACAGUUGCUGUUAAUUUUCAGACUUUUUAGAAUAAGUUUGAGUAUUUAAGGAUUCACACUUUAGAGAUAUCAGGAGAGAGGAUGCACUAGGGUUAUUGUGCAACACUGUUAUUCCAAAACUCUAAGAAAUUAGAGUUUAUUGCCUGAAUAAAAUAUUUUCUGCCAAAAACCCUAAAUUUAGGAGUAUAUAUAUGAGAACUUGUCAUUAUUUACACUUUUUCCAAAAACUCAAGAUCCAAACCCAUUUCUUUCUCAAGUAUCAUCCAAAAGAUUUUCAAGAUCUUCAAACUAGUAAGUGAUUCUAGUUUUCUUAUGUGGUUAUAUGGCUUAAUCUAGUGUUUUAACACUCUUCUAACCGUGAAAUCAUUCCAAAAGGUUGAUUCUUCCAUUUACACCAAGAACACCAAGAACACACACUGCAUGGAAAGCUAAAUCCAAGGUACGUAGGGCCUUUCGAGAUUCUUGCAAGAAUCGGCCCUGUAGCUUACAAACCUAACUUACACCGCGAACUCAGUAACGUACAUUCUACCUUCCACGUAUCGAACUUGAAAAAGUCUCUGUCUGACGAGACUCUUGUUAUUCCACUCGACGAGAUCGAGAUCAACGAGAGCCUCAACUUCGUGGAAGAACCAGUAGAGAUCAUGGACCUAGAGGUCAAGCAAACGAAACAAAGCUGUAUCCCGAUAGUGAAGGUUCGCUGGAACGCCAAGCAAGGACCGGAAUUCACUUCGGAGCAUCAGGAUCAGAUGAAACUGAAAUAUACUCGUCUUUUUUACUUAGUUAUUUGUAACUACUUAUUUGCUUAAAUUCUAAUUUCGGGACGAAAUUCCUUCCAAGGAGGGGAUGAUGUGACAAACCGAAAUUUCUAUUCUGUACAAACAUAUCAAGUCAAUAGAAGUCAGAACAGUUGCUGUUAAUUUUCAGACUUUUUAGAAUAAGUUUGAGUAUUUCAGGAUUCAUACUUUAGAGAUAUUAGGAGAGAGGAUGCACUAGGGUUAUUGUGCAACACUAUUAUUCCAAAACUCUAAGAAAUUAGAGUUUACUGCUUGAAUAAAAUAUUUUCUGCCAAAAACCCUAAAUUUAGGAGUAUAUAUAUGAGAACUUGUCAUUAUUUACACUUUUUCCAAAAACUCAAGAUCCAAACCCAUUUCUCUCUCAAGUAUCAUCCAAAAGAUUUUCAAGAUCUUCAAACUAGUAAGUGAUUCUAGUUUUCUUAAGUGAUUAUAUGGCUUAAUCUAGUGUUUUAACACUCUUCUAACCGUGAAAUCAUUCCAAAAGGUUGAUUCUUCCAUUUACACCGAGAACACCAAGAACACACAUUAGUGUUCUUGGACUUUUAGCUCAUAUCAAGCUUCCAUAUAGUAAGUACUUCUAUCCUAGAGUCUUAUAAAACUUGUUAUACAUCUUUACAUCAAGAAAAUGUCCCAAGAACAAGGUGUUCACGGUUCAAGAAGUUCUUGAACCGUAAACACCAAGUAAAGAUGCCAAAGUGUGCUUAGUCCCUUCCUAUGCCUUAGUAACUAACAUGGAUCCAUUCUUUGGUGAGCUAAGGACUUGAAAACCCCCCAAAAUACCAUGAACCUUAUGAGUUUAUGGUAGUAAACUCAAAGGAAAAUGGUUUAGGAACCAUAAACUCCAAAUAGGAGUGAAAUGGUACCCUAGUUCCUUCCAUAGACACAUAGUUCAAGUAGAAAAGCUUCUAGAGACUUUUUAAGGCUUCAAACAACAAAUGGUCAAAAGUGUAUGAGCUUAUGGCCAUAAACUCAAGGGUUUACGACCGUAAACUCUUUUGUUAGUGACCACAAAACCGUAAACUCCCUAAUGGAGUUUUCCUUGAACCCCAAACACACUAGCCUUUCCNAACACUUAGAUGCAAUCCUUGGGACUUAUAACACAUGUAUAAGGUGUUUAGCAUGUCCUAGGGUGUCUUAACUUUGUUUAUUAGUUGUUUAAAGACUAAUUGGAUACACGUAUGUGAUAUUAUAUGUUAACUAGGAUCAUAGAGUGUGUUCAAGACUUCAGUUGACACCUAGCAAUCCUACAUCUUCAAUUCAUCCGUACCACUCACUACAGGUGAGUUCAUACCACUUAAUCAAUGGUUUAAAACUUUUUAAAUGCUUUUAUGGGGGGAAUACAAGUUGAAUACUUAUAGUUAUUAUAUCAAUCACAUGUGAUUAAUAACUACCAAACCAGUAGUUUGCUUACUGUUCAAACUGUUUAUCGAACUGUUUUGCUUCAAACUGUUUUAAAAACUCUUUUACUUAUCAAAUACUUUUACUUAAACUCUUUUAUACUUAUUAUCAAAUGCAUGCCUACGUAUGUACAUAUAAGCAAUGUUUAAAGGGCUUAGGAAGGCCAGCUUGCAUUAUCUCCUUUUCCUCGUUGGGAUGUGGCUAUAGGGCAUCGGUUAUCCGUCCGAAGGUCGUCUAAUAUAUUAUGUAUACAUAUAUAAACAUAGAAGUUAUUUCAUCCAGUUCCAUACCUUUGGGUAGCAAGGGAUUCACAAACAUGAUCAUGCAUUACUAGUAAGCUACCAUAGGGGUAGCACAGGAAGAUUCUAAUACUAUUACUAGAACAAUGAAACAUACAAUGAGUCAGUUCAUUCAUGAGUCCAUACGAGUAGCACACAGAGUACAUUACUAUACAUGCUAGAUAGGGAUUCCAUGUUUUUGAGUUACUUUUGGAGCACUUUGUGGAGGAAAGUUGGACUUGGUUUAGGUGCAUAUGAGGAAAGAACGUUUUCCUAACAAAAGGAAGAACAAAAGUUGAUGCCAAGAGCUGAAGGUCCAUACAAAGUGGGGACACAUGUCAAUGAUAAUGCUUAUAAGGUGGAUCUGGGAGGAGACCAUGGAGUGCAUGCUACCUUUAAUGUGGGAGACCUUUCAACGUAUCUAGUUGAGGAUGGACUUGAUGAAUUGAGGUCAUUUCCUUUCAAAGGGGGAGGAGAAGAUCCAUGCAUGGAUAAUGAAAGCCCAAAAGGUGAUGGAUUAAUGAUUACUAGUUGGCUAGAAGGUGGUUUGUACUCAAUGGUUGGGUUGUGCAUGGUAACCUAUGUAUUGAAUUAGGGUCACAUGAAGGCUAGGGCAACAUUUUAAAGGCUUCAUAAGAGCUCAAAACCGUUACUUUUUGCUUCAUCAAGCCUUCUAGCCAUUUUUGAUACUCUUUGGUGGAUUUGGGUUACACUUUAAUGCUUCUUUUGGCUCCUUAACGGAACAUGGACGCUUUUUUCAUUCAUUAGUGUGUCAAACAUUUUUUUUGUGGUUUCAUGAGUUUCUUUAAUUUUCAUUAUUAGUUUUACUGAGUAGUUGGUUGGGUGGCUUGUAACCACCAACUUUGUAAUAAAGGCUUCAUAUAAGCCAAGUAUGCAUGGAAAAAAGAGAUAGAUAAAAUUUUAAUCAAAAAUGUAACAACCCGAAGUUGUUCAUCGCCGAAAACCCAUUCUACCUGUAUAACUCGUCGUAUAUCAAUUCGUUCCGAUGUCGUUUUUUGGGUUAAAUUAAUUAAACUUAUAUGUUUAAUUGAUGCUAAUGAGUGUCCAAACCUGUUAGGAACUCACGAAAUUAGUCCAAAAUGCUUAUUCCAAAAAUUUUAGAAACGUCCUCGCCGAGUUACGGAAACUUAACCGGGUGCGACCAAAAGCCCAGUUUAGUGCCGGUAUCGGGUAGAAUUUCAUCGUGUCCAAGUUUUGGGACCUAUUUAAACGUGUUCAAGCUUUCAUUUGAAGCUUUUGCUUCAUCUCUCUACUCUCUCUCUAACCUCUCUCCUAAAUCCAAGUUUAAGGGUCCAAAUCUCAAGUUUAAGGCUUCUAAUCACCAAGGUACCUUCCUUAACUCAUUGUGUAUCAUAUUUGACCUUCAAAUUCGAGAUUAAAGCAUGAAAUAGGACCUUGUAUAUGAGUUUACGGCCCUGGAAGGUGCCUAGGCCGUAAACACUAAUUUAAAAGGGUUUUAAGCCCUUAAACCCUUCCUAGACACAAACAAGACUUAGAUAUGACUUCUAGAAUAUUAGUAUUGGCCUUACGGAUUUUAUUUUCAUAUCUAUCUUUGAUCUAUUGAAAUUAUAUCUAGUACUAGAUGGUAUUCCAGUGGUUUUGAAUUUAUAUCUUAUCUAAUCUAUGGUUUUACUGGAUGGUAUUCCUAGUGGUUUUGAAUNNNNNNNNNNNNNNNNNNNNNNNNNNNNNNNNNNNNNNNNNNNNNNNNNNNNNNNNNNNNNNNNNNNNNNNNNNNNNNNNNNNNNNNNNNNNNNNNNNNNNNNNNNNNNNNNNNNNNNNNNNNNNNNNNNNNNNNNNNNNNNNNNNNNNNNNNNNNNNNNNNNNNNNNNNNNNNNNNNNNNNNNNNNNNNNNNNNNNNNNNNNNNNNNNNNNNNNNNNNNNNNNNNNNNNNNNNNNNNNNNNNNNNNNNNNNNNNNNNNNNNNNNNNNNNNNNNNNNNNNNNNNNNNNNNNNNNNNNNNNNNNNNNNNNNNNNNNNNNNNNNNNNNNNNNNNNNNNNNNNNNNNNNNNNNNNNNNNNNNNNNNNNNNNNNNNNNNNNNNNNNNNNNNNNNNNNNNNNNNNNNNNNNNNNNNNNNNNNNNNNNNNNNNNNNNNNNNNNNNNNNNNNNNNNNNNNNNNNNNNNNNNNNNNNNNNNNNNNNNNNNNNNNNNNNNNNNNNNNNNNNNNNNNNNNNNNNNNNNNNNNNNNNNNNNNNNNNNNNNNNNNNNNNNNNNNNNNNNNNNNNNNNNNNNNNNNNNNNNNNNNNNNNNNNNNNNNNNNNNNNNNNNNNNNNNNNNNNNNNNNNNNNNNNNNNNNNNNNNNNNNNNNNNNNNNNNNNNNNNNNNNNNNNNNNNNNNNNNNNNNNNNNNNNNNNNNNNNNNNNNNNNNNNAAGUAGAACAAAACAUAAGUAAAUGGGUGUUGUACACUACGGUUAAACCUGGGCAGUUAUGUAGUCGUGUCUAGGAUCAAUAUAGCCUGAUCAACUAUAUUCAUUCGAGACACGGCCAACAUGUGCCUGGGAGUGACUGUGGUGUUCAACAUGCCUAAAACUUACCCAAUCCCCAAACAACGAGCCAUCGUCGUAACAAAGCGUGAAAUACUAUGGGAGUAUUUCUAGAUCCAACUUGGUUGUAGAAAACCCUCAUUCAAGUGUUGCCUCUUGAUUAUUCUUUUAGCAAUAAUAUAUUUGUCUUGAUUAUUUAUUCCUACUUUUUCGCUUAAUAGAAUUCUAUGUCUGUCAUAAAGAGAUAUCCCUUGUUUCAUAUCUCUUGAUUUAAUUUAGAGGAUUUACUAUCCUCUUUUCCUAAUCAUUUUAGAUCGAAAUGUCUCCAAAGAAAGGACCCAGCUCAAAGAACAACAACCCUCCGUCACCACCUCCAUCUCAAUUUGACCCUGUGAUGUUUCAGAUAGCUGUCACUGCCGCAGUGACGGCCACAAUGACGUUAUUGUACCCUAGCGGGUUCGGUGGACCAGGAAGUAGCACCUACCCCCAAAACCAUGAAGAUGUUCAGGAGCAUCAGAAUGAGCGUAAUGAGAGUAAUAUGGUUAUCUGGAAAAAAGCGAAAGGGUCAAAGUUCACAAGGACCCUCCAAAAGGCAUGAAUUUGUGGCAGUUCAAGCUGCCACUACUUCUGUUGUGUCUACAGUUCAAGCGCCUACCACUAGGUAUGCGGGUAACCUCCCUUGGUGCAACAAGUGCAAAUAUCACCAUUAUACCCCUGGCCCAUGCCUGGAGAUGAUCUGCAAAAGAUGUGGCAAAAAAGGCCACACCGCUCGAAACUGCAAAACACCAGCCCAACUAGUCAAUCGAGCUUCCGGAUCAAGUACCGAACAGGCCUGCUUUAAGUGCGGUGAAAUCGGGCAUUUCAAGCGAAACUGCCCAAAAACAGCAACCACCAACCAUGCCAACAACGUUGGGAUAGCUCUGGCUAUAAAGCUGGAAGAGGCAACCGCUGAUUCCACCUCCGUCGCGGGUACGUUUCUUCUCGACAAUUCUUAUGCAUGCAUCCUUUUAGAACCUAGUGUCAAGGAAGUUUUAUUAGUCAUUAUUCUAGUAUCUUCAUAAACAUAGUCCUCGUCUAAUAACCGAAACAUUUACCGUUGAGAUGGUUAAGGUGAGAAUGAGUGCACUAACGAAUUAUUCCUAAACUGUACCCUUACCUUGAGUAAUCAUUCUUUCCUCGUUAACCUAAUGUCAGUUUCAAUAAAGAACUUUGAUGUUAUCAUUGGCAUGUAUCGGUUGAAUCCCAAUCAUGCUGAUACCCUUAGUAUUGAAAAGGCCAUCUGUCCCAAUUUCCUCUCUGGUCAAACCCUCAUGAUCUACGGCAAUAAAUUCAGUUCCAACCUUCAUAUCAUUUCGUGCAUCUAAAAAUCAAAAGGUUUUCCUGACAGGAAUGUCAUGUAUUCCCAGACUACGAAACCAACGAGAAACAGAACGUCAAAAACCUUGAAAGCAUCCCCGAAGUCUGCAAUUUUCUUGAUGUCUUUUCCGAAGAGCUCACAGGAAUUCCCUUCAGACAUCAAGUAGAGUUUUGCAUCGACCCAAUUCCCGGAGCAAACCCUAUAACCAAAUCCCCGCAUCGAUAGGCUCCAGCAGAAAUGCAGAAGCUACCCAGUCAGCUUCGAGUUCACGAGAGUGAUGUUUCCAAAACAGCAUUCAGAAUUCGAUAUAGUCACUACAAAGAUGUAGUGAUACCCUUCGGUCUAACCAUUUUCUUUGGCCAUGUAGUAAUCGAAGAAGGCAUGUUACAUUCUGAAAACUCGUAUCCCAAGGUGCAUAGAACUUUUCGAAAUCCUCAUUAGGAUCGAUCCUGUAGCAUACAAACUCCGACUACCCUCAGAACUUAGUAGUAUCCAUCCUGUCUUCCUCGUCUCAAAUCUUCAGAAGUGCCUGCCCAACGAAACCCUAGUAAUUCCGAAAUCAACGAAAGUCUGAACCUCCAUGGAAGAACAAAUUGAGAACAUAGAUCAAGAGGUUAAACGUAUGAAACAAGCCAUAUCCCGAUAAGUGAACGGUUCCCCGAAAUGCCAUGUGAGAAUCCGAAUUCACUUGGAAGCGUGAUGAUCCCAUAGGACAGAAGUAUCCGUAUUCUCUUUUCAAAUCUGCGAGUCGCAUCUAAAGUAUGAAUUUCGGGACGAAAUUCCCUCUAACGGGGGGAUAAUGUGAUAACCCGAAGUUCGUUCCGUCAUCAUAACCCGGUUCCAUUAGUAAAGCCGUUAUGUUCCAAAAUUUUCCGUUAACUUUGUUUUAAUUUAAUUUAUUUGCAACUUCUAUUUAAAUUUCAUAAGUUUCGGGAUACAUUUUAAUUCAUUAAAAUAUUUUCUAUUUUCAUUUAGAAAAUAUUUAGUUUCAUCAAAGUCAUAAUUACGGUAAAUUAAUUGGGUGCAACCAAAAGCCCCACUUAUCAGCAGUAUUGGGUAGAAUUCCACCAUGUCCUAAACCUUGAGCAUAUAUAAAGUUGAGAGAGCCUCAUUUGAAGCCUUUCCACUCUCUCUCUACUCUCUCUACUUUCUCUCUCUAGAAAUCGAAAUCAAGCCAAAAAUCAUCCAAAACAAGCUCCAAAUCAUCAAGGUAACUAUCCUAACUCCUAGUAUAACCCCUUUGGCCUUCAAAUUCGUGGAUUAUAUGAGGAAUAGAACCAUAAACAUGUGUUUACGGUCCUAGAAUCUCCUUAGGCCGUGAACACAUGUAACGUGGGGUUUUUGAGCCUUNGGGGGGGGGGGGGUUUGAGCCUUAAAACCCUUCUAAACCUCAUUUGGAGCCUAGAUAUAUGACCUAAGGACUUGCAUGCAUGGAUUUACAACACCUUAAACUCUUCAUUUAGGGCAUGAACAUGAUUUUACGGCCCAAGCACAUACUUGGACCGUAAACACCUAUUCUUGGGGAGUAAACUCAAUUUAAGGUGUUAGUUUGCCCCUAAACACCUCCAAUAAGCUUCCAUGAGAGUAUAGAACCCUAUAAUCCUUCAAGAAAUGCACCAAAACUUACACAAAUGGGACAAACUUGAGCUUACGGUCCAAGAGCAUUAUUAGACCGUAAACUCAUAUCCUUAGACCUUAAACUCAUCUCCUUAGACCUUAAACUCAUCCAAUGGGUGUUAAAGUGCCCUUAACACCUUGUAUGGUUUAGAAAUGGGUCUAGAGCUUAGUAUGCUUAACUUUCAACCACUAAAACUCAUGAAUCAUGGACAAACAUGAGUUUAAGGUAGUAAACUCGUGUUUAAGGUGGUAAACUCGUGUUUAAGGUAGUAAAUUCGUGUUUAAGGUAGUAAACUUCCGAAGAACAUCUUCAUAGACCUAAACUCUUAUCCAAGGUCAUUUAGAGUUCCAAUCACUUCCUAAGCCAUGGAAUCAACCCUAGAACCUUCCCGUGUGCAUUGUAUGACCAUUUGGCAUCCAAGAACCCACCACCCAUGAGUUUACGGCCGUAAACUCAUGGGGAUAUGGUCAAUGGACCGUGAACUCCUCAAGGAGUUUACUCUUGAAGAGUAAACUCCAUAUCUAGGUCCUACACAUCCAUAGAUGCCCCCGGGUGAGUCCGAACACUUGAAUUGAAGUUUUUCACGCCUCAAAGUGUAUAAUCAUAUCUAAUUAGUGAUUUAAAGUCUAAUUAGAUACAUUUGUAUCUCAUUUCAUAUUUCAUAGGAUCCUCGCGCGUUAUCAAGCCCGGAUCCGACACAUAGCAUCCUAGACGACACGUUCUUCGACUGGUGAGUUCAUACCCCUACCCUUUUUCCGUGUUUUCAAUGUUUUCAGGGGGGAAUACAAGCAAACUAUAAAUGUUUUCAAAACCUAAAACUGAUGUGUUUCUAUAAAUAUCUGGCUAACUUUUAGAUAUCUUUACCCCUUUAUGUAUUAAGCUGAGCAUAAAGGAUGUUUUAUCGAUUAUAACUACAUGGAUUUCAGUAAAGGAAACAAUCAAAUCAAUCAAAUUAUUAUGGGAAUAAUUUGGGAUCUUUAGUUCCUAUUUAACAAGCAAAGAUUUAUGUAAAGUUAUUAGAUAAACUAUGUCUGAUUCAGUUUAUCUCUAUUUAAUUUAGAAUAUAUUGCCAGAUAAUUUCAUUGUAUUUAACUGUUUUCACCGUAUAUUGUUUCUAUAUGAUUAGUAUGUUGAUAACGUCUGAGAACACCGUGAAUAAAUUAAAUACUAGCUUGUGAGAUUCCUCAAUACCCUUUGGGUUAUCAGUAAAUCCUCCCCAGAAGUUUAACCAGAGUCUCCUGGAGGGAGAGCGUGGAAUUUGUGAAUAUAUCUAUUCGGGACUGACAAUCCUACACCUAAACUGCUAGCUACAGUUAGGCGGGCACGCCUGGGGUGACAAAUUCUGGAUAUCAUCCGACGUCUGACGAACGUCAAGGAGGUCUCGGUGUUGCAUCAGCUUGGUUACCCGACUGACAAUACAUAUUAAUAUAAGUUUAUUCACGGAUUUUAUUUUCAUAUCUAUCUUUGAUCUAUUGAAAUUAUAUCUAGUACUAGAUGGUAUUCCCAGUGGUUUUGAAUCUAUAUCUUAUAUAUAUAUAUAUAUANGCGUACCCAAAGUUCUAUUAUUCACCUUCGUUUGCACAUCAAUUUGUGGAUGAUGGGACGUACUAAAAAGUAAAUUAGUAAGAACUUUUCUCUACAAAGUGUUCCAAAAGUAACUCAAAAGCAUGUAAUCCCUAUCAGAAACAAUAGUUUUAGGAAUAUUAUGCAAGCGAACCACCUCUUUAAAGUACAAAUCAGACAGAUUAGAUGCAUCAUUGGUUUUAUGAUAUGGCACAAAGUGAGCCAUUUUUGAAAACCUAUCCACUAGCACUAAAAUGGAAUCAUUUCCCCUUUCAGUUCUAGGCAAAGCAAUACUUCCUUAUUGGUAGGUCUAUAAUUAUAGAGUGUAUACUUACAAGGUUUUAUAUAUUAAAGAUCUUAUAGACUCAGAAUGUGUGGUUUCGCUUUACUUCCUUUUCCUUGUUUGGAUGUGGAUAUAGAGUAGUAUCAUAUAUUUGAAGGUCUAUUAAAUCCGAUACAUAUAUAAUUUGUAUGCACUAUGUAAUUCUAGAAGGACCCAAUAAGUAUCACUAUUUAAAAAUGUUUAAUUAACUUUUUAAGAUUCUUUAGACAUUUCCGUUCUCGUAUAAACCAUUUGGAUAGAUGUGGUCACUUCAGCAAUCAGCAGAGAAGUCAACAAGGACUCAGAAGAGAUUCAUUGGGAGGAUUUCCGAGUAGGAAACCGAUGAACACUAAAGAAACAAUAGAAAUCACCCUGUGCCUUUACCUUAUUAGGGACAUUGGUGAGAAGUUCGCCUGAACUUCCAAGAUUCAAACUUUCCAUUAUGAAGUAAUGGGGAUCAGUGUCUGAAUCGGAAGUAAGACGGCAUGGAAAUUCAAUAUACCUACGAAGGAGAAGGACACUGCAUUGGUUCCAGGAGGGAGCCCAGAGUAGCACAAAGAACUGAGGGAAGCCACGCAUGAAACGUGGGAAGUGUUUGUAUACCCAAUGUGUCACCUUAACAAAUUAAUAAAUUAAUACAACCUGGUGAGUUAGUGAUUACACUACUUACAUUGUGUGUUAGGCUUAUCGCCUUUUUCCGUAAUGGCAAAUAUCAUUAAAUCGGAUCACGAAGUCUCAUUUGAGAGUGAUUAUUUCAAAAAAUUCAUAAGUCAUUCCUAUGUAGUCUCCGUUCUAAAUUGCUUCCAAAUCUUUUCCUAGUUGGAGAGUGAUACUCACCAAUCUAAAGAUAACUUACUUCGAGCGACACCCGGUUCAUGACCUUUUUUAAAAACUUACUUCUACCCUUUUACCAGGACUGCAUCAUAGGGAUGUAGGUUGAAACUUUGAGAACCAUAUACUGAGACACGGAGAAAUUUAUAUGUGCAUAUAAAUAAUUAGAAUACAUCUAGAAGCAACCAUCGUCGCUCAAAAACUUGUUCCUCAUCGUGUAACAGCAUCAUGCCUCCGAAGAAACAAAACUAAUCCACCGGCAAAACACCAAUACUUCAGAUAGACUCAGAUACAUUUCAAGUUGCAGUUUCAACAGGGCAGCUGUCAUGACUCAUGUGAAUGCUAACAAUGCAAACGUUAGUAGUAACAUUAUCAGAAAUCCUGAUUGUAGUGAUAACAAAGUACUGCAGCAAGUGCCUGCUUGUAAAGACACACCGAACCUCAACCCUAAGAGUAACAAACGACAGUUUUGGGAUAAAAGGAAGUGCAAAUCAUCUCAAAUGAUGAACAAGAGACAACACCUGGUGGCAACCUCUACAGCCACGACAUCUACUGCUUCUACUACCAUUCCUACUGCUACCCCCAACAAGGCAGUAUGUCGGGAACCUACCCCUAUGCAAGAAGUGCAACUUCCAUCACCUAGGAGUCUGCCGAGUGUUGCACUGCAUUAACAACAACAAGAAGGGGCACACUACCCGUUUCUGCAAAAUUCCAAACAAGCACAUCACUUCAACCACCAAUGUUGGGAUCAGUCCAAUAUGUCACCUAUGUGGUGAAAUAGGACAUUUCAAGAGGGACUGUCCAACAAAAGGAAAUGAUAAAGGCGCAGGAGUAGUUUAACCUCGGAUCAUAAAGAAGUGUUGGAGAACCCUCUAGAAAUUUUGGUAUGCUCCCUAACUUUAACAACCAACUAUAAAUACUCCCUCGUUAAAACAAAAUUUGCAGCACAAUUAUAAACCUCAAAAACCCUGUCAGGUAAAGCUAUGAUGGCCUAGUAUAUACGUUAGGGUCAUUGAUAAUUAAGAUUUGUAGAACUCGAGUGAGUGAUGCAGUCUCAUUUCCUGUUCUUUGUUUGGUUGUGGAUUUAAGGCGGAGUCACUCAGUCAACAGUCUUUCCAAUCUUAAUUAUACAUGACAGGUGUAUACCAGGCGGCUAUAGAGAGGCCUUGUGGGAAUCAUUCCCCUAGAAGUACAUUACUCAAAAUCAUCGGGACUCUCAAAUUGUUAGCGCUCAUUAUUUUCGACUCUAAAAAUCAUGGUGGUAAUACCAUGCGACGAAACCGGGAGCACUGAAGUCUUAUGUGCUUGAUAUAGCACAUCUUCCUGAUAAUCAUUUCUUCCAUAUCGACUCGAUAUCUAUUAUGUCGAGAAAUUCUGACAUCGUCAUCUGUCAUGGUUUGGCACUCACUAUGUAAAAUGUCUGUGCUGAAAAGAACUUUCAUUCUAAUUAAUGUCAAAUAAAAUUAUUCCAGUUAAUAAUGGCAAACCUAUUACAAAUCAUCAUGUCGCCUCUCACAUCAAAACUUCAGAACUACCCGAGUGAGGGGUACCACGUCUUGUUAGGCUACCCAAUAGUCCAUAGAUUACGAAUUUGAAAUUCGUUAUCAUCCCGGUUAAGCCAAUCUAGUAGCUAACACCCUUAGUCGGGAGGAGUAACUCAGAUCAUAGAGUCAAAUCAUCACUAUGACCAUCCAUUCGCAUCUGUCCAUAUGAAUAAAGAUGGCUCAGCAGGAANNGAAACCUAGAAUUUUGUCAGGUGAAACUCGGAGAAGGAUGGAAAAGAACUUAGAAGUCACAGGUGCGAUCAUACCAACACUAAUGCACCGGAUACCAUCAGAAAUCUAUCAUUAAGCGUGCAUGGACAAUGGAGCCUUAUACCACAUAGAUUUGAUCUAGACACCAAAGUUCUGUGACGUCAGAGACAUGGUCAUUAAUGAAGCUCACGAUACUCAACACUCCGUUCAUCCAAAUUCAGACGAGAAGUGUCUAGACCUCAAAAAGUUGUAGUAGUGGCUUGGCAUGCGAGCAAAAGUAUUGUUGCCUUAUAGGUAAGGGUAUUACGCACAUCAAGGUUAAGGUCAGAAUACUAAAAGCCACAGAAUUACCACCACGGUCGAAGACACCUGAGUAGAAGAGGAUGCAUAUUGUGUUGUGCUUCAUAAUCCAGUUACCCAAGGCAUCAGGUUGACACAAUAGACAAGCUAGUGGAACAUGUUUCCGAGAGAUUAGUUAGACUGCUCGGUGUUUAAAUGUCUGUUAUCUCUGUUAGAGAUAGUAGAAUCACCUCCCGAAAUUGUCAAUCACUUCAGAAAAUCUCUGAGGGCUAGGCUAGUCAGGAGCAUAGCCUACCAUCAAGGAAACGACAGACGGAAGAAAAGAACGAUUCGACCAAUAGGGAUUAUGCUGAGAAUGCAUUUAACUGACUUUGCUGAAGUUUGGGAUACCCAAAUUGCCAAACUAGUCAAGUUCUUUACCACCCUGUCAUUUGAAGUUGCUCCAUUCGAAAACCCUCAUUGGUCGUAAGUGCAAAUCCUCUUUGUACUGGACUAAGGUAGGUACCACGCUACUAGUUAGAUGUCAAAUUCCAGACAACACCUUCGCUGAUCUAUAAACCCUUCAAGAAACUACCAAGUAGAAAAUGCAAAUCCGAAAACGACCUAGAACUUCUAGAACCAAUCAGAAAGGCUACGCCUUUAGUAAGAGAAAACCUUUGGAAACUCCAGGAUGGUGAUCACAUCAAGUGAUGGUCUCACCCUGGAAGGAAAUUAUGUUUUAGAUAAUGAGCAUGCUAAAUCCAAGGUACUUAGGACCAUUUGAGAUUCUCGAUAGAAUUGGUCCGACAGCUUACAGGUCCCGACUACUGAGGGAAUUCAAUAAAUUUCACUCUACCCUCCCAUGUCUAUAAAAUUGAAAAAGUGUUUAUCCGGCGAAACUUUUAUUAUCCCACUUGAUUAGGUCGAUGUAAGCUAAAGCCUUGUCUUGGUAAAGAAAUCUAUAAAAAUCCAAUUAAGUAAAAGGAACCCUUGGAAACCCUAUCCAGUGGAGUCCAACGAACGAAAAUGAAACCGUACCUCUUGGUGAAAGUCUACGAAAGCGUAUAACGAGGACUUGAUCCCCCUAGAGAUCAGGUGGAUCAGAUGGAACAUGAGUAUCCGUACCUUUCACCUCAUCCAUGUAUAUUCCUUAGAACUAAAUUUCGGGAUGAAAUUCCCUUUAACGGGGGGAUGAUGUGACAACCCGAAAUUUCUAUCUUGUACAACCAUUCAAUUCAAUCAAAGUCAGACUUUUUUCUGGUAUCUUUUAUCAUUGUUUAGGGUCUGUUUGAGUGUUCUAAGUCUAGUGUAUUCAAGGUUUGGGUUUAGGGAAGAGUUAGCUUAAGUUCAUAGCAAGGCAUUCAGGCCAAACACUCUUUCAAGAGGAGUGUACAGCCAUACACAUGGGUGUACCACCAUACACCCUUCAUGGCCGUGAACUCAUACCCUUAACAAUGAUUUCUUUCAGUUUUCUUCAUUUCCUCACAUUUCCAACGCAAGAACCCCGAUUCUCUCUCAGCUAUCAUCAACUUUUCACCCUGAUCUUCAAGAUUAUAAGUAUUCCUUCCAUUGAUUAGUUGAUACAUAUCUUUAACUAGUGAAGAUCCAUGUUUUCAUCCGUGAAACUUCCUAUUUUGGUUAGAUCUUCAAGUUUCACCAAGAACACCAAGAACACCUACUAGUUCUUUGGUCGUGAACUCCUUAGAAGCCUUCAAAAGUGUGAGUAUCUCUUCUAUAUUCUAUUAGAGCAUAAGAAACACUUGAUUCCUAGCCUAAAUCAUCAUCUAAUGCAUGAACAUCAAGGGUGUAUGGUCGUACACACCUCAUGUAGUCGUAAACCCUUAUUUAGUGCGUGAUUAGGCCUCAAACUCAUCUCAUGUCCCAACAUAGGAUCAUGAACACUUAUUGGAUGCUAGUUAGAGCCAUAAAAAAACUCUAGUCUUUCCGUGAGUGUAUGGUCGUACACCCCAUGACCAUACACUCAUGUGGCCGUACACCACUUAGACCGUAUACACCUUGGUUGUACACACUCUUGGGUGGCCGUAAACCCCUUUGAUACAAUCAAAUGUGAUUGUAACACAUCAAUAUAAGUGUUUAUUAGUCCCUAGGAUUGUUUCCCUUCAUGAUUAGUUGUUAUAUACACUAAUUAUAUAGAUAUAUGUGUCAUUAUAUGCUUAAUAGGAUCCGUUUGUGCUCAAGACUUCCCUUGGCAUACCCAUCAUUUCAUAUCACGUCCUCAAGCAAAUCAUCCUCCUAAGGUGAGUUCAUACCCCUACAAUCAAUCUUUUAACUGUUUUAAAUGCUUUUUAGGGGGGAUACAAGUUUAACACAAUUAUAAAUUGUGUUAGUAUAAACAUUUGUACACUGUUAAUAUUUCAAACUGUCAUAAACUACUUUUAAACAUUGAUGUUUCUUUUAAACUCUUUAAAACUCUCUUAUUUUCAAAACAAUAUUCAUGCAUAUAUUAGUGUAUAAACAUAGUUUAGUGGACUUAGGACUAGUGUUAAUAACCUUGACUCAUGUUCCUAGUUUGGUUGUGGGCAUAGGGUAGGAUUCACUAGUACGAGUGUCGAUUAAAAUACGUUUACAUGCCAAAUGCAUACAUGAAUAUUAAAGCUUACUUUCAAGUUAUUCAAGUUAGAUACGAAACAAACAUACUAGUAAACGAUAAUAGGUAUAGUUUAGAGAACAUAUACAUAUACAAGUACAGAGAAUAGGGCUUAGAUAAUGAGUUUGCUCUUCAAGAGUAAACUCCUUAGGGAGUUUACGGCCCUAAGACCAUGUCCACAUGAUUUCACGGCCGUGAACUCAUGGAUGAUGGGUUUUAAGGUGCUCAAGGGUCAAAUAUCACAUGGGAAAUGUUGCUAGGAUUUAAUCUAAGGCAUAGGAAUGGAUUUAACCACCAAAGAGACCAUCAAAGGGAGUUUACGGCCGUGAACUAGGAGUUUACGGUCGUAAGCUCCUAAUUACCCUUUCUUUUCAUGAUUUGGUGGCCCUAGAUUAAUCAUAUGUGAUUUGAACUUAUUUUAGAAGCCAUAGAAUGGAUUUAGGGCAUCAUUUGGCUAAGGUAUAGGAGUUUAUGGCCCAGAAACCUAUCCUUGGGGGGUUUACGUCCGUAAGCUCCUAUAGGAGUGGUUUUAAUCAAGUUUAAGGCCCCUAAAUCGAUUGUGGUUGUUUCUAGACUUUAAUCCAAGGCUUAGGAGGUGUUUAAAUGGCAUUUUAACACCCUAAAAGGAGUUUACUGCCCAUGAUAUGGAGUUUACAGCUCAAGCAUGUUCUUGGGCAGUAAACUCAUGUUUACUCCUCAAAUGUUCCAAGUCCAAUCCUUUAAGUCCUUAGGUCAUUUCUAAGCUCCAUAAGUGGUUUGAGAGGGUUUUUAGGCUCCAAAACCCAUUUUAUAUGUGUUCACAGCCCAUGAAUGUUCUAGGGCCGUAAACACAUGUUUAUGGUCCUAAAUCAUACUUUGAACACGGAUUUGGAAGCUGAAAAGGUUGUACUACGAGUUAGGAUGGUUACCUUGAUGAUUUAGGGCUUGAAUUCAAUGAUUUUGGACCAUGAAUUGAGUUGUAGAGAGAGUGUAGUGAGAAAGGGUGCAAAAGCUUCAAAUGGAAGCUUUUUGAACUUUAUAUAUGGUUCAAGUUUUGGACACGUUGGAAUUCUACCCGAUACUGACGUUAUACGAUGCUUUUGGUCGCAUCCGAUUAAGUUGCCGUAACCUGAUAUGGUUGAAACUAAAAAUUUUCCAAUUAUUAAAUUGGGGCGUUAUCAUGAGUUUCUAAUGUGUUUGGACACUCAUUAAGUCAUAAUAAACGACUCAAUUUAAUGACUUAAUUUAAUAAUGUCACACCCCGAAAACCGAAGGCGGAAACACUCCCGGGGUUGACUCCACGUUAAGUAUCAAAUCCAAUGCACAUAGUAAGUAAAGUAGAACAACCAUUACAUUACAUAAUAAAGUUUUACAGUUGUUUCAAAAGUAAAGUUUGUACAGUUGUGAUACAUAGUAUAUAUAGACAAAAUGAAACGGAUCUUCAUGUACUCCAUCUUCUGAUCAAAAGAAAUCUCCGGGUACCUGUUCUAACGCUGACCUGAGAACACAAGCGGUUUGAAAAAUCAGCAUAAAGCUGGUGAGUUCAUAAGAAAUUUUGUUUUGUGAAAAUGUUUAUGUUUCCUUUCUGUUUCUGAAAAUGCAUCAGUGUAUUCCCAGGAAAGUCCCAUACUUUCCUGAAUAGUUAGUUAUUGUAAAAGAUGUAAUGAUAUACAAAUAGUUACACUUUUCUGGUUAUGUGAAUGUUACCCAGGAAUGCCCCAUUCUUUCCUGUAUGUUGGUUUUCAAUGUAAAAGAUGUAUUAUAUCAAACCUGGUUAUGUACAAAGUUUUCCCCAGGAAGGUCUCAUACCUUUCUGAAUGUUGGUUAUUGUUUGUAAAAGAUGUAAAAGAUGUAAAUAUUGUAAACUGAAUCCUGGUUAUCUGUAAAAUGUAGUAUAUGGUUCAUUAUUACUGUAAGUAAAUCUCUGUUAUCCUAAUUGCGAGUUCCAUAACCAUACUAAGGACUGAACCUGUGGCAAUAAGUAGUCCACAACCUUGUGGCAAUAAGUAGUCCACAAUUCUUAUGACUUUCGUCACCCUUGAACCAUUUCGGUUCGGCUGUAGCUAGCAGCCAGGUGUGGGGUAGUCAGCCCCGUAUAGAUCUAUACACUCAAGUCACGCUCUCUAAAUCCCAGAGAUUCUGGUUACGGGUGUUGUCCUCCACUCGCGUAUCUCUGUGGAGUGUUCGCCGAGGACGUGUCUCCAAUCAUACGGAAUAACAAAUUUACUAAUAAUAAUAGUAUAAUCCUCCAUUCGCGUAUCUCUAUGGAAUGUUACCGAGGACAAGACAGUGUAUGAAAUAUAUUAUUCAUGUGUUGUAAAGUCAUGCUUUUAACUGAUAAAAUGUGGAAACCAUUCGUGAAAUAUAUAAAACAUAACAGUUUAUAGAUCCCAUUUCACAAAUAAAUGUUUAAGUAAGCUGUAUAUUCUAACGGUUAUCGGUUACGUGUAUCAGUAUUAAAAGCAUAAGAAAUGUGAAACACACACAAGAAAAUAAUUUUUGAGUAUAGGAAAACCCUUGUACUUUGCUUGUGUUCCCCCCCUAAAAACAGUGAAAAACAGUGAAAAAGGUAGGGGUAUGAACUCACCGGACUCGGAAACGUGUCGGUUUUGAAUGCUAGACGUUGGUUCGAGGUUUGAUUACUCGCGAUGACCCUAUGUAAAAUGAAAUAAUGUCCAUAUAUAUACAAUUAGGGAUACAUUCACUAAUCAUAUGGAACAUUAUACUCCAAUGAGGUCAAACACCUCGAAAUGAGCGUUUGGAGUGACCCGGGUGGCGUUUAAGGACGUGUAAAGGCACUAGGGACAUGGGACUUGAGUUUACUCUCCAUAAGUAAACAUUUAAAUGAGUUUACACCCACAAAACACACCCACACAUGAGUUUACGGCCGUAAACUCAUGUUGGUGUGGUUUUGAUGAUCUAAGUGACUUAAAUGGCUUACAUGGACAUGGGAAAUGCUAGAAUGAUUUAUCUAAAAUGACUUGGAACACUUGGAAUGAAUUUACAACAUUUAAACAUGAGUUUAUGGCCAUACUCUUAGAGUUUACUGCCGUAAACUCACCCAUGGCCAAGAAGGGUUAGUUUAUGCUACAAAGGACAAUCACAUGUGAUUCUAGGAUUUAUACCAAGACCUAGUAUGAGUUUUAUGGGACAUUUGAGGGGUAUUAUGGAGUUUACGGCCCAUGAGACCCUCUUCAUGGCCGUAAACUCUAAUAUAGGGUGAUAUAAUGUGUUUCAAUGUCUAAAACUUGCAUAGAAGGGCUUCUAAAAUUCAUCUAAAGGCUUUAGGGGUGUUUAGUUUGCAUUCUAACACCAAAAAUUUUGGAGUUUACGGCCCAAGAACAAUGCCUUGGCCGUAAACUCUUAGAAAACCCACAAAUGUUGUGUUUUUGUCCCUUAAACUAUUUUUGGUUGGUCCCUUGAUUUAUUCCAAGGCUUUUGGUGGUGUUGGAUGGCUUUCUAACACCUUAGAAAUGAAAUUAUGUCAUGUUUUAGGGAGUUUACGGCCCAAGCAAUCCCCUUGGCCGUAAACUCAAAUAAGUCCCUCAAAAGUUAUGAUUCAAGUGUCCAAAUGCUAUAUCCAAGGUCCUAUAAUUCAUACCUAAGCCAUAGAAGUGAUUUGGAAGGGUUUAAAGGCAUAAAAACCCUAGAUUAUUGAGUUUACGGCCCAAGAAUGCUCCUUGGCCGUAAACUCCUUCAAACUUCACAAAGUUCAUGUUUUAAUUGUUUAAAGUCCAUAUCUUAAAGUCCCUUAGCCAUAUCUAAUGUCCAAUUGAGUUUAGGAAGGAGUUUAAGAGCUUAAAACCCCAUAAAAUGGAGUUUACGGCCCAAGCUUGCUCCUUGGCCGUAAACUCUUGUUCUUGACCCUAAAACUCAAUUAAUUCAUCAAUUUGAAGGCUAAAGAUGAUGAAUAACAUGUUAGAGAGGUUACCUUAAAGAUUUGAAGCCUUAAACUUGUGAUUUGGACCUUAAUUCUAGCUUGGAGGAGAGAGGUUGUAAGAGUUUAGUGUGAAUUUGGCCAAAGGCUUCAAAUGGAGUCUUAAACAUGUUUAUAUAAUGUUCGAGAAAUGGACACGAUAGAAUUCUACCCGAUACCGACGUUAAUUGAGGUUUUUGGUCGUACCCGAUUGAGUUACCGUAACCCGACAUAGUAAUUUCUAGAAAUAUUCCGAUCACUAAAGUUGGGUGUUUAAAAUGAUUUCUAAUGUAUUAAGACACCCAUUAAGUCAUUUUAGGUCAAUAUAAACUAUUGACUUAAUGAAAUGGAGAAAUUGGAAACGAAAUUGAAAAUGGCGUCGGGUUGAUCGGAUUUGAAUCACAAGUUGUGGUACAAGAAGUGACAUGAAAUUUUGGGUUGUUACAAAUAAUGAAACGGAAACAAUUUGAAAACGACGAAUUUAUUAACGGAACGGAUUACAAUGACGGAAAGAAUUUCGGGUUGUCACACAUAUAUUAGUGUAUAAACAUACUUUAGUGGACUUAGGACUAGUGUUAGUAACCUUGACUCCUGUUCUUUGUUUGGUUUUGGGCUUAGGGUAGGAUUCACUAGUUCGAGUGUCGAUUAAAAUACAUUUACAUGCCAAAUGAUACAUGAAUAUUAAAGCUUACUUUCAAGUUAUUCAAGNAUGAAACAAAAUACUAGUAAACUAUAAUAGGUAUAGUUUAGAGAGCAUAUACAUAUACAAGUACAGAGAAGAGAACAUAUACAUAUACAUAUACAUGUACAGAGAAGAGAACAUAUACAUAUUCAUAUACAAGUACAGAGAAGAGAACAUAUACAUAUACAUAUACAAGAACAUAAGAGGACAAACUUACGAUAACAUAUACAUAAUAACUAGCAUGUGAGAAACUACUUCAUGAUAUAGCAAUUAAAUUUUUGUAUCAUGUUUUGUAACCAGAGUCUCCUGGAGGGAGAGCGGGUAUUAUGUGUAAAGAUCUUUACGGGACAGACACUCCAACACCUCGACUGUUAGCUACAGUCACUGCCAACAAGGCCAAGGGGUGACAAAUGUCACAUCGUUUCGUCGCCAGAAGGUCGUCGUGUUUACAACAGUCAAUCAGCAUGGUUACAACCAUAUCUCAUUUCACCUUAAUUUAACUAAUUGGGUUAUAAGGAAAUUAGUGCUUCAGCAGUUAUUUUAAACAACUAUGCAGCACACUUCAUUCUUCCAAUACAUUCAGGUCGUGAUAUACUCACAUAGGAAUGCAUACUAUUUUUCGUUUAAGAAAAGUUUUACAAACAUGGAAAACCAAAUUUAUACUAUUAUAUGUACAAACACACAUUUUGCUUCACUAUCGAAGAGAAACAAACAUAACAAACCAGUUGAGUCUUGGUAGGAGACUACUUUCCAUUUUAGUAGAAAAUAUAAGAUUUUCUAGGUUGUAAACAAACAUUUACAUCAAAACAUUUUCAAUCGUUUUCAAUAAAGAUAAGCAACCUUCAUUAAAUACUUAUGAACUCACCAGCAUUAUAUGUUGAUCCUCUCUUUCAAAAUAACUUGUAUUUUCAGGAAUCCGGUAGACAGGUACACUCCCGUAGCUUUUGCGAAGACAGCCUAGUACCGAUAUGCAUUCUUUGUUUUAUUACUAUAUCUACUUUUGAUGUUGAGCACUUGAUGUUUGAACUAUGAAAAAACUUAUACAUUAUUAACGCAAUGGUUGUUGUACUUUGCUUACUAUACUACAUGUGUUGUGAUACUUGACAUGACGUCCUACACCCCCGAAUGUUUCCGCCAAUUCGGUUUGGGGGUGUGACAGUUACCAAGCACAACCCAACCAUUGAGCCGAAACCACCUUCUAUCCUAGUAAUCACUAAUCCAUCACCUUUAAGGCUUUCAUGAUGCAUGCAUCGAUCAUCCCCUCCCAUUUUCAAUGGAUAUGACCUCAAUUAAUCAAGGCCAUCAAUAACAGGAUACGAUGAAAGGUUUCCCACGUUAAAGGUAGCAUGCACUCCAUGGUCUCCUCCCAAAUCAACCUUCUAAGCAUUAUCAUUGACAUGUGACACCACAUUGUAAGGACCUUAAGCUCUUGGCAUCAACUUUUGUUGGUCCUUUUGUUAGGAAAAUGUUAUUUCCUCAUAUACACCUAAACGAAGUCACCAUCUUGAAAGACACGUGGUUUCCUANGGAAUUCUGUUGUACACCUCAUUCACGGCUUCAAUCUUCACAUGAACUUGUUGGUGUAGUUUCGUCAUGGCCUUCAACUUGUCAUUAGCAUCCUAGUGAACCAAUUCAUCCUUUGGCAAUGGAAUCAAAUCCAAAGUCAUGUUAGGAUUCACACCAUACACCACUUCAAAAGGAGAGUGACCUGUAGCAUAAGUAGGAGAACGAUUAUAGGCAAAUUAACCAUGUGCAAAUUUGAUGUCCAAAUGUUUUUGAGUUUUGCUAACCAACCCCUCAACAACGUACCCAAAGUUCUAUUAGUGACCUUUGUUUGCUCAUCAGUUUGUAGAUGAUGGGAUGUACUAAAAAGUAACUUAGUACCAACUUUCCUCCACAAAGUGUUCCAAAAGUAACUCAAAAACAUGGAAUCCCUAUUACAAACAAUAGUUUGAAGGAAUAAUAUGCAAGAAAACCACCUCUUUAAAGUACAAAUCAGACACAUAAGACGCAUCAUUGGUUUUACGACAUGGCACAGAGUGAGCAAUUUUUGAAUACCUAUCCACCACCACUGUAAUGGAAUCCUCCCCCUUUAAGUUCUAGGCAAAGCGAUAAUGAAUUCCAUUGACACAUCUUCCUAUGGACGAAUAGGAGCCGACAAAGGAGUGUAAACACCAUGAAUGAAAGUUUUUUUCAUCAUCUGACUUGUAACACAUUUGCCCACUAUGUUGGUUACAUCCCCAAAAUCUUAGGCCAAAAGAAGUGUUUUUAAAGCACUUCCAAAGUUUUGGUAAUGGAAAAAUCUAACAACCCGAUAUUUCAGGCCAUUGUAAUGACUGAAAGUCAAAUAUUGUAAUCUCUUUUCGAAGUAAUAAAGAUAGCGUCAAAAAUGAAAUGUUCAAAAAUCUCAAUUUGAAUGUACUAAGUGGUAGACAUCGUAACAAGGUUUUCAAAAAUAUAAGGAACACUAAAAUCCGAGUUAUAACGAACAAGUUAUGACCAAUCGAAGAUCCGCAACAAAACCAGCAAAAUACUGUUAAGCACAAAACGAGAAAUUUUAAAUAAAAUACUUUUUAGCCUUAGGUAUCCAAAUGAAAGUCAUAGAUAUCAUUAAACCGCAAACUUACAUAAAAUGAACGUCCAAAUCUGACUUCGUAUGUGGAAGUCAUGAUCUUUCUACGUUUCACAUAUAGCAGUAGACAGCUAAAAACUCGAAAUGGAGAUCGAGCGAUUUUUAUCCAACUUAACCUAAACGAGAAUCGAAGAUCUCGACAAUGGUGAUACAACGGUAAAAAGACAGACGGAAACGGACAUCGGAUGAAGAAGUUAUGGAUUUUAAACGGACUUUUCCAGUCCCAUCAUGUUAAAGAUAAAAUAAUAAAAAUAAAUUCAAAAGUAGCCGACGAAGUCUAAAUGAGAGUUGUAGAGUAUUUUCUCACCCACACGUGGAUAUAAAGAACAUUGAAACCGGAGCUCGUAUGCAAAAGUUACGGAUUUUACAAGAUCGGGGCACAAGAUCCGAGAGUGGUCUAAGAAGGAACGCAGGAAGGAACGCCAUGCGUUCUUCGACCAGAGCCAUCCCAUCGUCCAUAAGGUCCGAUAUACAUAAGCAAUGACCUCACAGGGGAACGCCCGGCGUUCGUAGUGCCUCCCAGCACUAUAAAAGGGAGGCUAGGGUACCGGGUUUGGUUGCUUUCCUCUCAUCUCUUUCACCGUAAAACACCUCUCGAGUCCCUCUAAGCUACCAAUAAGCCCUGGUAUCACCGCUAGCACACGACACAAGUCCCGACGCCCCCAAGAUCUCCGAGAAAUCGACUUUCUCCAAUCGAAGUAAGGCUCGAGUUUAGUCUCGCCUUCUUAAACCACCACUUCUACCAAGUGAGUUCAUACCCCUAUCACUAUGCUUUCACAUACUUUUUAAACGCUUUUAGGGGGGGGGAUACAAGUAAACACAUUUUUUGAACUCGUAUGAAAAUAUCAAUCUUUUGCUAUACUUUACAUGCAGUUAUUAUAACUAUCAAAUGCAGUUGUUAACAUGCAAAAUACUUUACAACACAACUAUACCCUCUUGGGAUACAAUAUGUUUUAUUUAUAAGUAUACAUAACAUAUCAUGACAAGGGUAACCUUUUUCAACUAUAACAUUACGUGUAUUUAAGAAAACACAACUCUUUAUUAUGCCUUUGUUAACACUGUAGAAAGGGUAAUCGUUUUGGAUAUAAACAUACACACUUUUGAAUACGUGACUUAAUUGUUAUCUUGAAUUGUAAAAAGAUUUUUCAUCAUUUUACUCGUGAACUUGUUGUUAGCAAUCAUGUGAAGCAAAUGGAUUUCUUUAGUAUCAAACGAAAGUCCACUUCUAUAACCAGAGUCUCCUGGAGGGAGAGCGUGUAUUUGUGUAUAGAUCUAUACGGAGUUGAUGACUCCGCACCCUGAUUGUUAGCUACAGUCCCCGGGGUGACAAAUUUCAACAUUGGUACUACCGUCUAGUAUGGUUAUAAGAGACUCGCACGCGGAUAACAAUGAUUCAUGUACGUAGUAAUACGCUUCUCGGACAAAGCCAUGGAAUAGUAUCUUUAUGAUUGUUUUUAUAUAAGUUGUUUGUAUUAAGUAAUCAUAGUAGGAUAUUAUUGUCACAUUCAUGAUCUGAUUUAAACACAUCUUUAGUGGAUUUUAUUAUUUUAAUAAUAAACUUAUACAUCUUCAUUUUAAGCAUGACAUAUUUGCUUACAAGUUACAGUCUUGGACAUUUAAGACUAGUUUUCACUUUCAGGAAAAUAUAGUAUUUUCCCGGUACAAUGCAUUUUACUCUUUACAACAAUGAUUCAUAACACAUUUUAUAAAGAAAAUGUCGGAUUUUCUGGAAAACAUACACAAACUUUCAAAUGGCAUAUAUUUACUCAAAUCUCUACUUAUGAACUCACCAACUUAAUUAUUGACACUUUUUUUGAAAUAACUUGUAUUCUUAGAGAAUCGCUAAACCAAGUUAGCAAGUACUUUUAGGGAUUAAUGCUCGGGCGUUAAUAACAUAUUUUGGAACACCUUAUUGUAUUUGGCUUUCAAACAUGUAACACAUACAAUCAUGUAAACUUUUCAAAUAUAUAUAUAUAUAAUGGUGGUGUGUACUUUCUUUNUAUAUAUAUAUUAUGUUGGUGUGUACUUUCUUUAUUAUUCAAUUGUUAUGGUACUGCACAUGAAGUCCUCCGCCCUUGAAUGUUUCCGCCGUUCAGGUUUGGGGGUGUGACAGAUUGGUAUCAGAGCAUUGUUUAUAAUGAACUAAGUAUUUCAAAACGAUUUUUGAUAUACAACUAUAAACAAAACUGGGCAAAACACUCUGACUAAGAGUUAUACUUUUUAAAAUGAAUCUUUUACAAAAGUAAGCAUGCAUACAUUACAUAUCAGGAUCUAUAUCAUAAUGAAAGCAAUAUAGAAGUAUUAUAGAUGAGUUGUGCACUACAGGUAUGCCUUGGAACAUGUAAUUGGGACUGUGAUGAAUAUAGCCUGAUCAACUAUAUUUGUCCGAGAGCCGACUAACAUAUGUCAGGGAAUAGCUGCGGUGGACAACAAGUCUAAAACUUACCAAACACAUAAAUUUUAGAAUCAAACAUAACAUUUAAAAUACUAUAAAAGUAUUUUGUCAAUACAAUAGUUUAACCCUGAUACUUAAUUUACAUGCUUUAGCUUUUAGACAACUCUUAUAUCCCUAUUCUCGUACAGAAACAAAUGGCCGGAUUUCACUUUCCAGGAGACCCCUACUACCCGAACGAAGGUAACGGAGGAUGGAUUGAGGAUGAUCCAGAAGAAGAUCCAUAGGAAAUGGUGGAUGAAGAAGCAGAAGAUGAGGAGGAACCAAUCGAGGAAGAGGAAGAGUCCGAGGGAACGGAUACAGAACUAGUGGUGUACAACCCACCAGCCGUCCGACCUGCUGCUGUCAGGAGAGGUUAUCAAGGACCAACUCCCAUUUGGGGAAACCCCAUUCACCAUUAGAGCCAACAACAGGGAGUACACCCUCCAUACAGAAUGUGCCGAGACUUUUACAACGUUAGCAAUGGAGGUUCAGCUGACAGGGCACUCCCUAUUAUUGUGGACAAGAUAGCUAACCAAAAGCUACCAGUCAAGGGUCUCGGCGAUCCGGAUUCGAGAAGUCAAUGCAACGGCACAGAGUAACACUGUCGAUAUUCGUCGUCUGGACGGACUGCAUGACAACACCCAAAACCACACCAGGGCACUCCAGAGCCAAAUGAACGCAUCCCCUGCUAAAAUAAGGGACAUGAGGGAGCAACAAGACAUCCUUGAAAGGCGACUAAUCGUAGCCAAACACUCAGAUGCGGAGUCUAAUACUAAGCACAAUACGUGCCGCACAUAGUACUUGCACGACUCCUAAAUUUUGUUAUAGAAUAGGAUCUCGGCUAAAUGUCUUACUUUCUUUAACUUCUGUAUUGGAGACCUUUAGAACGGUCAAAUUUUCCUAACUCCAUGAUGUAACCCGAUAUAUACAUAUAAUGAAGUAUUUACUUUGCAUGUUAAUUCUUUGGACACCACUCAAAUUCAUAAGCUUAUAUAUUAUUAUAUAAACUAUUAUUAUGGAUCAAACUCAAAUCACUGUUUUGGUUGAAUCUAAUACAUGAAAUGUUCCAAAUAGCUAACUCAUUAACACUCGAUUUUCAAUCAUCAAAGACUUAUUGUCUUUUAUUAUUAUUUCUUUGGCAGCACAAUGCCUCCUUGCAGAUCUGCUCGCCACGUAAACAACGCAGCACUGCCACCACCGCCACCACCUCCGCAAUAAGAUUUCGUCAUGGUGCAGGCUGCUAUCACCGUAUCAGUAGCGGCUGCACUAUCACAGAUAAACUCUAACGGCGCUAGCAGGACCGGAAGUAGUACGAACCACCUAAAACAAGGCACUGGUCAGGGUCACAUCAGGGAAUGCACCUACAAAGAAUUCUCAAACGCAAAACCAAAAAGUUUAACAGGUUUGGAGGAGUCAUUGCACUUAUGCAAUGGUUCAAAAAGACCGAGACGGUCUUCAAGAUAUGUUCAUGCCAGGAAGCAAGUAAAGUCAAGUUCGCUGCUUGCACUUUUGCUGAUCGGGCCCUCACCUGGUGGAAGGGCCAUGUUAAGUCCUUAUCUCUCCCAAUAGUUGCCAACGCCAUGAGCUGGGAGUACUUAAAAGCUCUAAUGCUCGAAUACUGCCCGAUGGGCGAAAUCCAAAAGCUAGAGCAGGAAUUUUGGGAACCUGAGAAUGACUGGGUCUGAUCUAGCUGCUUACACGGCUAAAUUCAGUGAUUUGUUAGACUUAUGCCCAUGCAUGGUUAACCCGGAGUCGAAGAAAGUGGAGAGAUACAUAUGGGGAUUGGCACCCCAUAUCUAAGGACAUGUCUUGGCUUCCAAUCCAAUCACGUUUGACAGCGCGAAGCGCUUGGCUCAACGGUUGAUCGAUCAUGGUGUCAAACAGGGUACCAUUGCAGCUGUUUAUGAACCGCCAAAGGAGGUAGAGGACCAAAGGAGAUCAUGGAACAAGAGAGGGGGCAAAACAUACAAGAAAACCCCAAAAGACAAUAGUUAGUAACAACCCAUGCCGUUACUGUCCCUACCAUCCCAACAACAACAAAGUCGUACAACGACAACCAAUGGAUGAAUUCAAUGCAAUGCACUAGGUGCAAUAGGAGGGGACACAUUGUCCAUUUCUAUAAAGAACCGGCCCAACCGGCCGGUCCAACCACGAAUGUUGGAGUAGGUCGUACCUGUUACGAGUGUGGGGCUGCGGGGGCUACAGGGCACUUCCAAAGGGACUGCCCGAAGGUGAACAAUAGGAACGCUGGUGGAAGGGGCAGAGUAUUCGCAAUGGGCCAGGAGGAAGCCGUUGCAGAUCCCACUGUUGUUACGGGUACGUUUCUCCUCAAUAACUCGUAUGCAUGAAUUAGUUUUGAUAGUGGACUGGAAAGGAGUUUCGUGAGCCAUAGUUUUAAAAACCUACUUAAACAAGCAUCCCAACCAUUAAGCGAAACAUUUAUAGUAGAAAUGGCUAAAGGAAAGACAAAAGGCGCUAAAGAAAUAUACAUAAAUUGUACCCUAGCACUAAACAACAAUUAUUUCCCAAUCAACCUCAUGCCAGUCUCAAUAAAGAGUUGCAACGUUAUCAUAGGCAUGGAUUGGCUAAGUUCUCAUCGUACGGAAAUUUUAUGUUACGAAAAGGCCGUUCGCCUUAAUUUGCCAGAUGGAGAAACCCUUGUCAUUUAUGGCGAUAAACCUAGUACCACUCUCCGUAUUAUCUCCUGCGUCAAAGCUCGAAAGUAUAUGUGCAAGGAAUGUCAUGCGUUCUUGGCACACGUUCUAGAUGUGAAAAGGGGAGUUGAAGACAUCAAGAGCAUGCCUGAUGUCUGUGAUUUUCCCGAUGUCUUUCCCGAAGAUCUUCUAGGAGUACCAACCUACAAGAGAAGUUGAAUUCAGAAUCAACUUGAUUCCUGAAGCUACCCCUGUAGCCAAGGCACCGUAUCGUUUAGCCCCGGUUGAGAUGCAGGAAUUGUCCAGCCAGCUGAAUGAACUACUAAGUAGAGGGUUCAUUAGACCAAGAUUCUCACCUUGGGGAGCACCCGUGCUAUUCGUAAAGAAGAAAGACGGAUUGUUCAGAAUGUGCAUCGACUAUCGAGAACUCAACAAACUCACCAUUAAGAACUGGUAUCCCCUACCACGAAUAGACAAUUUUUUUGAUCAACUCCAAGGAGCAAACUACUUUUCCAAGAUCGAUCUGAGAUCAGGAUAUCACCAGCUGCGAGUCAUGGAGAGUGAUGUUCCUAAGAUGGCUUUCCGAACAAGAUACGGUCACUACGAAUUCGUAGUGAUGCCGUUCGGACUAACCAAUGCGCCUGCCGUGUUCAUGGACUUAAUGAAUCGGGUAUGUCGUUCGUUCCUGGACAAAUUUGUGAUAGUAUUCAUAGAUGACAUACUCAUCUAUUCAAUAAGUAAAGAAGAACAUGGUUAGCACCUGAGACAAGUCUUAGAGACACUACGAGCAGAGAAGUUGUACGCAAAGUUCUCAAAGUGCGAGUUUUAGAUUAGGAAGGUAGACUUCCUAGGUCACGUGGUUAGCGAAGAGGGAAUCCAUGUGGACCCUUCCAAGAUCAAGGCUAUCAAGAAUUGGUCUGCGCCAACAACGCCAACUGAAAUUCGACAAUUUCUAGGCCUUGCUGGCUAUUACCGUAGGUUCAUACAAAACUUCUCCAACAUGGCAAAACCCCUUACCACUCUGACUCAGAAGGCUGUAACUUUCAACUGGGGAGAAAAGCAAGAUGCUGCAUUUCAAACACUGAAGCAGGCCCUAUGCACCGCACCCAUUUUGUCUCUUCCAGAGGGGACAAAGGACUUUGUUGUAUACUACGAUGCAUCCAAGCUUCGACUGGGUUGUGUGCUAAUGCAGCGAGGAAAGGUUAUUGCAUACGCCUCGCGACAGCUGAAAACACAUGAGGUCAACUACACCAUGACUUAGAGCUUGUUUGCUUUGAAAAUUUGGAGGCACUACCUAUAUGGUACAAAGUCCACCAUCUUCACAGACCACAAGAGCCUUCAACACAUAUUCGGCCAGAAUGAGCUAAAUAUGAGACAACGACGUUGGGUUGAGCUACUUAAUGACUACGAAUGUGAGAUUCGUUAUCAUCCUGGAAAUGCCAAUGUAGUGGCGGAUGCUCUUAGUCGAAAGGAGUACUCUGGUCGAAGAGUGAAGGCGUUAACCAUGACAAUCCAUUCACACCUGUCAACACAAAUCAAGGAAGCCCAACUAGAAACCUUGAAAUCCGAAAACAUGACGGGUGAAGCACUUAGAGGGAUGGACCAGAAUUUUGAAAUCAAGAGUGACAAAGUUCGUUACCUCAUGAACCGAAUCUAGACACCGAAGUUUGGUGGGUUCAGAGUGAUGGUUAUGAAUGAGGCACAUACACCGUAUAGAUUUCCCUGUUUGGUACACAUAACUUUUCCUAUCUUUAUUUUUAGCAUUCCUUCUCUAUAGCCUGUGUCUAUUUUCUAUCAAUUCCUAUUCUCUAUCUGGUCUAAUCGGCUAAGUCUUCUAUCUCUUUCGAUGUAGUCGAUGUCGGACUAGGAAAGCCAGUAAGGUCAAGUGUAUUGAAGUUCUACCAAUUCACUUACUAAGGAGCGUAACGAGCAAAAUCUAAGGAGCUAUAGUGUUGUUUCAGUUUCAGCCUUAGAUUCUUUCUUUUUAGCAUUCCUUAUUAAUCCUUUUUUAGGGAGAUGUUGAGACUUUCAGGCUAGUAACAAAGUACCUUUCUAGGUGUAAGGAUGCAGGUAAGAGAAUCAAUCUUAGCUGCUGUACAUGUAGUAGCAGCAUCCAGUCUAGCCUUGGUCUAAUUCCUACUUAAAGGAGGGGUCUUAUUCACUGUAUGCGCAUUCCCUGUAUUCUAUGUCCGACUAUUCCACCUGAACCAUAUUAGUCAAGGGAGUAGGGCAGUCUUAGUGAAAUUACCCUGGGGAAGAUCUUAUUAGCUCCUAUUGAUUCUAGGUUAUAUGCCGACAGUUCUAUUGACAGCGUAGGAUUUGACGNGGGAGCAGAUUACCAUGGAUUUCAUAACCAAACUACCCAAGACGCAGGGUGGUCAUGAUACCAAUUGCGUGAUCGUCGACAGGUUAACAAAGUCUGCCAACUUCUUGCUGACUAGAGAGACCAAUAAGAUGGAGAAAUCAACAAGAACUUACCUCCGGGAAAUCGUGCGACUUCAUGGAGUGCCGAUAUCUAUUAUCUCGGAUAGAGACAACAAAUUUACUUCAAGGUUUUGGCAAUCGCUGCAGAAAGCAUUGGGAACUAGGCUAGAUAUGAGUACAGCCUAUCACCCACAAACUGACGGACAGAGUGAGAGAAUGAUUCAAACCCUAGAAGACAUGUUGCGAGCAUGUGUAAUCAACUUUGGUAAAGCGUGGGGCACCCACUUACAAUUAGUUGAGUUCUCUUAUAACAACAGUUAUCACACUAGCAUCAAGACUACUCCAUUUGAAGCCCUUUUACGGCCGCAAGUGCAGAUCACCUCUGUGCUAGGCGGAAGUGGGUGGCAUGCAGUUGGCAAGAGGUCUAGUCCCUGAUAGCACUCUCACUGGUCCGGAAAUCAUUAGGCAGACGACUAAGAAGAUCGUUCAAAUUCGGGAACGACUGAAAGCCUCAAGAGAUAGACAAAAGAGUUAUGCCAACAAAAGACGAAAACCCUUGCAAUUCCGUGUUGGUGACCGAGUUCUGCUAAAGGUCUCACCCUGGAAGGGCGUGAUACGCUGUGGGAAGUGUGGAAAACUAAACCCAAGGUACAUUGGACCCUUCGAAAUUAGUGCAAGGAUUGGUCCAGUAGCUUAUAUACUUGCUACCAAUCAAACUUAACAACGUACAUCCUGUGUUUCACGUGUUCAACCUGAAAGGUGUCUAUCUGACGAAAAUAUGGUAAUUCCACUCGAGAAAAUCGAAUUGAAUGAAAAUCUUAACUUUAUGCAAGGACCCGUCGAGAUCAUGGAUAGGGAAAUCAAAAAAACAAAGCAAAGUCGCAUACCUAUAGUGAAGGUUAGCUGGAAUACUAAACAGGGACCUGAAUUCACUUGGGAGCGAGAAGACCAGAUGCAACAAAAGUCCCGCAUCUUUUCCCUAAUCCAUAAACACUUACUUUGUAAUUAAUUUCGGGACGAAAUUCCCUCUAAUGUGGGAUGAUGUAACAACCCAAUAUUUCAGGUCAAUGUAAUGACUGAAAGUCAAAUACCGUAAUCUCUUUUCGAAGUAAUAAAAAUAGCGUCAAAAAUGAAAUGUUCAAAAAUCUCAAUUUGAAUGUACUAAGUGGUAGACAUGGUAACAAGGUUUCCAAAAAUAUAAAGAACACUAAAAUCCGAGUUAUAACGAAGAUGUUAUGACCAAUCGAAGAUCCGCGACAAAACCGGUAAAACACUGUUAUGCAUAAAACACGAAAUUUCAAAUAAAAUACUUUUUAGCCUUAGGUAUCUAAAUGGAAGUCGUAGAUAUCAUUAAACCGUAAGCAUACAUUAAAAGAACGUCUAAAUUUGACUUCGUAUAAGGAAGUUAUGAUCAUUCUAAGUUUCACAUAUAACAGUAGACAACUAAAAACUUGAAAUGGAGAUCGAGCGAUUGUUAGCCAACAUAACCUAAACGAGAAUCAAAGAUCUCGAAAAUGGUGAUACAACAGUAAAAAGACAGACGGAAACGGACAUCGGAUGAAGAAGUUAUGGAUUUUAAACGGACUUUUCCAGUCCCAGCCUGUUAAAGAUAAAAUAAUAAAAAUAAAUUCAAAAUUAGCAGAUGAAGUCUAAACAAGAGGUGUAGAGUAUUUUCUCACCUACGCGUGGAUAUAAAGAACGUUGAAAUCGGAGCUCGUAUGCGAAAGUUACGGAUUUUACAAGAUCGGGGCUCAAGAUUCGAGGCUGGUCCAAGAGGGAAUGCCCUGCAUUCCCUAAAGGAACGCGGUGCGUUCUUCGACCAGAGCCAUCCCAUCAUCUAUCAGGUCUGAGAUACGUAAGCAAUGACCUCAUAGGGGAACGCCCUGCAUUCCCUAAAGGAACACCCUGCGUUCGUAGUGCUUCCCAACACUAAAAAUGGGAGGCUACGGUACCGGGUUUGGUUGCUUUCCUCUUAUCUCUUUAUACAAUCGAAGUACUGCCCGAGUUUAGUCUCGCCUUCUUCAAACCACCACUUCUACCAAGUGAGUUCAUACCCCUAUCACUAUCAUUUCACAUACUUUUUAAACGCUUUUAAGGGGAGGAACACAAGUAAACACAUUGUUUGAACUCGUAUGGAAAUAUCAAUCUUUUGCUAUACUUUACAUGCGGUUAUUAUAACUAUCAAAUGCAGUUGUUAACAUUCAAAAUACUUCACAACACAACUAUACCCUUUUGGGAUACAAUAUGCUUUAUUUAUAAUUAUACAUAACAUAUCAUGACAAGGGUAACCUUUUUCAACUAUAACAUUACGUGUAUUUAAGAGAACACAACUCUUUAUUAUGCCUUUGUUAACACUGUAGAAAGGGUAAUCGUUUUGGAUAUAAACAUACACACUUUUGAAUAUGUGACUUAAUUGUUAUCUUGAAUUGUCAAAAGAUUUUUCAUCGUAUUACUCAUGAACUUGUUGUUAGCAAUCAUGUGAGGCAAAUGGCUUUUUUUAGUAUCAAACAAAAGUCCACUUCUAUAACGAGAGUCUCCUGGAGGAAGAGCAUGUAUUUAUGUAUAGCUCUAUGCAGAGUUGACGACUCCUCACCCUGACUGUUAGCUAUAGUCCCCGGGGUGACAAAUGUCAACAUUGGUACUACCAUGUAGUUUGGUUAUGAGAGACUCGCACACGGAAACAAUGACUCAUGUACGUAGUAAUACGCUUCUCAAACAAAGCCAUGGGAAUAGUAUCUUUAUGAUUGUGUUUAUAUAAGUUGUUUGUAUUAAGUAAUCAUAGUAGUAUAUUAUUGUCACGUUCAGGAUCUGAUUUAAACACAUCUUUAGUGGAUUUUAUUAACUUUAUAAUAAAACUAUACAUCUUCAUUUUAAGCAUGGCAUAUUUACUUACAAGUUACAGUCUUGGACAUUUAAGACUGCUUUUCAAUUUUCGGAAAAUAUCGGAUUUUCCUGGUAUAAUGCAUUUCACUCUUUACAACAACGAUUCAUAACACGUUUUAUAAAGAAAAUAUAAGAUUUUCUGGAAAACAUACACGAACUUUCGAAUGACAUAUAUUUACUCAAAUCUCUACUUAUGAACUCACCAACUUAGUUGUUGAUACUUUUUCUUUAAAAUAACUUGUAUUCCUAGGGAAUAGCUAGACCAGGUUAGCAUCUACUUUUGGGGAUUAACGCUCGGGGAUUAGUAAUAUUUUUUGGGAAACCAUAUUGUAUUUGGCUUUCAAACAUGUAACACAUACAAUCACGUAAACGUUUAAAAUAUAUAUAUAUAUUAUGGUGGUGUGUACUUUCUUUACUAUUCAAUUGUUAUGGUACUGCACAUUACGUCCUUCGCCCCGAACGUUUUUGUCGUUCAGGUUUCGGGGUGUGACAAAAAAUGACCCGCCAAACGACCACCAUGAGCUUCACGAAUCAGCAGCUCUCGUAUUGCCUGUUUAGGGACACAAAGGUAUGGGAAGAAAUGGAGAGAUUAGUAAUAAAUCAAGAUCUACUAAGUUUUAUACCGGUGAAAACAAUCCAAGACAUAUCUGAUUGAAUGUGUAUCAAGUCAAGAACACAUCCCGACUAUGACAAGUAGUGAACUAUAAUUAUAAUUCGAAGUGAACAAAGGUUCUUUUUAUUAAAUUUCAUCUAUCUGUUUUUUCCAUGCAUAAACUUCGCUUAUAUGAAGCCUUUAUUACAAAGUUGGUGGUUAGAAGCCACCCAACCAACUACUCAGUAAAAUUAAUAAUGAAUAUUAAAGAAACUCAUGAAACCACACAAAAAAAACGUCUGACACACAAAUGAAUGAGAAAAAAACGUCCAUGCUCCAUUAAGGAGCCAUAAGAAGCAUUAAAGUGUAACCCUAAUCCGCCAAAGAGUAUCAGAAAUGGCUAGGAGGCUUUGUGAAGCACAAAGUAACGGUUUUGAGAACUUAUGAAGCCUUUAAACUAUUGCCCUAGCCUUCAUGCGACCCUAAUUCAAUUCGUAAGUUACCAUGCACAACCCAACCAUUGAGCCCAAACUACCUUCUAGCUUACUAGUAAUCACUAAUCCAUCACUUUUUGGGCUUUCAUGAUCCAUGCAUGGAUCAUCAUCUCCCCCUAUGAAAGGAAAUGACCUCAAUUCAUCAAGGCCAUCGUCAACAAGAUACGGUGAAAGGUCUCCCAUAUUAAAAGAAGCAUGCACUCCAUGGUCUCCUCCCAAAUCCACCUUAUAAGCAUUAUCAUUGACAUGUGACACCACUUUUUAACGACCUUCAGCUCUUGGCAUCAACUUUUGUUCGUCCUUUUGUUAGGAACACAUUAUUUCCUCGUAUGCACCUAAACCAAGUCACCAUCUUGAAAGACACGUGGUUUCCUAUGCAUGUUGGAAUUUUGUAUGUACACCUCAUUCACGGCUUCAAUCUUCACACGAACUUGUUGGUGAAGUUUCAUCAUGGCCUUCAACUUGUCAUUAGCAUCCUUGUGAACCAAUUCAUCAUUUGGCAAUGGAGUCAAAUCUAAAGGCAUGUAAGGAUUCACACGAUACACCACUUCUAAUGGAGAGUGACCUAUUGCAUAAAUAGGAGAACGAUUACAGGCAAACUCAGCAUGUGCAAGUUUGAUGUCCAAAUGUUUUUGUGUUUUUCUAACCAACCCCCUAAAUAACGUACCCAAGGUUCUAUUAGUCACCUUCGUUUGCCCAUCAGUUUGUGGAUGAUGGGAUGUACUGAAAAGUAACUUAAUACCAACUUUCCUCCACAAAGUGUUCCAAGAGUAACUCAAAAACUUAGAAUCCCUAUCAGAAACAAUAUGCAAGCGAACCACCUUUUUAAAGUACAAAUCAGACACAUUAGAUGCAUCAUUGGUUUUAUGACAUGGCACAGAGUGACCAAUUUUUGAAGACCUAUCCACCACCACUAUAAUGGAAUCCUUCCCCUUUUGAGUUCUAGGCAAAGCCAUAAGGAAUUCCUUUGACACAACUUUCCAAGGACGACUAGGAACCGGUAAAGGAGUGUAAACAUCAUGCUUGAAAGUUUUUACGUCAUCUGAGAUGUUUGUUACAUACACAACAUAUUAGGCCAAAAGAAGUCUUCUUAAAGCACCUCCAAAGUUUUGGUAAUGGAAAAAUGACCCGCCAAACGACCACCAUGAGCUUCACGAAUCAGCAGCUCUCGUAUUGCAUGUUUAGGGACACAAAGGUGAUUGGCUUUUUAUGCCUUUAUGGGAUUGAUUAAGUAAGUAGGGUUGUGUUUAGGUAAUUUAAGCUAGAAUAACAACCACAAAUGAUACGUGUAUGGGAAGAAAUGGAUAGAUUAAUAACAAAUCAAGACCUACUAAGUUUUAUACCGGUGAACACAAUCCAAGACAUAUUAGAUUGAAUGCGUAUCAAUCAAGAACACGUCUCGACUAUGACAAAUAGUGAGCUAUAACUAUAAUUCAAAGUGAAACAAGGUUCUUUUGAUUAAAAUUGCAUCUAUCUGUUUUUUCCAUGCAUAAACUUCGCUUAUAUGAAGCCUUUAUUACAAAGUUGGUGGUUACAAGCCUCCCAACCAACUACUCAGUAAAAUUAAUAAUGAAAAUUAAAGAAACUCAUGAAACCACACGAAAAACGUCUGACACACUAAUGAAUGAAAAAAACGUCCAUGCUCCAUAAGAAGCAAUAAAGUGUAACCCUAAUCCACCAAAGAGUAUCAGAAAUGGCUAGGAGGCUUUAUGAAGCACAAAGUAACGGUUUUGUGCACUUAUGAAGCCAUAAAAGUAUUGCCCUAGCCUUCAUGCGACCCUAAUUCAAUUCGUAGGUUACCAUGCACAACCCAACCGUUGAGCCCAAACCACCUUCUCGGCUACUAGUAGUCACUAAUCCAUCACCUUUUGGGCUUUCAUGAUCCAUGCAUGGAUCGUCCCCUCCCUCUUUGAAAGGAAAUGACCUCAAUUCAUCAAGGCCAUCCUCAACAAGAUACGGUGAAAGUUCUCCAACAUUAAAGGUAGCACACACUGGUUUCCUCCCAAAUCCACCUUAUAAGCAUUAUCAUUGACAUGUGACACCACUUUUUAAAGACCUUCUGCUCUUGGCCUCAACUUUUGUUCGGAAAACGUUAUUUCCUCAUAUGCACCUAAAUCAAGUCACCAUCUUGAAAGACAUGUGGUUUCCUAUACAUGUUGGAAUUUUUUUGUACACCUCAUUCACGGCUUCAAUCUUCACACGAACUUGUUGGUGAAGUUUCAUCAUGGCCUUCAACUUGUCCUUAGCAUCCUUGUGAGCCAAUUCAUCCUUUGGCAAUGGACUCAAAUCCAAAGGCAUGUAAGGAUUCACACCAUACACCACUUAUAAAGGAGAGUGACCUAUAGCAUAAGUAGGAGAACGAUUACAGGCAAACUGAGCAUGUGCAAGUUUGAUGUCCAAAUGUUUUUGAGUUUUGCUAACCAACCCCUUAAACAAUGUACCCAAAGUUUCAUUAGUUACCUUCGUUUGCCCAUCAGUUUGUGGAUGAUGGGAUGUAUUGAAAAGUAACUUAGUACCAACUUUCCUCUACAAAGUGUUCCAAAAGUAACUUAAAACCAUGGAAUCUGUAUCAUAAACAAUAGGUUUAGGAUUAAUAUGCAAGCGAACCACCUUUUUAUAGUACAAAUCAGACACAUUAGAUGCAUCAUUGGUUUUAUGACAUGGCACAAAGUGAGCCAUCUUUUAAAACUUAUCCACCACCACUAUAAUGGAAUCCUUCCCCCUUUUAAAGGAUGAAUAGGAACUGGCAAAGGUGUGCUUGAGGGUUUUUUUCGUCAUCCGACAUGUAACACACUUGCCUACUAUGUUUGUUACAUCCCCAAUAUCGUUAGGAAAAAUGACCCGCCAAACCACCACCAUGAGCUUCAUGAAUAACAAACUCCCGUAUUGCAUAUUUAGGGACACAAAGGUGAUUGCCUUUUGAUGCCUUUAUGGGCUUGAUAAAGUGAGUAGGGUUGUGUUUAGGUAGAUUAAGCUUGAAUAACAACCACAAAUGAUACGUGUAUGGAAAGAAAUAGAUAAAUUAGUUACAAAUCAAGACCUACUAAGUUGUAUACCGGUGAAAACUAUCCAAGACAUAAUAUUUGAUUGAAUGCGUAUCAAGUCAAGAACAUGUCUCGACUAUGACAAGUAGUGAACUAUAACUAUAAUUCAAAUUGAACAAAGUUUAUUUUGAUUAAAAUUUCAUCUAUCUCUUUUUUCCAUGCGUACUUGGAUUAUAUGAAGCCUUUGUUAAGAACUUGGAGGUUACAAGCCACCCAACCAACUACUCAGCAAAACUAAUAAUGAAAAUUAAAGAAACUCAUGAAACCACAAAAAAAAAACAUAUGACACACUAAUGAAUGAAAAAACCGUCCAUGCUCCAUUAAGGAGCCACAAGAAGCAUUAAAGUGUAACCCUAAUCCACGAAAGAGUAUCAAAAAUAGGAAGCUUGAUGAAGCAAAAACUAACGGUUUUGAGCACUUAUGAAGCCUUUAAAAUGUUGCCCUAGCCUUCAUGCGACCCUAAUUCAAUUUGUAGGUUACCAUGCACAACCCAACCUUUGAGCCCAAACCACCUUCUAGCCUACUAGUAAAUACUAAUCCAUCACCUUUUGGGCUUUCAUGAUCCAUGCAUGGAUCAUCCCCUCCCCCUUUGAAAGGAAAUGACCUCAAUUGAUCAAGGCCAUACUCAACAAGAUACUAUGAAAGGUCUCCCACAUUAAAGGUACUAUGCACUCCAUGGCAUCCUCCCAAAUCCACGUGAUAAGCAUUAUCAUUGACAUGCGACACCACUUUGUAACGACCUUCAGCUCUUGGCAUCAACUUUUGUUCUUCCUUUUGUUAGGAAAACGUUCUUUCCUCAUAUGCACCUAAAUCAAGUCACCAUCUUGAAAGACACAUGGUUUCGUAUGCAUGUUGGAAGUUUGUUUGUACACCUCAUUCACGACUUCAAUCUUCACACGAAUUUGAUGGUUUAGUUUCUUCAUGGCCUUCAAAUUAUCAUUAGCAUCUUUGUGAACCAAUUCAUCCUUUGGCAAUGGAAUCAAAUCCAAUGUCAUGUAAGGAUCCACACCAUACACCACAUCAAAAGGAGAGUUACCUGUAGCAUAAAUAAGAGAAUGAUUACAGGCAAACUCAGCAUGUGCAACUUUGAUGUUCAAAUGUUUUGAGUUUGGCUAACCAGCCCCCUCAACAACUUACCCAAAGUUCUAUUAGUCACCUUCAUUUGCCCAUUAGUUUGUGGUUGGUGGGAUGUACUAAAAAGUAACUUAUUACUAAUUUUCCUCAACAAAGUGUUCCAAAACUAACGCAAAAACAUGGAAUCCUUAUCAUAAAAUAUUGUUUUAAGGAAUAAUGUGCAAGCGAACCAUCAUUGGUUUAAAGUACAAAUCAGGCACAUUAGAUGCAUCAUUGGUUUUAUGACAAGGCACAGAGUGAGCGAUUUUUGAAAACCUAUCCACCACCACUAUAAUGGAAUCCUUCCCCCUUUGAGUUCUAGGCAAAGCCAUAAUGAAUUCCAUUGAUACGUCUUCCCAAGAAUGAAUAGGAACCGACAAAGAAGUAUUAACACUAUGCUUGAAAGUUUUUUCGUCAUCCGAGAUGUAACACACUUGCCCACUAUGUUGGUUACAUGCCCAACUUCUUAGGCUAAAAGAAGUAUUUUUAAAUCACCACCAAAUUUUGGUAACGGAAAAAUGACCCGCCAAAUGACCACCAUGACCUUCACGAAUUAGCAACUAACGUAUUGCAUGUUUAGGGACACAAAGGCGAUUGCCUUUUGAUGCCUUUAUGGGCUUCAUUAAGUGAGUAGGGUUGUGUUUAGGUAAAUUAAGCUAGAAUAACAAUCACAAAUGAUACGUGUAUGGGAAGAAAUGGAUAGAUUAGUAACAAAUCAAGACCUACUAAGUUAUAUACCGGUGAAAACUAUCCAAGACAUAAUAUUUGAUUGAAUGUGUAUCAAUUCAAGAACAAGUGUCGACUAUGAGAAGUAGUGAACUACAACUAUAAUUUAAAGGGAACAAAAGUUCUUUUGAUUAAAAUUAUAUCUAUUUUUCAUGCAUACUUGGCUUAUAUGAAGCCUUUAUUAGGAAGUUGGUGGUUACAAGCCACCCAACCCACUACUCGGUAAAACUACUAAUGAAAAUUAAAGAAACUCAUGAAACCACACAAAAAAACGUCUGACACACUAAUGAAUGAAAAAACCGUCCAUGCUCCAUUAAGGAGCCACAAGAAGCAUUAAAGUGUAACCCUAGUCCACGAAAGAGUACCAAAAAUGGCUAUGCGGCUUGAUCAAGCAAAAAGUAACGGUUUUGAGCACUUAUGAAGUUUUUAAAAUGUUGCCCUAGCAUUCAUGCGGCCCUAAUUCAAUUCGUAGUUUACCAUGCAUAACCCAACCAUUGAGCCCAAACCACCACUCAGCCUACUAGUAAUCACUAAUCCAUCACCUUUCGGGCUUUCAUGAUCCAUGAAUGGAUCAUCCCCUCCCCCUUUGAAAGGAAAUGACCUCAAUUCAUCAAGGCCAUCCUCAACAAGAUACGGUGAAAGGUCUCCCACAUUAAAGCUAGCAUGCACUCCAUGUUGUCUUCCCAAAUCCACCUUAUAAGCAUUAUCAUUGACAUGUGACACGACUUUGUAAGGACCUUCAGCGCUUGGCAUCGACUUUUGUUCUUCCUUUUGUAAGGAAAACGUUCUUUCCUCAUAUGCACCUAAACCAAGACACCAUCUUGAAAGACUCGUUGUUUCUUAUGCAUGUUGGAAUUUUGUUUGUACACCUCAUUCACGGCUUCAAUCUUCACACGAACUUGUUGGUCUUUCAUCAUGGCCUUUCAACUUUUCAUUAGCAUCCUUGUGAACCAAUUCAUCCUUUGCCAAUGGAAUCAAAUCCAAAGACAUGUAAGGAUUCAUACCAUACACCACUUAUAAAGGAGAGUGACCUGUAGGAGAACGAUUACAGGCAAACUCAACAUGUGCAAGCGAGAUGUCUAAAUGUUUUUGAGUUUUCCUAACUAACCCCCUAAAAAACGUACCCAAAUUUCUAUUAGUCACCUUCGUUUGCCCAUCAGUUUGUGGAUGAUGGGACGUACUAAAAAGUAACUUAGUACCAACUUUCCUCCACAAAGUGUUCCAAUAGUAACUCAAAAACAUUGAAUCCCUAUCAAAAACAAUAGUUUUAGGAAUACUAUGCAACCGAACCACCUCUUUAAAGUGCAAAUCAGACACAUUAGAUGCAUCAUUGGUUUUAUGACAUGGCACAAAAUGAGCCAUUUUUGAAAAUCUAUCCACCACCACUAUAAUGGAAUCCUUCCCCCCUUUGAGUUCUAGGCAAAGCCAACUGAAUUCCAUUGACACAUCUUCCCAAGGACGAAUCGGAACCGGCAAAGGAGUGUAAACACCAUGCUUGAUAGGUUUUUUCGUCAUCCGACAUUUAACACACUUACCCACUAUGUUGGUUACAUACCCAACAUCUUAGGCCAAAAUAAGUGUUUUUAAAGCACCUCCAAAGUUUUGGUAAUAGAAAAAUGACCCGCCAAACGACCACCAUGAGCUUCACAAAUCAGCAGCUCUCAUAUUACAUGUUUAGGGACACAAAGGUGAUUGCCUUUUGAUGCCUUUAUGGGUUUGAUUAAGUGAGUGGGGCUGGUUUUAGGUAAAUUAAGCUAGAAUAACAAUCACAAAUGAUACAUGUAUGGGAAGAAAUGGAUAGAUUAGUAACAAAUCAAGACCAACUAAGUUUUAUACCGGUGAAAACAAUCCAAGAAAUAUUUGAUUGAAUACGUAUCAAGUCAAGAACACGUCUCGACUAUGACAAGUAGUGAACUAUAACUAUAAUUCAAAGUGAACAAAGGUUCUUUCGAUUAAAAUUUCAUAUAUCUCUUUUUUCCAUGCAUAAACUUGGCUUAUAUUUUAUUACAAAGUUUGUGGUUACAAGCCACCCAACCAACUAAUCAGUAAAACUAAUAAUGAAAAUUAAAGAAACUCAUAAAAGCACACAAAAUAAAAACAUCUGACACACUAGUGAAUGAAAAAAGCGCCCAUGCUCCAUUAAGGAGCCACAAGAAGCAUUAAAGUGUAACCCUAAUCCACCAAAGAGUAUCAAAAAUGGCUAGGAGGCUUGAUAAAGCAAAAAGUAAUGGUUUUGAGCACUUAUGAAGCCUUUAAAAUGUUUCCCUAGCCUUUAUGUGACCCUAAUUCAAUUCUUGGGUUACCAUGCACAACCUAACUGUUGAGCCCAAAACACCUUCUAGCCUACUAGUAAUCACUAAUCCAUCACCUUUUGGGCUUUUAUGAUCCAUGCAUGGAUCAUCCCCUCCUCCUUUGAAAGGAAAUGACCUUAAUUCAUCAAUGCCAUGCUCAACAAGAUACGGUGAAAGGUCUCACACAUUAAAGUGUCACGACCAGGAAAUUCUAUGCUUUUGUAAACAUUAACAAGGACAAAAUUCUAACCAAAACUUGAAAGCAUGCAUGAUGUUUAUUCAACGACAACAAAAUUCCAUCAAAAACUCUAUACAAACACUUCAAAUCGUCAAUGAAAGAUUGGAAACCCUAAAAAUCCUGGUUUAAGUUCAUUAUGGACUAGGAUUUCCUUAUUGGGCCUAAUGGACCAUUAAGCUUCCAAUUUGACAAUUUUGGGCUUAGGACCCUUAAAUGGGCUCGAAUUGGACCCACCUUCAUGAGAUUUAACAUUUUGGACCUUUUUUGGCCUAAAAUGGAAUAAACUACUCUAAUAAGCCUUAUUGGGCCAUAACUAACCUAAUUAGCCUUAAUGGGCCAUAAAACCCAUUCUUUUAUGCUAAUAGGGUUGUGAAACAUUUAAUGAGCCAAAUGGGCCGAAUAAUAAUAUUGGGCUUAUGAAUUCAAUCAAAGCAAAAAUUUUGGGCCCAACUUCACUCUCUUCAUGUCUCUAUGCUCAUUCCCAACAUCACUCACUUCAUGCUUUCUCUCCCCUAUCUUCUUCUUCUUCUUCUUCUCAGGCGAGGAUCACAAACACACACUCACACUUCAUUUGAAGUUCCCUCAAACACUCUCAAGAAAACAAAUUCUCCUUUCUUCAUCAAAUUUUCUAGAAUCAUACGUGCUUCAAGAAGGUUCUCAUCCAAAAAUCACUCAAAGAUACAUACUAUUGGUAAGAUCUCACAAAAUCUAAGCAACCUACUUUCUUUUAAAUACUUAUUCACUUCUCUCACUCCUUGUUUUCGUGAUUAUACUUCCUAGAACUUCUCUAAGUUCGAAAAUCCCCUCAAGGAGUUUGCUAGAGCCAAAAUCACACCACCUUCUUCCACAUCUUCUUCAAAACCGAGAACAACAAGCUAAGGUAAGUUCAUACCCCCUUGUUUUCGGUUUUUAUUUGCAUGUUAUAUGUGAUUUCUUUGGUUUGUGUUGUGAAAAUGUGAUAAUAUUUGUUAUAUCUCGAGAUCUAUGGCUAAAGUGUGAAGGAUUCAUAAACAAAUACAUAUUAAACAACAUACUUCAAAGAUCUAAGAGUCUUUAUGUUUAACAAGUGAAAAACAAAGUCAAAGAUUAUUUAUAAGUGUCAUUUUUGCAAAAAUAACAAAGAUGUGGAUAAGAGAUGACAUUUUUGAUUUUAUAAGGAUGAAAUUGUAUUUAUUUAUAUAAAAUAUGAUUUUUAUGGAAAGAAUACUUCUCAAGGGGUCAAAAACAUAAAUUUGAGUUAUUGGGCUUACAUUUGGGCCUCGCGGGUUUUUGGGCCCAAAGUUACGAAAACUGAAGAGUUUUGGGCGGUUGAAGUUGUAAAUUUAUCAAAAUAUGAGUCCAAAACAUAAAUAAACUAUUUUUGGGGCUGAAAAUGACUUUAAUGCGAAAAUUUGACUAAAAAUGCAAAGUUUUGGAUUUUGAGGUCAAAAUUGUAAAACUCGCGGAAUUCGGGCCAAAAGUGAUAAAUUUUUGGGCUGAAAUAGUAAAACAAGUUAUGUUUGGGCUGAAAAUGCAAAGAAAAAUGAGUUAAGGACCAAAAAUGUCAAUUUUUAUCAAAAAGGACUAAAAUGUCAUUUUUAUUAAGAAAGGGUUGAAAAUGGGCUGAAAUGGUCAAAUAAAGAUUUUGGGGUCAAAUAUGUUAAUAUUAAAUGAAUUGGGCCAAAGAUAUUAAAUUUGUAACAUAUAUAUAUAUAUAUAUAUAUAUAUAUAUAUANNNNNNNNNNNNNNNNNNNNNNNNNNNNNNNNNNNNNNNNNNNNNNNNNNNNNNNNNNNNNNNNNNNNNNNNNNNNNNNNNNNNNNNNNNNNNNNNNNNNNNNNNNNNNNNNNNNNNNNNNNNNNNNNNNNNNNNNNNNNNNNNNNNNNNNNNNNNNNNNNNNNNNNNNNNNNNNNNNNNNNNNNNNNNNNNNNNNNNNNNNNNNNNNNNNNNNNNNNNNNNNNNNNNNNNNNNNNNNNNNNNNNNNNNNNNNNNNNNNNNNNNNNNNNNNNNNNNNNNNNNNNNNNNNNNNNNNNNNNNNNNNNNNNNNNNNNNNNNNNNNNNNNNNNNNNNNNNNNNNNNNNNNNNNNNNNNNNNNNNNNNNNNNNNNNNNNNNNNNNNNNNNNNNNNNNNNNNNNNNNNNNNNNNNNNNNNNNNNNNNNNNNNNNNNNNNNNNNNNNNNNNNNNNNNNNNNNNNNNNNNNNNNNNNNNNNNNNNNNNNNNNNNNNNNNNNNNNNNNNNNNNNNNNNNNNNNNNNNNNNNNNNNNNNNNNNNNNNNNNNNNNNNNNNNNNNNNNNNNNNNNNNNNNNNNNNNNNNNNNNNNNNNNNNNNNNNNNNNNNNNNNNNNNNNNNNNNNNNNNNNNNNNNNNNNNNNNNNNNNNNNNNNNNNNNNNNNNNNNNNNNNNNNNNNNNNNNNNNNNNNNNNNNNNNNNNNNNNNNNNNNNNNNNNNNNNNNNNNNNNNNNNNNNNNNNNNNNNNNNNNNNNNNNNNNNNNNNNNNNNNNNNNNNNNNNNNNNNNNNNNNNNNNNNNNNNNNNNNNNNNNNNNNNNNNNNNNNNNNNNNNNNNNNNNNNNNNNNNNNNNNNNNNNNNNNNNNNNNNNNNNNNNNNNNNNNNNNNNNNNNNNNNNNNNNNNNNNNNNNNNNNNNNNNNNNNNCUUUACACACACACACACACACAUAUAUAUAUAUAUAUAUAUAUAUAUAUAUAUAUAUAAUGGAUCAUGACAUUAUGUUGUAAACAAAUUUUACAGAAAAUAUCGGAUUUUUUGGAUUAUACAAACAUUAUGAAACCUUUUCAAAACAAUCAUGCUUAUGAACUCACCAAUAUUAUAUAUGUUGAAAAUUUUCAAAAUAACAUGUAUUCUCAGGUAAUUGGCUGAAGAAUUUCAAGUGUUGUUUGGAAAUUGUAUUUUUUGUGAAAUGUCUACUUAUGAACAAUUGAUAUUUUAGUGAUGUAAUAUUUAACAAUGUACUUGAUGUAAAUAGUGACAGUUGUAUGAUGAUAAUGUUGGUGAUGAUUGUGUUUUGUUUCAUAUAUAUAUUCAUUGUGAUAAUACAAUUGUUAGUCACACGAGCCCUCGGACGAUUCCGUCGUCUGGUUUGAGGGUGUGACAGGUUGGUAAAAGUACGUCGUGAUUAAAUUUGGACGGGAAAGAAAUCACGAUUAUGAAUAUUUAUUGAGGUUUUCAGACAUUACCAAUAAAGAGCAGGUUUCUUUGAUGCUUCCUCAUUCCUUGAGGUUAGACUCCUCCUGUUCCUCAUUGUUCUUCUCUGUUGGGCAGUCUCUUUUGAAAUGCCCCAUAUCGCCACAUGCACUGCACAUUUGAACUAUGCUAGCAUCGGUAGUGGAAGUGAUGUAUUGAGUCGGGGUCUUCGCUAAGCGAGCUUCCUUGCCAUCCUUAGCCCUUGGACAAUUUCUUUUGAAAUGCCCUUCACUACCACAGAGGUAACAGGUUGAACUAGCCCCAACAUUGGUAUUCAGAGUGACGAACUUGACUAGGGUCCUACAUCUAUUGGAGGUGUGCCCCUUCCUGUUGCAUCUGGUGCAAUGUAGCACUCGAUAGACUCCAUGAUGAUGGUAGUUGCAUUUGCUGCAGUGCGGGAGGUUUCCGAAGUAGGGUGUGGUUGGUGUUGGAACAGUAGGGCUGACUAGGGUAUUGACUACCCCAAUUCGUUGCCUUUCAGUAGGUCCUUGGGUUGAACAAGUUCCUUUGAACUUUCGUUUUAAGAGGUUAGGUUUGGGAUCAAUGGUGUCCUUUCCAGUAGGCACUUGUUGUUGAGGUUGGUUAACACCAUGGUUUGGCCUGCCAUUAACACUUCUACUCGCAUUUGUGUUGUUAGCAUUAAGAACAACUAGGGCGGCUACUACAGCUGCUGUGACAGUAGCUUGGAAUGUAGGUGAGUCCAUCUGGAGGAUUGGGGCCUUACCAGUGGGUUGGUUCUGCUUCUUCGGAGGCAUGAUCUGCUAUGUGCCAAGAAAAGAGUUUGUGAACAACAAUGGUUGCCUCUGGAUGUAUCCUAAACGUUUAUCUAUGCACUAAGAUUUCUCGUUUUUUUAUUCGAUCUACAUCCCCAUGACGUCGGCUCUAGACGAUAUGGAGAUUUAGCUAUAAGGAUUGUUCCGGGGAUCGAGUCGAUGCAGGAUUCAACUAGACACUCAGAAGAAAUCCCUUGAAUGUCUUUAGGGAAGACAUCAGGAAAGUUGCAGACUUCAGAGAUGCUCUCGAGGCCUUUAACUUUUUGCGUCUCAUCGACAACAUAAGCCAGGAAUGCAUGGCAUCCCUUUUUCGUAGAUACUUCUAGACUCUUGCGCAUGAAAUGAUACGAAGGUUUGAACAAAUUCUAUCACUAUGACCGGUGAGGACUUCGUCAGCGGGAAAGAUUGAAACGAAUCGCCCUUUCGAAGCAAAGGACAUCAGCACGAUUUAAGCUCAACUAUCUGAUGCCGAUUAUGACGUCGUAGCGUGUUAUGGAGACUGAUAUGAAAUCGAUGGGGAAAAGGAAUGAUCGUCUUAAGGUAAGAGUACUUCCUAUGACACAUGCUUCUAAGACGAAAUGGUAGCAUGGCUUUGAUAAAGUUGCUUAAUUUUCAUGCUAUCGUUCUAAGAUAUACUUUUGACAAAGAUCUUCUUUAACUGAAAUAUGGUUGUUGCCAUCAUAACUGAAACGGAGAUUACCCAUAUUUCGGAACCCUUGACCUAAAAGUAGGUCUAAGUUAUUCUAACAGGGAAAGAAUCUUGGCAACAUGAAGGACAGGGAUGUUUACAGAGAAGAGCUACUUAGAAGUUAGAACAUAGAUAUGAAGGUUUAUCUUAGAUCAAAAAGGAAGGAUGAGUAGAGUAUUAUCCUAUCAGCGAUGGACACUCCUCGAACGGAUCCUUAAGUUAGCCAGCUGGUGCUCCAUGUCAAGCAGCUGGCUCUCGUAUACUGUCCGGCGUGCUCGUAGCUCUAUGAGCUUAGCUCAAUUGGUAGCUAACUCUCGAUGUAGGGCUUCAUUGUUCCUUGCAGCUCUCGCAUGAGCAAUCUCGAAGCAACGGAUGCGGUCCGUGGUGGUGUUCGAAUCAGCUUCGAGCUCCAUAGUUCACUAAAGGGUUGCCAUACAUUGCUCCACAUUACGAGCCACUCAAUGUAUUAGGAUUGGAAGGGCCCUAUCUGUGGGGCCUCCUUCAUUCAGAUUGUAGAAGUUGCGGUUUUCAUCAUAUGGGUGGGGUUGGUCUUGCUCAUAGCUCCACCUAUUCAAACUCCCGACCCACAUAGGCGUUGGACCUUGGAGUUCAACUCGAGGAUUAGGAUUUGGUAUUGGAGUCACUUGAGGUAUGCUUUCAAAUUCGGGUUCCGAGUCAGUCUCUUUGGGAAAUGGUUAGGCAAGGUCAUUUUCCAAAGGAAUUUCAUGGUUUCCUUCCGGUUUUGGCUCGACCCAUCCAUCAUUUCCUUGGUUGGGAAAGUAUGGGUUGCUAGGGAGGUGGAAUCCAGCCAUGCUAUCUACGCGAGGUGAUGGUAAAGGGAUAGGCAUCGAAUCUAAUAGUACUUCCAAUGAUGGAUUCUUGGGUAAGUUUGUAGUUUGGUCGGUAUAGCAUCCAAAAAUACUCCUAUAGUAUUUUAACCCUUAUGUUUAGUUCUAGAACUCUCCUGGUACCUAGGUAAGUUUUAGACUUGCUGCGACACCAUAGUCACUCCCAAGCACAUGUUGGUCAUGUCUCAAAUGAAUAUAGUUGAUCAGUCUAUAUUGACCCUAGACAUGAUUACAUAACUGCCCAGGUUUAACCGCGAUGUCCAACAUCCAAAUACUUUUGUUUUAUUCUACUUACGACAUGGAUUCUGAUACUCGGGUAUACUUAUAUAAAAAUACUUGUAUUUUUGAAAGUAUACUUUUAGUUUAGAGCACUUAGGCCCCUUAAUAUUUAUAGUUGUAUACCAUGUAAGGUCCGGUAUANAACCAAUGGCUCUGAUACCAAUCUGUCCCCCCCCCAAACCGGAAUGGCGGAAACGUUCGGGGGUGGCUGACGUCAUGCGUAGUAUCACAACAAUUGUAUCAUAGCAAGCAUAGUAAACACAACCAGACAUUGAAUACAUAUGUGAAAAUGUUUACAUUGUUUAAUACAUAGUUUUAUUUAUAGCUAAAGUAAAAUAGACAGACGCGACUCUAACUUUUCGUCUUCUCCGAACUCUUGGAAGUACCUGUUUACUAAUUCCCUGAAAAUACAAGCAGUUUUGAAAGUAUAUCAGCAUAAAGCUGGUGAGUUCAUAAGCAUUUAGUUUUAGUGAUAAAAUGUUCUUUGAAUCCAUUUGAAAAGUGUUCUUCAAGAAAAUCCUCUAUUUUCUUAUGAAAAGCGGUCUUGAAGGAGUGUCUAUUAGUAGAAAAUAAACCAUCAGUUUCAGAAAACAUGUUAUCCAUCCUAGAGGUAGAGAUGCCAGUUUAGAAGUCCUUGAUUUCUAACAGCAUAUAUAAAAGUAGUUUUAUUACUUAAAAUAAAACAAAUGAAGAAGAGAGUCCGUAAACAAAGUUAGUUUUACUUAUUUGCGAGUCGUAUAACGAUACUUGAUAUGAUCGAGAGACCUUUAUAACGUUCUUCAGGAGUUAAGCUAAAUGACAUUUGUUCAGCAUAGGCGUGCCCGCCUAACUGUAGCUAGCAGUUCUGGUGUGAGAUUGUUAGUCCCAAAUAGAGCUAUUCACAAAUCUCACACUUUCCCUCCAGCAGACUCUGGUUAUACUAAAAGGAUUUAUCACUAUACACCUAAGGGUACAGUAUUGAAGUAGCGCCUCACAAUUCUGUAUAAUCUAGUUUACUAGCGAGAAAUCAGCAUAAAACAGUAACUAUCCUUGAAUAAAUGUACUUUAUAUUUAUGAGAAAAAGAUAUAACAUAAACUAAAUCUACCAUAGUUUAUACAUAUUCUUUUAUGAAAUCUAAAUAAGUAGAGAUGCCUAGACCAAACUAUACCCGUUAUAGUUUAUUAGAGUUGAUAUAGAGCUGCUUUGUAAAAACCUUUCUAAAAGCUAUGAAGUUAGAUUUCCAAAAUAGUAGUUUCCCUUAUGCUCAACAUAUUACAAAAAGAGAUAAAAUAUCCGAAUAUGUUAUUAAACGUGAAAUCAUUGGAUUGCAUUAAUAAUUUUAAAACUUAAUAAAAUACCUUGAAUUUGGCUUAUAUUCCGCCCUGAAAACAUUAAAAACACGGAAAAUGUAGGGGUAUGAACUCACUUCGACUGAUUUGAAUGAAGGGUCGGCACGAAAAGUUGGGUGUUCAAGUGAAGCCUUGAAUACGAUUUGAUCCUAAUUAACAUGCAUUGAUACAUAAAGGAGUCAAAUGAAGGUAUUUCACCACUAAAUGUGAUGGAGAACCACUCUAGGAACUUGGGACUACUUGCACAAGUGCUAGGACCUUAAAGGAUUGCGUUAGGUGAGUGUAUGGCCACCUCUAAAGUGUGUGCGGCCAGGCUAUGUGUGUGGUUGCACACAGGAGUGUGCGGCCAGGGUGUGUGUGUGGUUACACACAGGAGUGUGCGGCUAGAGUGUGCGGCCAGGGUGUGUGUGCGGCUGCACACGGGAGUGUGUGGCCGUACACUCUUCGUUUAAGCUCCAAACGUCAAUUUUCAAGUGCUUCAAGGCUCAAACCAAGUCCAACUAAGAGAUAGAGGGCCAAAAAUCUCACUUUGGAGGGUUUUGAGGUCUGUACGGCCACCUUAUGAAGGUGUGCGGCCAUACACCUUCAAGUGAUGAAGAACAUGAAGAGUUUUAGGCUUAGAUUUAGGUGUUUUACCUGUAUAACAAGCUAAAUGAUAGAAUUCCUCAUGUUUUUAGGCCCUUAGAGUGUUCUUGGAUGAAGUUUUAAGAGAGAGAAAGUAGAGUGCAGCCAAUUGAAAGGAAUGAGUGAAGGGGUCACCCUAUAUAAAUAGGGAUGAGUGUGCGGCUGGAGGAUGGGUGUGCGGCCAUACACUCGGGUGUACGGCCACACACUCAUGUGUGCAGCCAUACACUUGGGUGUGCGGCUACACACUCAUCUGUGCAGCCAUACACUUGGGUGUGCGGCCACACAUUCAUGUGUGCAGCCAUACACUCGGGUGUGCGGCCACACACUCGUGUGUGCAGCCAUACACUUGGGUGUGCGGCCACACACUCAUGUGUGUGGCCACACACUCCUUUUGAUGGAGUGUUUGGCCUAUUUGCAACCCUAAAUCUUAAACCAACCAAUCCCUAAUUCAAACUUUGGUUGUACUUAAGGCUUUAAAUGCUUAAAUGUGCCCAUAAUCAGUGCUAGGAGUUAACAGAAAUGAGUUUAACUUAGAUUAACUGACUAGAUGUACCGGGUAGAAGUUUUCGGGUUGUCACAGUCCUUUCAAGCUAGUGUCACAUGUCAAUGAUAAUGCUUAUAAGAUGGAUUUGGGAGGAGACCAUGGUGUGUGUGCUACCUUUAAUGUGGGAGACCAUUGACCUUAUCUUGUUGAGGAUGGCCAUGAUGAAUUGAGGUCAUUUCCUUUAAAAGGGGAAGGGGAUGAUCCAUGCAUGGAUCAUGAAAGCCCAAGGUGAUAGAUUAGUGAUUACUAGUAGGCUAGAAGGUGGUUUGGGCUCAAUGGUUGGGUUGUGCGUCGUAACCUAUGAAUUUAAUUAUGGUCGCAUAUAGGCUAGGGCAACGUUUUAAAGACUUCAUAAGUGCUCAAAACCGUUACUUUUUGCUUCAUAAAGCCUCCUAGGCAUUUUUGAUAUUCUUUGGUGGAUUAGAGUUACACUUUAAUGCUUCUUAUAGCUCCUUAAUGUAGCAUGGUCGUUUUUUUCAUUCAUUAGUGUGUCAGAUGUUUUUUUGUGUGGUUUCCUGAGUUUCUUUAAUUUUCAUUAUUAGUUUUACUGAGUAGUUGGUUGGGUGGCUUGUGACCACCAACUUUGUAAUAAAGGCUUCAUAUAAGCCAAGUUUAUGCAUGGAAAAAGGAGAUAGAUGAAAUAUUAAUCAAAAGAACCUUUGUUCUUGACUUGAUACGCAUUCAAUCAAAUAUGUCUUUUAUUGUUUUUACUAGUAUACAACUUAGUAGGUCUUGAUUUGUUUCUAAUCUAUCCAUUUCUUGCCAUACACGUAUCAUUUGUGGUUGUUAUUCUAGCUUAAUUUACCUAAACACAACCCUACUCACUUAAUCAAGCCCAUAAAGGCAUCAAAAGGCAAUCACCUUUGUGUCCCUAAACAUGCAAUACGGGAGUUGCUGAUUCGUGGAGCAUGGUGGUGGUUUAGCGGGUCAUGUUUCCAUUACCAAAACUUUAGAGGUGCUUUAAGAACAUUUCUUUUGGCCAAAGACGUUGGGAUGUAACCAACAUAGUGAGCAAGUGUGUUACAUGUCAGAUAACAAAAAAAACUUUCAAGCAUGGUGUUUGCCAGUUCCUAUUCGUCGUUGGAAAGAUGUGUCAAUGGAAUUUGUUAUGGCUUUGCAUACAACUCAAAGGGGGGAGGAUUCCAUUAUAGGGGUUUGAAAACCAAGUGUUACAAGUGUGAUACAUAUAUAUAUAUAUAUAUAUAUANNNNNNNNNNNNNNNNNNNNNNNNNNNNNNNNNNNNNNNNNNNNNNNNNNNNNNNNNNNNNNNNNNNNNNNNNNNNNNNNNNNNNNNNNNNNNNNNNNNNCUAUGAAGGAUGUAUCAAAAGAAUCGAGUCGAAGGAAACCUAAGUGUGAGCAGCCAAGGAAUAUGGGGGAGUUAAAGGUAAAUGAAUUGCCUAAAUUCGUUGGAGGAUUCAAUCCAGAAAAAUAUUUGGAUUGGGAGAAGGAGAUGGAAAGAGUUUUUCAGUUCAAAUGUGUGGAAGAUGAAUGGAGUUGCAAAUAUGCCAUUCUAAGGUUGAGAGGAGAAGCUGAAUUGUGGUAUGAAAAGUUGAAGGCAAAAAGAACCCGUGAAGGAAAGGGAAAGCUUUCUUCUUGGGAAUCUCUGAAACGAAAACUCUGAGAGAGGUAUGCGCCAAUGACCUUGGAGACUGUUAAUUUCAAAAGAAGGGUGGAGAUAUUCACAAAGGCAGUUAUGAUCAAAGAGGAAGAAGAAGAGUACAAAGCAUUGGCUGUUGACACGAUUUUGGUACUUGAAACAUCACAAACCAUUCAUGACAAGGCUGAUGUUGCCGAUGUCAAAGAGGAAGAAGUCAAGGUAGAAGAGGUUAAUUUAUUUGUUGAAGAUGAAAUUGUUGAAGUAACUAUUGAAGAAAACAAUUUCAUGAUUAGAGAUGAUAAUACUAAAGAAAUGGAUGAAUUCACUGAAGAAGUUGAACAAGGAGAUAACUCCAAGAUUGAAAUUGUUGAAAGUGUGGAUGCAAUCAUGGAAGAAAAUAAUUUUUUUGAUGCGAACAAAUUUUUUGAGAAGGAGGUGAUUUUGGUUGAACCAAGAAAGGAAUUCCAAGAGUCCAUGAUGUCUACAACAGUGUAUCCCAUAAAUAACGAACAAGUCCAGAAGCAUUGAACUAUAUUGAUGGGUGAAAUAAAUGUGGAGCAGGUUAAAUGUGAAGAUGCUCGUCUUGCAGAAUUGAGGUCAAUUCCUUUUGAAGUAGGAGGGGAUGAUAUGAAUUUGGACUGCAAUUCGCAAUCUUCAAGUUCCAACCCAAUUUGUAUCGUAAUGGGCUCACCCUUGACAUAAGUAUGGAUGAUGUGAGCUAUAAUAAUGAUAAAUUGGUACUCGCCACAUGGCAAUGUAGCAUGGCAUGUGUUGUGGCAAAAUUUGUGUGCAUGGUAUCAUAGGAAGCUAAUAUGGACGUGGAUUAAUGCAUGGGAGUUACAAUAGAGAUAGAUGGUUAAGUGUGACAUGUAGCAUAAGUAGGAGAACGAUUACAGGAAAACUCAGCAUGUACAAGUUUGAUGUCCAAAUGUUUUUCAGUUUAUCUAACCAACCCCCUCAACAACAUAAAUUAGUACUAGAAAGUAACUUAGUACCAACUUUCCUCCACAAAGUGUUGCAAAAGGAAUUCAGAAACAUGGAAUCCCUAUCCGAAACAAUAGUUUUAGGAAUAAUAUGCAAGCGAGCCACCUCUUUAAAGUACAAAUCACACACGUCAGAUGCAUCAUUGGCUUUAUGACGUGGCACAAAGUGAGCAACUUUUGAAAACCUAUCCACCACCACUAUAAUGGAAUCCUCCCCCCUUUGAGUUCUAUGUCCUUUUUCCAUGCAUAAACUUGGCUUAUAUGAAACCUUUACAAAGUUGGUGGUUACAAGCCACCCAACCAACUACUCAGUAAAACUAAAAACGAAAAUUAAAGAUACUCAUGAAACCGCACAAAAAAAACGUCUGACAGACUAAUGAAUGAAAAAAAACGUCCAUGCUCCAUUAAGGAGCCAUGAGAAGCAUUAAAAUGUAUCCCAAAAACACCAAAGAGUAUAAAAAAUGGCUAGGAGGCUUUAUGAAACAAAAAGUAACAGUUUUGAGCACUUAUGAAGCCUUUAAAAUGUUGCCCUAGCUUUCAUGCGACCAUAAUUUAAUUCGUACGUUACCACGCACAACCCAACCAUUGAGCCCAAACCACUAUCUAGCCUACUAGUAGUCACUAAUCCAUCACCUUGGGCUUUCAUGAUCCAUGCAUGGAUCCCCCCCCCCCCCCCUUUGAAAGGAAAUGACCACAAUUCAUCAAGGCCAUCCUCUACAAGAUAAGGUUAAAGGUCUCCCACAUUAAAGGUAGCACGCACUCCAUGCUCUCCUCCCAAAUCCACCUUAUAAUCAUUAUCAUUGACAUGUGACACCACUUUUUAAGGACCAUCUGCUCUUGGCAUCAACUUUUGUUCUUCCUUUUGUUAGGAAAACAUUCUUUCGUCAUUUGCACCUACACCAAGUCACCAUCUUGAAAGACAUGUGGUUUCCUAUGCAUGUUGGAAUUCUGUUUGUACAACUCUUUCACGGCUUCAAUCUUCACACGAACUUGUUGGUGUAGUUUCAUCAUGGCCUUUAACUUGUCAUUAGCAUCCUUUUGAACCAAUUCAUCCAUUGGCAAUGGAAUUACAUCCAAAGGAAUAUAAGGAUUCACACCAUACACCACUUCGAAAGGAGAGUGACAUGUAACAUAAGUAGCAGAACGAUUACAGCAAAACUUAGCAUGUACAAGUUUGAUGUCCAAAUGUUUUUGAGUUUUGCUAACCAACCACCUCAACAAAAUACCCAAAGUUCAUUUGUCACCUUCGUUUGCCCAUAAGUUUGUUGAUGAUGUGAUGUACUAAAAAGUAACUUAGUACCAGCUUUCAUCCACAAAGUGUUCCGAAAGUAACUCAAAAACAUAGAUUCCCUCUCAGAGACAAUAGUUUUAGCUAUAAUAUGCAAGCGAACCACCUCUUUAAAGUAUAAAUCAGACACAUUAGAUGCAUCAUUGGUUUUAUGACAUGGCUCAAAGAGAGCAAUUUUUGAAAAACUAUCCACCGCCACAAUAAUGGAAUCCUUUCCCCUUUGAGUUCUAGGUAAAGCCAUAAUGAAUUCCUUUGACACGUCUUCCUAAAGACGAAUAUGAACCAGCAACGGAGUGCAACACCAUGCUUGAAAGUUUUUUCGUCAUCUAACAAGUAACACACUUUCCCACUAUGUAGUUACAUCCCAAUAUCUUAGGCCAAUAGAAAUAUUCUUAAUGCUCCUCCAAAGUUUUGGUAAUGGAAAACUGACCCGCUAAACCACCACCAUGAGUUUCACGAAUCAGCAACUCUCGUAUUGCGUAUUCAGGGACAUAAAGGUGAUUGCCUUUUGAUGCCUUUAUGAGCUUGAUUAGGUGAGUAGGGUUGUUUUUAAGCUAGAAUAACAACCACAAAUGAUACGUGUAUGGGAAGAAAUGGAUAGAUUAGUAAAAAAAUCAAGACAUGCUAAGUUGUAUACUAGUGAAAACAUUCCAAGACAUAUUUGAUUGAAUGCGUAUCAAGUCAAGAACACGUCUUGACUAUGACAAAUAGUGAGCUAUACCGAACAAAGGUUCUUUUGAUUAAAAUUUCAUCUAUCUAAUUUUUCCAUGCAUAAACUUGGCAUAUAUGAAGCCUUUAUUACAAAGUUGGUGGUUACAAGCAAGUAUAAGAAGUCCAUCUGUUUGAUAGUUAGGGUAUGAACUCACCUGAUUGUGAGUGAUCUGGCAAAAAGACAGAUAUUGGAUGCUAAGUGUCAAGCGAAAUUUCAAACACGAACAGAUCCUAAUAAACAUAUAAUAACACACACACACACACAUAUAUAUAUAUAUAUAUAUAUAUACGUAUGUAUAUAAUUAGUAUAUAAGCAACUAAUCAUGCAAGGAAACCACCUUAGGGACUAGGAGACACUUAUAUUGAAGUGUUAUAGUCACAUAAGAUUUCAUUAAAGGAGUUUACAGCCACCCAAAGAAGUUUACGGCCGUAAACUCCAAUACUUAGAGUUUUCUGACUUGUAUGCUACACACAAAACUCUAGAAGAUACUUCCGAUCCAUGAGAUAUAUGUCUCCGCCAUCCUUGACUUCUAAGUUUUUAUCAAUCCCUCUCAGGGAUUCACCCGCCACAUUUCAGGUUUCAAGGCUUCUAGUUGAGCCCCCUUGAUUUGUGUGGACAUAUGUAAAUGGAUAGUCAUUCUCAAUGAUUUGACUCUACAACCAGAGUAUUCUUUCCGACUUAGGGCGUCAACUACUACAUUGGCAUUGCUGGGAUGAUAACGAAUUUCGCAUUCGUAGUCAUUGAGUAGCUCGACCUACCGUUGUUGUCGCAUAUUAAGCUCUUGCUGGUUGAAUAUAUGUUGCAAGCUUUUAUGGUCUGUAAAGAUAGUGCUUUUCGUACCAUACAGGUAGUGUCUCCAGAUCUUUAGAGCAAACACCACUGCUCCUAACUCAAGAUCAUGUGUGGUGUAGUUGAUUUAAUGUGUCUCUAGAUUUCUUGAGGCAUAGGAGAUGACCUUACCUCGUUGCAUAAGAACACAGUCGAGUCCUUGGUUGGAUGCGUCGCAAUAAACCAUGAAGUCUUCUAUCCCUUUUAGGAGGGAUAGUAUCGGUGCACUGCAUUAAGGCUCGCUUCAGUGUUUGGAACACUUUUUCUUGUUUCACUUCCCAGUCAAAGGACACGCCCUUCUGAGUCAAUGUUGUAAGUGGUUUAACGAUGAUAGAGAAGUUUUGAAUAAACCUGCGAUAGUAGCUAGCGAGACCUAGAAAUUGACGAAUUUUUGUAGGUGUCCUGGGAGUUGACUAGUUCUCAAUGGCCUUAAUUUUGGAAGGGUCCACAUUAAUUCCUUCUUCGCUAACCACAUGACCCAAGAAUUCGACUCUUCAGAUCCAAAAUUCUGUGACAACCCAAGAUUUCUAUUAUGUACAACCCUUCACUUAAAUAGAUCUGCUAAUUUUCAAGCUUUUUGGAAUAAGUUUGAGUAUUUUAGGAUUAGCACUUUGAGAGAAAUUAGGAGAGAGGAUGCCCUAGGGUUUAUUAUGCAUCAAUAAAGUUUCAAAAACUCCAAGAGUUUGGAGUUUACAGACCAAGUCACCAUCUAGAAAGACACGUGGUUUCCUAUGCAUGUUGGAUUUUUGUUUGUACAACUCUUUCACGGCUUCAAUCUUCACACAAACUUGUUCGUGUAUUUUCAUCAUGGCCUUCAACUUGUCAUUAGCAUCCUUGUGAACCAAUUCAUCCUUUGGCAAUGGAAUUAAAUCAAAAGUCAUAUAAGGAUUUACACCAUACACCACUUCAAAAGGAGAGUGACAUGUAGCAUAAGUAGGAGAAAGAUUACAGGCAAACUCAACAUGUACAAGUCUGAUAUCCAAAUGUUUUUGAGUUUUGCUAACCAACCCCCUCAAACAACGUACCCAAAGUUCUAUUUGUCACCUUCGUUUUCCUAUCAGUUUGUGGAUGAUGGGAUGUAAUAAAAAGUAAGUUAGUACUAGCUUUCAUCCACAAAGUGUUCCGAAAGUAACUCAAAAUCAUAGAUUCCCUCUUAGAGACAAUAUUUUUUGGAAUAAUAUGCAAGGGUAACAUCCCAAAUUUCGGGUCCAAAAAUUUCAUUUUUAUUUAUCGGAUUGUAAAUACAUUCAUAAGAAAACUGUGUAACAAUAUAUCAUUUUGUGAAUCAAUGUAUCAGAUUUGAAAACCCAGAACAUAUAAUAGUAACAUGUCAGAGUACAAUCCCAGAAUAUCUCUAGUGCGGAAGAUGAAUACUUGUGUAUAUGAUGUGCCGCUACCAGGCCAGCUCUUUCCCCUUCGCUAAGGAGGUACCUGAGACCAAAACUGUAAACUGUAAGCACGGAGCUUAGUGAGAUCCCCCACAAUACCACAUACCAUGCACAUAUAAUGAACAACUAGGAGAUGCGCGCCUCGCCCACACUCAUGGAGAUACGAGCCACGCCCACACUUUGCUAGCAAGGAGAUACGAGCCUCGCCCACAUUCCGUUGUCUCUUAGAUACGGGCCUCGCCCACACUCAGCUACUAAACCAUAGCAUACAUGUAUCAUACAGACCACAAGUAUAAGCAAUUCUAUCAAAAAAGCCUAUAUCAUAAUCAAACUCAACUAUGAGAUGCGAGCUCUGCCCACACUCCAAUACUAACGUAUCACCUAUACGGGCCGACUUUGGUACCUUAGACCCGUUUCUACUGGAAGGAAACUCACCUCGUAAGACUGACCGCUGGAAAGCUGCUCGGGAAGUCUCUGACUAUUGCUACUCCGGAAAUCUUUCGGCUAUCAUCUCCACAAAACACUCAGUUAGAAUCUGAUAUCUACUCUUAGGGUAAAAUGACUAUUUUACCCCUACCCCGGAGCAAGUCAAAUUCAAAGUCAACUUCCUGUUGACCCGACUCGCCGAGUUGGGCUGUCAACUCGUCGAGUCCCUGUCUCUUCAACCGUCCUCAUCCACGUCCCUACUCGUCGAGUUUAGCAUCGACUCGAUGAGUUCUACUUCUAUCACAACCUCGGAUGAACCUUCAUCGCCAAGCGGUAUGAACACUCGUCGAGUCCAUCAUCAUCCUAUGAAUACGUCCUGACCUCGACUCGCCGAGUUGUAUGAACAACUUGUCGAGUUCAUCUUCAAGGGUUGGGAGAUUGCCUUGGACUCAGCGAGUCUAUUCUAGCACUCGCCGAGUCCUAUGAACUCCAGGUCUAAAACUAAGUCCAAUGNNNNNNNNNNNNNNNNNNNNNNNNNNNNNNNNNNNNNNNNNNNNNNNNNNNNNNNNNNNNNNNNNNNNNNNNNNNNNNNNNNNNNNNNNNNNNNNNNNNNCCAGAACGUUUCCGCCGUUCCGGUUUUGGGGUGUGACAUUUUGGCAUCAACUUUUGUUUGGAAAACGUUCUUGGAUAUGCACCUAAACCAAGUCACCAUCUUGAAAGACACGAGGUUUCCUAUACAUGUUGGAAUUCUGUUUGUAUACGUCAUUCACGGCUUCAAUCUUCACACGAGCUUGUUGGUGUUGUUUCGUCACGGCCUUCAACUUGUCAUUAGCAUCCUUGUGAACCNUUUGGAAAUGGAAUAAUAUACAAAGGCUCGUAUGGAUUCACACCAUACACCACUUACAAAGGCUUGUAAGGACCUUCAGCUCUUGGCAUCAACUCUUGUUCUUCCUUUUGUUAGGAAAAUGUUCUUUCCUCAUAUGCACCUAAACCAAGUCACCAUCUUGAAAGACAUGUGGUUUCUUAUGCAUGUUGGAAUUCUAUUUGUACACGUCAUUCAUGGCUUCAAUCUUCACAAGAACUUGUUGGUGUAGUUUCAUCAUGGCCUUUAACUUGUCAUUAGCAUCCCUGUGAACCAAUUUAUCAUUUGGAAUAGAAUCAAAUAUAAAGGCUUGUAAGGAUUCACACCAUACAUCACUUAUAAAGGACAGUGACCUGUAGCAUAAGUAGGAGAACGAUUACAAGCAAACUCAACAUGUGCAAGUUUGAUACCCAAAGUUCUAUUAGUCACCUUCGUUUGCCCAUCAGUUUGUGGAUGAUGGGACGUACUAAAAAGUAACUUAGUACCAACUUUCCUCCACAAAGUGUUCCAAAUGUAACUCAAAAACAAGGAAUCCCUAUCAGAAACAAUAGUUUUACGAAUAAUAUGCAAGCGAACCACUUCUUUAAAGUACAAAUCAGAGACAUUAGAUGAAUCAUUGGUUUUAUGACAUGGCAUAAAGUGAGCCAUUUUUGAAAACCUAUCCACCACCACUAUAAUGGAUUCCUUCCCCCUUUGAGUUCUAGGCAAAGCCAUACUGAAUUCUAUUGACACAUCUUGCCAAGGAUGAAUAGGAAACGACAAAGGAGUGUAAACACCAUGCUUGAAAGUUUUUUUUGUCAUCCGAUAUGUAACACACUUGCCCACUAUGUUGGUUACAUCCCUAACAUCUUUAGGCCAUAAGAAAUGUUCUUAAAGCACCUUCAAAGUUUUGGUAAUGGAAAAAUGACCCGCCAAACCACCACCAUGAGCUUCACGAAUCAGCAACUCCCGUAUUGCAUGUUUAGGGACACAAAGGUGAUUGCCUUUUGAUGCCUUUAUGGGCUAGAUUAAGUGAGUGGGGCUGUGUUUAGGUAAAUGAAGCUAGAAUAAAAACCACAAAUGACAGGUGUAUGGGAAGAAAUGGAUAAACUAGUAACAAAUCAAGACCUACUAAGUUGUAUACCCGUGAAAACUAUCCAAGACAUAAUAUUUGUUUGAAUGCAUAUCAAGUCAAGAACAGGUCUCGACUAUGACAAGUAGUGAACUAUAACUAUAAUUCAAAGUGAACAAAGGUUCUUUUGAUUAAAAUUUCAUCUAUCUCUUUUUUCCAUGCAUAAUUGGCUUAUAUGAAGCCUUUAUUACAAAGUUGUUGGUUACAAACCACCCAACCAACUACUCAGUAAAACUAAUAAUGGAAAUUAAAGAAACUCAUGAAACCACACAAAAAAACGUCUGACACACCAAUGAAUGAAAAAAGCGUUCGUGCUCCAUUAAGGAGCAAAAAGAAGCAUUAAAAUGUAACCCAAAUCCACCGAAGAGUAUCAACAAUGGCUAAAAGGCUUGAUGAAGCCAAAAGUAAUGGUUUUGAGAACUUAUUAAGCCUUUAAAAUGUUGCCCUAGCCUUCAUGCGACCCUAAUUCAAUACAGAGGUUACCAUGCACAACCCAACCAUUGAGUACAAACCACCUUCUAGCCUACUAGUAAUCACUAAUCCAUCACCUUUUUCGGCUUUUCAUGAGCCAUGCAUGGAUCCACCCCUCCCUCUUUGAAAGGAAAUGACCUUAAUUCAUCAAGGCCAUCCUCAACAAGAUACAUGAAAGGUCUCCCACAUUAAAGGUAGCAUGCACUCCAUGGUCUCGUCCCAGAUACACCUUAUAAGCAUUAUCAUUGACAUGUGUCACCACUUUGUAAGGACCUUCAGCUCUUGGCAUCAACUUUUGUUCUUCCUUUUGUUAGGAAAAUAUUCUUUCCUCAUAUGCACCUAAACCAAGUCACCAUCUUGUAAGACACGUGGUUUCAUAUGCAUGUUGGAAUUCUGUUUGUACAUGUCAUUCACAGCUUCCAUCUUCACACAAACUUGUUGGUGUAGUUACAUCAUGGCCUUCAAAUUGUCAUUUGCAUCCUUGUGAACCAAUUCAUCAUUUGGAAAUGGAAUCAAAUACAAAGGCUUGUAAGGAUUCACACCAUACACCACUUACGAAGGCUUAUAAGGACCUUUAGCUCUUGGCAUCAACUUGUUCUUCCUUUUGUUUGGAAAACGUUCUUUCCUCAUAUGCACCUAAACCAAGUCACCAACUUGAAAGACACGUGGUUUCCUAUACAUGUUAGAAUUUUGUGUGUACAUGUCAUUCACGGAUUCAAUCUUCACACGAGCUUGUUGGUAUAGUUUCGUCAUGGCCUUCUACUUGUCAUUAGCAUCCUUGUGAACCAAUUCAUCAUUUGGAAAUGGAAUCAAAUACAAAGGCUUGUAAGGAUUCACACCAUAAACCACUUACAAAGGCUUGUAAGGACCUUCAGCUCUUGGCAUCAACUUUUGUUCUUCCUUUUGUUAGGAAAACGUUCUUUCCUCAUAUGCACCUAAACCAAGUCACCAUCUUGUAAGACACGUAGUUUCCAAUGCAUGUUGGAAUUCCGUUUGUACACGUCAUUCACGGAAUCAAUCUUCACACAAACUUGUUGGUGUAGUUUCAUCAUUGCCUUCAACUUGUCAUUAGCAUCCUUGUGAACCAAUUCAUCGUUUGGAAACGGAAUAAAAUACAAAGGAUUUUAAGGAUUCACACCAUACACCACAUACAAAGGCUUGUAAGCACCUUCAGCUCUUGGCAUUAACUUUAGUUCUUCCUUUUUUAAGUAAACGUUCUUUCCUCAUAUGCACCUAAACCAAGUCACCAUCUUGAAAGACACAUGGUUUCCUAUGCAUGUUGGAAUUCUGUUUGUACACGUCAUUCACGGCUUCAAUCUUCACACGAGCUUGUUGGUGUAGUUUCGUCAUGGCCUUCAACUUGUCAUUAGCAUCCUUGUGAACCAAUUCAUCGUUUGGAAAUGGAAUAAUAUACAAAGGCUCGUAUGGAUUCACACCAUACACCACUUACAAAGGCUUGUAAGGACCUUCAGCUCUUGGCAUCAACUCUUGUUCUUCCUUUUGUUAGGAAAAUGUUCUUUCCUCAUAUGCACCUAAACCAAGUCACCAUCUUGAAAGACAUGUGGUUUCUUAUGCAUGUUGGAAUUCUAUUUGUACACGUCAUUCAUGGCUUCAAUCUUCACAAGAACUUGUUGGUGUAGUUUCAUCAUGGCCUUUAACUUGUCAUUAGCAUCCCUGUGAACCAAUUUAUCAUUUGGAAUAGAAUCAAAUAUAAAGGCUUGUAAGGAUUCACACCAUACAUCACUUAUAAAGGACAGUGACCUGUAGCAUAAGUAGGAGAACGAUUACAGGCAAACUCAGCAUGUGCAAGUUUGAUGUCCAACUGUUUUUGAGUUUUGCUAACCAACCCCCUCAACAACAUACCCAAAGUUCUAUUAGUCACCUUUGUUUGCCCAUCAAUUUGUGGAUGAUGGGACGUACUAAAAAGUAACUUAGUACCAACUUUCCUCCACAAAGUGUUCCAAAUGUAACUCAAAAACAAGGAAUCCCUAUCAGAAACAAUAGUUUUACGAAUAAUAUGCAAGCGAACCACUUCUUUAAAGUACAAAUCAGACACAUUAGAUGAAUCAUUGGUUUUAUGACAUGGCAUAAAGUGAGCCAUUUUUGAAAACCUAUCCACCACCACUAUAAUGGAUUCCUUCCCCCUUUGAGUUAUAGGAAAAGACAUACUGAAUUCCAUUGACACCUUUUGCCAAGGACGAAUAGGAACCGACAAAGGAGUGUAAACUCCAUGCUUGAAAGUUCUUUUCGUCAUCCGACAUGUAACCCACUUGCCCACUAUGUUGGUUACAUCCCUAACAUCUUUAGGCCAGAAGAAAUAUUCUUAAAGCAUGUUCAAAGGUUUGAUAAUGGAAAAAUGACCCGCCAAACCACAACCAUGAGCUUCACGAAUCAGCAACUCCCGUAUUGCAUGUUUAGGGACACAAAGGUCAUUGCCUUUUGAUGCCUUUAUGGGCUUGAUUAAGUGAAUGGGGUUGUUUUAGGUAAUUUAAGCUAGAAUAACAACCACAAAUGAUAGGUGUAUGGGAAGAAAUGGAUAGAUUAAUAACAAAUCAAGACCUACUAAGUUUUAUACCGGUGAACACAAUCCAAGACAUAUUAGAUUGAAUGCGUAUCAAUCAAGAACACGUCUCGACUAUGACAAAUAGUGAGCUAUAACUAUAAUUCAAAGUGAAACAAGGUUCUUUUGAUUAAAAUUGCAUCUAUCUGUUUUUUCCAUGCAUAAACUUCGCUUAUAUGAAGCCUUUAUUACAAAGUUGGUGGUUACAAGCCUCCCAACCAACUACUCAGUAAAAUUAAUAAUGAAAAUUAAAGAAACUCAUGAAACCACACGAAAAAACGUCUGACACACUAAUGAAUGAAAAAAGUGUCCAUGCUCCAUUAAGGAGCAAAAAAAGCAUUAAAGUGUAAUCCAAAUCCACCAAAGAGUAUCAACAAUGGCUAGAAGGCUUGAUGAAGGAAAAAGUAAAAGUUUUGNCACUGAUUAAGCCUUUAAAAUGUUGCCCUAGCCUUCAUGCGACCCUAAUUUAAUACGUAGGUUACCAUGCACAACCCAACCAUUGAGUACAAACCACCUUCUAGCCUACUAGUAAUCACUAAUCCAUCACCUUUUUCGGCUUUUCAUGAGCCAUGCAUGGAUCCUCCCCUCCCUCUUUGAAAGGAAAUGACCUUAAUUCAUCAAGGCCAUCCUCAACAAGAUACGGUGAAAGGUCUCCCACAUUAAAGGUAGCAUGCACUCCAUGGUCUCGUCCCAGAUCAACCUUAUAAGUAUUAUCAUUGACAUGUGUCACCACUUUGUAAGGACCUUCAGCUCUUGGCAUCAACUUUUGUUCUUCCUUUUGUUAGCAAAACGUUCUUUCCUCAUAUGCGCCUAAACCACGUCACCAUCUUGUAAGACACGUGGUUUCCUAUGCAUGUUGGAAUUAUGUUUGUACACGUCAUACACAGCUUCAAUCUUCACACAAACUUGUUGGUGUAGUUACAUCAUGGCCUUCAAAUUGUCAUUUGCAUCCUUGUGAACCAAUUCACCAUUUGGAAAUGGAAUGAAAUACAAAGGCUUGUAAGGAUUCACACCAUACACCACUUACGUAGGCUUAUAAGGACCUUCAGCUUUUGGCAUCAACUUUUGUUUGGAAAACGUUCUUUCCUCAUAUGCACCAACACCAAAUCACCAUCUUGAAAGACACGAGGUUUCCUAUACAUGUUGGAAUUCUGUUUGUACACGUCAAUCACGGCUUCAAUCUUCACACUAGCUUGUUGGUGUAGUUUCGUCAUGGCCUUCAACUUGUCAUUAGCAUCCUUGUGAACCAAUUCAUCGUUUGGAAAUGGAAUAAUAUACAAAGGCUCGUAAGGAUUCACACCAUACACCACUUACAAAGGCUUGUAAGGACCUUCAGCUCUUGGCAUCAACUCUUGUUCAAAGUGAACAAAGGUUAGUUUGAUUAAAAUUUCAUCUAUCUCUUUUUUCCAUGCAUAAUUGGCUUAUAUGAAGCCUUUAUAACAAAGUUGGUGGUUACUAGCCACCCAACCAACUACUCAGUAAAACUAAUAAUGGAAAUUAAAGAAACUCAUGAAACCACACAAAAAAACGUCUGACACACUGAUGAAUGAAAAAAGUGUCCAUGCUCCAUUAAGGAGCAAAAAGAAGCAUUAAAGUGUAAUCCAAAUCCACCAAAGAGUAUCAACAAUGGCUAGAAGGCUUGACGAAGCAAAAAGUAACAGUUUUGAGCACUUAUUAAGCCUUUAAAAUGUUGCCCUAGCCUUCAUGCGACCCUAAUUUAAUACGUAGGUUACCAUGCACAACCCAACCAUUGAGUACAAACCACCUUCUGGCCUACUAGUAAUCACUAAUCCAUCACAUUUUUCGGCUUUUCAUGAGCCAUGCAUGGAUCCUCCCCUCCCUCUUUGAAAGGAAAUGACCUUAAUUCAUCAAGGCCAUCCUCAACANGUCUGGGGGUGACUGUGGUGUUCAACAUGCCUAAAACUUACCCAAUCCCCAAACAACGAGCCAUCGUCGUAACAAAGCGUGAAAUACUAUGGGAGUAUUUCUAGAUCCAACUUGGUUGUAGAAAACCCUCAUUCAAGUGUUGCCUCUUGAUUAUUCUUUUAGUAAUAAUAUAUCUGUCUUGAUUAUUUAUUCCUACUUUAUUGCUUAAUAGAAUUCUAUGUCUGUCAUAAAGAGAUAUCCCUUGUUUCAUAUCUCCUGAUUUAAUUCAGAGGAUUUACUAUCCUCUUUUCCUAAUCAUUUUAGAUCGAAAUGUCUCCAAAGAAAGGACCCAGCUCAAAGAACAACAACCCUCCGUCACCACCUCCUUCUCAAUUCGACCCUGUGAUGUUCCAGUUAGCUGUUUCUGCCGCAGUGACGGCNCCAUAGUGACAUAUUUGUUCUCUAACAGGUUCAGUGGACCAGGAAGUAACACCAACCCCUAAAACCAUGAAAAUGUUCAGGAGCAUCAGAAUGAGCGUAAUGAGAGUAAUAAGGUUAUCUGGAAAAAGUGAAAGGGUCAGAGUUCACAAAGACCCUCCAAGAGGCAUGAAACUAUGGCAAUUCAAGCUGCCACUACUCCUGUUGCUGUGUCUACAGUUCAAGCGCUUACCACUAGGUAUGCGGGUAACCUCCCUUGGUGCAACAAGUGCAAAUAUCACCAUUAUACCCCUGGCCCAUGCCUCGAGAUAAUCUGCAAAAGAUGUGGCAAAAAAGGCCACACCGCUCGAAACUGCAAAAGACCAGCCCAACUAGUCAAUCGAGCUUCCGGAUCAAGUACCGAACAGGCCUACUUUAAGUGCGGUGAAAUCGGGCAUUUCAAGCGAAACUGCCCAAAAACAGCAACCACCAACCACGCCAACAACGUUGGGAUAGCUCUGGCUAUAAAGUCGGAAGAGGCAACCGCUGAUUCCACCUCCGUCGCGGGUACGUUUCUUCUCGACAAUUCUUAUGCCUGCAUCCUUUUAGAACCUAGUGUCACGGAAGUUUUAUUAGUCAUUAUUCUAGUAUCUUCGUAAACAUAGUCCUCGUCUAAUAACCGAAACAUUUACCGUCGAGAUGGUUAAGGUGAGAAUGAGUGCACUAACGAAUUAUUCCUAAACUGUACCCUUACCUUGCGUAAUCAUUCUUUCCUCGUUAACCUAAUGUCAGUUUCAAUAAAGAACUUUGAUGUUAUCAUUGGCAUGUAUCGGUUGAAUCCCAAUCAUGCUGAUACCCUUAGUAUUGAAAAGGCCAUCUGUCCCGAUUUCCUCUCUGGUCAAACCCUCAUGAUCUACAACAAUAAAUUCAGUUCCAACCUUCAUAUCAUUUCGUGCAUCUAAAAAUCAAAAGGUUUUCCCGAAAGGAAUGUCAUGUAUUCCCAGACUAUGAAACCAACGAGAAACAGAACGUCAAAAACCUUGAAAGCAUCCCCAAAGUCUGCAAUUUUCUUGAUGUCUUUUCCGAAGAGCUCACAGGAAUUCCCUUCAGACAUCAAGUAGAGUUUUGCAUCGACCCAAUUCCCGGAGCAAACCCUAUAUAACCAAAUCCCAGCAUCGAUAGGCUCCAGCAGAAAUGCAGAAGUUACCCAGUUAGCUUCGAGUUCACGAGAGUGAUGUUUCCAAAACAGCAUUCAGAAUUCGAUAUAGUCACUACAAAGAUGUAGUGAUACCCUUCGGUCUAACCAUUUUCUUUGGCCAUGUAGUAAUCGAAGAAAGCAUGUUACAUUCUGAAAACUCGUAUCCCAAGGUGCAUAGAACUUUUCGAAAUCCUCAUUAGGAUCGAUCCUGUAGCAUACAAACUCCGACUACCCUCAGAACUUAGUAGUAUCCAUCCUGUCUUCCUCGUCUCAAAUCUUCAGAAGUGCCUGCCCAACGAAACCCUAGUAAUUCCGAAAUCAACGAAAGUCUGAACCUCCAUGGAAGAACAAAUUGAGAACAUAGAUCAAGAGGUUAAACGUAUGAAACAAGACAUAUCCCGAUAAGUGAACGGUACCCCGAAAUGCCAUGUGAGAAUCCGAAUUCACUUGGAAGCGUGAUGAUCCCAUAGGACAGAAGUAUCCGUAUUCUCUUUUCAAAUCUGCGAGUCGCAUCUAAAGUAUGAAUUUCGGGACGAAAUUCCCUCUAACGGGGGGAUAAUGUGACAACUCGAAGUUCGUUCCGUCAUCAUAACCCGGUUCCAUUAGUAAAGUCGUCAUGUUCCAAAAUUUUCCGUUAACUUUGUUUUAAUUUAAUUUAUUUGCAACUUCUAUUUAAAGUUCAUAAGUUUUGGGAUACAUUUUAAUUCAUUAAAAUAUUUUCUAUUUUCAUUUAGAAAAUAUUUAGUUUCAUCUAAGUCAUAAUUACGGUAAAUUAAUCGGGUGCAACCAAAAGCCCCACUUAUCAGUAGUAUCGGGUAGAAUUCCACCAUAUCCUAAACCUUGAACAUAUAUAAAGUUGAGAGAGCCUCAUUUGAAGCCUUUCCACUCUCUCUACUCUCUCUCUACUUUCUCUCUCUAGAAAUCGAAAUCAAGCCAAAAAUCAUCCAAAACAAGCUCCAAAUCAUCAAGGUAACUAUCCUAACUCCUAGUAUAACCCCUUUGUCCUUCAAAUUCGUGGAUUAUAUGAGGAAUAGAACCAUAAACAUGUGUUUACGGUCCUGGAACCUCCUUAGGCCGUGAACACAUGUAUUAAGGGGUUUUGAGCCUUAAAACCCUUCCAAACCUCAUUUGGAGCUUAGAUAUGACUAAGGGACUUAUUUGCAUGGACUUAGAACACCUUGAACUCNNNNNNNNNNNNNNNNNNNNUUGAGCCUUAAAACCCUCCCAAACCUCAUUUGGAGCCUAGAUAUGACCUAAGGACUUGCAUACAUGGAUUUAGAACACCUUAAACUCUUCAUUUAGGGCAUGAACAUGAGUUUACGGCCCAAGCACAUACUUGGACCGUAAACACCUAUUCUUGGGGAGUAAACUCAAUUUAAGGUGUUAGUUUGCCCCUAAACACCUCCAACAAGCUUCCAUGAGAGUAUAGAACCCAAUAAUCCUUCAAGAAAUGCACCAAAACUUACACAAAUGGGACAAACUUGAGCUUACGGUCCAAGAACAUUAUUAGACCGUAAACUCAUCUCCUUAGACCUUAAACUCAUCCAAUGGGUGUUAAAGUGCCCUUAACACCUUGUAUGGUUUAGAAAUGGGUCUAGAUCUUAGUAUGCUUAACUUUCAACCACUAAAACUCAUGAAUCAUGGACAAACAUGAGUUUAAGGUAGUAAACUCGUGUUUAAGGUAGUAAACUUCCGAAGAACAUCUUCAUAGACCGUAAACUCUUAUCCAAGGUCAUUUAGAGUCCCAAUCACUUCCUAAGCCAUGGAAUCAACCCUAGAACCUUUCCGUGUGCAUUGUAUGACCAUUUGGCAUCCAAGAACCCACCACCCAUGAGUUUACGGCCGUAAACUCAUGGGGAUAUGGUCAAUGGACCGUGAACUCCUCAAGGAGUUUACUCUUCAAGAGUAAACUCCAUAUCUAGGUCCUACACAUCCAUAGAUGCCCCCGGGUGACUCCGAACACUUGAAUUGAAGUUUUUCACGCCUCAAAGUGUAUAAUCAUAUCUAAUUAGUGAUUUAAAGUCUAAUUAGAUACAUUUGUAUCUCAUUUCAUAUUUCAUAGGAUCCUCGCGCGUUAUCAAGCCCUGAUCCGACACAUAGCAUCCUAGACAACACGUUCUUCGACUGGUGAGUUCAUACCCCUACCCUUUUUCCGUGUUUUCAAUGUUUUCAGGGUGAAUACAAGCAAACUAUAAAUGUUUUCAAAACCUAAAACUGAUGUGUUUCUAUAAAUAUUUGGCUAACUUUUAGAUAUCUUUACCCGUUUAUGUAUUAAGCUGAGCAUAAAGGAUGUUUUAUCGAUUAUAACUACAUGGAUUUCAGUAAAGGAAACAAUCAAAUCAAUCAAAUUAUUAUGGGAAUAAUUUGGGAUCUUUAGUUCCUAUUUAACAAGCAAAGAUUUAUGUAAAGUUAUUAGAUAAACUAUGUCUGAUUCAGUUUAUCUCUAUUUAAUUUAGAAUAUAUUGCCAGAUAAUUCCAUUGUGUUUAACUGUUUUCACUGUAUAUUGUUUCUAUAUGAUUAGUAUGUUGAUAACGUCUGAGAACACCGUGAAUAAAUUAAAUACUAGCUUGUGAGAUUCGUCAAUACCCUUUGGGUUAUCAGUAAAUCCUCCCCAGAAGUGUAACCAGAGUCUCCUGGAGGGAGAGCGUGGAAUUUGUGAAUAGAUCUAUUCGGGACUGACAAUCCUACACCUAAACUGCUAGCUACAGUUAGGCGGGCACGCCUGGGGUGACAAAUUCUGGAUAUCAUCCGACGUCUGACGAACGUCAAGGAGGUCUCGGUGUCGCAUCAGCAUGGUUACCCGACUGACAAUACNNNNNNNNNNNNNNNNNNNNNNNNNNNNNNNNNNNNNNNNNNNNNNNNNNNNNNNNNNNNNNNNNNNNNNNNNNNNNNNNNNNNNNNNNNNNNNNNNNNNNNNNNNNNNNNNNNNNNNNNNNNNNNNNNNNNNNNNNNNNNNNNNNNNNNNNNNNNNNNNNNNNNNNNNNNNNNNNNNNNNNNNNNNNNNNNNNNNNNNNNNNNNNNNNNNNNNNNNNNNNNNNNNNNNNNNNNNNNNNNNNNNNNNNNNNNNNNNNNNNNNNNNUACUAAAAAGUAAAUUAGUAAGAACUUUUCUCUACAAAGUGUUCCAAAAGUAACUCAAAAGCAUGUAAUCCCUAUCAGAAACAAUAGUUUUAGGAAUAUUAUGCAAGCGAACCACCUCUUUAAAGUACAAAUCAGACAGAUUAGAUGCAUCAUUGGUUUUAUGAUAUGGCACAAAGUGAGCCAUUUUUGAAAACCUAUCCACCAGCACUAAAAUGGAAUCAUUUCCCCUUUCAGUUCUAGGCAAAACAAUACUUCCUCAUUGGUAGGUCUAUAAUUACAGAGUGUAUACUUACAAGGUUUUAUAUAUUAAAGAUCUUAUAGACUCAGAAUGUGUGGUUUCGCUUUACUUCCUUUUCCUUGUUUGGAUGUGGAUAUAGAGUAGUAUCAUAUAUUUGAAGGUCUAUUAAAUCCGAUACAUAUAUAAUUUGUAUGCACUAUGUAAUUCUAGAAGGACCCAAUAAGGAUCACUAUUUAAAAAUGUUUAAUUAACUUUUUAAGACUCUUUAGACAUUUCCGUUCUCGUAUAAACCAUUUGGAUAGAUGUGGUCACUUCAGCAAUCAGCAGAGAAGUCAACAAGGACUCAGAAGAGAUUCAUUGGGAGGAUUUCCGAGUAGGAAACCGAUGAACACUAAAGAAACAAUAGAAAUCACCCUGUGCCUUUACCUUAUUAGGGACAUUGGUGAGAAGUUCGCCUGAACUUCCAAGAUUCAAACUUUCCCUUAUGAAGUAAUGGGGAUCAGUGUCGGAAUCGGAAGUAAGACGGCAUGGAAAUUCAAUAUACUUACGAAGGAGAAGGACACUGCAUAGGUUCCAGGAGGGAUCCCAGAGUAGCACAAAGAACUGAGGGAAGCCACGCAUGAAACGUGGGAAGUGUUUGUAUACCCAAUGUGUCACCUUAACAAAUUAAUAAAUUAAUACAACCUGGUGAGUUAGUGAUUACACUACUUACAUUGUGUGUUAGGCUUAUCGCCUUUUUCCGUAAUGGAAAAUAUCAUUAAAUCGGAUCACGAAAUCUCAUUUGAGAGUGAUUAUUUCUAAAAAUUCAUAAGUCUUUCCUAUGUAGUCUCCGUUCUAAAUUGCUUCCAAAUCUUUUCCUAGUUGGAGAGUGAUACUCACCAAUCUAAAGAUAACUUAGUUCGAGCGACACCUGGUUCAUGACCUUUUUUAAAAACUUACUUCUACCCUUUUACCAGGACUGCAUCAUAGGGAUGUAGGUUGAAACUUUGAGAACCAUAUACUGAGACACGGAGAAAUUUAUAUGUGCAUAUAAAUAAUUAGAAUACAUCUAGAAGCAACCAUCAUCGCUCAAAAACUUGUUCCUCAUCGUGUAACAGCAUCAUACCUCCGAAGAAACAUAACCAACCCACCGGCAAAACACCAAUACUUCAGAUAGACUCAGAUAACAAAGUACUGCAACAAGUGCCUGCUUGUAAAGACACACCGAACCUCAACCCUAAGAGUAACAAACGACAGUUCUGGGAUAAAAGGAAGUGCAAAUCAUCUCAAAUGAUGAACAAGAGACAACACCUGGUGGCAACCUCUGCAGCCACGACAUCUACUGCUUCUACUACCAUUCCUAUUGCUACCCCAAACAAGGCAGUAUGUCGGGAACCUACCCCUAUGCAAGAAGUGCAACUUCCAUCACCUAGGAGUCUGCCGAGUGUUGCACUGCAUGAAUUGCAACAAGAAGGGGCACACUACCCGUUUCUGCAGAAUUCCAAACAAGCACAUCACUUCAACCACCAAUGUUGGGAUCAGUCCAAUAUGUCACCUAUGUGGUGAAAUAGGACAUUUCAAGAGGGACUGUCCAACAAAAGGAAAUGAUAAAGGCGCAGGAGUAGUUUAACCUCGGAUCAUAAAGAAGUGUCGGAGAACCCUCUAGAAAUUUUGGUAUGCUCCCUAACUUUAACAACCAACUAUAAAUACUCCCUCGUUAAAACAAAAUUUGCAGCACAAUUAUAAACCUCAAAAACCCUGUCAGGUAAAGCUAUGAUGGCCUAGUUUAUACGUUAGGGUCAUUGAUAAUUAAGAUUUGUAGAACUCGAGUGAGUGAUGCAGUCUCAUUUCCUGUUCUUAGUUUGGUUGUGGAUUUAGGGCGGAGUCACUCAGUCAACGGUCUUUCCAAUCUUAAUUAUACAUGACAGGUGUAUACAAGGCGGCUAUAGAGAGGCCUUGUGGGAAUCAUUCCCCUAGAAGUACAUUACUCAAAAUCAUCAGGGCUCUCAAAUUGUUAGCGCUCGUUAUUUUCGAUUCUAAAAAUCACGGUGGUAAUACCAUGCGACGAAACCGGGAGCACUGAAUUCUUAUGUGCUUGAUAUAACACAUCUUCCUGAUAAUCAUUUCUUCCAUAUCGACUCGAUAUCUAUUAUAUCGAGAAAUUUUGACAUCAUCAUCUGUCAUGGUUUGGCACUCACUAUGUAAAAUGUCUGUGCUGAAAAGAACUUUCAUUCUAAUUAAUGUCAAAUAAAAUUCUUCCAGUUAAUAAUGGCAAACCUAUUACAACUCAUUAUGUCGCCUCUCACAUCAAAACUUCAGAAGUACCCGAGUGAGGGGUACCACGUCUUGUUAGGCUACCCAAUAGUCCAUGGAUUACGAAUUUGAAAUUCGUUAUCAUCCCGGUUAAGCCAAUCUAGUAGCUAACACCCUUAGUCGGGAGGAGUAACUCAGAUCAUAGAGUCAAACCAUCACUAUGACCAUCCAUUCGCAUCUGUCCAUAUGAAUAAAGAUGGCUCAGCAGGAAGCCUAGAAACCUAGAAUUUUGUCAGGUGAAACUCGGAGAAGGAUGGAAAAGAACUUAGAAGUCACAGGUGCGAUCAUACCAACACUAGUGCACCGGAUACCAUCAGAACUCUGUCAUUAAGCGUGCAUGGACAACGGAGCCUUAUACCACAUAGAUUUGAUCUAGACACCAAAGUUUUGUGACGUCAGAGACAUGGUCAUUAAUGAAGCUCACGAUACUCAACACUCCGUUCAUCCAGAUUCAGACGAGAAGUGUCUAGACCUCAAAAAGUUGUAGUAGUGGCUUGGCAUGAGAGCAAAAGUAUUGUUGCCUUAUAGGUAAGGGUAUUACGCACAUCAAGGUUAAGGUCAGAAUACUAAAACCCACAGAAUUACCACCACGGUCGAAGACACCUGAGUAGAAGAGGCUGCAGAUUGUGUUGUGCUUCAUAAUCCAGUUACCCAAGGCAUCAGGUUGACACAAUAGACAAGCUAGUGGAACAUGUUUUCGAAAGAUUAGUUAGACUGCUCGGUGUUCAAAUGUCUGUUAUCUCUGUUAGAGAUAGUAGAAUCACCUCCCGAAAUUGUCAGUCACUUCAGAAAAUCUCUGCGGGCUAGGCUAGUCAGGAGCAUAGCCUACCAUCAAGGAAACGACAAACGGAAGAAAAGAACGAUUCGACCAAUAGGGAUUAUGCUGAGAAUGCAUUUAACUGACUUUGCUAAAGUUUGGGAUACCCAAAUUGCCAAACUAGUCAAGUUCUUUACCACCCCGUCAUUUGAAGUUGCUCCAUUCGAAAACCCUCAUUGGUCGUAAGUGCAAAUCCCCUCUGUACUGGACUAAGGUAGGUACCACGCUACUAGUUAGAUGUCAAAUUCCAGACAACACCUUCGCUGAUCUAUAAACCCUUCAAGAAACUACCAAGUAGAAAGUGCAAAUCCGAAAACGACCUAGAACUUCUAGAACCAAUCAGAAAGGCUACGUCUUCAGUAAGAGAAAACCUUUGGAAACUCCAGGAUGGUGAUCACAUCAAGUGAUGGUCUCACCCUGGAAGGAAAUUAUGUUUUAGAUAAUGAGCAUGCUAAAUCCAAGGUACUUAGGACCAUUUGAGAUUCUCGAUAGAAUUGGUCCGACAGCUUACAGGUCCCGACUACUGAGGGAAUUCAAUAAAUUUCACUCUACCCUCCCAUGUCUAUAAAAUUGAAAAAGUGUUUAUCCGGCGAAACUUUUAUUAUCCCACUUGAUUAGGUCGAUGUAAGCUAAAGCCUUGUCUUGGUAAAGAAAUCUAUAAAAAUCCAGUUCAGUAAAAGGAGCCCUUGGAAACCCUAUCCAGUGGAGUCCAACGAACGAAAAUGAAACCGUACCCCUUGGUGAAAGUCUACGAAAGCGUAUAACGAGGACUUGAUCCCCCUAGAGAUCAAGUGGAUCAGAUGGAACAUGAGUAUCCGUACCUUUCACCUCAUCCAUGUAUAUUCCUUAGAACUAAAUUUCGGGAUGAAAUUCCCUUUAACGAGGGGAUGAUGUGAUAACCCGAAAUUUCUAUCUUGUACAACCAUUCAAUUCAAUCAAAGUCAGACUUUUUUCUGCUAUCUUUUAUCAUUGUUUAGGGUCUGUUUGAGUGUUCUAAGUCUAGUGCAUUCAAGGUUUGGGUUUAGGGAAGAGUUAGCUUAAGUUCAUAGCAAAGCAUUCAGGNUUCAAGAGGAGUGUACAGCCAUACACAUGGGUGUACCACCAUACACCCUUCAUGGCCGUGAACUCAUACCCUUAACAAUGAUUUCUUUCAGUUUUCUUCAUUUCCUCACAUUCCCAACGCAAGAACCCGAUUCUCUCUCAGCUAUCAUCAACUUUUCACCCUGAUCUUCAAAAUUAUAAGUAUUCCUUCCAUUGAUUAGUUGAUACAUGUCUUUAACUAGUGAAGAUCCAUGUUUUCAUCCGUGAAACUUCCUAUUUUGGUUAGAUCUUCAAGUUUCACCAAGAACACCUACUAGUUCUUGGGUCGUGAACUCCUUAGAAGCCUUCAAAAGUGUGAGUAUCUCUUCUAUAUUCUAUUAGAGCAUAAGAAACACUUGAUUCCUAGCCUAAAUCAUCAUCUAAUGCAUGAACAUCAAGGGUGUACGGUCGUACACACCUCAUGUAGUCGUAAACCCUUAUUUAGUGCGUGAUUAGGCCUCAAACUCAUCUCAUGUCCCAACAUAGGAUCAUGAACACUUAGUGGAUGCUAGUUAGAGCUAUAAAAAAACUCUAGUCUUUCCAUGAGUGUAUGGUCGUACACCCCAUGACCAUACACUCAUGUGGCCGUACACCACUUAGACCGUAUACACCUUGGCUGUACACACUCUUGGGUGGCCGUAAACCCCUUUGAUACAAUCAAAUGUGAUUGUAACACAUCAAUAUAAGUGUUUAUUAGUCCCUAGGAUUGUUUCCCUUCAUGAUUAGUUGUUAUAUACACUAAUUACAUAGAUAUAUGUGUCAUUAUAUGCUUAAUAGGAUCCGUUUGUGCUCAAGACUUCCCUUGGCAUACCCAUCAUUUCAUAUCACGUCCUCAAGCAAAUCAUCCUCCUAAGGUGAGUUCAUACCCCUACAAUCAAUCUUUUAACUGUUUUAAAUGCUUUUUAGGGGGGAUACAAGUUUAACACAAUUAUAAAUUAUGUUAGUAUGAACAUUUGUACACUGUUAAUAUUUCAAACUGUCAUAAACUACUUUUAAACAUUGACGUUUCUUUUAAACUCUUUAAAGCUCUCUUAUUUUCAAAACAAUAUUCAUGCAUAUAUUAGUGUAUAAACAUAGUUUAGUGGACUUAGGACUAGUGUUAAUAACCUUGACUCCUGUUCCUAGUUUGGUUGUGGGCAUAGGGUAGGAUUCACUAGUACGAGUGUCGAUUAAAAUAUGUUUACAUGCCAAAUGCAUACAUGAAUAUUAAAGCUUACUUUCAAGUUAUUCAAGUUAGAUACGAAACAAACAUACUAGUAAACGAUAAUAGGUAUAGUUUAGAGAACAUAUACAUAUACAAGUACAGAGAAUAGGGCUUAGAUAAUGAGUUUGCUCUUCAAGAGUAAACUCCUUAGGGAGUUUACGGCCCUAAGACCAUGUCCACAUGAUUUCACGGCCGUGAACUCAUGGAUGAUGGGUUUUAAGGUGCUCAAGGGUCAAAUAUCACAUGGGAAAUGUUGCUAGGAUUUAAUCUAAGGCAUAGGAAUGGAUUUAACCACCAAAGAGACCAUCAAAGGGAGUUUACGGACGUGAACUAGGAGUUUACGGUCGUAAGCUCCUAAUUACCGUUUCUUUUCAUGAUUUGGUGGCCCUAGAUUAAUCAUAUGUGAUUUGAACUUAUUUUAGAAGCCAUAGAAUGGAUUUAGGGCAUCAUUUGGCUAAGGUAUAGGAGUUUAUGGCCCAGAAACCUAUCCUUGGGGGGUUUACGUCCGUAAGCUCCUAUAGGAGUGGUUUUAAUCAAGUUUAAGGCCCCUAAAUCGAUUGUGGUUGUUUCUAGACUUUAAUCCAAGGCUUAGGAGGUGUUUAAAUGACAUUUUAACACCCUAAAAGGAGUUUACUGCCCAUGAUAUGGAGUUUACAGCUCAAGCAUGUUCUUGGGAAGUAAACUCAUGUUUACUCCCCAAAUGUUGAGUUCAAGGUGUUCCAAGUCCAUUCCUUUAAGUCCUUAGGUCAUUUCUAAGCUCCAUAAGUGGUUUGAGAGGGUUUUUAGGCUCCAAAACUCAUUUUAUAUGUGUUCACGGCCCAUGAAUGUUCCAGGGCCGUAAACACAUGUUUAUGGUCCUAAAUCAUACUUUAAACACAGAUUUGGAAGCUGAAAAGAUUGUACUACGAGUUAGGAUGGUUACCUUGAUGAUUUAGGGCUUAAAUUCAAUGAUUUUGGACCAUGAAUUGAGUUGUAGAGAGAGUGUAGUGAGAAAGGGUGCAAAAGCUUCAAAUGGAAGCUUUUUGAAUUUUAUAUAUGGUUCAAGUUUUGGACACGGUGGAAUUCUACCCGAUACUGACGUUAUACGAUGCUUUUGGUCGCAUCCGAUUAAGUUGCCGUAACCUGAUAUGGUUGAGACUAAAAAUUUUCCAAUUAUUAAAUUGGGGCGUUAUCAUGAGUUUCUAAUGUGUUUGGACACUCAUUAAGUCAUAAUAAACGACUCAAUUUAAUGACUUAAUUUAAUAAUGAAACGGAAACAAUUUGAAAACGACGAAUUUAUUAACGGAACGGGUUACAAUGACGGAAAGAAUUUCAGGUUGUCACACAUAUAUUAGUGUCUAAACAUACUUUAGUGGACUUAGGACUAGUGUUAGUAACCUUGACUCCUGUUCAUUGUUUGGUUUUGGGCUUAGGGUAGGAUUCACUAGUUCGAGUGUCGAUUAAAAUACAUUUACAUGCCAAAUGAUACAUGAAUAUUAAAGCUUACUUUCAAGUUAUUCAAGUCAGAUAUGAAACAAACAUACUAGUAAACUAUAAUAGGUAUAGUUUAGAGAGCAUAUACAUAUACAAGUACAGAGAAGAGAACAUAUACAUAUACAUAUACAAGUACAGGGAAGAGAACAUAUACAUAUACAUAGACAUGUACAGAGAAGAGAACAUAUACAUAUUCAUAUACAAGUACAGAGAAGAGAACAUAUACAUAUUCAUAUACAAGUACAGAGAAGAGAACAUAUACAUAUACAUAUACAAGAACAUAAGAGGACAAACUUACAAUAACAUAUACAUAAUAACUAGCAUGUGAGAAACUAAUUCAUGAUAUAGCAAUUCAAUUGUUGUAUCAUGUUUUGUAACCAGAGUCUCCUGGAGGGAGAGCGGGUAUUGUGUGUAAAGAUCUUUACGGGACAGACACUCCAACACCUCGACUGUUAGCUACAGUCACUGCCAACAAGGCCAAGGGGUGACAAAUGUCACAUCGUUUCGUCGCCAGAAGGUCGUCGUGUUUACAACAGUCAAUCAACAUUGUUACAACCAUAUCUUAUUUCACCUUAAUUUAACUAAUUGGGUUAUAAGGAAAUUAGUGCUUCAGCAGUUAUUUUAAACAACUAUGCAGCACACUUCAUUCUUCCAAUACAUUCAGGUCGUGAUAUACUCACAUAGGAAUGCAUACUAUUUUUCGUUUAAGAAAAGUUUUACAAACAUGGAAAACCACAUUUAUACUAUUAUAUGUACAAACACACAUUUUACUUCAUUAUUGAAGAGAAACAAACAUAACAAACCAGUUGAGUCUUGGUAGGAGACUACUUUCCAUUUUAGUAGAAAAUAUAAGAUUUUCUAGGUUGUAAACAAACAUUUACAUCAAAACAUUUCAAUCGUUUUCAAUAAAGAUAAGCAACCUUCAUUAAAUACUUAUGAACUCACCAACAUUAUAUGUUGAUCCUCUCUUUCAAAAUAACUUGUAUUCUCAGAAAUCCGGUAGACAGGUACACUCCCGGAGCUUUUGCGAAGACAGCCUAGUACCGAUAUGCAUUCUUUGUUUUAUUAGUAUAUCUACUUUUGAUGUUGAGCACUUGAUGUUUGAACUAUGUAAAAACUUAUACAUUAUUAAUGCAAUGGUUGUUGUACUUUGCUUACUAUACUACAUGUGUUGUGAUACUUGACAUGAUGUCCUACACCCCCGAAUGUUUCCGCCAAUUCGGUUUGGGGGUGUGACAGUUACCAAGCACAACCCAACCAUUGAGCCGAAACCACCUUCUAUCCUACUAGUAAUCACUAAUCCAUCACCUUUUAGGCUUUCAUAAUGCAUGCAUGGAUCAUCCCCUCCCAUUUUCAAAGGAUAUGACCUCAAUUAAUCAAGGCCAUCCUCAACAGGAUACGAUGAAAGGUUUCCCACAUUAAAGGUAGCAUGCACUCCAUGGUCUCCUCCCAAAUCAACCUUCUAAGCAUUAAUUGACAUGUGACACCACUUUGUAAGGACCUUAAGCUCUUGGCAUCAACUUUUGUUGGUCCUUUUGUUAGGAAAAUGUUAUUUCCUCAUAUACACCUAAACGAAGUCACCAUCUUGAAAGACACAUGGUUUCCUAUGCAUGUUGGAAUUAUGUUUGUACACCUCAUUCACGGCUUCAAUCUUCACAUGAACUUGUUGGUGUAGUUUCGUCAUGGCCUUCAACUUGUCAUUAGCAUCCUAGUGAACCAGUUCAUCCUUUGGCAAUGGAAUCAAAUCCAAAGUCAUGUUAGGAUUCACACCAUACACCACUUCAAAAGGAGAGUGACCUGUAGCAUAAGUAGGAGAACGAUUAUAGGCAAACUAACCAUGAGCAAAUUUGAUGUCCAAAUGUUUUUGAGUUUUGCUAACGAACCCCUCAACAACGUACCCAAAGUUCUAUUAGUGACCUUUGUUUGCUCAUCAGUUUGUGGAUGAUGGGAUGUACUAAAAAGUAACUGAGUACCAACUUUCCUCCACAAAGUGUUCCAAAAGUAACUCAAAAACAUGGAAUCCCUAUUACAAACAAUAGUUUGAAGGAAUAAUAUGCAAGCAAACCACCUCUUUAAAGUACAAAUCAGACACAUAAGACGCAUCAUUGGUUUUACGACAUGGCACAGAGUGAGCAAUUUUUGAAAACCUAUCCACCACCACUUAAUGGAAUCCUCCCCCCUUUAAGUUCUAGGCAAAGCGAUAAUGAAUUCCAUUGACACAUCUUCCUAUGGACGAAUAGGAGCCGACAAAGGAGUGUAAACACCAUGAAUGAAAGUUUUUUUCAUCUUCUGACUUGUAAUACAUUUGCCCACUAUGUUGGUUACAUCCCCAAAAUCUUAGGCCAAAAGAAGUGUUUCUAAAGCACUUCCAAAGUUUUGGUAAUGGAAAAAUCUAACAACCCGAUAUUUCAGGCCAUUGUAAUGACUGAAAGUCAAAUAUUAUAAUCUCUUUUCGAAGUAAUAAAGAUAGCAUCAAAAAUGAAAUGUUCUAAAAUCUCAAUUUGAAUGUACUAAGUGGUAGACAUCGUAACAAGGUUUCCAAAAAUAUAAGGAACACUAAAAUCCGAGUUAUAACGAACAAGUUAUGACCAAUCGAAGAUCCGCAACAAAACCACUAAAAUACUGUUAAGCACAAAACGAUAAAUUUUAAAUAAAAUACUUUUUAGCUUUAGGUAUCCAAAUGAAAGUCAUAGAUAUCAUUAAACCGCAAACUUACAUAAAAUGAACGUCCAAAUCUGACUUCGUAUGAGGAAGUUGUGAUCUUUCUAAGUUUCACAUAUAGCAGUAGACAGCUAAAAACUCGAAAUGGAGAUCGAGCAAUUUUUAUCCAACUUAACCUAAACGAGAAUCGAAGAUCUCGACAAUGGUGAUACAACGGUAAAAAUACAGACGGAAACGGACAUCGUAUGAAGAAGUUAUGGAUUUUAAACGGACUUUUCCAGUCCCAUCAUGUUAAAGGUAAAAUAAUAAAAAUAAAUUCAAAAGUAGCCGACGAAGUCUAAAUGAGAGUUGUAGGGUAUUUUCUCACCUACACGUGGAUAUAAAGAACAUUGAAACCGGAGCUCGUAUGCAAAAGUUACGGAUUUUACAAGAUCGGGGCACAAGAUCCGAGAGUGGUCCAAGAAGGAACGCAGGAAGGAACGCCCUGAGUUCUUCGACCAGAGCCAUCCCAUCAUCCAUAAGGUCCGAUAUACAUAAGCAAUGACCUCACAGGGGAACACCCUGCGUUCGUCGUGCCUCCCAGCACUAUAAAAGGGAGGCUAGGGUACCGGGUUUGGUUGCUUUCCUCUCAUCUCUUUCACCGUAAAACACCUCUCGAGUCCCUCUAAGCUACCUAUAAGCCCUGGUAUCACCGCUAGCACACGACACAAGUCCCGACGCCCCCAAGAUCUCCGAGAAAUCGACUUUCUCCAAUCGAAGUAAGGCUCGAGUUUAGUCUCUCCUUCUUAAACCACCACUUCUACCAAGUGAGUUCAUACCCCUAUCACUAUCCUUUCACAUACUUUUUAAACGCUUUUAAGGGGGUGGGGGGAUACAAGUAAACACAUUUUUUGAACUCGUAUGGAAAUAUCAAUCUUUUGCUAUACUUUACAUGUAGUUAUUAUAACUAUCAAAUGCAGUUGUUAACAUGCAAAAUACUUCACAACACAACUAUACCCUCUUGGGAUACAAUAUGCUUUAUUUAUAAGUAUACAUAACAUAUCAUGACAAGGGUAACCUUUUUCAACUAUAACAUUACGUGUAUUUAAGAAAACACAACUCUUUAUUGUGCCUUUGUUAACACUGUAGAAAGGGUAAUCAUUUUGGAUAUAAACAUACACACUUUUGAAUACGUGACUUAAUUGUUAUCUUGAAUUGUAAAAAGAUUUUUCAUCAUUUUACUCGUGAACUUGUUGUUAGCAAUCAUGUGAGGCAAAUGGCUUCCUUUAGUAUCAAAUGAAAGUCCACUUCUAUAACCAGAGUCUCCUAGAGGGAGAGCAUGUAUUUGUGUAUAGAUCUAUACGGAGUUGAUGACUCCGCACCCUGAUGGUUAGCUACAGUACCCGGGGUGACAAAUUUCAACAUUGGUACUACCGUCUAGUAUGGUUAUGAGAGACUCGCACGCGGAAAACAAAGAUUCAUGUACGUAGUAAUACGCUUCUCGAACAAAGCCAUGGAAUAGUAUCUUUAUGAUUGUUUUUAUAUAAGUUGUUUGUAUUAAGUAAUCAUAGUAGGAUAUUAUUGUCACAUUCAGGAUCUGAUUUAAACACAUCUUCAGUGGAUUUUAUUAUUUUAAUAAUAAACCUAUACAUCUUCAUUUUAAGCAUGGCAUAUUUGCUUACAAGUUACAGUCUUGGACAUUUAAGACUGGUUUUCACUUUCAGGAAAAUAUAGUAUUUUCCCGAUACAAUGCAUUUUGCUCUUUACAACAAUGAUUCAUAACAUGUUUUAUAAAGAAAAUGUCAGAUUUUCUGGAAAACAUACACGAACUUUCAAAUGGCAUAUAUUUACUCAAAUCUCUACUUAUGAACUCACCAACUUAAUUGUUGACACUUUUUUUGAAAUAACUUGUAUUCUCAGAGAAUCGCUAAACCAAGUUAGCAAGUACUUUUAGGGAUUAACGCUCGGGCGUUAGUAACAUAUUUUGGAACACCAUAUUGUAUUUGACUUUCAAACAUCUAACACAUACAAUCAUGUAAACUUUUCAUAUAUAUAUAUACAUAUAUAUAUAUAUAUAUAUNUGGUACUGCACAUGAAGUCCUCUGCCCUUGAAUGUUUCUGCCGUUCAGGUUUGGGGGUGUGACAGAUUGGUAUCAGAGCAUUGUUUAUAAUGAACUAAGUAUUUCAAAACGAUUUUUGAUAUACAACUAUAAACACAACUGGGCAAAAACACUCUGACUAAGAGUUAUACUUUUUAAAAUGAAUCUUUUACAAAAGUAAGCAUGCAUACAUUACAUAUCAGGAUCUAUAUCAUAAUGAAAGCAAUAUAGAAGUAUUAUAGAUGAGUUGUGCACUACAGGUAUGCCUUGGAACAUGUAAUUGGGACUGACUGUGAUGAAUAUAGCCUGAUCAACUAUAUUUGUCCGAGAGCCGACUAACAUAUGUCAGGGAAUAGCUGCGGUGGACAACAAGUCUAAAACUUACCAAACACAUAAAUUUUAGAAUCAAACAUAACAUUUAAAAUACUAUAGAAGUAUUUUGUCAAUACAAUAGUUUAACCCUGAUACUUAAUUUACAUGCUUUAGCUUUUAGACAACUCUUAUAUCCCUAUUCUCAUACAGAAACAAACGACCGGAUUUCACUUUCCAGGAGACCCCUACUACCCGAACCAAGGUAACGGAGGAUGGAUUGAGGAUGAUCCAGAAGAAGAUCCAGAGGAAAUGGUGGACGAAGAAGAAGAUGAGGAGGAGGAACCAAUCGAGGAAGAGGAAGAGUCCGAGGGAACAAAUACAAAACUAGUGGUGUACAACCCACUAGCCGUCCGACCUGCUGCUGUCAGGAGAGGUUAUCAAGGACCAACUCCCAUUUAGGGAAACCCCAUUCACCACUAGAGCCAACUACAGGGAGUACGCCCUCCAUACGGAAUGUGCUGAGACUUUUACAACGUUAGCAAUGGAGGUUCAGCUGACAGGGCACUCCCUAUUAUUGUGGACAAGAUAGCUAACCAAAAGCUACCAGUCAAGGGUCUCAGCGAUCCGGAUUCGAGAAGUCAAUGCAACGGCACAGAGUAACACUGUCGAUAUUCGUCGUCUGGACGGACUGCAUGACAACACCCAAAACCACACCAGGGCACUCCAGAGCCAAAUGAACGCAACCCCUGCUGAAAUAAGGGACAUGAGGGAGCAACAAGACAUCCUUGAAAGGCAACUAAUCGGAGCCAAACACUCAGAUGCGGAGUCUAGUACUAAGCACAAUACGUGCCGCACAUAGUACUUGCACGACUCCUAAAUUUUGUUAUAGAAUAGGAUCUCGGCUAAAUGUCUUACUUUCUUUAACUUCUGUAUUGGAGACCUUUAGAAAGGUCAAAUUUUCCUAACUCCAUGAUGUAACCCGAUAUAUACAUAUAAUGAAGUAUUUACUUUGCGUGUUAAUUCUUUGGACACCACUCAAAUUCAUAAGCUUAUAUAUUAUUAUAUAAACUAUUAUUAUGGAUCAAACUCAAAUCACUGUUUUGGUUGAAUCUAAUACAUGAAAUGUUCCAAAUAGCUAACUCAUUAACACUCAAUUUUCAAUCAUCAAAGACUUAUUGUCUUUUAUUAUUAUUUCUUUGGCAGCACAAUGCCUCCUCGCAGAUCUGCUCGCCACAUAAACAACGCAGCACCGCCACCACCGCCACCACCUCCACAAUAUGAUUUAGUCAUGGUGCAGGCUGCUAUCACCGCAUCAGUAGUGGCUGCACUAUCACAGAUAAACUCUAACGGCGCUGGCAAGACCGGAAGUAGUACGAACCACCUAAAACAAGGCACUGGUCAGGGUCACAUCAGGGAAUGCACCUACAAAGAAUUCUCAAACGCAAAGCCAAAAAGUUUAGCAGGUUUGGAGGAUUCAUUGCACUUAUGCAAUGGUCCAAAAAGACCGAGACGGUCUUCGAGAUAUGUUCAUGCCAGGAAGCAAGUAAAGUCAAGUUCGCUGCUUUCAAUUUUGCUGAUCGGGCCCUCACCUGGUGGAAGGGCCAUGUUAAGUCCUUAUCUCUCCCAGUAGUUGCCAACGCCAUGAUCUGGGAGUACUUAAAAGCUCUAAUGCUCGAAUACUGCCCGAUGGGCGAAAUCCAAAAGCUAGAGCAGGAAUUUUGGAACCUGAGAAUGACUGGGUCUGAUCUAGCUGCUUACACGGCUAAAUUCAAUGAUUUGUCAGACUUAUGCCCAUGCAUGGUUAACCCGGAGUCGAAGAAAGUGGAGAGAUACAUAUGGGGAUUGGCACCCCAGAUCUAAGGACAUGUCUUGGCUUCCAAUCCAAUCACGUUUGACAGUGCGAAGCGCUUGGCUCAACGGUUGAUCGAUCAUGGUGUCAAACAGGGUACCAUUGCAGCUGUUUAUGAACCGCCAAAGGAGGUAGAGGACCAAAGGAGAUCAUAGAACAAGAGAGGGGGGCAAACCAUACAAGAAAACCCCAAAAGACAAUAGUUAGUAACAACCCAUGCCGUUACUGUCCCUACCAUCCCAAAAACAACAAAGUCGUACAAUGGCAACCAACCUAAGUGCAAUGGAUGCAACUUCCAUCACCACGGACCCUGCCGUGAAAUGCAAUGCACUAAGUGCAACAGGAGGGGACACAUUGUCCGUUUCUGCAAAGAACCGACCCAACCGGCCGCUCCAACCAUGAAUGUCGGAGUAGGCCGUACCUGUUACGAGUGUGGGGCUGCGGGGGCAACAGGGCACUUCCAAAGGGACCGCUCGAAGGUGAACAACAGGAACGCUGGUGGAAGAGGCAGAGUAUUCACAAUGGGCUAGGAGGAAGCCGUUGCAGAUCCCACUGUUGUUACGGGUACGUUUCUCCUCAAUAACUCGUAUGCAUGAAUUAUUUUUGAUAGUGGACUGGAAAGGAGUUUCAUGAGCCAUAGUUUUAAAAACCUACUUAAACAGGCACCCCAACCAUUAAGCGAAACAUUUAUAGUAGAAAUGGCUAAAGGAAAGACAAAAGGCGCUAAAGAAAUAUACAUAAACUGUGCCCUAGCACUAAACAACAAUUCUUUCCCAAUCAACCUCAUGCCAGUCUCAAUAAAAAGUUGCAACGUUAUCAUAGGCAUGGAUUGGCUAAGUUCUCAUCGUACGGAAAUUUUAUGUUACGAAAAGGUUAUUCGCCUUAAUCUGCCAGAUGGCGAAACCCUUGUCAUUUAUGGCGAUAAACCUAGUACCAUUCUCCGUAUUAUCUCCUGCGUCAAAGCUCGAAAGUAUAUGUGCAAGGAAUUUCAUGCGUUCUUGGCACACGUUUUAGAUGUGAAAAGGGGAGUUGAAGACAUCAAGAGCAUGCCUGAUGUCUGUGAUUUCUCGAUGUCUUUCCCGAAGAUCUUCUAGGAGUACCAACCUACAAGACAAGUUGAAUUCAGAAUCGACUUGAUUCCUGAAGCUACCCCUGUAGCCAAGGCACCGUAUCGUUUAGCCCUGGCUGAGAUGCAGGAAUUGUCCAGCCAGCUAAAAUUCGACAAUUUCUAGGCCUUGCUGGCUAUUACCGCAGGUUCAUACAAAACUUCUCCAGCAUGGCAAAACCCCUUACCACUCUGAAUCAGAAGGUUGUAACUUUCAACUGGGGAGAAAAGUAAGAUGCUGUAUUUCAAACGCUGAAGCAGGCCCUAUGCACCGCACCCAUUUUGUCUCUUCUAGAGGGGACAAAGGACUUUGUUGUAUACUACGAUGCAUCCAAGCUAGGACUGGGUUGUGUGCUAAUGCAACGAGGAAAGGUUAUUGCAUACGCCUCGCGACAGCUGAAAACACAUGAGGUCAACUACACCAUGACUUAGAGCUUGUUUGCUUUGAAAAUUUGGAGGCACUACCUAUAUGGUACAAAGUCCACCAUCUUCACAGACCACAAGAGCCUUCAACACAUAUUUGGUCAGAAUGAGCUAAAUAUGAGACAACAACGUUGGGUUGAGCUACUUAAUGACUACGAAUGUGAGAUUCGUUAUCAUCCUGGAAAUGCCAAUGUAGUGGCGGAUGCUCUUAGUCGAAAGGAGUACUAUGGUCGAAGAGUGAAGGCGUUAACCAUGACAAUCCAUUCACACAUGUCAACACAAAUCAAGGAAGCCCAACUAGAAACCUUGAAAUCCGAAAACAUGACGGGUGAAGCACUUAGAGGGAUGGACCAGAAUUUUGAAAUCAAGAGUGACGGAGUUCGUUACCUCAUGAACCGAAUCUAGACACCAAAGUUUGGUGGGUUCAGAGUGAUGGUUAUGAAUGAGGCACACACACCGUAUAGAUUUCCCUAUUUGGUACACAUAACUUUUCCUAUCUCUCUUUUUAGCAUUCCUUCUCUAUAGCCUGUGUCUAUUUUCUGUCAAUUCCUAUUCUCUAUCUGGUCUAAUCGGCUAAGUCUUCUAUCUCUUUCAAUGUAGUCGAUGUCGGUUUAGGAAAGCCAGUAAGGUCACGUGUAUUGAAGUUCUACCAAUUCACUUACUAAGGAGCGUAACUAGCAAAAUCUAUGGAGCUAUAGUGUUGUUUCAGUUUCAGCCUUAGAUUCUUUCUUUUUAGCAUUCCUUAUUAAUCCUUUUUUUGGGAGAUGUUGAGACGUUCAUGCUAGUAACAAAGUACCUUCCUAUACUCCGUACACCUAGGUUCAGAUAAGAUGUAUCUAGAUCUCAAACAACUCUAUUGGUGGCCAAACAUGAAAGCAAAGAUUGUUACCUACGUGGGCAAGUGCCUGACUUGUGCCAAAAUCAAAGUAGAACAUCAGAAGCCCUCAGGUCUACUCCACCAGCCCGAAAUACUCGAGUGGAAGUGGGAGCAGAUUACCAUGGAUUUCAUAACCAAACCACCCAAGACGCAGGGUGGUCACGAUACCAUUUGCGUGAUCGUCGACAGGUUAAAAAAGUCUGCCAACUUCUUGCCGACCAGAGAGACCGAUAAGAUGGAGAAAUUAACAAGAACUUACCUCCGGGAAAUCGUGCGACUUCAUGGAGUGCCGAUGUCUAUUAUCUCGGAUAAAGACAACAGAUUUACUUCAAGGUUUUGGCAAUCGCUGUAGAAAGCAUUGGGAACUAGGCUAGAUAUGAGUACAACCUAUCACCCACAAACUGACGGACAGAGUGAGAGAAUGAUUCAAACCCUAGAAGACAUGUUGCGAGCAUGUCUAAUCAACUUUGGUAAAGCGUGGGGCACCCACUUACAAUUAGUUGAGUUCUCUUAUAACAAUAGUUAUCACACUAGCAUCAAGACUACUCCAUUUGAAACCCUUUUACGGCCGCAUGUGCAGAUCACCUAUGUGCUAGGCGGAAGUGGGUGGCACGCAGUUGGCAAGAGGUCUGGUCCCUGAUAGCACUCUCACUGGUCUGGAAAUCAUUAGGCAGACGACUGAGAAGAUCAUUCAAAUUUGGGAACGACUGAAAGCCUCAAGAGAUAGACAAAAGAGUUAUGCCAACAAAAGACAAAAACCCUUGCAAUGCCAUGUUGGUGAUCGAGUUCUGCUAAAGGUCUCACCCUGGAAGGGCGUGAUACGCUUUAGGAAGUGUGGAAAACUAAACCCAAGGUACAUUGGACCCUUCGAAAUUAGUGCAAGGAUUGGUCCAGUAGCUUAUAUACUUGCUACCAAUCAAACUUAACAACGUACAUCCCGUGUUUCACGUGUUCAACCUGAAAGGUGUCUAUCUGACGAAAAUAUGGUAAUUCCACUCAAGAAAAUCGAAUUGAAUGAAAAUCUUAACUUUAUGCAAGGACCCGUCGAGAUCAUGGAUAGGGAAAUCAAAAAAACAAAGCAAAGUCGCAUACCUAUAGUGAAGGUUAGCUGGAAUGCUAAACAGGACCUGAAUUCACUUAGGAGCGAGAAGACCAGAUGCAACAAAAGUACCCGCAUCUUUUCCCUAGUCCAUAAACACUUACUUUGUAAUUAAUUUCGGGACAAAAUUCCCUCUAACGCGGGAUGAUGUAACAACCCAAUAUUUCAGGUCAAUGUAAUGACUGAAAGUCAAAUAAUGUAAUCUCUUUUCGAAGUAAUAAAAAUAGCGUCAAAAAUGAAAUGUUCAAAAAUCUCAAUUUGAAUGUACUAAGUGGUAGACAUGGUAACAAGGUUUCCAAAAAUAUAAAGAACACUAAAAUCCGAGUUNAGAUGUUAUGCCAAUCGAAGAUCCACGACAAAAUCGGUAAAACACUGUUAUGCAUAAAACGCGAAAUUUCAAAUAAAAUACUUUUUAGCCUUAGGUAUCUAAAUGAAAGUCGUAGAUAUCAUUAAAUCGUAAGCAUACAUUAAAAGAACGUCUAAAUCUGACUUCGUAUAAGGAAGUUAUGAUCAUUCUAAGUUUCACAUAUAACAGUAGACAACUAAAAACUCAAAAUGGAGAUCGAGCGAUUGUUAGCCAACAUAACCUAAACGAGAAUCAAAGAUCUCGAAAAUGGUGAUACAACAAUAAAAAGACAGACGGAAACGGACAUCGGAUGAAGAAGUUAUGGAUUUUAAACGGACUUUUCCAGUCCCAGCCUGUUAAAGAUAAAAUAAUAAAAAUAAAUUCAAAAUUAGCAGAUGAAGUCUAAACAAGAGGUGUAGAGUAUUUUCUCACCUACGCGUGGAUAUAAAGAACGUUGAAAUCGGAGCUCGUAUGCGAAAGUUAUAGAUUUUACAAGAUCGGGGCUCAAGAUUCGAGGUUGGUCCAAGAGGGAAUGCCCCGCGUUCCCUAAAGGAACGUGGUGCGUUCUUCGACCAGAGCCAUCCCAUCGUCCAUCAGGUCUGAGGUACGUAAGCAAUGACCUCAUAGGGGAACGCCCUGCAUUCCCUAAAGGAAAACCCUGCGUUCGUAGUGCUUCCCAACACUAUAAAUGGGAGGCUACAGUACCGGGUUUGGUUGCUUUCCUCUUAUCUCUUUAUCCAAUCGAAGUACUGCCUGAGUUUAGUCUCGCCUUCUUCAAACCACCACUUCUACCAAGUGAGUUCAUACCCCUAUCACUAUCCUUUCACAUACUUUUUAAACGCUUUUAAGGGGAGGAAUACAAGUAAACACAUUGUUUGAACUCGUAUGGAAAUAUCAAUCUUUUGCUAUACUUUACAUGCAGUUAUUAUAACUAUCAAAUGCAGUUGUUAACAUUCAAAAUACUUCACAACACAACUAUACCCUUUUGGGAUACAAUAUGCUUUAUUUAUAAGUAUGCAUAACAUAUCAUGACAAGGGUAACCUUUUUCAACUAUAACAUUAUGUGUAUUUAAGAGAACACAACUCUUUAUUAUGCCUUUGUUAACAAUGUAGAAAGGGUAAUCGUUUUGGAUAUAAACAUACACACUUUUGAAUAUGUGACUUAAUUGUUAUCUUGAAUUGUCAAAAGAUUUUUCAUCAUAUUACUCGUGAACUUGUUGUUAGCAAUCAUGUGAGGCAAAUGGCUUUUUUUAGUAUCAAACGAAAGUCCACUUCUAUAACCAGAGUCUCCUGGAGGAAGAGCAUGUAUUUAUGUACAGCUCUAUGCAGAGUUGACGACUCCUCACCCUAAUUGUUAGCUACAGUCCCCGGGGUGACAAAUGUCAACGUUGGUACUACCAUGUAGUUUGGUUAUGAGAGACUCGCACACGGAAACAAUGACUCAUGUACGUAGUAAUACGCUUCUCGAACAAAGCCAUGGGAAUAGUAUCUUUAUGAUUGUGUUUAUAUAAGUUGUUUGUAUUAAGUAAUCAUAGUAGUAUAUUAUUGUCACGUUCAGGAUCUGAUUUAAACACAUCUUUAGUGGAUUUUAUUAUUUUAAUAAUAAAACUAUACAUCUUCAUUUUAAGCAUUGCAUAUUUGCUUACAAGUUACAGUCUUGGACAUUUAAGAUUGCUUUUCAAUUUUCGGAAAAUAUUGGAUUUUCCUGGUAUAAUGCAUUUCACUCUUUACAACAAUGAUUCAUAACACAUUUUAUAAAGAAAAUAUCAGAUUUCCUAGAAAACAUACACGAACUUUCGAAUGGAAUAUAUUUACUCAAAUCUCUACUUAUGAACUCACCAACUUAAUUGUUGAUACUUUUUCUUUAAAAUAACUUGUAUUCCUAGGGAAUAGCUAAACCAGGUUAGCAUCUACUUUUGGGGAUUAACGCUCGGGCAUUAGUAACAUUUUUUGGGAAACCAUAUUGUAUUUGGCUUUCAAACAUGUAACACAUACAAUCAUGUAAACGUUUAAAAUAUAUAUUAUGGUGGUGUUUACUUUCUUUACUAUUCAAUUGUUAUGGUACUGCACAUUACGUCCUUCGCUCCCAAACGUUUUUGUCGUUCAGGUUUCAGGGUGUGACAAAAAAUGACCCGCCAAACGACCACCAUGAGCUUCACGAAUCAGCAGCUCUCGUAUUGCAUGUUUAGGGACACAAAGGUAUGGGAAGAAAUGGAUAGAUUAGUAACAAAUCAAGACCUACUAAGUUUUAUACCAGUGAAAACAAUCCAAGACAUAUCUGAUUGAAUGUGUAUCAAGUCAAGAACACGUCCCGACUUUGACAAGUAGUGAACUAUAAUUAUAAUUCGAAGUGAACAAAGGUUCUUUUUAUUAAAAUUUCAUCUAUAUGUUUUUUCCAUGCAUAAACUUCGCCUAUAUGAAGCCUUUAUUACAAAGUUGGUGGUUACAAGCCACCCAACCAACUACUCAGUAAAAUUAAUAAUGAAUACUAAAGAAACUCAUGAAACCACACAAAAAAAACGUCUGACACACAAAUGAAUGAAAAAAAAACGUCCAUGCUCCAUUAAGGAGCCAUAAGAAGAAUUAAAGUGUAACCCUAAUCCGCCAAAGAGUAUCAAAAAUGGCUAGAAGGCUUUGUGAAGCACAAAGUAACGGUUUUGAGAACUUAUGAAGCCUUUAAACUAUUGCCCUAGCCUUCAUGCGACCCUAAUUCAAUUUGUAAGUUACCAUGCACAACCCAACCAUUGAGCCCAAACCACCUUCUAGCUUACUAGUAAUCACUAAUCCAUCACUUUUUGGGCUUUCAUGAUCCAUGCAUGGAUCAUCAUCUCCCCCUAUGAAAGGAAAUGACCUCAAUUCAUCAAGGCCAUCGUCAACAAGAUACGGUGAAAGGUCUCCCACAUUAAAAGAAGCAUGCACUCCAUGGUCUCCUCCCAAAUCCACCUUAUAAGCAUUAUCAUUGACAUGUAACACCACUUUUUAACGACCUUCAGGUCUUGGCAUCAACUUUUGUUCGUCCUUUUGUUAGGAACACAUUAUUUCCUCGUAUGCACCUAAACCAAGUCACCAUCUUGAAAGACACGUGGUUUCCUAUGCAUGUUGGAAUUUUGUAUGUACACCUCAUUCACGGCUUCAAUCUUCACACGAACUUGUUGGUGAAGUUUCAUCAUGGCCUUCAACUUGUCAUUAGCAUCCUUGUAAACCAAUUCAUCAUUUGGCGAUGGAGUUAAAUCCAAAGGCAUGUAAGGAUUCACACGAUACACCACUUAUAAUGGAGAGUGACCUGUUGCAUAAAUAGGAGAACGAUUACAGGCAAACUCAGCAUGUGCAAGUUUGUUGUCCAAAUGUUUUUGUGUUUUUCUAACCAACCCCCUUAAUAACGUACCCAAGGUUCUAUUAGUCACCUUCGUUUGCCCAUCAGUUUGUGGAUGAUGGGAUGUACUGAAAAGUAACUUAGUACCAACUUUCCUCCACAAAGUGUUCCAAAAGUAACUCAAAAACUUAGAAUCCCUAUCAGAAACAAUAUGCAAGCGAACAACCUUUUUAAAGUACAAAUCAGACAUAUUAGAUGCAUCAUUGGUUUUAUGACAUGGCACAGAGUGACCAAUUUUUGAAGACCUAUCCACCACCACUAUAAUGGAAUCCUUCCCCUUUUGAGUUCUAGGCAAAGCCAUAAGGAAUUCCUUUGACAUAACUUUCCAAGGACGAAUAGGAAUCGGUAAAGGAGUGUAAACAUCAUGCUUGAAAGUUUUUACGUCAUCUGAGAUGUUUGUUACAUACACAACAUAUUAGGCCAAAAGAAGUGUUCUUAAAGCACCUCCAAAGUUUUGGUAAUGGAAAAGUGACCCGCCAAACGACCACCAUCAGCUUCACGAAUCAGCAGCUCCCGUAUUGCAUGUUUAGGGACACAAAGGUGAUUGGCUUUUUAUGCCUUUAUGGGAUUGAUUAAGCAAGUAGGGUUGUGUUUAGGUAAUUUAAGCUAGAAUAACAACCACAAAUGAUACGUGUAUGGGAAGAAAUGGAUAGAUUAAUAACAAAUCAAGACCUACUAAGUUUUAUACCGGUGAACACAAUCCAAGACAUAUUAGAUUGAAUGCGUAUCAAUCAAGAACACGUCCCGACUAUGACAAACAGUGAGCUAUAACUAUAACUCAAAGUGAAACAAGGUUCUUUUGAUUAAAAUUGCAUCUAUCUGUUUUUUCCAUGCAUAAACUUCGCUUAUAUGAAGCCUUUAUUACAAAGUUGGUGGUUACAUGCCUCCCAACCAACUACUCAAUAAAAUUAAUAAUGAAAAUUAAAGAAACUCAUGAAACCACACGAAAAACGUCUGACACACUAAUGAAUGAAAAAAACGUCCAUGCUCCAUAAGAAGCAAUAAAGUGUAACCCUAAUCCACCAAAGAGUAUCAGAAAUGGCUAAGAGGCUUUGUGAAGCACAAAGUAACGGUUUUGUGCACUUAUGAAGCCAUAAAAGUAUUGCCCUAGCCUUCAUGCGACCCUAAUUCAAUUCGUAGGUUACCAUGCACAACCCAACCGUUGAGCCCAAACCACCUUCUCGGCUACUAGUAGUCACUAAUCCAUCACCUUUUGGGGUUUCAUGAUCCAUGCAUGGAUCGUCCCCUCCCUCUUUGAAAGGAAAUAACCUCAAUUCAUCAAGGCCAUCCUCAACAAGAUACGGUGAAAGUUCUCCAACAUUAAAGGUAGCAUACACUGGUUUCCUCCCAAAUCCACCUUAUAAGCAUUAUCAUUGACAUGUGACACCACUUUUUAAAGACCUUCUGCUCUUGGCCUCAACUUUUGUUCUUCAUUUUGUUCGUAAAACGUUAUUUCCUCAUAUGCACCUAAAUCUAGUCACCAUCUUGAAAGACAUGUGGUUUCCUUUACAUGUCGGAAUUUUUUUGUACACCUCAUUCAAGGCUUCAUUCUUCACACGAACUUGUUGGUGAAGUUUCAUCAUGGCCUUCAACUUGUCCUUAGCAUCCUUGUGAGCCAAUUCAUCCUUUGGCAAUGGAGUCAAAUCCAAAGGCAUGAAAGGAUUCACACCAUACACCACUUAUAAAGGAGAGUGACCUAUAGCAUAAGUAGGAGAACGAUUACAGGCAAACUGAGCAUGUGCAAGUUUGAUGUCCAAAUGUUUUUGAGUUUUGCUAACCAACCCCUUAAAAAAUGUACCCAAAGUUUCAUUAGUUACCUUCGUUUGCCCAUCAAUUUGUGGACGAUGGGAUGUACUGAAAAGUAACUUAGUACCAACUUUCCUCUACAAAGUGUUCCAAAAGUAACUUAAAACCAUGGAAUAUGUAUCAUAAACAAUAGGUUUAGGAUUAAUAUGCAAGCAAACCACCUUUUUAUAGUACAAAUCAGACACAUUAGAUGCAUCAUUGGUUUUAUGACAUGGCACAAAGUGAGCCAUCUUUUAAAACUUAUCCACCACCACUAUUGAUCCAUGCAUGGAUCAUGAAAGCCCAAAAUGUGAUGGAUUAAAGAUUACUAGUGGGCUAGAAGGUGGUUUGGGCUCAAUGGUUGGGUUGUGCAUGGUAACCCACAAAUUGAAUUAGGAUUGCAUGAAGACUAGGGCAACAUUUUUAAGGCUUCAUAAGUGCUAAAAACGUUACUAUUUGCUUCAUAAAGCCUCCUAGCCGUUUUUGACACUCUUUGGUGGAUUAGGGUUACACUUUAAUGCUUAUGAUGACUCCUUAAUGCUUCUUAUGGCUCCUUAAUGAAGCAUAGCCGUUUUUUUUCAUUCACAAGUCUCAUGGACGUUUUUUUUGUGUUCUUCCAAGAGUUACCUUAAUUUCUAUUUACUAGUUUUAAUGAAUAAUUGGUUGGUUGGCUUGUAACCACCAAAUUUGUAAUAAAGGCUUCAUAUAAAGCCAAAUUAUGCAUGGAAAAAGUGUUACACGAAUUUUAAUCAAAGAACCAUUAUUUUCACUUAAAUUGUUGUUAUAAUUCUCAAAUUAUCUUGUUGGGACGUGUUCUUGACUUGAUACGAACUCAAUCAAUUGGUCUUGGAUUGUUUUCAUCGGUAUACAACUUAAUAGGUCUUGAGUUGUUACUAAUCUAUCUAUUUCUUUUCAUUCACAUAUCAUUUGUGGUUGCUAUUCUCUCUUAAUUUACCUAAACACUACCCCACUCACUAAAUCAAGCCUAUACAUGCAUCAUAAGUGGUAUCAAAGCGCAGAAUGGAUUUUGAUGAUCCGGAGUUCCUACAAAAUCUUCGUGAAGCUUUAAGAAACAUCCAAGAAGGUGGAAAUCAAAGGCAACCCCGCCGUGGUGAACAUAGGGUUGUGGAAGAAUUCAAGGUGUCUGAAUUGCCUGAAUUUGUUGGUGGAACUGAUCCUGAACGCUACUUGGAGUGGGAAAGGAAGAUUGAAAGAAUGUUCGAGUUCAAAGAAGUGGAUGACGAAAAAAGCUGCAAGUAUGCCAUUCUCAAGCUAAGUGGUGGUGCUUCAUUGUGGUUUGAAGGGCUUAAGGCCAAGAGAACCCGUGAAGGCAAAGAAAAAAUUUGUUCUUGGCUUUCUCUAAAACGAAAGCUAAGAAAGAGAUAUGUUCCUUCUACUCAUAGAAUUGCCACUUACAAGAAGAUUGCUGAUUUGAGGCAAGGAAAAAUGAGUGUUGGAGAAUACAUUGAUGAAUUUGAGAAGUUGUCCUUGAUGGGGGAUAUUGAAGAAAUUGAAGAACAAAAAAUGACUCGUUUUCUAAAAGGGUUGAACUACAACAUUGCCAAUGUUGUGGAGUUAUAUCCUUAUGCUGAUUUUGGAACUCUUUGUGGUUUGUGUUUGAAGUUGGAGGGGCAGGCCAAAGCACGUUAUGGUGGGAGUUCAAGUUCAAGUCUCGAAAGUCCCAAGUCAAAGUCGUGGUCCAAGCCCGAGUCUAGCAAUAGACAAAAUUCUGUUUCUACUCCUUCUGGUUCUAGUAGUGUUCCCGUUGCUCCUAAACUUACUAGUGGUACCAAAGAAACUAGUUUGGCGAAAAUUAGAUGUUUCAAGUGUCAAGGUUUUGGUCAUUACCAAAAUGCUUGUCCAAACAAAAGGGUGGUGACUUUAAGGGAGGCCAUUGAAUGUCGUGAAGAGUUGGAGGAAGAAGAGAGGUUGGCGGGUAUUUUUUAUGAUACACAACAAGAAGAGGAAGAAGAGGAGGAGGUAGAGUAUGAAGCACCGGUGUAUGAUACAGUUUUGGUGCUUAGAACCCUUAAAACUCAAGGGGUUCAAACCGUGGCUGAUAUGGAUCAACGAGACCAAUUGUUUCACACCAAAUGUUUGGUUAGAAACAAGUGGUGUAGUUUGAUUAUUGAUGGUGGAAGUUGUACUAAUGUUGCUUCUAAUGAAAUGGUGAUCAAAUUGGGUUUGUCUACUACAAACCACCCAAAACCAUAUGUUCUUCAUUGGUUGGAUGAUGGAAGCAAAAUAAAGGUGACAAAACAGGUUAGAGUUGGUCUAACUAUGGGGUCUUAUGAAGAUGAAGUGUUGUGUGAUGUUAUUCCUAUGGAUGCAUGUCAUAUUUUGUUGGGGCGUCCUUGGCAAUUUGAUAGGGACGUGUUACAUAGAGGGAGGAGCAAUGAAUAUGAGUUGAAACACAAUAAUAAAAAAAUUGUGUUAAAACCCAUGUCCCCAACGGCCAUAAGGUCCAUGAAUUCUAAACAAGUAAAAAAACCUAAUCUUUCUAUGUUUGCUAGUGAAAGGGAGGUGGAGCAAGUUCUUGACAAAGGUGAUGUUAUCUACAUGCUUGUGGCCAAAGAGCAUGCAAAGGUGGAGAAGAUGGUGCAUGGAGAAAACGCUAUUGCUGAUUUGCUUUUGGAGUUUCAAGAUGUGUUUCCAAGCGAAUUACCACCGGGUUUGCCUCCAAUCCGUGGUAUCGAACACCAAAUUGACCUUAUUCCGGGUGCUCCUUUGCCCAAUAAAGCCGCCUAUAGAUGUAAUCCGGAGGUGACAAAAGAGUUGCAAAAACAAAUUGAUGAACUCAUGAAAAUGGGUUAUGUUCGUGAAAGCCUAAGUCCUUGUGCUGUUCCAGUUUUGUUGGUUCCAAAAAAAGAUGGUUCUUGGAGGAUGUGUGUUGAUAGUAGGGCCGUUAAUAACAUCACCAUAAAAUACCGAUUUCCUAUUCCUAGAAUUGAUGAUUUGUUGGACGAGUUGCAUGGUUCUAUUGUGUUCUCAAAAAUUGAUUUGAGAAGUGGUUACCAUCAAAUUCGUAUGCGUGAAGGGGAUGAAUGGAAAACAGCCUUUAAAACUAAACAUGGCUUGUAUGAAUGGACCGUGAUGCCUUUCGGUCUAACUAAUGCACCUAGCACUUUCAUGCGACUAAUGAAUGAAGUGCUAAAAUCUUUUUUGGGCAGGUUUGUGGUUGUGUACCUUGAUGAUAUCUUGGUAUAUAGCAAGAGCUUGGAGGAUCAUUUGGUGCACUUAAAACAGGUUUUCGAGACGCUUAGAGCUCAAAAACUCUAUGGGAAGCAAGAAAAAUGUUCGUUUUUGGUGGAAGAAGUGGCAUUUUUGGGUUUUGUGGUGUCAAGAAAUGGCGUGUCCGUGGACCCAUCCAAGACUGAAGCAAUCAAGUCAUGGCCUAUUCCUACUAAUAUUUCUGAAGUUAGAUCAUUUCAUGGUCUUGCUUCUUUCUAUAGAAGAUUUGUUCGUGAUUUUAGCACCAUUGCAAGUCCCAUAACAGGUUGUUUGAAGAAAGGAGUCUUUGCAUGGGGAGAAGAAGCUCAAAAGGCAUUUGAGAAACUCAAGGCAUUGUUGUGUGAUGCUCCUAUUUUGGCUCUUCCUGAUUUUUCUCAACCAUUUGAAGUGGAGUGUGAUGCAAGUGGAGUUGGUAUUGGGGCUGUUUUGAUCCAAUCCAAACGUCCUAUUGCUUAUUUUUCUGAAAAGUUGGGUGGUGCUCGUUUGAAUUAUUGCACUUAUGAUAAGGAGUUUUAUGCUAUUGUCCGUGCUUUAGAUCAUUGGAGUCAUUAUUUGCGUGCAAAUCAUUUUAUUUUGCAUUCUGAUCAUGAAUCCUUAAAGUACAUCAAUGGGCAACAAAAGUUGAGCACAAGACAUGCAAAGUGGGUGGAGUUCUUGCAAUCCUUUCAUUUCUCAUGCAAAUACAAGGAUGGUAGAAGCAAUGUGGUGGCUGAUGCACUCUCGAGGCGUUACUCGUUGUUGGUGACUUUGGAUGUUCGUUUCUUGGGAUUUGAAACUCUAAAGGACCAUUAUCAAUCUGAUAUGGACUUUGGAGAUAUGUUUUUGAAAUGUGCAGGUGGUCCUAAUGGUGAAUUUGUGAUUCAAGAUGGCUUUCUAUUCAAAGGCAAUCGCCUUUGUGUCCCAAAACAUGCAAUACGGGAGUUGUUGAUUCGUGAAGCUCAUGGCGGUGGUUUGGCUGGUCAUUUUGGCAUUACCAAAACUUUGCAGGUGCUUAAAGAACAUUUCUUUUGGCCGAAGAUGUUGGGGGAUGUAACCAACAUAGUGGGCAAGUGUGUUACAUGUCAUAUGGCAAAAACAACUUUCAAGCAUGGUGUUUACACUCCUUUGCCGGUUCCUAUUCGUCCUUGGGAAGAUGUGUCCAUGGAUUUCAUUAUGGCUUUGCCUAGAACUCAAAGGGGGAAGGAUUCCAUUAUGGUGGUGGUGGAUAGGUUUUCAAAAAUGGCUCACUUUGUGCCAUGUCAUAAAACAAAUGAUGCCUCUAACGUGGCUGAUUUGUACUUUAAAGAGGUGGUUCGUUUGCAUGGUAUUCCUAAAACAAUUGUUUCUGAUAGGGAUUCCAAGUUUCUAAGUUACUUUUGGAACACUUUGUGGAGGAAAGUCGGUACUAAGUUACUUUUUAGUACAUCCCAUCAUCCACAAACGGAUGGGCAAACGGAGGUGACUAAUAGAACUUUGGGUGCUUUGUUGAGAGGGUUGGUUAGCAAAACUCAAAAAGAUUGGGACAUCAAACUUGCACAUGUUGAAUUUGCCUAUAAUCGUUCUCCUACUUAUGCUACAAGUCACUCUCCUUUUGAGGUGGUGUAUGGUGUGAAUCCUUACAUGCCUUUGGAUUUGAUUCCAUUGCCAAAGGAUGAAUUGGUUCACAAGGAUGCUAAUGACAAGUUGAAGGCUAUGAUAAAACUACACCAACAAGUUCAUGAGAAGAUUGAAGUCGUGAAUGAGUUGUACAAACAGAAGUCCAACAAGCAUAGGAAACCAUGUGUCUUUCAAGAUGGUGACUUGGUGUGGGUGUAUAUGAGGAAAGAACGUUUUCCUAACAAAAGGAAAAACAAGUUGAUGCCAAGAGCUGAAGGUCCUUACAGAGUGGUGUCACGUGUCAAUGAUAAUGCUUAUAAGGUAGAUUUGGGAGGAGACCAUGGAGUGCAUGCUACCUUUAAUGUGGGAGAUCUUUCACCUUAUCUUGAUGAUGAUGGACUUGAUGAAUUGAGGUCAAUUCCUUUCAAAGGGGGAGGGGAUGAUCCAUGCAUGGAUCAUGAAAGCCCAAAAUGUGAUGGAUUAGUGAUUACUAGUGGGCUAGAAGGUGGUUUGGGCUCAAUGGUUGGGUUGUGCAUGGUAACCCACAAAUUGAAUUAGGGUUGCAUGAAGACUAGGGCAACAUUUUUAAGGCUUCAUAAGUGCUAAAAACGUUACUAUUUGCUUCAUAAAGCCUCCUAGCCGUUUUUGACACUCUUUGGUGGAUUAGGGUUACACUUUAAUGCUUAUGAUGACUCCUUAAUGCUUCUUAUGGCUCCUUAAUGAAGCAUAGCCGUUUUUUUUUUUCACAAGUCUCAUGGACGUUUUUUUUUGUGUUCUUCCAAGAGUUACCUUAAUUUCUAUUUACUAGUUUUAAUGAAUAAUUGGUUGGUUGGCUUGUAACCACCAAAUUUGUAAUAAAGGCUUCAUAUAAAGCCAAAUUAUGCAUGGAAAAAGUGUUACACGAAUUUUAAUCAAAGAACCAUUAUUUUCACUUUGAAUUAUUGUUAUAAUUCUCAAAUAAUCUUGUUGGGACGUGUUCCUGACUUGAUACGAACUCAAUCAAUAGGUCUUGGAUUGUUUUCAUCGGUAUACAACUUAAUAGGUCUUGAGUUGUUACUAAUCUAUCUAUUUCUUUUCAUUCACAUAUCAUUUGUGGUUGCUAUUCUCUGGAAUCCUUCCCCCUUUUAAAGGAUGAAUUGGAACCGGCAAAGGUGUGGUUGAGGGUUUUUUUCGUCAUCCAACAUGUAACAUACUUGCCUACUAUGUUGGUUACAUCCCCAAUAUCGUUAGGCCAGAAAAAAUGUUCUUUAAACACCUCCAAAGAUUUGGUUAUGGAAAAAUGACCCGCCAAACCACCAACAUGAGCUUCAUUAAUAACAAACUCCCGUAUUGCAUAUUUAGGGACACAAAGGUGAUUGCCUUUUGAUGCCUUUAUGGGCUUGAGUAAGUGAGUAGGGUUGUGCUUAGGUAGGUUAAGCUUGAAUAAAACCACAAAUGAUACGUGUAUGGGAAGAAAUAGAUAAAUUAGUUACAAAUCAAGACCUACUAAGUUGUAUACCGGUGAAAACUAUCCAAGACAUAAUAUUUGAUUGAAUGCGUAUCAAGUCAAGAACAUGUCUCGACUAUGACAAGUAGUGAACUAUAACUAUAAUUCAAAUUGAACAAAGUUUAUUUUGAUUAAAAUUUCAUCUCCAUGCGUACUUGGAUUAUAUGAAGCAUUUGUUAAGAACUUGGAGGUUACAAGCCACCCAACCAACUACUCAGCAAAACUAAUAAUGAAAAUUAAAGAAACUCAUGAAAACACAAAAAAAAACAUAUGACACAAUAAUGAAUGAAAAAACCGUCCAUGCUCCAUUAAGGAGCCACAACAAGCAUUAAAGUGUAACCCUAAUCCAUGAAAGAGUAUCAAAAAUUGCUAGGAAGCUUGAUGAAGCAAACACUAACGGUUUUGAGCACUUAUGAAGCCUUUAAAAUGUUGCCCUAGCCUUCAUGCGACCCUAAUUCAAUUCGUAGGUUACCAUGCACAACCCAACCUUUGAGCCCAAACCACCUUCUAGCCUAUUAGUAAUCACUAAUCCAUUACCUUUUGGGCUUUCAUGAUCCAUGCAUGGAUCAUCCCCUCCCCCUUUGAAUGGAAAUGACCUCAAUUGAUCAAGGCCAUACUCAACAAGAUACUAUGAAAGGUCUCCCACAUUAAAGGUAGCAUGUACUCCAUGGCAUCCUCCCAAAUCCACGUGAUAAGCAUUAUCAUUGACAUGCGACACCACUUUGUAACGACCUUCAGCUCUUGGCGUCAACUUUUGUUCUUCUUUUUGUUAGGAAAAUGUUCUUUCCUCAUAUGCACCUAAAUCAAGUCACCAUCUUGAAAGACACAUGGUUUCGUAUGUAUGUUGGAAUUUUGUUUGUACACCUCAUUCACGGCUUCAAUCUUCACACGAAUUUGAUGGUUUAGUUUCUUCAUGGCCUUCAAAUUAUCAUUAGCAUCUUUGUGAACCAAUUCAUCCUGUGGCAAUGGAAUCAAAUCCAAUGUCAUGUAAGGAUCCAAACCAUACACCACAUCAAAAGGAGAGUUACCUGUAGCAUAAAUAAGAGAACGAUUACAGGCAAACUCAGCAUGUGCAACUUUGAUGUUCAAAUGUUUUGAGUUUGGCUAACCAACCCCCUCAACAACUUACCCAAAGUUCUAUUAGUCACCUUCGUUUGCCCAUUAGUUUGUGGUUGGUGGGAUGUACUAAAAAGUAACUUAGUACUAAUUUUCCUCAACAAAGUGUUCCAAAAGUAACUCAAAAACGUGGAAUCCUUAUCAAAAAAUAUUAUUUUAAGGAAUAAUGUGCAAGCGAACCAUCAUUGGUUUAAAGUACAAAUCAGGCACAUUAGAUGCAUCAUUGGUUUUAUGACAAGGCACAGAGUGAGCGAUUUUUGAAAACCUAUCCACCACCACUAUAAUGGAAUCCUUCCCCCUUUGAGUUCUAGGCAAAGCCAUAAUGAAUUCCAUUGAUACGUCUUCCCAAGAAUGAAUAGGAACCGACAAAGAAGUAUUAACACUAUGCUUGAAAGUUUUUUCGUCAUCCGAGAUGUAACACACUUGCCCACUAUGUUGGUUACAUGCCCAACUUCUUAGGCUAAAAGAAGUAUUUUUAAAUCACCACCAAAUUUUGGUAACGGAAAAAUGACCCGCCAAAUGACCACCAUGACCUUCAUGAAUUAGCAACUAACGUAUUGCAUGUUUAGGGACACAAAGGCGAUUGCCUUUUGAUGCCUUUAUGGGCUUCAUUAAGUGAGUAGGGUUGUGUUUAGGUAAAUUAAGCUAGAAUAACAAUCACAAAUGAUACGUGUAUGGGAAGAAAUGGAUAGAUUAGUAACAAAUCAAGACCUACUAAGUUAUAUACCGGUGAAAACUAUCCAAGACAUAAUAUUUGAUUGAAUGCGUAUCAAUUCAAGAACACGUGUCGACUAUGAGAAGUAGUGAACUACAACUAUAAUUUAAAGUGAACAAAGGUUCUUUUGAUUAAAAUUAUAUCUAUUUUUUUCAUGCAUACUUGGCUUAUAUGAAGCCUUUAUUAGGAAGUUGGUGGUUACAAGCCACCCAACCCACUACUCGGUAAAACUACUAAUGAAAAUUAAAGAAACUCAUGAAACCACACAAAAAAACGUCUGACACACUAAUGAAUGAAAAAACCGUCCAUGCUCCAUUAAGGAGCCACAAGAAGCAUUAAAGUGUAACCCUAGUCCACGAAAGAGUACCAAAAAUGGCUAUGCGGCUUGAUCAAGCAAAAAGUAACGGUUUUGAGCACUUAUGAAGUUUUUAAAAUGUUGCCCUAGCAUUCAUGCGGCCCUAAUUCAAUUCGUAGUUUACCAUGCAUAACCCAACCAUUGAGCCCAAACCACCACUCAGCCUACUAGUAAUCACUAAUCCAUCACCUUUCGGGCUUUCAUGAUCCAUGAAUGGAUCAUCCCCUCCCCCUUUGAAAGGAAAUGACCUCAAUUCAUCAAGGCCAUCCUCAACAAGAUACGGUGAAAGGUCUCCCACAUUAAAGCUAGCAUGCACUCCAUGUUGUCUUCCCAAAUCCACCUUAUAAGCAUUAUCAUUGACAUGUGACACGACUUUGUAAGGACCUUCAGCGCUUGGCAUCGACUUUUGUUCUUCCUUUUGUAAGGAAAACGUUCUUUCCUCAUAUGCACCUAAACCAAGACACCAUCUUGAAAGACUCGUUGUUUCUUAUGCAUGUUGGAAUUUUGUUUGUACACCUCAUUCACGGCUUCAAUCUUCACACGAACUUGUUGGUCUUUCAUCAUGGCCUUUCAACUUUUCAUUAGCAUCCUUGUGAACCAAUUCAUCCUUUGCCAAUGGAAUCAAAUCCAAAGACAUGUAAGGAUUCAUACCAUACACCACUUAUAAAGGAGAGUGACCUGUAGCAUAAGUAGGAGAACGAUUAUAGGCAAACUCAACAUGUGCAAGUGAGAUGUCCAAAUGUUUUUGAGUUUUCCUAACUACCCCCCUCAAAAACGUACCCAAAUUUCUAUUAGUCACCUUCGUUUGCCCAUCAGUUUGUGGAUGAUGGGACGUACUAAAAAGUAACUUAGUACCAACUUUCCUCCACAAAGUGUUCCAAUAGUAACUCAAAAACAUUGAAUCCCUAUCAAAAACAAUAGUUUUAGGAAUACUAUGCAAUCGAACCACCUCUUUAAAGUGCAAAUAGACACAUUAGAUGCAUCAUUGGUUUUAUGACAUGGCACAAAAUGAGCCAUUUUUGAAAACCUAUCCACCACCACUAUAAUGGAAUCCUUCCCCCCUUUGAGUUCUAGGCAAAGCCAACUGAAUUCCAUUGACACAUCUUCCCAAGGACGAAUCGGAACCAGCAAAGGAGUGUAAACACCAUGCUUGAUAGUUUUUUCGUCAUCCGACAUGUAACACACUUACCCACUAUGUUGGUUACAUACCCAACAUCUUAGGCCAAAAUAAGUGUUUUUAAAGCACCUCCAAAGUUUUGGUAAUAGAAAAAUGACUCGCCAAACGACCACAUGAGCUUCACGAAUCAGCAGCUCUCGUAUUACAUGUUUAGGGACAUAAAGGUGAUUGCUUUUUGAUGCCUUUAUGGGUUUGAUUAAGUGAGUGGGGAUAGUUUUAGGUAAAUUAAGCUAGAAUAACAAUCACAAAUGAUACAUGUAUGGGAAGAAAUUGAUAGAUUAGUAACAAAUCAAGAACAACUAAGUUUUAUACCGGUGAAAAAAAUCCAAGAAAUAUUUGAUUGAAUACGUAUCAAGUCAAGAACACGUCUCGACUAUGACAAGUAGUAAACUAUAACUAUAAUUCAAAGUGAACAAAGGUUCUUUCGAUUAAAAUUUCAUAUAUCUCUUUUUUCCAUGCAUAAACUUGGCUUAUAUUUUAUUACAAAGUUUGUGGUUACAAGCCACCCAACCAACUACUCGGUAAAACUAAUAAUGAAAAUUAAAGAAACUCAUAAAAGCACACAAAAUAAAAACAUCUGACACACUAGUGAAUGAAAAAAGCGCCCAUGCUCCAUUAAGGAGCCACAAGAAGCAUUAAAGUGUAACCCUAAUCCACCAAAGAGUAUCAAAAAUGGCUAGGAGGCUUGAUGAAGCAAAAAGUAAUGGUUUUGAGCACUUAUGAAGCCUUUAAAAUGUUUCCCUAGCCUUUAUGUGACCCUAAUUCAAUUCUUGGGUUACCAUGCACAACCUAACUGUUGAGCCCAAAACACCUUCUAGCCUACUAGUAAUCACUAAUCCAUCACCUUUUGAGCUUUUAUGAUCCAUGCAUGGAUCAUCCCCUCCUCCUUUGAAAGGAAAUGACCUUAAUUCAUCAAUGCCAUGCUCAACAAGAUACAGUGAAAGGUCUCACACAUUAAAGUGUCACGACCAGGAAAUUCUAUGCUUUUGUAAACAUUAACAAGGACAAAAUUCUAACCAAAACUUGAAAGCAUGCAUGAAGUUUAUUCAAUGACAACAAAAUUCCAUCAAAAACUCUAUACAAACACUUCAAAUCGUCAAUGAAAGAUUGGAAACCCUAAAAAUCCUGGUUUAAGUUCACUAUGGACUAGGAUUUCCUUAUUGGGCCUAAUGGACCAUUAAGCUUCCAAUUUGACAAUUUUGGGCUUAGGACCCUUAAAUGGGCUCUAAUUGGACCCACCUUCAUGAGAUUUAACAUUUUGGACCUUUUUUGGCCUAAAAUGGAAUAAACUACUCUAAUAAGCCUUAUUGGAGUUUGCUAGAGCCGAAAUCACACCACCUUCUUCCACAUCUUCUUCAAAACCGAGAACAACAAGCUAAGGUAAGUUCAUACCCUCUUGUUUUCGGUUUUUAUUUGCAUGUUAUAUGUGAUUUCUUUGGUUUGUGUUGUGAAAAUGUGAUAAUAUUUGUUAUAUCUCGAGAUCUAUGGCUAAAGUGUGAAGGAUUCAUAAACAAAUACAUAUUAAACAACAUACUUCAAAGAUCUAAGAGUCUUUAUGUUUAAGAAGUGAAAAACAAAGUCAAAGAUUAUUUAUAAGUGUCAUUUUUGCAAAAAUAACAAAGAUGUGGAUAAGAGAUGACAUUUUUUAUUUUAUAAGGAUGAAAUGGUAUUUAUUUAUAUAAAAUAUGAUUUUUAUGGAAAGAAUACUUCUCAAGGGGUCAAAAACAUAAAUUUGAGUUAUUGGGCUUACAUUUGGGCCUUACGGGGUUUUGGGCCCAAAAUUACGAAAAAUGAAGAGUUUUGGGCGGUUGAAGUUGUAAAUUUAUCAAAAUAUGAGUCCAAAACAUAAAUAAACUAUUUAUGGGGCUGAAAAUGACUUUAAUGCGAAAAUUUGACUAAAAAUGCAAAGUUUUGGAUUUUGAGGUCAAAAUUGUAAAACUCGCGGAAUUUGGGCCAAAAGUGAUAAAUUUUUGGGCUGAAAUAGUAAAACAAAUUAUGUUUGGGCCGAAAAUGCAAAGAAAAAUGAGUUAAGGACCAAAAAUGUCAAUUUUCAUCAAAAAGGACUAAAAUGUCAUUUUUAUUAAGAAAGGGUUGAAAAUGGGCUGAAAUGGUCAAAUAAAGAUUUUGGGGUCAAAUAUGUUAAUAUUAAAUGAAUUGGGCCAAAGAUAUUAAAUUUGUAACAUAUAUAUAUAUAUAUAUAUAUAUAUAUAUAUANNNNNNNNNNNNNNNNNNNNNNNNNNNNNNNNNNNNNNNNNNNNNNNNNNNNNNNNNNNNNNNNNNNAUAUAUAUAUAUAUAUAUAUAUAUAACCAACGUGUCGUUAUAAAUCAAACAUCAAGUGUUCCAACCUCAAAUACUUUGUAUAAAACAAACCCGACACUACAAAUAUAUCGAUAAACAGAGAAAUAAUACAAUGGUUGGGCCUAAUGUUACUCAUUGUGUCCAUUGGGCCUUCGUGACCCAAUUUCACGAUUAUUAGGCCCAAUAUACUCAACACAUAUUUAUUGGGCUUCCGGUGACCCAAUUACAUGUCUAAUGUGUCUUCAUUAGCCUUUACAUGCUAUUGGGUUUUAGUGGCCCAUUUGCAUUGCUGAUAUGGCCUGAAUUAUUCAUCAUAUGCUUGAUGGGCUAUAACGUAUCCGUCGCAUACUCGACAACCUAUGAAUAACUUACAUGGUUAGUUGGCCACAGUUGUCCUAUUUCGUGUUCGUUAGGUUUUAUUCAUAAACAUGAAAUCAUUAAGCGGUUUGGAAAUUAAAAAUACACUUAACGAUAUCCAUAUUCAUAUUCAUGAGGUAAUAAUUGGGAUUUAGUGAGAAUUCUCGGUUGACACCAAUGAGUGUUCGGCCGUAGCCUUUAGUUAUAAUCAGAGUCUCCUAGAGGGAGAGCGAGAGUUUGUGUAUAGAUUGAUCUAUACGAGGGUGACUCCCCCACACCAAAGUUGUUCGCUACAGUUAGACUCGGCCAGUCUAGGGUGACAAAAUCUUAAUCAAAACCAGGAUUUGGAAAAAUACCAAGACAGGCGAACUAGUCAUUAUUAUGUAUGGUUAUAACGACUCAAGCAAAGAUCCAUUACAAUUUAUACAUUCAUGGGAAAUCAAAUUUAUACAUCACGAAUAUACAAAGCAAUGCAUGCGAAAUACAACUUUGUUAUAGAUCGGAAAAUAUCAUCACUCAUUUUUUUAUAUUCAUCAAAUACGAAACAAGGAAGACUUUUUGGAUUCAUUCAGUUAUACACGUUUUGAAAUCACACAUACAUAUAUAUAAUGGAUCAUGACAUUAUGUUGUAAACAAAUUUUACAGAAAAUAUCGGAUUUUCUGGAUUAUACAAACAUUAUGAAACCUUUUCAAAACAAUCAUGCUUAUGAACUCACCAACAUUAUAUAUGUUGACAAUUUUCAAAAUAACAUGUAUUCUCAGGUAAUUGGCUGAAGAAUUUCAAGUGUUGUUUGGAAAUUGUAUUUUUUAUGAAAUGUCUACUUAUGAACAAUUGAUAUUUUAGUGAUGUAAUAUUUAACAAUGUACUUGAUGUAAACAGUGACAGUUGUAUGAUGAUAAUGUUGGUGAUGAUUGUGUUUUGUUUCAUAUAUAUUCAUUGUGAUAAUACAAUUGUUAGUCACACGAGCCCUCAGACGAUUCCGUCGUCUGGUUCGAGGGUGUGACAGGUUGGUAAUGAAUGUAGCAUAAUAAAAAUAAACAUAAUAAAAUUUCAAAUAAAACCUUGGGAAAAAUCAUGACAUUUCGGUUAAACCAGGACUAUUCAUGGUUGUAUUUAGAAUGAAUGUAGCCUGAUCAACUACAUUUCUUCGAAAUACAAUUAUCACAUGCUCUGGAGCGAUCACGAUGGUCAGUAAACCUAAGGCAUACCUUUUAAAUACCCAAGAGGAGAAUAUCAAACCAAAUAUAAGAACAACUAAAAUACUUUAGGAAUAAUAAUGAUUCAUUUAUAUACCCUCAUGUAGACAGUAUGGUUGGCUUCCAUCUUCCAGGAGACCCGUAUUUCCCUAAUCAGGGGAAUAAUGGAUGGCUUGAGGAGGAACCUGAAGAGGAAUCUGAGGAGGAACUUGAAGAAGGACAAGAGAAUGAGAUCGAAGACGGACCUGCGGAGCCUGUGGAUGACUCUGGAGAUGGAGAACCUAGCGACAAUAGCGACGAUGACUCGGACGCAGAGUCUAUAGUCAUCAACCCACCAUUUCCAAUUAGGGUGCCAGUACAUCGGAUGGGCCCUAAUGGCCCUACACCCCCAUGAGGAGUUGACAUUUGGAGAUGGAGUAGGCAGCAAGGUCAGCGACCCCCGUAUGAUAUGGCAAGGGAAUUUUAUGACCUGAGGGAUGGAGGACCCACAAACCGAGCACUUCCUGUUGUGGUAAGACGAUUAAUGUUACACCCCCAAACCAGAACAGCGGAAUCGUUCGAGGGCGGAUGACUUCAUGUAGUAUCGAAACAGUUGAAUACAUAGUAAAGAAAGUAACACAACCAUCAUAUAUAUAAUUUGAAAGUUUACAUUGUGGAAAGUGCUUGUUUCAAAAGAAAUUACAAUAUGAUGUCAAAAUGAAAUUAAACUAACGUUGCAGCGUCCCUUCUUCAAAAGCAGUAGUUUACCUUUAUUACUAAAUCCCUGAGAAAUACAAGUAGUUUUGAAAAUGUAGGUCAGCAUUUAAGAUGGUGAGUUCAUAAGUAUUUAGUAACAAUGUUUGUAUGAAAUAGAAUGAAUAUGGUUUGUACAUGUUUAAAUUUUCCUAGAAAAUCCCAUAUUUUCUACUAUAGAAGAUGGUAGUUUAAUUGUUCCAAAACUAUGAUGCAAUAGUGUUUUUCAUGCCUAAAAUAGUAGCUUAUGUAUAAAUCGUUAAAGCAUUCGAAAAACCCCGUAAAUCAAUGUGUUUUUAAUACUCCAUGUGAGUCUUAUAACCAUGCUAUUUGACCAGGAUGCCUAUAACAACGUUCUUCAGGCGUUGGAAAUUAUGACAUUUGUCACCCCAGGCCUACCGGCCUAACUGUAGCUAACAGCUUAGGUGCGGGAUUGUCAAUCCCGUAUAGAUCUAUACACAAGUAUCAUGCUCCCCCUACAAGGGAUUGUGGUAUAUAAUACAGGACUUAAAAUGCAUACUCGAAAGUACGUGAAAUGUCUCACAAAACAUAGUAUAAAACAGAUUUACGUAUGAAAAUGUCCAUUUGUUCUUGUAUAUGAAAGUAUUUCCUUGAUAUAGUAUUCGUUAGUAUAUAAAUGUUCAUGAUUUUCUCGUAAACUAUACCUAUUAUAGUUUCUCAAAAUGUGUGUUUCGUUGGUAUAGUAAACCCUAGUGUAAUGCUCGCUUGUUAUGAAAAGUAUAACAUUUAAAGUGACAUAAAUGAUCACAUAUACUUAAAGUAUAAAUAAAGUGUUUGAUUCGUAUAUACAUAUAUAAACAUGUUUGAUUACCAAAAGACAAGAUGUUAUCGAGAAUAUAUAUUGCAUACGAAAGUUCCUAUGUAGUAGUUAUGAAUCACAUAUGAUUCACUUGAUAAAAAGAGUAUAUAGUGAAACUUUAUGUUACACACGAUAAUAACCGUGUGUUUACUUGUAUUCCCCCUUAAAAGUGUAAAAAAAAAAGCAUUCAUAAAACAUUUGAAAGUGUAGUUUAUAGGGGUAUGAACUCACUUGGUUGAUUGAAGAUAGUGAGAUGAAAAUUGAGUAGAACUUUGGCUUGUGAAAGUCGAUUUUCUCGGGAAUUUCGGGAAUGCAAAACCUUCCUUCGGGACUUAUACGCGAAUAAUGGGGCUUCGAGAGGGUCUCGGGGGCUCAGAAGCAGAGUUUCAACACAAGAGAAGAGAGAAUUGAGCACUAGAACUCGAAACCAUGGGUUUCUAUUUAUAGGCUGAGUUUUGGGGUCUCACGUCAUGAGUUUUGGGUGUCUCAUGUCGUGAGGCUUAGUCAGAAUGAUCCUCUUCGACGAUUUGACGUGGCUGACACUAUGGCACCCAUCAGUCACGAGCUCACGUCGUGAGUUUUGGUCCCCUCACGUCGUGAGGCUGAGUCAGUCUCGGAUUUUGUGUCCCGAACUUGUAAAAUCUGUAACUUUUGUGUACGAGCUUCAAUUUCAAUAUUCUUUAUAUGCACGCGUAGGUGUGAAAUGGUUGUACAAAUCUCAUUUAGACUUCAUCGGCUAAUUUUGACUUUAUUUUUAUUAUAUCAUUUUUAACGGGCCGGGACACGAAAAGUCCGUUAAAAAUCCAUAACUUCUUCAUCCGAUGUCCGUUUUUGUUAGACUUUUCACCGUUGCGCUACUAUUGUUGGGACCUUUGAUUCUCAUUUAGGUUGUUUCAGCCAAAAGCCUCUCGAUCUCUAUUGCGAGUUUUUAGUUGUCUACUGCUAUAUCCGGAUUUUGGAAAAAUCAUAACUUCCUCAUACGAAGUCAGAUUUGGACAUUCUUUUUAGGUAACUUUACGAUUUAAUGAUAUCUACAACAUUCAUUUAGAUACUUAAGGCUAAAAACUAUUGUAUUGAAACUUUGUGUUUUUCGUUUAAUCGGUGUUGCCGGUUUUGUCGGAAAUCUUAGAAUGGUCAUAACUUCUUUGUUAUAACUCGGAUUUUAGAGUUUUUAGUAUUUCUGUAAACCUUGACACAAUAUCUAACAUAGUAAGUAACCCAAUAGAGACUUUUGUACAUUUUAUUUUCAAAGUUAAUUUCAUUAUUUCAAAAGUGGUUACAAUACUUGACUUUUUAGGUCAUUUCAUUGAUUCGAAAUUUCGGGUUGUCACAGCAUCCCCCCGUUAGAGGGAAUUUCGUCCAAAAAUUUAAUGAAAGAAAAGCACUUGUGGAUUAGGGAAAAAGAUGUGGGUACUUGUGUUUCAUCUGAUCUUAGCGUUCCCAAGUGUAUUCAGGUCCUCGUUUUGCAUUCCACCGGACCUUCACGAUGGGUAUGCGACUUCGCUUUGUUCUUUUAAUUUCCUUAUCCAUGAUUUCAGUUAGUUCUUCUAUAAAGUGGAGACUUUCAUUGAUUUCGAUUUCAUCUAGAGGGACGACGAGGGUCUCAUCUGUCAAACAUUUCUUCAAGUUCGACACAUGAAAGGUAGGAUGUAUGUUAUCGAGUUCCUGCGGUAGACGAAGUUUGUAGGCUACCGGGCCGAUCCUUGCAAGGAUCUCGAAUGGUCCGAUAUACCUUGGGUUUAGUUUUCCACGUUUUUCGAAACGUAUUAACCCUUUCUAGGGCGAGACCUUUAAUAGCACUCGGUCCUCGACCUGAAAUUCCAAGGGUUUCCGUCUUUUGUCCGCAUAACUCUUUUGCCGGUCUCUUAAAGCCUUUAGUCGUUCCCGAAUUUGUACAAUCUUCUCAGUUGUUUCUCUUAUGAUUUCCGGGCCAGUGAGAGUGUUGUCGGGUACUUGUCCCUUGGCUAGUUACGUGUCUCCUACUUCAGUCCAGCGCAAUGGUGAUCUGCACUUUCGUCCGUAGAGGGCUUCAAAUGGAGCAACUUUAAUGCUAGGGUGAUAGCUAUUGUUGUAUGAAAAUUCGACUAGUGGUAAAUGGGUAUCCCAUGCUUUACCAAAAUCGAUUACACAAGCUCUUAGCAUAUCUUCCAAGGUUUGUAUGGUCCUCUCACUUUGACCGUCGGUUUUUGGAUGGUAAGCAGUACUCAUGCCGAGCCUCGUUCCUAGGGAUUUUUGUAACGAUUUCCAGAAUCGCGAGGUGAACCUACUAUCUCUGUCGGAGAUAAUGGAUAUUGGUACACCGUGCAGUCGUACAAUCUCUCGGAUGUAAGUUCGAGUUAGCUGCUCCAUCUUAUCGGUUUCCUUAAUGGGUAGGAAGUGUGUGGAUUUUGUUAACCUAUUGACAAUUACCCAGAUGGUGUCUAACCCACCUGUUGUCUUGGGUAAUUUGGUUAUGAAAUCCAUGGUUAUCCUUUCCCACUUCCACUCGGGUAUUUCGGGUUGUUGUAGUAAUCCUCAUGGCUUUUGGUAUUCUACCUUGACUUUAGCGCAAGUCAGACACUUGCCCACAUAGGUAGCGAUAUCUGCUUUCAUGUUCGGCCACCAAUACAGUUUCUUGAGGUCUAGAUACAUCUUGUGCGAACCUGGAUGCACGGAGUAUCGAGUCUUAUGAGCCUCGUUCAUGACUACGUCUCUGAAUCCACCAAACUUCGGUGUCCAGAUCCGAUUCAUGAAGUAAUGAACUCCAUCACCCUUGACUUCAAGAUUCUUGUCCAUUCCUCUUAGGGCUUCACCUGCCACGUUCUCUGUUUUCAAGGCUUCCCUCUGAGCUUCCUUGAUUUGUGUGGACAGAUGUGAAUGGAUCGUCAUGGUUAAGGAUUUCACUCGACGACCUGAGUAUUCUUUUCGACUAAGAGCAUCGGCUACUACAUUUACUUUUCCUGGGUGAUAGUGAAUCUCGCAUUCGUAGUCAUUAAGUAGAUCAAUCCAUUGUCUCUGCCUCAUGUUGAGUUCUUUUUGGUUGAGAAUGUGCUGAAGGCUCUUAUGAUCGGUGAAGAUCGUGCAUUUCAUGCCAUAAAGAUAGUGUCUACAGAUCUUUAGCGCGAAAACGACUGCUCCUAGUUCAAGACCGUGGGUAGUGUAGUUGACUUCGUGCGUCUUGAGUUGUCUUGAGGCAUAAGUGAUGACCUUAGCUCGUUGCAUUAGUAUGCAUCCAAGACCUUGAUUAGAUGCAUCACAGUAGACCACAAAGUCUUCUGUUCCUUCUAGCAAGUAGCGUUGCAUAGUGCUUGCUUCAGUGUUUGGAAUGCAGCGUCUUGUCUUUCUUCCCAAUUGAAAGCAAAACCCUUUUGGGUCAGGGUGGUAAGUGGUUUCGCAAUCUUCGAGAAGUUCUGUAUAAACCUCCGGUAGUAGCCAGCAAGGCCCAAGAAUUGUCGAAUUUCCAUUGGGGUUCUUGGAGCUUACUAGUUUUCGAUUGCUUUGAUUUUGGAAGGGUCCACGUGUAUUCCGUUUUUGCUAACCACAUGACCUAGGAAAUCUACCUUCCGAAUCCAAAAUUCGCACUUGGAGAAUUUUGUGUAUAGCUUCUCUUUUCUUAGUGUUUCCAAGACUUGUCGGAGGUGUUGACAGUGAUCCUCUUUAGUCUUCGAAUACAUGAGUAUGUCAUCUAUGAAUAUGAUCACAAACUUGUAUAGAAACGAACGACACACCCGGUUCAUUAAGUCCAUGAACACCGCUGGUGCGUUUGUUAAUCCAAAGGGCAUUACUACAAACUGGUAGUGACCAUAACGAGUUCGAAAAGCUAUUUUGGGAACAUCUCUUUCCAAGACUUGUAGUUGGUGGUACCCGGAUCUUAAGUCGAUCUUUGAGAAAUAACUUGCUCCUUGGAGUUGGUCGAAUAAGUCGUCAAUGCGUGGUAAGGGAUAUCGGUUCUUGAUAGUGAGCUUGUUGAGUUCCCGGUAAUCGACGCACAUGCGGAAAGAUCCAUCCUUCUUCUUUACAAAUAAGACUGGUGCUCUCCAAGGUGAGAAGUUCGGCCUGAUGAAUCCUUUGUUGAGUAGUUCGUUUAGUUGGCUGGAUAACUCCUGUAUCUCUGCCGGUGCUAGACGGUAUGGCGACUUAGCUACUGUUGUAGCUCCGGGAAUUAAGUCGAUUCUGAACUCGACUUGACGUUCCGGUAGAACUCCGGGAAGAUCUUCAGGGAAAACAUCGGGAAAAUCGCAGACUUCUGGAAGAUCUUCAGGGAAAACAUGGGCUAAGAAGGCAUGGUACUCCUUACGUAGGUAUUUCUGGGCUUUGACGCAAGAGAUGAUUUGUAAAUUGGUACCGGGUUUGUCACCAUAAAUGACAAGAGUUACGCCGUUUGGCAGAUUUAGGCGAACGACCCUUUUGUGACAAAGUAUAUCAGCAUGGUGUAGGCUUAACCAAUCCAUACCGAUGAUGAUAUCAAAUCUCUUUAUAGUGAUCGACAUUAGAUCAAUUUGAAAUGAAUGCUCGUUUAGAGUUAGUGUGCAGCCUAUGUACAUAUUGUUCGUGCUUUCUGUUCUACCGUUUUCCAUUUCUGCUAUAAAUAUCUUAUUGAGUGUUUUAGGGUUCUGUUUUAGUACGUGCUUGAAUUUAUGACUCACGAAACUCCUCUCCGCACCACAAUCAAAGAGUAUGCAUGCAUAAACGUUAUUGAGGAGAAACGUACCCGUAACCACCAUGGGAUCAGCUAUCGCUUCGUGUUGCCCUAUUGCCAACACUUGUCCCAUGCUGCCAGCAUUCCUUGCCUUAAGGCAGUCUCUCUUGUAGUGUUUGGCCUCACCACAACCAUAACAAGUCUGGCCUCACCGACCCCAGGGACUUGGGUGAUUGGUCGUGCCGAUGCCUUACAGAAACGAGCAAUGUGCCCCUUCUUGUUGUAGUGCAUCUCCCGGCAAUUUCCGUUGUGAUGGAAAUUGCAUUUGCUGCACUUUGGUAGGUUCCCAGCAUAUGGAUUUGCUGGUGUAGUGGUAAUUUGAGCAGCAGUGGGGGCAGUAGCGGCAUGGACUGCCACAAUCUGUUGUUUCUUGGAAGGUUCCUGUNUCCUUUUGUUAGAACUUCUUGUUGUUGUUGUUGUUGGUGGUGGUGGUGGUAUUGUCGUUGUUGUUGUUACUUCCUCUAGGUUGCUCCGGUGCGGUAGUUGCGAAGUCUUGGCAUACCCCAUGGUCUACGAGAGCUUGUGCCAACUAUUUGGAACUAUCGAAAGUGAUUGGUUUGGAAGCUAGAACACUUCCUUGAAUCUGGGGUGACAGUCCCCAGAUGUAUCUUUCGAUCUUCUUGCUCUCUAGAGCAACUAUCCCUGUGCAAAGGAUUGCCAAAUCACUGAACCUAUUGGUAUAGGUCGUGAUGUCUGAGCCUACCAUGGUAAGGCCCCAAAGUUCAUGUUCGAGCUUUUGUAAUUCUCCCCGUGGACAGUACUCUUGUAGUAAUAUUUGUUUUAGAUUCUCCCAGCCUAUAGAGUUAGCCACUACUAGCGUUAGUGACUUGACAUGGCCAUUCCACCAUGUCAGAGCUCUCUCAGAGAAAGUACAGGCAGCGAACUUUACUUUGUUCCCUUCCGGACAAGAACAAAUCUCAAAAACUGCUUCAGUUUUCUCUAUCCAUUGUGAUAGAGCCAUUAUUCCUCCGGCCCCAUUAAAAGUAAUGGGUUUGCUAUUCAUGAAAUCCUUGUAUGUACAAUCCCCUAAACGACCUGGACGUUGGCCAUUCGUAAAACUAUUUACUCCCCCACCAGAACCAUUGUUACUCAUUUGGGCCAUUGCAGCUGUUACUGCAGCUGUUACAGCGGCUAUCAAUGCGGCAUUUUCCGUCGUGGGAGGAGGUGGUGGUGGAGGUGGUGCAUUGUUGACACGGCGUGUAUAUCUACGGGGCAGCAUAGUGCUGAUAAGGAAAUUGAAUGAAGAACAUAAGUUUUUAGUGUGUUAAUAAAUUUGUCAUUUUUAUCAAUUUAUAAAUUUGACUGACCAACCCAUGGUUUUGAGUUUGACUCAUAAUAAAAGUUUGCAUAGCGUUAGAUAAACUUAUGAAUCUGAGUGGUAGUCAAAGAAUUUACACACAACGGAAUUUCUUCAUAUAUAUUAAACACAUCCCGAGUUACAUUUUGAGUUAGGAAAUUUCAACCCUUCUAAGGAUCUUUGAUACAGAAGUUAAAGAAAAGUAAGACUUUUAGCCGAUGGUCCUAUUCUAUAUCAAAAUUUUGGGAUUCGGCAAGCACUACGUGCGACGUAGGUUGCUUUGCUUUGCUUCCAUAAGACGCCACUCGAAGGCGGCUUGUUGUUCCCUCAUCUCAGAGAGGGCUGCAAUCAUUUGUGCUUGGAACGUGUCGGUUUGGAGUUGGGCAUUAUCCUGUGCUCUGUCCAGUCGACGGAUGUCGGAAGUGUGAACAUGUACUUCCACGUUGACUUCACGAAUCCAGCUAGCUUGAACCCCGGAUUGAUAGGACUGGUUGGCUAGCUUGACCACCAUGACUGGGAGUGCUCGAUUGGCUGAACUGUUACACCCCAAAACCAUGAACGGCGGAAACGUUCUGGGGCGGAGGACGUCAUGUACAUUAUCACAACAAUGAAAAGUAGUAAACAAGCAACAACAUCAUCCAUUGCAUUAAUAAUAUAAUUUUAUUACAAGUGUGUUCUGUCAAAUUAUAAUAGACACUAAAGUAUAAACAAAAUGAAAGAUGAGUCUUGAACGAGCUCCAUCUUCUCUAAACCUUGCAUCGGUACCUGUCUAUCGUUGACCUGAGGAUACAAGUUAUUUUGAAAGCGAGUAUCAGCUUUAAAGCUGGUGAGAUCAUAAGUAUUAAUGUGUCUUAAUUUGUAUAUCUUAAAAUGAAAGACUUGAAAUUGUUUUGAAAGAAAGCUCGUAUAAGUAUGAAAAUGUUUGUAGACCAACUGUAAAUGUUUGAAAAACCCUAAAAAUCCCUAUGAUUCCUACUAGUAUAAAAGACAGUCUUCUACCAAGACCUAACUGUUCUAAUGUAGUCUUCUACCAAGACUUAACUGUUCUAAAGUAGUCUUUUACCAAGACCCAACUGUGCUACUAUUAUUAUUAUUAUAAGAAUUUUUAUCCUUGGUACUAGGAUACUUAAAUAAUUCACCUCAUCGGUUAUGUGAAUGAGUCACAAGAUAGAAGUAAUAAUAUAAAUAACCUAAGUAUUAUCCUUUUGUACUAGGAUAACUAAGAGUGUCAACUGAAGACAUCCUUAUAUGUACAUUUACCUCUGUUGCUAACAGCUGGGUGUAGGAAUAGUUAGUCCCUUAAAGUAUACCUGUAAUUGUAUCAACCGUUGACAUCCGUGGAUGUGCUUUUACCUCUGUAGCUAACAGAGAUUCUAGGAAUGGUUAAUCCCGCAAAGUAUCCUUUGGUACNAUCUCGUCGAUCAUGUGAUUGUAUCACAAGGUAAAGAUAAGAAUGAGGAUUAUAUGACAUAAUCUAUACAUAUAAAAUGUGAUAAUAACUCAUCAUAUAUUAUCUAUGUAAACGUACUCAUGUAAAUGUAAUCAUGUAAAUGUACUCAUGUAAAUGUAAUCAUGUAAAUGUAAUCAUGUAAAUGUACUCAUGUAAAUGUAUAGUAAUGUACUGUAAUUGUCACACCCCAAAACCAAGAACGACGGAAACGUUCUGGGGCGAAGGACAUCAUGUACAGUAUCACAACAAUGAAAAGUAGUAAACAAGCAACAACAUCAUCGAUUGCAUUAAUAAUAUAAUUUUAAUACAAGUGUUCUGUCAAAUUAUAAUAAACACUAAAGUAUAAACAGAAUGAAAGAUGAGUCUUGAACGGGCUCCAUCUUCUCUAAACCUUGCAUCGGUACCUGUCUACUGUUGACCUAAGGAUACAAGUUAUUUUGAAAGAGAGUAUCAGCUUUAAACCUGGUGAGAUCAUAAGUAUUAAUGUGUCUUAAUUUGUAUGUAAGUAUUUGUUUGACAUGUAAUGAAAGACUUGAAAAUGUUUUGAAAGAAAGUUCGUGUAAGUAUGAAAAUGUUUGUAAAACAACUGUAAACGUUUGAAAAACCCUAGAAAUCCCUAUGAUUCCUACUAUUAUAAAAGGGGGUCUUAUACCAAGACCUAACUGUUCUAAAUGUAGUAUUCUACCAAGACUUAACUGUUCUCAAUGUAGUCUUCUACCAAGACUUAACUGUUCUAAAUGUAGUCUUCUACCAAGACUUAACUGUGCUACUAUUAUUAUUAUUAUAAGAAAUUGUAUCCUUUGGUACUAGGAUACUCAAAUAUAAUUCACCUCAUCGAUUAUGUGAAUGGGUCACAAGAUAAAGGUAAUAAUAUAAAUAACCUAAGUAUUGCCCUUUGGUACUAGGGUAACUAACAGUGUUAACUGAAAACAUCGGUAGAUGUACAUUUACCUUUGUUGCUAACAGCUAGGUAUAGGAAUAGUUAGUCCCUUAAAGUAUACCUGUAAUAGUAUCAACCGUUGACAUUUGUGGAUGUGCUUUUACCUCUGUAGCUAACAGAGAUUCUAGGAAUGGUUAAUCCCACAACAUAUCCUUUGGUACUAGGAUAUUAAAUCCAAUCUAUCUCGCUGAUUGUGUGAUUGAAUCACAAAGUGAAGAUAAGAAUGAGGAUUAUAUAACAGAAUCUAUACAUAUAAAAUGUACUAAUAAUUCAUCAUAUGUUAUCUAUGUAAACGUACUCAUGUAAGUGUACUCAUGUAAGUGUACUCAUGUAGAUGUAUGUAUAUAACUGUACUCAUGUAAAUGUAAUCAUAUAAUUAUAUCUAUGUAAUAUUAUAGUAAUGUACUGUAUGUACUAGUUGUGACGUGUGUUCUCUCUCUAUCUAGCAAGUAUUGACUCAUGAAUGAACUGACUCAUUGUAUGAUAUCGUGUUCUAGUAAUAGCUCUAGUAUCUUCCUAAACUACCCAUAUGGUAGCUUACUAGUAAUGUAACUGGCACGUAUGAACAUGGAAGUAUACCCUUGCUACCUAAGGGUAUUGAAUGAACUUGGAAAACCUUUAUGACUAUAUAUGUACAUACGAUAUAUAACUAAUAUUUAAACAGCCUUUGGACAGAUACCCGAUGUCCCACCAGACCACAUCUCAAGCGCGAAUAGGAAAUAUGGUGGAUAGCCUUCCUAAGUCUUUUAAACAUUUCUUAUAUAACUAUACAUAUAUAGGCACGCAAUUAAUAAUAUAAAAGCAUAAAAUAAGUUUUGUAAAACCUUUGAACAUAAUUAUUAUCUAAGAAAAGAUCGACUUGAUAUCAAUCUAUAAAACGAUUUGAAGGCAUGGGUUUGAUAAAACAGUUUAAGUAUAAAGAAACAUUUGUUUGAAACACAAUUGUAAAUGAGUUUGAAAUGAAACAUACAGAGUAAAAUGUACAAUUUAAUAAGGAAUUUUAAACAUAUAAAAUGUUUAUGAAAAUCAUUUGAAGAAAAUUGUUUGGUAAAACGGCUAAUGAGUAGUAAAUCAUUUGAAUGCUGCUUAUUAAUCACAUGUGAUUGAUAUAAUAAGUAGCAUGAUUCUACUUGUAUCCCCCCAUAAAGCAUUUAAAAACAUUUAAAACAUUGAUUAAGGGGUAUGAACUCACCUGUUGCGAGUGGAUCGGAAGGAAGUGUCGGAUAAGUGCUUGGUGUCAAGUGAAGACUUAGACACGCACAAAGAUCCUAAUUACAUAUGAGGACAUAUGUAUAUAAACAAUUAGUCUUUAAACAACUAAUAAACAAGUCAAGACACUCUAGGACAUGACAAACACUUUGUAUAAGUGUUAUAAGUGCUAAGGAGUGCAUAUAAGUGUUGUAGGGAAAGGCUAGUGUGUUUGGGGUUCAAGGAACACUCCUAAAAUGAGUUUACUCCCUAAAGACCAACACCCCUUGAGUUUACGGUCGUAAACUCUUGAGUUUAUGGUCGUAAACUCCUAACCUUUUGACCAUUUGUUGUUUUGAAGUCUUCUAAGCUAUUCCAAGCAUUCCUACUUCAUGAUUUAGCCUUAGGAAGUGUUGUGUGGCAUCAAAACACUCCUAAAUGGAGUUUACGGUCUAAGGACCAUUUCUCCAUGAGUUUACUACCUUAAACUCAUGAGUUUACUACCUUAAACUCAUGAGUUUACUACCUUAAACUCAUAAGUUUGGUAUUUGGGGGUUUUCAAGUCCUUAGCUCAAACAUGGCAAUAGUCUAGGUUAGAUUUAGACAUAAGGAACAACCAUGGGACUUUUAUAUGACAUUUAAACACCUUUUGGGGUGUUUACGGUUUUGGGAGAUCCCCAAACCGUAAACACAUAAAAAUGUAAGGUUUUGGUGCUUUUUGUGUGAUAAACUCAUCAAGGAUGAAUCUAGACAAGUCCCUAAGGCAUGGUGAAGCAUCUAGGCACCCUAAGGCACCACUUUGCACUUAAUCUUGGUGUUUACAGUUUUGGGACCUCCCAAAACCGUGAACACCUUUAUCUUGGUGUUCUUGGGACUUUUCUUUGAUGCUAAUAUGUAAUAUAAGCUUAAUAAGACUCAAGGAUGGAAGUACUUACUAUAAGGAAGCUUGAAUUGAGCUAAAAGUCCAAGAACACUUAGUGUGUGUUCUUGGUGUUUUUAGAAAACUAAUCAAAACACAAAAAUGGAUGGAUUAAAGGAUGUACAAUCACUAGAUUAAGUGAUAUACUAACUUGAAAGGGCUAGAAACACUUACUAGAUUGAAGAUAUUGAACAAAACUUGGAUGAUACUUGAGAGGGUUUUUGAGUUUACUCUUUUAGGGUGAAGAAAUGAAAAGUGACUAAUUUGAGGAGUAAACUCAUGCUUAUGCAUGAGUUCACGGUUUUUGGAUGAUUUUUCGACCCAAACAUAAAAGUUUGGUCGUGAACUUCUAAGACACGAGGUGUUUGCGGUUUUUAAAUUUCAAAACCUGAGACAACACUUUCUUUCACCCGUUUGUUUAAAGAGUAAUAUUAAAAUAAUAAAACGAACUUUAAAUUUGCUAAAAAUAAGUAAUAAUGUAAUUGACCUAUAAAUCGAAGUGAUUGACUUUUAGGGUUUGACCGAAUGAAAAUUUCGGGUUGUCACAGUAAUGUUUUGUGUGUGCUAGCUGUAACGUGUGUUCUCUCUCUAUCUAGCAAGUAUUGACUCAUGAAUGAACUGACUCAUUGUAUGGUAGCUUACUAGUAAUGUAACUGGUACGUAUGGACAUGGACGUAUACCCUUGCUACCCAAGGGCAUUAAAUGAACUGGAAGAAUCUUUAUGACUAUAUAUGUACACAUGAAAUAUAACUAGUAUUUAAACGACCUUCGGACGGGUACCCGAUAUCCCACCAGAUCACAUCUCAAGCGCGAAAAGGAAAUAGGGCGGCCAGGCCUUCCUAAGCCUUUUAAACAUUGCUUAUAUAACUAUACAUACGUAGACAUGCAAUUGAUAAUAUAAAAGCAUAAAAUAAGUUUUGUAAAACCUUUGAACACAAUUAUUAUCUAAGAAAAGAUCGACUUGAUGUCAAUCUAUAACACGGGUUGAAAGCAUGGGUUUGAUAAAACAGUUUAAGUAUAAAGAAACAUUUGUUUGAAACACAAUUGUAAAUGAGUUUGAAAUGAAACAUACAAAGUAAAAUGAACAGUUUAAUAAGGAGUUUUAAACAUAUAAAAUGUUUAUGAAAAUGUAACAACCCGAAGUUGUCCAUCGCCGAAACCCAUUUCGUCCGUAAAACCCAUCUUUAGCAAUUCGUUCCGUUUCGUUUUGGGGGUAAGUUAUUUAAAUUCAUAAGUUUAUUUUAAUCUCAUGAGUGUUCAAAUCCCUUAGAAACUCAUGAAAAUGGCCCAAAAUCAUUAAUUAAAAAUUGCUAAAUUCAACCCCACCGGAUUACGAUAACUUAAUUGGGUGCGACCAAAAUCCCCGUUUAAUGUCGGUAUCGGGUAGAAUUCCUCAGUGUCCAAAUAUUGGAGCCUAUUUAAAGAGGAUCAAGCUUCCAUUUGAAGCUUUUGCUCUCUCUCACUACUCUCUCUCUAACCUCUCUCCUCAAAUCAAAACUAAGGGUCCAAAAUCACAAAUUAAGGCUUCAAAUCAACAAGGUAACUUCCCUAACUCCUUGUAUAUCAUCCUUAGACUUCAAAUUCGUGAUUUUUCUAUGAUUUAGGACCAUGUUUAUGUGUUUACGGCCCUGGAACAUGCUUGGGCCGUAAACACACAUAAAGGGGUCUUUUAUGCCUUAAAACCCUUCCAAAACACCAUUAAGGCUUAGAUAUGGCUUAUAGAACUAUGGAAUUGGACUUAGAACACCUUGAACAUCAAUUUAGAGGAGUAACACAUGAGUUUACUGCCCAAGAACAUGCUUGGGCCGUAAACUCAUUAACAUGGAGAGUAAACUCCUUCUAAGGUGUUAAAUUGACACUUAUACACCUCCUAAGCCUUGAACAAAAAUCUAGAAACAACCACAAACGAGUUAGAAGCCAAAAACAUGAGGAAAACAACCGGAUAAGGAGUUCACGGCCAUAAGAUGGAGGCUUGGGCCGUAAACUCCUAGAAGUAUGUCAAAUGGUGCCCAAAUUUUACUCCUUGGAUUGUAAAAUAGCUUGAAAUCACAUGUGAUUAAUUAAGGACCACCAAAACACAUUUUGGUUAUGUAUUCAAGAGCUUACGGCCGUAAACAUAGAGUUUACUGCCGUAAACUCCUCAAAUGGUCCCUGAUUUGUCCAAAUCACUUUUCCAUGCCUUGAAACUAACCCUAGAUUUUCCCUCAAGUGAUAUGAAGCCAUUUAGCAACCAAAAGCACCCCACUAUGAGUUUACGGCCGUAAACUCAUGGGGAAUGGGACACUAGGGCCGAAAACUCUAGUAUGAGUUUACUCUUGAAGAGUAAACUCCAUAUCCAAGCCUUAUGUGUCCUCAAAUGUCACCCGGGUCCCUCCAAACACAUAUAAUGAAGUGUUUUUGCAUCUAGAAGUGUUUGUCCUUAACAAAUAAAUUAUUCAAGUCUUAAUUAGACACAAAUGUGUAUCUUUUCAUAAUACAUAGGAAUCUUGUGCGUUUGCAAACCCAAAACUGACGUUUAGGAUCCAAACCGAAGCAUUCCUCAACUGGUGAGUUCAUACCCUACCCUUUUUCCGUGUUUUUCAAAUGUUUUUCAAAUGUUUUCAGGGGGGAAUACAAGCAAAAGUACAAGGGAAAUCUUUUACUUAAACUUAUUUUUAGUUCAAAUGUUUCAUUUUAUGUAUGCUUCUAAUAUCGAAAAUCAUGUUAACUAAUGGUUUGAAUUGCAGGGUUUAAAAACCGUUAGACUAAAUAACAAAUUUCCUUAAAAAGUGUUAUAAACUAUAUUACAUUUUGCAAAAGAAAUCAUACUAAUCAUAAACUAAGAUUAAUACUAAUAAAAUACGAAUGUAACCAAUAGGAUAGAACUAAUACGAAUACUAAUGCGAAUACUAAUACGAAUACGAAUACGAAUAUAACUAAUAGGAUAGUACGAAUACAAAUAUGACCAAUAGGAUAGUACGAAUACGAAUAUGAAUAUAACUAAUAGGAUAGUACGAAUACGAAUAUAACCAAUAGGAUAGUACGAAUAUGAAUACGAAUACAAAUACGAAUAUAAUCAAUAGGAUAGUACGAAUACGAAUACGAAUAGGUAUACGAAUACGAAUACUAAUACGAAUACGGAUACGACUGCGAAUAGAAAUAGGACUACGAAUACGAAAUAACGCCUUUGGAUGACGCCAAGACUUCGAAUAUACAGUUUGUGUACGCCUUGAGUGUCACCAGAGUUUUGAAAAUAAUUCGAAAGUACGCCUCUGGACAUCGACUGAGUUUCGAAUACAUACGCCUUAGGACGUCGACAGAGUUUCGAAAAUACGUCUAGUGUACUCUUUUGGAAAUCACCAGAACAUCGAAAAUACUAUUAAUGUACGUUUCUAAGUGAAUCCAAAUAUUCGAAAUACAACUAAGUAUAGUAGAUAAUCAACAUUCGAAUGUAGGAUAACUAAGAUAUCAGAUUACUUAACUAAUACUAUAAGUGUGAUAGUUACUAAUACUUCGAAAUCUAAACUAAGAACUAACGACAAGACAUAGGAAAAUAUGGGAUUUUCCUGGGAUAACGUAACAACUUUUAAACGAAUUAAGUAACGAAUGGACAACUAAACACUUAGGAAAAUAUGGGAUUUUCCUGGGAUAACAUAACAACUUGUAGACGAAUUGGUAACAAAAGAUAACUAAACUGUUUUCAUAAGAAAAUAUGAGAUUUUCUAGGAUAACAACUUUUUCAGAAAACAAAGGAAACUCAUUCUUUUCAAAACUAAACCGCUUAUGAACUCACCAGCUUUAUGCUGAUUUUCAAACUGCUUGUAUUCUCAGGUCAGCAUUAGACAGGUACACUGCCAUCUUUUGGAGAAGACGGAGCGUUAAAAGACUCGUCUUUGUUUUUGUUCAUAUGAUAUAUGUAUAUAACACUUGUAUAACUUUUCUUUCAAACAGAUGUAAACAAUUUUAUGUACAUCGGAUUUGAUACUCAACAUGGAGUCCGCCCUGAAAAUGUUUCCGCCUUUGGUUUUCGGGGUGUGACAGAAAAUCAUUUGAAGGAAACUGUUUGGUAAAACGGCUAUUGAGUAGUAAAUCAUUUGAAUGCUGCUUAUUAAUCACAUGUGAUUGAUACAAUAACUAGCAUGAUUCUACUUGUAUCCCCCCCAUAAAACAUUUAAAAACACUUAAAACAUUGAUUAAGGGGUAUGAACUCACCUGUAGUGAGUGGUACUGAUGAACUGAAGAGGUAGGACUGUUAGGUGUCAAGUGAAGUCUUGAACACACUCUAUGAUCCUAGUUAACAUAUAAUAUCACAUAUAUGUAUCAAAUUAGUCUAUAAACAACUAAUAAACAAGUCAAGACACCCUAGGACAUGCUAAACACCUUUAUCAAGUGUUAUUAGCCUCAAGGAUUGCAUCUAAGUUGUUGUAGGUCAAGGCUAGGGGUUUUAGGGUUCCAAAGGACCCCAUUCUUGAGUUUACUCCCCAAGAACUAACACACAAGGAGUUUACGGUCGUAAANUUCUACUUAAUGACAUGGUCUUUGGAAGAGCUUAGGGCAUCCUUGAACUCCUUUUGAGGAGUUCACGGCCCUGAGACCAUUUCCCUUAGAGAUUACGGCCGUAAUCUCUCAUGGGGAUGGGUCUUUGGUGAUUCCAAGUCCCUAAAUUAACUAGGAAGUAAUCUAAGCUAGUGUCCAAGGCUCUUGAAGAUUGUAAAGCACCUUUUGGCCCUUGAGUUUGGAGUUCACGGUCCAAGAACUUCUUGGGCCGUGAACACCUUACUCUUGGUGUUUUUGUGUGAUUUCUAGUCCUAUACACACUAAGAUACAAGCCUAAUAUACUUUCAUUGCAUAAGGAAAGGACUAGGCACCAUUUUUGCCCUCUUAAAGAAGGGUUCACGGUCCAAGAUGUUCUUGGGUCGUGAACUCUUAAAUCUUGGGGUUUUGUUAUGAUUUCCAGGUUAAUAAGCACCUAAUAAGCCAUAUAAUACAACUAGAGAGAGGUACUCACGUUUUGGGAUGAAAGCCCGAUGAUCCUUGAGAGAGAAUUCGACUUUUCUCCAGUUGGAAAUGUAACUAAUGAAUAAAUAUGGCUCAGAAUCCUAUAUAUAGUCUUGGGAUUUUUGGCAGAAAAUAUUUUAUUCACGCAAUGAACUCUAAUAUCAUGGAGUUUUGGAAUAACAGAGUUGCACAAUACUCUAGUGCAUCCACUCUCCUGAUAUAUCCUUAAGAGUAAAUCCUGAAAUACUCCAAACUUUUCCAAAAGUCUGAAAAUUUACUGCAACUGUUCUCACUUCUAUUGACUAGAUAUGGUUUGUACAGAAUGGAAAUUUCGGGUUGUCACAUGAACCUCCACCGCGGACAUCGUAGAAGUCUCGACACAUGCCGUAGGGAGGACGCACUCCUUGCUGUUGACUCCAAUGGUGGAGGUGACUUCCCCAAAUGGGAGUGGGUCCCUGAAAGUUUCUCCUAACAGCAGGAGGUUGAGCGGCUGGUGGGUUGAUNCAGCAGGAGGUGAGCGGCUGGUGGGUUGAUUACCUCUGGUUCUAAGUCUGUCCUAGAGUCAUCCCCUUCAUCCAACUCGAUAGGUUCUUUAUCCUCUUCGGGAUCUUCUUGGACCCAUCCCCUGUUACUUUGGUUGAGAUAGUAGGGGUCUCCGUGUGGAAUGAAUCCAGCCAUUUGACUAUACGAGAAUAGGGUUAUAGGAAUUGAACAAAACUUGAAUCAUGUAAAACUAAGCAUGUCGAUUAAACUAUUGCAUGUACCAAAUACUCCUAUAGUAUUUAAAUUUAUAUGUUUGAUACUAGUGUUUAUUUUUGGUAAGUUUUGACUUGUUGCUGACUACGACCAUUCCUUGACAUAUGUUAGUCUAAUCUCGGAUAAAUAUAGUUGACAGGCUAUAUUCGUCCCAGAUCUGAUUACAUAUUUCGAGGUCUAAUCGUAGUGUCCAACUUGUCUUAAUACUUCUUGUAUAGUUCUAACCAUGAAAAUAUAUUUUUGCAUGCAUGUAUUUGUACUUUUACGACCCAAAAUAAUCUAGAUUAAAUGAAACAAGGCUUUAGGUGUAAAAACGUUUUGUCAGAGAGUUUUAGUCCCUUAUGCAUUUAUAGUUUGUAUAUCUUAUGUGGUUCGAUAUACUUAGUUCACUAUAAACAAUGCUCUGAUACCAAUCUGUCACACCCCCAAACCAGAACGGCGGAAUCGUUCGAGGGCGGAUGACUUCAUGUAGUAUCGAAAUAGUUGAAUACAUAGUAAAGAAAGUAACACAACCAUCAUAUAUAUAAUUUGAAAGUUUACAUUGUAGAAAGUACUUGUUUCAAAAGAAAUUACAAUAUGAUGUCAAAAUGAAAUUAAACUAACGCUGCAGCGUCCAUUCUUCAAAAGCAGUAGUUUACCUGUAUUACUGAAUCCCUAAGAAAUACAAGUAGUUUUGAAAGUGUAGGUCAACAUUUAAGCUGGUGAGUUCAUAAGUAUUUAGUAAAAUUGUUUGUAUGAAAUAGAAUGAAAUUGGUUUGUACAUGUUUAAAUUUUCCUAGAAAAUCCCAUAUUUUCUACUAUAGAAGAUGGUAGUUUAAUUGUUCCAAAACUAUGACGUAAUAGUGCUUUUUAUGCCUAAAAUAGUAGGUUUAUAUAUAAAUUGUUAAGGCAUUUGAAAAACCCCAUAAAUCAAAGUGUUUUUAAUACUCCAUGUGAGUCUUAUAACCAUGCUAUUUGACCAGGAUGCCUAUAACAACGUUCUUCAGGCGUUGGAAAGUUAUGACAUUUGUCACCCCAGGCCUGCCAGCCUAGCUGUAGCUAACAGCUUAGGUGCGGGAUUGUCAAUCCCAAAUAGAUCUAUACACAAGUAUCACAGUCCCCCUACAAGGGAUUAUGGUAUAUAAUACAGGACUUAAAAUACAUACUCGAAAGUACGUGAAAUGUCUCACAAAACAUAGUAUAAAACAGAUUUACGUAUGAAAAUGUCCAUUUGUUCUUGUAUAUGAAAGUAUUUCCUUGAUAUAGUAUUCGUUAGUAUGUAAAUGUUCAUGAUUUUCUCAUAAACUAUACCUAUUAUAGUUUCUCAAAAUGUGUGUUUCGUUUGUAUAGUAAACCCUAGUGUAAUGCUCACUUGUUAUGAAAAGUAUAACAUUUAAAGUGACAUAAAUGAUCACAUAUACUUAAAGUAUAAAUAAAGUGUUUGAUUCGUAUAUACAUAUAUAAACAUGUUUUAUUUCCAAAAGACAAGAUGUUAUCCAGAAUAUAUAUUGCAUACGAAAGUUCCUAUGUAGUAGUUAUGAAUCACAUAUGAUUCACUUGAUAAAAAGAGUAUAUAGUGAAACUUUAUGUUACACACGAUAAUAAGCGUGUGUUUACUUGUAUUCCCCCCUUAAAAGCGUAAAAAAAAGCAUUGAUAAAACAUUUGAAAGUGUAGUUUAUAGGGGUAUGAACUCACUUGGUUGAUUGAAGAUAGUGAGAUGAAAAUUGAGCAGAACUUCGGCUUGUGAAAGUCGAUUUUCUCAGGAUUCUCCGGAAUCUCGGGAAUGCAAAACCUUCCUUCGGGACUUGUACGCGAAUACCGGGGCUUCGGGGGGGGGGGGGGGGGGGGGGGGGGCGCUGANGGCUUCGGGAGGGUCUCGGGGGCUUAGAAGCAGAGUUUCAGCACAAGAGAAGAGAGAAUUGAGCACUAGAACUCGAAACCAUGGGUUUCUAUUUAUAGGCUGAGUUUUGGGGUCUCACGUCGUGAGUUUUGGGUGUCUCACGUCGUGAGGCUUAGUCAGAAUGAUCAUCUUCGACGAUUUGAUGUGGCUGACACUCUGGCACCCAUCAAUCACGAGCUCACGUCGUGAUUUUUGGUCCCCUCACGUCGUGAGGCUGAGUUAGUCUCGCAUUUUGUGUCUCGAACUUGUAAAAUCCGUAACUUUUGCGUAUGAGCUCCAAUUUCAGCGUUCUUUAUAUGCACGCGUAGGUGUGAAAAGGCUCUACAAAUCUCAUUUAGACUUCAUCGGCUAAUUUUGACUUUAUUUUUAUUAUGUCAUUUUUAACGGGCCGGGACACGAAAAGUCCGUUAAAAAUCCAUAACUUCUUCAUCCGAUGUCCGUUUUCGUUAGACUUUUCACAGUUGCGCUACUAUUGUUGGGACCUUCGAUUCUCAUUUAGGUUGUUUCGGCCAAAAGCCUCUCGAUCUCUAUUGCGAGUUUUUAGCUGUCUACUAUUAUAUCCGGAUUUUGGAAAAAUCAUAACUUCCUCAUACGAAGUUAGAUUUGGACGUUCUUUUUAUGUACCUUGACGGUUUAAUGAUAUCUACAACAUUCAUUUAGAUACUUAAGGCUAAAAACUAUUGUAUUGAAACUUUGUGUUUUUCGUUUAAUCAGUGUUGCCUGUUUUGUCGGAAAUCUUAGAAUGGUCAUAACUUCUUCGUUAUAACUCGGAUUUUAGUGUUUUUAGUAUUUCUGUAAACCUUGACACAAUAUCUAACAUAAUAGGUAACCCAAUAGAGACUUUUGUACAUUUUAUUUUCAAAGUUAAUUUCAUUAUUUCAAAAGUGGUUAUAAUACUUGACUUUUUAGGUUAUUACAUAAAGUCGAAAUAUCGGGUUGUCACAAUUAAGGGACACCGAAAACUUAGCUCAGAACAAUACUGGCCAUAUGCACCAGAUGCGAGAGAGAGUUGCAAGGGCCGAACAGGAAACGCAGGAGGUCAUAAGGGAAUUUCACAUGAGACAGGAGAUAUAGGAGGCUCGACUUCGAGACACUGAGCGACAGGUGGCCCAACUACAGAGAGCAUCCACAUCUACAUCACCACCCCCUGGCACAUCUCGUCACGACUAGGACCAACACUAUCCUUCACCAGUAUUGCUAUGUUAUUUUCUUAUGUGUACGAUGUUAUGUACUCCCGACUCUAUGUUUAAGUGAUUACACAACUCAUAGAGUCGUUAUGUUGUCGGAUUUUAUACUCUCAUGUACUGUAUGCUCUUUUGGGCAAAAUUUUCAUGAAUGAAAAAUCGGAUUACUAGUGGAAAUACUAUGUGUUUUAUUGUGAUGCUAUUACCUGCUAUGUGAUUUAUUCCCUUAAUUCAUAAUGAACUAUAAAGUUGAAUACAUGCACAAAUAAAACCACCAGGGUAGUAGUACCAUAAACAUACGAUAUGCCCUCAUCAUCUUUCUGUGCUAUUACAGAAGAUGCCUCGAAGAAAUCCGCCUAGGAACAAUGAUACAACACCACUGCCACCACCACCACUGACUCCAGAUAUGAACUCAGUUGCAAUUGCAGCAGCUUUGACUCACAUUCAUAACGGAAACAACGGUGGAGGCAAUGGAAACGGAACUGGAAGUUCAAAUCAAGGAAUGAAUCAAGGGCCGACUAAGUCUUGUACUUAUAAGGACUUCAUCAAUGCUAAACCACGAACCUUUAGUGGGUCGGGAGGAGUGAUAGCCUUAAAAAGAUGGAUAAAGAAGGUGGAAUCUGUGUUCGAAAUAAGUGGAUGCUUAGAAGAAAACUAAGUGAAAUUUGUUGCGUGUACGUUUGUGGACCAAGCCCUUUCAUGGUGGAAUGGUCACGUUGAGGCUAUGACACUCCCGGUGGCUAAUGUUAUGCCUUGGGAAGAACUGAAGGAUAUGCUAAGGGCGGAAUAUUGCCUGAGAGGGGAACUUCAAAAGAUGGAGCAGGAACUGUGGAAUCUCACGGUUCGAAACUCUGACAUAGACACCUACAUCUCAAGGUUCAACAAAUUAUCACUCUUGUGCCCAAGGAUGAUCAACUCGGAAGGGAUGAAGAUUGAGAGGUUUUUUGGGGGAUUAACCUCCCAUAUUCAAGGGAAUGUGAUUGCGGCUAAUCCAGAAACUUUUGAUAGCGCCAAGAGAUUGACAAAGAAAUUAUAUGACCAUGAGAAGAAGAAGAGUGACAAGUCUAACGAAAACAAGAAGGAAGAUGAUAACAAAAAGGGGAAGAACAACAAUGAAAGGGACAACAAGGCGGGGAGUCAUCGAAGAAAUAACAGACAGUAACAGCUCAUGCAGUAACCACUCAAGUUCCCUCCACACCACAUGCUCUAGCCUCAGCUACACCAAGUAUCCCUAGACAGUACUCCAGAAAUCUCCCAAGGUGCAGCAAGUGUAAUCUCCAUCACAACGGCGAAUGUAGGGAGAUGCAGUGCACUAGUUGCAGCCGAAAAGGUCAUACAACAAGAUAUUGUAGGACCUAUCCUCCCCAGAACCAACAAGGGAACAACUAUAACAACAACUGCAACAACAAUAACAACAACAACAACAACAACAACCGCAACAACAGCAACAACAACGUUCGGGCCAGCCACACUGCCCCAACGUUAAUAAUCAAGGAAGUGGAGGAUCGGGAAGGGUGUUGACCCUGGGGCAAGGAGAAGCGGUUCAGGAUCCCACUGUUGUCACUGGUACGUUCCUACUUAACAACACAUAUGCAUGUAUCUUGUUUGAUAGCGGAGCAGAGCCCAGUUUUGUGAGUAAUAUGUUCAAAAACUUGUUAAAACAACAACCCUAGAAGCUCAAUGAAGCAUUCACGGUGGAAAUGGCUAAUGGGAAAACAGAAUCAACCAAAGAUAUCUAUAUAGAAUUCUUAUUAACCUUAAACAAUCAUACAUUUCCAAUAAAUUUGAUGCCAGUAAACAUUAGGAGUUUUGAUGUGAUAAUUGGCAUGGAUUGGUUGAACCCCCACCAUGUUGACAUUAUGUGCCACGGGAAGGUCGUUCACCUUCACCUCCCCAAUCACAAAACCCUAAUUAUUUAUGGAGAUAAACCUGGCAUCAAUCUCCAUCUCAUCUCGUGCAUCAAGGCACAGAAGUGUCUACACAAGAGGAACUAUGCAUUUUCUGGCUCACAUUGUAGACAAGUCCAAAAAAAAAUAAACAUUCGAGAUAUCCCAUUGGCGUGUGACUAUCCGGAUGUAUUUCCCGAGGAUCUUCCAGGGAUACCCCCGGAAAGGCAGGUCGAAUUUCGAAUUGACCUUGUACCCGAAGCCACUCCAAUAGCCAAAUCACCUUAUAGGUUAGCUCCCACUGAGAUGUAAGAGCUAUCGAGUCAAUUGAGUGAGCUUCUAGAUAAAGGAUUCAUCAGACCCAAUUUUUCUUCUUGGGGAGCUCCAGUUCUUUUCGUCAAAAAGAAAGAUGGAUCCUUUAGAAUGUGUAUUAACUAUAGGGAGUUAAACAAACUCACUAUAAAAAAAUCGUUACCCUCUUCCACGAAUCGAUGAUCUAUUUGAUCAACUUCAAGGAGCUAGUUAUUUUUCAAAAAUAGAUCUGAGAUCCGGUUAUCAUUAACUCAAAGUCCGAGAGGAGGAUAUUUCAAAGACAACUUUCCGAACCCGAUAUGGACAUUACAAGUUUGUCGUGAUGCCCUUCGGUCUGACGAAUGCCCCUGCAGCAUUUAUAGACCUCAUGAACCGAGUCUGUCGACCAUUCCUUGAUCAUUUUGUAAUUGUCUUCAUUGAUGAUAUUCUCGUGUACUCCCGAAGUGAAAAAAAACAUAGUUAACACCUCCGACAAAUCUUGGAAACCCAGCGAACUGAAAAGUUGUACGCAAAACUCUCUAAAUGCAAGUUUUGGCUCCGCAAUGUAAACUUUCUGCGUCACAUUGUCAGUAAGGAGGGGAUCCAUGUAGAUCCUUCUAAGGUUAAAGCCAUUGAAGGAUGGGCAAUCCUAAUGACACCGAUACAGAUUCGCCAGUUCUUAGGUCUGGCAGGCUAUUACCGAAGGUUCAUUCAGAACUCCUCUAGGAUAGCCAAACCCCUCACCCACCUUAACUUAAAAAGGUGUACAUUUCAAUUGGACAGAGAAGCAUCAGCCUGCCUUCCAAACCUUGAAACAAGCUCUCUGUAGUGCACCCGUACUAUCGUUACCAGAGGGAACUAAGGACUUUGUAGUUUGCUGCGAUGCUUCGAAUCAGGGUUUAGGAUGUGUACUCAUGCAGCGUGGGAAGGUGAUAGCUUAUGCAUCCCGACAACUAAAGACACAUGAGGUGAAUUAUACCACCCAUGAUCUCGAAUUGGGAGUUGUGGUCUUUGCUUUGAAGAUUUGGAGGCACUACCUUUAUGGUACCAAGGGCACCAUUUUCACUGACCACAAAAGCCUCCAACAUAUUUUGAAUCAAAAAGAGUUAAACAUGAGGCAGUGAAGAUGUGUUGAGAUGCUAAACGAUUAUGAGUGUAAAAUCAAGUACCACAUAGGCAAGGAUAACGUGGUAGAUGAUGCCCUGAGCCGAAAAGAAUACUCGAAUCGUUGUGUGAAAACUCUCUCAAUAACCAUUCAAUUCCAUCUAUCAUCACAGAUUAAAGAAGCUUAGUUGGAUGCGAUGAAAUCAGAAAACAUAGUGGUCCCUAAACUUGGGGUAUUCAGAGAGGUAGUCAUGGAUGAGGCCCAUAAGACACGAUACUUCAUUCAUCCGGGUUUAGAUAAAAUGUACCUGGAUAUCAAGCAAAAUUAUUGGUGGCCUAAUAUGAAGGCAAAAAUAGCCACUUAUGUAGGAAAGUGUCUCACCUGUGCUAAGGUGAAAGUGGAAUACCAAAAACCCUCGGGACUAUUUCAACAGCUAAUGAUACCCGAGUGGAAGUGGGAAAGGAUUACCAUGGACUUUGAGACCAAAUUACCCAAGACAACUGAAGGGUUAGAUGCCAUAUGGGUAAUAGUCAAUAGGUUGACAAAAUCUGCCCAUUUCCUGCCGAUAAAGGAAUCAUACAAGAUGGAACGAUUUACUAGAAUCUGCGUCAAGGAAAUUGUGAGACUCCAUGGAGUGCCAAUAUUUAUCAUCUCAGAUCGAGAUAGUAGAUUCACUUCACGCUUUUGGCAAUCACUUCAAAAGGCUAUGGGAACACAACUCGACAUGAGCACUGCUUACCACCCCAUACGGAUAGUCAAAGUGAGCGAACCAUUCAAACGCUCGAGGAUAUGCUCCGAGCAUGUGUGAUAGACUUUGGUAGGUCGUGGGAUACCCACUUGCCUUUAAUUGAGUUUUCAUACAACAACAGCUAUCACAUGAGCAUCAAAGUUGCUCCUUUUGAAGCGUUAUACGGUCGCAAAUGCAGGUCACCCUUAUGCUAGGCUGAAGUGGAUGACACUCAGCUAGCAAGAGGGCAGGGACCAAACAGUGUUUUAACGGGACCAAAAAUCAUACGUGAAACGACAGAGAAGACAGUCGGAGACCGACAGAAGAGCUAUGCUGAUAAACGGCGAAAACCCUUGGAGUUUCAAGUUGGAGAUCGGGUGUUAUUGAAGGUCUCUCCCUGGAAAGGGGUGAUUCGUUUUGGGGAACGGGGGAAACUAAAUCCACUCCGUGUUCCAUGUUUCCAAUUUGAAAAAGUACUUAUCCGAUGAAACUCUUGUCAUCCCAUUGGAAGAAAUCGAAAUCCAUGAGAAUCUCCUGUUCAUCGAGGAACCAGUUAAAAUCAUGGACAUGGAAGUGAAGCGUACUAAGUAAAGUCGCAUUCUGAUUGUGAAGGUUCGAUGGAACGCAAAGCAUGGACCGGAAUUCACAUAGGAACGCGAAGACCAGAUGAAGCAAAAGUACCCUCACUUAUUCUUGCAUUCUCAAAUCUAGUUUCAAAAAGAAUUUCGGGACGAAAUUCCCUCUAACGGGGGGAUGAUGUCACAACCAGAAAAUUCUUUGCUUUUGUAAACAUUAACAAGGACAAAAUUGUAACCAAAACUUGAAAGCAUGCAUGAUGUUUAUUUAAAAACAACAAAAUUCCAUUAAAAACUCUAUACAAACACUUCAAAUGGUCAACGAAAGAUUGGAAGCCCUAAAAAUCCCAGUUUAUGUCCAAUAUGGACUAGGAUUUCCUUAAUGGUCCAAAUGGACCAAUAAGCUUCCAAUUUGAUUAUUUUGGGAUUAGGACCCUUAAAUGGGCUCUAAUUAGUCCCACCUUCAUGAGAUUUAACAUUUUGGACCUUUUUUGGCCUAAAAUGGAAUAAACUACUCUAAUAAGCCUUAUUGGGCCAUAACUAACCUAAUUAGCCUUAAUAGGCCAUAAAACCCAUUCUUUUAUGCUAAUAGGCCCGUGAACCAUUUAAUGAGCCUAAUGGGCCAAAUAAUAAUAUUGGGCUUAUGAAAAUUUAAUGCACCCGGCUGGGACUGUAGCUAACAGUCGGGGUGUGGGAUGGUCUGUCCCGUAUAGAAAUAUACACACGAUGCCUGCUCUCUCUCCAAGAGACUCUGGUUAAAAAACGUGUCACAACAAAUGUAUUGUUGUGACUGUAUCUCACAUUAAUGUUAUCUUGUUGUAAUAGUAUGUUCCUCCCUGUUCUAGUUAUAUUAAGUUCUGAACCCCUAAACUAUACCUAUUAUAGUUUACUAGUAUGUUUUUAACUGUCCCUAAUUUAUAGAAAAGACUCGAGUAUCUACUAAGUUAUGAUUGUACUUUAAAAAAAGAGUUUUAUAAACAACAGAGUAACAUAACUUUAAAAAGAGUUUUUGAAAUGAUUUGAUCACUUAUAAAGCAUAAGAAAUCCUUUGAAAUGAUGGUUAUCACAGAUAAACAUGAACACAAUAUCAUUAUGUUCAACUUGUAUCCCCCCCUUAAAAGCAUUUAAAACAUUUAAAAGAUUGAUUAUAGGGGUAUGAACUCACCUUAUGUGGGUGAUUCAAUUGAAGAUUUGUAUAAGGAUGAGAAGUUCCACGAAUGACUUCCAGAGAUACAAACGAGUCCUAAAUCACAUAUAAUGGCAUAUAUAGGCACGUAAUUAGUGUUUAAAACAACCUGCAAGGAAACAACCCUAGGGACUAGGAAAAACUUGGAAUGAAGUGUUACAAUCACAUGUGAUUGUCUAAAGGGAGUUUACGGCCAAAGGAAGGUGUGUUCACGGCCACACUUGAGUUUACGGCCAAAGGAGAUAAGUUUACGGCCACACCAAGUGUUUACUGCCGUAAACACUCCAAAAUGAUGCAUUUUGGAUCUUUAUUAUUACUUGUAGGGUGUUUGUCUCAUGAGACAAGAGUUUCUAAUGAAUAACAAUAUGAUAGAAGAAAUACUCCCAUUUUGGAUGAAUUUAGGGUGUUCACGGCCCAAGAGGUGUUCUUGGUGAAAAGAUGAAGAUUUGAAGAUCUUGAAGGAAAAGUGAUGAAUUCAAGGAUGUGAUUCAUAGGAUUCAUAUGAACAAGAAGAUUAACUAGCAAAAUGGAGGAAUUCUUACGUUUUUGAAGAGAAUUAAUGGAUUCCCUUGAUGAUACUUGAGAGAGAAUUAGUUUCACUGACUUGAAGAUGUGAGAAAUGAAGAACAAAUGAAUGAAAUCUAUACUUAUCAUGGGAGUUGAUGGCUAGGAGGGUGUUUACGGCCAUGAAUAGAGUUUACGACCGUCAACCCCAUGUGGUUGGCUUUCUGGUUCGGGUGCAGCCUUCUGAUCUCGAGCUAAUACUUUAACACUCAAUCCUUAAGUGUACUAGGUUUAGAACUCAUUAGAAUGACCCUUAACAAGGCUAAAAGGCAAUAGAAUUUAAUCUAACUUUUGGUUGAUUGAAUUGACUUUACAAGAUAAAGAAUUUCGGGUUGUCACAUCAUCCCCUCGUUAGAUGGAAUUUCGUCCCGAAAUUAGCUUUCUUAGCAACUCCAGGGGUCACACUUCUCUAAAUAGCAGAACACUCACUCGUAGACAUGACAAUUUUGCCCUUACGCUCAUGACACGAUUCAUACCUGGUCCAUUUAUCAUCACCUCGUGUAUACAAGUCGUACAUAAUUGAGAUUAGUAAGACGGUCAGAUGUGCGACUCUGCCCCAGGUCCACAACCAAACAAGGAACAAGAGAUAGGGUGGAAACACACAUACUAAAUCUAUGUAAUCAAAAUUAUAUACCACCCUCGUGUAUACACUUAAUAGUGAUAAGUAGGUUUGUAUAGCCUCUAUGCUCGAACUUGAUUUGCUGAACGAGUGGUUGUGACAACCCAAGUUGUUCCGUUACAUUUCCCCGUUACCGUUAACGGAAUAUUCCAGUUUAUAAAAGUUCCGUUAAUUAGAGGUUGUCAAUUAAAUAAACAUUUCAUUGUUUAUAUUUAAUAUGCCGUUAAGUCGUGAUAAAAGGGAAUAAAAACGCAUAACACACAUAUCCAUUUAUUUGGAAAAGUUAGUUUUUAUUAUUACGACAACUAAAUCGGGUGCGACCAAAAGCCCCGUAUAACGGCAGUAUUGGGUAGAAUUCCACUGAGCCCCGACUCGGAACCCUAUAUAAAGGUGAGUGGAGUCCAUUGGAGACUUUUUACACUCUCUCUCUAUACUCUCUCUCUCUAGACUCGUUUUCGACCCAAAUCCGCAACCAAACGCUUCCAAAUCGUAAGUCCACUUACCCUAGAAUAUUCUAAACAUAUUGGCUUGUGUUUAUACCUCAAAAAUCGUCCCAGUAGGCAUGGAAUAAGGAGUUUACGGCCCAAGAACACUCUAGGGCCGUAAACCCCUAAUAUGGUGCCAAACAUGCCUUAAAACUCAUCCUUAAGCUUAGAAACUAUUAGGGGAUUUAGCCUAGGAGUGUUUAAACCCCAAAACAACAAGAUUUGUGGCAUAAAAGAGGGUUUACGGCCCAAGCACAUGCUUAGGCCGCAAACACCCUCUAAACUUGUUAAAUCAAGUUCCAAACACCUUGACUGCUAGCUACAGUACACGGCUCACCAAGCCAAGGGGUGACAAAUGUCACAUUAUAUAGACGCUUGAAGGGCGUCUGGUACUCUAGUGUCGGUUAGUAUGGUUACGAGUAUCCCGGGUUACCUUAUAAUUCAUGGCCUUAAGGUAAUAGUAUUCACCGGCAAUUUACACUGUAUGCUGGCAACUCAUUUUCAGAGUCACACUGUUUUGACCUUGCAAGACGUAUCUUUCAUUUGAUACUGUCUGGGGUCUGUCUCCUCUGUUUUGACCUUACAAGACGUAUCUCUCGUUUGAUGCUGUCUGGGGUCUGUAUCCACUGUAUUCAUAGAAUCCACUGUAUUCACUGUGUUCACUGUUUUUGACCUUGCUAGACGUAUCUUUCAUUUGAUACUGUCUGCGGUUUGUAUUCACUGUUUUGGACCUUACUAGUUGUACCUUUCAUUUGGUACCUUCUGGGGUCUGUGUCUCUAUUUGUUAGACUGAACCAGGUGUGUCGUUUGUUUGAUACUCUCCUGGAGUCUAUGAUUCCUUUGCCUUAGUCAGCAGUCCUCAUUGCUGAGGCAUAUGUUAUUUCCCUGUUGUCUCUUGCUGUCUUUAAUAAUCAAAUUUAGUAUUUUGAUAAUGAUAGCAAUUAAGGGAAAACCACUUAUUACCACAUAACACUGACCAGUCUUGGUACUCGCUUUUCAAAUAACUUGUAUUCUCAGGUUAGCAUUAGACAGGUACAUCCCCGGAGCUGUUGAUGAAGAUAGCUUAGUACCACGCUACAUUUAUUCUAUUACUUGUAUCACUUUGAUGUAUUAAUGUAACUAUGUAAAACUAUUACUAUUAAUGCAAUGUUUUGUUGUACUUUGAUUACUAUAAUGCAUGUGUUGUGAUACUUGACAUGACGUCAUCCACCCCAGAACGUUUCCGCCGUUCCGGUUUUGGGGUGUGACAGAUUGGUAUCAGAGCAUUGUUUAUAGUGAGCUAAGUAUAUCAAUUCAUAAAAGAUAUACAACCUAUAAACACAAAGGGAUAAAACACUCUGACCAAGAAUUAUACUUUAAAAUAUAACCAUAUUUUACCAAAGUAUAAUAACAUCCAGAAUCUAAACACUCGAACAAAAGUAUCACAAGAAGAACAAUAAUAAAAGUCUUCGGAUGUUGAGCACUACAGUCAAACCUGGGCAGUUAUGUAAUCGUAAGCUGGGAUAAAUGUAACCUGAUCAACUACAUUUAUCCGAGAUGCGAUGAACAUGUGCUUGGGAGUGAUAGUGGUGUACAACAGGUCUGAAACUUACCAACUAGGAAUGCUAGAGCCAAACAUAAAGUUAAAAUACUAUAGGAGUAUUUUAGAACACUAAAAGAUCCACACUAAUCCCAGAAUGAUAUUCAGAAGAUAAGAAUCAAACAAGAAUUAAAAUACCAUAGGGGUAUUUUAGAAUCCAUAAACAACCUUGCGUGAAUAACUAAAAAGAUCCUUAUUGAUAUACCUACAACUACAGAGGGUGUACUCCCAAGGUUAUAUAUAAUAAGGAUCCCAUAGGCUAAGAAUGUGUGGUUUCGCUCUAUUUCCUUUUCCUCGUUGGGAUGUGGUUCUAGAGUAGUAUCACAUAUUCGAAGGCCUAUCGGAUCUAAGCUAUAUAUGAUUUGUAUACCCUGUGUAAUCGUAGCAGGACUCGAUAUGGAUCAUACAGUGAAAUGUUAAUAAUCUCUUAGGAUUCUUUAGACAUUUCCAUUCUCGCACGAACCCUGUAGAAAACCCUACCCACUUCAGUGCUUGACAGAAGAGUUGAUUCCGACCCCGAGGAGGUUCAUUGAGAAGAUUUCCUGUUCGGAAAUAAAUGAACUGGGUCGAGACUAUUGAAUGCUCCAAGUGCCCAUAUUCUUUUAGGGACAGUGGUGAGAGAUUCGCCUAAACUUCCGAGAUUCCAGUCAUCCAUCAUGAAGCGGUGACACCCAGAGUUGGAAUCAGAAGGAAGGCAGGGUAGAAAUUCAAUGUCUUCACAAGAAAAGAACCCUAGGUAACUACCCGAAGGAAACCAACGCCGAUUCCAGCCAAAGAUAUGAGGCAGACAGAGGGAGCCAGUACACAGAACCCGAGAAUUGUCUUUUCCUCGUGUUCGUCACACUAAUAAACCCGUAAAAUAAUACAAUUUAGUGAGUUAGUGUUUACACUACUCACGCUAUGUGUUAGGUAAAUCGUCGAUUCCCGUUGCCAGAUACACGAUUAGGGCGGAUCCCUGCAUCUCUAUUGAGAGAAUUUUAGCUAUUUGUCCUUGUGAGCCUCUCUUCCCGCAGUUUCAUUCCGAACCGUUCUCAAAUCUCUCCAAGCCGGAGAGUGAAACCUUUCCCAGUAUAAAGGUAACUUAGUAGGAACGACUCGCAUCUUAUGGCCUUUUUGUGAUACUCAUACACCCACUUCGAUUACCAGGACUACAUCAUAGGGAUGUAGGUCGACACUCAAACGACCAGUACCCGAGGCACGGGAAAAUUUAUGCCUAAUACGUUCAGGACAGAAAUGUCCAGGGUUAACCAUCAUCUCUCAUUACCUUGUAUUCCUUUCCGUGUAGGAAAACCAUGCCACCGAAGAAGCGUAACCAAUCCACAAGCAAGAAACCUGCUCUCUUAUUCGAUGAAGCUACGUUCCAAGCUGCAGUCUCAGCAGCCGUAGCAGCUGUCAUGGCUCACCUGAAUGCUAACACCGCCAAUGUUAGCAAGGGCCCUGUCGGGAAUUCCAAUCCUGGCAAUGGACAGCAGCAAUCAACACUUCCAUACUCAGCCACCGAAGAGCCUCCACUGAACCCACUAAAGAGAAAACUCAAGAUAGAGGAGGGAAGUACCUCGGCUCAAGGACCUUCCGAUGGGCAACAAGCUGAGGCAGUCUAUACCCCUGUCAAUCCUUCCCUCCCGACUCCACGAAGACCAUACCUAGGAGACCUUCCCCACUGUAGCAAGUGCAGCUACCAUCAUCAUGGUGUCUAUCGGGAGCUCUAUUGUGCUAGGUGCCACAUGUUGGGGCAUACUGCUCGCGUCUACAGAACCCCGGUUGAGUUCAUUACAUCAACCACCAAUGUGGUGACCCGUACAGUUUGCCACCUAUGUGGUAAAAUUGGACACUUCAAGAAGGAGUGCCCAACCGAAGGGAAAGACAAAGACACAGAAGGAGCCUGACACUACUGCUUAGGGAGAAGCGGCAAGGAACUCGUUAGAUUUUGGUACGUCUCUCGAUAUCGGAUAACUAAACUAAGAACAAUAAAAGACUAAUUCAAAUGUAAAUUCUUCCCAGUAAGGCGAAAGUCGCAGCACUGUUAUAAAAUUUAAAAAUUCAUCAGGUAAAACUAUAACGGCUAAACAUAUACGUUACGACCAUGUAUAUUUAAGAUGGACAGACCUAGAGUGAGCGAAUACCGCCUCAUUUCCUGUUCCUCGUUUGGUUGUGGAUUUAGGGCGGGGUCGCUCAGUCAACAGUCCUCCCCACCUUAAAUAUACAUGACUAGUAUAUGUGAGGCGAUUAUAGAAAUGCCUCGUGAGAAUCCAUUCAAGAAAAGAUACUCUAAUCGGGAGCACCUAGAACUCUCUAUAGUCCGCAUCGACUCUAAUCGGUCCAAGUAUCCGCAGUAGUGAUACAUAGGACGAAACCCUGAGACGCUUAGAACUUGUGUGCCUAUUCGGCACAUGACUCUAUCGAUCUUCACUUUAUAUCCUGUCGAGGUGUGCCAACUUCGACGACUCUAUUGAUCAUGGUUUGACUUCGUGCAACCAUGUGUACAUUAUUAGUGUUGUGAGCUUUCUCCAUGGCCAUAUCGGCAAAUAAAGGUUCCUCCGAACCCGAACCUAACACAAAUAAUCACAUCUAAUGCAAUUCGUCAAUCAUACCUCUUAUCUCAAACCUUCCGAAGUACCCACGUGAGGGUACCCCGCGCCGUCGACCGACCCCUCGUAGUCAAAUGAGCACCGAAGUGAAAGGCACUGCAGAUACCUCAGAAAACGGCAACCAUCCGAGGCAUACUCCGUAGAGUCCCCUGGGAGACCCUUCUCACCUCGCACAUCAGGUUCGUGAACCCAGAGAAUAGAACUCAUGAGGCUGGCCACUAUGACCAGGUAUACUGUUGGCAUCCAUCAAGUAUUGACGGUUAAGCCAAGCAUGAGUUCUACCAUGAACCUCUUCGCAAAACACUUUCACCCCAUUCGAUAACAUAGGAGCAGAAAUCAAGAGAACUACUGUGGAUUGAGCUAGUAAAGUUCCGAGUGAAGAGACCCUAUACCCACUAGAUUUGACUUAGACCGAGAAAAACUCAGAACCUUCGGGAGAGUAGUUGCGGUAGGUGCUCGCACCUACUCCUGCACCUUGUCCACCCAGUUAUAGACCAGUGGUGCUUAUCAUUCUCCACCCUCUCGCAAGGAGGAAAUCGUCGUCGCCCUAUAGACGAUGAAUUAUAUUUUCCGAAGUAAACACUAGGAUAUCGAGAACCACAGGGCAACCUUCGCAGCCAAGAAUACUUGGUCAAGUGCGAAGGUAGUUGAGUUAAAUCUCAUGACCCGGAUCCCGAGAAGAUUAUAGACUCGACACCAGACUUGGUGUUAGUCGAGGGAUUACGUCGGAAAACGCACUUUCCACGCUAGAAUAAACCACAGUCUUAGAGAUUCAUUGGACUAUUAGGUGUUCCACGAAUACUAUCUCACGCAGAGAUAGUAGAACCACCUCCCGAGAUAGUCCAACACUCGUCUGGUGAAACCUUAUAUUCCCGACCUCCAGGGUUUCCGCAUCUCAACUUCGUUAGUGUAGAUUCCUUUUAAACAAGCUUGAGAUAGACACUCUACAGUAAACCGAUAACCAUAAUCACACAACCCACUCGACGAUUUAGAAAGUCUCUAUCAGCCAGUUGACAGAAAACACGAAACCAAAGACCACUCGAGAUUCCUAAGAACCAACCUGAAGGGCUACACNCAUUGCAGAAUACUCCAGAAGACAACAACUAUCCGAAGCGUACUUCAUAGUUUCCCCAAAAAGACCCUUCACACCUCGCACGUCAGGUUCGUAAGCAUAGAGAUUAGGACUCAUGAGACUGACCACUAUAACUAGGUAUAUGCGUAAAGGUGGCAUAUAAUUGAGAUCAAAAAGAUUUAAGGUGUCUUUUUCCUCCCUAUUCCCUGUUCCUCAUUGGGUUGUGGGUUUGGGGUGGAGUCGCAUAGCUGAACAUCCUGCCGACCUCAAUUGUAUACUGCCUGCAUACACCCGGUAUUUGUGGUUAGACAAAGCAUGAGCUCUACCACGAACCUCUUCGCAAGACACUUUCACCCUAUUCCAUAACAUAGGAGUCGGAGUCAAUAUAAUCACUACGGGAGUCAAGAUAAUCACUGUGGGUUAAGCUAGUAAAGUUCCGAGUGAUGAGACCCUAUACUCACUAGAAUUGACCUAGACCGAGAAAAUUCAAAACCUUCGGAAGAGUAGUUGUAGUAGAUGUUCGCACUACUCAGGCACCUCGUCCACCCAGUUAUAGACAAGUGGUGCUUAUCAUCCUCCACCCUCUCGCAAGGAGGAAAUCGUCGUCGCUCGGUAGGCGAAGAAUCACACUUUCCGAAGUAAACACUAGAAUACCGAGAACCAUAGGAUAACCUUCGCAGCCAAGAAUACAUGAUCAAAGAGCGAAAGUAGUUACGUUAAGCCUCAUGACCCUGAUCCCGAAGAGGUUAUAGACUUGACACCAGUCCUGGUGUUAGUCGAAGAGUUAUGCAGGAGCAUACACUUUCCACGCUAGAAUAAACCACAGUCUUAGAGAUUCAUUGGACUAUUAGGUGUUCCACGAAUACUAUCUCACGCAGAGAUAGUAGAACCACCUCCCGAGAUAGUCCAACACUCGUCUGGUGAAACCUUAUAUUCCCGACCUCCAGGGUUUCCGCAUCUCAACUUCGUUAGUGUAGAUUCCUUUUAAACAAGCUUGAGAUAGACACUCUACAGUAAACCGAUAACCAUAAUCACACAACCCACUCGACGAUUUAGAAAGUCUCUAUCAGCCAGUUGACAGAAAACACGAAACCAAAGACCACUCGAGAUUCCUAAGAACCAACCUGAAGGGCUACACGCACAGUACGAGUGAGAACGUUAGGAACUUCGGAAUGGCGAUCACGCCAAUGAUGAUCUUGCCAUAGAAGUACACUAUGUUCUGAGUACUGAAAAGCUCUACCACUCCGAGAGCUUAGGACCAUAUGAGAAUUCUCAAGGAGAUUUGGUCCAACCUUCGUCAGACCACUACUACCUUCGGAUAUACCAUAAGAUUCACACCCGAUCGAUCCACUUCUUAGAGUUGAUAUGUGAUUUCCCGACAUCACUCUUCGUGCCUCACUCAUCUUGAUAGAAUCCAUUAAGAACCCUAACCUUGUAGAUACAUCAGUUGGAACCCACUAGCUACACGAGACGGAAUCCGCAUCCUGUACGUGAAGGUCUGUCGGAAUGACAAACACAGACUAGAGUUCACUUGGGAAUGCGAGGACAACCGUAUAGGAAGUACUCUUUUACCUCUACUUGGCCAUUCAUACCUACUUCCUUUCCUAGACGUGAAUUUCGAGACGAAAUUCCCUCUAACGGGGGGAUGAUGUGACAACCCAAGUUGUUCCGUUACAUUUCCCCGUUACCGUUAACGGAAUAUUCCAGUUUAUAAAAGUUCCGUUAAUUAGAGGUCGUCAAUUAAAUAAACAUUUCAUUGUUUAUAUUUAAUAUGCCGUUAAGUCGUGAUAAAAGGGAAUAAAAACGCAUAACACACAUCUCCAUUCAUUUGGAAAAGUUAGUUUUUAUUAUUACGACCACUAAAUCGGGUGCGACCAAAAGCCCCGUAUAACGGCAGUAUUGGGUAGAAUUCCACUGAGCCCCGACUCGGAACCUUAUAUAAAGGUGAGUGGAGUCCAUUGGAGACUUUUUACACUCUCUCUCUAUACUCUCUCUCUCUCUAGACUCGUUUUCGACCCAAAUCCGCAACCAAACGCUUCCAAAUCGUAAGUCCACUUACCCUAGCAUAUUCUAAACAUAUUGGCUUGUGUUUAUACCUCAAAAAUUGUCCCAGUAGGCAUGGAAUAAGGAGUUUACGGCCCAUGAACAAUCUAGGGCCGUAAACCCCUAAUAUGGUGCCAAACAUGCCUUAAAACUCAUCCUUAAGCUUAGAAACUAUUAGGGGAUUUAGCCUAGGAGUGUUUAAACCCCAAAACAACAAGAUUUGUGGCAUAAAAGAGGGUUCACGGCCCAAGCACAUGCUUAGGCCGAAAACACCCUCUAAACUUGUUAAAUGAAGUUCCAAACACUCCCAAACCACCCAUAGGCUUAAGGCACAAAAUAAGGACAUGCUAUUUAGGGUUUGGAACAUUUAAACUCAAGGAAAUAUGGGAUGACUUGGAGUUUACGGCCCAAGCAAGUACCUAGGCCAUAAACUCCCCAAAAGACACCCAAAUGAUAGUUUUAAUCCCCCAAAAUGGCACCACACUCCAUUAUAAAUUGCUCGGAAGGUAUUAGGGGCUUAAAACUUCACAAAACUCAAAGAAUGAGAGUUUAAGGCCGUAAACUCCCUUAGGAGUGUCCCUAGGCCGUAAACUCCCAAAUGAAGCCCUUAGAAGCCUUAAACUCACUCAUGCCUUUUUGGAAAAGUGCUUAGAAAAAUCCCAUGAACAAGUAGAAGCCUUAAAACACACUAGAUACCCUCACCAUGAGUUUACAGCCGUAAACUCAUGGUGAGAUGUCCCUGGGCUGUAAACACAACUUUGGGAGUUUACUCUUGGAUAAUAAACUCCAUUCCUUAGCCAUACACGCCUUUAGACGCUGCCCGGGACACCCAAACGCUUAACCAAGGUGUUUUCUGCUCCUUUGAGUGCGUAUAUUUGUUUAAUUAGUAUUAAUAUACUAAUUGUAUGUGAACAUAUGUUAUCAUAUGUUAAAUAGGUCAUUGUGUGUGUUCAAGUCCUUGCGUGACACCGAACGCCCAAACGGCACCUUCGUCGGACCUACUUACACCAGGUGAGUUCAUACCCCUGAAUGAACCUUUCAAAUGUUUUUACAUGUUUUAUAGGGGGGGGAAUACAAGUUAAACAUGUCAGUUAUCAUAUCAAUCACAUGUGAUUGAUAACCCGCAUGCACAAGAUUUUACCACUGUCCACUGUUUUACCAAGUAGGACACUAUAAAUGGCUUUCAAAAAGGGUUUUCACUUGUUCAAGUUCUUACUUUUAUUGUUUUAUCAAAGUUCCAUUUUCAAAAUGAUUUAUGAAAGAUUCCCAAAGAUUUCUAAAGGUUUUCACACUUAUUUUACCAAAGAAUACAAAUGCGAAUUUCCUGAGUAUAAAGGUUUUUCUAAGGUUUUCAUGUAUACUUUUACUUAUUAGUUACUGCUGCUUCACUUAUGCUUAUUUUUAAACUCCUACUCGAUAACGCUUUCACUUUGUGAUGCGUUUAUACUUGGUAUUGUCUCUAUUUCGCUUAUACUUGUAGUCGCUUAUACUUGAUAGACGCUCUUACUUCACUUAUUGUCGUUUCCACUUCGUGAUACACUUACACUUGGUACACUUAUACUUCACGAUUCGAUUAUCCCACUCUGUACGCUUAUACUUCACGACUCGUAUGUUCCACUGUACACUUAUACUUCACUGUAUGAUACCACUUGAUACACACUCAAGCGUAGUUAGAUGUAUGUUUGUGCUUGUAUAGAUGCAUAUAAAUAAUGAUUGAAGGACUUAGGAAGGCUUGUCCGCCCUAUUUCCUUUUCUUCGUUGAGAUGUGGUCUGGUGGGAUCGGAUGUCCAUCCGAAGGUCGUUUGAUUCAUUAGUUAUAUAUUAUGUACACAAGCAUAGACAUACGGGUUUUCUUCAGUCAAUUCAGUUAAGAGUCUCUACCUCUAGGUCAGCACUUACAUUAGAAACCCACUACCCACUGUUUGGAAGUCAUUACCCACUAUUUGGGAUGCAUCUUCGGGACACGGCCUUCUCCGUCGUCUAGUUGGUAACCAGAGUCUCCUGUAGGGAGAGCGGACAUUGUGUGUAUAGAUCUAUACGGGAUUGACACCCCCGCACCCUGACUGCUAGCUACAGUCCACGGCUCACCAAGCCAAGGGGUGACAAAUGUCACANUAUGCUGGUAAUUCAUUUUCAGAGUCACACUGUUUUGACCUUACAAGACGUAUCUUUCAUUUGAUACUGUCUGGGGUCUGUCUCCUCUGUUUUGACCUUACAAGACGUAUCUCUCAUUUGAUGCUGUCUAGGGUCUGUAUCCACUGUAUUCACAGAAUCCACUAUAUUCACUAUGUUCACUGUUUUUGACCUUGCUAGACGUAUCUUUCAUUUGAUACUGUCUACGGUUUGUAUUCACUGUUUUGGACCUUACCAGUUGUACCUUUCAUUUGGUACCUUCUGGGGUCUGUGUCUCUAUUUGUUAGACUGAACCAGGCGUGUCGUUCGUUCGAUACUCUCCUGGAGUCUAUGAUUCCUUUGCCUUAGUCAGUAGUCCUCACUGCUGAGGCAUAUGUUAUUUCCCUGUUGUCUCUUGCUUUCUUUAAUAAUCAAAUUCAGUAUUUUGAUAAUGAUAGCAAUUAAGGGNAACACUGACCAGUCUUGGUAGAAUGCUGCUUUGAUUAAAGAAAAUAUAGGAUUUUCUGGAAAGAACUCUAAAACACUUUAAACACUUAAACUACUACUUUAUAAAGUUAUUUGGAUAAAUGUCACUAAAUACUUAUGAAAUCACCAGCAUUUGUAAAAAUGCUGAUACUCGCUUUUCAAAUAACUUGUAUUCUCAGGUUAGCAUUAGACAGGUACAUCCCCGGAGCUGUUGAUGAAGAUAGCUUAGUACCAUGCUGUAUUUAUUCUAUUACUUGUAUUACUUUGAUGUAUUAAUGUAACCAUGUAAAACUAUUACUAUUAAUGCAAUGUUUUGUUGUACUUUGAUUACUAUAAUAUAUGGUGUUUAGGUUACGGAGGGCAAGGUACUCCUCACAUGACUACUUAGGGGUGUAGAAGACAAGAGACUACACUAUGGACUAAGCCGGGUUGUCGUUACGAAUGACGAGGGUUUCGUGAAAUUGAUGGUCAAGGCAAUGGAAUUUCGAAACAUAUGAACUUAAUAUGGUGAGGACCACACCAAUCCAUGACGAAUGAUGACAACAGACUCUUUACAGGAACAAAAGUUAGGCCGAUUUGAAAGAAACGUUGGUAAUACGAUGGUGUAUUUCGAGUGUGCUCGACAAUGUACUAUGUGUAGACUUUCUAGUGCUUUUUGUUUUCUCCUUGAUAUUACCAUUUCCACAAUCGUACCGUGAUGAGCGAGCACUAACAGUGAAAGUGCUUUGAUAACUAGUGUCGAUACUCUAUAUUAUGAUCCUCCUCGGUACCUUUAUGAUCGCCUGGUAAGAUGAAUAAGACGGUCGACUGAGUGACUUUGCUCCAAAUCCACAACCAAACAAGGAACAAGAAGUAAGGCGGAAUCACACACCCUAAGUCUUCAAAAUCUUAGCUAUGCACAACCCUGAUGUACAUACUAAGCCAUCAUAGCUCCCCAAUACGGAUCUUUAGUUCUCUUACGAAUGAUGUUACUUGUUCAGUUGAGUGAGUUAUUAUAAUUACUUUUAAAUGUUUCCCCUAAGUUCUUCGUUAUCAAGCAGUCCCUCUUAUAGUGCCCUGUCUCACCACAGCCAUAACAAACCUGGUUUACUUAUACUCUGGGGACUUAGGAGAUCGGUUGUGCCGGUGCCCUAUAGAACUGGGCAGUGUGCCCCUUCUUGUGGCAAUUCAGGCAUUGCAUUUCCCGACAUACUCCGGUGUUGUGGUAGUUACACCCAUCACAAUUCGGGAGAGUUCCAACAUAUUGACUGGCAGGUGCUGGAGUAGCAGGUUUUGUGGUGGCAUAUAUAGUAACCAUUUGUUGCUCUUGCAGGGUUUCCUGUGUUGUUCGCUCUUUCCUCUUGUUCCCCAAAUUCCGUUUAUAGUCCCCUCCCUUUGAUGGCUCGGGGAAUGGGGACCACCACUCCAUGGCGGACUCCAUGGUCAAUGAGUCGUUGGGCCAGGCGUUUGGCGCUAUCAAAUGUAGUUGGGCUGGAGGACAGUACAUCCCCUUGAAUCAGGCUAGAUAAACCCCAAAGGUACCUUUCUAUCUUCUUACUCUCCGGGGUAACCAUCUCCGGGCAUAGUGCUGCCAGGUCGCUAAACCUGUCAGUGUAGAUCACUAUGUCUGAGCCGAUCAUGGUAUGCUCUCAUAGCUCUUGUUCCAGCUUUUGAACUUCGCCCCUGGGGCAGUAUUCUUCCAACAUCAUCUCUUUUAGGUUGUCCCAACCUAUAGAGUUAGCCACUGAUAGGGUCAGUGACUUAACAUGGUUAUUCCACCAUGUUAGGGCUCUGUCGGAGAAGGUGCAGGCAGCAAACUUAACUUUGCUCCCUUCUGGGUAUAGAUAGAUAGCAACGACCGAAUCUGUUUUCUCAAACCAUCACAUCAGAGCAUUGACUCCUCCAUUUCCAUUAAAGGAUUUGGGUUUUUUGUUCAUUAAGUCUUUGUACGAACACUCCCGUGGGUAUCCGUGGGUAACUCCGGGGUUGGUUAAGUGGGUACCGCUACCAGUUCCGUUGGUACCACUUUCGCUGAUGUGAGUUAGAGCAGCUGUUAUUGCGGCUGCUAUCGCUGCUUGGAGAGCAGCAGGAUUGAACUGUGGUGGUGGGUUCUUUGUUGCCUUAUUGACUCCGCACCCUACAGGUUGUGACAACUCGAAAUUUCCAUUUGUACGAACCUCAUCUAUUCAAUAGAAGCUAGUUCAGUUUCAAUGAUUUUCAAGCUUUUCCGAACAAGUUUGUGUACUUUAGGGUUUAUGUUUUAGGUGAUAUCAGGAGAGUGGAUGCUCCUGGUUUUGUGAAAUUUGGGCAUUUCAAGUUUCAUAUUGUUACAGUCCAAAAUCAGGAAUUAAAAUAUUUUCUGCCAAAAUAUUCCAGGACUAUAAAUAGUUUUCUAAAUUAAAUUAAUUCAUUAUUCACAAUUCCAAAUAGAGAAAAGCCAUAUUCUCUCUGACGGAUCUUCGGGUUUUCAUCCCAUAUUGUGAGUCUACUUUACUAAAUGUGUUUCAAUACUUGUUAGAUGCUUAUUAACAUCAAUAACAUGCUUAGAUUACAAGAUCCGGGAGUUUACCGCCCAAGAACGUUCUUGGGGAGUAAACUCCAAAAUGGAACUUUAAUGCUUUCUAGACCCAUCCCCAUGUUAGGCAACUUAUCAAGGACUUAGUGUAUGAUCUUUGUAGGCUAGAAAUCAUCCAAGAAACACAAGUCAUUGGAGUUUACGGCCAAGGAACUUCCUUGGGCCGUAAACCCCUUUUCAAGGGCUUAAUGUGCCCUAAACUUCCCCUUAUGCUUAAAGACUUUAACCCUCAAAGGCUUAUGCUUAUUUAAGACAUCUAAACCCUUCAAAAUCAUAAAUUUGUAGGAGUUUACGGCCAAGAACCCCUCUUGGGCCGUAAACCCCUUUUUGUAGGGUAAAAAUCAUUCCAAGCACACCUUAGGCCUUAAGACAAUUUACCUUGAAUACUUGGGACUAGAAUGGAGAGUAGAACACAUAAUAAUCACUCCUUGAAAGGAGUUUACGGCCAAGGAACAUAUCUUGGGCCGUAAACUCCAAGUGAAGGCACAAAAGUGUGCCUCUUGUCCCCAUUAGCCUUAGAUAAAUUCAUGGAAGCCAUCCUUGAUGUUUAAGAGCCUCAAAACAAUUAAAAGCCAUCACCCCAUAGGAGUUUACGGCCGUAAACUCUAGGGUGAAUGGACUUUAGGCCGUAAACUCCCAUAUGGAGUGUUCUAGAGCCUUAAACUACUUCAUGUGUUAUUCCAACAAAGCUAGGAGUGUUCUAGGAUCAAGAUAGCACCACAAAACACCCAAAACCACCAUUUGAGGAGUUCACGGCCAUAAACCCAUGAGUUUACGGCCGUAAACUCCAAGGUGUGGGGUUUGUUGGAUGGUGAACUCCUAUACAAGGCCAUUUGAUGUUUCAAACCCUUUUGCCUUGUCCCGUAGCAACUUAGAUGCAACCAUUUGAACCUUAAACACUCAUAAAAGUGUUUAAAUGUUUUCUAAGUGUCUUAACUUAUUUAUUUAAGUUAUUAUUUGUCUAAUUAGUUAUAUAUAUGCUUAUUAUAUGAUAACUAGGCUCGUGCGUGUAAACAAGUCUCCGUUUGCCACCUAGCACGGUAUCCGACACUGCAAUUCAAACGACUCACCACAAGUGAGUUCAUACCCCUUGAAUCAACCUUUGAAAUGAUUUUAAAUGUUUUAAAAACUUUAUGGGGGGGAAUACAAGUCAAAUACUUAUAGUUAUUGCUUCAAUCACAUGUGAUUGCAUUUAAUCACAUGUGAUUAAUAACUAGGAAAACAACGAUUUUUACCACUGUUCAAACUGUUUAUCAAACUGCUUUACUUUGAAAUGUUUUACAAACUGUUUUACUAUCCAAACUUACUUAUAGACUGUGAUUCAAACAAAUGCUUCUUAUACUUAAACUGUUUUAUCAACUUAUGCCUUCAAAUUGUUUUAUAGAUCGACAUCAAGUCGAUCUUCUCUUGAAAUUAUAUUUAUGCUUCAAAUGUUUUAUGAAAACUUAUUUAUGCUUUUAUAUAUUCAAUUGCAUGCCCAUAUAUGUAUAGAUAUAUAAAUAAUGUUUAAAGGGCUUAGGAAGGCCAUCCGCCCUAUUUCCUUUUCCUCGAUUUGGAUGUGGUCUGGUGGGAUUUCGGGUGACCAUCCGAAGGUCGUUUCCAUAUUACUUAUAUAUCAUAUAUACAUGUAUAGACAUAAAAGUACUUCCAUAUUCAUACUCAUCAGUACAUCAUUAGCUGGUUACCAUCGGGGUAACGCAGGAUCAUACAUAUACAGAUAUACUAGAAACAAUACAUAUACAGAUAUACUAGAAACAAUACAUAUACAGAUAUACUAGAAACAAUACAUAUACAGAUAUACUAGAAACAAUACAUAUACAGAUAUACUAGAAACAAUACAUAUACAGAUAUACUAGAAACAAUACAUAUACAGAUAUACUAGAAACAAUACAUAUACAGAUAUACGAGAAACAAUACAUAUACAGAUAUACGAGAAACAAUACAUAUACAGAUAUACGAGAAACAAUACAUAUACAGAUAUACGAGAAACAAUACAUAUACAUAAAUACGUAAUAAUUGUGAUCCACUGUAUCGGGCAUGCCUUAAAUGUCAUGGCCCGAGUUGUAGCCAGAAUUCUCUUGGAGGGAGAGCGUGAGUUUGCGUAUAGAUCUAUACUGGAUUGACUAUCCUACACCUUGCUGCUAGCUACAGCCGGACCUGCAGGUCUGCGGGUGCCAAACGUCAUUUCUUUUUUUACGACCAUUCAUUAUGUCGUUGUUACCAGUCGAUAGCAUGGUGCAAUUUAUCACAUUAUGCCUUAAUAUAAAUCCGGUUUAAGGUAGUAGUAUUUAGUACAGCAGUAGUCUUAUUAUACAAAGCUAAAGUACUACAAUGAUUUACCCAUUACAUAUUUUAGUGAUAAUCUCACUUAAGCAUUAAUGUACAAACUAUAUUUUUAACAAAUGAUAGUUAUACUUGGGUAAUUACACACUUUUACAACAGACAAGUUUACAAAACAGUUUAACCUUGGUAGAAGGUUACUUUUAUAGAAAAUAUAGGAUUUUCUGAGAGAUUCAAACUUUUACAAACACUUUCAAACAUUUACUUACAUUUUCACAAACUUAUACAUUGAGACAGGUUCAAACGUUUUUUUUUUACAAGAAACAUUGACACUAAAAUACUUAUGAACUCACCAGCUUAAUGCUGAUAAACUCUUUCAAAAUAACUUGUAUUCUCAGGUCAUCAGUAGACAGGUACCGAGGCCAGCUUUUGAGAAGAUGGAGUGCAUUCAAGACUCAUCUCAUAUUAUUUUGUGUUACAUUAUUUUUGGUGUCUAUAACUGUACAGAACACACUUGUAUUAAAAUUAUAUAUUUAAUGCAAUGGAUGAUGUUGUUUGCUUAUUUACAUUUACUGUGUUGUGAUACUAUACAUGACGUCCUCCGCCCCAGAACGUUUCCGCCGUUCUUGGUUUUGGGGUGUGACACAGGUCUACCACGAGGCAUCUUUUGCUAAAAAGAAUGCAAAGAUGAGACGGAAAUAAGUCUAUAGUAGUGGUUAUAAGUCGAAAGCUGAAUGAUAAAGUUAUCCUAGUUCUGAGUGUAUUUGGUUCUGACUUUCAUAGGUUUCUGGAGACAAUUCAUUAGGGGAGUCUAUAUAAAAUAAACUUUAUGAAUCAGAAGUGGCUAUCCUCGAAUGAAUUUAUGUGAAUUGAAUAACUGAUACUGGCCGCAUGAAAAGAAAUAAUCCUAACACAUAGUGUCGGUAGUGAAAUCACUAACUCACUAAUUCAAUUAAGGUUAUUAAAUAUUAGCGCGACGUAUAAGACGUUUUAGUUUCUUCGGUUGAUCCUUUAUUGUAAAACUUCUUUUUGAAUCUCUUUGACUCCUCUGCUGACUGCUAUGAUGGAGUGGUUACAUCUAUAAGCGUUUGUCGUACGAGAAUGGAAGUGUCUAAAGAAUCUAUGAGAUUAAGUGUAACUUUAUGGGGUGAUCCUUACCGGGUCCUCCUAUAAUUGCGUAAUAUAUACAAAGUGUAUAUAAUUUAAGAUUAAAUAGACCUUCGAAUAAGUGAUCGUACUCCAAAACCACAACCAAACAAGGAACAGGAAGUGAAGCAUAGAUCACAAAUUCUAAGCCUAUAAAAUCUCAAUCAUAUAAAACCUUGGAGGUAUACACUCCGGAAUCAUAGACCUACCAGAAGGGUCUUUUAAGUUCUCAAAUAAGUUAUUUAUAGUGCCUAAAAUACUUCUAUAGUAUUUAAUGUAAUGAACUUGGUAUGUUUUUAAACUUGUUGUUGUCUUAUAGUAUCAUAAAAUACUCCCAAAGUAUUUUAACUUUAUGUUCAGAUUUAGAAAUCCCUUGAAUAGAAUUAGGUAAGUUUUAAGACUGUUGCAACACCACGUCACUCCCAAACACAUGACAGUCACAUCUCAAAUAAAUAUAGUUGAUCAGGCUAUAUUGAUCCCACAUAUGAUUACAUAACUAUCCAAGUUUGACCACAGUGUUUAACCUUUAAAUACUUUUGUUCUUCUUGUGAUACUUGUUCUAGUAUGUAUAUAUGUAUAAGCAUGUACGUAUAACUUCAUAAAGUAUUGUUAUAUUUAUAAAAUAUACUUUUAAUCAGAGCACUUCGGCUCCAUUGCAUUUAUAUUUGUAUAUCUUUUAUAGGUUGAUACACUUAGUUCACUAUAAACAAUGCUUUGAUACCAAUCUGUCACACCCGCAAACCGGAACGGCGGAAACGUUCGGGGGUGAAGGACAUCAUGUUUAGUAUCACAAUACAUGCAUCAUAGUUAUCAAAGUAACAAGCAACCAUUGCAUUAAUAUGAAAGCGUUUACAAAGUAUAUGAUUCACAAAAGUUAGACUCCAAAAGUAAAUAGCAAAACAAGACAUGAAGCUACUAUACUCCAUCUUCUGAAUCCCAGUGCACGUACCUGUCUACUAGUUUCCUGAGAAUACAAGUUAUUUUGAAAGAGUAGAUCAACCUUGAAGCUGGUGAGUUCAUAAAUAUUUUAGUUAUGAAAAGUAAACUGUAAGUUCUUUUUAGAAAGUUCGCCUGUUCCUCUAGAAAAUCCUAUAUCUUUUGAUGUGAUGAAUGAUAAGUAAAAAUGACUCUACAAUUCCUUGUAUGAGUACUAAACAUAUACAAGUUAUAUAAAAUCCAGCAUAAACAGAUAAUCGAUUAUGUGAAUCUGCCCUAAGCCCAUAACCAAACAAGGAACAGGAAAUGAAGCGGAAAGCACACGUCCUACUGUUUGUCGGAUCCUAAUAGUAUAUAUCCCUAUGUAUCCACUAACGAAUCAUAAAGUUAGCAUUAUAGGCCCCCUUCUAACUGAAUGAACCAAGAGCUGGCUGUUCUGUUUGUUUGUCUUUUGUAAUAAUUUCUGUUUUCCCAAGUUUAAGACUAUCUUUACUAGAAAAAUAGUUUGCAUUACCUUUUAUGUGAGAAUAUCACUAUAUGAAUGAAAUGGCAAAAAUGAAAGUAUUCAGUAAUAUUAUAUAAAAUAAAGACUGCAGCACUAAACUAAUUAGUUAAAUUAAGGUAAAAUGUGAUGACGUUGUAACCAUGUUGAUUGAUGGAUGUGAACACAAUGACCUUCUGGUGUCGAAACGAUGUGACAUUUUGUCACCCCUUGGCCUUACAGGCUGGGACUGUAGCCAACAGUCAGGAUGUGGGAUGGUCUGUCCCGUAUAGAUCUAUACACAGGAUGCUCGCUCUCCCUCCAAGAGACACUGGUUACAAAACAUGUCACAAAAAAUGUAUUGUUGUGCCAUGAAGUAGUAUCUCACAUUAAUGUUAUCUUGUUGUUGUUAUAGUAUGUUCCUCCAUGUUCUAGUUAUAGUAUGUUCUGAACGCCUAAACUAUACCUAUUAUGGUUUACUAGUAUGUUUGUUUUGAGCUGUCCCUGAUUUGUAGAAAAGACUCGGGUAUCUACUACGUUAUGAUGGUACUUUAAAAAUAGAGUUUUAUAAACAACAGAGUAACAUAACUUUAAAAAGAUUUUUUGAAAUGAUUUGAUCACUUAUAAAGCAUAAGAAAUCCUUUGAAAUGAUGGUUAUCACAGAUAAACAUGAACACAAUAUCAUCGUGUUCAACUUGUAUCCCCCCUCCCCCCCACUUAAAAGAAUUUAAAACAUUUAAAAGAUUAAUUAUAGGGGAAUGAACUCACCAUAUAUUGGUGAUUCAAUUGAAGAUUCAUCUAAGGAUGAGAAGUUCCACAAAUGACUUCCCGAGACACAAACGAGUCCUAAAUGACAUAUAAUGGUAUAGGCACGUAAUUAGUGUUUAAAACAACUAACAUGCAAGGAAACAACCCUAGGAACUAGGAAAAACUUGGAAUGAAGUGUUACAAUCACAUGUGAUUGUCUAAAGGGAGUUUACGGCCGAAGGAAGGUGUGUUCACGGCCACACUUGAGUUUACAGCAAAGGGAGAUAAGUUUACGGCCACACCAAGUGUUUACAACUGUAGAUCUUUAUUCUUGCUUGUAGGCUGUUUGUCUCAUGAUGAUACAAGAGUUUCCAAUGAAUAACAAGAUGAUAGAAGAAAUACUCACACUUUGGAUGAAUUUAGGGUGUUCACGGCCCAAGAGGUAUUCUGGGUGAAAAGAUGAAGAUUUGAAGAUCUUGAAGGAAAAGUGAUGAAUUCAAGGAUGUGAUUCAUAGGAUUCAUAUGAAAAAGAAGAUUAACUAGCAAAAUGGAGGAAUUCUUACGUUUUUGAAGAGAAUUGAUGGAUUCCUUUGAUGAUACUUGAGAGAGAAUGAGUUUCCUUGACAUGAAGAUGUGAGAAAUGAAAAACAAAUGAAGGAAAUCUAUACUUAUCAUGGGAGUUCACGACUAGGAGGGUGUUUACGACCAUGAAUAGAGUUUACGGCCGUAAACCCCAUGUGGUUGGCUUUCUGGUUCGAGUGCAACCUUCUGAUCUCGAGCUAAUACUUUAACACUCAAUCCUUAAAUGUACUAGGCUUAGAACUCAUUAGAAUGACCCUUAAAUAGGCUAAAAGGCAAAAGAAUUUAGUCUGACUUUUGGUUGAUUGAAUUGACUUUACAAGAUAAAAAUUUUCGGGUUGUCACAACCAAAGAGCAUGACAAAUGUUCAGGAGGCUUGAUGAAGCAAAACGUAACCUUUUUGAGCACUUAUUAAGCCUUUAAAAUGUUUCCCUAGCCUUCAUGCGACCCUAAUUAAAUUCGUAGGUUACCAUGCACAACCUAACCAUUGACCCCAAACCACCUUCUAGCCUACUAGUAAUCACUAAUCCAUCACCUUUUGGGCUUUCAUGAUCCAUGCACGGAUCAUCCCCUCCCCCUUUGAAAGGAAAUGACCUCAAUGCAUCAAGGCCAUCCUUAACAAGAUACGUUGAAAGGUCUCCCACAUUAAAGGUAGCAUGCAAUCCAUGGCCUCCUCCCAAAUCCACCUUAUAAGAAUUAUCAUUGACAUGUGACACCACUUUGUAAGGAACUUCAGCUCUUAGUGUCGACCUUUGUUCUUCCUUUUGCUAGGAAAACGUUCUUUCCUCACAUGCACCUAAACCAAGUCACCACUUGAAAGACACGUGGUUUCCUAUGCAUGUUGGAAUUCUGUCUGUACACCUCAUUCACAGAUUCAAUCUUCACACGAACUUGUUGUUGUAGUUUCAUCAUGGCCUUCAACUUGUCAUUAGCAUCCUUGUGAACCAGUUCAUCAUUUGGCAAUGGAAUCAAAUCCAAAGGCAUGUAAGGAUUCACACCAUAGACCACUUAUAAAGGAGAGUGACCUGUAGCAUAAGUAGGAGAACGAUUAGAGGCAAACUCAACAUGUGCAAGUUUGAUGUCCAAAUGUUUUUAAGUUUUGCUAACCAACCCCGUCAAUAACGUACCCAAAGUUCUAUUAGUCACCUUUGUUUCCCAUUAGUUUGUGGAUGAUGGGAUGCACAAAAAGUAACUUGGUACCAACUUUUCUCCACAAAGUGUUCCAAAAGUAAUUCAAAAACAUGGAAUCCCUAUCAGAAACAACAGUUUUAGGAAUAAGAUGCAAGCGAACCAUCUCUUUAAAGUACAAAUAAGACACAUUAGAUACAUCAUUGGUUUUAUGACGUGGCACAAAGUGAACCAUUUUGGAAAACCUAUCCACCACCACUAUACUAGAAUCCUUCCCCCUUUGAGUUCUAGGCAAAUCCAUACUGAAUUCCAUUGACACAUCUCCUAAGGACAAAUAGGAACCGACAAAGGAGUGUAAACACCAUGCUUUAAAGUUUUUUUCGUCAUCCGACAUGUAACACACUUGCCCACUAUGUUGGUUACAUCCCCAACAUCUUUAGGCCAGAAGAAAUGUUCUUAAAGCACCUCCAAAGUUUUGGUAAUGGAAAAAUGACCCGCCAAACCACCACCAUUAGCAUCACGAAUCAGCACCUCCCGUAUUACAUGUUUAGGGACACAAAGGUGAUUGCGUUUUGAUGCCUUUAUAGGCUUGAUUAAGUGAGUAGGGUUGUGUGUAGGUAAAUUAAGCUAGAAUAACAACCACAAAUGAUACGUGUAUGGGAAGAAAUGGAUAGAUUAGUUACAAAUCAAGACCAACUAAGUUGUAUACCGGUGAAAACAAUCCAAGACAUAUUUGAUUGAAUGCGUAUCAACUCAAGAACAUGUAUUGACUAUGACAAGUAGUGAACUAUAACUAUAAUUCAAAGUGAACAAAGGUUCUUUUGAUUUAAAUUUCAUUUAUCUCGUUUUUUUAUGCAUAAACUUGGUUUAUAUGAAGCCUUUAAUACAAAGUUGGUGGUUACAAGCCACCCAACCAACUACUGAGUAAAAUUAAUAAUGAAAUUAAAGAAACUCAUGAAACCACACAAAAAAACGUUUCAGACACCAAUGAAUGAAAAAAUGUCAAUGCUCCAUUAAAGAGCCAUAAAAAGAAUUAAAGUGUAACCUUAAUCCGCCAAAGAGUAUCAGAAAUGCCUAGGAGGCUUUAUGAAGCAUAAAGUAACGGUUUUGAGAACUUAUGAGGUCUUUAAAAUGUUGCCCUAGCCUUCAUGCGACCCUAAUUCAAUUCGUAGGUUACCAUGCACAACCCAACCAUUGAGCCCAAACUACCUUCUAGCUUACUUGUAAUCACUAAUCCAUCACCUUUUGGGCUUUCAUGAUCCAUGCAUGGAUCAUCCCCUCCCCCUUUUAGAGGAAAUGACCUCAGUUCAUCAAGGCCAUCCUCAACAAGAUACGGUGAAAGGUCUCCUACAUUAACGGUAGCAUGCACUCCAUAGUCUCCUCCCUAGUCCACCUUAUAAGCAUUAUCAUUGACAUGUGACACCAGUUUGUAAGGACCUUUAGCUCUUUGCGUCAACUUUUGUUCUUCCUUUUGUUAGGAAAACGUUCUUUCCUCAUAUGCACCUAAACCUAGUCACCAUCUUGAAUGACACGUGGUUUCCUAUGCAUGUUAAAAUACUAUUUGUACACCUCAUUCAUGGCUUCAAUCUUCACACGAACUUGUUGGUGUAGUUUCUUCAUGGCCUUCAACUUGUCAUUAGCAUCCCUAUGAACCAAUUCAUCAUUUGGCAAUGGAAUCAUUUCCAAAGGCAUGUAAGGAUUCACACCAUACACCACUUAUAAAGGAGAGUGACCUUUAGCAUAAGUGGAUUACAGGCCAACUCAGCAUGUGCAAGUUUGAUUUGUACCUUUGUUUGCCCUUCAGUUUGUGGAUGAUGGGAUGUACUAAAAAGUAACUUAGUACCAACUUUCCUCCACAAGGUUUUCCAAAAUUAACUCAAAAACAUGGAAUCCAUAUCAGAAACAAUAGUUUUAGGAAUAACGUGCAAGCGAACCACCUCUUGAAAGUACAAAUCAGCCACAUUAGAUGCAUCUUUGGUUUUAUUACAUGGCACAAAGUGAGACAUUUUUAAAAACUUAUCCACCACCACCAUAACGGAAUCCUUACCCCUUUGAGUUCUAAGCAAAGCCAUAAUGAAAUACAUUGACACAUCUUCCCAAGAACGAAUAGUAACCAGCAAAGGAGUGUAAACACCAUGAUUGAAAGGUUUUUUUUCGUCUUGUGACAUGUAACACACUUGCCCACUAUGUUGGUUACAUCCACAACAUCUCAGGCCAAAAGAAAUGUUCUUUAAGCACCUCCAAAGUUUUGGUAAUGGAAAAAUGGCCAGCCAAAUCACCACCAUGUGCUUCACGAAUCAGUAAUUCCUGUAUUGCAUGAUUUGGUACACAAAGGUGAUUUCCUUUUGAUGCCUUUAUGGGCUUUAUUUAGUGAGUAGGGAUGUGUUUAGGUAAAUUAAGCUAGAAUAACAACCACAAAUGAUACGUGUAUGGGAAGAAAGUGACAGAUUCGUAACAAAUCAAGACCUAUUAAGUUGUAUACCAGUUAAAGCAAUCCAAUACAUAUUUGACUGAAUUCGUAUCAAGACAAGAACACGUCUCGACUAUGACAAGUAGUGAACUAUAACAAUAAUUCGAAGUGAACAAAGGUUCUUUUGAUUAAAAUUUCAUGUAUCUCUUUUUUCCAUGCAUAAACUUGGCUUAUAUGAAGCCUUUAUUAAAAAGUUGGUGGUUACAAGCCAACCAACCUACUAUUGAGUAAAACUAAUAAUGAAAAUUAAAGAAACUCAUGAAACGAGACAAAAAAACAUCUGACAAACUAAUGAAUGAAAAAAAAACAUACAUGCAAUAUUAAGGACCCAUAAGAAGCAUUAAAGUGUAACUAUAAUCCACCAAAGAGUAUCAAAACUCACUAGGAGGCUUUAUGAAUAAAAAAGUAAUUGUUUUGAGCAAUUAUGAAGCCAUUAAAAUGUUGUCGUAGCCUUCAUGCGACCCUAAUUCAAUUCGUGGGUUUCCAUGCACAACCCAGCCAUUGAGCCCAAACCACCUUCUAGCCUACUAGUAAUCUAAUCCGUCACCUUUUGGGCUUUCAUGGUCCAUGCAUGGAUCAUCCCCUCCCCCUAUGAAAGGAAAUGACCACACUUCAUCAAGGUCAUCAUCAACAAGAUCUACUAAGUUUUAUACUGGUGAAAACAAUCUAAGACAUAUUUGAUUGAAUGCGUAUCAAGAUCAAGAACACGUCUCGACUAUGACAAGUAGUGAACUAUAACAAUAAUUCAAAGUGACCAAAGUUUCUUUUGAUUAAAAUUUCAUCUAUCUCUUUUUUCCGUGCAUAAACUUGGCUUAUAUGAAGCCUUUAUUACAAAGUUGGUGGUUACAAGCCACCCAACCAACCACUCAGUAAAACUAAUAAUGAAAAUUAAAGAAACUCAUGAAACGACACAAAAAAGCAUCUGACACACUAAUGAAUGAAAAAAACAUGCAUGCUCCAUUAAGGAGCCACAAGAAGCAUUAAAGUAUAACCCUAAUCCACCAAAGAGUAUCAAAAAUGGCUAGGAGGCUUUAUGUAGCAAGAGGUAAUGGUUUUGAGCACUUGUGAAGCCUUUAAAAUGUUGUCCUAGCGUUCAUGCGACCCUAAUUCAAUUCGUAGGUUACCAUGCACAACCCAACCAUUGAGCCCAAACACCUUGUAGGCUACUUGUAAUCACUUAUCCAUCACUUUUUGGGCUUUCAUGAUCCAUGCAUGGAUCUUCCCUCCCCCUUUGAAAGGAAAUGACCUCAAUUCAUCAAGGCAAUCCUCAAUAAUAUAAGGUCAAUGGUCUCCCACAAUAAAGGUAGCAUGCACUCCAUGGUCUCCUCCCAAAUCCACCUUAUAAGCAUUAUCAUUGACACGUGACACCACUUUGUAAGGACCUUCAGCUCUUUGCAUCAACUUUUUUUCUUCCUUUUGUUAGGAAACAUUCUUUCCUCAUAUGAACCUAAACCAAGUCACCAUCUUGAAAGACACGUGGUUUUCUAUGCAUGUUGGAAUGCUGUUUGUACACCUCAUUCACGACUUCAAUGUUCACACGAACUUGUUGGUUUAGUUUUAACAUGGCCUUCAACUUGUCAUUAGCAUCCUUGUGAACCAAUUCAUCCUUUGGUAAUGGAAUCACACCCAAAGGCAUAUAAUGAUUCACACUAUACACCACUUCAAAAGGAGAGUGAUCUGUAGCAUAAGUAGGAGAACGAUUACAGAGACACUCAACAUGUGCAAGUUUGAUGUCUUAAUGUUUUUUAGUUUUGCUAACCAACCCCCUCAACAUCGUACCCAAAGUUGUAUUAGUCACCUUAGUUUGCCCAUCAGUUUGUGGAUGUUGGGAUGUACUAAAAAGUAACUUAGUACCAAAUCUCCUCCACAAAGUGUUCCAAAAGUAACUCAAAAACAUGGAAUCCCUAUUAAAAACAAUAUUUUUAGGAAUAAUAUGCAAGCAAACCACCCUUUUAAAGUACCAAUCAGACACAUUAGAUGCAUCAUUGGUUUUAUGACAUGACACAAAGUGAUGCGUGUAUGGGGACUAUUUUCGAAUGGAAGGGAGAGAGAGGGGUAGAACACGAGAUUGUGAGGGUAGAGUAGAGGAUAGGGUUAGUUCUUACCUCAAGACCAAUUGAAGCGAGAUCUAGGUUGAAUGUCAAGACCUAUUGACACACAACAAAAGCACAUUAAGAGACCUAUCUUAUGUGAGUAAGAGAGCAAAGUGCAAAAAGCUUCAAAGUCAUUUUUAUUCAUGGAAAAUCGGCCCUAUAUAUAGUUGAUAGGAACCAUGAGUUACAAUAGUGAAAAGGCUCAUCAUUAAGAGCUUUUAUAUAACUAGCUCAUUAACUACUAGCCAAUAACUACUAGUAACUCCCAAGAACUCUUCAAUUUCCGUCCAUGCUACACACAAGAUUAGGAAAUGGUUCAAAUAUCUUCCAUGAUCACCAACAAGUCCAAAAAAAUGUGGUCAUAACUUCCAUAUAGCCAAAACAAAUCGGCCCACCCCAUUUCAAACCCAAAUCCACGAAAUCAAGCACAUUCUGAAGCCCAAAUUAGUAAAGCCUGCCUCCUUGGCAAGUAAUCCAUUUUUAAUUGGACUAUCUAGGUCCAAACAUAUAUCAUCUCCUCCCCCUUUGAAAAGAAUUGACCUCAAUUCUGCAAGACCAUCAUCAUCAAGAUAAGGGGAGAGAUCUCUGACGUUAAAAAGUGCGUGAACUCCGUAUUCUCCCGGGAGUUCCACCACUUCCACACAUGUAUCAUUCCCUCCUUCUUCAAAAGGAAUUGUCCUCAAUUCAACAAGGACUUCAUGGUGUUUUUCUUCGAUAUGAACCUUCCAUCUGUGGAACACAAACCAACUUCGUUUAUGAACCAGAUUAGGACCACGUAAAUACUUGGGAUUUGGAUCUUCACAUUGAUUAAUCCCUUCUUCUUUGCUCUUAGAAAAAUGGUUUGUAAACAGAUGGAUACCAUCCUUCUUCUUUCUUUCACCACAAACUUCACACCAUCAGUCUUCGCGUUUUUAAACAAUGAAUGAAGAAUUAAUAAAAAUAUGUUUUGUUUGUGGACAACAUAAAAAAUUGGCAUAUGAAUUGACACGCGAUGCCUCUUUUUGUGACUGAUUGCUACCACCAUGAACAUAUUUUUUUUGGAAAUCAUCAUAUCGUCUUUUGGAGGGUACAAAAUUCGGCCAUCAUCCAAAAAUAAUUGGUCUCGCUGCUUUUGAGUCACACAUUAAAAGUCACCAUCUAUAAUUGCACAAAACUUGUUAUCAAAUGUAAUAUGCAUGUCUUUUUUCUGUUUUUUUUAUCAAUGAAUAAAGACAAAAUAGAAACACCAUUGGUAAGAUCAUAAUCUGCAAAAUCCAACCUCUCACCACACUUCCUCCUCUCAUCAAGACCUUCUUGAUCAAUGAAGCUUCCAAUUUGGAUUUCUUUAAGACCUUUAGAAAAGGAACUAUCUUCAAAAAAUAUAUGAGAACUUGAAUUUUUAUGGCACAUAUACUCAUUGGUUCUCGUGGUUGUGAGCUCUAGGAAUGAAAUUUGUUGUUAAACAAAAAUCACCAUUUCUUCAACAAUUUUAUCCCUAUCAACAAAAUUGAUUUCUUCCAAAAUUGCUUCAACAGUUUCGUCUCUGACCACAAAAUUAAUUGCUUUUUCAAUUCCUUCAAUAAAUUCCUCUUCAACCAAGAAAUUUAUUCUUUCACAAAAUUCCCCUUCCCCAUCGGUGUCGUAGAUGGGACCAUGAUCUUCUUCCUCCUCUUCUUCAAAUCUCUCUUCCUAUAGUUCUUUUUCUUCAUAUAACUUGCACAACAUUUUCGGAAAACAAUUUCUGAACUGGAACUGAAAUCGAACAAAUUUAGCAGGAUUUUUUUGAACAAGAACUCAACAACACCCAAUCGAACUGGGCUCUGAUACCACUUAUGAUGCAUGUAUGGGGACUAUUUUUGGAUGGAAGGGAGAGAGAGGGAUAGAACACGAGAUUUGGAAGGUAGAGAAGAGGAUAUGGUUAGUUCUCACCUCAAGACCUAGUGAAGCAAGAAGUAGGUUGAAUGCCAAGACCUAUUGACACAAAAAAAGCACAUUUAGAGACCUAUCUUAUGUGAAUAAGAGAGCAAAGUGCAACAAUCUUCAAAGUCAUUUUUAUUCAUGGAAAAUCGGCCCUAUAUAUAGUUGAUAGGUACCAUGAGUUACAAAAGUGAAAAGGCUCAUCAAUAAGAGCUUUUAUUUAACUAGUUCAUUAACUAUUAGCAAAUAACUACUAGUAACUCCCAAGAACACUUCAAUUUUCGUCCACGCUACACACAAGAUUAGGAAAUGGUUCAAAUUGCUUCCAUGAUCACCCACAAGUCCAAAAAAAACAUGGUCACAACUUCCAUGUAGCCAAAACAAAUCGGCCCACCCCAUUUCAAGCCCAAAUCCACGAAAUCAAGCACACUCCAAAGACCAAAUUAGUAAAGCCCACCUCCAUGGCAAGUAAUCCAUUUAUAAUUAGACUAUCUAGGUCCAAAUAUAUAUCACAAAGUGAGCCAUUUUUGAAAACUUAUCCACCACCACUAUAAUGGAAUCCUUCCCCCUUUGAGUUCUAGGCAAAGCCAUAAUGCAUUCCAUUGUGUCACACUCCAAAACCAAGAACGGCGGAAACGUUCUGGGGCGGAGGACGUCAUGUUUAAUAUCAACAACAAUGUAAAGUAGUAAACAAGCAACAACAUCAUCCAUUGCAUUAAUAAAAUAAUUAUUAUACAAUUGUAUUCUGUCAAAUUUUGAUAAACACUAAAGCAUAAAUCAAAAUGAAAGAUAAGUCUUGAAUAAGCUUCAUCUUCCUUUCUCCUUGCAUCGGUACCUGUCUAUGAUGACCUGAGGAUACAAGUAAUUUUGAAAGCGAGUAUCAGCUAUAUAGCUGGUGAGAUCAUAAGUAUUAAUGUGUCUUAAUUUGUGAAAACUUAUAAUUUCUAAGACUUGACAUUUCUUUGAAAGAAAGCUAGUUUAAGUAUGAAAAUGUUUGUAACUCAACUUGAAAAUGUUUGAAAAUCCCUAGAAAUCCCUAUGAUUUCUAUUAGUAACAAAAAGGAGUCUUCUACCAAGACUUAACUGUUCUGUGUGUAGUCUUCUACCAAGACCUAACUGUUCUGAAUGUAGUCUUCUACCAAGACCUAACUGUUCUGAAUGUAGUCUUCUACCAAGACCUGACUGUUCUGAAUGUAGUCUUCUACCAAGACCUGACUGUUCUGAAUGUAGUCUUCUACCAAGACCUGACUGUUCUGAAUGUAGUCUUCUACCAAGACCUGACUGUUCUGAAUGUAGUCUUCUACCAAGACCUGACUGUUCUGAAUGUAGUCUUCUACCAAGACCUAACUGUUCUGAAUGUAGUCUUCUACCAAGACCUAACUGUUCUGAAUGUAGUCUUCUACCAAGACCUAACUGUUCUGAAUGUAGUCUUCUACCAAGACCUAACUGUUCUGAAUGUAGUCUUCUACCAAGACCUAACUGUUCUGAAUNGGGAGUUUACGGCCCAAAGACCCUUCUCCCUUGGAGUUUACGGCCGUAAACUCCCUUGGGAGGGUUCUUAUUGUCCUUUCAAGUCUCUAACAUUUCUAGGAACAAGUCUAGGCUUCAAUACUUGGAUCAAGGGAGGUUUAUGGCAUUAAAUGGAACCAUUUGAUGGAGUUUACGGCCAUAGAACUCUUUGGGCCGUAAACUCCCUCACACAUGAGGUUCUAAGAAUUUUAACUAGCCCAAAACUCAUCUAGGUACUUGCCCUAAAAGUCUCUUGGCCUAAGGAAGUGUCUAGGGUGUCCUUUGACCCCUUUAAAGGAGUUUACGGCCCAAGAAAUACUCUUGGCCGUAAACUCUUCAACACUUGAGCUUUUCAUGAUUUUUCUAGGUCCUAAACACAUUAAGGUACUAGCCAAAAAUGAAGACUAAGCCUUAGGAAGAGUUUGAAGUGGUUUUGGCACUUAAUCUUGGAGUUUACGGCCUAAGGAGCAUCUUGGCCGUAAACUCCCUUCCAAAGUUGGUUUCUAAUUGUUUUGUGGGUCUAAAUCAUGAGUUUAAGGCUUCUAGGUUCUUGUUCUAAGGCUAAAGGAACACUAGGCACUCAUUUGUGCCCUUUACUUGGAGUUUACGGCCCAAGAGGUUGUUCCUUGGCCGUAAACUCCUCAAACUACUUGCUUUUGAUUUGUUUCUAGCCUCUAAUGAUCAUACACUAAGUCCUUAGUUAGAUGCCUAACACGGAAAUGGGACUAGGUGGCCUUUAGGCUUGAUUUUGGAGUUUACUCCCCAAGAACGUUCUUGGGCGGUAAACUCCCGGAUCUUGUGUUUUGGACAUGUAAACAAUGUUAUAAAGCAUAUAACAAGUAUUAAAACACAUUUAGGGAAGUAGACUCACAAUCUGGGAUGAAAACCCGAAGAUCCGUGAGAGAGUAUUUGGCUUUUCUCUAAAUGGAAAUCAAAUAAUGAACCAAUUUGGUUCAGAAUUCUAUUUAUAGUCCAGAGAUUUUUGGCAGAAAAUAUUUCUAUUCUCGGAAUGGAUUCUAAUGACCUAGAGUAAUGGAAUUACAGUGUUGCACAAAAUCCUAGUGCACCCACUCUCCUAAUAACUCCUUAGGUGUAAAACCCUAAAACUGCCAAACUUAUUCCAAAAGUUUGAAUUUUCACUGAAACUGCUCUACUUCCAUUGGAUUGAUGUGGUUUGAUUUGAAUGGAAAAUUUCGGGUUGUCACAGUUAAGGGGUAUGAACUCACCUGCAGUAUGUGACUGGAAUUGAACGGGCUGUUAUCGUACGGAAGGAUCAGACAAGUGCUUGGUGUCAAGUGAAGACUUAGACACACACAAUGAUCCUAAUUACAUAUGAAACAUAUGUAUAUAAAUAAUUAGUGAUUAUAACACUAAUUAUACAAGUAAUAACAUUUAAGCGCGAGGACAACACUUUUGGUCAAGUGCUAGGAGGCUAAUGGGUUGCAACAAAGAAGUGCAAUGCCCCUAAUGAAAGUUUAAGGUCAAAAGACCAUAUUCAUUAGAGUUUACGGCCCAGGGGAGUAAGCUCCUGGCCGUAAACUCUCAAACAAGUCAUGAAAUGGAGUUUAAAAGUACUACAACCUUAGAGGGGAAUUGUUUCAAGGCUAUACAAGUGUUUGGGCACCACAUUGACUCCUUUGGGGAGUUUACGGCCCAAAGACCCUUCUCCCUUGGAGUUUACGGCCGUAAACUCCCUUGGGAGGGUUCUUAUUGUCCUUUCAAGUCUCUAACAUUUCUAGGAACAAGUCUAGGCUUCAAUACUUGGAUCAAGGGAGGUUUAUGGCAUUAAAUGGAACCAUUUGAUGGAGUUUACGGCCAUAGAACUCUUUGGGCCGUAAACUCCCUCACACAUGAGGUUCUAAGAAUUUUAACUAGCCCAAAACUCAUCUAGGUACUUGCCCUAAAAGUCUCUUGGCCUAAGGAAGUGUCUAGGGUGUCCUUUGACCCCUUUAAAGGAGUUUACGGCCCAAGAAAUACUCUUGGCCGUAAACUCUUCAACACUUGAGCUUUUCAUGAUUUUUCUAGGUCCUAAACACAUUAAGGUACUAGCCAAAAAUGAAGACUAAGCCUUAGGAAGAGUUUGAAGUGGUUUUGGCACUUAAUCUUGGAGUUUACGGCCUAAGGAGCAUCUUGGCCGUAAACUCCCUUCCAAAGUUGGUUUCUAAUUGUUUUGUGGGUCUAAAUCAUGAGUUUAAGGCUUCUAGGUUCUUGUUCUAAGGCUAAAGGAACACUAGGCACUCAUUUGUGCCCUUUACUUGGAGUUUACGGCCCAAGAGGUUGUUCCUUGGCCGUAAACUCCUCAAACUACUUGCUUUUGAUUUGUUUCUAGCCUCUAAUGAUCAUACACUAAGUCCUUAGUUAGAUGCCUAACACGGAAAUGGGACUAGGUGGCCUUUAGGCUUGAUUUUGGAGUUUACUCCCCAAGAACGUUCUUGGGCGGUAAACUCCCGGAUCUUGUGUUUUGGACAUGUAAACAAUGUUAUAAAGCAUAUAACAAGUAUUAAAACACAUUUAGGGAAGUAGACUCACAAUCUGGGAUGAAAACCCGAAGAUCCGUGAGAGAGUAUUUGGCUUUUCUCUAAAUGGAAAUCAAAUAAUGAACCAAUUUGGUUCAGAAUUCUAUUUAUAGUCCAGAGAUUUUUGGCAGAAAAUAUUUCUAUUCUCGGAAUGGAUUCUAAUGACCUAGAGUAAUGGAAUUACAGUGUUGCACAAAAUCCUAGUGCAACCACUCUCCUAAUAACUCCUUAGGGGUAAAACCCUAAAACUGCCAAACUUAUUCCAAAAGUUUGAAUUCUCACUGAAACUGCUCUACUUCUAUUGGAUUGAUGUGGUUUGAUUUGAAUGGAAAAUUUCGGGUUGUCACAUCAUCCCCCUGUUAAAGGGAAUUUCGUCCCGAAAUUAGAAUUUAGGCAAGGAAGUAUGCACGAAUGAUCGAGACGUGAGAAGGAAACUUCCUAAUCGAUUGGUUCUAGCGCACUUAAGUGAAAUCAGGCUCUCGGUUGGUAUCCUAACGAACCUUCACUAAUUGGCAACGGCGUUGCUUCGUCCACUUGACCUCUCGGUCGAGGGUCACUACGGUUAUGAUACGAAGGCAAAGAUCUCGACGAAUGGACUUAUAAGAGUCCUGACGGAAAGGUAUGGUUUCACGAUCGAGAUGCGAAAAGUAGAAAGUAUGCUACUGAGUUCGCGGAGUAGGUCUAGUUUGAGCGAGGCACAGGACAGAUUCUGAUAAGAAUCUCAGAGGUCCUGUCAAAUAUGGAUUUAGCUUUUCACGCUUUACGAAGCGUAUUAAGCCAUUCUCAGAGUGAGUUAUCCUAAAGAACUUGGUCACUCACUCGGAAUCUCGGAGGUUCCUUUUCCUGUGUAACUACCCAGUCAAAGGCCACCCCUCGCUGGGUCAAUGUCGUACUAGUAUCUGAAGCUUGCGAGGAGUUCUGAAUGAACUAAGGCGGUAGGUCGGUAAGACCUAACAUUUGGCGAAAGCUGGUGUCGAUGAAUACUCAAUGUUUUGGCAAACUGAAAGAGUACUCAAAAUUUCUCACAUUACUAACAGUGUGUCCUAGAAAUUUGAUUCUUCAAUUUCAAAACUCAAGCCUAUUUAACUUCGCUAAAAGUUCCUCUGUGGGAAAUGUUUUCAUGGGUUUUCUUCUUACUACGAGGGUAGAUAAGUAAGUCAUUUCAUGGAGAAAUGACGAAUCGAUCCAAGUAAGAAAGACGUAACCCUAAACAUUUAUCUCAUGAAAACCAUGGGCGUACCGGUCCCAUCCGAAGGGUAUCACUACGGACUCGAGGCGUCCGCAUCGAAUUCGGAAGAUAGUCUUCCAGACAUCCUUCCCUAACACAUCGAACGGGUGAUAUUCGGAUCUUAGGUCCAUUUCUGGAAGUAGUUCUUUCCUUACGUGUGCUCAACCAUUUUGUCUAUGUGAGGCAGAGAUCAUGAUUUCUUAUGAAAAUCUUGACGGAGUCUUUGAUAUCCGAGGCACAUAUGAUGCGAUCCAUCGAUCUCUGGAAGAAUCUGACCGGGGUUCUCGAGGGCGAGAAACCUAGUCUUCUAAUUCUAUUUCUGUGUGGUUUGCUUAGUUGUCUACACUGAUCUGGCAUCUCCGUGGGUGUUUAAACUAUAGGUGAUCUGCUUUCGGGAGUCGUACUGGGUUCUAAGUUUAUUUACAUGACGAUAUGAUUACUCGUAUACUUAGGCAGUUUCUCCGUCCUGAAGUCCAUUUUAGAAUUCACACAGGGCUUCACGAUCACAAUUUCGUGUAUACGAGUCGUAUAUAAUUAAGAUUGAAAAGGUAGUCGAAUAACUGAUUCUUCCUUACCCUCAUAUCCCAAGGAGAAAAAGAGUUAAGGCGGAAUCAUCAAUUCUAAACCUGUAGAACCUUGAUUAUAUAACACUCUUAUGUAUACCUUCCUCAGUGAUAGAUCAUCCGCAUGAAUCCCUGUAUUGAACUUGACGCACUGCACGAGUGGUACCUCGGGGAUUUCUUCGGAAAGAAAUUAACUAAGAGGUACUCCGGAAAUGAGUACUUCGGCGUUCUGAUAUGACGGCUUCGCUGGAAAAGUGAUCUAGAAGAUAGGGACGUACGUAUGAAGUUGUUUUCGCGUUGAUUAAAUGGAAUCUGAUUGUAUGAUAAUGUCGGGAUCAUACAGAAACUUUAAAGACAUUAGAAUUAAACAUAAGACGUUUACAGACAAACACAACCGUGCAACCAUGAACAAGAGUUACAGUACUUUAGAUUUACCACAAGACUAUUGCUGCGAAUAAGAUAUACUACAAAAGAUAAGUAUACGCAGCACGAGAAUUCCUAUACAGACAGGAUCUCGCAAACGGUAAGACUCUAGUUGCACUGGUCCUAGAUAGUUUAUAAGUCUGUUACAACGAAACGCCUUAAAUACAUUAACGUGGUUCCUGAGCAGGCUCUCCUGCAGCUGUGAUCCUGAGAAUCUUCCCGUCUGCGCCAGAAUUCUGCGUUAUCGGGCAAUCCUUCUGNGAGUUUACGGCCCAAGAGGUUGUUCCUUGGCCGUAAACUCCUCAAACUACUUGCUUUUGAUUUGUUUCUAGCCUCUAAUGAUCAUACACUAAGUCCUUAGUUAGAUGCCUAACACGGAAAUGGGACUAGGUGGCCUUUAGGCUUGAUUUUGGAGUUUACUCCCCAAGAACGUUCUUGGGCGGUAAACUCCCGGAUCUUGUGUUUUGGACAUGUAAACAAUGUUAUAAAGCAUAUAACAAGUAUUAAAACACAUUUAGGGAAGUAGACUCACAAUCUGGGAUGAAAACCCGAAGAUCCGUGAGAGAGUAUUUGGCUUUUCUCUAAAUGGAAAUCAAAUAAUGAACCAAUUUGGUUCAGAAUUCUAUUUAUAGUCCAGAGAUUUUUGGCAGAAAAUAUUUCUAUUCUCGGAAUGGAUUCUAAUGACCUAGAGUAAUGGAAUUACAGUGUUGCACAAAAUCCUAGUGCACCCACUCUCCUAAUAACUCCUUAGGUGUAAAACCCUAAAACUGCCAAACUUAUUCCAAAAGUUUGAAUUUUCACUGAAACUGCUCUACUUCCAUUGGAUUGAUGUGGUUUGAUUUGAAUGGAAAAUUUCGGGUUGUCACAGUUAAGGGGUAUGAACUCACCUGCAGUAUGUGACUGGAAUUGAACGGGCUGUUAUCGUACGGAAGGAUCAGACAAGUGCUUGGUGUCAAGUGAAGACUUAGACACACACAAUGAUCCUAAUUACAUAUGAAACAUAUGUAUAUAAAUAAUUAGUGAUUAUAACACUAAUUAUACAAGUAAUAACAUUUAAGCGCGAGGACAACACUUUUGGUCAAGUGCUAGGAGGCUAAUGGGUUGCAACAAAGAAGUGCAAUGCCCCUAAUGAAAGUUUAAGGUCAAAAGACCAUAUUCAUUAGAGUUUACGGCCCAGGGGAGUAAGCUCCUGGCCGUAAACUCUCAAACAAGUCAUGAAAUGGAGUUUAAAAGUACUACAACCUUAGAGGGGAAUUGUUUCAAGGCUAUACAAGUGUUUGGGCACCACAUUGACUCCUUUGGGGAGUUUACGGCCCAAAGACCCUUCUCCCUUGGAGUUUACGGCCGUAAACUCCCUUGGGAGGGUUCUUAUUGUCCUUUCAAGUCUCUAACAUUUCUAGGAACAAGUCUAGGCUUCAAUACUUGGAUCAAGGGAGGUUUAUGGCAUUAAAUGGAACCAUUUGAUGGAGUUUACGGCCAUAGAACUCUUUGGGCCGUAAACUCCCUCACACAUGAGGUUCUAAGAAUUUUAACUAGCCCAAAACUCAUCUAGGUACUUGCCCUAAAAGUCUCUUGGCCUAAGGAAGUGUCUAGGGUGUCCUUUGACCCCUUUAAAGGAGUUUACGGCCCAAGAAAUACUCUUGGCCGUAAACUCUUCAACACUUGAGCUUUUCAUGAUUUUUCUAGGUCCUAAACACAUUAAGGUACUAGCCAAAAAUGAAGACUAAGCCUUAGGAAGAGUUUGAAGUGGUUUUGGCACUUAAUCUUGGAGUUUACGGCCUAAGGAGCAUCUUGGCCGUAAACUCCCUUCCAAAGUUGGUUUCUAAUUGUUUUGUGGGUCUAAAUCAUGAGUUUAAGGCUUCUAGGUUCUUGUUCUAAGGCUAAAGGAACACUAGGCACUCAUUUGUGCCCUUUACUUGGAGUUUACGGCCCAAGAGGUUGUUCCUUGGCCGUAAACUCCUCAAACUACUUGCUUUUGAUUUGUUUCUAGCCUCUAAUGAUCAUACACUAAGUCCUUAGUUAGAUGCCUAACACGGAAAUGGGACUAGGUGGCCUUUAGGCUUGAUUUUGGAGUUUACUCCCCAAGAACGUUCUUGGGCGGUAAACUCCCGGAUCUUGUGUUUUGGACAUGUAAACAAUGUUAUAAAGCAUAUAACAAGUAUUAAAACACAUUUAGGGAAGUAGACUCACAAUCUGGGAUGAAAACCCGAAGAUCCGUGAGAGAGUAUUUGGCUUUUCUCUAAAUGGAAAUCAAAUAAUGAACCAAUUUGGUUCAGAAUUCUAUUUAUAGUCCAGAGAUUUUUGGCAGAAAAUAUUUCUAUUCUCGGAAUGGAUUCUAAUGACCUAGAGUAAUGGAAUUACAGUGUUGCACAAAAUCCUAGUGCACCCACUCUCCUAAUAACUCCUUAGGUGUAAAACCCUAAAACUGCCAAACUUAUUCCAAAAGUUUGAAUUUUCACUGAAACUGCUCUACUUCCAUUGGAUUGAUGUGGUUUGAUUUGAAUGGAAAAUUUCGGGUUGUCACAGUUAAGGGGUAUGAACUCACCUGCAGUAUGUGACUGGAAUUGAACGGGCUGUUAUCGUACGGAAGGAUCAGACAAGUGCUUGGUGUCAAGUGAAGACUUAGACACACACAAUGAUCCUAAUUACAUAUGAAACAUAUGUAUAUAAAUAAUUAGUGAUUAUAACACUAAUUAUACAAGUAAUAACAUUUAAGCGCGAGGACAACACUUUUGGUCAAGUGCUAGGAGGCUAAUGGGUUGCAACAAAGAAGUGCAAUGCCCCUAAUGAAAGUUUAAGGUCAAAAGACCAUAUUCAUUAGAGUUUACGGCCCAGGGGAGUAAGCUCCUGGCCGUAAACUCUCAAACAAGUCAUGAAAUGGAGUUUAAAAGUACUACAACCUUAGAGGGGAAUUGUUUCAAGGCUAUACAAGUGUUUGGGCACCACAUUGACUCCUUUGGGGAGUUUACGGCCCAAAGACCCUUCUCCCUUGGAGUUUACGGCCGUAAACUCCCUUGGGAGGGUUCUUAUUGUCCUUUCAAGUCUCUAACAUUUCUAGGAACAAGUCUAGGCUUCAAUACUUGGAUCAAGGGAGGUUUAUGGCAUUAAAUGGAACCAUUUGAUGGAGUUUACGGCCAUAGAACUCUUUGGGCCGUAAACUCCCUCACACAUGAGGUUCUAAGAAUUUUAACUAGCCCAAAACUCAUCUAGGUACUUGCCCUAAAAGUCUCUUGGCCUAAGGAAGUGUCUAGGGUGUCCUUUGACCCCUUUAAAGGAGUUUACGGCCCAAGAAAUACUCUUGGCCGUAAACUCUUCAACACUUGAGCUUUUCAUGAUUUUUCUAGGUCCUAAACACAUUAAGGUACUAGCCAAAAAUGAAGACUAAGCCUUAGGAAGAGUUUGAAGUGGUUUUGGCACUUAAUCUUGGAGUUUACGGCCUAAGGAGCAUCUUGGCCGUAAACUCCCUUCCAAAGUUGGUUUCUAAUUGUUUUGUGGGUCUAAAUCAUGAGUUUAAGGCUUCUAGGUUCUUGUUCUAAGGCUAAAGGAACACUAGGCACUCAUUUGUGCCCUUUACUUGGAGUUUACGGCCCAAGAGGUUGUUCCUUGGCCGUAAACUCCUCAAACUACUUGCUUUUGAUUUGUUUCUAGCCUCUAAUGAUCAUACACUAAGUCCUUAGUUAGAUGCCUAACACGGAAAUGGGACUAGGUGGCCUUUAGGCUUGAUUUUGGAGUUUACUCCCCAAGAACGUUCUUGGGCGGUAAACUCCCGGAUCUUGUGUUUUGGACAUGUAAACAAUGUUAUAAAGCAUAUAACAAGUAUUAAAACACAUUUAGGGAAGUAGACUCACAAUCUGGGAUGAAAACCCGAAGAUCCGUGAGAGAGUAUUUGGCUUUUCUCUAAAUGGAAAUCAAAUAAUGAACCAAUUUGGUUCAGAAUUCUAUUUAUAGUCCAGAGAUUUUUGGCAGAAAAUAUUUCUAUUCUCGGAAUGGAUUCUAAUGACCUAGAGUAAUGGAAUUACAGUGUUGCACAAAAUCCUAGUGCACCCACUCUCCUAAUAACUCCUUAGGUGUAAAACCCUAAAACUGCCAAACUUAUUCCAAAAGUUUGAAUUUUCACUGAAACUGCUCUACUUCCAUUGGAUUGAUGUGGUUUGAUUUGAAUGGAAAAUUUCGGGUUGUCACAGUUAAGGGGUAUGAACUCACCUGCAGUAUGUGACUGGAAUUGAACGGGCUGUUAUCGUACGGAAGGAUCAGACAAGUGCUUGGUGUCAAGUGAAGACUUAGACACACACAAUGAUCCUAAUUACAUAUGAAACAUAUGUAUAUAAAUAAUUAGUGAUUAUAACACUAAUUAUACAAGUAAUAACAUUUAAGCGCGAGGACAACACUUUUGGUCAAGUGCUAGGAGGCUAAUGGGUUGCAACAAAGAAGUGCAAUGCCCCUAAUGAAAGUUUAAGGUCAAAAGACCAUAUUCAUUAGAGUUUACGGCCCAGGGGAGUAAGCUCCUGGCCGUAAACUCUCAAACAAGUCAUGAAAUGGAGUUUAAAAGUACUACAACCUUAGAGGGGAAUUGUUUCAAGGCUAUACAAGUGUUUGGGCACCACAUUGACUCCUUUGGGGAGUUUACGGCCCAAAGACCCUUCUCCCUUGGAGUUUACGGCCGUAAACUCCCUUGGGAGGGUUCUUAUUGUCCUUUCAAGUCUCUAACAUUUCUAGGAACAAGUCUAGGCUUCAAUACUUGGAUCAAGGGAGGUUUAUGGCAUUAAAUGGAACCAUUUGAUGGAGUUUACGGCCAUAGAACUCUUUGGGCCGUAAACUCCCUCACACAUGAGGUUCUAAGAAUUUUAACUAGCCCAAAACUCAUCUAGGUACUUGCCCUAAAAGUCUCUUGGCCUAAGGAAGUGUCUAGGGUGUCCUUUGACCCCUUUAAAGGAGUUUACGGCCCAAGAAAUACUCUUGGCCGUAAACUCUUCAACACUUGAGCUUUUCAUGAUUUUUCUAGGUCCUAAACACAUUAAGGUACUAGCCAAAAAUGAAGACUAAGCCUUAGGAAGAGUUUGAAGUGGUUUUGGCACUUAAUCUUGGAGUUUACGGCCUAAGGAGCAUCUUGGCCGUAAACUCCCUUCCAAAGUUGGUUUCUAAUUGUUUUGUGGGUCUAAAUCAUGAGUUUAAGGCUUCUAGGUUCUUGUUCUAAGGCUAAAGGAACACUAGGCACUCAUUUGUGCCCUUUACUUGGAGUUUACGGCCCAAGAGGUUGUUCCUUGGCCGUAAACUCCUCAAACUACUUGCUUUUGAUUUGUUUCUAGCCUCUAAUGAUCAUACACUAAGUCCUUAGUUAGAUGCCUAACACGGAAAUGGGACUAGGUGGCCUUUAGGCUUGAUUUUGGAGUUUACUCCCCAAGAACGUUCUUGGGCGGUAAACUCCCGGAUCUUGUGUUUUGGACAUGUAAACAAUGUUAUAAAGCAUAUAACAAGUAUUAAAACACAUUUAGGGAAGUAGACUCACAAUCUGGGAUGAAAACCCGAAGAUCCGUGAGAGAGUAUUUGGCUUUUCUCUAAAUGGAAAUCAAAUAAUGAACCAAUUUGGUUCAGAAUUCUAUUUAUAGUCCAGAGAUUUUUGGCAGAAAAUAUUUCUAUUCUCGGAAUGGAUUCUAAUGACCUAGAGUAAUGGAAUUACAGUGUUGCACAAAAUCCUAGUGCACCCACUCUCCUAAUAACUCCUUAGGUGUAAAACCCUAAAACUGCCAAACUUAUUCCAAAAGUUUGAAUUUUCACUGAAACUGCUCUACUUCCAUUGGAUUGAUGUGGUUUGAUUUGAAUGGAAAAUUUCGGGUUGUCACAGUUAAGGGGUAUGAACUCACCUGCAGUAUGUGACUGGAAUUGAACGGGCUGUUAUCGUACGGAAGGAUCAGACAAGUGCUUGGUGUCAAGUGAAGACUUAGACACACACAAUGAUCCUAAUUACAUAUGAAACAUAUGUAUAUAAAUAAUUAGUGAUUAUAACACUAAUUAUACAAGUAAUAACAUUUAAGCGCGAGGACAACACUUUUGGUCAAGUGCUAGGAGGCUAAUGGGUUGCAACAAAGAAGUGCAAUGCCCCUAAUGAAAGUUUAAGGUCAAAAGACCAUAUUCAUUAGAGUUUACGGCCCAGGGGAGUAAGCUCCUGGCCGUAAACUCUCAAACAAGUCAUGAAAUGGAGUUUAAAAGUACUACAACCUUAGAGGGGAAUUGUUUCAAGGCUAUACAAGUGUUUGGGCACCACAUUGACUCCUUUGGGGAGUUUACGGCCCAAAGACCCUUCUCCCUUGGAGUUUACGGCCGUAAACUCCCUUGGGAGGGUUCUUAUUGUCCUUUCAAGUCUCUAACAUUUCUAGGAACAAGUCUAGGCUUCAAUACUUGGAUCAAGGGAGGUUUAUGGCAUUAAAUGGAACCAUUUGAUGGAGUUUACGGCCAUAGAACUCUUUGGGCCGUAAACUCCCUCACACAUGAGGUUCUAAGAAUUUUAACUAGCCCAAAACUCAUCUAGGUACUUGCCCUAAAAGUCUCUUGGCCUAAGGAAGUGUCUAGGGUGUCCUUUGACCCCUUUAAAGGAGUUUACGGCCCAAGAAAUACUCUUGGCCGUAAACUCUUCAACACUUGAGCUUUUCAUGAUUUUUCUAGGUCCUAAACACAUUAAGGUACUAGCCAAAAAUGAAGACUAAGCCUUAGGAAGAGUUUGAAGUGGUUUUGGCCCUAAAUCUUGGAGUUUACGGCCUAAGGAGCAUCUUGGCCGUAAACUCCCUUCCAAAGUGUGUUUCUAAAUGUUUUGUUGGUCUAAAACACUUGCUUAAGGCUUCUAGGUACUUGUUCUAAGGCUAAAGGAUCACUAGGCACUCAUUUGUGCCCUUUACUUGGAGUUUACGGCCCAAGAGGUGGUUCCUUGGCCGUAAACUCCUCAAACUACUUGCUUUUGAUUUGCUUCUAGCCUCUAAUGAUCAUACACUAAGUCCUUAGUUAGAUGCCUAACACGGAAAUGGGACUAGGUGGCCUUUAGGCUUGAUUUUGGAGUUUACUCCCCAAGAACGUUCUUGGGCGGUAAACUCCUGGAUCUAGUGUUUUGGACUUGUAAACAAUGUUAUAAAGCAUAUAACAAGUAUUAAAACACAUUUAGGGAAGUAGACUCACAAUCUGGGAUGAAAACCCGAAGAUCCGUGAGAGAGUAUUUGGCUUUUCUCUAAAUGGAAAUCAAAUAAUGAACCAAUUUGGUUCAGAAUUCUCGGAGUGGAUUCUAAUGACCUAGAGUAAUGGAAUUACAGUGUUGCACAAAAUCCUAGUGCAACCACUCUCCUAAUAACUCCUUAGGUGUAAAACCCUAAAACUGCCAAACUUAUUCCAAAAGUUUGAAUUUUCACUGUAACUGCUCUACUACUAUUGGAUUGAAAUGGUUUGAUUUAGAACAGGAAUUUCGGGUUGUCACACAUUGACACAUCUUCCCAAGGACGAAUAAGAACUGGCAAAGGAGUGUAAAUACCAUGCUUGAAAGUUUUUUCGUCAUGUGACAUGUAACACACUUGCCCACUAUGUUAGUUACAUCCCCAACAUCUUGGGCCAAAAUAAAUUUUCUUAAAGCACCUCCAAAGUUUUGGUAAUGGAAAAAUGACCAGCCAAACCACCACCAUGAGCUUCACGAAUCAACAACUCCCGUAUUGCAUAUUUAGGGACACAAAGGUGAUUGCCUUUUGAUGUCUUUAUGGGCUUGAUUAAGUGAGUAGGGUUGUGUUUAGGUAAAUUAAUCUAGAAUAACAACCACAAAUGAUAGGCAUAUGGGAAGAAAUGGAUAGAGUAGUAACAAAUCAAGACGUACUAAAUUUUAUACCGGUGAAAACAAUCCAAGACAUAUUUGAUUGAAUGCGUAUCACGUCAAGAUCACGUCUGGACUAUGACAAGUAGUGAACUAUAACUAUAAUUCAAAGUGAAUAAAGGUUCUUUUGAUUAAAAUUAUAUCUACUUUUUUUCAUGCAUACUUGGCUUAUAUUAAGCCUUUAUUAGAAAGUUGGUGGUUACAAGCCACCCAACCAACUACUCAAUGAAACUAACAAUGAAAACUAAAAAAGAAACUCAUGAAACCACACAAAAAAACCUCUGACACUCUAAUGAAUGUAAAAAACGUCCAUGCUCCAUUAAGGAGCCACAAGAAGCAUUAAAGUGUAACCUUAAUCAGCCAAAGAGUACCAAAAUGGCUAGGAGGCUUUAUGAAGCAAAAAGUAACGGUUUUGAGCACUUAUGAAGCCUUUAAAAUGUUGCUAUAGCCUUCAUGCGACGCUAAUAACCACCUUCUAGCCUACUAGUAAUCCUUAAUCCAUCACCUUUUGGGCUUUCAUGAUCCAUGCAUGGAUCAUCCCCUCCCCCUUUGAAAAGAUAUGAUCUCAAUUCAUUAAGGCCAUCCUCGACAACAUACGGUGAAAGGUCUCGCACAUUAAAGGAAGCAUGCACUCCAUGUUCUCUUCCUAAAUCCACCUUAUAAGCAUUAUCAUUGACAUGUGACACUACUUUGUAAGGACCUUCAGCUCUUGGCAUCAACUUUUGUUCCUCCUUUUGUUAGGAAACAUUCUUUCCUCAUAUGAACCAAAACCAAGUCACCAUCUUGAAAGACACGUGGUUUCCUAUGCAUGUUGGAAUUUUGUUUGUAUACGUCAUUCACGGUUUCAAUCUUCACACAAACUUGUUGGUGUAGUUUUAUCAUGGCCUUCAACUUUAUCACACCCCAAAACCGGAACGGCGGAAACGUUCUGGGGUGGAUGACGUCAUGUCAAGUAUCACAACACAUACAUUAUAGUAAUCAAAGUACAACAACCAUUGCAUUAAUAGUAAUAGUUUUACAUGGUUUACAUUACAAUACACCAAAGUAAUACAAGUAAUAGAAUAAGUAUAGCUUGGUACUAAGCUAUCUUCAUCAACAGCUCCGGGAUUGUACCUGUCUAGUGCUGACCUGAGAAUACAAGUUAUUUGAAAAGCGAGUAUCAACAGUUUUACAAAUGCUGGUGAGUUCAUAAGUAUUUAGUGUCAUUUUAUCCAAAUAACUUUAAUAAAAGUGGUAGUUUUAGAGUGUCCAUUACAUUAGUGUCUUUUCCAGAAAAUCCUAUAUUUUCUUUAAUAAAAGCAGUCUUCUACCAAGACUGGACGGAGUUAUGUGGUAAAAAGUAGUUUUCCCUUAAUCGCUAUCAUUAUCAAAAUACAGAAUUUGAUUAUUAAAGAAAGCAAGAGAAAUCAGGGAAAUAACAUAUGCCUCAGCAGUGAAGACUGCUGACUAAGGCAAANNNNNNNNNNNNNNNNNNNNNNNNNNNNNNNNNNNNNNNNNNNNNNNNNNNNNNNNNNNNNNNNNNNNNNNNNNNNNNNNNNNNNNNNNNNNNNNNNNNNNNNNNNNNNNNNNNNNNNNNNNNNNNNNNNNNNNNNNNNNNNNNNNNNNNNNNNNNNNNNNNNNNNNNNNNNNNNNNNNNNNNNNNNNNNNNNNNNNNNNNNNNNNNNNNNNNNNNNNNNNNNNNNNNNNNNNNNNNNNNNNNNNNNNNNNNNNNNNNNNNNNNNNNNNNNNNNNNNNNNNNNNNNNNNNNNNNNNNNNNNNNNNNNNNNNNNNNNNNNNNNNNNNNNNNNNNNNNNNNNNNNNNNNNNNNNNNNNNNNNNNNNNNNNNNNNNNUGACAUUUGUCACCCCUUGGCUUGGUAGGCCGUGGACUGUAGCUAGCAGUCAGGGUGCGGGGGUGUCAAUCCCGUAUAGAUCUAUACACACAAUGUCCGCUCUCCCUACAGGAGACUCUGGUUACCAACUAGACGACGGAGAAGGCCGUGUCCCGAAGAUGCAUCCCAAAUAUUAGGUAGUGGGUUUCCAAUAUAAGUGUUGAACUAGUGGUAGAGACUCAUAACUGAACUGACUGGUGCAAACCUAUAUGUCUAUGCUUGUAUACAUAAUAUAUAAUUAAUGAAUCAGACGACCUUCGGACGGACAUCCGAUCCCACCAGACCACAUCUCAACGAAGAAAAGCAAAUAGGGCGAACAAGCCUUCCUAAGUCCUUCAACCAUUAUUUAUAUGCAUCUAUACAAGCAUAGGCAUACAUCCAACUACGUUUGAGUGUGUAACAAGUGGAAAUAUAUCGAAGUAUAACCAAAUCGUGAUGUAUAACCGAAUCGUAUGUAAUAACCGAAUCGUGAAGUAUAAGUGUACAGUGUGGAAUAACCGAAUUGUGAAGUAUAAGCGUACAGUGUGGAAUAACCGAAUUGUAAAGUAUAAGUGUACAGUGUGGAAUAACCGAAUCGUGAAGUAUAAGUGUUACCAAAUAUAAGUGUAUCACGAAGUAGAAGCGACAACAAGUGAAGUAGGAGCGUAUCGAGUAUAAGUGAAGUAGAAGCGAUAUCAAGUAUAAGUGAAGUAGAAGCGUAUCACUAAGUAAGAAUGUAAACAAGUAUAAGCAUUUAACUAAGUAGAAGUAUCCACUAAGUAAAAGUAUAACAAGGCAGUGGUAUAUAACGAGUGGGGUAUCAAAACAUGGAAGAAAACUUUAUACUUAAGAAAAUCACGACUGGGUAUUCCUUUGUAAAAUAAAUUUUAAAACCUUUAGAAUUUCUUUGGAAACCUUUCAUAAAUCAGUUAUAAAUGAAACUUUGAUAAAACAAUAUAAGUAAGAGAUUUAAAUAAGUGGAAACAUUUUAGAAAACCAUUUACAGUAUCAAACUCGGUAAAACAGUUAACAGUGUGGUAAAUCCUUGUGCAUGCGGGUUAUCAAUCACAUGUGAUUGAUAUGAUAACUGGCAUGUUUAACUUGUAUUCCCCCCUAUAAAACGUGUAAAAACGUUUAAAAGGUUUAUUCAGGGGUAUGAACUCACCUGGUGUAAGUAGAUCCGACGAAGGUGUCGGUUGGGUGCUUGGUGUCAAGUAAAGACUUGGGCACACUUAGUGAACUAUUUAACAUAUGAUAACAUAUGUUCACAUACAAUUAGUACAUUUAAUACUAAUUAAACAAGUAUACGCACUCUAAGGAGCGAAAAACACUUUGGUUAAGUGUUUGGGGUGUCCCGGGUAACAUUUAAGGGCUUGAAUGGCUUAGGAAUGGAGGUUACUCUCCAAGAGUAAACUCUCCAUAUAGUGUUUACGGCCCUGGGACAACUCCCCAUGAGUUUAGAGUCGUAAACUCAUGGUGAGGGGUUCUAGGAUGUUUAAAGGCUUUAUCUCGAUCGUGGAAUUUUGCUAGGUCCAAAUCCAAAAGGUAUGAACGGGUUUAAGGUGUUUAAAGGGACCAUAUGGGAGUUUACGGCCCAUGAACCACCCUUAUGGGAGUUCACGGCCGUGAACUCCUACCCUCUUGAUUUUAUGGAAGUUUAAGGCUCUUAUUCCAAUCCUAUUAAUUAUUCAAGGCUAUAUGGGUGUUUGGGGCUCCAAGAGUGCACUCCCUUGGAGUUUAUGGUCCAAAUGACCAUUCCUUGGGAUUUUACGGCCGUAAGCUCUUGGCUUGGCCGUGAACUCUCAUGCACCCCUUUAAACUUUGAUUUUUAAGCCCUUGUUUCAACCUUAGCAUUUUCUAGUGAAGGUAUAAGGCCGUUUUUGGGACAUUUACUAUCAUUUGGCAUGGUUUGGGGGUGUUUAUGGCCUAAGAAUGUGCUUGGGCCGUAAACUCCUUUUUACCCCUUAUUUCUUAGUGUUUAAUUGUUCCAAACCCGAAAUAGCUAGUCCCUAUUUUAUGUCUUAAGCCUAAGGGUGGUUUGGGAGUGUUUGGAACUUGAUUUUACAAGUUUAGAGGGUGUUUACGGCCUAAGCAUGUGCUUGGGCCGUAAACCCUCUUUUAAGUCCCAAAAUUGAUUGUUUUAUGGUUCAAACAUCCCUAGGCUAAAUCCCCAAUUGGUUUCUAAGCUUCAAGGGACAAAUUUGGGUCAUUUUGGCCUCUUUUUAGGGGUUUACGGCCUAAGGAGAUCUUAGGCUGUAAACACCUUUUAAACAGCUUAAAUGGUCAAUUUUUGUGCUAUAAUGACAUGCAAUAGGUUGUAAAACAAGCUAGGGUACAAGAACUUACGAUUUGGAGGCGGAAACUUGCGGUUUUUGGGACGAAAUCGGGUUUUAUGAGAGAGAGUAUAGAGAGAGGGUGAAAAAGGUUGAAAUGGAGUUUACUCUCCCUUAUAUAGGGGUUUGAGUUGAAGCUCAGUGGAAAUCUACCAGAUACUGUCGUUAUACGGGGCUUUUGGUCGCACCCGAUUUAGUGGUCGUAAUAAUAAAAACCAACUUUUUCCAAUUAAAUGGAAAUGUAUAUUACGUGUUUUUAUUUAUCUUAUCACGACAUUAAUGACAUAAAAUAUAAAUAAAUAAAAUGUUUAUUUAUUUGGUGACCCCUAAUUAACGGAACUAUUAUAAAAUGGAAUAUUCCGUUAACGGUAACAGGGUAAUGUAACGGAAUGAACUUUGGAUUGUCACAUCAUCCCCCCGUUAGACGGAAUUUCGUCCCGAAAUUCAGGUCUAGGCAAGGUAGUAGGUAUGAAUGACCAUGUAGAGGCAGGAGGGUACUUCCUAUUUUGUUUGUCCUCGCCUUCCCAGGUGACUCUGGUCUGUGUUUGUCAUUCCAAAAAAAACCUUCACCUACGGGAUGUGGAUUCCGUCUCAUGCAGUUAGCGAGUUCCGACUGGUGUAUCUACGAGGUUAAGGUUCUCAAUGGUUUCUAUCAAGAUGAGUGGGAUACGAAGAGUGACCUCGGGCAACACUGAUCAAGUCUAAGGAGUAGAUCGAUCUAGGAUGAAGUUUGUGGAAUAUCCGAAUGUAGUAGUGGUCUGACGAGGGUUGGACCAAAUUUCCAUGAGGAUUCUUAGAUGGUCCUAAGCUCUCGGAAGGGUAGAGCUUUUCAGUACUUAGAACAUAGUGUACUUCUAUGGCAAGAUCAUCACUGGAGUGAUCGCCAUUCCGAAGUUCCUAACAUUCUCACUCAUACUGGUAGUGUAGUCCUUCAGGUUGGUUCUUAGGAAGCUCGGGUUGUCUUUGGUUUCAUGUUUCCUGUCAAUUGGCUUUUAGAGACUUUCUAUGUCAUCAGAUGGGUUGCGUGUCUACGAUAUCUUUUUGUUAUAGGGUGUUUAUCUCAAGCUCGUGCGAAAUGAACCUGCACUUCUGAUGCUUGAGAUAUUUCUAACGGAAACCCUUAGGGUCGAGGAGACAGUAUUUCACUAGACGAGUGUUGGACUACCUCGGGAGGUGGUUCUACUAUUUCUGCGUGAGAUAGUAUUCGUGGAACACCUAAUAGUCCAAUGAAUCUCUAAGACUUUGGUUUAUUUUAGUGCGGAAAGCACAUGCUCCUGCAUAACCCCUCGACUAACACCAAGAUUGGUGUCAAGUCUAUAAUCUCUUCGGGAUCUGGGUCAUAAGGCUUAACGCAACUACUUUCGCACUUUGAUCAAGUAUUCUUGGCUGCGGAGGUUAGCCUGUGGUAAUCGGUAUCCUAGUGUUCCCUUCGGAGAAUGUUGUCUAUCGUCUACAGGGCGACGACGGUUUUCUCCAUGCGAGAGGGUGGAGGGUCCUAGGCACUACUAGUCUGUAACGAGGUGGACGAAGUGCCUGAGUAGUGCGAGCAUCUACUGCAACUACUUUUCCAAAGUUUCUGAGUGUUUCCCGGUCUAGGUCAAAUCUAGUGAGUAUAGGGUUCCAUUACUCGGAACUUUAAUCCCUUUACUAACUGAGGGUGUUAGCUACUAUGUGGGCUUAACCGGUAUGACAAAAAAUUUCGGAUUUGUGGUCAUUAUAGAAGCUCAACUCGCAGUGGUUAUCUUGACUCCAGUCCCUAUUUUAUGAAAUAGGAUGAAGAGCUUUACUAUGAGGUUCGUGGUAGAGCUCAUACUUGGCUUAACCACUAAUAGGUGUAUGCAGGCCGUAUAUAAUUGAGGUCGGUAGGAUGUUCAAUUGUGCGACUCCACCCCAGCCCCACAACCCAACGAGGAACAGGGAGUAGGGAGGAAGCACACAUCUUAAAUCUUCUUGAUCUCAACUAUAUACCACCUUUAUGCAUUUACCUGGUUAUAGUGGUCAGUCCCAUGAGUUCUAUCCUCUGGGUUCACGAACCUGAUGUGCGAGGUGCGAAGGGUCUUUCUGGGGAAUCCACGAAGUAUGCUUCCGAUGGUUAUUGUCUUCUGGACUAUCUUGUAGAGUCUUUCGCUUUGGAUUCCAUAUGACUAAGAGAGGUCGGUCAACAGCGCGCGGUACCCUUCUCCGGGUACUUCGGAAAGUUUGAGGUAAGAGGGACGACUGAUAGAUCGCAUUAGGUUUGAUUGUUUGUAUUAUUAUGGUUCGGAAGAACCUUUAUUUGCCAAAAUGGCUACAAAGAAAGUUCUUUUUACACAGCACUAGGGAUGUACACAUGGUUGCACUACGUCAAACCAUGAUCAAUAGAGUCGUCGAAAUUUGCAUACUUCGACAUGACAUAAAAUGAAGAUCGAUAGAGUCAUGCGCCGAACAGGCACACAAGUUCUAGGCGUCUCGGGUUUCGUCCUGUGUAUCACUUCCGCGGAUACAUGGACCGAUAGAGUCGACGCGGAACUAUAGAGAGUUCUAAGUGUUUCUGAGUGGACUACCUUUUCAUGAAUGGAUUCUCACGAGACAUUUCUAUAAUCGCCUAACAUAUACUAGUCAUGUAUAGUUAAGGUGGGUAGGACUGUUGACUGAGCGACUCCGCCCUAAAUCCACAACCAAACGAGGAACAUGAAAUGAGGCGGCAUUCACUCACUCUAGGUCUAUCCAUCUUAACUAUACAAGGCCGUAACGCAUACGUUUAGCCAUUAUAGUUUUACCUAAUGAAUUUUAAAUUUUAUAACAGUGCUGCGACUUUCGCCUUAACGGGGAAGUAUUUACAUUUGAAUUAGCCUUUUGAUGUUUUGCGUUAGUUAUCUGAGAUCGAGAGACGUACCAAAAUCCACCGGGUUCCUUGAUGCUUCUCCUUAAGCAGUAGAGGCUCCUCCUGUGUCCUUGUUGUCUCCUUCAGUUGGGCAAUCUCUUUUGAAGUGUCCAAUCUCACCACAUAGUCGGCAAACUGGAUUGGCCAUCACAUUGGUGAUUGAUGCAAUACGCUCCACCGGAGUUCUGCAUACGCGAGCAGUAUGCCCCUUCAUGUUGCACCUAGCACAUAAGAGUUCCUGGCCGACACCAUGAUGAUGGUAGCUGCAAUUGCUGCAGUGGGGGAGGUUUCCUAGGUAUAGUCUUCUUGAAGUCAGGAGGGAAGGAUUGACAGGGGUAUUGACUGCCUUAGUUCGUUGCCCUUCGGAAGGUCCUUGAGCCGAGGUACCUCCCUCCUCGAUCUUGAGUUUUCACUUUAGUGGAUUCGGUUGAGGUUCUUGGGCGGCUGGGUACGUAGGGGUUGGUUGCUACUGUCCAUUGACAGGAUCAGAAUUCCCGAUAGGGCCCUUGCUAACAUUGGCGUUGUUAGCAUUCAGGUGAGCCAUGACAGCUGCUACGGCUGCCGNNNNNNNNNNNNNNNNNNNNNNNNNNNNNNNNNNNNNNNNNNNNNNNNNNNNNNNNNNNNNNNNNNNNNNNNNNNNNNNNNNNNNNNNNNNNNNNNNNNNNNNNNNNNNNNNNNNNNNNNNNNNNNNNNNNNNNNNNNNNNNNNNNNNNNNNNNNNNNNNNNNNNNNNNNNNNNNNNNNNNNNNNNNNNNNNNNNNNNNNNNNNNNNNNNNNNNNNNNNNNNNNNNNNNNNNNNNNNNNNNNNNNNNNNNNNNNNNNNNNNNNNNNNNNNNNNNNNNNNNNNNNNNNNNNNNNNNNNNNNNNNNNNNNNNNNNNNNNNNNNNNNNNNNNNNNNNNNNNNNNNNNNNNNNNNNNNNNNNNNNNNNNNNNNNNNNNNNNNNNNNNNNNNNNNNNNNNNNNNNNNNNNNNNNNNNNNNNNNNNNNNNNNNNNNNNNNNNNNNNNNNNNNNNNNNNNNNNNNNNNNNNNNNNNNNNNNNNNNNNNNNNNNNNNNNNNNNNNNNNNNNNNNNNNNNNNNNNNNNNNNNNNNNNNNNNNNNNNNNNNNNNNNNNNNNNNNNNNNNNNNNNNNNNNNNNNNNNNNNNNNNNNNNNNNNNNNNNNNNNNNNNNNNNNNNNNNNNNNNNNNNNNNNNNNNNNNNNNNNNNNNNNNNNNNNNNNNNNNNNNNNNNNNNNNNNNNNNNNNNNNNNNNNNNNNNNNNNNNNNNNNNNNNNNNNNNNNNNNNNNNNNNNNNNNNNNNNNNNNNNNNNNNNNNNNNNNNNNNNNNNNNNNNNNNNNNNNNNNNNNNNNNNNNNNNNNNNNNNNNNNNNNNNNNNNNNNNNNNNNNNNNNNNNNNNNNNNNNNNNNNNNNNNNNNNNNNNNNNNNNNNNNNNNNNNNNNNNNNNNNNNNNNNNNNNNNNNNNNNNNNNNNNNNNNNNNNNNNNNNNNNNNNNNNNNNNNNNNNNNNNNNNNNNNNNNNNNNNNNNNNNNNNNNNNNNNNNNNNNNNNNNNNNNNNNNNNNNNNNNNNNNNNNNNNNNNNNNNNNNNNNNNNNNNNNNNNNNNNNNNNNNNNNNNNNNNNNNNNNNNNNNNNNNNNNNNNNNNNNNNNNNNNNNNNNNNNNNNNNNNNNNNNNNNNNNNNNNNNNNNNNNNNNNNNNNNNNNNNNNNNNNNNNNNNNNNNNNNNNNNNNNNNNNNNNNNNNNNNNNNNNNNNNNNNNNNNNNNNNNNNNNNNNNNNNNNNNNNNNNNNNNNNNNNNNNNNNNNNNNNNNNNNNNNNNNNNNNNNNNNNNNNNNNNNNNNNNNNNNNNNNNNNNNNNNNNNNNNNNNNNNNNNNNNNNNNNNNNNNNNNNNNNNNNNNNNNNNNNNNNNNNNNNNNNNNNNNNNNNNNNNNNNNNNNNNNNNNNNNNNNNNNNNNNNNNNNNNNNNNNNNNNNNNNNNNNNNNNNNNNNNNNNNNNNNNNNNNNNNNNNNNNNNNNNNNNNNNNNNNNNNNNNNNNNNNNNNNNNNNNNNNNNNNNNNNNNNNNNNNNNNNNNNNNNNNNNNNNNNNNNNNNNNNNNNNNNNNNNNNNNNNNNNNNNNNNNNNNNNNNNNNNNNNNNNNNNNNNNNNNNNNNNNNNNNNNNNNNNNNNNNNNNNNNNNNNNNNNNNNNNNNNNNNNNNNNNNNNNNNNNNNNNNNNNNNNNNNNNNNNNNNNNNNNNNNNNNNNNNNNNNNNNNNNNNNNNNNNNNNNNNNNNNNNNNNNNNNNNNNNNNNNNNNNNNNNNNNNNNNNNNNNNNNNNNNNNNNNNNNNNNNNNNNNNNNNNNNNNNNNNNNNNNNNNNNNNNNNNNNNNNNNNNNNNNNNNNNNNNNNNNNNNNNNNNNNNNNNNNNNNNNNNNNNNNNNNNNNNNNNNNNNNNNNNNNNNNNNNNNNNNNNNNNNNNNNNNNNNNNNNNNNNNNNNNNNNNNNNNNNNNNNNNNNNNNNNNNNNNNNNNNNNNNNNNNNNNNNNNNNNNNNNNNNNNNNNNNNNNNNNNNNNNNNNNNNNNNNNNNNNNNNNNNNNNNNNNNNNNNNNNNNNNNNNNNNNNNNNNNNNNNNNNNNNNNNNNNNNNNNNNNNNNNNNNNNNNNNNNNNNNNNNNNNNNNNNNNNNNNNNNNNNNNNNNNNNNNNNNNNNNNNNNNNNNNNNNNNNNNNNNNNNNNNNNNNNNNNNNNNNNNNNNNNNNNNNNNNNNNNNNNNNNNNNNNNNNNNNNNNNNNNNNNNNNNNNNNNNNNNNNNNNNNNNNNNNNNNNNNNNNNNNNNNNNNNNNNNNNNNNNNNNNNNNNNNNNNNNNNNNNNNNNNNNNNNNNNNNNNNNNNNNNNNNNNNNNNNNNNNNNNNNNNNNNNNNNNNNNNNNNNNNNNNNNNNNNNNNNNNNNNNNNNNNNNNNNNNNNNNNNNNNNNNNNNNNNNNNNNNNNNNNNNNNNNNNNNNNNNNNNNNNNNNNNNNNNNNNNNNNNNNNNNNNNNNNNNNNNNNNNNNNNNNNNNNNNNNNNNNNNNNNNNNNNNNNNNNNNNNNNNNNNNNNNNNNNNNNNNNNNNNNNNNNNNNNNNNNNNNNNNNNNNNNNNNNNNNNNNNNNNNNNNNNNNNNNNNNNNNNNNNNNNNNNNNNNNNNNNNNNNNNNNNNNNNNNNNNNNNNNNNNNNNNNNNNNNNNNNNNNNNNNNNNNNNNNNNNNNNNNNNNNNNNNNNNNNNNNNNNNNNNNNNNNNNNNNNNNNNNNNNNNNNNNNNNNNNNNNNNNNNNNNNNNNNNNNNNNNNNNNNNNNNNNNNNNNNNNNNNNNNNNNNNNNNNNNNNNNNNNNNNNNNNNNNNNNNNNNNNNNNNNNNNNNNNNNNNNNNNNNNNNNNNNNNNNNNNNNNNNNNNNNNNNNNNNNNNNNNNNNNNNNNNNNNNNNNNNNNNNNNNNNNNNNNNNNNNNNNNNNNNNNNNNNNNNNNNNNNNGAGACUCUGGUUACCAACUAGACGACGGAGAAGGCCGUGUCCCGAAGAUGCAUCCCAAAUAGUGGGUAGAGGGUUUCCAAUGUAAGUGCUGAACUGGUGGUAGAGACUCUUAACUGAACUGACUAAUGUAAACCUAUAUGUCUAUGCUUGUUUACAUAAUAUAUAACUAAUGAAUCAAACGACCUUCGGAUGGACAUCCGAUCCCACCAGACCACAUCUCAACGAAGAAAAGGAAAUAGGGCGAACAAGCCUUCCUAAGUCCUUCAACCAUUAUUUAUAUGCAUCUAUACAAGCAUAGGCAUACAUCCAACUACGUUUGAGUGUGUAACAAGUGGAAAUUUCUCGAAGUAUAACCAAAUCGUGAUGUAUAACCGAAUCGUAUGUAAUAACCAAAUCGUGAAGUAUAAGUGUACAGUGUGGAAUAACCGAAUUGUGAAGUAUAAGCCUACAAUGUGGAAUAACCGAAUUGUGAAGUAUAAGUGUACAGUGUGGAAUAACCGAAUUGUGAAGUAUAAACGUACAGUGUGGAAUAACCGAAUCGUGAAGUAUAAGUGUCACCAAAUAUAAGUGUAUCACGAAGUAGAAGCGACCACAAGUGAAGUAGGAGCGUAUCGAGUAUAAGUGAAGUAGAAGCGAUAUCAAGUAUAAGUGAAGUAGAAGCGUAUCACUCAGUAAGAGUGUAAACAAGUAUAAUCAUUUAACUAAGUAGAAGUAUCCACUAAGUAAAAGUAUAACAAGGCAGUGGUAUAUAACGAGUGGGGUCUCAAAACAUGGAAGAAAACUUUAUACUUAAGAAAAUCACGACUGGGUAUUCCUUUGUAAAAUAAGUUUGAAAACCUUUAAAAUUUCUUUGGAAACCUUUCAUAAAUCAGUUUUAAAUGAAACUUUGAUAAAACAAUAUAAGUAAGAGAUUUGAACAAGUGGAAACAUUUUAGAAAACCAUUUACAGUAUCAAACUCGGUAAAACAGUUAACAGUGUGGUAAGUCCUUGUGCAUGCGGGUUAUCAAUCACAUGUGAUUGAUAUGAUAACUGCCAUGUUUAACUUGCAUUUCCCCCCCCCCCCNCAUGUAAAAACGUUUAAAAGGUUCAUUCAGGGGUAUGAACUCACCUGGUGUAAGUGGAUCCGACGAAGGUGCCGGUUGGGUGCUCGGUGUCAAGUAAAGACUUGGACACACUUAGUGACCUAUUUAACAUAUGGUAACAUAUGUUUACAUACAAUUUGUACAUUUAUUACUAAUUAAACAAGUAUACGCACUCUAUGGAGCGGAAAACACUUUGGUUAAGUGUUUGGGGUGUCCCGAGUAACAUUUAAGGGCUUGAAUGGCUUAGGAAUGGAGUUUACGGCCCUGGGACAACACCCCAAGAGUUUAUGGCCGUAAACUCAUGGUGAGGGGUUCUAGGAUGUUUAAAGGCUUUAUCUCGAUCGUGUAAUUUUGCUAGGUCCAAAUCGAAAAGGUAUGAACGGGUUUAAGGUGUUUAAAGGGACCAUAUGGGAGUUUACGGCCCAUGAACCACCCUUAUGGGAGUUCACGGCCGUGAACUCCUACCCUCUUGAUUUUAUGGAAGUUUAAGGCUCUUAUUCCAAUCCUAGUAAUUAUUCAAGGCUAUAGGGGUGUUUGGGGUUCCAAGAGUGCACUCCCUUGGAGUUUCUGAUCCAAAUGACCACUCCUUGGGAGUUUACGGCCGUAAGCUCUUGGCUUGGCCGUGAACUCUCAUGCACCCCUUUAAACUUUGAUCUUUAAGCCCUUGUUUCAACCCUAGCAUUUUCUAGUGAAGGUAUAAGGCCGUUUUUGGGACAUUUACUAUCAUUUUGCAUGGUUUGGGGGUGUUUACGGCCUAAGCAUGUGCUUGGGCUGUACACUCCUUUUUACCCCUCAUUUCUUAGUGUUUAAUUGUUCCAAACCCGAAAUAGCAAGUCCCUAUUUUAUGUCUAAAGCCUAAGGGUGGGUUGGGAGUGUUUGGAACUUGAUUUCACAAGUUUAGAGGGUGUUUACGGCCUAAGCAUGUGCUUGGUCCAUAAACCCUCGUUUAAGUCCCAAAAUUGAUUGUUUUAUGGUUCAAACAUCCCUAGGCUAAAUCCCCAAUUGGUUUCUAAGCUUCAAGGGACAAAUUUGGGUCAUUUUGGCCUCUUUUUAGGGGUUUACGGCCUAAGGAGAUCUUAGGCCGUAAACACCUUUUAAACAGCUUAAAUGGUCAAUUUUUGUGCUAUAAUGACAUGCAAUAGGUUGUAAAACAAGCCAGGGUACAAGAACUUACGAUUUGGAGGCGGAAACUUGCGGUUUUUGGGACGAAAUCGGGUUUUAUGAGAGAGAGUAUAGAGAGAGGGUGAAAAAGGUUGAAAUGGAGUUUACUCUCCCUUAUAUAGGGGUUUGAGUUGAAGCUCAGUGGAAAUCUACCCGAUACUGCCGUUAGACGGGGCUUUUGGUCGCACCCGAUUUAGUGGUCGUAAUAAUAAAAACCAACUUUUUCCAAUUAAAUGGAAAUGUAUAUUACGUGUUUUUAUUUAUCUUAUCACGACGUUAACGACAUAAAAUAUAAAUAAAUAAAACGUUUAUUUAUUUGGCGACCCCUAAUUAACGGAACUAUUAUAAAAUGGAAUAUUCUGUUAACGGUAACAGGGUAAUGUAACGGAAUGAACUUUGGGUUGUCACAUCAUCCCCCCGUUAGACGGAAUUUCGUCCCGAAAUUCAGGUCUAGGCAAGGUAGUAGGUAUGAAUGACCAUGUAGAGGCAGGAGGGUACUUCCUAUUUUGUUUGUCCUCGCCUUCCCAGGUGACUCUGGUCUGUGUUUGUCAUUCCAAAAAAAACCUUCACCUACGGGAUGUGGAUUCCGUCUCAUGCAGUUAGCGAGUUCCGACUGGUGUAUCUACGAGGUUAAGGUUCUCAAUGGUUUCUAUCAAGAUGAGUGGGAUACGAAGAGUGACCUCGGGCAACACUAAUCAAGUCUAAGGAGUAGAUCGAUCUAGGAUGAAGCUUGUGGAAUAUCCGAAUGUAGUAGUGGGCUGACGAGGGUUGGACCAAAUUUCCAUGAGGAUUCUCAGAUGGUCCUAAGCUCUCGGAAGGGUAGAGCUUUUCAGUACUUAGAACAUAGUGUACUUCUAGGGCAAGAUCAUCACUGGAGUGAUCGCCAUUCCGAAGUUCCUAACAUUCUCACUCAUACUGGUAGUGUAGUCCUUCAAGUUGGUUCUUAGGAAGCUCGGGUUGUCUUUGGUUUCAUGUUUCCUGUCAAUUGGCUUUUAGAGACUUUCUAUGUCAUCAGAUGGGUUGCGUGUCUACGGUAUCUUUUUGUUAUAGGGUGUCUAUCUCAAGCUCGUGCGAAAUGAACCUGCACUUCUGAUGCUUGAGAUAUUUCUAACGGAAACCCUUAGGGUCGAGGAGACAGGGUUUCACUAGAUGAGUGUUGGACUACCUUGGGAGGUGGUUCUACUAUUUCUGCGUGAGAUAGUAUUCGUGGAACACCUAAUAGUCCAAUGAAUCUCUAAGACUUGGGUUUAUUUUAGUGCGGAAAGCACAUGCUCCUGCAUAACCCCUCGACUAACACCAAAACUGGUGUCAAGUCUAUAAUCUCUUCGGGAUCUGGGUCAUGAGGCUUAACGCAACUACUUUCGCACUUUGAUCAAGUAUUCUUGGCUUCGGAGGUUAUCAUGUGGUAAUCGGUAUCCUAGUGUUCCCUUCGGAGAAUGUUUUCUAUCGUCUAAAGGGCGAUGAUGGCACUACUAGUCUUUAACGAGGUGGACGAAGUGCCUGAGUAGUGCGAGCAUCUACUGCAACUACUUUUCCGAAGUUUCUGAGUGUUUCCCGGUCUAGGUCAAAUCUAGUGAGUAUAGGGUUCCAUUACUCGGAACUUUAAUCCCUUUACUAACUGAGGGUGUUAGCUACUAUGUGGGCUUAACCGAUAUGACAACAAAUUUCGGAUUUGUGGUCAUUAUAGUAGCUCAACUCGCAGUGGUUAUCUUGACUCCAGUCCCUAUUUUAUGAAAUUGGAUGAAGAGCUUUACUAUGAGGUUCGUGGUAGAGCUCAUACUUGGCUUAACCACUAAUACUUGGUGUAUGCAGGCCGUAUAUAAUUGAGGUCGGUAGGAUGUUCAAUUGUGCGACUCCACCCCAGACACACAACCCAACGAGGAACAGGGAGUAGGGAGGAAGCACACAUCUUAAAUCUUCUUGAUCUCAACAAUAUACCACCUUUAUGCAUUUACCUGGUUAUAGUGGUCAGUCCCAUGAGUUCUAUCCUCUGGGUUCACGAACCUGAUGUGCGAGGUGCGAAGGGUCUUUCUGGGGAAUCAACGAAGUAUGCUUCGGAUGGUUAUUGUCUUCUGGAGUAUCUUGCAGAGUCUUUUGCUUCGGAUUCCAUAUGACUAAGAGAGGCCAGUCAACAGCGUGCGGUACCCUUCUCCGGGUACUUCGGAAAGUUUGAGGUAAGAGGGACGAUUGACGGAUCGCAUUAGGUUUGAUUGUUAGUAUUAUGUUUAGGUUCGGAAGGUAUUUGCCGAAAUGGCUACGGAGAAAGUUCUUUUUACAUAGCACUAGGGAUGUACACAUGGUUGCACUAUGCCAAACCAUGAUCAAUAGAGUCGUCGAAAUUUGCAUACUUCGACUUGACAUAAAAUGAAGAUCAAUAGAGUCAUGCGCCGAACAGGCACACAAGUUCUAGGCGUCUCGGGUUUCAUCCUGUGUAUCACUUCCGCGGAUACUUGGACUUAUAGAGUCGACGCAGAACUAUAGAGAGUACUAAGUGUUUCUGAGUGGAGUACCUUUUCAUGAAUGGAUUCUCACAAGGCAUUUCUAUAAUCGCCUAACAUAUACUAGUCAUGUAUAGUUAAGGUGGGGAGGACUGUUGACUGAGCGACUCCGCCCUAAAUCGACAACCAAACGAGGAAUAAGAAAUGAGGCGACAUUCACUCACUCUAGGUCUAUCCAUCUUAACUAUACAUGGCUGUAACGCAUACGUUUAGCCAUUAUAGUUUUACCUAAUGAAUUUUAAAUUUUAUAACAAUGCUGCGACUUUCGCCUUAAUGGGGAAGUAUUUACAUUUGAAUUAGCCUUUUGAUGUUUUGCGUUAGUUAUCUUAGAUCGAGAGACGUACCAAAAUCUACCGGGUUCCUUGAUGCUUCUCCUUAAGCCGUAGAGUUAGGCUCCUCCUGUGUCCUUGUUGUUUCCUUCAGUUGGGCAAUCUCUUUUGAAGUGUCCAAUCUCACCACAUAGUCGGCAAACUGGAUUGGCCGUCACAUUGGUGAUUGAUGCAAUACGCUCCACCGAAGUUCUACAUACGCGAGCAGUAUGCCCCUUCAUGUUGCACCUAGCACAUAUGAGUUCCUGGCAGACACCAUGAUGAUGGUAGCUGCACUUGCUGUAGUGGGGGAGGUUUCCUAGGUAUGGUCUUCUUGAAGUCAGGAGGGAAUGAUUGACAGGGGUAUUGACUGCCUCAGUUCGUUGCCCUUCGGAAGGUCCUUGAGCCGAGGUACCUCCCUCCUCGAUCUUGAGUUUUCUCUUUAGUGGAUUCAGUUGAGGUUCUUGGGUGGCUGGGUAUGUAGGGGUUGGUUGCUGCUGUCCAUUGACAGGAUCAGAAUUCCUGAUAGGGCCCUUGCUAACAUUGGCGUUGUUACCAUUCAGGUGAGCCAUGACAGCUGCUACGGCUGCUGAGACUGCAGCUUGGAACGUAGCUUCAUCGAAUAAGAGAGUAGGUUUCUUGCUUGUAGACUGGUUGCGUUUCUUUGGAGGCAUGGUUUUUCCUACAUGGAAAGGAAUACAAGAUAAUGAGAGACGAUGGCUAACCCUGGACAUAUCUGUCCUGACUGUAUUAGGCAUAAAUUUUUCCCGUGCCUCGGGUACUGGUUGUCUGAGUGUCGACCUACAUCCCUAUGAUGUAGUCCUGGUAAUCAAGGUAGGAGUAUGAGUAUCGGAAAAGGCCAUAAGAUGCGAGUCGUUCCUACUACGUUACCUUUAUACUGGGAAGGUUUCACUCUCCGGCCUGGAAAGAUUUGAGAACAGUUCGGAACGAACACCGCGGGGAGAGAGGCUUAUGAAGACUUAUGGCUAAAUACUCUCAAUAGAGGUGCGGGGAUCCGAUCUAAUCGUGUGACUGGCAACGGGAAACGACGAUUUUCCUAACACAUAGCGUGAGUAGUGUAACCACUAACUCACUAAAUUGUAUUAUUUUAAGGGUGUAUUAGCGUGACGAACACGAGGAAAAGACACUUCUCGGGUUCCAUGUACUGGCUCCCUCUGUCUGCCUCGUAUCUUUGACUGGAAUCGGCGUUGGUUUCCUUCGGGUAGUUACCUAGGGUUCUCUUCUCGUAUGGACAUAUUGAAUUUCUACUCCGCCUUCCUUCUGAUUCCGACUCUGGGUGUCAUCACUUCAUGAUGGAUGACUGGGAAUCUCCGAAGUUUAGGCGAAUUUCUCACCGAUGUCCCUAAAAAGAUAUAGGCACUUGGUGAAUUCAAUAGUCUCGACCCAGUUCAUUUAUUUCCGAACAGGAAAUCUUCUCAAUGAACCUCUUCUGGGUCUGAAUCAACUCUUCUGUCAAGCACUGAAGUGGAUAGGGUUUUCUACAGGGUUCGUGCGAGAAUGGAAAUGUCUAAAGAAUCCUAAGAGAUUAUUAACAUUUCACUGGAUGAUCCAUAUCGAGUCCUGCUACGAUUACACAGGGUAUACAAAUCAUAUAUAGCUUAGAUCCGAUAGGCCUUCGAAUAUGUGAUACUACUCUAUAUCCACAUCCCAACGAGGAAAAGGAAGUAGAGCGAAACCACACAUUCUUAGCCUAUGGGAUCCUUAUUAUAUAUAACCUUGGGAGUAUACCCUCUGUAGUUGUAGGUAUAUCAAUAAGGAUCUUUUUAGUUCUUCACACAAGGUUAGUUAUGGAUCCUAAAAUACCCCUAUGGUAUUUUAAUUCUUGUUUGAUUCUUAUCUUCUGAUUAUGAUUCUGGGAUUAGUGUGAAUCUUUUAGUGUUCCAAAAUACUCCUAUAGUAUUUUAACUUUAUGUUUGGCUCUAGCAUUCCUAGUUGGUAAGUUUCAGACCUGUUGCACACCACUAUCACUCCCAAGCACAUGUUCAUCGCAUCUCGAAUAAAUGUAGUUGAUCAGGUUACAUUUAUUCCAGCUUACGAUUACAUAACUGCCCAGGUUUGACGGUAAUGCUCAACAUCCGAAGACUUUUAUUCUUGUUCUUCUUGUGAUACUUGUGUUCGAGUGUUUAGAUUCUGGAUGUUCUUAUACUUUGGUAAAAUAUGGUUAUAUUUUAAAGUAUAAUUCUUGGUCAGAGUGUUUUAUCCCUUUGUAUUUAUAGGCUGUAUAUCUUUUAUGAAUUGAUAUACUUAGCUCACUAUAAACAAUGCUCUGAUACCAAUCUGUCACACCCCAAAACCGGAACGGCGGAAACGUUCUGGGGUGGAUGACGUCAUGUCAAGUAUCACAACACAUGCAUUAUAGUAAUCAAAGUACAACAACCAUUGCAUUAAUAGUAAUAGUUUUACAUGGUUUACAUUACAAUACACCAAAGUAAUACAAGUAAUAGAAUAAGUAUAGCUUGGAACUAAGCUAUCUUCAUCAACAGCUCCGGGAUUGUACCUGUCUAAUGCUGACCUCUAAGCUAUCUUCAUCAACAACUCCGGGAUUGUACCUGUCUAAUGCUGACCUGAGUAUACAAGUUAUUUGAAAAGCGAGUAUCAGCAUUUUUACAAAUGCUGGUGAGUUCAUAAGUAUUUAGUGUCAUUUUAUCCAAAUAACUUUAACAAAAGUGGUAGUUUUAGAGUGUCCAUUACAUUAGUGUCUUUUCUAGAAAAUCCUAUAUUUUCUUUAGUAAAAGCAGUCUUCUACCAAGACUGGACGGAGUUAUGUGGUAAAAAGUAGUUUUCCCUUAAUCGCUAUCACUAUCAAAAUACAGAAUUUGAUUAUUAAAGAAAGCAGGAGAAAUCAGGGAAAAUAACAUAUGCCUCAACAGUGAAGACUGCUGACUAAGGCAAAAGGAAUCAUAGACUCCAGGAGAGUAUCGAACGAACGACACGCCUGGCUCAGUCUAACAAAGGGAGACACAGACCCCAGACGGUACCAAAUGAAAGGUACAGCUGGCAAGGUCAAAACAGAGAAUACAGACCCCAGACAGUAUCAAAUGAAAGAUACAACUAGCAAGGUCUAAAAACAGAGAAUACAGACCCCAGACAGUAUCAAAUGAAAGAUACAGCUAGCAAGGUCUAAAAACAGAGAAUACAGACCCCAGACAGUAUCAAAUGAAAGAUACAACUAGCAAGGUCUAAAAACAGAGAAUACAGACCCCAGACAGUAUCAAAUGAAAGAUACAGCUAGCAAGGUCUAAAAACAGUGUGACUCUGAGAGUGGGUUUCCAGCAUACAGUGUAAAUUGCUGGUGAAAUACCGUUACCUUAAGGCCAUGAAUUAUAAGGUAACCUGGGAUACUCGUAACCAUACUAACCGACACUAGAGUACCUGACGCCCUGCAAGCGUCUAUAGAAUAUGACAUUUGUCACCCCUUGGCUUGGUAGGCCGUGGACUGUAGCUAGCAGUCAGGGUGCGGGGGUGUCAAUCCCGUAUAGAUCUAUACACACAAUGUCCGCUCUCCCUACAGGAGACUCUGGUUACCAACUAGACGACGGAGAAGGCCGUGUCCCGAAGAUGCAUCCCAAAUAGUGGGUAGUGGGUUUCCAAUAUAAGUGUUGAACUAGAGGUAGAGACUCAUAACUGAACUGACUAGAGUAAACCUAUAUGUCUAUGCUCGUAUACAUAAUAUAUAACUAAUGAAUCAAACGACCUUCGGACGGACAUCCGAUCCCACCAGACCACAUCUCAACGAAGAAAAGGAAAUAGGGCGAACAAGCCUUCCUAAGUCCUUCAACCAUUAUUUAUAUGCAUCUAUACAAGCAUAGGCAUACAUCCAACUACGUUUGAGUGUGUAACAAGUGGAAAUUUCUCGAAGUAUAACCAAAUCGUGAUGUAUAACCGAAUCGUAUGUAAUAACCAAAUCGUGAAGUAUAAGUGUACAGUGUGGAAUAACCGAAUUGUGAAGUAUAAGCGUACAGUGUGGAAUAACCGAAUUGUGAAGUAUAAGUGUACAGUGUGGAAUAACCGAAUCGUGAAGUAUAAGUGUUACCAAAUAUAAGUGUAUCACGAAGUAGAAGCGACAACAAGUGAAGUAGGAGCGUAUCGAGUAUAAGUGAAGUAGAAGCGAUAUCAAGUAUAAGUGAAGUAGAAGCGUAUCACUAAGUAAGAGUGUAAACAAGUAUAAGCAUUUAACUAAGUAGAAGUAUCCACUAAGUAAAAGUAUAACAAGGCAGUGGUAUAUAACGAGUGGGGUAUCAAAACAUGGAAGAAAACUUUAUACUUAAGAAAAUCACGACUGGGUAUUCCUUUGUAAAAUAAGUUUGAAAACCUUUAGAAUUUCUUUGGAAACCUUUCAUAAAUCAGUUUUAAAUGAAACUUUGAUAAAACAAUAUAAGUAAGAGAUUUGAACAAGUGGAAACAUUUUAGAAAACCAUUUACAGUAUCAAACUCGGUAAAACAGUUAACAGUGUGGUAAAUCCUUGUGCAUGCGGGUUAUCAAUCACAUGUGAUUGAUAUGAUAACUGGCAUGUUUAACUUGUAUUCUUCCCCUAUAAAACAUGUAAAAACGUUUAAAAUGUUCAUUUAGGGGUAUGAACUCACCUGGUGUAAGUGGAUCCGACGAAGGUGCCGGUUGGGUGCUCGGUGUCAAGUAAAGACUUGGACACACUUAGUGACCUAUUUAACAUAUGAUAACAUAUGUUCACAUACAAUUAGUACAUUUAAUACUAAUUAAACAAGUAUACGCACUCUAAGGAGCGGAAAACACUUUGGUUAAGUGUUUGGGGUGUCCCGGGUAACAUUUAAGGGCUUGAAUGGCUUAGGAAUGGAGUUUACUCUCCAAGAGUAAACUCUCCAUAUAGUGUUUACGGCCCUGGGACAACUCCCCAUGAGUUUACGGUCUUAAACUCAUGGUGAGGGGUUCUAGGAUGUUUAAAGGCUUUAUCUCGAUCGUGGAAUUUUGCUAGGUCCAAAUCCAAAAGGUAUGAACGGGUUUAAGGUGUUUGAAGGGACCAUAUGGGAGUUUACGGCCCAUGAACCACCCCUAUGGGAGUUCACGGCCGUGAACUCCUACCCUCUUGAUUUUAUGGAAGUUUAAGGCUCUUAUUCCAAUCCUAGUAAUUAUUCAAGGCUAUAGGGGUGUUUGGGGUUCCAAGAGUGCACUCCCUUGGAGUUUCUGAUCCAAAUGACCACUCCUUGGGAGUUUACGGCCGUAAGCUCUUGGCUUGGCCGUGAACUCUCAUGUACCCCUUUAAACUUUGAUUUUUAUGCCCUUGUUUCAACCCUAGCAUUUUCUAGUGAAGGUAUAAGGCCACUUAGGGGACAUUUACUAUCAUUUGGCAUGGUUUGGGGGUGUUUACGGCCUAAGCAUGUGCUUGGACCGUCAACUCCUUUUUACCCCUCAUUUCUUAGUGUUUAAUUGUUCAAAACCCGAAAUAGCAAGUCCCUAUUUUAUGUCUUANCCUAUUUUAUUCUUAAGCCUAAGGGUGGUUUGGCAGUGUUUGGAACUUGAUUUUACAAGUUUAGAGGGUGUUUACGGCCUAAGCAUGUGUUGGGCCGUAAACCCUCUUUUAAUUCCCAAAAUUGAUUGUUUUAUGGUUCAAACAUCCCUAGGCAAAAUCCCCAAUUGGUUUCUAGGCUUCAAGGGAUAAAUUUGGGUCAUUUUUGCCUCUUUUUAGGGGUUUACGGCCUAAGGAGGCUCUUAGGCCGUAAACUCCUUUUCGAAAGCUUAAAUGGUCUAUUUUUGUGCUAUAAUGACAUGCAAUAGGUUGUAAAACAAGCUAGGGUACAAGAACUUACGAUUUGGAGGCGGAAACUUGCGGUUUUUGGGACGAAAUCGGGUUUUAUGAGAGAGAGUAUAGAGAGAGGGUGAAAAAGGUUGAAAUGGAGUUUACUCCCCCUUAUAUAGGGGCUUGAGUUGAAGCACAGUGGAAAUCUACCCGAUACUGCCGUUAGACGGGGCUUUUGGUCGCACCCGAUUUAGUGGUCGUAAUAAUAAAAACCAACUUUUUCCAAUUAAAUGGAAAUGUAUAUUACGUGUUUUUAUUUAUCUUAUCACGACGUUAACAACAUAAAAUAUAAAUAAAUAAAACGUUUAUUUAUUUGGCGACCCCUAAUUAACGGAACUUUUAUAAAAUGGAAUAUUCCGUUAACGGUAACGGGGUAAUGUAACGGAAUGAACUUUGGGUUGUCACAAACUUGUCAUUAACAUCCUUGUGAACUAAUUCAUCGUUUGGCAAUGGAAUAAAAUCAAAACGCAUGUAAGGAUUCACACCAUACACCACUUCAAAAGGAGAGUGACAUGUUGCAUAAGUAGGAGAAUGAUUAAAGGGACACUCAGCAUGUGCAAGUUUGAUGUCCAAUGUUUUUGGGUUUUGCUAACCAACUCCCUCAACAACAUACACAAAGUUCUAUUAGUCACAUUCGUUUUCCCAUCCGUUUGUGGAUGAUAGGAUGUAUUAAAAAGUAACUUAGUACCUACUUUCCUCCACAAGGUGUUCCAAAAGUAACUCAAAAACGUGGAAUCCCUAUCAGAACAAUAGUUUUAGGAAUAAUAUGCAAGCGAACCACGUCUGUAAACUACUAAUAAAAAACAUUAGAUGCAUCAUUGGUUUUAUGACACGACAUAGAGUGAGAAAGUUUUGAAAACCUAUCCACCACCAUUAAAAUGGAAUGCUUCCCCCUUUGAGUUCUAGGCAAAGCCAUAAUGAAUUCCAUUGGCACAUCUUCCCAAGGUCGAAUAGGAACCGGCGAAGGAUGUUUAAACACACUUGCCCACUAUGUUGGUUACAUCCCCAAGAUCUUUAGGCCAGAAGAAAUGUUCUUGAAUCACCUCAAAAGUUUUGUUAAUGGAAAAAUGACUCGCCAAACCAACACCAUGAGCUUCACGAAUCAGCAAGUCCCAUAUUGAAUGUUUAGGGACAAAAAGGUGAUUGCCUUUGGAUGCCUUUAUGGGCUUGAUUAAGUGAGUAGGGUUGUGUUUAGGUAAAUUAAGCUAGAAUAACAACCACAAAUGGUAGGUGUAUGGGAAGAAAUGAAUAGAUUAAUAAGAAAUCAAGACGUACUAAGUUGUAUGCCGGGGAAAACUAUCCAAGAAUAAUAUUUGAUUGGAUGCGUAUCAAGUCAAGAACACGUCUCGACUAUGACAAGUAGUGAACUAUAACUAUGAUUCAAAGUGAACAAAGGUUCUUUUGAUUAAAAUUAUAUCUAUUUUUUCGUGCAUACUUGUCUUAUAUUAAGCAUUUAUUAGAAAGUUGGUGGUUACAAGCCACCCAACCAACUACUCAGUGAAACUAAUAAUGAAAAUUAAAAAAAAAACUCUUGAAACCACACAGAAAAACCCCUUACACUCUAAUGAAUGUAAGACAAGUCCAUGAUUAAGGAGCUACAAGAAGCAUUAAAGUGUAACCCUAAUCCACCAAAGAAUAUCAAAAUGGCUAAGAGGCUUUAAAAAGCAAAAAUUAACGGUUUUGAGCACUUAUGAAGCCUUUAAAAUGUUGCUUUAGCCUUCAUGCGACCCUAAUUCAAUUCGUAGGUUACCAUGCACAACCCAACCAUUUAGCCCAAACCACCUUCUAGCCUACUAGUAAUCCUUAAUCCAUCACCUUUUGGGCUGUCAUGAUCCAUGCAUGGAUCAUCCCCUCCCCCUUUUAAAAGAUAUGACCUCAAUUCAUUUAGGCCAUCCUCAACAAGAUACGGUAAAAGGUCUCCCACAUUAAAGGAAGCAUGCACUCCAUGGUCUCUUUCCUAAUCCACCUUAUAAGCAUUAUCAUUGACACGUGACACCACUUUGUAAGGACCUUCAGCUCUUGGCAUCAACUUUUGUUCUUCCUUUUGUUAGGAAACGUUCUUUCCUCAUAUGAACCUAAACCAAGUCACCAUCUUGAAAGACACAUGGUUUCCUAUGCAUGUUGGAAUCCUGUUUGUACAUGUCAUUCACGGUUUCAAUCUUCACACAAACUUGUUGGUGUAGUUUUAUAAUGGCCUUCAACUUGUCAUUAACAUCCUUGUGAACCAAAUCAUCUUUUGGCAAUGGAAUCAAAUCCAAAGGCAUGUAAGGGGUCAAACCAUACACAACUUCAAAGGGAGAGUGACCUGUAGCAUAAGUAGGAUGAUAGUAUCUUCACACCCCCUCAACAUAGUACCCAAAGUUCUAUUAGACACCUUCGUUUGCCCAUCAAUUUGUGGAUGAUAGUAUGUACUAAAAAGUAACUUAGUACCUACUUUUCUCCACAAAGUGUUCCAAAAGUAACUCAAAAACAUGGAAUCCCUAUCAGAACAAUAGUUUUAGGAAUAAUAUGCAAACGAACCACCUCUGUUAAGUACAAAUGAAAAACAUUAGAUGCAUCAUUGGCUUUAUGACAAAACAUAGAGUGAGAAAGUUUUGAAAACCUAUCCACGACCACUAUCAUGGAAUCCUUCCCCCUUUGAAUUCUAGGCUAAGCCAUAAUGAAUUCCAAUGACAUAUCUUCCCAAGGCCAAACAAGAACUGGCAAAGGACGUUUAAACACCAUGCUUGAAAGUUUUUUUCGUCAUCCGACAUGUAACACACUUGCCCACUAUGUUGGUUACAUCCCAAACAUAUUUAGGCCAGAAGAAAUGUUCUUGAAGCACCUCCAAAGUCUCGUUAAUUGAAAAAUGACCCGCGCAAACCACCACCAUGAGCUUCACGAAUCAGCAAGUCCCGUAUUGCACGUUUAGGGACACAAAGGUGAUUGCCUUUUGAUGCCUUUAUGGCUUGAUUAAGUGAGUAGGGUUGUGUUUAGGUAAAUUAAGCUAGAAUAACAACCACAAAUGAUAGGUGUACGAGAAGAAAUGACCAUAUUAAUAAGAAAUCAAGACAUACUAAGUUGUAUACCAGUGAAAAUUAACCAAGAAUAAUAUUUGAUUGAAUGCAUAUCAAGUCAAGAACACGUCUCGAAUAUGACAAGUAGUAAACUAUAACUAUAAUUCAAAGUGAACAAAGGUUCUUUUGAUUAAAAUUAUAUCUAUUUUAUUUAAUGCACACUCUGCUUAUAUUAAGCCUUUAUUAGAAAGUUGGUGGUUACAAUCCACCCAACCAACUACUCAGUGAAACUAAUAAUGAAAAUUAAAGAAACUCAUGAAACCACACAAAAAAACCUCUGACACACUAAUGAAUGUAAAAAACGUCCAUACUCAGUUAAGCAGCCACAAGAAGCAUUAAAGUGUAACCCUAAUCCACCAAAGAGUAUCAAAAUGGCUAGGAGGCUUUAUGAAGCAAAAAAGUAACGAUUUUGAGUACUUAUGAAGCGUUUAAAAUGUUGCUUUAGCCUUCAUGCGACCCUAAUUCAAUUCGUAGGUUACGAUGCACAACCCAACCAUUGAUCCCAAACCACCUUCUAGCCUACUAGUAAUCCUUAAUCCAUCACCUUUUGGCUUUCAUUAUCCAUGCAUGGAUCAUGCCCACCCCUUUGAAAAGACAUGAUCUCAGUUCAUUAAGGCCAUCCUUAGUAAGAUACGGUGAAAGGUCUCCCACAUUAAAAGAAGCAUACACUCCAUGGUCACCUCCUAAAUCCACCUUAUAAGCAUUAUCAUUGACACGUGACACCACUUUGUAAGGACCUUCAGCUCUUAGCAUCAACUUUUGUUCUUCCUUUUGUUAGGAAAUGUUCUUUCCUCAAAUGAACCCAAACCAAGAUACCAUCUUGAAAGACACGUGGUUUCCUAUGCAUGGUGGAAUUCUAUUUGUACACGUCAUUCAUGGUUUUAAUCUACACAUGAACUUGGUUGUGUAGUUUUAUCAUGGCCUUCAACUUGUCAUUAACAUCCUUUUGAACCAAUUCAUCCCUUGGCAAUGGUAUCAAAUCCAAAGGCAUAUAAGGAUUCACACCAUACACCACUUCAAAACAGAGUGACCUGUAGCAUAGGUAGGAGAACGAUUACAGGGAUACUCAGCAUGUGCAAGUUUUAUGUCCAAUGUUUUUGAGUUUUGCUUACCAACCCCCUCAACAACGUACCCAAAGUUCUAUUAGUCACCUUCGUUUGCCCAUCAGCUUGUGGAUGAUACGAUGUACUAAAAAGUAACUUAGUACCUACUUUCCUCCAUAAAGUGUUCCAAAAUUAACUCAAAAACGUGGAAUCCCUAUCAGACAAUAGUUUUAUAAAUAAUAUGCAAGCGAACCACCUCUGUAAAGUACAAAUCAAACACAUUAGAUGCAUCACUGGUUUUAUGACACGACAUAGAGUGAGAAAGUUAUGAAAACCUAUCCACCACCACUAUAAUGGAAUCCUUCCCCCUUUAAGUUCUAGUCAAAGCCAUAAUGAAUUCCAUCAACACAACUUCUGAAGGUCGAAUUGGAACCGGCAAAGGAUGUUUAAACACCGUGCUUGAAAGUUUUUUUCGUCAUUCGACAUGUAUCACACUUGCCCACUAUGUUGGUUACAUCCCCUACAUCUUUAGGCUAGAAGAAAUGUUCUUGAAGCAGCUACGAAGUCUUGUUAAUGGAAAAAUGACCCGCCAAACCACCACCAUGAGCUACACAAAUCAGCAAGUCCCGUAUUGCAUGUUUAGGGACACAAAGGUGAUUGCCUUUUGAUACCUUUAUGGGAUUGAUUAGGUGAGUAUGGUUUUUUUAGGUAAAUUAAGCUAGAAUAACAAACACAAAUGAUAGGUGUAUGGGAAUAAUAGAUUAAUAAGAAAUCAAAACGUACUAAGUUGUAUACCGGUGAAAACUAUCCAAGAAUAAUAUCUGAUUGAAUGCGUAUAAAGUCAAGAACACGUCUUGACUUCGACAAGUAGUGAACCACAACUAUAAUUCAAAGUGAACAAAGGCUCUGUUGAUUAAAAUGAUGUCUUUUUUUUCAUGCAUAGUUGGCUUAUAUUAAGCCUUUAUUAGAAAGUUGGUGGUUACAAGCCACCCAACUACUCAGUGAAACUAAUAAUGAAAAUUAAAAAAAACUCAUGAAUCCAAACAAAAAAACCUCUAACAUACUAAUGAAUGUAAAAAAACGUCCAUGCUCCAUUAAGGAGCCACAAGAAACAUUAAAGUGUAACCAUAAUCCACCAAAGAGUAUCAAAAUGGCUAGGAGGCUUUAUGAAGCAAAAAGUAAUGGUUUUGAGCACUUAUGAAGCCUUUAAAAUAUUGCUUUAGCCUUCAUGCGACCCUAAUUCAAUUUGUAGGUGACCAUGCAUAACCCAACCAUUUAGCCCAAACCACCUUCUAGCCUACUAGUAAUCCUUAAUCCAUCACCUUUUGGGUUGUCAUGAUCCAUGCAUGGAUCAUCCCCUCCCCCUUUUAAAAUAUAGGACCUCAACAUAUUUAAGGCUAUCCUCGACAAGAUACGGUAAAAGGUCUCCCACAUUAAAGGAAACAUGCACUCCACGGUCUCUUCCCAAAUCCACCUUAUAAGCAUUAUCAUUGACACAUGACACCACUUUGUAAGCUCCUUCAGCUCUUGGCAUCAACUUUUGUUCUUCCUUUUGUUAUGAAACGUUCUUUCCUCAUAUGAACCUAAACCAAGUCAGCAUCUUGAAAGACACGUGGUUUCCUAUGCAUGUUGGAAUUCUGUCUGUACAUGUCAUUCACAGUUUCAAUCUUCACACGAACUUGUUGGUGUAGUUUUAUCAUGGCGUUCAACUUGUCAUUAACAUCCGUAUGAACCAAUUCAUCCUUUGGCAAUGGAAUCAAAUCCAAUGGCAUGUAAGGAUUCACACCAUACACCACUUCAAAAGGAGAGUGACCUGUAAGAUAAGUAGGAGAACGAUUAGAGAGAUACUCAGCAUGUGCAAGUUUGAUAUCCAGUGUUUUUGAGUUUUGCUAACCAACCCCCUCAAUAACGUAACCAAAGUUCUACUAGUCACCUUCGUUUGCCCAUCAGUUUGUGGAUGAUAGGAUGUAAUAAAAAGUAACUUAGUACAUACUUUCCUCCACAAAGUUUUCCAAAAGUAACUCAAAAAUGUGGAAUCCCUAGUCAGAACAAUAGUUUUAGGAAUAAUAUGCAAGCGAACCACCUCUGUAAAGUACAAAUCUAACACAUUAGAUGCAUCAUUGGUUUAUGACACGACAUAGAGUGAGAAAGUUUUGAAAACCUAUCGACCAACACUAUAAUGGAAUCAUUCCCCCUUUGAGUUCUAGGUAAAGCCAUAAUGAAUUCCGUUGACACGUCUUCCCAAGGCCGAAUAGGAACCGGCAAAGGAUGUUUAAACACCAUGCUUGAAAGUUUUUUUCGUCAUCCGACAUGUAACACACUUGUCCACUAUGUUGGUUACAUCCCCAACAUCUUUAGGCUAGAAGAAAUGUUCUUGAAGCACCUCCAAAGUCUUAUUAAUGGAAAAUGACACGCCAAACCACCACCAUGAGCUUCACGAAUCAGCAAGUCCCGUAUUGCAUGUUUAGGGACACAAAGGCGAUUCCCUUUUGAUACCUUUAUGGGCUUGAUUAAGUGAGUAGGGUUUUGUUGAGGUAAAUUAAGCUAGAAUAACAACAAAAAAUGAUAGGUGUAUAGGAAUAAAUGAAUAGAUUAAUAAGUAAUCAUGACGUACUAAGUUGUAUACCAGUGAAAACUAUCCAAGAAUAAUAUUUCAUUGAAUGCGUAUCAAGUCAAGAACACGUCUCGACUAUGACAAGUAGUGAACUAUAACUAUAAUUCAUAGUGAACAAAGGUUCUAUUGAUUAAAAUUAUAUCUAGUUUUUUUCAUGCGUACUUGGCUUAUAUUAAGCCUUUAUUAGAAAGUUAGUGGUUACAAGCCACCCAACCAACUACUCAGUGAAACUAAUAAUGAAAAUUAAAAAAAAAUGCAUGAAACCACAUAAAAAAACCUCUGACACACUAAUGAAUGUAAAAACGUCCACGCUCCAUUAAGGAGCCACAAGAAGCAUUAAAGUGUAACCCUAAACCACCAAAGAGUAUCAAAAUGGCUAGGAACAUCUAUGAAGCAUAAAGUACCGGUUUUGAUCACUUAUGAAGCCUUUAAAAUGUUGCUUUAGACUUCAUGCGAUCCUAAUUCAAUUCAUACGUUACCAUGCACAACCCAACCAUUGAGCCCAAACCACCUUCUAGCCUAUUAUUAAUCUUUAAUCCAUCACCUUUUGGGCUUUCAUGAUCCAUGCAUGGAUCAUCCCCUCCCCCUUUUAAAAUAUAGGACCUCAAUAUAUUUAAGGCUAUCCUCGACAAGAUACGGUGAAAGGUCUCCCACAUUAAAGGAAACAUGCACUCCACGGUCUCUUCCCAAAUCCACCUUAUAAGCAUUAUCAUUGACACAUGACACCACUUUGUAAGGUCCUUCAGCUCUUGGCAUCAACUUUUGUUCUUCCUUUUGUUAAGAAACGUUCUUUCCUCAUAUGAACCUAAACCAAGUCAGCAUCUUGAAAGACACGUGGUUUCCUAUGCAUGUUGGAAUUCUGUCUGUACAUGUCAUUCACAGUUUCAAUCUUCACACGAACUUGUUGGUGUAGUUUUAUCAUGGCGUUCAACUUGUCAUUAACAUCCGUAUGAACCAAUUCAUCCUUUGGCAAUGGAAUCAAAUCCAAUGGCAUGUAAGGAUUCACACCAUACACCACUUCAAAAGGAGAGUGACCUGUAAGAUAAGUAGGAGAACGAUUAGAGAGAUACUCAGCAUGUGCAAGUUUGAUAUCCAGUGUUUUUGAGUUUUGCUAACCAACCCCCUCAAUAACGUAACCAAAGUUCUACUAGUCACCUUCGUUUGCCCAUCAGUUUGUGGAUGAUAGGAUGUAAUAAAAAGUAACUUAGUACAUACUUUCCUCCACAAAGUUUUCCAAAAGUAACUCAAAAAUGUGGAAUCCCUAGUCAGAACAAUAGUUUUAGGAAUAAUAUGCAAGCGAACCACCUCUGUAAAGUACAAAUCUAACACAUUAGAUGCAUCAUUGGUUUAUGACACGACAUAGAGUGAGAAAGUUUUGAAAACCUAUCGACCAACACUAUAAUGGAAUCAUUCCCCCUUUGAGUUCUAGGUAAAGCCAUAAUGAAUUCCGUUGACACGUCUUCCCAAGGCCGAAUAGGAACCGGCAAAGGAUGUUUAAACACCAUGCUUGAAAGUUUUAUUCGUUAUCCGACAUGUAACACACUUGUCCACUAUGUUGGUUACAUCCCCAACAUCUUUAGGCUAGAAGAAAUGUUCUUGAAGCACCUCCAAAGUCUUAUUAAUGGAAAAUGACACGCCAAACCACCACCAUGAGCUUCACGAAUCAGCAAGUCCCGUAUUGCAUGUUUAGGGACACAAAGGCGAUUCCCUUUUGAUACCUUUAUGGGCUUGAUUAAGUGAGUAGGGUUUUGUUGAGGUAAAUUAAGCUAGAAUAACAACAAAAAAUGAUAGGUGUAUAGGAAUAAAUGAAUAGAUUAAUAAGUAAUCAUGACGUACUAAGUUGUAUACCAGUGAAAACUAUCCAAGAAUAAUAUUUCAUUGAAUGCGUAUCAAGUCAAGAACACGUCUCGACUAUGACAAGUAGUGAACUAUAACUAUAAUUCAUAGUGAACAAAGGUUCUAUUGAUUAAAAUUAUAUCUAGUUUUUUUCAUGCGUACUUGGCUUAUAUUAAGCCUUUAUUAGAAAGUUAGUGGUUACAAGCCACCCAACCAACUACUCAGUGAAACUAAUAAUGAAAAUUAAAAAAAAAUGCAUGAAACCACAUAAAAAAACCUCUGACACACUAAUGAAUGUAAAAACGUCCACGCUCCAUUAAGGAGCCACAAGAAGCAUUAAAGUGUAACCCUAAACCACCAAAGAGUAUCAAAAUGGCUAGGAACAUCUAUGAAGCAUAAAGUACCGGUUUUGAUCACUUAUGAAGCCUUUAAAAUGUUGCUUUAGACUUCAUGCGAUCCUAAUUCAAUUCAUACGUUACCAUGCACAACCCAACCAUUGAGCCCAAACCACCUUCUAGCCUAUUAUUAAUCUUUAAUCCAUCACCUUUUGGGCUUUCAUGAUCCAUGCAUGGAUCAUCCCCUCCCCCUUUGAAAAGAUAUGACCUUAAUUCAUUAAGGCCAUCCUCAACAAGAUACGGUGAAAGGUCUCCCAUAUUAAAGGAAGCAUGCACUCCAUGGUCUCCUCCUAAAUCCACCUAAUAAGCAUUAUGAUUGACAAGUGACACGACUUUGUAAGGACCUUCACCUCUUGGCAUCAACUUUUGUUCUCCCUUUUGUUAGGAAACAUUCUUUCUUCAUAUGAACCUAAAUCAAGUCACCAUCUUGAAAGACACGUGGUUUCCUAUGCAUGUUGGAAUUCUAUUUGUACACGUCAUUCACGUUUCAGUCCUCACACGAACUUGUUGGUGUAGUUUUAUCAUGGCUUUCAACUUGUCAUUAACAUCCUUGUGAACCAAUUCAUCCUUUGGCAAUGGAAUCAAAUCCAAAGGCAUGUAAGGAUUCACACCAUACACCACUUCAAAAGGAGAGUGAACUGUAGUACAAGUAGGAGAACGAUUAUAGGGAUACUCAGCAUGUGCAAGUUUGAUAUUGAUUCGUGCUUUAAUUAGGAUGACCUAACCCUUACAUUUUCUAGAGUUCCAUGAUUGGGUGGCAAGAAGGGCUUCAUGAAAAUGAUCAUAACUAGCUUAAUUGAGUUGAAGAAUCUUAAUAAUCGGCUUAUUAAUUGUUGCCAUAAUGGAACUUUAAUAUUUCAAUAAUCGGUCAUUAAUUAGUUUAAUGAUGAGACUUUAAUAGUUAUUUAAUUGCUUUAGACUUUUGAUAUUUCCAAGAGUUAUGUUAUUAGCACUAUAAAUAGAGUUCAUACUUGUACUUGAAAACCCUUUAUCUUUUAUAGAAAAAUCAAAAUUUUGUUCGUCCCUUUCUUGAAUUAUUGCUUAUAAUUCAAAUUUGUAUCAUUGUUUGGGACGUGAUCUCAUUCGUGAUUUUUGAAUUCAAUUCAAUAGGUCUUGGAUUGUUUUCACCGAUUUUCAAGUUAUAGGUCUAACUUGAUCAUCAUACUAUCCAUUGUUACUUGUUUGUGUUAUUCACUUGCAAAACCGUUCCAAAUAUAACCAAAAACAGCCCCAUUUGCAUUGUUUCUUCUCUACUUGUUAUCAUUUCGCUGCAAUCAGAAACACUCCAAAACAAAACCUCCCAUACACGUACCAUAAGUGGUAUUAGAGCCCAGUUCUGAUUGGGUGUUAUUGACUUCUUGUUUAGUAAAAAAGAGGUUCCUGUCGAGUGUUGCUGAUUUGUUAUUGUUAAGUUCUUGGGAAAAUCUGUUGUUGCUGUUACUGAAGAAAAAAUAAAGUUAUGCCAAGUGUUAUCACGAAUUCAGUUAUAAUGAAUUGCGAUGAUCUGAAUUUUCUUCGUGUUCUUCGUGAAGCUAUGCAGUAUGUAUCCAAAGAAUCAAGUCGAAGGAAACCUAGGCGUGAGCAGCCAAGGAAUGUGGGGGAGUUGAAGAUAAAUGAACUGCCUAAAUUCGUUGGAGGAUUCAAUCCAGAAAAAUAUUUGGAUUGGGAGAAGGUGAUGGAAAGAGUUUUUCAGUUCAAAUGUGUGGACGAUGAAUGGAGUUGCAAAUAUGCCAUUCUAAGGUUGAGAGGAGAAGCUAAAUUGUGGUAUGAAAAGUUGAAGGAAAAAAGAACCCGUGAAGGAAAGGGAAAGCUUUCUUCUUGGGAUCUCUGAAACGAAAACUCCGAGAGAGGUAUGCGCCAAUGACCUUGGAGACUGUUAAUUUCAAAAGAAGGGUAGAGAUAUUUACAAAGGCAUUUAUGAUCAAAGAGGAAGAAGAAGAGUACAAAGCAUUGGUUGUUGACACGGUUUUGGUACUUGAAACAUCACAAACCAUUGAUGACAAGGCUGAUGUUGCCGAUGUCAAGGUGGAAGAAGUCAAGGUGGAAGAGGUUAAUUUAUUUGUUGAAGAUGAAAUUGUUGAAGUAACUAUUGAAGAAAACAAUUUCAUGAUUAGAGAUGAUAAUAGUAAAGAAAUGGAUGAAUUCACUGAAGAAGUUGAAGAAGGAGAUAACUCCAAGAUUGAAAUUGUUGAAAGUGUGGAUGCAAUCGUGGAAGAAAAUAAUUUUGUUAAUGUGAACAAAUUUUUGAGAAGGAGGUGAUUUUGGUUGAACCAAGAAAGGAAUUCCAAGAGUCCAUGACGUCUACAAUAGUGUAUCCCAUAAAUGACGAACAAGUCCAGAAGCAUUCAACUAUAUUGACGGGUGAAAUCAAUGUGGAGCAAGUUAAAUGCGAAGAUGUGAUUGUGGUGCAAGCGGAUGCGAAAGUGAUGGAGGUUUCACAUCAACAAGACCCACAUGUUGGUUUACCCAUAGUGUGUUAGGAUGUGAUUCCAACAAAUCGACCACCAGAGGAGACGAAAGGGUGAUGUUUGUGUGAACCCUUAUGCUAUUGUUUUUUUUUUUGUCUUUCACUAUUACUUUUGAUAAAAAGUUUUGCGUGAUUGGAUAUGGUGACGUUUUGUUCGUGAUUCAAAGAGUUCAAGGCCAAUUAUUAUUGGAUGAUGAUAGAAUGUUGUACCCUCCAGAAGACCAUAUGAGGGAGGUUUCACAAGGAAAUAUUCUUGGUGGUUGCGAUCAGACACGAAAAGUUGCUUCGCAUGGCAAAUCAAAAUUUUUGUGUUGGCUACAGACAACUGAUGUUGUUAUUGGUUCACCAUUUGUCAUUCAAGAACAUCAGAAGAUAUGGAGUGAAUUUGGUGAUGAAAGAACGGAGAAGGAUGGUGUCCAUUCUGUUACAACCAUCUUUCAAAGAGAAAAAAGGUGUGAAUCAACAUGAAGAAUCAUGUCCCAAGUAUUCACAUGGGAAAGGGUUCAUAAUGUUUGGAUUCUUAUUUUUGUGGUGUACCUUAAGUUGGGAAGCCUCAAUGUUGGGACAUGUGAUUCAUCAAUCCACAAAUGCAAACCAUGAUUCGUUCUUUCAAAGGACUGCUGUUAACCAUUUCUAUUUUCACAAAGUUAAUUUUCAGGGUCCUUAUCUUGUUCAUGACAAGUUGCGAAAAUGGUUUUUGUUCCACAAAUGGGGAGCGUGGUUGGGAAUAAAUUCAACAAGUUCUUCAAGAUAUUCAAAGAAGAAUGUUUGUAGAUGGAGGCGAGACAAAUUGGUGAAGGAGGAAAGCCAACAUUGUUCUCGUUCAUUACAAGGAUAAACAUCAUUUCAAACACAAGGAAGUGAUUAUCGUUGCAAUUGGUCACAUCGUUAUGAUUGGAAAAGUUACAUCAUUGCAAUUGAAAUAGUUGCAUCGUUGGAACGAAAGGAAGUUAUCAUUACGAUCAGUCUGUUAUGGUGUUGUUGGUAAUGAAUAAGAAACAUGUGAUAGUUACUCCUAUGUUGAUAUGGCCAAAUCUUUUCUAUCUUUUCAAGUUCAUGAUUAUAUACCAAAUCUUGGUGUAUCACAAUAGCAGGGAACAAUAUUUGGUGAAGUUUAAGUAGUUGUUUGAAGCCCCUAGAUCUCAAAUAUUAUAUGAGAAGCAGGAGAAGAGUUUAGUCCUUGUUGUUUCAAAAGGGGAAGGGAAUUCGAAAGGCAAGGUUCACAAAGCAAGGACGUUAAUCAGAAACAAACAAGCCUUUAGUACUCUUAUGAAAACUGAGAACUACUAUGCUGAUGGUGGUAAUUUCAAUGAUCUUGGACAAUGUGCUAAAGGUGCCAAAGAAGAUUUUGUGAUGCAUAAUUGUUUUUUCUUCAAUGGGAAACAAAAUUUUGUUCUAAGGUGUUAGAUUCAUGAAUGGUUAGUACGAGAAGCAUGUGGUGAUGGUUUAACAUGUCAUUUUGGGAUGAUCAAGACUUUGGAAGUGUUCAAAGGGCAUUUCCUUUGGCCCAAAAUGUUGUAGUUGCAUAGAGUUUUCAAGACGAAUGUUUCAGACCAUGAAUCUAAGUUUUUGAGUUACUUCUGGAAUACCAUACUGAGGAAGAUCGGUUUCUUUUCAUCAUAUCUUGAAGAUGCUCGUCUUGCAGAAUUGUGUUCAAUUCCUUUUGAAGUGGGAAGGGAUGAUAUGAAUUUGGAUUGCAAUUCCCAAUCUUCAAGUUCUAACCCAAUUUGGAUCGUAAUGGGCUCAUCUCUUGAUAUAAGUAUGGAUGAUGUGAGCUAUAAUAAUGAUAAAUUGGUACUCGCCACAUGGCAAUGUAACAUGGCAUGUGUUGUGGCAAAAUUUGUGUGCAUGGUAACAUGGGAAGCUGGUAUGGACGUGGAUUAAUGCAUGAGAGUUACAAUGGAGAUGGUUAAGUGUGAUGGAGUUAUGGAGUGGGAGUUACAAAUAAAUCAUUAAUGUGACAGAGUUAUGGAGUGGGAGUUACAAAUAAAUUAUUAGUAGUCAUUAGUGGAGUGGGAGUUACAAAUGAAUCAUUAGCGGUCAUUAUUGGUGUGUUUAUUUCAGCUUUUAAUAAGCCUUUAGUUGGCGUAGUUAUUACAGUGUCUUUUGAGUUUUUAACCGUUAUCUCGUAAGGCUAUAUAUAGUCAUUUCCUUUCAUUUGUAAGGAGAGAACUAUGUUUUUGAAUAUAUUAAAAAUUGAACUGUUGUUCAUUCUGAGUUGUUGUGACAAUUCAAAGUUUGAUCCUUAUUAGGACGCACCUCUUAAUAUUGAUCUUGAACUCAAGUUAAUUGGUCUUAACUUGUUUUCACAGAAUUUCAAGCUAUAUGUCUAGUUUGAUAUUCAAAUGUAUCCCUUUUUCUUUAUUCUGUUCUUGGCAAACCCAUUGUUGUUUAUCCCGCUGCAUUUUCAAACCCAUUUGAUAUUAUUUAUGGUGUCAAUCCCAAUAUUAGAAUUAGUUGAUGUGUUAGAAGUCUAGAUUCGUGUUAGUUGUGCUUGGAGUGGUCCAUACACGUAUCAUAAGUGGUAUCAGAGCCUAGUUCCGAUUGGGUGUCGUUAAGCAAGACAAAUUCCUGGUUCAACAUGUCUCCAACGAAUGAGAAUCUUGAAUUUGUUGGACUAGAAGCAUAUCUCUCGAGUUUUUCUGAAUCUGGCUCACUAUUUUGGGACGUGGUGGAUAAGGAUAACAAUGGUCGUUUUUGUGACACUGAUUCCUUUUACGACAUGGAACCUGUCUAUGACACUGAAGAUGAAGGCGAGUUCGUUGAAGAAGAAGUUUAUGUUGAAAAUAAUAUUUCUUUUUCAAAAUUCUUAGUUGAGGAAAUUGGUCAUGAUAAUAUCUACGAAGAGUUUUCUGGUUUUUAACCAUGAUCUACUUUCAAUGGAUACUCAAGAAAUCAAAAUCAAGGAAUCUAACGAGUCUACCAAAAACAUAUGUGAUCAAGACUAUUUCCCCGCUUGGUACGUUUUUGUUCGUUUUAAACUUUGGAAAUCGUUUUCCCUUUGGAAACCGUGGGCAAGAGGAAUUAAAGAUGAAGACUUGAGAAUAAAGACGAAGACUCGAGGACAAGUCUUUUUUUAAGAGGGGGAGAAUGAUGCGUGAUUUAACAAGGAUGACCCAACCCUUACGUUUUCUAGAGUUUCAUGAUUGGGUGGCAAGAAGGGCUUAAUGAAAAUGAUCAUAACUAGCUUAAAUGAGUUGAAGAAUCUUCAUAAUCGGCUUAUUAGUUGCUGCCAUAAUGGAUCUUUAAUAUAUCAAUAAUGGGUCAUUAAUGAGUUUAAUAAUGAGACUUUAAUAGUUAUUUAAUUGCUAAGACUUUUGAUAUUUCCGAGAGUUAUGUCAUUUGCACUACAAAUAGAGUUCAUACUUGUACUUGAAAACCAGUUAUCUUUUGUAGAAAAAUAAGAACUUUGUUCAUCCCUUUCUUGAAUUAUUGCUUAUAAUUCAGAUUUGUAUCAUUGUUUGGGACGUGAUCUCAUUCGUGAUUUUUGAAUACAAUUCAAUAGGUCUUGGAUUGUUUUCACCAAUUUUCAAGUUAUAGGUCUAACUUGAUCAUCAUACUAUCCAUUGUUACUUGUUCGUGUUAUUCCCUUGCAAAACCGUUCCAAAUAUAACAAAAAACAGCCCCAUUUGCAUUGUUUCUUCUCUAUUUGUUAUCAUUUCGCUGCAAUCAGAAACACUCCAAAACAAAACCUCCCAUACACGUACCAGAUAUCUAAUGUUUUUGAGUUUUGCUAGCCAACCCCCUUAACAACGUACCCAAAGUUCUAUUAGUCACAUUCGUUUGCUCAUCAGUUUGUGGAUGAUAGGAUGUACUAAAAAGUAAAUUACUACUUACUUUCCUCCAUAAAAUGUUCCAAAAGUAACUCAAAAACAUGGAAUCCCUAUCAGAACAACAGUUUUAGGAAUAAUAUGCAAGCAAACCACCUCUGUAAAGUACAAAUCAAACACAUUAGAUGCAUCAUUGGUUUUAUGACACGACAUAGAGUGAGAAAGUUUUGAAAACCUAUCCACCACCACUAUAAUGGAAUCCUUCGCCCUUUCAGUUCUAGGCAAAGCCAUAAUGAAUUCAAUCGACACAUCUUCCCAAGGCCGAAUAGGAACCGGCAAAGGAUGUUUAAACACCAUGUUUGAAAGUUUUUUUCAUCAUCCGACAUGUAACACACAUGCGCACUAUGUUGGUUACAUCCCCAACAUCUUUAGGCCAGAAGAAAUGUUCGUGAAGCACCUCCAAAGUCUUGUUAAUGGAAAAAUGACCCGCCAAACCACCACCAUGAGCUUCACGAAUCAGCAAGUCCCAUAUUGAAUGUUUAGGGACACAAAGAUGAUUGCCUUUUGAUACCUUUAUGGGCUUGAUUAAGCGAGUAGGGUUUUGUUUAGGUAAAUUAAGCUAGAAUAACAACCACAAAUGGUAGGUGUAUGGGAAUAAAUGAAUAGAUUAAUAAGUAAUCAUGACUUACUAAGUUGAAUACCGGUGAAAACUAUCCAAGAAUAAUAUUUGAUUGAAUGCGUAUAAAGUCAAGAACACCUCUCGACUAUGAGAAGUAGUGAACUAUAACUAUAAUUCAAAGUGAACAAAGGUUCUAUUGAUUAAAAUUAUAUCUUUUUUUUCAUGUGUACUUGGCUUAUAUUAAGCCUUUAUUAGAAAGUUAGUGGUUACAAACCACACAACCAACUACUCAGUGAAACUAAUAAUGAAAAUUAAAAAAAAAAACUCAUAAAACCACACAAAAAAAACCUCUGACACACUAAUGAAUGUAAAAUACGUCCACGCUCCAUUAAGGAGCCACAAGAAGCAUUAAAGUGUAACCCAACUCCACCAAAGAGUAUCAAAAUGGCUAGGAGGAUUUAUGAAGCAAAAGUACCGGUUUUGAGCACUUAUGAAAUCGUUAAAAUGUAGCUUUAGCCUUCAUCCGACCCUAAUUAAAUUCGUAGGUUACAAUGCACAACCCAACCAUUGAGCCCAAACCACCUUCUAGCUUACUAGUAAUCCUUAAUCCAUCACCUUUUGGGCUUUCAUGAUCCAAGCAUGGAUCAUGCCCUCCCCUUUGAAAAGACAUGAUCUCAGUUCAUUAAGGCCAUCCUUAGCAAGAUACGGUGAAAGGUCUCCCACAUUAAAGGGAGCAUGCACUCCAUGGUCUCCUCCCAAAUCCACCUUAUAAGCAUUAUCAUUGACACGUGACACCACUUUGUAAAGACCUUCAGCUCUUAGCAUCAACUAUUUUUCUUCCUUUUUUUAGGAAACGUUCUUUCCUCAAAUGAACCCAAACCAAGACACCAUCAUGAAAGACACGUGGUUUCCUAUGCAUGUUGGAAUUCUGUUUGUACAUGUCAUUCAUGGUUUCCAUUUACACAUGAACUUGGUUGUGUAGUUUUAUCAUGGCCUUCAACUUGUCAUUAACAUCCUUGUGAACCAAUUCAUCCUUUGGCAAUGGUAUCAAAUACAAAGGCAUGUAAGGAUUCACACCAUACACCAAUUCAAAAGCAGAGUGACCUUCAAAAGCAGAGUGACCUUUGGCAAUGGUAUCAAAUACAAAGGCAUGUAAGGAUUCACACCUUCGUUUUCCCAUCAGUUUGUGGAUGAUAAGGAUGAACUAAAAAGUAACUUAGUACCUACUUUCCUCCACAAAGUGUUCCAAAAGUAACUCAAAACAUGGAAUCCCUAUCAGAACAAUAGCUUUAGGAAUAAUAUGCAAGCGAACCACCUCUAUAAAGUACAAAUCUAACACAUUAGAUGCAUCAUUGGUUUUAUGACACCUUAUAAAGUGAGAAAGAUUUGAAAACCUAUCCACUACCACUAUAAUGGAAUCCUUCCACCUUUGAGUUCUAGGCAAAGCCAUCAUGAAUUCCAUUGACACAUCUUCCCAAGGCCGAAUAGGAACUCGAAAAGGAUGUUUAAACACCAUGCUUGAAAGCGAACCACCUCUGUAAUAUGCAAGCGAACCACCUCUGUAAAGUACAAAUCAAACACAUUAGAUGCAUCAUUGGUUUUAUGACACAACAUAGAGUGAGAAAGUUUUAGGCAAAGCCAUAAUGAAUUCCAUUGACACAUCUUCCCAAGGCCGAAUAGGAACGGGCAAAGGAUGUCUUAACACCAUGCUUGAAAGUUUUUUCGUCAUCCGACAUGUAACACACUUGCCCACUAUGUUGAUUACAUCCCCAACAUCUUUAGGCCAGAAGAAAUGUUCUUGAAGCACCUCCAAAGUCUUGUUAAUGGAAAAAUGACCCGCCAAACCACCACCAUGAGCUUCACAAAUUAGCAAGUCCCGUAUUGCAUGUUUAGGGACACAAAGGUGAUUGCCUUUUGAUACCUUUAUGGGCUUGAUUAAGUGAGUAGGGUUUUCUUUAGGUAAAUUAAGCUAGCAUAACAACCACAAAUGAUAGGUGUAUGGGAAUAAAUGAAUAGAUUAAUAAGUAAUCAUGACUUACUAAGUUGUAUACCGGUGAAAACUAUCCAAGAAUAAUAUUAGAUUGAAUGCAUAUCAAGUCAAGAACACGCCUCGACUAUGACAAGUAGUGAACUAUAACUAUAAUUCAAAGAGAACAAAGGCUCUAUUGAUUAAAAUUAUAUCAAUUUUUUUUCAUGCGUACUUGGCUUAUAUUAAGCCUUUAUUAGAAAGUUAGUGGUUACAAACCACCCAACCAACGACUCAGUGAAACUAAUAAUGAAAAUUAAAAAAACUCAUGAUACCACACAAAAAAACCUCUUCCACACUAAUGAAUGUAAAAAAACGUCCACGCUCCAUUAAGGAGCCACCAGAAGCAUUAAAGUUUAACCCGAAUCCACUAAAGAGUAUCAAAAUGGCUAGGAGCAUUUAUGAAGCAAAAAGUACCGGUUUUGAGCACUUAUGAAGCCUUUAAAAUGUUGCUUUAGCCUUCAUGCGACCCGAAUUCAAUUCAUAGGUUACCAUGCACAACCCAACCACUGAGCCCAAACCACCUUCUAGCUUACUAGUAAUGUUUAAUCCAUCACCUUUUGGUCUUUCAUGAUCCAUACAUGGAUCAUCCCCUCCCCCUUUGAAAAGAUAUGACCUCAAUUCAUUAAGGCCAUCCUCAGAAAGAUACGAUGAAAGGUCUCCCACAUUAAAGGAAGCAUGAACUCCAUGGCCACCUUCUAAAUAUACCUUAUAAGUAUUAUCAUUGACACGUGACACCAGUUUGUAAGGACCUUCAACUCUUGGCAUCAACUUUUGUUGUCCCUUUUGUUAGGAAACAUUUUUCCUCAUAUGAACCUAAAGCAAGUCAGCAUCUUGAAAGACACGUGGUUUCCUAUGCAUGUUGGAAUUCUAUUUGUACACGUCAUUCACGGUUUCAAUCUUCACACAUAGUUGUUGGUGUAGUUUUAUCAUGGCUUUCAACUUGUCAUUAACAUCCUUGUGAACCAAUUCAUCCUUUGGCAAUGGAUUCAAAUCCAAAGCCAUGUAAGGAUUCACAUCAUACACCACUUCAAAAGGAGAGUGACAUGUAGCACAAGUAGGAGAACCAUUACAGGGAUACUCAGCAUGUGCAAGUCUGAUAUCUAAUGUUUUUGAGUUUUGCUAACCAACCCCCUCAACAACGUACCCAAAGUUCUAUUAGUCACCUACGUUUUCCCAUCAGUUUGUGGAUGAUAGAAUGUACUAAAAAGUAACUUAGUACCUACUUUCCUUCACAAAGUGUUCCAAAACUAACCCAAAAACAUGGAAUCCCAAUCAGAACAAUAGCUUUAGGAAUAAUAUGCAAGCGAACCACCUCUGUAAAGUACAAAUCUAACACAUUAGAUGCAUUAUUGGUUUUGUGACACGAGAUCGAGGGAGAAAGUUUUGAAAACAUAUCCACUACCACUAUAAUGGAAUCCUUCCCCCUUUGAGUUCUAGGCAAAGCCAUAACGAAUUCCAUUGACACAUCUUCCUAAGGCCGAAUAGGAACCGGCAAAGGAUGUUUAAACACCAUGCUUCAAAGUUUUUUUUCGUCAUCCGACAUCUAACACACUUGCCCACUAUGUUCGUUACAUCCCCAACAUCUUUAGGCCAGAAGAAAUGUUCUUGAAACACCUCCAAAGUCUUGUUAAUGGAAAAAUGACUCGCCAAACCACCACCAUGAGCUUCACGAAUCAGCAAGUCCCUUAUUGAAAAUGUUUCGGGACACAAAGGUGAUUGCCUUUUGAUACCUUUAUGAGCUUGAUUAAGUGAGUAGGGUUUUGUUUAGGUAAAUUAACCUAGAAUAACAACCACAAAUGAUAGAUGUAUGAGAAUAAAUGAAUAGAUUAAUAAGUAAUCAUGACGUACUAAGUACUAUACUGGUGAAAACUAUCCAUGAAUAAUAUUUGAUUGAAUGCGUAUCAAGUCAAGAACACGUAUCGACUGUGACAAGUAGUGAACUAUAACUAUAAUUCAAAGUGAACAAAGGUUCUAUUGAUUAAAAUUAUAUCUAUUUUUUUUCAUGCGUACUUGGCUUAUAUUAAGCCUUUAUUAGAAAGUUAGUGGUUACAAACCACCCAACCAACGAAUCAGUGAAACUAAUAAUGAACAUUAAAAAAACUCAUGAAACCACAGAAAAAAACCUCUGCCACACUAAUGAAUGUAAAAACGUCCAUGCUCCAUUAAGGAGCCACAAGAAGCAUUAAAGUGUAAUACUAAUCCACCAAAGAGUAUCAAAAUGGCUAGGAGCAUUUAUGAAGCAAAAAGUACCGGUUUUGAGCACUUAUGAAGCCUUUAAAACGUUGCUUUAGACUUCAUGUGACCCUAAUUCAAUUCAUAGGUUACCAUGCACAAGCCAACCAUUGAGCCCAAACCACCUUCUAGCCUACUAGUAAUCCUUAAUCCACCACCUUUGGGGCUUUCAUGAUCCUUGCAUGGAUCAUCCCCUCCCCCUUUGAAAAGUUGUGACCUUAAUUCAUUAAGGCCAUAGUCAACAAGAUACGGUGAAAGGUCUCCCACAUUAAAGGAAGCAUGCACUCCAUGGUCUCCUCCCUAAUCCACCUUAUAAGCAUUAUCAUCGACACGUGACACCUCUUUGUAAAGACCUUCAGCUCCUGGUAUCAAAUUCUGUUAUCCCUUUUGUUAGGAAACGUUCUUUCCUCAUAUGAACCUAAACCAAGUCACCAGCUUGAAAGACACGUGGUUUCCAAUGCAUGUUGGAAUUCUGUUUGUACACGUCAUUCACGUUUUCAAUCUUCACACGAACUUGUUGGUGUAGUUUUAUCAUGGCUUUCAACUUUUCAUUAACAUCCUUGUGAGCCAAUUCAUCCUUUGGCAAUGGAAUCAAAUCCAAAGGCAUGUAAGGAUUCACACCAUACACCACUUCAAGAGGAGAGUGACCUGUAGCACAAGUAGGAGAACCAUUACAGGGAUACUCAGCAUGUGCAAGUUUGAUAUCUAAUGUUUUUGAGUUUUGCUAACCAACCCCCUCAACAACGUACCCAAAGUUCUAUUAGUCACCUUCGUUUUCCCAUCAGUUUGUGGAUGAUAGGAUGUACUAAAAAGUAACUUAGUACCUACUUUCCUCCACAAAGUGUUCCAAAAGUAACUCAAAAACAUGGAAUCCCAAUCAGAACAAUAGCUUUAGGAAUAAUAUGCAAGCGAACCACUUCUAUAAAGUACAAAUCUAACACAUUAGAUGCAUCAUUGGUAUUAUGACACCUUAUAAAGUGAGAAAGUUUCGAAAACAUAUCCACUACCACUAUAAUGGAAUCCUUCCCCAUUUGAGUUCUAGGCAAAGCCAUAAUGAAUUCCAUUGACACAUCUUCCUAAGGCCGAAUAGGAACCGGCAAAGGAUGUUUAAACACCAUGCUUGAAAUUUUUUUUCGUUAUCCGACAUGUAACACACUUGCCCACUAUGUUCGUUACAUCCCCAACAUCUUUAGGCCAGAAGAAAUGUUCUUGAAACACCUCCAAAGUCUUGUUAAUGGAAAAAUGACCCGCCAAACCACCACCAUGAGCUUCACGAAUCAGCAAGUCCCUUAUUGAAUAUGUUUAGGGACACAAAGGUGAUUGCCUUUUGAUACCUUUAUGGGCUUGAUUAAGUGAGUAGGGUUUUCUUUAGGUAAAUUAACCUAGAAUAACAACCACAAAUGAUAGAUGUAUGGGAAUAAAUGAAUAGAUUAAUAAGUAAUCGUGACGUACUAAGUACUAUACCGGUGAAAACUAUCCAUGAAUAAUAUUUGAUUGAAUGCGUAUCAAGUCAAGAACACGUAUCGACUAUGACAAGUAGUGAACUAUAACUAUAAUUAAAAGUGAACAAAGGUUCUAUUGAUUAAAAUUAUAUCUAUUUUUUUUUCAUGCGUACUUGGCUUAUAUUAAGCCUUUAUUAGAAAGUUAGUGGUUACAAACCACCCAACCAACGAAUCAGUGAAACUAAUAAUGAAAAUUAAAAAAAACUCAUGAAACCAUAGAAAAAAACCUUUGCCACACUAAUGAAUGUAAAAAUGUCCAUGCUCCAUUAAGGAGCCACAAGAAGCAUUAAAGUGUAAUCCUAAUCCACCAAAGAGUAUCAAAAUGGCUAGGAGCAUUUAUGAAGCAAAAAGUACCGAUUUUGAGCACUUAUGAAGCCUUUAAAAUGUUGCUUUAGACUUCAUGCGACCCUAAUUCAAUUUAUAGGUUACCAUGCACAACCCAACCAUUGAGCCCAAACCACCUUCUAGCCUACUAGUAAUCCUUAAUCCACCACCUUUGGGGCUUUCAUGAUCCUUGCGUGGAUCAUCCGCUCCCCCUUUGAAAAGUUGUGACCUUAAUUCAUGAAGGCCAUCCUCAACAAGAUACGGUGAAAUGUCUCCCACAUUAAAGGAAGCAUGCACUCCAUGGUCACCUCCCUAAUCCACCUUAUAAGCAUUAUCAUCGACACGUGACACCUCUUUGUAAAGACCUUCAGCUCUUGGUAUCAAAUUUUGUUAUCCCUUUUGUUACGAAACGUUCUUUCCUCAUAUGAACCUAAACCAAGUCACCAUCUUGAAAGACACGUGGUUUCCUAUGCAUGUUGGAAUUCUGUUUGUACACGUCAUUCACGUUUUCAAUCUUCACACGAACUUGUUGGUGUAGUUUUAUCAUGGCUUUCAACUUUUCAUUAACAUCCUUGUGAACCAAUUCAUCAUUUGGCAAUGGAAUCAAAUCCAAAGGCAUGUAAGGAUUCACACCAUACACCACUUCAAGAGGAGAGUGACCUGUAGCACAAGUAGAAGAACCAUUACAGGGAUACUCACCAUGCGCAAGUUUGAUAUCUAAUGUUUUUGAGUUUUGCUAACCAACCCCCUCAACAACGUACCCAAAGUUCUAUUAGUCACCUUCGUUUUCCCAUCAGUUUGUGGAUGAUAGGAUGUACUAAAAAGUAACUUAGUACCUACUUGCCUCCAUAAAGUGUUCCAAAAGUAACUCAAAAACAUGGAAUCCCUAUCAAAACAUUAGUUUAGGAAUAAUAUGGAAGCGAACCACCUCUAUAAUGUACAAAUCAAACACAUUAGAUGCAUCAUCGGUUUUAUGACACGACAUAGAGUGAGAAAGUUUUGAAAACCUAUCCACCACCACUAUAAUGGAAUCCUUCCCCAUUUGAGUUCUAGGCAAAGCCAUAAUGAAUUCCAUUGACACAUCUUCCCAAGGCCAAAUAGGAACCGACAAAGGUUGUUAAAACACCAUGCUUGAAAGUUUUUUUCGUCAUCCGACAUGUAACACACUUGCCCACUAUGUUGGUUACAUCCCCAACAUCUUUAGGCCAGAAGAAAUGUUCUUGAAGAACCUCCAAAGUGUUGUUAAUGGAAAAAUAACACGCCAAACCACCACCAUGAGCUUCACGAAUCAGCAAGUCCCGUAUUGCAUUUUAGGGACACAAAGGUGAUUGCCUUUUGAUACCUUUAUGGGCUUGAUUAAGUGAGUAGAGUUUUUUUUAGGUAAAUUAAGAUAGAAUAACAACCACAAAUGAUAUGCAUAUGGGAAUAAAUGAAUAGAUUAAUAAGUAAUCAUGACGUACUAAGUUGUAUACCGGUGAAAACUAUCCAAGAAUAAUAUUUGAUUAAAUGCGUAUCAAGUCAAGAAGACGUCUCGACUAUGACAAGUAGUGAACUAUAACUAUAACUCAAAGUGUACAAAGGCUCUAUUGAUUAAAAUUAUAUCUAUUUUUUUUCAUGCGUACUUGGCUUAUAUUAAGCCUUUAUUAGAACGUUAGUGGUUACAAGCCACCCAACCAACUACUCAGUGAAACUAAUAAUGAAAAUUAAAAAAACUCAUGAAACCACACAAAAAAACCUCUGACACACUAAUGAAUGUAAAAAACGUCCAAGCUCCAUUAAGGAGCCACAAGAAGCAUUAAAGUGUGUCCGAACUCCACCAAAGAGUAUCAAAAUGGCUAGGAGGAUUUAUGAAGCAAAAGUACCGGUUUUGAGCACUUAUGAAGUCGUUAAAAUGUUGCUUUAGCCUUCAUGCGACCCUAAUUAAAUUCGUAGGUUACCAUGCACAACCCAACCAUUGAGCCCAAACCACCUUCUAGCUUACUAGUAAUCCUUAAUCCAUCACCUUUUGGGCUUUCAUGAUCCAUGCAUGGAUCAUCCCCUCCCCCUUUGAAAAGAUCUAACCUCAAUUCAUUAAGGCCAUCCUCAAUUCACACGAACUUGUUGGUGUAGUUUUAUCAUGGCUUUCAACUUUUCAUUAACAUCCUUGUGAACCAAUUCAUCCUUUGGCAAUGGAAUCAAAUCCAAAGGCAUGUAAGAAUUCACACCAUACACCACUUCAAAAGGAGAGUGACCUGUAGCACAAGUAGGAGAACCAUUACAGGGAUACUCAGCAUGUGCAAGUUUGAUAACUAAUGUUUUUGAGUUUUGCUAACCAACCCCCUCAACAACGUACCCAAAGUUCUAUUAGUCAUCUUCGUUUUCCCAUCAGUUUGUGGAUGAUAUGAUGUACUAAAAAGUAACUUAGUACCUACUUUCCUCCACAAAGUGUUCCAAAAGUAACUCAAAAACAUGGAAUCCCAAUCAGAACAAUAGCUUUAGGAAUAAUAUGCGAGAGAACCACCUCUAUAAAGUACAAAUCUAACACAUUAGAUGCAUCAUUGGUUUUAUGACACCUUAUAAAGUGAGAAAGAUUUGAAAACCUAUCCACUACCACUAUAAUGGAAUCCUUCCACCUUUGAGUUCUAGGCAAAGCCAUAAUGAAUUCCAUUGACACAUCUUCCCAAGGCCGAAUAGGAACUCGAAAAGGAUGCUUAAACACCAUGCUUGAAAUUUUUUUCGUCAUCCGACAUGUAACACACUUGCCCACUAUGUUGGUUACAUCUCCAACAUCUUUAGGCCAAAAAAAUGUUCUUGAAGCACCUACAAAGUCUUGUUAAUGGAAAAAUAACCCGCCAAACCACCACCAUGUGCUUCACGAAUCAGCAAGUCCCUUAUUGAAUGUUUAGGGACACAAAGGUGAUUGCCUUUUGAUACCUUUAUUGGCUUGAUUAACUGAGUAUGGUUUUGUUUAGGUAAAUUAAGCUAGAAUAACAACCACAAAUGAUAGGUGUAUGGGAAUAAAUGAAUAGAUUAAUAAGUAAUCAUGACGUACUAAGUUGUAUACCGGUGAAAACUAUCCAUGAAUAAUAUUUGAUUGAAUGAGUAUCAACUCAAGAACACGUAUCGACUAUGACAAGUAGUGAACCAUAACUAUAAUUCAAAGUGAACAAAGGUUCUAUUGAUUAAAAUUAUAUCUAUUUUUUUUCAUGCGUACUUGGCUUAUAUUAAGCCUUUAUUAGAAAGUUAGUGGUUACAAGCCACCCAACCAACUACUCAGUGAAACUAAUAAUGAAAAUCAAAAAAACUCAUGAAACCACACAAAAAAACGUCUGACACACUAAUGAAUGUAAAAAACGUCCACGCUCAAUUAAAGAGCCACAAGAAGCAUUAAAGUGUCACUCUAAUUCACCAAAUAGUAUCAAAAUGGCUAGGAGGCUUUAGGAAGCAAAAAGUACCGGUUUUAAUCACUUAUGAAGCCAUUCAAAUGUUGCUUUAGCCUUCAUGCGACCUUAAUUAAAUUCAUAGGAUACCACGCACAACCCAACCAUUGAGCCCAAACCACCUGCUAGCUUACUAGUAAUCCUUAAUCCGUCACCUUUUGGGCUUUCAUGAUCCAUGCAUGGAUCCCUCCUGCUUUGAAAAGAUAUGACCUCAAUUCAUUAAGUCCAUUUUCAACAAGAUACGGUGAAAGGUCUCCCACAUUAAAGGAAGCAUGCACUCCAUGGUCUCCUCCCAAAUCCACCUUAUAAGCAUUAUCAUUGACACGUGCCACCACUUUGUAAGGACCUUCUGCUCUUGGCAUCAACUUUUGUUCUCCCUUUUUUUAGGAAACGUUCUUUCCUCGUAUGAACUUAAACCAAGUCACCAUCUUGAAAGACACGUGGUUUCCUAUGCAUGUUGGAAUUUUGUUUAUACACGUCAUUCAUGGUUUCAAUCUUCACACGAACUUGUUGGUGUAGUUUUGUCAUGGCUUUCAACUUGUCAUUAACACACUUGUUAACGAAUUCAUCCUUCGGCAAUGGAAUCAAAUCCAAAGCCAUGUAAGGAUUCAAACCAUACACUACUUCAAAAGGGGAGUGACCUGUAACACAAGUAGGAGAACCAUUACAGGGAUACUAAGCAUGUGCAAGUUUGAUAUCUAAUGUUUUUGAGUUUUGCUAACCAACCCCCUCAACAACAUACCCAAAUUUCUAUUAGUCACCUUCGUUUUCCCAUCAGUUUGUGGAUGAUAGGAUGUACUAAAAAGUAACUUAGUGCCUACUUUCCUCCACAAAGCGUUCUAAAAGUAUCUCAAAAAUAUGGAAUCCCAAUCAGAACAAUAGCCUUAGGAAUAAUAUGCAAGCGAACUACCUCUGUAAAGUACAAAUCAAACACAUUAGAUGCAUCAUUGGUUUUGUGACACGAGAUCGAGGGAGAAAGUUUUGAAAACCUAUCCACCACCACUAUAAUGGAAUCCUCCCCUGUAACAACCCGAAGUUGUCCAUCACCAAAAUCCGUUCCGCGCGUAAAAAUCCGCCUUUAUUGAUUCGUCCCGUUUUCGUUUUUGGGCUAAGAUAUAUAAACUAUAAGUUUAUUUUAAUCUCGUAAGUGUUCAAAUCCAUUUAAAACUCAUGAAAAUGGCCCAAAAUCAUUAACUUGAAAUUUCUAAAUUCUAUCCCGUCGAAUUACGGAAACUUAAUCGGGUGCGACCAAAAGCCCCGUUUAAUGCCGGUAUCGGGUAGAAUUCCUCUGUGUCUAAGUUUUGGGACCUAUUUAAACAUGUUUAAACAUUCAUUUGAAGCUUUUGCUUCCUCUCUCUACUCCCUCUCUAACCUCUCUCCUAAAUCCAAGUUUAAGGGUCCAAAUCUCAAAUUUAAGGCUUCUAAUCACCAAGGUACCUUCCCUAACUUGUUAUGCAACCCCUCUAGCCUUCAAAUUCGAGUUCAAAUCAUGGAAUAAGACCACAUUCAUGAGUUUACGGCCCUAGAACAGUCCUAAGCCGUGAACUCACAUAAAAUGGGUUUUGGAGCCCAAAAACCCUUCCAAUCGACCUUUGGAGCUUAGAUAUGGCUUAAUGGCUUAAUGGACCGGACUUAGAACACCUUGAACUUAAUUUUUGGAGAGUAAACAUGAGUUUACUGCCCAAGAUCAUGCUUGGGCCGUAAACUCCAUAUCAUGGAGAGUAAACACAUAUUAAAGGGGGUUUUAAGCCCUUAAACCCUUCCAAAACACCAAUAAGGCUUAGAUACGACUUGUAGAAUUAUGGAAUUGGCCUUGGAACACCUUGAACAUCAAUUUAGAGGAGUAAACUUGAGUUUACUGCCCAAGAACAUGCUUGGGCCGUAAACUCAUUGUUCAUGGAGAGUAAACUCCUCUAAAUGUGUUAAAAUGCCACUUUAACACACCUAAAGCCUUGGGAUAAAUUCUAGAAGUGUUUACAAACAAGUAUUGGACCUUAAAACAUAUAAAAUCACCCUUUCAUAAUAUUUCAUGGGCAUGAAGGUGUUCAUGGGCUGUAAACUCCUAAAAGCAUGCCAAAAGUCCCCCAAAAAUUGAUACAAGGCUUAGGAAAAAUCAUUAGAAUCACAUGUGAUUGUCUAAGGACCAAAACUUUAAGAACUGGAUGUGAGGGGGGAGUUUACGGCCGUAAACUCCAUGUUUACAACCGUAAACUCCAAUAAAUGGUCCCUAUGUUAGUUUCAAUCUAUUCCAAAGUCUAAAAUCCAAGUCUAGCAAUAUUUCCCAAGUGUUUUGAAGCCAUUUUGCACCCAAAAUCAACCUCCAUGAUUUCACGGCCGUGAACUCAUAUGGAUGAGGUGUUUAGGGUAGUAAACUCCUUUAGGAGUUUACUCUUCAAGAGUAAACUCCAUUCCCUAGUCAUACAAGUCGUUAAACGCCACCUGGGUCCUUCCAAACACUCAAAAUGGGGUGUUUCCGCAACUAGAAGUGUAUGUCCUUCGCAAAUAAAUUAAUCAAGUCCUAAUUAAAUACAAAUAUGUAUCAUUUCAUAAUCCAUAGGAAUCUUGUGUGUUCGCGAACCCAGAACUGACGUUUAGGAUCCAAUCUGACGCGUUUCUCAACCGGUGAGUUCAUACCCCUACCCUUUUUCAUGUGUUUUUCAAAUGGUUUUCAACGUUUUCAGGGGGAAUACAAGCAAAAGUACAAGGAAUCUUGUACUUAAACGUAUUUUCAGUUCAAAUGUUUUAUUUCAUGUAUGAUUCUAAUAAUGAAAAUUGUGAUAACUAAUGGUUCGAAUUGCAGGUUAAACAGUUAGACUAAAGCCAAAUUUCUUUAAAAAGUGUUUUGAUCUAUAUUACUUUCUGUAAAAGAAAUCAUACUAAUCAUAACUAAGAUUAAUACUAAACGAAUGCGAAUACAAAUUCAAUAGGAUAUUACAAAUACGAAUACGAAUACGAACUAGAAUACAAAUACGAACUAGAAUACGAAUACGAAUAAGAAUGUAACCAAUAGUAUAGUACGAAUAUGAAUACGAAUAUAACUAUUAGGUUAGUACGAAUACGAAUGCGAAUACGAAUAUAACUAAUAGGAUAGAACGAAUACGAAUACGAAUCUAACCAAUAGCAUAGUACGAAUUCGAAUGCGAAUACGAAUACGAAUAUAACUAAUAGGAUAGAACGAAUACGAAUACGAAUCUAACCAAUAGCAUAGUACGAAUACGAAUGCGAGUACGAAUGCGAAUACAAAUAUAACUAAUAGGAUAGAACGAAUACGAAUACGAAUACGAAUGUAACCAAUAGUAUAGUACGAAUACGAGUACGAAUACGAAUACGAAUAUAACUAUUAGGUUAGUACGAAUAUGAAUGCGAAUACGAAUAUAACUAAUAGGAUAGAACGAAUACGAAUACGAAUACGAAUAUAACCAAUAGUAUAGUACGAAUAUGAGUACGAAUACGAAUACGAAUAUAACUAUUAGGUUAGUACGAAUACGAAUGCGAAUACGAAUACAAAUAUAACUAUUAGGUUAAUACGAACUCGAAUACGAAUGCGAAUAGAAAUAGGACUACGAAUGCGAAAUAACGCCUUUGGAUGACACCAAGACUUCGAAUAUACACUUAAUGUACACCUUGAAUGUCACCAGAGUUUCGAAUUUAAUACGAAAGUACGCCUCUGGACCUCUACUAAGUUUCGAAUACAUCCAUCUUAGAAUGUCGCCAGAGAUACGAAAAUACAACUAAUGUACUCUUUUGGAAAUCAUCAGAAUAAUCGAAAAUACUGUAAUGUACGUUUCUAGUGAAUCCAAAUAUUUGAAAAUACAACUAAGUUAGUAGAUGAUAGACAUUCGAAUGUAGAAUAACUAAGAGUUUAGAAUACUUAACUAAUACUACGAGUAUGAUAAUCAUUAGUACUUCGAAAUUAAACUUAAGAACCAACCUCAACACAUAGGAAAAUAUGGGAUUUUCCUGAAGUAACAUAACAACUAGUAACGAAAUUAGAAACGAAUAAAGUAACAAACGAAUAACUGAACUAUUAGGAAAAUAUGGGAUUUUCCUAGAAUGACAUAACAAACCGUUUUCGAAAUUGUAACGAAAGAUAACUAAUCUUUUUUCAUAAGAAAAUAUGGGAUUUUCUUGAACAACAACUUUUUCAGAAAGCAAAGGAACUCGUUCUUUUCAAAAACUAAUCCGUUAUCAACUCCACCACCUUAUGCUGAUUNGUAUGAUAUAUGUAUAACACUUGUAUAACUUUUCUUUCAAACAAAUGUAAACAAUAUUAUGUAAUGUAAUGUUUUGUGUUUACUGUUUUACUAUGUGUAUUGGAUUUGAUACUCAACGUGGACUCAACCUCGGAAAUGUUUCCGCCUUUGGUUUUCGGGGUGUGACAUCCCCCCUUUGAGAGAGGCAAAGCCAUAAUGAAUUCCAUUGACACAUCUUCCCAAGGCCGAAUAGGAACCGGCAAAGGAUGUUUUAACACCAUGCUUGAAAGUUUUUUCGUCAUCCAACAUGUAACACACUUGCCCACUAUGUUGGUUACAUCCCCAACAUCUUUAGGCAAAAAGAAAUGUUCUUGAAGCACCUCCAAAGUCUUGUUAAUGGAAAAAUAACCCGCCAAACCACCACCAUGAGCUUCACGAAUCAGCAAGUCCCUUAUUGCAUGUUUAGGGACACAAAGGUGAUUGCCUUUUGAUACCUUUAUGGGCUUGAUUAAGUGAGUAGGGUUUUGUUUAGGUAAAUUAAGCUAGAAUAACAACCACAAAUGAUAGGUGUAUAGGAAUAAAUGAAUAGAUUAAUAAGUAAUCAUGACGUACUAAGUUGUAUACCGGUGAAAACUAUCCAAGAAUAAUAUUAGAUUGAAUGCAUAUCAAGUCAAGAACACGUCUCGACUAUGAUAAGUAGUGAACUAUAACUAUAAUUCAAAGUGAACAAAGGUUCUAUUGAUUAAAAUUAUAUCUAUUUUUUUUCAUGCGUACUUGGCUUAUAUUAAGCCUUUAUUAGAAAGUUAGUGGUUACAAACCACCCAACCAAUGACUCAGUGAAACUAAUAAUGAAAAUUAAAAAAACUCAUGAAACCACAGAAAAAAACCUUUGCCACACUAAUGAAUGUAAAAAACGUCCAGGCUCCAUUAAGGAGCCACAAGAAGCAUUAAAGUGUAACCCAACUCCACCAAAGAGUAUCAAAAUGGCUAGGAGGAUUUAUGUAGCAAAAGUACCGGUUUUGAGCACUUAUGAAGUCGUUAAAAUGUUGCUUUAGCCUUCAUGUGACCCUAAUUCAAUUCAUAGGUUACCAUGCACAACCCAACCAUUGAGCCCAAACCACCUUCUAGCCUACUAGUAAUCCUUAAUCCAUCACCUUUAGGGCUUUCAUGAUCCUUGCAUGGAUCAUCCCUUCCCCCUUUGAAAAGAUAUGACCUUAAUUCAAUAAGGCCAUCCUCAACAAGAUACGGUGAAAGGUCUCCCACAUUAAAGGAAGCAUGCACUCCAUGGUCUCCUCCCUAAUCCACCUUAUAAACAUUAUCAUCGACACGUGACACCACUUUGUAAAGACCUUCAGCUCUUGGUAUCAAAUUUUGUUAUCCCUUUUGUUAGGAAACGUUCUUUCUUCAUAUGAACCUAAACCAAGUCACCAUCUUGAAAGACACGUGGUUUCCUCUGCAUGUUGGAAUUCGGUUUGUACACGUCAUUCACGGUUUCAAUCUUCACACGAACUUGUUGGUGUAGUUUUAUCAUGGCUUUCAGCUUUUCAUUAACAUCCUUGUGAACCAAUUCAUCCUUUGGCAAUGGAAUCAAAUCCAAAGGCAUGUAAGGAUUCACACCAUACACCACUUCAAAAGGAGAGUGACAUGUAGCACAAGUAGGAGAACAAUUACAGGGAUACUCAGCAUGUGCAAGUUUGAUAUCUAAUGUUUUUGAGUUUUGCUAACUAACCCCUCAACAACGUACCCAAAGUUCUAUUAGUCACCUUCGUUUUCCCAUCAGUUUGUGGAUGAUAGGAUGUACUAAAAAGUAACUUAGUACCUACUUUCCUCCACAAAGUGUUCUAAAAGUAACUCAAAAACAUGGAAUCCCUAUCAAAACAAUAGCUUUAGGAAUAAUAUGCAAGCGAAGCACCUCUAUAAUGUACAAAUCAAACACAUUAGAUGCAUAUAUCAUCGGUUUUAAGACACGACAUAGAGUGAGAAAGUUUUGAAAACCUAUCCACCACCACUAUAAUGGAAUCCUUCCCCCCUUUGAGUUCUAGGCAAAGCCAUAAUGAAUUCCAUUGACACAUCUUCCCAAGGCCAAAUAGGAACCGGCAAAGGAUGUUUAAACACCAUGCUUGAAAGUUUUUUUCGUCAUCCGACAUGUAACACACUUGCGCACUAUGUUGGUUACAUCCCCAACAUCUUUAGGCCAGAAGAAAUGUUCUUGAAGCACCUCCAAAGUCUUGCUAAUGGAAAAAUAACCCCCCAAACCACCACCAUGAGCUUCACGAAUCAGCAAGUCCCGUACUGCAUGUUUAAAAGGAGACAAAGUUGAUUGCCUUUUGAUACCUUUAUGGGCUUGAUUAAGUGAGUAGGGUUUUGUUUAGGUAAAUUAAGCUAGAAUAACAACCACAAAUGAUAUGUGUAUGGGAAUAAAUGAAUAGAUUAAUAAGUAAUCAUGACGUACUAAGUUGUAUACCGGUGAAAACUAUCCAAGAAUAAUAUUUUAUUGAAUGCGUAUCAAGUCAAGAACAUGUCUCGACUAUGACAAGUAGUGAACUAUAACUAUAAUUCAAAGUGAAUAAAGGUUCUAUUGAUUAAAAUUAUAUCUAUUUUUUUCAUGCGUACUUGGCUUACCUUUAUUAGAACGUUAGUGGUUACAAGCCACCCAACCAACUACUCAGUGAAACUAAUAAUAAAAAUUAAAAAAACUCAUGAAACCACAUAAAAAAACCUCUGACACAUUAAUGAAUGUAAAAAACGUCCAGGCUUCAUUAAGGAGCCACAAGAAGCAUUAAAGUGUAACCCAACUCCACCAAAGAGAAGUCAUUUGCAAAAAAAUUUCUCUUUCUAACUUUUUCUCUCUAGGAUUCUCUCUCUCGCUUUUCCAGUUUUUGCGUGUGGCUUGGUGGCGAUUUUGGCUGACCGGAGCUCGAUCUGGUGCCGGAAUCACCUUCUUCUUGCUAUGAUUCUGUUGAGUAUCCUUCACCUAUGAUCUGUGUAGGUGAAGAUUCAAUGUUUGGAAAAAUUGGAAGUAUGUUCGGCAUGAAUUCAACUGAUCCUCCUAAUCCAGAUAAUCAAAAAGUGUAUGAAGACGAAUUGGAUGCUGAUGUUGGAGCUAGACGAAGAGGUAGAAGAGCUGUGCACAAGGAAAUUUCUCCCUAUUCUGGGGAUAAGCCCUCUCGAUUGAAAGAAAAAAUUGAAUCUAAGGCUAAGCGAAUUCAGGAAGAGAAGAAGUAUUUGAGUUUGAAAUCCCAAAUUGAAAGUUCGAAGGUUGUCUUAAGAGCUGGAGUGCGUGAAGUUAUUAAAGUUGGAUAUGGCAAGGAGAAUGUCGAUCCUGAUUUCAUUAAAUCGGAACUAGAUGCGUUUGAGAAAGUAAUUGCUAAUGGGAAGAAACUGGAACAACAAAUUGCGACAAACUCUAAGAGGAUAUCUAAAUCGAAGAGUGUAUCGGUGGAGGAAAAAGGGUUUGUGAUGCUUCCAAUUACAUCGGAUAUGCUUGAGGGUUUCAAUUCCUCAAAGGAUAAGGUGAAUGCUUCUCUUUCUUAUUCCCCGUCUCAUGAUAGUGAAUCGUUUCCUGCCAAGGGUAUUUUGGGUAAGAGUCCAGAUGUCAAUCAUUCCUCUCCUGUCAUUGGAUCUGAUUCUGUUAAGUAGGUGGAAUAAUCUACUAAUUUUAGUGAUGAGAUGAUGAAGGAAGCUUUGAACGAAGAUGAGAAAACGAGUGAAGAACCUGAUGCUGCUUUGAGGAAUAGUCAGGGUACUAGUUUUCUGGAUCUAAAAUGGGAUACAAAGCCAAUGAAUGUGGAUAAUUUCUCAAACUCAAGAGUUUCUUUUGCAGCCAAAUUGGUUAGUGAAUAUAACAAGAAGACAUAUGCUAGAAUGGUUGAAUCUACAAGUACUGUGGUUGAUUUAAACAUUAAAGUAAUUCCUAAAGUUGAUGGGAAACCAAUUGGCAAAGUUGAAUUGCCCUAUGCAGAUCUUCUGCUUGGAGGAGCUCCCUAUCAUGCUACUCUGUAUGGAUUUUUGUGGGUAAGAAACUUGCGUUCCCAACUGUGAAUCAUUUCUGUUUCAAAAUGUGGAAGAUAUUUGGAUUGAAGGAUAUUAUGGUCAAUGAUGAAGGCUUCUUCUUUUUUAAGUUUGAUUCUAAAGAAGGUAUGAUGAAUGUGAUUGAAGGGGGACCUUGGCUUAUUAACAAUGUUCCAUUGUUUAUCCAAAGAUGGAGACCUGGACUUGUUUUGUGCAAACCACAGAUCAACUCUGUUCCUGUAUGGGUUAAAGUUUUUAAUGUUCCUUUGCAAUAUUGGAAUAGCAAGGGAGUAACAUUGAUUGCUAAUGAAAUUGGGAAACCGAUGGCUAUGGACAAGAUUACGCAAAAGAUGUGUAAUGAGCACUGGGGAAAGGCCUGCAUUUAUGAGAUUUCUCAUUGAAAUGUCAGUUGAAGAGGAGUGGCUGAAGGAGAUAAGUGUUGUGUCAAUCGAUUUUGGAACAGGGGAAAAUGCUGAAUCUAAAUGCAGGAUUGAAUAUGCUUGGAGACCAGAUAUUUGUACUCAUUGCAAAGUGUAUGGUCAUAGAAAUAGCAACUGUGGUAUUGUAAAUAGUCAAGAAAAGAAUGCAAAAGAAGAUGGAAAGGUUGUUAUAGAAGAGGGAAAUAAGGAUGAUAAAGUUGAUGAUGAUGGGUUUAUUCUGGUCACCAAAAAGAAUAACUAAGGGAAGCAAAUUAGUAACAAUGUUGUUCUUCAAGAAAAUGGGAAAAUUGAUUUGAUUAAAUCUUUGGAAAAAAGCUCUGUUCCAAUGGAGGGAAUUGUUAGUAAUAAUAAGGAAGGAAAAAGUGAGGAAAACGAAGACAAUAAAGGGAAGCAAAAAGAUAAGCAGGCAGAAGUUAAAGAAGUAAGUCAAAAAGAUUCAGAAGACAACAAAGGAAAAGAAGGGAAAAACAGUGCAGAGAGCUAUUCUAAGUUUGCUGUGGGUAAACUCAAAAAAGAUGGGAAGGUUGCAGGGGCAUUUCAGUCUUUUGAUGGAAAAAGUGGGAAAUCGAAUGGAACUGGAGUUUUUAUUCCAAAGGAGAAAUUGGGGAAUAAAGUCAAGAAUGUUAUAGAUAAUUUCAAUGCCAAGAAAGAAGAAAUGCAGGGGAAAAAGGAGGAAUCAAAGAAAAAAGUUUAUGUUCCAAAGAAGUCGGUUAAUGUCAAAAUUAGCUCUAAUUUUGAUCAUUUGGGUUCUACUUCAGGAAAAGAAGAUCGGGAUGAGAUAAUUUCAAAAAAUCCUUUUGAUGUUCUAACGGAUGAAUUGGGGUUAAAGGAUAUGUCACAUUUAGAUGAGAUUGAUCCGGAGAUUAUCACUGGUGGUGCCCAGAAGUUAAGCACCGAAACCUCAGUUGUUGAUCAAUGAUGUUGGGUAUAGGUUGCUGGAAUGUGAGGGGCUCUAAUCUUAGGCCUAAACAAGAAGAAAUUAAAAAGGUGAUUAAUAGUAAUAAGUUGUCUUUGAUUGCUAUUCUUGAGUCUCAAGUGCGAUUCAAUAAGCUUCAAAUGACUUGUAAUAAAGUUUUUGGGAAUUGGAUGUGGAUUUCUAAUCAAGAAGUGAGCCCCAAAGGUACUCGUGUUAUCAUUGGGUGGGAUCCGGAUGAAUUAGUGGUCAUGCCGUUGGAUGCUAGUAGUCAGGCUAUGCAUUGUCAGAUUCUCUUCAUAAAAGAAAAUAAGAGGAUUUUUUGUUCUUUUAUCUAUGCUUGUAAUUAUUACAUAGAUAGAAGAAAACUUUGGGAAUCGUUGGAAAAACAUAAAUGUUCGAUUGAUAAUUCUCCUUGGUUGAUUGUUGGGGAUUUUAAUGUUACUAGGGAACUUAUUGAUUCUACGGCUGGUAACUCUAAGAUCUCUAGGGGCAUGGUGGAAUUUAAUGAAUUUCUUAAUCGAAUUGAAGUUCAAGACAUCAACAACAAUGGUCUGCAUUAUACUUGGAACCAAAGGCCUAGAGGGGUCCAUGGAGUUUUGAAAAAAUUGGAACGUGUGAUGGGAAAUUUCAAGUUUGUGGAUGAUCAUCCUAAUGUUUUUGCCAAUUUCCAGCCAUAUAGAAAUUUUGAUCAUAGCCCUAUGAUCAUCAAAUUUCCUUUGAAAAAGAAAUUUAGAGUUCGUCCAUUUAAGUUUGUCAACUCCCUUACUUUGUUGGAUGAAUUUCUGCCUAUUGUUGCUAAUGUGUGGAGAACUGAUAUUGAAGGUUAUGGUAUGUUUAGGCUGUGCCAAAAGCUUAAACUGUUGAAAAAACCUCUUCGUAAACUUUUGGUUACUCAAGGGAAUUAUGCAGAAAAAAUUGGUAAGUGCAAGGAGGAACUCUAUAGGAUUCAGGUUGAAUUAGAUAAUGACCCUUUUAAUGAAGAUUUGAGAAUUGAAAAGGGUCAUUAUCUCCAAUCUUUCUUGAAUGCUAGUCAGGAAGAGGAAUGUUUUUUAAAACAAAGAGCGAAGGUUCAGUGGCUUAAGGAGGGCGACUCCAAUACUGCUUAUUUUCACAAAGUAGUUAAAGGAAAAAUAAACAGAAAUAGAGUUGAAGCUAUUCUUGAUGGGAAUGAUAUAUGGAAGGAAGGAGAUUUGGCGUUUAAAGUAAUUGUUGAUUAUUUCAGCAACUUUCUUGGUGUAGAAAGAGAUGUUGAACCCAUUAUUUCCCCUGAUACCAUUUUCUCUAAAAAGCUUGAUGCUCAGCAUGCUAUUGAUAUGGUUAGAGAAGUGACAUGUGAGGAAAUUAAGACUGGCCUUUUUGAUAUUGAUGAUGACAAAGCUCCGGGUCCUGAUGGGUAUUCUGCGAAAUUUUUUAAGAAGGCCUGGAUGAUUGUGGGGGAUGAUUUUUGCACAGUUGUGAAAGAAUUUUUCCAGUCAAAGAAGAUCCUUAAGGAGAUUAAUGCUACAGUCAUAGCGUUAGUUCCUAAAGUGCAGACUCCAGGGAAAGUUGGAGAUUAUAGACCAAUUUCCUGUUGUAAUGUGGUGUAUAAAUGCAUUAGCAAGGUUAUUGUCAAUCGUAUCCGGGAUUAUCUUGGGUUACUGAUUUCGGAUAAUCAAUCGGCUUUUAUUUCGGGGAGAUCUAUUAUGGAUAAUGUCCUGCUUUCUCAAGAACUUGUAAGGGGAUAUCAUAUUGACAGGGGUUUUGCUCGUUGUGCCAUGAAAAUUGACAUCCAAAAAGCAUAUGAUACUGUUAAUUGGAAAUAUCUCCAAUUUGUUUUGAAAGAAUUUGGAUUUCAUAAUUCUAUGAUUUCUUGGAUCAUGAAUUGUGUGUCUACUUCAUCAUUCAUGAUCAAUAUUAAUGGAAGCUUUCAUGGAUUCUUCCAAGGAAAGAGAGGGCUUCGUCAAGGAUGUCCGUUAUCUCCUUAUUUGUUUACUCUUGUCAUGGAUGUUUUUAAUCUUAUGCUAAAAAGGUGUAUUCGGGAAGAUAACGGGUUUAAAUUUCAUUAGAGAUGUAAAAAACAGGAGAUUACUCAUUUGUGUUUUGCUGAUGAUCUGAUGAUUUUCUGUCAUGGUAAUAUUGGAUCUAUAAAAGUCAUCAAGAAGGCGCUAGUUGAGUUUGCUAGUUCUGCGGGGAUGUCACCAAAUCUUUCUAAAAGCCACAUUUUUUUGGUAAUGUGAAGGAACCUUUUAAAAGGAAAAUUUUGAGAAUUCUUCCUUUUGUUGAAGGUAAACUUCCUUUGAAGUAUUUAGGGGUGCCUUUGGUCUCUACUAAGUUAUUUAUUAGAGAUUCCAAAGGUCUUGUGGAUAAAGUGAAGAAGAGGGUUAAUAAUUGGGAGAAUAAGUCGCUUUCUUAUGCUGGAAGGCUUCAAUUGAUAAGUUCUGUGCUUGCUUCUCCUCCUGUUUAUUGGGCUUCUGUUAUGUUACUUCCUAAAGGCAUCACUAAGGAGAUUGAAAAAAGUAUGAGGAAUUUUCUUUGGAAUAAUGAUCAAAACAAGAAAGGAGCUGCUAAGGUUUCAUGGAAUGAGAUAUGUAAACCUAAGAUUUAUGGGGGGCUUGGGUUAAAAAAUUUAAAUGAUUGGAAUAUUGCGCUUAUCUCGAGCAGAAUUUGGAAAAUCUUAAGUGGUCAUAACUCUAUAUGGGUUAAAUGGGUUAAUUCUUAUCUUCUUGAGGGAAGGAGUUUUUGGGAUGUGGGUCCUAAAGACAAAUUGAGCUGGAGUUGGAGGCAUUUGCUGAAGAUUAGAUCAUGCAUUAGGGAUUCUUUUUAUGUUCAGAUUGGAAAUGGCAAGAAUACUUCCAUGUGGUUUGAUAACUGGCAUCAGCUCGGUCCUUUGAGUUAUGUUCUUUCACAUAGAGAAAUUGCUUGUGAUGGAUUUAAUAUUCGGGACAAAGUUAGUGAUGUGAUAGUCAACAAUGAUUGGAGAUGGCCUAUGGAUUGGUUAAGAUUGAUUCCUCAGCUUGGAGAAUUUCCCAUCCCUAAAUUAUCCAGGGAUAAGAAGGAUGUUGUGCUAUGGAUGAAUUGGAAAAGGGAUGUUGUUCCAUUUCUGUUAAUCAAGUCUCAUAUUCUCUUAUUUGUCAUGAAUCAAAAGUUGUUUGGUUUGAUUUGGUCUGGUUCCAGAAUAGAAUUCCAAGUCACUGUUUCAUCCUCUGGCUUGCUAUUCUUGAAAGGUUAAGAACACAGGAUAGAAUGAAUAAAUGGAAAUAGUCUAAUGAUUUAAGUUGUGCUUUCUGCAACAAACAAAUGGAUUCUCACUCUCAUCUGUUUUUUUAUUGUAAUUUUCCUAAGGAAGUGUGGGAGAUUAUGAAAGUUAAAGUCAAGUUAAAACAUAAACCAGGGCAUCUAGUUCAGAUCAUUCAGGAGCUUCAAUUUUCGUUAAAGAAGAAGAGCAUUGAUAAUUUCAUCAGGAAAAUUGCUUUAGCUGCUUCUAUAUAUCACAUUUGGAAUGAAAGAAACAAGAGAUUGUUUGGGAAGAAAAGAAACUUUGUGGAUGGAGUGGUUAAGAAUAUUAUGGAGGACAUUAGACUUAAGAUUUUUAGCCUUAAUCAGGGUUAUCUUGGUCUUAAUGAAGAGAUAUAGGGAAUGGAUUGUCCCUGUUAAAAGUUUGUAUCGUGAUCAUGUAAGUCAAUCUUGAUUUUCUGUUGGAUUGGAAUACCAUCUGUCAGGGUUGCUGGCAAAGGAGAAUAAUUUCUUGUAUUUUUUCGAUCUCUGCUUUUGAGUUGAAGAACAUGAAUACGAGAUUUUUAUGGAAAAUAAAGGAUAAGAGACUAAUAGAAGUUAAUAAAAUUGGUUGUAUUGAGUUUGAUUUUUGGAUAAAGGGGAGUGCGGAUAAGUAUGAUCGAAAUAUAAAGAUUUGGACCAAAGGGUAUUUUGGUCAAUUUAAGGAUAUAAAAGAUUUGAUUGAGAUUUCUGAUUUUGAAGGGGCUGAUUGGUUAAUUUUAUUCAAUGGUAUCAGUGAUUUAAAAAGAUUUUGGGUGUCGAAUAAUAGAAAUUGCUGGAGUCGCCUAUGGGUGCCGAUGUCCUCUGAUUUUUUAUUUUUUUUUGUACCUGGAAUAUUUAGCAUUCAGCGAUGGUGGGUUUUGAAUUUUGAUUGGUUAGAGAUGCAUGGAGUGAGACAAUUUGUUCAAUUUUUGGUUAUGAUGGGUUGGUCAUUUGAAAAGCAAUUGAAAAUUGAAGAUGGGAAUGGGUGGUGUGAUUGGCAGCGGUUUCUUUUUACAAUUGAGAUGGAUAAUAAGCAGGGGCAAUUUGGGCAUUUAUCUAUUUUUGAAGACUUCUGGCACUGUUUUGAUCAUAAUGGGGAUUGGUUGGUCUCACAUAGUGCUUGGAAUAAUCUUGUUGAAAGUUAUUUUUCUUUUCAUCUUAGUAUGAGGAGACAGGGGCAAAUUGGUCAAAAUUAUAUGAAGGGUGCCAAUCUUACUCCUUUUGUGAUUAUUCAUUGGAAUUUGGAGGUUUUUAAUAAAAAAAGAACAGAGAUCAUCUUAAAGUUAUUGGCUUGAGGUGUAAAUGGAGUACGGUCCUUGUUAUGGUUAAGGGGCAAAUUCGGAAUUAUUGGCUAUGGAUGAAUUCUUUUGAUUAUGAAGGAGUUCAUUUCCAAUAUUUUUAUAAAGGAAUUGACGGACAUGGGAUUUUUACCAUUUUUUCCCUUAAAAAUGGAUUGCAACUCGGUUUAAUCCCGAGUAUCAUUUGGUUUAUGCCUUAUGAUGUGGUUCUUUUUCAUCAAUAUAUGGAAUUUAUUCUCAUUUAUUGUGAAUUUCCGCCUUGGAAACAAGGUGUGUAUUUUCAAGGAUUUGACGGAUAUGGGAUUUUUAUUACUUUUUCCCUUAAAAGUAAAGUGCAUCUCGGUUUGAUCCCGAGUCUCAUUUGGCUUAGACCUUAUGAUGUGGAUUUAUUUCAUUUACAUUUGGGUUUAUUAUCCAAUUGUUAUGAUUCUCCGCCUUGGAAACAAGGUGUGUAUAAGCUUGGAAUUGACGGAAUUGGGACUUUUCUCACUUUUUCCCUUAAAAGUGAAUUGCAUCUCGGUUUGAUCCCGAGUUUCAUUUGGUUAAGAACUUAUGAAGUGGAUUUUUAUCAUUUUCAUUUGGGUUUUCCCAAUUGUUAUGAUAUAUAAAAGGAAUUGACGGAUUUGGGAUUUUUCCCACUUUUUCCCUUAAAAGUGAUCCUCCGCCUUGGAAACAAGGUGUGUAUAUCAAAGGAAUUGACAGAAUCGGGAUUUUUAUCACUUUUUCCCUUAAAAGUGAACUUCCAUCUUGGAAACAAGAUGAGUUUAUUCAAGGAAUUGACGGUCUCGGGAUUUUUCUCACUUUUUCCCUUAAAAGUGAAUUCCCGCCUUGGAAACAAGGUGUGUAUAUCAAAGGAAUUGACAGAAUCGGGAUUUUUAUCACUUUUUCCCUUAAAAGUGAACUUCCAUCUUGGAAACAAGAUGAGUUUAUUCAAGGAAUUGACGGUCUCGGGAUUUUUCUCACUUUUUCCCUUAAAAGUGAUUAUCCGCCUUGGAAACAAGGUAAGUAUAUUCAAGGAAUUGACGGAUUCGGGAUUUUUGUCACUUUUUCCCUUAAAAGUGAACACACGCCUUGGAAACAAGGUGUUUACAUUCAUGGAAUUGACAGAUAUAUUCUUUAUAGCUUUAUUGAAGAUGGGGAUUUUUUGAAGAUUUUUUUGAGGCUUUUUGGAAUUGAUGAUAAUUGGAAGGCUUUAUUAAAGAUGUUUUUGGAGACUUUUGAUGUGCAUAAAAGAGGUUUUGAUGGCAAAUGCUCUAAAAGAUUAGUUUUUUUGGUUAGGAUUGGAUGGACAUUGGAUAUGGAUUUAUUUUUUGGAGGUUAUAGGAAAGAGGAUUGUAAGAAUUGGAAGAUUGUGAAUAGAGAUAAUAGAGAGGGUGAUAGUUUGGCUAUUUUUAGCAUUAUACUUUCGAUGUGCAUAAAAGAAAAUAAAGAUAAAAGGGUGGACAAAAGAAAGAAGAUUGCUACUGUGGAUAUCAUUGGGAAUUGGAAUGUGGAUACUAUAUGCAUUUUUUUUGUGGAACUCUUGGGAUAUUUUUGUUCAUGGGACUUGUGUUAUUUUUGACAUAAGGAUGUGGAGCAUACAUAGAGAUUGCAUUUUCUUUGGUUACAUUGUCGCUAGGGUUAGCCUUUGGUUUUGGUAUUUGCGUGAUAUUUGGAUUUUGGUCAUUUUUUGGGUUUGUCUAAAAAUGACAUAACUCUUGUAUUUCUCUUUUUGAAUUUAUAAAAUCUUUGUCGAGGCUUCAUCCUCUUUCCAAAAAAAAAACUCCACCAAAGAGUAUCAAAAUGGCUAGGAGGAUUUAUGAAGCAAAAGUACCAGUUUUGAGCACUUAUGAAGUCGUUAAAAUGUUGCUUUAGCCUUCAUGUGACCCUAAUUAAAUUCGUAGGUUACCAUGCACAACCCAACCAUUGAGCCUAAACCACCUUCUAGCUUACUAGUAAUCCUUAAUCCAUCACCUUUUGGGCUUUCAUGAUCCAUGCAUGGAUCAUCCCCNNNNNNNNNNNNNUCGUGACCCCCCCCCCUCCCCCUUUGAAAAGAUAUGACCUCAAUUCAUUAAGGCCAUCCAGAAAAAGAUACGGUGAAAGGUCUCCCACAUAAAAGGAAGCAUGCACUCCAUGGUCUCCUCCCAAAUCCACAUGAUAAGCAUUAUCAUUGACAUGUGACACCACUUUGUAAGCACCUAAAGCGCUUGGCAUCAACUUUUGUUCUCCCUUUUGUUAGGAAACAUCUUUCCUCAUAUGAACCUAAACCAAGUAACCAUCUUGAAAGACAUGUGGAUUCCUAUCCAUGUUGGAAUUCUAUUUGUACACGUCAUUCACGGUUUCAAUCUUCACAUGUACUUGUUGGUGGAGAUUUAUCAUGGCUUUCAACUUGUCAUUAACAUCCUUGUGAACCAAUUCAUCCUUUGGCAAUGGAAUCAAAUCCAAAGCCAUGUAAGGAUUCACAUCAUACACCACUUCAAAAGGAGAGUGACCUGUAGCACAAGUAGGAGAACCAUUACAGGGAUACUCAGCAUGUGCAAGUUUGAUAUUUAAUGUUUUUGAGUUUUGCUAACCAACCCCCUCAACAACGUACCCAAAGUUCUAUUAGUCACCUUCGUUUUUCCAUCAGUUUGUGGAUGAUAGGAUGUACUAAAAAGUAACUUAGUACCUGAUUUCCUCCACAAAGUGUUCCAAAAGUAACUCAAAAACAUGGAAUCCCAAUAAGAACAAUAGCUUUAGGAAUAAUAUGCAAGCGAACCACCUCUAUAAAGUACAAAUCUACCACAUUAGAUGCAUCAUUGGUUUUAUGACACCUUAUAAAGUGAGAAAGAUUUGAAAACCUAUCCACUACCACUAUAAUGCAAUCCUUCCCCCUUUGAGUUCUAGGCAAAGCCAUAAUGAAUUCCAUUGACACAUCUUCCCAAGGUCGAAUAGGAACCGGCAAAGGAUGUUUAAACACCAUGCUUGAAAUUUUUUUUCGUCAUCCGACAUGUAACACACUUGCCCACUAUGUUGGUUACAUCCCCAACAUCUUUAGGCCAGAAGAAAUGUUCUUGAAGAACCUCCAAAGUCUUGUUAAGGGAAAAAUGACCCGCCAAAUCACCACCAUGAGCUUCACGAAUCAGCAAGUCCCUUAUUGAAUGUUUAGGGACACAAAGGUGAUUGCCUUUUGAUACCUUUAUGGGCUUGAUUAACUGAGUAUGGUUUUGUUUAGGUAAAUUAAGAUAGAAUAACAACCACAAAUGAUAGGUGUAUGGGAAUAAAUGAAUAGAUUAAUAAGUAAUCAUGACGUACUAAGUUGUAUACCGGUGAAAACUAUCCAUGCAUAAUAUUUGAUUGAAUGAGUAUCAAGUCAAGAACACGUAUCGACUAUGACAAGUAGUGAACCACAACUAUAAUUCAAAGUGAACAAAGGUUCUAUUGAUUAAAAUUAUAUCUAUUUUUUUUCAUGCGUACUUGGCUUAUAUUAAGCCUUUAUUAGAAAGUUAGUGGUUACAAGCCACCCAACCAACUACUCAGUGAAACUAAUAAUGAAAAUCAAAAAAACUCAUGAAACCACACAAAAAAACCUUUGGCACACUAAUGAAUGUAAAAAACGUCCACGCUCAAUUAAAGAGCCACAAGAAGCAUUAAAUUGUCACCCUAAUCCACCAAAGAGUAUCAAAAUGGCUAGGAGGCUUUAUGAAGCAAAAAGUACCGGUUUUGAGCACUUAUGAAGCCAUUAAAAUGUUGCUUUAUCCUUCAUGCGACCCUAAUUAAAUUCAUAGGAUACCACGAACAACCCAACCAUUGAGCCCAAACCACCUUCUAGCUUACUAGUAAUCCUUAAUCCAUCACCUUUUGGGCUUUCAUGAUCCAUGCAUGGAUCAUCCCCUCCCGCUUUGAAAAGAUAUGACCUCAAUUCAUUUAGGCCAUCCUCAACAAGAUACAGUGAAAGGUCUCCCACAUUAAAGGAAGCAUGCACUCCAUGGUCUCCUCCCAAAUCCACCUUAUAAGCAUUAUCAUUGACACGUGACACCACUUUGUAAGGACCUUCUGCUCUUGGCAUCAACUUUUGUUCUCCCGUUUUUUAGGAAACGUUCUUUCCUCAUAUGAACUUAAACCAAGUCACCAUCUUGAAAGACACGUGGUUUCCUAUGCAUGUUGGAAUUUUGUUUGUACACGUCAUUCACGGUUUCAAUCUUCACACGAACUUGUUGGUGUAGUUUUAUCAUGGCGUUCAACUUGUCAUUAACACACUUGUGAACCAAUUCAUCCUUUGGCAAUGGAAUCAAAUCCAAGGCCUUGUAAGGAUUCACACCAUACACCACUUCAAAAGGAGAUUGACCUGUAGCACAAGUAGGAGAACCAUUACAGGGAUACUCAGCAUGUGCAAGUUUGAUAUCUAAUGUUUUUGAGCAUGUGCAAGUUUGAUACUCAGCAUGUCACCUUCGUCUUCCCAUCAAUUUGUGGAUGAUAGGAUGUACUAAAAAGUAACUUAGUGCCUGCUUUCCUCCACAAAGCGUUCCAAAAUUAACUCAAAAAUAUGGAAUCCCUAUCAGAACAGUAUCUUUAGGAAUAAUAUGUAAGCGAACCACCUCUAUAAAGUACAAAUCAAACACAUUAGAUGCAUCAUUGGUUUUGUGACACGACAUCGAGUGAGAAAGUUUUGAAAACCUAUCCACCACCACUAUAAUGGAAUCCUCCCCCCUUUGAGAGAGGCAAAGCCAUAAUGAAUUCCAUUGACAGAUCUUCCCAAGGCCGAAUAGGAACCGGCAAAGGAUGUUUUAACACCAUGCUUGAAAGUUUUUUCGUCAUCCGACAUGUAGCACACUUGCCCACUAUGUCGGUUACAUCCCCAUCAUCUUUAGGCAAAAAGAAAAGUUCUUGAAGCACCUCCAAAGUCUUGUUAAUGGAAAAAUAACCCGCCAAACCACCACCAUGAGCUUCACUAAUCAGCAAGUCCCUUAUUGCAUGUAUAGGGACACAAAGGUGAUUGCCUUUUAAUACCAUUAUGGGCUUGAUUAAGUGAGUAGGAUUUUGUUUAGGUAAAUUAAGCUAGAAUAACAACCACAAAUGAUAGGUGUAUGGGAAUAAAUGAAUAGAUUAAUAAGUAAUCAUAACGUACUAAGUUGUAUACCAAUGAAAACUAUUCAAGAAUAAUAUUAGAUUGAAUGAAUAUCAAGUCAAGAACACGUCUCGACUAUGACAAGUAGUGAACUAUAACUAUAAUUCAAAGUGAACAAAGGUUCUAUUGAUUAAAAUUAUAUCUAUUUUUUUUCAUGCGUACUUGGCUUAUAUUAAGCCUAAAUUAGAAAGUUAGUGGUUACAAACCACCCAACCAAUGACUCAGUGAAACUAAUAAUGAAAAUUAAAAAAACUCAUGAAACCACACCAAAAGAAACCUCUUCCACACUAAUGAAUGUAAAAAACGUCCAUGCUCCAUUAAGGAGCCACAAGAAGAAUUAAAGUGUAACCCUAGUCCACAAAAGAGUAUCAAAAUGGCUAGGAACAUUUAUGAAGCAUAAAGUACCAGUUUUGAUCACUUAUGAAGCCUUUAAAAUGUUGCUUUAGACUUCAUGCGAUCCUAAUUCAAUUCAUACGUUACCAUGCACAACCCAAUCAUUGAGCCCAAAUCACCUUCUAGCCUACUAGUAAUCCUUAAUCCAUCACCUUUGGGGCUUUCAUGAUCCUUGCAUGGUACAUCCUCUCCCCCUUUGAAAAGAUGUGACAUUAAUUCAUUAAGGCCACCCUCAACAAGAUACGGUGAAAGGUCUCCCACAUUAAAGGAAGCAUGCACUCCAUGGUCUCCUCCCUAAUCCACCUUAUAAGCAUUAUCAUUGACACGUGACAUCACUUUGUAAAGACCUUCAGCUCUUGGUAUCAAAUUUUGUUCUCCCUUUUUUUAGGAAACAUCUUUCCUCAUAUGAACCUAAACCAAGUCACCAUCUUGAAAGACACGUGGUUUCCUAUGCAUGUUGGACUUCUAUUUGUACACGUCAUUCACGGUUUCAAUCUUCACACGUACUUGUUGGUGUAGUUUUAUCAUGGCUUUCAACUUGUCAUUAACAUCCUUGUGAACCAAUUCAUCCUUUAGCAAUGGAAUAAUAUCCAAAGCCAUGUAAGGAUUCACAUCAUACACCAAUUCAAAAGGAGAGUGACUUGUAGCACAAGUAGGAGAACCAUUACAGGGAUACUCAACAUGUGCAAGUUUGAUAUCUAAUGUUUUUGAGUUUUGCUAACCAACCCCCUCAACAACGUACCCAAAGUUCUAUUAGUCACCUUCGUUUUCCCAUCAGUUUGUGUAUGAUAGGAUGUACUAAAAAGAAACUUAGUACCUAUUUUCCUCCACAAAGUGUUCCAAAAGUAACUCAAAAACAUGGAAUCCCAAUCAGAACAAUAGCUUUAGGAAUAAUAUGCAUGCGAACCACCUCUGUAAGUACAAAUCUAACACAUUAGAUGCAUCAUUGGUUUUAUGACACGUUAUAAAGUGAGAAAGUUUCGAAAACCUAUCCACUACCACUAUAAUGGAAUCCUUCCCCCUUUGAGUUCUAGGCAAAGCCAUAAUGAAUUCCAUUGACACAUCUUCCCAAGGCCGAAUAGGAACCGUCAAAGGAUGUUCAAACACCUAGCUAGAAAUUUUUUUUCGUCAUCCGACAUGUAACACACUUUCCCACUAUGUUGGUUACAUCCCCAACAUCUUUAGGCCAGAAGAAAUGUUCUUGAAGCACCUCCAAAGUCUUGUUAAUGGAAAAAUGACCCGCCAAACCACCACCAUGAGCUUCACGAAUCAGCAAGUCCCUUAUUGAAUGUUUAGGGACACAAAGGUUAUUGCCUUUUGAUACCUUUAUGGGCUUGAUUAACUGAGUAGGGUUUUGUUUAGGUAAAUUAAGCUAGAAUAACAACCACAAAUGAUAGGUGUAUGGGAAUAAAUGAAUAGAUUAAUAAGUAAUCAUGACGUACUAAGUUGUAUACCAGUGAAAACUAUCCAUGAAUAAUAUUUGAUUGAAUAAGUAUCAAGUCAAGAACACGUAUCGACUAUGACAAGUAGUGAGCCAUAACUAUAAUUCAAAGUGAACAAAGGUUCUAUUGAUUAAAAUUAUAUCUAUUUUUUUCAUGCGUACUUGGCUUAUAUUAAGCCUUUAUUAGAAAGUUAGUGGUUACAAGCCACCCAACUAACUACUCAGUGAAACUAAUAAUGAAAAUAAAAAAAACUCAUGAAACCACACAAAAAACCUCUUACACACUAAUGAAUGUAAAAAACGUCCACGCUCAAUUAAAAAGCCACAAGAAGCAUUAAAGUGUCACCUUAAUCCACAAAAGAGUAUCAAAAUGGCUAGGAGGCUUUAUGAAGCAAAAAGUACCGGUUUUGAGCACUUAUGAAGCCAUUAAAAUGUUGCUUUAGCCUUCAUGUGACCCUAAUUAAAUUCGUAGGAUAUCACACACAACCCAACCAUUGAGCCCAAACCACCUUCUAGCUUACUAGUAAUCCUUAAUCCAUCGCCUUUUAGGCUUUCAUAAUCCAUUCAUGGAUCAUCCCCUCCCGCUUUGAAAAGAUAUGACCUCAAUUCAUUAAGGCCAUCCUGAACAAGAUACGGUGAAAGGUCUCCCACAUUAAAGGAAGCAUGCACUCCAUGGUCUCCUCCAAAAUCCAUCUUAUAAGCAUUAUCAUUGACACGUGACACCACUUUGUAAGGACCUUCUGCUCUUGGCAUCAACUUUUGUUCUCCCUUUUUUAGGAAAAGUUCUUUCCUCAUAUGAACUUAAACCAAGUCACCAUCUUGAAAGACAUGUGGUUUCCUAUGCAUGUUGGAAUUCUGUUUGUACAUGUCAUUCACGGUUUCAAUCUUCACACGAACUUGUUGGUGUAGUUUUAUCAUGGCUUUCAACUUUUCAUUAACAUCCUUGUGAACCAAUUCAUCUUUUGGCAAUGGAAUCAAAUCCAAAGGCAUGUAAGGAUUUACAUCAUACACCACUUCAAAAGGAUAGUGACCUGUAGCACAAGUAGGAGAACCAUUACAGGGAUACUCAGCAUGUGCAAGUUUGAUAUCUGAUGUUUUUGAGUUUUGCUAACCAACCCCCUUAACAACGUACCCAAAGUUCUAGUAGUCACCUUCAUUUUCCCAUCAGUUUGUGGAUGAUAGGAUGUACUAAAAAGUAACUUAGUACCUACUUUCCUCCACAAAGUGUUCCAAAAGUAACUCAAAAACAUGGAAUCCUAAUCAGUAGCUUUAGGAAUAAUAUGCAAGCGAACCACCUUUGUAAAGUACAAAUCAAACAUAUGAGAUGCAUCGUUGGUUUUAUGACACGACAUAGAGUGAGAAAGUUUUGAAAAUCUAUCCACCACCACCACUAUAAUGGAAUCCUUCCACCUUUGAGUUCUAGGCAAAGCCAUAAUGAAUUCCAUUGACACAUCUUCCCAAGGCCGAAUAGGAACCAGCAAAGGAUGUUUAAACACCAUGCUUGAAAGUUUUUUUCGUCAUCCGACAUGUAACACACUUGCCCACUAUGUUGGUUAGAUCCCCAACAUCUUUAGGCCAGAAGAAAUGUUCUUGACGCACCUCCAAAGUCUUGUUAAUAUAAAAGUAACCCGCCAAACCACUACCAUGUGUAACAUCCAAAAUUUCGAAACAAUUAAAACUUUUCAAAAUCACCCAUUUUAUUAACAUUGUUACAAAAAGGUUUUCAAUACAUUAUUUAACAGAGUAAUUUCCCAGGUUCAUAUCAUAAAUCACCAAUACGAGGAACGGUACGAUCACGCCUUUGCCUUGCUACAGACUCUUGAGAACCUGAAACAUAAAACCACAACUGUAAGCCCGAAAGCUUAGUGAGAUACCCCCAGAAUACCAACCACAUAUACGCCUUUCCAGGCCCUGACCUUCCGGUCCUCAACACAACAUAAUCGCCUUCCGGCCCGUAAUAUAUUGCCUUCCGGCCCAUAACAUAUUGCCUUCCGGCUCAUAAGCAUACAAUGCAUACAUAACGUAACAAAUAAUCAUAUAGCAGUUCAUAGACAACAAUCGAUCAACAGAUCACAUACCAUAGCAUUACUCUAAACAAGAUACCGGUCUAGCCGGUCACUAGCACAACAUUACCCUAUGAAUCAGUCAACAUACUUAAUGCAUAAAUACGCCUUUCCAGGCCAUGACCUUCCGGUCCACAUAGCAAUGCCUUCCGGCCCAUAACAUGUAAUGACAACUACCCGGAUUUCCAUCCGAUAAAAGGGUCGGCCUUGGUGCCAUAAACCCUAGCGAUAUAGUGAGGAUAACUCACCUCGAAACUGCCGACUGAACAGAUAGCUCAAGCUGCUCCGAUCACUGAUACGAUCUCCACCUCUGGACAGUCACCAAUGCACUGAACUCAAACAAUAACAACAAUUACCAAAAUACCCCUGGAACCACUGGUCAAUCCUUGGUCAAAGACAAGGUCAAAGUCAACCCCUGACUGACCCUACUCGCCGAGUCAACCCUAUGACUCGCCGAGUCCCCAUACUCAGAACUUCACUCAACCCGCGAUCUAACUCGCCGAGUCACCCCAAGACUCGCCGAGUUCAACGACUCUGAGUCCACUCGCCCUUGACUCACCGAUUCCUUAAGAUUCCCUUUCUACACGUCGAGUAUCCCCUUUUUACUCGACGAGUUCCUCCUGGAAGAAUCGCGGGGCCACCCCGACUCAACUCGCCGAGUCUGAAGAACAACUCGACGAGUCCCAGUUAAUCUUCAAGCUACUCGCCGAGUCUGAAGAACAACUCGGCGAGUCCAUGUCAUGCAGACGAGCAACUGCUUCCUGAAUUACGUAUGGUCCCGAGAUAUACAAUCAUGGGACUUUCUGGACUUCUAAACAUCUUAUUACUGGGGUAUAAACGUCUGGGUAAUAACAUAAUAACCCAUCUAAUCACUAAGUGGGUUUCAUAAACCCUAGAUUCGUAUACACAUCAAAAUAACAGAAAUGGUCCGAGUAUUACCUGAAAACGCACUCUCUGUGUCCCCCAAACCUCAGGACUCGAUCCUCCUUGAUAUUCCUUUGGCCAAAUUCUUCUUCUUCUUGCCUAACAAGUUCCUCCAAGUUCCAAUAGCUUUCUCUCCUGCUCUAGACGUCCACAACGAUUAGGGUUCUUCUCAAUCGACCAAAAGACGGACAAUGACGGCCUAAGAGGCGUUAUAUACGAUCCAAAACCGAACGGUUAGGGUUUCUGCUGAACAGCGUCGACUCGCCGAGUCCAUAUCUGGACUCGUCGAGUCCAGUCGCGAACCCGCGACCAAGUCUGCGAUCCUACUCGGCGAGUCUAGGCUCCAACUCGCCGAGUCCCCUCUUAAAUCACCCCCAAAAACAUAAUUNAGAUGCCCACAGCCGCUUAGGGUUCUUCUCAAUCGACUAAAAGACGAACAAUGACGGCAUAUAGUGCGUUAUAUACGACCCAAACCUGAACGGUUAGGGUUUUCGCUAAACAGCGUAGACUCGCCGAGUCCAUAUCUGGACUCGUCGAGUCCAGUCGCGAACCCGCGACCAAGUCUGCGAUCCUACUCGGCGAUUCUAGGCUCCAACUCACCGAGUCCCCUCUUAAAACACCCCCAAAAACAUAAUUAUAUCAAUAUUUGAAAUUUCGGGCUGUUACAACUCUCCCCCACUAGAACUAGACUUCGCCCUCGAAGUCUCACUCUGAAAAUAGCCCCGAAUGCUGCUCCCACAUAUCACGUUCCAGAUCACAGUUCAUUUCCGAUCCCCUCCGGUGCUGCCACUGAAGUAGCCCAGAGGUAUCUCCUUAUUCCUCAGAAGCUCGAUCUUCCGUUCUCUGAUAACCACUGGCUUCACGACAUAAUUCAGGCUCGCAUCCACCUGAAUGUCUUCUAAUGGAACCACUGCCGACUCAUCGACUAUAUACUUCCUCAAUUGCGACACAUGAAAAAUAUCGUGGAUUUGUCUCAAAUCCGUGGGCAACUCCAAAUGGUAGGCCACCCGGCCUACCCCCGCAAUCACGUGAAAAGAUCCAAUAUACCGGGGCCCCAUCCUGCCCCUCUUCCUGAAUCGAAUUACUCCUCUCCAAGGAGAGGCCUUCAGGAGCACGAAGUCGCCAACCUGAAACUCAAGCUUGGACUGGCGUCUGACUGCAUAACUUUCCUGUCGGCUCUGGGCGGUCAAUGACCUCUGUCUAAUCUGCUGAAUCUGCUCUGUCGACUGAAGCACGAUCUCUGUACUGCACAUCACUCUCUGCAACCGAAAAUUACUCGAGAUGCAACUCUGUGCUAAAUCUCAACGAUCACUCGACUCAUAAGGGUUAAGAAACCCUGAACCACCGGAUCCCCGAUCCAAAGCCCACCUUGUCCAUUUCGGACCGACUGAGAGAUCCAUUCUCACUCUCAGAGCAACUCUCACAAGUUCUCCUCUUGCCAUCACAUACACAUACUGAACUCGUCCCAACACCCGCAGGUUGAAAGACCCGAUACACUGAUGAUAUCCUCGAACAUCUCCCAAGAUGAACCACUACAUCCACCCUACACUCUGAUCAGAAUCACACUGGGAAUUCAAGAUUCUCUCUCCCCCUGCACCCCUUCUGAGUCUCGACAGUCAUCCCAACCCGGAUGGGUUCCUACUUCACUGCCGCGAACACGAUGCUCAAAACCAUACUCGAAAUACUCUAACCAUAACUCUGCUCUGCAGCUUUCACUUUCGUGAACUUGCACCCCCUUCGGAGUUACACACCUUCCUCUUUUCCUUUUUCCAAGGAACCCUCUUGGCCAUAAUGUCACUCCAACCGGUGCCACGGUGCUCGCCCCAAGCGACACCACCCUUUUUGCGUAACCGCUAUCCACAUACUCUGGUUCUCAUUGCAGGGGCUCUCAAUCCCAUGCACUCUCUCCACUCAUCAAAAUCACUGCCUCAGCUAAACAAGAUCACUAACCCGGGGCCAGACCUUCCAAUGCAAUCACACUGCAACAUACACAAUCCGCAAUCUCAAACUGAUCCAGCAAUACCAACAGAGUCUCCAGCAUGACUGGACCGACUCUCAUAACACAUACUAGCCACUCGAGGCUAUAUCUCUGUGGGUCCGUACACCCAAACUCUGCGAACCCUCAGGUUCUAACUCUGGGAACCUUCCGGUUCCAGCUCUAGAAACAUGCACAACAUAAUCCCGUGGGAUUAAUGCAGUACAACCCAUCACGUACCUCAAACAUACCAAUACUCUGAUCGCAUAACCCCGGUUACUUACUCAAGCUUGAUCCCGGCCUUCUCUCAGGCCUCCACAAUCAAAUGCCCUAGGUCUGUAUCCCGCCCCGCAUACCCGACACUCGCUCUCGUCGGCCUAUACUCUGCGCUGACAAACACUGCUGAAUCCCAACAGCUAAGCACCCUCACAUACUCAUCGAUCUCCCGGAGAAUUCUCCAAUUCUCCCCCACUAAAGCACUGACUAACUGCCACCGAUCGUCAUUAACGACCUUUCAGAACAAUCCUGCACAAAGAGAACAUUUACACACUGACUGCUUCCCACAAGCAUAAGCAACCCUCAGCAAAACACAUCUCCUCCCUGAUCAAUCCACUCAAAAGAAUCCGGUCUUUCAAUUAUCCACUCUACGACUGCAGAUGCUACCCGACAUUCAACCCAGUGCCGCAUCUCCACUAACAACCCUCACGAACGAUAACCAACGGAAUUCCCAACAAUAACCCGUAACCAAACCCACAACCUGCCAAAGGAUGAAUACCGCAUCGAAAACCGCACAAGGCUACCGGCACCAAAACACCAAACUAUAACCAUACCAAACCAUCAGGGAACAACGAAUGCCAAAGCGAAAACCUGAAACACCAAUCCAUAACCAUGCCAAACCCGCGAAACAACGAAUACCGCAUCGAAAUCCACACAAGAUACCAGCACAAACAAUACGCCACAAUCAACGCAAGACAAUCAAGACAUCAAGAAAGCAUCAUACCCGCAGCUGCCUCCGGCACUGCUCCGUCUCCCUCUGCCGCAAGCCGAUAAGCACGACCCUGAGCCCUUGGGGCUCCGCUCCAUCCUGUCCUCCUCCUGAACUCCUCAAGGUGGCCGGUGCUAGAGCCUGCACCGGUCCUGCAGAAAGCUGUGGACAGUUGACCCUCAAAUGUCCAACCUGCCGACACUGAUAACAAAUCCUCAAAUCCCGAAUUGGCACUGACUGCCGACAAUCCCGUGCACCGUGCCCCUCCUUUCCGCACUUGCGGCAUGCACCACCGGACCAGCAAGCUCCGGUGUAACCCCUCCCACACUUCCCACAAGUGUGGCCGCUCCGAUCCCCCAUUCUAACAUCUACGGUCCUGGACCGUUUCGGCGCCGACUGCGACUGCAUCGGGGCCUGCCUCAGCUCACGCAACUGCAACUCAACCUCUAACUCACGCCGCAUGGCGGCCUCCUGCAACUCCAACAAGGUCUCGCACCUCUGCGCAGACACGAACUGUCUGAUAUCCCCCUUGAGCAUACUCAGAUAUCGGGACAUCUGAGCCUGCUCCGAAGCGAACUCAGGGCAAAACAUCGCCCUCUCAAUAAACAUCCUGGUGAUCUCAGUCACCGACUCCAAAUCCUGCUUCAGCUCAAAGAACUCCCGAGCCAAUCUCUCCUUUUCAUCCCGCGGAACAUAGCGAGUACUGAACAUCUCUCUGAAUUGAUCCCAUGAAACCGCAGCCCUCUGCGCAUCGGAAAAUGACCUCGUAGUCAAUCUCCACCAAUCCUUCGCUCCUAGCCUCAACAGGUUCAGAGCACACCUCACCCUCUGAUCAGCAGGGCAUAAACUCGUGGAGAAAUACCCCUCCACGUCUGAUAACCAUCUCAUAGCAACAAUCGGGUCCUGAACUCCAUCGAAUGUGGGAGGCUUCGUAUAAUAGAAGUCCCGAUACUGAAAACCCCGACUAGCUCCUCUCUUUGCCGUUGCUACAGCCGCUGUAACUGCCGCGGCAGCCGUCUCUGCGAGAGCCGCAUAUCGCUCAUCAAACUACUCAACCAUGGCGGUCCUGAUCGACCCAAACCAUUCUGGCAACUCAGCCCGUAACAAUGCAGCAACCUCAUCACGCAGGAUCUCGCGAAUCCUCGCAUCCCGCUCGCUCGUGCUCGUCCGAUCGAUAACCUCCGACGGCACCGAUCCACCCGGAACUCGCUCUCCAGCUCCCGAUCCUGAUCCGGAUCCACUAUCAUCAUGCCUCGAAAUCUCCAUACUGAAGACACCCUACCAAUCUCAGACACUUCCCAAAAUCCUGGGAUCCAACUCUCGCAACCCUACCCUAGAGACCAUGGUUUCCCUGAUACGCGUAUGGGUCCUGUGCUUUCAGUAGUACGGGCCCAUACUACCUUCCACACCUACCCAUAUUUGUAUGAAGUACUACCACAAUACCCUAGGGAACAUGCAUAACAACUAUCAACCCUCACCACUAGAGGAACACUGAGAACAUCCCAUAAGGGACCCUAGGCUACAGGCAUCACAUAUCAGGCAACAUUAUCAUGAAUUCCUGAAGAUCCCUAGCCUAACUCUAGCAUGCUGUUCUAUCAAGCUCAAAUAAACAAAUAUCAUGUAUGGUAUCUUGGGGUUACUUACUGGCUCCGGCUGAUCGUACCUCCGCGUCCUCCUUUUACUUAAUUUGAAAACCAUUUUAAUUUCUCAUUUUAAUUUCUCUUUUUAAAAUCCUCCUCGAUUUGAGACUGGAGUCACACGAAUGUUUCCCCAAUUCACUCAAACCAAGGCUCUGAUACCAACUUGUAACAUCCAAAAUUUCAAAACAAUUAAAACUUUUCAAAAUCACCCAUUUUAUUAACGUUGUUACAAAAAGGUUUUCAAUACAUUAUUAAACAGAGUAAUUUCCCAGGUUCAUAUCAUAAAACACCAACGCGAGGAACGGUACGAUCACGCCUUUGCCUUGCCACAGACUCUUGAGAACCUGAAACAUAAAACCACAACUGUAAGCCCGAAAGCUUAGUGAGAUACCCCCAGAAUACCAACCACAUAUACGCCUUUCCAGGCCCUGACCUUCCGGUCCAUGUGUCUCAGGGGACUUCCGUCCCUGCUGGGUAAACCUUCCGGUCCUACCCACGCCGACCUUCCGGUCCAUCACACAACAUAUUGCCUUCCGGCCCAUAACAUAUCGCCUUCCGGCCCAUAACAUAUUGCCUUCCGGCCCAUAAGCAUAAAAUGCAUAUAUAACAUAACAAAUAAUCAUAUAGCAGUUCAUAGACAACAAUCGAUCAACAGAUCACAUAUCAUAGCAUUACUCUAACAAGAUACCGGUCUAGCCGGUCACUAUCAUAACAUUACCCUAUGAAUCAGUCAACAUACUAAAUGCAUACAUACGCCUUUCCAGGCCAUGACCUUCCGGUCCACAUAGUAAUGCCUUCCGGCCUGUAACAUAUAAUGACAACUACCCGGAUUUCCAUCCGAUAAAAAGGGUCGGCCUUGGUGCCAUAAACCCUAGCGAUAUAGUGAGGAUAACUCACCUCGAAACUGCCGACUGAACAGAUAGCUCAAGCUGCUCCGAUCACUGAUACGAUCUCCACCUCUGGACAGUCACCAAUGCACUGAACUCAAACAAUAAACAACAAUUACCAAAAUACCCCUGGAACCACUGGUCAAUCCUUGGUCAAAGACAAGGUCAAAGUCAACCCCUGACUGACCCUACUCGCCGAGUCAACCCUAUGACUCGCCGAGUCCCCAUACUCAGAACUUCACUUAACCCGCGACCUAACUCGCCGAGUCACCCCAAGACUCGCCGAGUUCAACGACUCUGAGUCCACUCGCCCUUGACUCACCGAUUCCUUAAGAUUCCCUUUCUACACGUCGAGUAUCCCCUUUUUACUCGACGAGUUCCUCCUGGAAGAAUCGCGGGGCCACCCCGACUCAACUCGCCGAGUCUGAAGAACAACUCGACGAGUCCCAGUAAAUCUUCAAGCUACUCGCCGAGUCUGUUCAUCGGACUCGGCGAGUCCAUACCAUGCAGUCGAUCAAACUGCUUCCUGAGAUAAAUAUGGUUCCGAAAUACACAAGCAUGGGACCUUCUGGACCUCUAAAGGUCCUAAUACAGGGUUAUAUUCGUUUGGGUAACAAGGUAAUAAUCCAUCUAAUCACCAAAUGGGUUCCAUAAACCCUAGAUCCAUGCACACAUCAAUAUAACAGAAAUGAUCCGAAUAUUACCUGAAUAACGCACUCUCUGUGUCCCCAAACCUCAGAACUCGAAUCCCUUGCAGUUCCUUUAGCCAAGACUCUUCUUCUCCUUGCACCACAAUUUCUUCAAGUCACCAAUGGCCUUCAAUCUUGCUCUAGACGCCCACAGCCGCUUAGGGUUCUUCUCAAUCGACUAAAAGACUAACAAUGACGACAUAUAGUGCGUUAUAUACGACCCAAACCUGAACGGUUAGGGUUUUCGCUAAACAGCGUAGACUCGCCGAGUCCAUAUCUGGACUCGUCGAGUCCAGUCGCGAACCCGCGACCAAGUCUGCGAUCCUACUCGGCGAGUCUAGGCUCCAACUCGCCGAGUCCCCUCUUAAAACACCCCCAAAAACAUAAUUAUAUAAAUAUUUGAAAUUCCGGGCUGUUACACCAUGAGCUUCACGAAUCAGCAAGUCCCGUAUUGUAUGUUUAGGGACACAAAGAUGAUUGACUUUUGAUACCUUUAUCGGCUUGAUUAAUUGAGUAGGGUUUUGUUUAGGUAAAUUAAGCUAGAAUAACAACCACAAAUGAUAGGUGUAUGGGAAUAAAUGAAUAUAUUAAUAAGUAAUCAUGGCGUACUAAGUUGUAUACCGGUGAAAACUAUCCAAGAAUAAUAUUUCAUUGGAUGCGUAUCAAGUCAAGAACACGUCUCGACUAUGACAAGUAGUGAACUAUAACUAUAACUCAAAGUGAACAAAGGUUCUAUUGAUUAAAAUUAUAUCUAUUUUUCCUUUCAUGCGUACUUGGCUUUAUAUUAAGCCUUUAUUAGAACGUUAGUGGUUACAAGCCACCCAACCAACUACUCAGUGAAACUAAUAAUGAAAAUUAAAAAAACUCAUGAAACCACACAAAAAAACCUCUGACACACUAAUGAAUGUAAAAAAUGUCCAGGAUCCAUUAAGGAGCCACAAGAAGCAUUAAAGUGUAACCCUAAUCCACCAAAGAGUAUCAAAACGGCUAGGAGGAUUUAUGAAGCAAAAGUACCGAUUUUGAGCACUUAUGAAGUCGUUAAAAUGUUGAUUUAGCCUUCAUGCGACCCUAAUUCAUUUCGUAGGUUACCAUGCACAACCCAACCAUUGAGCCCAAACCACCUUCUAGCUUACUAGUAAUCCUUGAUCCAUCACCUUUUGGGCUUGCAUGAUCCAUGCAUGGAUCAUCCCCUCCCCCUUUGAAAAGAUAUGACCUAAAUUCAUUAAGGUCAUCCUCAAAAAGAUACGAUGAAAGGUCUCCCACAUUAAAGGAAGUAUGAACUCCUUGGUCUCAUCCCAAAUCCACCUUAUAAGCAUUAUCAUUGACACGUGACACCACUUUGUAAGCACCUUUAGCUCUUGGCAUCAACUUUUGUUCCCCCUUUUGUUAGGAAACAUCUUUCCUCAUAUGAACCUAAACUGAGUCACCAUCUUGAAAGACACGUGGUUUUCUAUGCAUGUUGGAAUUCUAUUUGUGCACGUCAUUCACGGUUUCAAUCUUCACAUGUACUUGUUGGUGUAGUUUUAUCAUGGAUUUCAACUUUUCAUUAACAUCCUUGUGAACCAAUUCAUCCUUUGGCAAUGGAAUCAAAUCCAAAGCCAUGUAAGGAUUCACAUCAUACACCACUUCAAAAGGAGAGUGACCUGUAGCACAAGUAGGAGAACCAUUACAGGGAUACUCAACAUGUGCAAGUUUGAUAUCUGAUGUUUUUGAGUUUUGCUAACCAACCCCCUUAACAACGUACCCAAUGUUUUAUUAGUCACCUUCGUUUUCCCAUCAGUUUGUGGAUGAUAAGAUGUACUAAAAAGUAACUUAGUACUUACUUUCCUCUACAAAGUGUUCCAAAAGUAACUCAAAAACAUGGAAUCCCAAUCAGAACAAUAGCUUUAGGAAUAAUAUGCAAGCGAACCACCUCUAUAAAGUACAAAUCUAACACAUUAGAUGCAUCAUUGGUUUUAUGACACAUUAUAAAGUGAGAAAGUUUUGAAAACCUAUCCACCACCACUAUAAUGGAAUCCUUCCCCCUUUGAGGUCUAGGAAAAGCCAUAAUGAAUUCCAUUGACACAUCUUCCUAAGGCCGAAUAGGAACCGGCAAAGGAUGUUUAAGCACCAUGCUUGAAAUUUUUUUCGUCAUCCGACAUGUAACACACUUGCCCACUAUGUUGGUUAGAUCCCCAACAUCUUUAGGCCAGAAGAAAUGUUCUUGAAGCACCUCCAAAGUCUUGUUAAUAUAAAAGUAACCCGCCAAACCACCACCAUGAGCUUCACGAAUCAGCAAGUCCCGUAUUGCAUGUUUACGGACACAAAGAUGAUUGACUUUUGAUACCUUUAUCGGCUUGAUUAAUUGAGUAGGGAAUAAAUGAAUAUAUUAAUAAUUAAUCAUGAUGUACUAAGUUGUAUACCGGUAAAAACUAUCCAAGAAUAAUAUUUGAUUGAAUGCAUAUCAAGUCAAGAACACGUCUCGACUAUGACAAGUAGUAAACUAUAACUAUAAUUCAAAGUGAACAAAGGUUCUAUUGAUUAAAAUUAUAUCUAUUUUUUUUCAUGCGUACUUGGCUUAUAUUAAGCAUUUAUUAGAAAGUUAGUGGUUACAAACCACCCAACCAACGACUCAGUGAAACUAAUAAUGAAAAUUAAACAAACUUAUGAAACCACAAAAAAAAAAACCUCUGCCACACUAAUGAAUGUAAAAAACGUCCAUGCUCCAUUAAGGAGCCACAAGAAGCAUUAAUGUGUAACCAUAAUCCACCAAAGAGUAUCAAAAUUGCUAGGAGCAUUUAUGAAGCAAAAAGUACCGGUUUUGAGCACUUAUGAAGCCUUUAAAAUGUUGCUUUAGACUACAUGCGACCCUAAUUCAAUUCAUAGGUUACCAUGCACAACCCAACAAUUGAGCCCAACCCACCAUGAGCCUACUAGUAAUCCUUAAUCCAUCACCUUUGGGGCUUUCAUGAUCCUUGCAUGGAUCAUCCCCUCCCCCUUUGAAAAGAUAUGACCUUAAUUCAUUAAGGCCAUCCUCAACAAGAUACGGUGAAAGGUCUCCCACAUUAAAGGAAGCAUGCACUCCAUGGUCUCCUCCCUAAUCCACCUUAUAAGCAUUAUCAUUGACACAUGACACCACUUUGUAAAGUCCUUCAGCUCUUGGUAUCAAAUUUUGUUAUCCCUUUUGUUAGGAAACGUUCUUUCCUCAUAUGAACCUAAACCAAGUCACCAUCUUGAAAGACACGUGGUUUCCUAUGCAUGUUGGAAUUCUGUUUGUACACGUCAUUCACGGUUUCAAUCUUCACACUUGUUGGUGUAGUUUCAUCAUGGCUUUCAACUUGUCUUUAACAUCCUUGUGAACCAAUUCAUCCUUUGGCAAUGGAAUCAAAUCCAAAGCCAUGUAAGGAUUCACAUCAUACACCACUUCAACUUGUCUUUAACAUCCCUCAAUCUUUUUACUCUCUGGGGUAACCAUUCCCGGACAGAGUAACGCCAGAUCAUCGAAUCUUGAAGUAUAAGAGGCUAUUUCGGAACCCUUCAUCUUAAGGUUCCAGAGUUCGUGUUCUAGCUUCUGAAUUUCGCCCCGAGGGCAAUACUCUGCGAGUAGAAGCUCCUUCAUAGCUUCCCAACCCAUAGCAUUUGCUACAGGUAGUGUUAAGGAUUUGACUCGGCCGUUCCACCAAGUCAGGGCUUUGUUAAGGAAGGUACAGGCGGCGAACUUUACUUUAUCAGACUCCGAACAGGCGCAUAUUUCAAAGAUUGAUUCGAUUUUCUCGAACCAUCGGGUGAGGGAAAUGACACCUCCAGUGCCAUCAAAGGAUGUGGGCUUCGCGUUCAUGAAUUCUUUAUAGGAACCCCCUUUUUGGUGUCCCUGGCUAUCUUCUGGGUUUUGGGGCUGGGGACCACCUCCUGAAUUACCGGGGUUCAUUUGCGACAUGGCUGCUACCAUUGCAGCAGUCAGAACUGUCUGAAGCGAUGCAAGAUUAAAUUGAGGAGGAGGUGGUGGCGGAGGAGGAUUGUUGUUGUUCUUUGAGCCGGGUCUCUUUCUUAGAGGCAUCUUGAUCUAAAAAGAUCAGGAAAGAGAGGAUAAUAAGUCCUCUGAAUUGAAUCAAGAGAUAUGGAACAGGGGAUAUCUCAUCAAGACAUAUAUAGCAUCAUAUUAAGCGAUAAAGCAGGAAAGAGUUAUCGAGACAGAACAUUUUAUUGCUAGAGGAAUGAUCAAGGAACAACGCGUAUACGAGGACUUUCUACAAAGGAUUGACUCGAGAAAUACUCCCAUAGUAUUUCAUGAUUCACUGCAACGACGACUUGUUGUUUGGGGUAUUGGGUAAGUUUUAGGUAUGCUGCGUACCAUAGUCACUCCCAAGCACAUGUUUGGCCGUGUCUCGAAUGAAUAUAGUUGGCCAGGCUAUAUUGACACCAGACACGACUACAUAACUGCCCAGGUUUAACCACAGCGUACAACACCCAUUUACUUAUGUUUUGUUCUACUUGUAGUUACGGAUCUCGACGGCUCGGUAUACUUAUAUACUAUUGAAAAUACUUAUAUUCUAAAGAAUACGUUUAGUUCAGAGCACUUAGACCCCUUAAUGUUUAUAGUUUUAUACCAUGUAAGGUUUGGUAUACUCCGUUCACUAUAAACAAGGGCUCUGAUACCAAUCUGUCACACCCCGAAAACCAAAGGCGGAAACAUUUCCGGGGUUGACUCCACGUUGAGUAUCAAAUCCAAUGCACAUAGUAAUCAAAGUAAACAACCAUUACAUUACAUAUAUUUGAAAGUUUACAUUUGGUUCAAAAGUAAAUUGUACAAGUGUUAUACAUAUAUCAUAUGAACAAAAGUAGAGACGAGUCUUCUGAGCACUCCGUCUUCACCAAAAGAUAUCGUCGGGUACCUGUCUAACGUGGACCUGAGAAUACAAGCGGUUUGAAAAUCAGCAUAAAGCUGGUGAGUUCAUAAGAUGUUUGUUUUCUGAAAAAUGUACCGGUUUCCUUUAGUUUUCCGAAAAGGUUUGUUAUCCAAGAAAAUCCCAUAUUUUCUUAUGUAAAACAGUUUAGUUAUCUUUCAUUACAGUUCAAUUACGCGUUAUAUGUUACCCCAGGAAAAUCCCAUAUUUUCCUAAAUACAAGACCGAUUUAAUAUUACAUAGUAUAGUUUAAUACACAAAACUAUAUAAUGAGAAUCUUGGUAUUACUAUCCCGAAUUAGAUAUAAAAUACUUUAACAUACGUGAACUGUAGAUGGAAAAUAGUUUGAAAACCUUGAGACUUACAUCCCGUACUACAUAUAGACUUAAUACCAUGGGACUAUCAUCCCGGACUAGAUACAAGAUAGUUUGAUAUACUUGAAAAUAUAGACUAAAAACCAUGGGACUACCAUCUUGGACUACAUACAAGAUAGUUUGUUAAAACCAUGGGAUUACUAUCCCGAACUAGAUAUAGAUUCUAAUCCUAGGAAUAACAUCCUGCAAUAGAUAUGAACCCUAUAGACCAAAAACCAUGGGAUUACCAUCCGGUACUAGAUAUGAGAUCUAAAGAUAAAAGAUUGAUUUAAAAUCAAAUCCAAAACUAAAGUCGUGAAUAAACUUAUAUUAAUACGUAUUAUGAGUCGGGUAACCAUGCUGAUACGACAACGAGACCUCCUUGACGCUUGUCAGACGUCGGACGAUAUCCAGAAUUUGUCACCCCAGGCGUGCCCGCCUAACUGUAGCUAGCAGUUAAGGUGUGGGAUUGUCAGUCCCGAAUAGAUCUAUUCACAAAUUCCUCGCUCUCCCUCCAGGAGACUCUGGUUACACUUCCGGGGAGGAUUUACUGAUCAUCCAUAAAGGGUAGUGACGAACUCACAAGCUAGUACUAAACUAUUCACAGGGUUCUCAUACGAUAUCAAACAUAUAUAAAAGAUUAUGAAACAUAAUACAAUGAAUACAGAUACAUACAAUGAAACUAUCUGGCAAUACAUUCAAAUGAUGCGGAGAUAAACUGAAUCAGACAUAGUUUAUCUAAUAACUUUAUACACAUAUCAGUACAUGAUAAAACGAAAACUAAAGAACCUCAAAUUAUUCCCAUAAUAAUUUGAUUAGUUUGGUUAUUUCCUUAACUAAAAUUCAUUUAGUUGUAGUUGAUAAAUCAUCCCUUAUGCUCAGCAUAAUACAUAAGGGGUAAAAGUAUUUAUAAGUUUGCCAGAUAUUAUUUGAAAUACAUCAAAGUUAUGUUUUGAAAACAUUUAUAAUUUGCUUGUAUUCCCCCCUGAAACCAUUGAAAAACAGUGAAAAAGGGUAGGGGUAUGAACUCACCGGAUGAGAAAUGUGACGAUUUCGGAUGCUAAACGUGGGUUCGGGGCUUGCAAACGCACGAGGUUCCUAAGUAUAAUGAAAAGAUACACAUAUGUAUCUAAUUAGGACUUAGAUUAUUUAAUUGUUAGGGACAAACACUUUUAGUCGCGGAAACACCCCAUUACAAGUGUUUGGAGGGACCCGGGUGGCGUUUAAAGUCACAUAAGGCUUGGAUAUGGAGUUUACUCUUCAAGAGUAAACUCAUACAAGAGUUUUCGUCCUAUAACACCCAUUCCCCAUGAGUUUACGGUCGUAAACUCAUGGUGGGGUGGUUUAUUGUGCAAAAUGGCUUGAAACUAUUAAGAGGGAAUUUUCUAAGGUUUGAUUUAAGGCUUGGAAUUGAUUAAAUUCAUCAAAUAACACUACUUAAGGGAGUUUACGGCCUUAGCAUGGAGCUUACGGCCGUAAACUCCUAUACCCCCUUGAAUGAGUGAUUUAAUGUCCCAAAACUAAUCACAUGUGAUUCCAAUAAUUUUUCCUAGCCUUGUAUUGAUUUUUAAGGGACUUUUGGCCUAGAUUUUGGAGUUUACGGCCCAUGAACACCCUCAUGGCCGUGAACUCCUUAGAUGGGGAAAAUAAUAUGUUUUAAGGUCCAAUACUUGUUUGUAAACACUUCUAGAAUUUAUCCUAAGGCUUUAGGUGUGUUAAAGUGGCAUUUUAACACUUUACAUUGAGUUUACUCCCCAUGUCAUGGAGUUUACGGCCCAAGCUAUGCCUUGGCCGUAAACUCUCAUUUGUCCCUCGAAUUUUAUGUUUAAAGUGUUCCAAGGCUAAAACCAAAAUUCUAGAAGUCAUAUCUAUGUCUUGUUGGGAUCUAAGAAGGGUUUUAGGGCUUAAAAACCCCCUAACUAUGUGUUUACGGCCUAAGCUCCUUCCUGGGCCGUAAACACAUAUACAAGGCCUUAAUUCAUGUUUUAAUCCCGAAUUUGAAGGUCAAAUAUGCUAUACAAUGAGUUUAGGAAGGUACCUUAGAGAUUUGAAGCCUUAAAAUUGAGUUUUGGACCCUUGAACUUAGAUUUAGGAGAGAGGUUAGAGAGAGAGUAGAGAGAGGAAGCAAAAGCUUCAAAUGAAAGGUUUAACACGUUUAUAUAGGUCGCAAAACUUGGACANGGACACGGAGGAAUUCUACCCGAUACCGACACUAAACGGGGCUUUUGGUCGCACCCGAUUAAGUUUCCGUAACUCGGCAGGAACGUUUCUAAAAUUUUUGAAGUAACUAUUUUGGGCUAAUUUCAUAAGUUCCUAAGGGGUUUGGACACUCAAUAGCAUCAAAUAAACAUAUAUGUUUAAUUAAUUUAACCCAAAAACGAAAUUGGAACGAAUUGAUAUUCGGCGAGUUUUACGGGUAGAACGGGGUUUUCGGCUAUGAACAACUUCGGGUUGUUACAUUGGGAAGCCAUUAAAAUGUUGCUUUAGCAUUCAUGCGACCCUAAUUAAAUUUGUAGGAUACCAUGCACAACCCAACCAUUGAGCCCAAACCACCUUCUAGCUUACUAGUAAUCCUUAAUCCAUCACCUUUUGGGCUUUCAUGAUCCAUGCAUGGAUCAUCCCCUCCCGCUUUGAAAAGAUAUGACCUCAAUUCAUUAAGGCCAUCCUCAACAAGAUACAGUGAAAGGUCUCCCACAUUAAAGGAAGCAUGCACUCCAUGGUCUCCUCCCAAAUCCACCUUAUAAGCAUUAUCAUUGACACAUGACACCACUUUGUAAGGACCUUCUGCACUUGGCAUCAAAUUUUGUUCUCCCUUUUUUUAGGAAACGUUCUUUCCUCAUAUGAACUUAAACUAAGUCACCAUCUUGAAAGACACGUGGUUUCCUAUGCAUGUUGGAAUUUUGUUUGUACACGUCAUUCACGGUUUCAAUCUUCACACGAACUUGUUGGUGUAGUUUUAUCAUGGCUUUCGACUUGUCAUUAACACACUUGUGAACCAAUUCAUCCUUUGGCAAUGGAAUCAAAUCCAAAGCCAUGUAAGGAUUCACACCAUACACCACUUCAAAAGGAGAGUGACCUAUAACACAAGUAGGAGAACCAUUACAUGGAUACUCAGCAUGUGCAAGUUUGAUAUCUAAUGUUUUUGAGUUUUGCUAACCAACCCCCUCAACAACGUACCCAAAGUUCUAUUAGUCACCUUCAUUUUCCCAUCAGUUUGUGGAUGAUAGGAUGUACUAAAAAGUAACUUAGUACCUACUUUCCUCCACAAAGUGUUCCAAAAGUAACUCAAAAACAUGGAAUCCCUAUCAGAACAAUAGUUUUAGGAAUAAUAUGCAAGCGAACCACCUCUGUAAUGUACAAAUCAAACACAUUAGAUGCAUCAUUGGUUUUAUGACACGACAUAGAGUGAGAAAGUUUUGAAAACCUAUCCACCACCACUAUAAUGGAAUCCUUCCCCCUUUGAGUUCUUGGCAAAGCCAUAAUGAAUUCCAUUGACACAUCUUCCCAAGGCCAAAUAGGAACCGACAAAGGAUGUUUAAACACCAUGCUUGAAAGUUUUUUUCAUCAUCCGACAUGUAAGACACUUGCCCACUAUGUUGGUUACAUCCCCAACAUCUUUAGGCCAGAAGAAAUGUUCUUGAAGCACCUCCAAAGUCUUGUUAAUGGAAAAAUGACCCGCCAAACCACCANCCAAACCAACUACUCAGUGAAACUAUGUAACAACCCGAAGUUUGUAUCAUCAAUUGUAAUCCUUUUCGUAACCCUUUUCGUUAAUCUAUUUGUCAUUUCCAAAUUCGUUUCCGAUUUCGUUUUUAAAUUAAGUCAUUUAAUUGAGAUUGCUAUUAUGACUUAAUGGGUGUCCCGACACAUUUAGAACUCAUUUUAACACCCCAUAUUAGUAAUCGGGAUAUUUUUAGAAUCGACCAUAUCGGGUUACGACAACUUGAUCGGGGGCGACCAAAAGCCCCGUAUAAUGUCGGUAUCGGGUAGAAUUCCACCGUGUCCAAAUCCUAGACACUAUUUAAAGGAGAUUAAGGUUCCAUUUGAAGCUUUUGCUCUCUCUCUCACUACUCUCUCUCUAACCUCUCCCCUCAACCAAGAUUCAAGGUGUAAAAACAUAGAAUUAUGGCUCCAAAUCUUUGAGGUAACUUCCUUAACUUGAGGUUCAACCUCUUAGGCCUUCAAAUUCGUGUUUAAACUUUGAUUUUGGACCUCAAACAUGAGUUUACGGCCAAGGAACAUGCUUGGGCCGUAAACACAUAAUAAGAGGGUUUUUAUGCCUUUAAACCCCUCCAAACUAACUUUGGGACUUAGAUACGACUAUAUGGCUUACAAAUUCGGACUUAGAACACCCUAAACAUGAAUUUUGAGGAGCAAACUUGAGUUUACUGGCCAAGAACAUGCUUGGGCCGUAAAAUCCUCAUUGAUGGAGAGUAAACUCAUUUUCAAGUGUUAAAAAGCCAUGUAAACACACCAUUAGCCUUGGAAUAAAUCCAAGAACCAACCAAAAUUAGUUUGGGGACCUUAAACAUGAUAAACACCCUCCAAUUGAGUGUUUACGGCCAUGACUCCCCAAGAACAAGUUCCAUGGCCGUAAACUCCUUUACAUAUGUCAAAUGGUGCCCAAAAUUCAUCCCAAGGCUUGGAGAAAUAGUUUGAAUCACAUGUGAUUGUCCUAGCUACAUCAAAUAAAUCAAGGAUUGAGCAUGGGGGAUUUUACGGCCGUAAACUCCAAUAAAUGGUACUUAAGUGAGUUCAAUCCAUCCCAAGGCCCUAGAUUUAAUCCUAGCUAAUUUUCCCAAGUGUUAUCAAGCCAUUUAGCACCAUAAAACCCCCAACCAUGAGUUCACGGCCAUGAACUCAUGUGUGUGUGGUGUAUAGGGCCGUAAACUCCAUAAGGAGGUUACUGUUGAAGAGUAAACUCAUUUCCUAACUCCCACACGUCCGUAGAUGUCACCCGGGUCACUCCAAACACUUCUUUUGAAGUGUUUUCGCUCAUUGGAGUGUAUUAUCCUAUCUAAUUAGUGUUUUAAAAUCUAAUUAGAUACAUUUGUAUACCAUUUCAUAUUACAUAGGAACCUCGCGUGUUAACAAGCCCCGAACCAACGCUUAGCAUUCCAAUCGUCGCGUUUUCUCGUCUGGUGAGUUCAUACCCCUACCCUUUUUCACUGUUUUUCACUAUUUUCAGGGGGGAAUACAAGCAAAGUACAAGGGAUACUUGUACUCAAAACUUGUUUUUCAUGUGUGUGUUUCAUAGCUCAUAUGCUUUUAACACUAAUUGUUAUAACAGAUAACCGUUCGAACAUGCAGAACACGUAAACAUAUUAUUUGUGAAAUGGGUUAUAAACUGUUAUGUGUUAUAAUUUCGCAAAUGUUUUUCCACAUUAUAUCAGUUAAAAGCAUGACAUCUGAACUUUGAAUAUAAAAUUUAGUACACUGUUUUUUGUCCUCGGUAACACUUCACAAAGAUACGCAAGUGGAGGAUUAUUGUAUUAUUACUAGUAAAUUUGUUAAUCCUAUAUAAUUGGAGACACGUCCUCAGUGAACACUCCACAGAGAUACGCGAGUGGAGGACCGCAUCUGUAACCAGAAUCUCUUAGAUAGGGAGCGUGACUUGAGUGUAUAGAUCUAUACGGGGCUGACUACCCCACACCUGGCUGCUAGCUACAGUCGAACCGGAAUGGUUCAAGGGUGAUGAAAGUCAUAAGGUGAUGUGGACUACUUAUUGCCAUAUCUAGUCUAUUGUAUGGUUAUGGAACUCGCAAUUAGGGUAACAGAGAUUUACUUAAUAGUAAUAAUGAAUAAAGUAUAUUUACUAUGUAUAUAUUAGUUUUAUGUAUGUGUUAAAACUAAUACAUUUCACAAGGAUAACCAAGUUUUUAGUAUAUAUCUUUCACAUUUGGUAACCAACAUUCAGGAAAAUAUAGGAUUUUCCUGGGGAAAACAUUUGUACAUAACCAGAACAGUGUAACAAACCAAAUAACCUAACUUUACAUUUCACAAGGAUAAACAUGUGUUCAGUGUACAUCUUUACAUUACAUUUGGGAUUUAAUAACCAACUUUUAAGAAAAUAUGGGAUUUUCUUGGUGUGUAACAUUUUCAGAAACAGAAAGGAACCAGUACAUUUUCACAAAACAAAACCGCUUAUGAACUCACUAGCGUUAUGUUGAUUUUCAAACUGCUUGUUUUCUCAGGUUCACAUUAGACAGGUACCCGAUGAUUCCUUUUGGCAAAGACGGAGUGCGUUGAAGACUCGUCUCAUUUUGUUCAUAUAUACUAUGUAUCACAACUGUAUAACUUUACUUUUGAAACAAAUGUAAACUUUUCUAUAUGUAAUGUAAUGGUUGUUUACUUUACUUACUAUGUGCAUUGGAUUUGAUACUCAACGUGGAGUCAACCCCGGAAAUGUUUCCGCCUUCGAUUUUCGGGGUGUGACAAACUAAUAAUGAAAAUUAAAAAAACUCAUGAAACCNACGCAUUAAAGUAACCCUAAUCCACCAAAGAGUAUCAAAAUGGCUAGGAACAUUUAUGAAGCAAAAAGUACCGGUUUUGAGCACUUAUGAGAAGNNNNNNNNNNNNNNNNNNNNNNNNNNNNNNNNNNNNNNNNNNNNNNNNNNNNNNNNNNNNNNNNNNNNNNNNNNNNNNNNNNNNNNNNNNNNNNNNNNNNNNNNNNNNNNNNNNNNUGUUGGAUUAGUGUCUAAGUCCAUAACUAUAAUUGGUAUGUACUUGACCCGACUCGGCAUGGUCCAUUUGGGUUGCAUGGCAUCGGAACAUUUGGAUAGACCGUUUGUGAGAAGAGGACAUUUGUGACAUAUUAAUAUAUUAUAAGUUCUAAUAUAUUAAUAUGAAAUCAUGUUAUUUAAUUAGUAUGAAUCAACAAUUAAUUUGGACUUAAUUUAGUGAUCAAAAGAGACUAAUUAAAUAUAUGGGGAUUGAUUGUGAAAAAUAGUUAAUUCUUAUAUAUGUGGGCUUAUGAUCCAAGAUUCCUUAUGUUGGGUUUAACCCAUGUGGUGACCCAUGGAUACUCCAUGGAGGUUAAAACCCAUGGAGCAUAAGGAAUGGGUAAAGUCAUGAGUUACAUGGUGUAACACUAAUAGCCACACUAUAUAAAGACCCCUUUAGCUCAAGAAAUUGGCACUAGUGAUACUUAUAUAAGGGCUAGCCAAUUUGAGCAUGAAGUGUCUUCUUUUCAUGUUUAUUCCAAGUGUUGAUGAUGUUGUGUGAACCAUUUGAGGUGUCACACUUGGGGCACUAGGCUCUCGAGCUUCAUGGAGUUAAGCUACAUCAACAAGGUAUGUAUUUCUAUCUACUUUAUUAUUCAAGUAUCAAAAGAUUGUAUGCUAGUUAGGGUAAUACCUUGGAAUAUUCAUAUUUGCAUGUAUAAUAGAGAAAACAUAGAUCCAAGGUAUUUAGGGUUGCAUGUACACUUAGGAGUGUUAGAAUGCUCAAAACCCAACAAUCCCCUCCUCCUUUGAAAAGAUAUGACCUUAAUUCAUUAAGGCCAUCCUCAACAAGAUACGGUGAAAGGUCUCCCACAUUAAAGGAAGCAUGCACUCCAUGGUCUCCUCCCUAAUCCACCUUAGAAGCAUUAUCAUUGACACGUGACACCACUUUGUAAGGACCUUCAGCUCUUGGCAUCAACUUUUGUUCUCCCUUUUGUUAGGAAACGUUCUUUCCUCAUAUGAACCUAAACCAAGUCACCAUCUUGAAAGACACGUGGUUUCCAAUGCAUGUUGGAAUUUUGUUUGUACACGUCAUUCACGGUUUCAAUCUUCACACGAACUUGUUGGUGUAGUUUUAUCAUGGCUUUCAACUUGUCAUUAACACACUUGUGAACCAAUUCAUCCUUUGGCAAUGGAAUCAAAUCCAAAGGCAUGUAAGGAUUCACACCAUACACCACUUCAAAAUGAGAGUGACCUAUAGCACAAGUUGGAGAACCAUUACAGGGAUACUCAGCAUGUGCAAGUUUGAUAUCUAAUGUUUUUGAGUUUUGCUAACCAACCCCCUCAACAACGUACCCAAAGUUCUAUUAGUCACAUUCGUUUGCCCAUCAGUUUGUGGAUGAUAGGAUGUACUAAAAAGUAAGUUAGUACCUAAUUUCCUCCACAUAGUGUUCCAAAAGUAACUCAAAAACGUGGAAUCCCUAUCAGAACAAUAGUCUUAGGAAUAAUAUGCAAGCGAACCACCUCUGUAAAGUACAAAUCAAACACAUUAGAUGCAUCAUUGGUUUUAUGACACGACAUAGAGUGAGAAAGUUUUAAAAACCUAUCCACUACCACUAUAAAGGAAUCCUUCCCCCUUUGAGUUCUAGGCAGAGCCAUAAUGAAUUCCAUUGACACAUCUUCCUAAGGUCGAAUAGGAACCGACAAAGGAUGUUUAAACACCAUGCUUGAAAGUUUUUUUCGUCAUACGACAUGUAACACACUUGUCCACUAUGUUGGUUACAUUCCCAACGUCUCUAGGCCAGAAGAAGUGUUCUUGAAGCACCUCCAAAGUCUUGUUAAUGGAAAAAUGACACGCCAAACCACCACCAUGAGCUUCACGAAUUAGCAAGUCCUGUAUUGCCUGUUUACGCACACAAAGGUGAUUGCCUUUUGAUGCCUUUAUGGGCUUGAUUAAGUGAGUAGGGUUGUGUUUAGGUAAAUUAAGCUAGAAUAAAAACCACAAAUGAUAGGUGUAUGGGAAUAAAUGAGCAGAUUAAUAAGUAAUCAUGACGUACUAAGUUGUAUACCGGUGAAAACUAUCCUUGAAUAAUAUUUGAUGGAAUGCGUAUCAAGUCAAGACCACGUAUUAACUAUGACAAGUAGUGAACUAUAACUAUAAUUCAAAGUGAACAAAGGUAUGACCUCAAUUCAUUAAGGCCAUCCUCAACAAGAUACAGUGAAAGGUCUCCCACAUUAAAGGAAGCAUGCACUCCAUGGUCUCCUCCCAAAUCCACCUUCUAAGCAUUAUCAUUGACACAUGACACCACUUUAUAAGGACCUUCUGCACUUGGCAUCAACUUUUGUUCUCCCUUUUUUUAGGAAACGUUCUUUCCUCAUAUGAACAUAAACUAAGUCACCAUCUUGAAAGACACGUGGUUUCCUAUGCAUGGUGGAAUUUUGUUUGUACACGUCAUUCACGGUUUCAAUCUUCACACGAACUUGUUGGUGUAGUUUUAUCAUGGCUUUCGACUUGUCAUUAACACACUUGUGAACCAAUUCAUCCUUUGGCAAUGGUAUCAAAUCCAAAGCCAUGUAAGGACUCACACCAUACACCACUUCAAAAGGAGAGUGACCUAUAGCACAAGUAGGAGAACCAUUACAUGGAUACUCAGCAUGUGCAAGUUUGAUAUCUAAUGUUUUUGAGUUUUGCUAACCAACCCCCUCAACAACGUACCCAAAGUUCUAUUAGUCACCUUCAUUUUCCCAUCAGUUUGUGGAUGAUAGGAUGUACUAAAAAGUAACUUAGUACCUACUUUCCUCCACAAAGUGUUCCAAAAGUAACUCAAAAACAUGGAAUCCCUAUCAGAACAAUAGUUUUAGGAAUAAUAUGCAAGCGAACCACCUCUGUAAUGUACAAAUCAAACACAUUAGAUGCAUCAUUGGUUUUAUGACACGACAUAGAGUGAGAAAGUUUUGAAAACCUAUCCACCACCACUAUAAUGGAAUCCUUCCCCCUUUGAGUUCUUGGCAAAGCCAUAAUGAAUUCCAUUGACACAUCUUCCCAAGGCCAAAUAGGAACCGGCAAAGGAUGUUUAAACACCAUGCUUGAAAGUUUUUUUCAUCAUCCGACAUGUAAGACACUUGCCCACUAUGUUGGUUACAUCCCCAACAUCUUUAGGCCAGAAGAAAUGUUCUUGAAGCACCUCCAAAGUCUUGUUAAUGGAAAAAUGACCCGCCAAACCACCACCAUGAGCUUCACGAAUCAGCAAGUCCCGUAUUGCAUGUUUAGGGACACAAAGGUGAUUGCCUUUCUUUAUGGGCUUGAUUAAGUGAGUAGGGUUUUGUUUAGGUAAAUUNGCGACCAAAAGCCCCGUAUAACGUCGGUAUCGAGUAGAAUUCCACCGUGUCCAAAUCCUAGACACUAUUUAAAGGAGAUUAAGGUUCCAUUUGAAGCUUUUGCUCUCUCUCUCACUACUCUCUCUCUAACCUCUCUCCUCAACCAAGAUUCAAGGUCCAAAAACAUAGAAUUAAGGCUCCAAAUCUUUGAGGUAACUUCCUUAACUUGAGGUUCAACCUCUUAGGCCUUCAAAUUCGUGUUUAAACUUUGAUUUUGGACCUCAAACAUGUUUUUAAGGCCAAGGAGCAUGCUUGGGCCGUAAACACAUAAUAAGAGGGUUUUUAUGCCUUUAAACCCCUCCAAACUAACUUUGGGACUUAGAUACGACUAUAUGGCUUACAAAUUCGGACUUAGAACACCCUAAACAUGAAUUUUGAGGAGCAAACUUGAGUUUACUGCCCAAGAACAUGCUUGGGCCGUAAAAUCCUCAUUCAUGGAGAGUAAACUCAUUUUCAAGUGUUAAAAAGCCAUGUAAACACACCAUUAGCCUUGGAAUAAAUCCUAGAACCAACCAAUAUUAGUUUGAGGACCUUAAACACGAUAAACACCCUCCAAUUGAGUGUUUACGGCCAUGACUCCCCAAGAACAAGUUCCAUGGCCAUAAACUCCUUUACAUAUGUCAAAUGGUGCCCAAAUUUCAUCCCAAGGCUUGGAGAAAUAGUUUAAAUCACAUGUGAUUGUCCUAGCAUCAUCAAAUAAAUCAAGGAUUAAGAAUGGGGGAUUUUACGGCCGUAAACUCCAUGUUUACUGCCGUAAACUCCAAUAAAUGGUACUUAAGUGAGUUCAAUCCAUCCCAAGGCCCUAGAUUUAAUCCUAGCUAAUUUUCCCAAGUGUUAUCAAGCCAUUUAGCACCAUAAACCCCCCAACCAUGAGUUCACGGCCGUGAACUCAUAUGGGUGGUGUAUAGGGCCGUAAACUCCAUAAGGAGUUUACUGUUGAAGAGUAAACUCAUUUCCUAACUCCCACACGUCCGUAGAUGUCACCCGGGUCACUCCAAACACUUCUUUUGAAGUGUUUUCGCUCAUUGGAGUGUAUUAUCCUAUCUAAUUAGUGUUUUAAAAUCUAAUUAGAUACAUUUGUAUACCAUUUCAUAUUACAUAGGAACCUCGCGUGUUAACAAGCCCCGAACCAACGCUUAGCAUUCCAAUCGUCGCGUUUUCUCGUAUGGUGAGUUCAUACCCCUACCCUUUUUCACUGUUUUUCACUAUUUUCAGGGGGGAAUACAAGCAAAGUACAAGGGAUACUUGUACUCAAAACUUGUUUUUCAUGUGUGUGUUUCAUAGCUCAUAUGCUUUUAACACUAAUUGUUAUAACAGAUAACCGUUCGAACAUGCAGAACACGUAAACAUAUUAUUUGUGAAAUGGGUUAUAAACUGUUAUGUUUUAUAAUUUCGCAAAUGUUUUUCCACAUUAUAUCUAAAAGCAUGACAUCUGAACUUUGAAUAUAUAAAAUUUAGUACACUGUUUUUUGUCCUCGGUAACACUUCACAGAGAUACGCAAGUGGAGGAUUAUUGUAUUAUUACUAGUAAAUUUGUUAAUCCUAUAUAAUUGGAGACACGUCCUCGGUGAACACUCCACAAAGAUACGCGAGUGGAGGACCGCAUCUGUAACCAAAAUCUCUUAGAUAGGGAGCGUGACUUGAGCGUAUAGAUCUAUACGGGGCUGACUACCCCACACCUGGCUGCUAGCUACAGCCGAACCAGAAUGGUUCAAGGGUGAUGAAAGUCAUAAGGUGAUGUGGACUACUUAUUGCCAUAUCUAGUCUAUUGUAUGGUUAUGGAACUCGCAAUUAGGAUAACAGAGAUUUACUUAAUAGUAAUAAUGAAUAAAGUAUAUUUACUUUGUAUAUAUUAGUUUUAUAUAUGUGUUAAAACUAAUACAUUUCACAAGGAUAACCAUGUUUUUAGUAUAUAUCUUUCACAUUUGGUAACCAACAUUUUGGAAAAUAUGGGAUUUUCCUGGGGAAAAUAUUUUGUACAUAACCAGAACAGUGUAACAAACCAAAUAACCUAACUUUACAUUUCACAAGGGUAAACAUGUGUUCAGUGUACAUCUUUACAUUACAUUUUGGGAUUUAAUAACCAGCUUUUAAGAAAAUAUGGGAUUUUCUUGGUGUGUAACAUUUUCAGAAACAGAAAGGAACCAGUACAUUUUCACAAAACAAAACCGCUUAUGAACUCACCAGCGUUAUGCUGAUUUUCAAACUGCUUGUAUUCUCAGGUCCACAUUAGACAGGUACCCGAUGAUUCCUUUUGGCGAAGACGGAGUGCGUUGAACACUCGUCUCAUUUUGUUCAUAUAUACUAUGUAUCACAACUUUAUAAAUUUACUUUUGAAACAAAUGUAAACUUUUCUAUAUGUAAUGUAAUGGUUGUUUACUUUACUUACUAUGUGCAUUGGAUUUGAUACUCAACGUGGAGUCAACCCCGGAAAUGUUUCCGCCUUCGGUUUUCGGGGUGUGACAAACUAAUAAUGAAAAUUAAAAAAACUCAUGAAACCACAAAAAAAAUGAAUGUAAAAAACGUCCACGCUCCAUUAAGGAGCCACAAGACGCAUUAAAGAGUAACCCUAAUCCACCAAAGAGUAUCAAAAUGGCUAGGAACAUUUAUGAAGCAAAAAGUACCGGUUUUGAGCACUUAUGAAGCCUUUCAAAUGUUGCCUUAGCCUUCAUGCGACCCUAAUUCAAUUCAUAGGUUAACAUGCACAACCCAACCAUUGAGCCUAAACCACCUUCUAGCCUACUAGUAAUCCUUAAUACAUCAUCUUUUGGGCUUUCAUGAUCCAUGCAUGGAUCAUCCCUGUUGGAUUAGUGUCUAAGUCCAUAACUAUAAUUGGUAUGUACUUGACCCGACUCGGCAUGGUCCAUUUGGGUUGCAUGGUAUCGGAACAUUUGGAUAGACCGUUUGUGAGAAGAGGACAUUUGUGACAUAUUAAUAUAUUAUAAGUUCUAAUAUAUUAAUAUGAAAUCAUGUUAUUUAAUUAGUAUUAAUCAACAAUUAAUUUGGACUUAAUUUAGUGAAAAAUCGUUAAUUCUUAUAUAUGUGGGCUUAUGAUCCAAGAUUCCUUAUGUUGGGUUUAACCCAUGUGGUGACCCAUGGAUACUCCAUGGAGGUUAAAACCCAUGGAGCAUAAGGAAUGGGUAAAGUCAUGAGUUACAUGGUGUAACCCUAAUAGCCACACUAUAUAAAGACCCCUUUAGCUCAAGAAAUUGGCACUAGUGAUACUUAUAUGAGGGCUAGCCAAUUUGAGCAUGAAGUGUCUUCUUUUCAUGGUUAUUCCAAGUGUUGAUGAUGUUGUGUGAACCAUUUGAGGUGUCACACUUGGGGCACUAGGCUCUCGAGNGAGCGUGAGAUGCGGGAGUAGCAUCCAGAGCUUUUUUCAGAGUGAGACUUCGAGGGCGAAGUCUAGUCCUAGUGGGGGAGAGUUGUAACAGCCCGGAAUUCCAGGUAUUGUUAUAUUUAUGAUUUUGGGUGUUUUAAGAGGGGACUCGGCGAGUUUCCAGCCCAGACUCGCCGAGUAGGGUCGCGGAUCUGGUCGCGGGUUCGCGACUGGACUCGACGAGUCUGGAUAUGGACUCGGCAAGUCUACGCUGUUUAGCGAAAACCCUAACCGUUCAGGAUUGGGACAUAUAUAAGGGGCCUUAUGGUCGUUAUUGUUCACCCUAGUCCUGUGAGUGAAACGCUAAUACGAUUGAGAGCAUCUGGAGCAAGAUAGAAGGCCAUUAUUGACCUUGGAAGUGUUGUUUUGCAAAAAGGAGGAGGCUUGGUUAAGGGAACAACAGGAGAAGCCAUAUUCUGAGAGUUGGGGACACAGAGCAACGUUAUUCAGGUAAUAUUUUGAGUUGAUCCCUUCUAUGUUGAUGUGUAUAUGGAUUUAGGGUUUAUUGAACCCUUUUGUGGCUAGAUUGAGUGUCUCCUUAGUCCCCCAAGCGAUUGGAACCUUUUAUUGGGACCUUUGGAAGUCCAGAGUGUCCCAUGCCUGAGCAUUUCGGGAAUCAAUGGAGGUUUUGGAUUGGAAUCCUUAUGCCUUAGGUCAAAACGUGAAUUAUGAGUCAUGGGGUGUAUUAUGAGCACCGAAAUAAGGACUUUACGUGAUGAACCAGUCUAGGAAGGCCAGACCUAUGAAUUGCCGGAGCAGAUCUGACCUUAGAAAGCAGUUUGAGCGGUUGCAUGGCAUGGACUCGCCGAGUCCGAUGAACAGACUCGGCGAGUAGCUUGAAGAUUGCCUUAGAAUGGUCCUGUCCGGGUUAUGGGUUGGAUCGGUGAGUCAGGGCGAGUUAGAGAGGGUUAACAGGUGGUCUGAGUCGAACUGGGACUCGCCGAGUUGUUCUUCAGACUCGGCGAGUUGAGUCGGGGUGGCCCCGCGAUUCUUCCAGGAGGAACUCGUCGAGUCAAGGAGGAUACUCGACGAGUAGAAAGGGAAUCUUGUAGAAUUGGUGAGGACGUCUAGACUCGCCGAGUCGUUCUAGCACUCGCCAAGUCCGGUCAAGUUGACCGUUGACCGUUGACCAGGGUUGACCUAUGUUUGACUCCUUAGGGAUAUUCAAACUUAGAAGAUAAAAGUAUUAAUAAGAGAUGUAUGAUGUUAUAGGGAGAUUGUAGCUCGGCGGAUCGAGUACGAGUGACUUCGGGAUUUACUAGCUUUUGACAUUCACGAGGUGAGUCUUCUCACUAUACUGUACCCGGAAGGGUUUGACUGUGUGACCGGAAGGUCGGAUAUGAUAUGUGAUAUAUGUGCUAUAUGUGAUAAGUUAAUUGUUAUACGUGCUAUGUAUGUUAUGUGGGCCGGAAGGCAUUAUGUUAUGGGCCGGAAGGCGUGUAUUGUGGACCGUAAGGUUGGCGUGGGUAGGACCGGAAGGUUUACCCAGCAGGGACGGAAGUCCCCUGAGACACAUGGACCGGAAGGUCAGGGCCUGGAAAGGCGUAUGUGCGUAAGUUGUAUUUUGGGGAACUCACUAAGCAUUUAUGCUUACAGUUGUUGUGUAUGUGUUUCAGGUACUAGCGAGAACCGUGGGAAGGCGCCGGCGUGAUCUGUACACACUGAAAGAUGUUUUGUGAUCUUGGGAUGCUUAUGAUUUGUAUUUUGAUAUGACACUUGGAAUAUUUAUGCCCUGUUUUGAAUGAAAAUACUUUAUUUUGAAAUGAAAAUUUUGUUUUAAAAUUUACGUUGUUACAAUAUUCAUAUUUGCAUGUAUAAUAGAGAAAACAUAGAUCAAAGGUAUUUAGGGUUGCAUGUACACUUAGGAGUGUUAGAAUGCUCAAAACCCAACAAUCCCCUCCCCCUUUGAAAAGAUAUGACCUCAAUUCAUUAAGGCCAUCCUCAACAAGAUACGGUGAAAGGUCUCCCACAUUAAAGGAAGCGUGCACUCCAUGGUCUCCUCCCUAAUCCACCUUAUAAGCAUUAUCAUUGACACGUGACACCACUUUGUAAGGACCUUCAGCUCUUGACAUCAACUUUUGUUCUCCCUUUUGUUAGGAAACGUUCUUUCCUCAUAUGAACCUAUACCAAGUCACCAUCUUGAAAGACACGUGGUUUCAUAUGCAUGUUGGAAUUUUGUUUGUACACGUCAUUCACGGUUUCAAUCUUCACACGAACUUGUUGGUGUAGUUUUAUCAUGGCUUUCAACUUGUCAUUAACACACUUGUGAACCAAUUCAUCCUUUGGCAAUGGAAUCAAAUCCAAAGGCAUGUAAGGAUUCANUUCACACCAUACUUCAAAAGGAGAGUGACCUAUAGCACAAGUAGGAGAACCAUUACAGGGAUACUCAGCAUGUGCAUGUUUGAUAUCUAAUGUUUUUGAGUUUUGCUAACCAACGCCCUCAACAACGUACCCAAAGUUCUAUUAGUCACAUUCGUUUGCCCAUCAGUUUGUGGAUGAUAGGAUGUACUAAAAAGUAACUUAGUACCUAAUUUCCUCCAAAUCGUGUUCCAAAAGUAACUCAAAAACGUGGAAUCCCUAUCAGAACAAUAGUCUUAGGAAUAAUAUGCAAGCGAACCACCUCUGUAAAGUACAAAUCAAACACAUUAGAUGCAUCAUUGGUUUUAUGACACGACAUAGAGUGAGAAAGUUUUAAAAACCUAUCCACUACCACUAUAAAGGAAUCCUUCCCCCUUUGAGUUCUAGGCAGAGCCAUAAUGAAUUCCAUUGACACAUCUUCCCAAGGUCGAAUAGGAACCGACAAAGGAUGUUUAAACACCAUGCUUGAAAGUUUUUUUCGUCAUACGGCAUGUAACACACUUGUCCACUAUGUUGGUUACAUUCCCAACGUCUCUAGGCCAGAAGAAAUGUUCUUGAAGCACCUCCAAAGUCUUGUUAAUGGAAAAAUGACCCGCCAAACCACCACCAUGAGCUUCACGAAUUAGCAAGUCCCGUAUUGCCUGUUUACGCACACAAAGAUGAUUGCCUUUUGAUGCCUUUAUGGGCUUGAUUAAGUGAGUAGGGUUGUGUUUAGGUAAAUUAAGCUAGAAUAAAAACCACAAAUGAUAGGUGUAUGGGAAUAAAUGAGCAGAUUAAUAAGUAAUCAUGACGUACUAAGUUGUAUACCGGUGAAAACUAUCCUUGAAUAAUAUUUGAUGGAAUGCGUAUCAAGUCAAGACCACGUAUCAACUAUGACAAGUAGUGAACUAUAACUAUAAUUCAAAGUGAACAAAGGUAUGACCUCAAUUCAUUAAGGCCAUCCUCAACAAGAUACAGUGAAAGGUCUCCCACAUUAAAGGAAGCAUGCACUCCAUGGUCUCCUCCCAAAUCCACCUUAUAAGCAUUAUCAUUGACACAUGACACCACUUUGUAAGGACCUUCUGCACUUGGCAUCAACUUUUGUUCUCCCUUUUUUUAGGAAACGUUCUUUCCUCAUAUGAACUUAAACUAAGUCACCAUCUUGAAAGACACGUGGUUUCCUAUGCAUGUUGGAAUUUUGUUUGUACACGUCAUUCACGGUUUCAAUCUUCACACGAACUUGUUGGUGUAGUUUUAUCAUGGCUUUCGACUUGUCAUUAACACACUUGUGAACCAAUUCAUCCUUUGGCAAUGGAAUCAAAUCCAAAGCCAUGUAAGGAUUCACAACAUACACCACUUCAAAAGGAGAGUGACCUAUAGCACAAUUAGGAGAACCAUUACAGGGAUACUCAGCAUGUGCAAGUUUGAUAUCUAAUGUUUUUGAGUUUUGCUAACCAACCCCCUCAACAACGUACCCAAAGUUCUAUUAGUCACCUUCGUUUUCCCAUCAGUUUGUGGAUGAUAGGAUGUACUAAAAAGUAACUUAGUACCUACUUUCCUCCACAAAGUGUUCCAAAAGUAACUCAAAAACAUGGAAUCCCUAUCAGAACAAUAGUUUUAGGAAUAAUAUGCAAGCGAACCACCUCUGUAAUGUACAAAUCAAACACAUUAGAUGCAUCAUUGGUUUUAUGACACGACAUAGAGUGAGAAAGUUUUGAAAACCUAUCCACCACCACUAUAAUGGAAUCCUUCCCCCUUUGAGUUCUUGGCAAAGCCAUAAUGAAUUCCAUUGACACAUCUUCCCAAGGCCAAAUAGGAACCGGCAAAGGAUGUUUAAACACCAUGCUUGAAAGUUUUUUUCAUCAUCCGACAUGUAAGACACUUGCCCACUAUGUUGGUUACAUCCCCAACAUCUUUAGGCCAGAAGAAAUGUUCUUGAAGCACCUCCAAAGUCUUGUUAAUGGAAAAAUGACCCGCCAAACCACCAGCAUGAGCUUCACGAAUCAGCAAGUCCCGUAUUGCAUGUUUAGGGACACAAAGGUGAUUGCCUUUCUUUAUGGGCUUGAUUAAGUGAGUAGGGUUUUGUUUAGGUAAAUUAAGCUAGAAUAACAACCACAAAUGAUAGGUUCUUUUGAUUAAAAUUUCGUCUAUCUCUUUUUUCGAUGCAUACUUGGCUUAUAUGAAGCCUUUAUCACAUAGUUGGUGAUUACAAGCCACGCAACCAUCUGCUCAAUAAAACUAAUAAUGAAAAUUAUAGAAACUCAUGAAACCACACAUAAAAAAACGUCUGACACACUAAUGAAUGAAAAAAAAACGUCCAUGCUCUAUUAAGGAGCCACAAGUAGCAUUAAAGUGUAACAGUAAUCCACCAAAGAGUAUUAGCUAGGAGGAUUUAUGAAGCAAAAACUAACGGUUUUGAGCACCUAGGAAGCCUUUAAAAUGUUUCCCUAGCCUCAUGCGACCGUAAUUCAAUUCGUAGGUUACCAUGCACAACCCAACCAUUGAGCCCAAACCACCUUUUAGCCUACUAGUAAUCCUUAAUUAGUUGCCUUGGGCUUUGGUGAUCCAUGAAUGGAUCAUCCCCUCCCCCUUUUAAAGGAAAUAACCUCAAUUCAUAAUGACAUCCUCAACAAGAUAAGGUGAAAGGUCUCCCACAUUAAAGGUAGAACACACUCCAUGGUCUCCUCCCAAAUCCACCUUAUAAGCGUUAUCAUUGACAUGUGGCACCACUUUCUAAGCACCUUCUACUCUUGGCAUCAACUUUUGUUCUUCCUUUUGUUAGGAAAACGUUAUUUCCUCAUAUAUACCUACAUCAAGUCACCAUCUUGAAAGACACGUGGUUUCCUAUGCAUGUUGGAAUUCUGUUUGUACACCUCAUUCACGGCUGCAAUCUUCACACGAACUUGUUGGUGUAGUUUCAUCAUGCCAUUCAAAUUGUCAUUAGCAUCCUUUUGAACCAAUUCAUCCUUUGGUAAUGCAAUCAAAUCCAAAGGCAUGUAAGGAUUCACACCAUACACCACUUUAAAAGGAGAGUGACAUGUAGCAUAAGUAGGAGAACGAUUACAGGCAAACUCAGCAUAUGUAUGGUUGAUGUCCAAAUGUUUUCGAGUUUUGCUAACCAACCCCCUCAACAACAUACCCAAAGUUUGCUCAUCAGUUUGUGGAAUCCCUAUCAUAAUCAAUAGUAUUAGGAAUAAUAUGCAAGCUAACCACCUCUUUAAAAUAUAAAUCAGACACAUUAGAUGCAUCAUUGGUUUUAUGACAUGGCAUAAAGUGAGCCAUUUUUGAAAACCUAUCCACCACCAUAAUAAAGGAAUCCUUCCCCCAACAUCUUAGGCCAAAAGAAAUGUUCUAAAAGAACCUCCAAAGUUUUGGUAAUGGAAAUAUGACCCGCCAAACCACCACCCUGAGCUUCACGAAUCAGCAACUCCCAUAUUGCAUGUUUAGGGACACAAAGUUAUUUGCCUUUUGAUGCCUUUAUGGGCUUGAUUAAGAGAGUAAGGUUGUGUUUAGGUAAAUUCAGCUAGAAUAACAACCACAAAUGAUACGUGUAUGGGAAGAAAUGGAUAGAUUAGUAACAAAUCAAGACCUACUAAGUUGUAUACUAGUGAAAACAAUCCAAGACAUAUUUGAUUGAAUGCAUAUCAACUCAAGAAUACGUCUCGACUAUGACAAGUAGAGAACUAUAACUAUAAUUCAAAGUUAACAAAGGUUCUUUUGAUUAAAAUUUCAUCUAUCUGUUUUUUCCAUGCAUAAACUUGGCUUAUAUGAAGCCUUUAUUACAAAGUUGGUGGUUUCAAGCCACCCAAACAACCACUCAGUAAAACUAAUAACGAAAAUUAAAGAAACUCAUGAAACCAAACAAAAAAACGUCUGAUACACUAAUGAAUGAAGAAAAAGACCAUGCUAAGGAGACAUCAGAAGCAUUAAAGUGUAACCCUAAUCCGCCAAAGAGUAUCAAAAAUGGCUAGGAGGCUUUAUGAAGUAAAAAUUAACGUUAUUGAGCACAAAUGAAGCCUUUAAAAUGUUGUCCUAGCCUUCAUGCAACCCUAAUUCAUUUCGUAGGUUACCAUGUACAACCCAACCACCUUCUAGCCUACUAGUAAUCACUAAUACAUCACCUUGGGCUUUCAUGAUCCAUACAUGGAUCAUCCCCUCCCCCUUUGAAAGGAAAUGACCUCAAUUCAUCAAGGCCAUCCUCGACAAGAUAAGGUGAAAGGUCAACUACAUUAAUGGUAUCAUGCACUCCAUGGUCUCCUCCCAAGUCCACCUUUUAAGCAUUUUCAUUGACAUGUGACACCACUUUGUAAGCACCUUCUGCUCUUGGCAUCAACUUUUGUUCUUUGUUUGGUUUGGAAAACGUUCUUUCCUCAUAUGCACCUACACCAAGUCACCAUCUUGAAAGACAUGUGGUUUCUUAUGCAUGUCGGAAUUCUUUUUGUACACCUCAUUCACGGCUUCAAUCUUCACACGAACUUGUUAGUGUAGUUUCAUCAUGGCCUUCACUUGUCAUGAGCAUCCUUUUUUUUUUUGAAAGAGCCAAAGCUCAGCAAACUUUAUUAUAAAGAAUAAAAGAAUACAACAUCAACCAAAAACAAACAAUACAACCAUCAAUCUAAAGAACCAACCUAUCCAUAACCAACUACCAACCCAUUUCCUAAACUCAAGAAAUAACCACCCAAAACCCCAAAAAAACCUAAAAUCCUUAAAGUAAGCCCAAGGACUUAUUGAAUGAGGGAAAAAAGGUAACUUAACCCCCUUGCACCUCCAAAAGCUCCAAUAAUCAUAAUAAUCAUAGCAAGGGGUAAGGCCCUUAAAAAAAAAACCUCAGUCCAAAGACUAAACUUUAAGAUAAAACCAACUAAAACCAAAAUCCUCAACCAACAAUUCACAAAAAAUAACCAAACAUAUUUAAAACUACUAAACAAAAAAACAUUGCAAUCCCAAGUAGGCUCCAGGCGAUGAACAAUCCUGCUUCUUCUGUCCCAUUCCCAAUUCUUCAUCCUCCUCUUAAUAUUCAGCUUGACACUCUCUUCCUUCCUGUCACUUCGAUCCAUCUUCAUCCUAUGCAUUAACUUCCUGCAUAUAAUACAAAAACCAACCAACCAAAAACUAACACCAACACACUAGGAAUUCAUAAUAAGUUUCAUACUAGACAUGGCAUCAAUCACAUGUCUAGGAUUCUCAAUUUGAAUAAUCUCACAAAAGAUCAUAUCCAAACUGAAAAUCCCAAUGGUACAAGUCAAAUGAUUAGAGAGAGAACUCCCCAACCAUUGACAAAUUCCGUCAAUUCCUUUGUAUAACCAAAUAUUCCACAAUUGCCCCCAUCUAAUUCCAAUACUAAGAAAAAUCUCAAUAAAAUUUCUCCACUGCCAAUCCUAUCUAAAAAACUCAACCACCAUCGACUUCUCAAUCUUGAACCUUUCCAUCAUCGCUUAUUUUAUCCUUUCCAUAAAUGCCCCAAUCCUUAUAUAUUCUUUCAUUAACCAAUUUGUUAUUAUUUCUUAAUCCCAACAUCUUUAGCCUAAUUUCAUUUUCGAUACAAGCUAUCACUCCUUCAGCUGUAAUUCUCCUUUUAUUAAAAAUCCUAGCAUUCCUUUCCUUCCAAAUAUGGGCCACACAACUCGCAAGAAUACAUUUAUUAAUUAAAUUCUCACCUGAAUCCUUGUAAAACAGCUUGCAGCACUUCAGAAUCAGAUCAUUCCAUUCUCCCAUCACCAAUUUAAUUCUCAUCUUAUCACAAAAAUGUUUCCAAAUAAUUUGCGAGAAUUCACAAUUAAAAAACAGAUGAUUAUGUGAAUCAGGAAUAAGAUUACAAAAAGGACAAGGGAGAAUUCCUGAUGUUUCCCAAACUCUCACACGAUCCUGAGUUUUCAAUCUAUUCAAGAUUGUCAUCCAUAAAAUGAAGGAAUUUCUAGGAAUGCCCUUACCAUACCAAACGAUUUCCUUCCAAGGGACCUUAUUCCCAAAAUUAUUAAUAUCUCUCCACACUUGUUUGCAAGAAAAUUGUUUGCACAUACCCUCCUUAUCUCUCCAACCAGCAACAUCUCUCAUAUUCGGAUCAAUACAAAACAUAGGAGCAUCCUUUAGACCUGAAAAAUUAUCAACCCAAUUAACUGGCCAAAAAUAAGUAUCAUAAUCAAGCACAUCACUAACCAAAGAAAAGUCAUUAAAUCCAUUGCUAAACCAUUCUCUUCUUGGAAUGAUAGUGCUUAAAAUACCUAAAGGAUGCCACCAAUCAUGCCAUAAAGAAGUGCUCCUCCCAUUUCCCACACAAGCAACAAUAUGAGGUCUAACAAUUUUUCUAAUUUCCAAAAAUCUCUUCCAGGUCCAGCUCAUGCUUUUCUUUUGCAUUAUAUCCCAAAAAUUUCUCUUUCCAAUGUAAUAAGCUUUCACCCAUUGCACCCAUAAAGAAUUUUUGUUAUUAACAACAUUCCACAUAUGUUUUGCAAGUAAAGCAUCAUUCCAUUUCCUUAAAUUCUUAAUCCCCAAUCCUCCAUACUCUUUAGGUUUACAAAUAUCAGCCCAUUUGAUUUUAGCUUUCCCAUUAACUUUUUCACCAUUAGCCCAUAAGAAGCUUCUACACAUCUUUUCAAUCUCUUUUAUAGUAGCAAUGGGAAUUUUAAAAAUUGAAGCCCAAUACACAUGAAUAGAAGUCAAAACAGAAUUAAUGAGCUGCAACCUUCCAGCAAACGAUAAAGUUUUGCAUUUCCAGUUGAAAAUUCUCAUUCUAAUCUUUUCUAUCAGUUUCUUGCAAUCUCUAUCAAAAAGUUUAGUAACACACAUAGGAACACCCAAAUACUUAAAAGGGAAUUUCCCAACAUCAAAAGGAAGAAUACCGAAGAUAAUUCUUCUCAUAUUCGGCUUAACACAACUGAAAUAGAUCUGACUCUUUUCCAUGCUCACCUUCAGCCCAGAAACAUUUUUGAACUCAUCAAGAGCAUCCCUUAUAAUUCUAGUCGAAUUCCCAUUACCAUAAGAGAAGACCAGUAAAUCAUCAGCAAAGCAUAAGUGAGAAAUUUUGAGAAACUCACACUUAUUAUGAUAUUUAAAAUUCUGGCUUUCUUCAAUUUUCUUACCAAGAAUCAUAUUAAACACUUCCAUCACAAUUGUAAAUAAGUAAGGUGACAGUGGAUCACCCUGCCUAAGACCCCUCUUUCCUUCAAAAUACCCAUGGUCUUCACCAUUAAAAUUAAUCAUAAACCACGGGGAAGACACACAAGCCAUAAUCCACUGUAUCAUAAUCGGAUGAAAUCCAAACCCUUUAAGACUUCUAUUAAGAAACUCCCAAUCCACUGUAUCAUAAGCUUUUUGAAUAUCAAUUUUUAAGGUGCACUUAGGAACCCCCCCUCUUAUUAUUAUAUCCCACCAUCAACUCCUGUGCAAGAAGGAUAUUAUCCAAGAUCGAUCUUCCAGGAAUGAAAGCAGAUUGAUUCUUACUAACAAUUUUCCUCAAACAGUUUCUAAUUCUAUUCACUAUAACCUUACUAAUACACUUAUACAAAGUGUUACAGCAGGCUAUAGGUCUAAAAUCAGCAACCUUCCUCGGCAUAUCCACUUUAGGAACAAGAAUAAUUCUCGUAGAAUUUAUCCCUUUUAGCAGUUUCCCUGUCCAAAAAAAUUCUCUCACUGCUUUGAAAACCUCCGAUCUAACAAUAUUCCAAGCACUUUUGAAAAUUUUUGAUGAAUAUCCAUCAGGCCCAGGGGCACGAUUGUCAUCAAUUUCAAACAUCGUUGCUUUAAUUUCUUCAUCAGUCACCACUCUUAUCAUAUUAGAAGCAUCAUUUCUAUCCAAUCUAUUUUGAAAAAAUUCUUCAUUUAAUUCCGGCAUAACAAACCCGUCCUUACAUCCCAAGAAAUUUUUGAAAUAUGAAACAAACUUAUCCUUCAUAGCAAUCCCACUAACCCAUCUUCCGUCUUCAUCCAAAACCAUCAUAAUUCUAUUUUUAUUUCCCCUGCUCUUCACAAUACUAUGAAAAAACUUAGUAUUAUAAUCCCCUUCCUGAAUCCAUUUUAUUUUAGACCUCUGGAAUAAAAGCUGCUCUUCAUCAUUACAAGCCUCAUUAAAUUUGAACAAAAUAUCAGCAUGCUCAUUCCUGACCUUAUAAUCAUACGGAUUACAAUCAAUUUCCACUUGUUUACUUUCCAGAUUUUUCCUUAGCUCUUUAACCCGCUUCCCAUAUCCUCUGUAGUUAUUACAAAGAACCCUAUAGUGCUUUUUAAGGAUCUUCAAUAUUUGACAAACCUUGAACAUAUAAAACCCUUCAAUGUUUUCAUCCCAAACUUCCUUAACCAUUGGUAAAAAUUCUUCCUUCUCAGUAAUAAAAUUAGCAAAUCUGAAAGAAGGCCGCCAUCUCAUUUUGCUCAUUGGAAUAUUAAGAACAGCAGGACAAUGAUCUGAAAUUCUAUAAGGUUUAAACACAGCAUGAGCCAAAGGAUAAUCCGAAACAAAUUUCAAAUUUGACAUCACUCUAUCAAGUUUCUUCAACAGGCCCAUACUCCCAGCAGGAGUUUUAUUCCAUGUAAAUUGAAAUCCAAUCGAAUUCAGGUCCUCAACUUCUAAACAGUUAAUACAAUCAAUAAAGUCCUCCACACCUUUAGGAGUUUUAGAACAUCCUUCAGAAUAUUCCGAAGGUUUUAAGGCAACAUUAAAAUCUCCUAAUAAUCCCCAAGCAUCCUUUUUAACCACCAACUUAUGUUUCUUCAGAUUAUCCCAUAAAUCUCUUCUAUCAAGAUAAUUUGAAGCAGCAUAAAUAAAAGACAAAUACAUGCUAUAAUUAGAUUCACAGAAUCUAACAUAACAAUGUAUAACUUGUCUAGAUUGCGAAAUCACCAUCACAUCCACAAUUCGAGGAUUCCAUCCAACUAUAAUCCUAGUUCCAGCCUCACAACAGCUGUUAUUUGACACCCAUUCCCAUUGACCAAAGGUCUUGGCACAAACAUUUUUAAGAUUAGAAAUCCUAACAUGUGAUUCCACCACAGAGCAGAUACUGAGAUUAUAGCUUCUGAUUACAUCUAUAACCUCCUUCUGUUUAACCAUCUUAUUCAGACCUCUAACAUUCCAGCACCCUAUAGACAUCAUUGGUAACCAGCAUAAUUUUUGGCAUCAACCUCCUCUAAUGCUAGAGAGUUCCCUACAAUACUUUUACUAUUCCCCUGAUUCUUCAAGUUACCCUUCGCAUUAUUAACACCAAUCUCUAUAUUAUCCUUCUCAUUUAUCUUAGAUGAUAUCAUCAUAUUCUUCUUUUUCCCAGCACUAUCUUCUAAUGAUACUUCAUUAUCUCCAUUCUGCAAAUCUCCAUCUUUUUCCCCCUUAGCAUCUUCUUCCAUUCUAUCCAAAACUUCCUCAUCUGUCAUUCCCAGAACUUGAAAACUGUUUUUUUUGUUGACUGCUAUAAUGGGAUUACUUUUAUUACCACUCCUCAUCUUUUCUUCUUCUUUAUUGUUAACAUUCUUAACUGCAUACUCUUGCUUCUUAUUUUCCUUUAUCCCCUGAUUACCCUCCAUAUUCUGACUAUUCCCAUACUUCUCAUAUCUUCUAUUCUUUUCUAAAUUCCAAUGGCCAAUCCCCUUAUUAACCCAAUUCCCAUUCUACCAUCUUCUAUUAUCCCCUCUAUAUCCAUUAUUUCCUCUAAAUCUAUUCCCCCUGUUAUAAUUACUAUUCCUCCCAUUAGAUUUCUGAUUAUUCAAUUGAGAAUAGCCUUCCUUAGCUUUGCUUGUACCCUCUCCACUAUUAUUACCUGUCAUCUUCUUAUAAUUGACCUCCACAAAUCCAUCUUCCUUAACAAUUUCCUUUCCUUUAUUAUUCUUAAUUUUCUCUUCACCCCCAUUUUUUACCACUUUUCCUUCAUUCAAAGCCGCAAGACAAACUUUAUCCAUAUGUCCAAAUAUCUUACAAUGAUUACAUCUCGAUGGAAUCCAAGCAUAUUCCACAUCAAAACUUUGAAUAACAGCAGAAUUAGUUACAAAAUCCCACGUAGAUACCUCAAUUUUCCUCUUCCAUUCCUUAUCAACUGCCAUCUCAACAAGGAUCCUAGCAUAAGCAUUUCUUCCUUUGUGUUCCAAACACAUUUCCUCAGUAAAAGAAUCAAAAGCCAGCGGAAUGCCUAUUUUGCUAGCAAUUAUACACAAAUUAUCACCACUCCAUACUUCUAGAGGCAAAUCAAAAAUUUUGAUCCAUACCGGAAUUUUAUCAUGAUUAUUCUUUGUUAAAGUCAGACCUGGUCUCCAACGUUGUAGGAAUAGUGGCAUGUUAUUGAACAUCAGCCAUGGGCUUCCCUCCAGCACCUCUAACAUCCCUUGUUCAUCACUGAAUUUAAAAAAGAAGAACCCUUUGCUGUUCAUGAACACCUCUUCAAGGCCCAUAUUCUUCCAAAGUCUUCUAACCUCUUUCUGAAUCACUGGAAACGCCAACUUUUUGUCAAUCAUAUACCCAUAUAAAGUGGUAGUAUAUGGGAUACUAGCACUUUUUAAAUUUUCAAUCGGAAUGAUAACCGGCCCUUCAUCAUUACCAAUUUCUCCUGGUAUAUAUCUAACAUCAAUUUUACCCUUAUGUCUAUUUCCUUUUAACACACCAGCAUAAGAGUUCACUAAAUUCCCCUGAACAUCAUUCUCCACCAAUUUUCCAUUUUUAGCAUCUCCCAAAAUAGAAGGUUAAGUAUUAAUACUAUUAAUAACUGUGCCUGGAAACAACUUCCCAUUAUUAUCAUUGCUACUCUUAGUAAUAUCCUCCUCCUCCAUCAUUAUUUCCUCAUCUUCAUUGGUCUCCUCCUCACUUGAAUCAACUUCCCCCUCCUCUUCAUCUGUACUAUCAUCUUCUUUAUCAUCUUCCACCUUAUCCUCUAUCUUUCCCAAAUUUGAAUCAUCUAUAUCCAUAUUCUGAAUCAAUCCUUUAUCAACUUCCUUCCCACAUACCCUUCCUCCUUCAAUUUACUAAGAAAUUGAAAUCCAACUCCUGGAAUAAAUUCUUCUUUACUGCUAGCACUCUUCUCCCCAUCAGUUCUAGUCUUCAUAGCUUCAUUAUCAUCCAAUUUAGAAUUAUCAUUUUUUUAACAUCCAUCACCGAAAUGGUAGGAUUCACCCUAAUCAUUUCACUAAUAACAUUCUUCAAUUCUGAAUUAGGGCUCAUUACUUCAUUACUCACCUUCGAACCAUCCCAAUUUUUCAUCAAAUUAGCAGUAUUACCAGACGGAAUAGUAAUUACUUGGGAUCUAACCUUCUUAGUAUCACCAGACACCCCAUUCUUCAAUUCCUUCUCCUUACAAUCAGAUCCAGGAAUAGAAAUGUUAGAAUCAGACUCCCAAACUGAUACUGCUUCCGAAUCCUCUUCCGUUUCCUCCUUAGUACCAUCUUCAUUGUAGUAUUCCUCAGCAUCCAUUGGAGAUAAUUCAUCCUUCUUCUUCCUAGCUCUACACUUAAUUCUGAAAGCUUUCCCCUCCAUUUUCCAUUCAGCUUUGCUAAUUCCUGAUGAAAUAGCUCCAGUCGCACUAGGCUUACGACGAGCUUUGUAGAUCGUGGCUGAAGAUUGCUCAAUAACCCCAGGAGGAACAAGAUCAUUCACCUCCACUUCAGAUUUAGUAUAUCGAACAGCAGCACUUUUAUCCGGAGGUUUAACCUUCACUUCCUUCAAUCGAUCCGAUUUGGAUGACGCUCCCAUUAAGACAAUGGAAAUAAAAGAGAAAUUGCUUUACCGAAGGAAAGACAGACGUCGGAAAAGCAGCACCGAUGAAUCGAAACUAGAUCGCACCACCGUCAGAAAGAAUCAGGGGAAGAAAGAGAAAGCGAAAAAGUUUUUUGCAUUGUUUGAUUCUUUUUGUCAUGAGCAUCCUUGUGAACCAAUUCAUCCUUUCACAAUGGAAUCAAAUCCAAAGGCAUGUAAGGAUUCAAACCUUACACCACUUCAAAAGGGAGAGUGACCUGUAGCAUAAGUAGGAGAACGAUUAAAGGCAAACUUAGCAUGUGCAUGUUUGAUGUCCAGAUGUGCUUGAGUUUUUCUAACCAACCCCCUCAACAACGUUCCUAAAGUUCUAUUAGUCACCUUCGUUUGCCCAUCAGUUUGUGGAUGAUGGGAUGUACUAAAAAGUAACUUAGUACCAACUUUCCUUCACAAAGUGUUCCAAAAGUAACUAAAAAACAUGGAAUCCCUAACUGAAGAAAUUUUUAUAGGAAUUAUAUGCAAGCGAACCACCUCUUUAAAGUACAAAUAAGACACAUUAGAUGCAUCAUUGGUUUUAUGACAUGGCACAAAGUGUGCCAUUUUUGAUAACUUAUCCACCACCACUAUAAUGGAAUCCGUUUACAAUCCUCUCCCUUUGAUGGCUCGGGAAUGGGGACUUCUAUACCAUCGCGGACUCCAUGGUCGAUGAGCCGCUGAGCCAGACGUUUGGCACUAUCGAACGUGGUUGGGUUAGAAGACAACACAUAUCCUUGGAUCGGGCCAGUUAGACCCAAGAUGUAUCUUGCUAUCUUGUUGCUCUCUGGGGUAACCAUCCCGAAGCAUAGUGCCGCUAGGUCGUUGAACCUGUCAAUGUAGGCCACUAUGUCUGAGCCAACCAUCGUGAGCUCCCAUAGUUCUGUUCCAGCUUUUGAGCUUCGCCCGACGAGUAGUAUUCUUCCAGCAUUAACUCUUUUAGGUUCUCCCAACCUAUUGAUUUAGCCACUGAUAGGGUCAGUGACUUAACAUGGUUGUUCCACCAUGUCAGGGCUCUGUCAGAGAAGGUGCAGGAAGCAAACUUUACUUUGCUCCCUUCUGGGCACGAACAGAUUUCGAAGACCGGAUCUGUUUUCUCGAACCACCGCAUCAAAGCGAUGACUCCACCAUUUCCAUUAAAGGAAUUGGGUUUGCAGUUCAUGAAGUCCUUGUACGAACACUCCCUUGGGUGUCUGUGAGAAUCUUCAGGGUUGACUAAGUGGGUACCGCUACCAGAUCCGAAGGUACCACUUUCGCCGAAGUGAGCUAGAGCAGUUGCCACUACGGAGGAUAUCGCUGAUUGGAGAGUAGCAUGAUCGAAUUGUGGCGGAGGUAGUGGCGAUUGAGUGGGAGUUAUCGGAGUAGUGCAUCUGUUUGAUCUGCGAGGAUGCAUCUUUGCUAAAAGAAUACAAAGAUGAAAUAGAAUAAGUCUAUAGUAGUGGUUUAUAAACCAAAAGCUGAAAGGCAAGGUUAUCCUAGUUCUGAGUGUAUCUGGUCCUGACUUCCACAGGGUUCUGGAAACAAUUCAUAAAAGAUUCUAUACCAAAUAAACUCUAUGAAUUAGAAAUGGUUAUCCUCGAAUGAAUAUUUGUGAAUUGAAUAACUGUUACUAGUUGUAUGAUAGAAAAUAAUCCUAACACAUAAUGUAAGCAGUGUUUCCACUAACUCAUUAAGUUAACCAAGAUUAUUAUUUAUUAGUGUGAUGCAUAAGACGUUUUGGUUACUUCAGCUAAUAUUUCUUUGAAAACUUUUCAUGAACCUACUCCCGUUCCUCCUUGACUCUUCUGUUGACUGCUAUGAGGAAGUUGUUGCAUCUAUCUGGGUUUGUCGUGCGAGAAUGGAAGUGUCUAAAGAAUCUAUGAGAUUUAAUUGAAAUAUUAUGGGGUGAUCCUUACAGAGUUCUCCUAUAAUUGCACAAUAUAUACACGUUGUAUAUAAUUUAAGAUUAAAUAGACCUUCGAAUAAGUGAUCCUACUCUAAAACCACAACCAAACAAGGAACAAGUAGUGAAGCAUAGAUCACAAAUUCUAAGUCUAUAAAAUCUCAAUUAUAUAAAACCUUGGAAGUAUACACUCCAAAAUUAUAGAUUUAUCCGUAAGGGUCUUUUUAAGUUAUCACAUAAGUUAUUUAUAUAGUGCCUAAAAUACUCCUAUAGUAUUUUAAUGUAAUGAACUUGGUAUGUUUUAAACUUGUUAUCGUUUUAUACUAUCAUAAAAUACUCCCAUAGUAUCUUAUCCUUAUGUUCUGAUCUACAAUUCCCUUGAAUAUAGUUAGGUAAGAUUUAAGACUGUUGCAACACCACAUCACUCCCAAACACAUGUUGGUCACAUCUCGAAAGAAUAUAGUUGAUCAAGCUAUAUUGAUCCUAGUUGUGAUUACAUAAUUGUCCAGGUUUGACCGUAGUGUUCAACCUUUAAAUACUUAUGUUCUGUUCUUCUUGAGAUACUUGUUCUAGUAUGUAUAUAUGUAUAAGCAUGCAUGUAUACUUUUAUAAGGUAUUGUUAUAUAUUUAAAAUAUAUUAUUAUCCAGAGCACUUCGACCCCAUUGUAUUUAUAUUUAUAGUUCUAUAAACAAUGCUCUGAUACCAAUCUAUCAUACCCCAAAACCGGAACGGCGGAAACGUUCGGGGGUGGAGGACGUUAUGUUUAGUAUCACAAGACAUGCAUCAUAGUAAUCAAAGUAAUGAACAACCAUUUCAUUAGAAAGAAAGUGUUUACAAAGUAUGUUGUCAUAUAACAUAGACUACAAAGGAAAUAACAAAAUAAGACAUGAAGCUAUACUGCUCCAUCUUCUGAAUCCCAGUGCGCGUACCUGUCUACUGGUCUCCUAAGAAUACAAGUUAAUUUGAAAGCGUAGAUCAGAAUUUAAGCUGGUGAUUUCAUAAGAUUUUAGUGAUGUAAUAAGUUGUAAGAAAGUUGUAACUUCUAUUUAGAAAAGUUCGCCUGUACAAUCUUUUCUAUGAGUAAUAAAUGGAUACAAGUUAUAUAAAAACCCAGAGUAAACAAACAAUCGAUUGUGUGUAUCUGUCCUAAGACUACAACCAAACAAGGAACAGGAAGUAAGGCGGAAAACACACAUCCCAUUGUUUGUUAGAUCAUUGUUGUAUAUAACCCUGGCGUAUUCACUUGGUACUCAUCGAGUUAACUGUAAUAGUUCCUUUAUAUUUGCUGAAAAGAUUCUUUAACAAAAGCCUUAUUUCUUUUAGUAAAAAUGGUAACCACAGUGGUUCCUUCUAUAAUCACUUAGUUUAUACUAACUAUAUUAUAAUCUAAUAUCGAAUAAAUAGUUAAUUGUGUGAAUUUGCCCUAAGCCUACAACCAAACAAGGAACCGGAAGUAAGGCGGAAAGCACACAUCCAACAAUCUAUCGGGUAUUAAUUAUAUAUAACCCUGAUGUAUCAACUAAGGUAUUAUAGAGUUAACCACUUAAGGUCGUUUAAUUUUAUAUUGGUUUAAUCAAAUUGAAUAAACCCUUUACUGGUAAGUUUCUAGUUUUGUCUACCAAAUGUUCUGUUUGUAAAGUAUGUUUUGUACUAGAAAACGAUGUAUUGAAUUUGUAUACUAUGACCUGGCCCAUACCUGGUACUCCUUAUGAUUACUUGGUGGGUGCAUAUGAGGAAAGAACGUUUUCCUAACAAAAGGAAGAAAAAAGUUGAUGCCAAGAGUAGUAGGUCUUUACAAUGUGGUGUCACAUGUCAACGAUAAUGUGUAUAAGGUGGAUUAGGGAGGAGACCAUGGAGUGCGUGGUACCUUGAAUGUGGGAGACCUUUCACCUUAACAUGUUGAGGAUGGCCUUGAUGAAUUGAGGUCAUUUCCUUUCAAAGGGGGAGGGGAUGAUCCAUGCAUGGAUCAUGAAAGCCCAAUGUUAUGGAUUAGUGAUUUUUAGUAGGCUAGAAGGUGGUUUGGGAUCAAUGGUUGGGUUGUGCAUGUUAACCUACGAAUUGAAUUAGGGUCGCAUGAAGGCUAGGGCAACAUUUUAAAGGGUUCAUAAGUGCUCAAAACCAUUACUUAUUGCUUCAAAAAGCCUCCUAACCAUUUUUGAUACUCUUUGGUGGAUUAGGGUUACACUUUAAUGCAUCUUACGGCUCCUUAAUGGACAUGGACGCUUUUUCAUUCAUUAGUGUGUCAGACAUUUUUUGUGUGGUUUCAUGAGCUUCUUUAAUCUCCAUCAUUAGUUUUACUGAGUAGUUGGUUGGGUGGCUUGUAACCACCAACUUUUUAAUAUAAGCCAAGUUUAUGCAUGGAAAAAAGAGAUAGAUGAAAUUUUAAUCAAAUGAAUAUUUGUUCACUUUGAGUUAUAGUUAUAGCUCACAACUUGUCAUAUUCGAGACGUGUUCUUCACUUGAUACGCAUUCAAUCAAUAUUGUCUUCGAUUGUUUUCACUGGUAUACAACUUAGUAGGUUUGAUUUGCUACUAAUCUAUCUAUUUCUUCCCAUACACGUAUCAUUUGUGGUUGUUAUUCUAGCUUAAUUUACCUAAACACAACCCUACUCACUUAAUCAAGGCAAUAAACGCAUCAAAAGGCAAUCACCUUUGUGUCCUUAAACAUGCCAUACAGGAGUUGUUGCUUCGUAAAGUUCAUGGCGGUGGUUUGAAGGGUCAUUUUCCCAUUACCAAAUGUUUGGAGGUGCUUUAAGAACAUUUAUUUUGGCCUAAGAUGUUGGGAAUGUAACCAACAUAGUAGGCCAGUCUGUUACAUGUCAGAUGACGAAAAAAACCUUGAAGCAUGGUGUUUACACUCCUUUUGCCAAUUCCUAUUCGUCCUUGGGAAGAUGUGUCAAUGGAAUUCAUUAUGGCUUUGCCUAGAACUCAAAGGGGGAAAGAUUCCAUCAUAGUGGAGGUGGAUUGGUUUUUAAAAAAUUUCUCACUUUAUGCCAUCUCAUAAAACCAAUGAUGCAUCUAAUGUGUCUCAUUUGUACUUUAAAGUGGUGGUUCGCUUGCAUAUUGUUCCUAAAACUAUUGUUUCUAAUAGGGAUUCCAUGUUUUUGAGUUUCUUUUUUGUGGAGGAAAGUUGGUACUAAGUUACUUUUUAGUACAUGCCAUCAUCCACAAACUAAUGGGUAAACAAAGGUGACUAAUAGAAUUUUGGGUACGUUGUUGAGGGGGUUGGUUAGCAAAACUCAAAAAAAUUUGGACAUCAAACUUGCACAUGCUGAGUUUGCCUAUAAUCGUUCUCCUACUUAUGCUACAAGUCACUCUCCUUUAGAAGUGGUGUAUGGUCUGAAUCCUUACAUGCCUUUGGAUAUGAUUCCAUUACCAAAGGAUGAAUUUGUUCAUAAGGAUACUAAUGAGAAGUUGAAGUCCAUGAUGAAACUACACCAACAAGUUUGUGUGAAGAUUGAAGCCGUGAAUGAGGUGUACAAAUGGAAUUCCAACAUGCCUAGGAAACCUCUUGUCCUUCUAAAUGGUGACUUGGUGUAGGUGCAUCUGAGGAAAGAACGUUUUCCUAACAAUAGGAAGAACAAAAGUUGAUGCCAAGAGCUGACGGUCCUUACAAAGUGGUGUCACAUGUCAAUGAUAAUGCUUAUAAGGUGGAUUAGGGAGGAGACCAUGGAGUGCGUGCUACCUUGAAUGUGGGAAACCUUUUACCUUAUCUUGUUGAGGAUGGCCUUGAUGAAUUGAGGUUGUUUCCUUUCAAAUGGGGAGGGAUGAUCCAUGCAUGGAUCAUGAAAGCCCAAGGUGAUGGAUUCAUGAUUACUAGUAGGCUAGAAGGUGGUUUGGGAUCAAUGGUCGGGUUGUGCAUGUUAACCUACGAAUUGAAUUAGGGUCGCAUGAAGGCUAGGUCAACAUUUUAAAGGCUUCAUAAGUGCCCAAAACCGUUAUUUAUUGCUUCAAAAAUCCUCCUAGGCAUUUUUGAUACUCUUUGGUGGAUUAGGGUUACACUUUAAUGCUUCUUAUGGCUCCUUAAUGGAGCAUGGACGCUUUUUCAUCCAUUAGUGUGUCAGAUGUUUUUUGUGUGGUUUCAUGAGUUUCUUUAUUUUCCAUUAUUAGUUUUACUGAGUAGUUGGUUGGGUGGCUUAUAAACACCAACUUUUUAAUUUAGGACAAGUUAAUGCAUGGAAAAAAGAGAUAGAUGAAAUUUUAAUCAAAAGAACCUUUGUUAACUUUGAAUUAUAGUUAUAGUUCUCUACUUGUCAUAGUCGAGACGUGUUCUUGACUUGAUACACAUUCAAUCAAAUAUGUCUUCAAUUGUUUUCACUGGUAUACAACUUAGUAGGUCUUGAUUUGUUACUAAUCUAUCCAUUUUUUCCCAUACACGUAUCAUUUGUGGAUGUUAUUCUAGCUUAAUUUACCUAAACUGUCACACCCCAAAACUGGAAUGGCGGAAACGCUCUGGGGUUGAGGACGUCAUGUUCAGUAUCACAAGAUAUGCAUCAUAGUAAGCAAAGUAAUAAACAACCAUUUCAUUUGAAAGAAAGUGUUUACAAAGUAUGUGUUCACAAAACAUUGAGUACAUAAACAAAUAACAAAACAAGACUUGAAGCUAUAUUGCUCCAUCUUCUAAAUUCCCAGUACGUGUACCUGUCUACUAGUUACCUGAGAAUACAUGUUAUUUUGAAAGAGUUGAUCAGCAAUUAUGCUGGUGAGUUCAUAAGAUUUUAGUGAUGUAUGUAAGUUGUAGAAAGUUUAGUAAGAUGUAGUAAGUUGUAAGUUUUGUUUAGAAAAGUUCGUCUGUUCCUCCAGAAAAUCCUAUAUUUCCUGCUUUGAUGAAAGAUAAGUAAAAGCUUUCUAUGAGUACUAAAUGGAUACAAGUUAUACAAAACUCAGAGUAAAAAAACAAUCAAUUGUGUGUAUCUGCCCUAAGCCUACAACGAAACAAGGAAAAGGGAAUGAGGCAGAUGACACACAUCCCAUUGGUUGUUAAAUAUAACCCUGGUGCAUUCCCUUGGUACUCACGGGGUUAACUGUAAUAGUUCCUUUAUAUUUGAUUGAAAAUAUCCUUUAAGAAAACCCUUAUUUCUUAUAAUAAAAAUAGUAACCACAGUGGUUCCUUCUCUAAUCACUUAGUUUAUGCUAGCUAUAUAUAAUCUAAUAUUGAACAGAUAGUUAGUUGUAUGAAUCUGCCCAAAGCCCACAACCAAACAAGGAACAGGGAAUGAGGCGGAAGGCACACAUCCAACUACCUAUCGGAUAUUAAUUAUAUAUAACCUUUGAUGUAUAAAAUAAGGUAUUGUAGAGUUAUUUUUACUUAUCUUUCAUCAAAGUAUGAAAUAUUUGAUUUUCUAGAGGAAUAGCCGAACUUUCUAAACAAAACUUACAACUUACUACAUCUUACUAAACUUUCUACAACUUACAUACAUCAAUAAAAUCUUAUGAACUCACCAGCUUAAUUGUUGAUCAACUCUUUCAAAAAAACUUGUAUUCUCAGGUAACUUGUAGACAGGUACACAUACUGGGAAUUCAGAAGAUGGAGCAGUAUAGCUUCAAGUCUUGUUUUGUUAUUUGUUUAUGUAAUCUAUGUUUUGUGAACAUAUACUUUGUAAACACUUUCUUUCAAAUGAAAUGGUUGUUUAUUACCUCGCUUACUAUGAUGCAUGUCAUGUGAUACUGAACAUGACGUCCUCCACCCCAGAAUGUUUCCGCCGUUCCGGUUUUGGGGUGUGACGAUUGGUAUCAGAGCAUUGUUUAUAGUGAACUAAGUAUAUUAACCGAUAAAAUAUAUACAACUAUAAAUACAAUGGGGCUUAAGUGCUCUGGAUAACUAUAUAUUUUAAGAGUAUAACGAUAAGUUAUAAAAAUAUACCUAUUUGCUUAUACAUGUAUACUCUAGAACAAGUAUCACUAGGAGAACAAAACAGAAGUAUUUAAAGGUUAAACAUUGUGGUCAAACCUAGACAGUUAUGUAAUCAUAGCUAGGAUCAAUAUAGCCUGAUCAACUAUAUUCGUUCGAGAUGUGACCGAAAUGUGUUUAGGAGUGAUGUGGUGUUGCAACAGUCCUAAAACUUACCUAACGCUAAGAGAAUUCUAGAUCAAGUACAUAGAGUUAGAAUACUAUGACAACCCAAAAUUUUCCAUCCAGUUCAGUCUAACACUUCAUUGAAAGUCAAACUCAUUCCUGCUAUNNNNNNNNNNNNNNNNNNNNNNNNNNNNNNNNNNNNNNNNNNNNNNNNNNNNNNNNNNNNNNNNNNNNNNNNNNNNNNNNNNNNNNNNNNNNNNNNNNNNNNNNNNNNNNNNNNNNNNNNNNNNNNNNNNNNNNNNNNNNNNNNNNNNNNNNNNNNNNGUGGGCCGUACUCUUGCUUAUAUGAUGAAGAGGUGGUCAUUUGUUCAUUCCUCCCUUUCCUUUGGCUGAAAUCCUCUCAAGUAUCAUCCCGAUCGUCGUCCUCGAUCUACAAAUCUAGUAAGUCUAUUGUCUUAACUAGUUGAUAUCUUGCAUGAACUAGUAAUCUUACAUGAUUUCAUAUGUGAAAUCAUUCCAUUUUGUAGAUUUUCAAGUUUCACCAAGAACACCAAGAACACACUAGUGUUCUUGGCCAAAACCGACCAUUCGAGCUUGUAGAUCGUAAGUACUCUUGAUCCAACUUGUUGUAAACUAAGUUUAUCAUAUUUAGAGCUUAGAAAACAUAAGAAANGAAAACAUAAGGAAUCAUAGGAUUCAAGGAGUUUACGGCCAAGACAUCUUCUUGGGCCGUAAACCCCUUUUAAGGGUGUUUUGAUGCCCCUAUCACCUUAGUCAGCCUUGGAUAUUAGCAUAGAACCUUACACCAUUGAACUAGGGACUUCAAUACACGAUUUAGUACUUCAUACCAUGAGUUUACAGCCGUAAAAUCAUGGGGAAGUGGUCCCAGGGCCGUAAACACCAUACAAGGCCAUUCUUGGACCUUAAACCCACCCAACCUCUUGUUUAAGCCUUGGAACACUUAACCACUUAAGUCUUUAUAGCUUUAAGCCUCAUUUAGUGACACAAUUGAGAGUUUACGGCCAGGAGUAAACUCCCCUGGGCCGUAAAGUCCNCCCGUAAACUCCUUAAGGUAUGGUCGAUUGACCAUAAACUCCCGUAUAAGGCCUUGCACUCCUUUGUUGCAACUCGAUAGCCUCCUAACACUUUGACCAAAGUGUUUUCCUCACAGCAGGGUGUUUAUACAUGUUUAAUUAGUGUUAUAAUCACUAAUUAUACAUAUACAUAUUUCUUCAUGUGUUAUUACGAUCAUUGUGUGUGUCUAAGUCUUCACUUGGCACCAAGCACUUAUCCGGCACUUCCAUCCGAUCCGCUCACUGCAGGUGAGUUCAUACCCCUAAAUUAACCUUUUAAAUGUUUUGUAAAUGUUUAUAAAUGCUUUAUAGGGGGAAUACAAGUUGAAUCAUGUCUAGUUAUUAUAUCAAUCACAUAUGAUUAACAACUAGCAUGCAAAUGGAUUUACUAUAUGUUAACUGUUUUACCAAACAGAUUUCUUCAAAUGACUUUCUUAAACGUUUUUACAUGCUUAAAACUCUUUAUCAAACUGUCUUAUAUAUUGUAAGUUUCCUUUCAAACUCUUUUACAAAUGUGUUUCAAACAAAGGUUUUCCUUAUACUUAAACUGUUUUAUCAAACAAAAUACUUUCAAAUCGUUUCAUAAACUGACAUCAAGUCAUCGUUUCUUAGUAUUAAAUCUUUCAAAGGUUUUACAAAACUUCUUUUAUGCUUUUAUAUUGUAAAAUGCAUGCCUUAAUAUGUAUAGUUAUAUAAUUAAUGUUUAUAGGACUUAGGACGGUCAGCUCGCUUUAUUUCCUUUUUCUCGUUGGGAUGUGGCCUAGGGCAUCGGUUGCUCGUCCGAAUGUCGUCAAAAUAUUAAUUAUAUAUCAUGUAUACAUAUAUAGGUAUAAAGGUUCCAUUACUCAGUUCAGUACCUUUAGGUAGCAAGGGUAUACUUCCGGAUAUACUCGUACAUUACUAGUACUAUAAUAGGUAUAGUUAGGAGAUACUACUUAUAAUUCCAAGUACAAGGAAUCACACAAGAGUCAGUUCAUUCAUGAGUCUAUACUAUUACAUUACAUGUUACAUGAAUACGCUUACAUGAGUACGUUUACAUAGAUACGCUUACAUGAGUAUGGUUACAUAGAUACGCUUACAUGAGUAUGUUUACAUAGAUACGCUUACAUGAGUACGUUUACAUAGAUACGCUUACAUGGAUACGCUUACAUGAGUACGUUGACAUAGAUACGCUUACAUGAACACGUUUACAUUAAUACGUUUAAUAGAUACUAUUACAUAGAAUUUGUUACAGACGUUUCGGGAUUUACCAUUCAAACCCAAUACUAUUAGCUACAGUAGGGAAAAGGAGCAUCGACGGGUGUCCAAGGUUGUACUUUUUGACGAGUUUCCAUGUCGUGGAUAUCCUAGUACAAAAGGAUACAUUCUUUUAGUUAUUAUAUUAUUUUCCUUCCUUUACUUUGUGACACAUUCACAUGAACGACGAGAUAGGAUAUAUUCAAUAUAAAUAAACUAUUUUCCUUAUUACCUUUAUAUUGUGACUCAUACACAUAAACGACGAGGUAGGCUAUAGUUUUAUACUAAUAGUUUAAACAGGGAAAAACCGUCACAUUUACAUUGAUACUUACUUACAAAACAGUCGGGUCUUGGUAGAAGACUACUUGUAUACUAAUAGGAAAUAUGGAAUUUUCUAGGGUUUUCAAAUGUUUACGAUUACUUACAAACAUUUUCACACUUAUACAAACUUUUCUCUAAAUGUCCAAAGUCUUUACUUUACAGUUUUACAAAUCAAAGACACAUUAAUACUUAUGAAUUCACCAACUUUAUUGCUGAUACUCGCUUUCAAAAUAACUUAUAUUCUCAGGUCACAAAUAGACAUGUACGACGACCAGGUUUUGUGAAGACGGAGCAGUUAAGACUCGUCUUUUAUUUUAAAGAUUCAUUAUGUUGUCUUAUGAUAUAAAAGAACAUGCAUGUAAUCAAAAUUAUACUGUUAAUGCAAUAGAUGAUGUUGUUGCUUGUUUACUACUUUACAUUGUUGUGAUACAUUACAUGACGUCCUCCGCCCCAGAACGUUUCUGCCGUUGUCGGUUUUGGGGUGUGAUAGAUUGGUAUCAGGCAUGUUUAUAGUGAAUUAAGUAUAUCAACCCAUAAAAGAUAUACUAACUAUAAAUACAAUGGGAUUAAAAAUACUCUAACCAAGAGUUUAUACUUUUAAAUAAUAAAAUAUUUAACAAAGUAUACAUGCCUGCAUUCAUACUAAAAUUUGUGUCACAAUGACAAGAACAAAAGCAUUACGAUUGUUGAAUAUCACAGGUAAGCUCGGGGAUGUAUGGUCAGUCUUGGGAGUGGUAUAGCCUGAUCAACUAUGCUGGUCCAAGGAGUGAUUAGCACAUGCCCAAGAAUGGUUGUGAUGUGUCAACAAGUCUAAAAACUUACCAACACUACCACAAUGAGAACAUUAUAACAGAACCUAAGUUUAAGAUAUUAUAGGAGUAUUUUGUGUUACUAUAAUUACUUACUUAAGAACUAAAGAAAAAGAGGAUCUUCAUUACUAGGUCAAUAGUUGCUAAGUAGAUACAUUAAGGUUAUAUGUAACUAAGAUGAUAUAGACUCAAAAUCUGUGAAAUUUUGCUUUACCCCUGUUCCUCGUGAAUUUGGAGUUAAGGUCAGUUAUUCGAAGGCCUAUCCUGUUUGAUUACAUAUAAUCGGUAUGCACUUUACAAAUAGUGAUGUAACUAAUAAAGAUUUUCUUAUAAUUAUCUAGUUAGUUCGUCUAAUAACUAAUUCUUGACCCCAAUUCUCGCGUAGCUAACAUGACUGGACUCCAUCCCCACGGCAACCCGUACCUUCCUAACGAAGGCAAUGUUGAAUGGUUUGGAGAAGAACCCGAGAAUGAUCAUCCAAUCCCUUUGAAUUAUCACCAUGCUUAAGACAUUUCAGAUGAUGAUAACUCCGAACUCGAGGUUGAGAACCUACCCCAGGCAGCUCCCAUUCCAAAUCCUAACCCUCUUCCGGCUUUUCAUGGCCCGACGCCUCCUUGGGUAGAAUGCUUGGAAACAUGGAGCGAAGAUCAAGAUCAACCCAUGCCGUUUAAUGGAGACCAAAGCUUCUACAACGUAAACGAAGGGAGCUCAAUAGACAGAUUUCUACCAAUCUUGAUCCGUAGAGUUGCCCGAAACGAAAUUCAGGGCAGGACGGCUAUCCAACGUAUCGAAGAGGUUAAUGCCAAUGCAAGAAUGCAUACCGUUCGCACCAAUCGCCUUGAACACACAAGUGAGAGAUCUAAGAGAAACCAUGAGACCUUGUUGCAAACACUAGCUAAAACCCGAGCCGAAGUCAUAGAGCUCCGAGUACGCCAGAGGGUGUACGAAAGACACCUGCUUGAUACGGAAUGCCAACUAGCUGAACUAAGGGUUCACCAUAGGGGUGACCAUCGCCAGUAGGAGAUGCUUUACUUUCCUUCCUUGUUUUUAAAGAACCGUGUUCCUGUCUAUGUCCUAUGUGACAUUUUUUUGUGUAACUAACUUGUACUGUAAGUACUUUUAGUUAGGCCUUUAGGCUAUCAAGGACUUGUCUACACUAGAUGUGAUGUAAGACCUACUACAAGGUCAAUUUUCCCGAACUCGUUACUGUUGGAUAUAGUGUCUAAGUCCAUAACUAUAUUUGGUGUAACACCAAGAUUUUCAAAAAUAAAAUUUUUGUUUAAAUAAUCAAUUUAAUAUUAAAAACACUUGUUUAAAAAUCUUAUUCACAUUCAAAUUACAAACAUAGUUUCAUUUUCAUUAUAAUAGAAGACCAGGAUCCUCCAAAACACAACUCUUUCUUCGGUGUGUACAAUCGAACCGUUGCCAUNUGUAAAACCUAACGACAUAACAUAAACAACGUAAGCACGAAGCUUAGUGAGUUCCCCAAUAUACCUUACGCACAUACGCCCUCCGGCCCGGACCUCUCGGUCCACAUAACAUCGCCUUCCGGCCCGACCCUUCGGUCCAUAAUAUAUAUCGCCUUCCGGCCCAUAAGAUAAUUGCCUUCCGGCCCAUACACAUAUAUAACACAUAUAACAAAUAACUUACCACAUAUAGCACAUAUAUCAUAUAUCAUACCUGACCUUUCUGUCACAUAACAUAUUGCCUUCCGGCCCAUGUAAACAUACAUAGCACGCAUAGCAACUACCUUUCUGUUUAUAGCAUAUAUAACACAUAUCAUAUCUGACCUUCCGGUCACACAGUCAAACCCUUCCGGGUACAGUAUAGUGAGAAGACUCACCUNNNNNNNNNNNNNNNNNNNNNNNNNNNNNNNNNNNNNNNNNNNNNNNNNNNNNNNNNNNNNNNNNNNNNNNNNNNNNNNNNNNNNNNNNNNNNNNNNNNNNNNNNNNNNNNNNNNNNNNNNNNNNNNNNNNNNNNNNNNNNNNNNNNNNNNNNNNNNNNNNNNNNNNNNNNNNNNNNNNNNNNNNNNNNNNNNNNNNNNNNNNNNNNNNNNNNNNNNNNNNNNNNNNNNNNNNNNNNNNNNNNNNNNNNNNNNNNNNNNNNNNNNNNNNNNNNNNNNNNNNNNNNNNNNNNNNNNNNNNNNNNNNNNNNNNNNNNNNNNNNNNNNNNNNNNNNNNNNNNNNNNNNNNNNNNNNNNNNNNNNNNNNNNNNNNNNNNNNNNNNNNNNNNNNNNNNNNNNNNNNNNNNNNNNNNNNNNNNNNNNNNNNNNNNNNNNNNNNNNNNNNNNNNNNNNNNNNNNNNNNNNNNNNNNNNNNNNNNNNNNNNNNNNNNNNNNNNNNNNNNNNNNNNNNNNNNNNNNNNNNNNNNNNNNNNNNNNNNNNNNNNNNNNNNNNNNNNNNNNNNNNNNNNNNNNNNNNNNNNNNNNNNNNNNNNNNNNNNNNNNNNNNNNNNNNNNNNNNNNNNNNNNNNNNNNNNNNNNNNNNNNNNNNNNNNNNNNNNNNNNNNNNNNNNNNNNNNNNNNNNNNNNNNNNNNNNNNNNNNNNNNNNNNNNNNNNNNNNNNNNNNNNNNNNNNNNNNNNNNNNNNNNNNNNNNNNNNNNNNNNNNNNNNNNNNNNNNNNNNNNNNNNNNNNNNNNNNNNNNNNNNNNNNNNNNNNNNNNNNNNNNNNNNNNNNNNNNNNNNNNNNNNNNNNNNNNNNNNNNNNNNNNNNNNNNNNNNNNNNNNNNNNNNNNNNNNNNNNNNNNNNNNNNNNNNNNNNNNNNNNNNNNNNNNNNNNNNNNNNNNNNNNNNNNNNNNNNNNNNNNNNNNNNNNNNNNNNNNNNNNNNNNNNNNNNNNNNNNNNNNNNNNNNNNNNNNNNNNNNNNNNNNNNNNNNNNNNNNNNNNNNNNNNNNNNNNNNNNNNNNNNNNNNNNNNNNNNNNNNNNNNNNNNNNNNNNNNNNNNNNNNNNNNNNNNNNNNNNNNNNNNNNNNNNNNNNNNNNNNNNNNNNNNNNNNNNNNNNNNNNNNNNNNNNNNNNNNNNNNNNNNNNNNNNNNNNNNNNNNNNNNNNNNNNNNNNNNNNNNNNNNNNNNNNNNNNNNNNNNNNNNNNNNNNNNNNNNNNNNNNNNNNNNNNNNNNNNNNNNNNNNNNNNNNNNNNNNNNNNNNNNNNNNNNNNNNNNNNNNNNNNNNNNNNNNNNNNNNNNNNNNNNNNNNNNNNNNNNNNNNNNNNNNNNNNNNNNNNNNNNNNNNNNNNNNNNNNNNNNNNNNNNNNNNNNNNNNNNNNNNNNNNNNNNNNNNNNNNNNNNNNNNNNNNNNNNNNNNNNNNNNNNNNNNNNNNNNNNNNNNNNNNNNNNNNNNNNNNNNNNNNNNNNNNNNNNNNNNNNNNNNNNNNNNNNNNNNNNNNNNNNNNNNNNNNNNNNNNNNNNNNNNNNNNNNNNNNNNNNNNNNNNNNNNNNNNNNNNNNNNNNNNNNNNNNNNNNNNNNNNNNNNNNNNNNNNNNNNNNNNNNNNNNNNNNNNNNNNNNNNNNNNNNNNNNNNNNNNNNNNNNNNNNNNNNNNNNNNNNNNNNNNNNNNNNNNNNNNNNNNNNNNNNNNNNNNNNNNNNNNNNNNNNNNNNNNNNNNNNNNNNNNNNNNNNNNNNNNNNNNNNNNNNNNNNNNNNNNNNNNNNNNNNNNNNNNNNNNNNNNNNNNNNNNNNNNNNNNNNNNNNNNNNNNNNNNNNNNNNNNNNNNNNNNNNNNNNNNNNNNNNNNNNNNNNNNNNNNNNNNNNNNNNNNNNNNNNNNNNNNNNNNNNNNNNNNNNNNNNNNNNNNNNNNNNNNNNNNNNNNNNNNNNNNNNNNNNNNNNNNNNNNNNNNNNNNNNNNNNNNNNNNNNNNNNNNNNNNNNNNNNNNNNNNNNNNNNNNNNNNNNNNNNNNNNNNNNNNNNNNNNNNNNNNNNNNNNNNNNNNNNNNNNNNNNNNNNNNNNNNNNNNNNNNNNNNNNNNNNAAAAAAGGUGUAACCUUAAUUAAUUCCAUAAGUUAUAAAAUAAAGAAAAGUUAAUUCUUUUAUUAGUUUAAAGUCUUCCAUAACUUGUCCUCAAGUUAUGGAACUUGAAGAGUUUUUGGAUUAAAACUACUUUAAACACAUAAGUUAUGGAAUUAAUUAGUUUUGAAUAGUUUCAAAACUUGCCCUCAAGUUUUGGAAUUUGUAAAGUUUUCACUUAUGAAUACUUUAAUUCCAAGUUAGCCCUUAGAAUUUUAAAAGUUAAAAUUCAACCCUUAUACUUUAUAAUAUUAUAAGUUAAUAAUAUAUAUAUGUAUAAGAGUAAAGUCAGUCUUACCGCUAGUACGCCUCAUUCACGAAGCCGGUCUAUAAGGUGGGUAUAAGGUUGUUGCCUAUAAAAUGGCAACUUAAUGGGUGUCCACUCUCACCCACCGCUUGCUUGACUGGUGGAGGGUCGUUAGCCGAACGGGUUUGACAGGACUAGAAUUCUCCCUUCAUUAAAAGUAUUAAUGAUAAUACUAAGUAACUAAACUCUUAAUAAUACCCAAUCUUAGUAAUUUAGGAAAAAUGUGAAUAAGGUGCUAAUCCAUGAAAUUACACUUUACACUUUGUCUAAGUCGUUAGUGGAGCGUGUGUGGUUAACCGGCACACUAACUUGGACUUAACAAGGUAGGUAAAGGGUGACUUAAUAUUUAUCAUAGUAUCGAUGGAGCGUGUGUGGUUAACCGGCACAUCGAUUGAGGGGUAAACAUUAAGGGUACCAAGUGAUUUGCAUGGUUACUUCACACCUCGUUUUGUGAUCCUCGGCAUCCCAGUCACAAAACUUGGAGGACACACUCGCGAGAAACAUGCCUUUGAAAAGUUCAUUGAAUCUCAAAAGAAUCUAGGAAUUUCUAAGAACCAAAGUAAAUAGUUUUAAUAUUUCGUCUUUGGUGGAAAUUGGUGAAUCGUCAUUCACCUACCUUUCAAAUAUAUUAUUACUUAGAUUACGGCAUACCUCUUCUAAGUAUAAUAUAUUGUGAUUGGGUCCUAGCCUUAAUACUACAUUUGGGUGUUUUAUUAAGGACUAUCUCUAUAUCUAAACUAAUCCUUUCUUUCUUCUCUUUUAAGAUGUCUGCAAACACUGCUGCUUCUGGCUCUAAUCCUAAUGGUUCCUUUUCUCUUAUGAACUUGUGUGGGAAAGUCACUUUUGAUGGAUCCAACUUUAAUGAAUGGAUCAGAAACAUCAGAAUGAUUACCCGCUACGAGGACAAAGAAUAUGUCCUCGAUAAGGAGCUUAAGGAGAUUGAUGAGACAGUUGCUACUCCUCAAGAGAUCGCUGAGUUUAGGGCACAUGAAAGGGAUGCCACCAAGGUGGCAUGCAUCAUGAUGGCCACUAUGACCGCGGAUCUCCAAAAAUCCUAUGAAGAUUUCUACCCCUAUGAGAUGCACCAAGACUUGAUGGAAAGAUACCAUCAAAGUGCUCGUCAAGAGAGGUAUGAAAUCAUCUCCUCCAUGAUAACAACUCGCAUGAAGGACGGUGAACCCAUCACGGGCCACAUGCAGAAAAUGCAAAGAUUUGUGGACUGUUUGCUGAAGUUUAAUGUGAACUUCCCCAAGGAGCUUGCAAUAGAUAUCAUUUUGCACUUCUUACCUUCAUGUUAUGAUCAAUUCCGCAUGACAUGCCACAUGAACAAGGAAGAGGUCACACUCAGCAAACUUCAAGAACUCUUAAAGACCGCAGAAAGUGGUCAUAAGGGUAAGGCGGUUGUUACUCCUACUCCUACAAACUCCACCCCUGUCUUGGCAAUUGGGAAAGGACGAGGGAAGAAGAGAAAGAGUUCUUCGAAGGGUACCAAGGUUAGGACCCUUGAUGGAUCUUCUUCAAGUGGAACCAAGAAAGGUUUCAUCACUCCUUCAUCAAACCCUAAAGAGGCUGAAUGCUUCUAUUGUCAUGAACAGGCACAUUGGAAGCGGAACUGCCCAAAGUACCAGCAAGAUGUGAAGGAUGGGAAAGUUAAACCCAACCAUGCAGGUACUUACACUAUCNNNNNNNNNNNNNNNNNNNNNNNNNNNNNNNNNNNNNNNNNNNNNNNNNNNNNNNNNNNNNNNNNNNNNNNNNNNNNNNNNNNNNNNNNNNNNNNNNNNNNNNNNNNNNNNNNNNNNNNNNNNNNNNNNNNNNNNNNNNNNNNNNNNNNNNNNNNNNNNNNNNNNNNNNNNNNNNNNNNNNNNNNNNNNNNNNNNNNNNNNNNNNNNNNNNNNNNNNNNNNNNNNNNNNNNNNNNNNNNNNNNNNNNNNNNNNNNNNNNNNNNNNNNNNNNNNNNNNNNNNNNNNNNNNNNNNNNNNNNNNNNNNNNNNNUAAUAAUAACUUGGAUAAAGCAUCAUUAUGGCAUUGUCGUCUUGGACAUAUAAGCAAGAAACGCAUAGGCCAACUCCAAAAGGAUGGAGUCUUGGAGUCAUUUGACCUAAAGUCAGAUGAUAGUUGCGAAUCAUGCUUACUUGGAAAAAUGACAAAGUCACCCUUCACAGGUUCUUGUGAGAGGGGUGAAGGUUUGUUGGACCUUGUACACACGGAUGUGUGUGGACCAUUCAAACAUGCCACAAGGGAUGCUAAUCGUUAUUAUUUGACUUUUACUGAUGAUUACAGUAGAUAUGGAUAUGUCUACUUAAUCAAGCAUAAGUCAGAGACUUUCGAAAGGUUUAAAGAAUUUAAACAGGAAGUCGAGAAUCAAUUGGGCAGGAACAUUAAGAUGCUUCGAUCUGAUCGAGGUGGUGAGUAUCUUAGUUCAGAGUUCCUCGACUAUCUUAGGGAAUGUGGGAUUGUCUCACAAUUGACACCUCCCAGGACACCGCAGUUGAAUGGUGUAGCUGAGAGGCGUAAUCGAACCUUGUUGGAUAUGGUUCGUUCCAUGAUGAGUCGAGCUUCGCUACCAAUCUCAUUUUGGGGGUAUUCCUUAGAGACUGCCGCCCAUAUCCUUAAUCUAUUCCCUACAAAGAAAGUUGCCAAAACUCCUCACGAGAUGUGGACUGGUAAAGUACCUAAACUAGACCACAUCAAGAUUUGGGGUUGCGAGGCUUUUGUGAGGCGCGAGACUCAUGAUAAGCUAGAACCCCGAAGCGAGAGGUGUAUUUUCAUCGGCUACCCACAAAGAUCCUUCGGUUACCUCUUCUACAGACCUAGUGAUAAUGAUGGGUUUUCAAACACGCUUUUCAUAAGAAAAUAUAGGAUUUUCUUGAGGAACACUUUUCAAAAGGAUUCAAAGAACACUUUUCCACCAAAACUAAAUGCUUAUGAACUCACCAGCUUUAUGUUGAUAUUCUUUCAAAACUGCUUGUAUUCUAAGGGAAUUAGUAGACAGGUAUUUCCAGGAGUUUGGAGAAGUCGAAGCGUUAGAGUCCCACGUUUCUUUUUUACUUUCGAUAAGCACAAAACUAUGUAUUAAACAAUGUAAACCUUUUUCACAUAUGUAUUCAAUGUCUGGUUGUGUUUACUAUGCUUGCUAUGAUACAAUUGUUGUGAUACAACGCAUGAUGUCCUCCACCCCGGAGCGAUUCCGCCAUCAUGGUUUCGGGGUGUGACACAAAAGGACAAGUUCCUAACAGCACACUCACUGACCCGGAGAUCAUAAGGGAAACAACCGAGAAGAUCGUCCAAAUUCGAGAAAGAAUGAAGGCUUCGCAAGACCGACAAAAGAACUAUGCAGAUAAAAGACGUAAACCUUUGGAGUUCCAAGUUGGGGAUCGAGUAAUUCUGAAAGUAUCACCUUGGAAGGGAUUAAUACGUUUUGGAAAAUGUUGGAAGCUAAAUCCAAGGAAUAUCGGACCAUUCGAAAUCCUCGCCAGGAUUGGCUCGGUGGCAUACAAGCUAGGAUUACUCUAGGAACUCAACCACGUCCAUCCUACCUUUCACGUCCCAAACCUAAAGAAAUGCUUGUUCGAUGAGAUCAACGAGAGUCUCCACUUCGUAGAAGAGCCUGUAUAAAUCAUGGAUCGGGAAAUUAAAAUAACAAAACAAAGUCACAUACCCAUUGUGAAGGUCCAUUGGAAUGCCAAGCGAGCACCUGAAUAUACCUGGGAGCGCGAAGAUCAAAUGAAACAGAAAUACCUGCAUCUCUUCCCUAGUCCAUAAAUACUUAACGUAGAAUAAAUUUCGGAUCGAAAUUCCUUCUAACGAGGGGAUGAUUUGACAACCCGAUAUUCCAAGUCAAUGUAGUGUUCAAAAAGUCAAAUAUUAUAAUCUAUUUUGGAAUAAAAAAAAUAACGUCAAAAAUGAAAUGUUCAAAAGUCUCAAUUGGGAUACAUAAAAUGUUAGAUAUCGCGUCAAGGUUUUCAUAAAUAUAAAGAACACUAAAAUCCGAGUUAUAACGAAGUAGUUAUGACCGAUCAAAGAUUCGCAACUAAACUGGUAAAACAAUGUUGAUUGUAAAAAGUGAAAGUCCAAUAAAAGACUUUUUAGCCUUAAGUAUCUAAACGAAAGUCAUAAAUAAUAACAAACCGUGAGCAUACAUAAAAAGAACGUCCAAAUCUGACUUCGUAUGAGGAAGUUAUGAUUUUAUAAGUUUCAGAACAACAGUAGACAACUAAAAACUCGAAAUAAAGAUCGAACGAUUUUUAGCCUACACAACCUAAACAAAGAAUUGAAGAUCUCGAAAAUAGUAGUACAACAGUAAAAAGACAGACGAAAACGGACAUCGAAUGAAGAAGUUAUGAAUUUUUAACGGAUUUAUCCUGUCCUAGCCUAUUAAAAAUAUAUAAUUAAAAUUAAUAUCAAAAUUAGCGGACGAAGUCUAUAUGAAAGUCGUAGAGUACAUUCUCACCUACGCGUGCAUAUAAAGAACGUCAAAAAUGGAGCUCGUAUGCGAAAGUUAUGAAUUAUACAAGUUCGAGGUGCACAAACCGAGACGAUUUACGCCCAGCAUACCCUCGUACGCCCAGCGUACUCAGGUGCUAGGCUUCGGAUCGUCCACGUCGCCCCUUUCCAAUCUGAAGAACGGCGACCAAGGAUGCGUUCACACAUGACAUCCGGUACGCGCCGCAUAACUCCGCUGGUACGCCCCGCGUACGCGAGGGUUCCAACCCCUAUAAAAGGGACGCGAGAGUUACAGGUUCCAUUGCUCAUUUUCUCUCCUUCUCUCGUGUUUUUACCUCGUUUUGCGUGCAAGUAAUAUCCCGAAGUCCCAGUUUCAUAUCCAAGCCCCGACAAAGGUCCGAAGCUCUGAGAUUUCCAAAAAACUCACCACUUCCCGGUCGAAAUGCUGCUCCAGGAAAAAGCCCAUUUCCGUCAAAUCACCAAAUUUUCCAGGUGAGUUCAUACCCCUACAUUUUCGUUUUCUUUAGUUUUCAGGGGGGGGGGGGGAAUAAAAGUUAAAACACCAAAAUAUAUUUGAAACUUAACUUGACAGCGUACAACAGCAAAGUUGUGCCCUCUUUACAGGCUGUUUUACCCAACCUAGAUAUUUUUACAAAACUGUCGAGUACAUGUUUAAGAGUUAUCCAAGCCUUGUAACACGUUGAGCAAAGUGUGUACGGUUUACACUCAUUAUUUCAAAUGUCAUUUUAUGGAAAUACAAAGACUUGCAUAACAAGGUUUCAUUCAAACACACACAACACUUUUGAUAAACUAAAAUUGGUAUAGUUUGAACACUUUGUUUGACAAAGAAAUUGUAGCUCAAUCGACUUACAAAACAAAUAUUUCAUUGCACACUACAUGAACUUGUUAAUGAAUAAACUUGUGAGACAUUCUCCUUCAGGGUACUCCUAAGUACCACAGAAAAGUCCUGUAGUUAUAAUUAGAAUCUCCUGGAGGGAGAACGUGAUAGUUGUGUAUAGAUCUAUACUGGGUCUGGCAAACCCGCACCUAAGCUGCUUGCAACAGCUAAACCGGCAGGUCUGGGGUGACAAGUGUUAUAACAUUCCGAUGCCUGAAGAACGUCGCAUACGAGGUCUCAUAGUCUUUAGGAUGGUUAUAACAUCUCACAUGGUGUAUUAACAAAACAUAAAGUUCACGGGAAUUCUAAGAUUUUUCACAAAAGAGUUUUAUUCAAAUAUAAAACCACAUAUAAGUAUGCCGAUUUACUUACAUAUACUAAAUCUCGGUUCAGUUGAGACUACAACAAACCUUUUUGAAAAUAUUGGAUUUUCUGGUAACAAACUUAAGGGGUACUACAUUCAUUCUUCACUCAUAAAUUACUUAUGAACUCACCUGCUUUAUGCUGACACUCUCUUUUCAAAACAACUUGUAUUCUCAGGUAAUCAGUAAUAGAAGUAACCACAAGAUUUCUAAAGUCAAGACGCUCAGGCGUAGAUUCUCUUGCUAUAUUUUGAACAUCAUAUGUAAUUUAUUUGGAAACAUGUAUUUUGGAAACAAUGUAACCUUUUAAAUUAUAUCUAUGAUGGUUGUGUUUUACUUUCUUCACUAUGGUUAUGAUACUGAGCAUGACGUCCUCCACCCCCGAACAAUUCUGCCGUUCAGGUUUGGGGUGUGACAUAUAUCCAUUUCUUCCCAUACAACUAUCAUUUGUGGUUGUUAUUCUAGCUUAAUUUACCUAAACAUAACCCUACUCACUUAAUCAAGCCAAUAAAGGCAACUAAAGGCAAUCACCUUUGUGUCCCUAAACACGCAAUACUAGAGUUGCUGAUUCGUGAAGCUCAUGGUGGUGGUUUGGCGGGUCAUUUUUCCAUUACCAAAACUUUAGAGGUGCUUUAAGAAUAUUUCUUAUGGCCUAAAGUUGUUAGGGAUGUAACCAACAUAGUGGGCAAGCGUGUUACAUGUCGGAUGACGAAAAAAACUUUCAAGUAUGAUGUUUACACUCCUUUGCCGGUUCCUAUUCGUUCUUGGGAAGAUGUGUCAAUGGAAUUCAGUAUGGAUUUGCCUAGAACUCAAAGGGGGAAGGAUUCCAUUAUAGUGGUGGUGGAUAAGUUUUCAAAAAUGGCUCACUUUGUGCCAUGUCAUAAAACCAAUGAUGCAUAUAAUGUGUCUGAUUUGUACUUUAAAGAGGUGGUUCGCUUGCAUAUUAUUCCUAAAACUAUUGUUUCUGAUAGGGAUUCCAUGUUUUUGAGUUGCUUUUUGAACACUUUGUGGAGGAAACUUGGUACUAAGUUACUUUUUAGUACGUCCCUUCAUCCACAAACUGAUGGGCAAACGAAGGUGACUAAUAGAACUCUGGGUACAUUGUUGAGGGGGUUGGUUAGCAAAACUCAAAAACAGUUGGACAUCAAACUUGCACAUGCUGAGUUUGCCUGUAAUCGUUCUCCUACUUAUGCUACAGGUCACUCUCCUUUAUAAGUGGUGUAUGGUGUGAAUCCUUACAUGCCUUUGUAUUUGAUUCCAUUUCCAAAGGAUCAAUUGGUUCCCAAGGAUGCUAAUGACAAGUUGAAUACCAUGAUGAAACUACACCAACAAGUUCGUGUGAAGAUUGAAGUCGUGAAUGACGUGUACAAACAGAAUUCCAACAUGCAUAGGAAACCACGUGUCUUUCAAGAUAGUGAUUUGGUUUAGGUGCAUAUCAGGAAAGAACGCUUUCCUAACAACAGGAAGAACAAAAGUUGAUGCCAAGAGCUCAAGGUCCUUACAAAGUGGUCUCACAUGUCAAUGAUAAUGCUUAUAAGGUGGAUUUGGGAGGAGACUUUGGAGUGCAUGCUACCUUUAAUGUGGGAGACCUUUCAUCGUAU